CUAUCAUCUUGACCAAUCUAGCCAUGUACCAAAAAGUCAAUUUUGCCAAGUUUAAAAAGUUUGCUUUAAGCCUGUUCAUCAUAGUUGACAGAAGUUGGAAUUACAAUGAAAUAUCUAGGAGAAAAUGUCCGCAGGAGCAGAGAGAGAGAGUGAAGGCAAUACAUUCAGUCAUGAAUUUGAUGCAAAUCCCAAAGUACAUAAUUGUGUCGAAUACUCUCACCAUGAUUGUCGAUCUCUCGGAUCAGACGAUUACUAUGUUUGCCAAAAAUGCCUGGGCCGUAUGUGGAAUAAAUCAAUUUCACAAGGAGGGGAAACUGCCAAAUUCCGUACAAGGUCACUGGCAAACAGGUUAAUGCAGCCAAGGUAAUAAGAAUCCAAGCCUUCUUUUCACCAAAGUGAAGAUAGAUUGCGCUACUGUAGGCUAUCAUCAUGAAUGUUACGGAGAGGAAUAGAGUAACAAGGCCAAAUAUCAACCUCCUGGGAAGGACAAAAAGAAAAUCAUCUUCAGCAUAUCGUGCCGUGAGAAUGGAUAGGAAUAUCAGCACCGAAGCAAUGGAUAGGAAGAGGGAAAGAGCAUCCGAAACUGCAAAAAAUUUGAAGGUAUAUUCUUCGGAGAAAUUUGGUAUGCCAGUAUCAUCAUGGUUGCCACCCGGGAUGGAAAUUGCUGCUGCAAACACUACAGUAGCAAUAAGCGCUGCUGCCAAUGUGUAAGAUUUUGCUGUGCCUUUCAUCCAUUUCUCUCCUUCUUUUAUCAACUCUUUAUGUUCCUUUAUAAAUACCAUUUUUGGUGUCUCUUGUUCAUCGUUCUCAAAUUCCCUGAAGGCUUCCGGUGCAUAUUUUUCGAUUUCCUGUGUAAAAAUCAAAAUGUUUCUAAGACACAGAAAAAGAGUGGACAUGUAUAAGAAAAUUAAUUCCCCUUCAAAACAAAAAUUAUUACCUGAAACCAAUGUAACUCACGUUGCAUUUGUAGAGCUGCACCAGAAACGAGACUGAGCCGGUGUGGAGGGGCCAAUUUUCCAGCCAAAUGCAAGAUAUUGUUAUUUGAAUCACCUCUGAUUCGUAUUAUAAAUUGUCUAUGCAUACCGAUUUCGCAGAUGAGGUUGAAAAUCUUUUCAUAACGAUUUAAUAUUGCCAAUUUGAAUACUUCCUCAUCCAGAUACUGAAGUGCAGAAGGAUAUAACUUUAGAAUGUUUUCCAGAAUUUCGGGAAUUCCAUAUUUUGCCCCAUUAAUGAAUGAUUGGCUGAAUAUUUCCUUUGCUCUUGGUACUUCCAAAUCUUCAACUUUAGUACAUAGGUGGUUAAGCAAUUGAAGAGUCUGAGAAUGCAUUGUUUUUGUUUCUUGGAUUUGCUUGAUGGGUGGUACUGCAAUUAAACUUAUAUUAAGGACAACAUAUCAUUGCAUUCAAGACUUUUGCAUGCUUUAGUGGAAGUUUUGUUGUGUCCCUUACCUAACCGUCCAACCAGUUCACAGAAUAUUGCAUUCGCCUUUUGGCAAGCUGUGUGCAGGAUAAAAUUGAAGCAGUUCAGAUGCAAAAGCAGGAAUAACAGAAAAAAAAAAAAGAAAAAAAAAGAAAGAAACAAUCCUGAACAAAGUACCAAUUAAACACUAAUCUAAAUUAAAGUGAUUGUGAGUAGUAGUUGCCAACUCAUAUUGGUUGGUGUAGAGUUUGUGUUUUCUGGCUAUCAUUAAGUUAAUUAAAUAUACGAUGCCAGUUUGCUUGAAUAAAUUAAGUUUCAAGAUUCACACCCUUGAAUUACUUAUGGCCAAUCUGAUAUUCAUCUUCACAUGUACAUGAAUUUGGGGUUUGUUAUGGAAAAAUGAGAAUAGGCAACAAGAAAAAUAAGAACACAUAGAUUUAUGCGAAAAAUCCUAGAUGGGAAAAACCACGGGCAGAGGAGAAAGAUAAUCCAUUAUGUCAAAAAUUGGUACAAAAAGGGGAGUGUAUCAAGUGGCUACUAUAUAUAUCCUUGAAAACCUAUACACCAUUAAAAAUAUAUACAUAUAUGGGAGAGAAAAAAAUAAAUAAAGCAGGAAAAUCCAUAAUUUUUCUUCACCAUAUAUGUUACACCGCAAACUUUUUGGGUUGGACCAAAAAAGGAAAUCGGGUCACCAAGCUCUAACAAUCUCCACCUUGACAUAAAUUCUAAUGUAAGGAAUGAAAAAACAAACUCCAAUCUUCAACCAAAACUCUUCACCUCUUCCACAAACCCUAAAGGGCAACUCAAUAACGAAUACUAACCAAGUCCAAGCAAUGCUCAAACUUUGCUAUAGAGAGUGUCUUGGUUAUCAUAUCAACAGGAUUAUCAUGGUUGCUAACUUUGCCCAUAACAAAGCAAUGAUAUCACGCACAAAAUGAUACCUCACAUCAAUGUGCUUUGUCCUAUCAUUAAACAUUCGAUCUUUUGUGAGGAAAAUAGCACUCUAACUAUGACAAAAAACUGUGGUAAUCUGUAAGUUGUCACUAAGUUCACCAAAUAGUUUCCUUUCAAGCCUUUGUAAUAGCCAUGUACUAAGCCUCUAGUAAACAAAGCAACUGUAAUCUACAAAGUAGCUUUCCAACUAAUAGCACAACUACCAAUAGUAAAAACAUACCUUAUAAGAGAUCUUUUAUCAAGGUCACUUGCAAAAUCAGAAUCGACAUACCCAACAGCUCCAUCUCUAACUCUCCCAAAAUGCAAACAAACAUCAGUAAAGCCACACAAGUAUCUGAACAUCCAGUGAACUACUUUCCAAUGUUCUUUACCAGGAUUUGUCAUGUAUCUACUAACUACACUAACUGCAUAUGAUAAAUAUGAAUGUGAACAAACUCUUAUACUGCUGUCUAGGUGACUUUUUUAAGCCAUAGAGAGAGACUUUUUCAACAAACACACUUAGUCUUUCUUUCCUGAAACUAUAAAACCCUUAGGCUACUGCAUGUAGAUGUCCUCCUUAAGUUCCCCAUGUAAGAAUGUUGUCUUCACAUCCAACUGCUCAAGCCCAAAAUCAUACAUGGUCAUAAUAUCAAGCAAAGCUCGAAUCAAACUAUGCUUUACAUUUGGAGAAAACACAUUAGUGAAGUCUAUACUCGAAAUCUAAUCGUAGCCCUUUACAACUAAUCUCGCUUUAUACCUAGCUUCUUCAACUCUUGGUAUUCCUCCUUUCCUCUUCAACACUCAUUUGCAAUUAAAAAUCUUUUUACCCUUAUUUAGUCUCACUAAGUCCCAUGUGCCAUUUUUAUGAAGUGACCCCAUCUCCUCCUACAUGACAAUCAUCCAUCUAUUAGAAACAUCACAAUUAACUGCCUUUGAGUAGGUAGAAGGUUUUGCACUAGAAUCAAUACCUUUGGCCACAUUUAAGGCAUAAGCAACCUAAUUAGCCUCAAUAUACCUCUGUGGAGGUUUAAUAUCUCUUCUAGUCCUAUCUUUAGCAAUAGAUUAUUGUGGUGAUGGUUGUGGUGGUGAGAGAGCAGCAACACCACUCUUCAUCCCUGAACUAGACUAAGAUGUAGAAUCUAGUAUGGAUCCUAAUUCAAUCUAAAACUCCACCUGUGUGCUUGAUUUCUGUUGCUUUUUUUUUUUUCAUAAGAAUCUCUAAAAGAUAAGUCACAAAGCAUAGCAGUUUCCUAAAAAAUAUCUUUAUUGAUUAUGACUUUAUUUGUUUUUGGACACCAUAACUUAUAUCCUUUAACACUAGACUUGUAGCCAAGGAAGAUAGAUUUUAUAAAUCUAGGUUCCAAUUUUCCAUUAUCAACAUGAGCAUAGGUAGGACAUCCAAAUAUCUUCAAAUUUGAGUAAUUAGCAGAAGUACUAGACCAUACCUCUUAUGGAGUCUUUUUGUCAAUAGCAGUUGAAGAAGAGCAAUUAAUGAGAAAACAAUCAAUAGUGGUAGCUUCAACCCAAAAAGAUUUAGGUAAACCAACAUUGGAGAGAAUACAACAUACUUUCUCCAUCAAAGUCCUAUUCAUUUGCUCUACCACACUAUUUGAUGUAGAGUAUGACAAACUGUGUGAUGCCUCACAAUUCCUUCUAACUUGCGUAGAGCAUUUAAUUCAUCAUAACAAAACUCCAAGCCAUUAUUAGUGCAGAGAUGUUUUACCUACUUCUCUAUCUACUUCUCAAUCAUAAUCUUCCAGUCCUUGAAUGUAGCUAGCACAUCACUCUUUUGCUUCAAGAAAAACACCCAAAAUUUUCUAGAAAAAUCAUUAAUGAUAGUCAACAUAUAACUAUAACCUCCCUUAAAAGGCACCCUAGAUGGUCCCUAAAGAUCAUAAUAUAUAUAACCAAGUGUCCCUUUUGUCUUGUGAAUGCUUUUUAUGGAUUUAACUCUCCUCUGCUUCCCAAAAAAGCAAUGCUCAUAGAACUUCAGUUUACUAAUACUUUGCCCAUUAAAAAUUCCUUUUAUACUCAGUUCAACCAUCCUAUUCUCACUUAUAUGCCCAAGAUGCAUAUGGCAAAGUCUAAUAACAUCACCAUCUGACAAUGAAAGAGUUGCAACAGUUGCAUCACCUGUAACUAUAAGACCUUGCAAGACAUAUAAUUUGGAAGACCUUUUCUACCCUUUCAUCAUAACAAGAACACUUUUGCUAACCUUCAAGACUCCACCCUCACCAAUUUACUUGUACCUUUUUGAAUCAAGAGUACUCAACGAGAUAAGAUUCCUCUUUAGAUCUAGGACGUGUCUCACAUCACCAAGUGUCUUAACAAGCAUAUCAAACUUUUUAAUUUUGAUCAUUCCAAUACUAGCUAUCUUAUAAGAUGCAUCAUUUCUCAUCUACAUAACACAUUUGGACAUUGUUUCAUAUGUUGAAAAAUAGUCCCGAUUGGGACACAUGAAAUGUGCAAUCGGAAUCAAGAAUCAAAUCUUUGUAAGGUUUGGAGUCGCUAUAAAAAAAAACUAGGAGUUUUCCAUCACUAUACUCAUCUUCUACAACACUGGCUUCACCAGAUUUUUCUAGUUGUUUUCCCUUCUGAUUUACAGCAACUUUCUUAUUCUUAUUCUGCAAUUUAUAGCAUUCAGAUUUGAUGUGCCCCUUUUUCUUAUAGUAUCUAUAGGUUUUUUGUCUUUAUUACUACAUUUCAAUAUGCCCCUCGCAUCACCACCAAAAUUCCUCUCCUAUAUCCUCUCUCAAACAACAAGGUCCUCUACCUGAGCCUUAGAUCCAAUCACAAGCUACUUCAUCUUUUCCUUAGAAUAUAAAGCAUAAAAAACUUUCUCCAGUAAGAGUGUCACGAUUAUACAAAAUAGUAUCUCUAAAAGUCGUAUAUAAAGAGGGCAACAAACAUAAUAAAAUCAACCCUAAAUCUUCUUCAUCAUACUAAACCUCCAUGGUCUCUACAUCAAAAACAAUUUCUUUAGAGACGGUUAAGUGAUCUUCUAAAUACAUACCUUCUGUUAUACGAUGAGAAUACAGUCACUAUUUUAGAUGUAACUUGCUAGUUAGACUUUUCAUCAUGCACAAGAAAUUUUUUCUUUCAGAAUGUCCUAUAAAAUUUGAUUUGACAUAUGAAGAUGAAUUUGAGAUAGGGCCUUUUGAUCAUUACGUUGUUUUUUCUCCGGUGUCCACGAUGAGGGCAUCUUGUCAAACCCUAAUAGGAUUAUACCAAAAAAAGAAAUCGAGUUACCAAACUCUAACAAGAUUCAAUAGGUUUCAUAUAUUUCCCUUAAACCAUACACUUGAAUUUAAAGGCUAUAAUCAAGAAACCUAAUGAAAUUUGGUACAAACUCAAUCACUUGACCUCUUUUUAAUUAACUAGGAGCAUUAGGUGACAAAAUAUUCACAAAAUCUAUCAAAACAAUGCAAAUUGUGUAUCCUGCAUAAUUCUUUGAGUAGUAAAGUAAUAUCCAUUGAAAUUUGAUCAUAGAGCUGAUAUUAAAUCAAUUACUUGAACUUAAAGGAAAAAAAUGAAGAGAAUUUUGUGAGGACAAACUAAAGUUGUGAGGAUUAAUCAAAAUAAAAAGUUGAAUUCAACAAAUUGGCAUUUCUCUAAUGGGUGCAAUUUGGCAAAUUAGUUUAACCUAACUCGAAUCUCGAUGAAGUUAAGAAAACAUUUUUAGUACUCAAGUUAAGAUUUGGUUGACUUUCUUAACCAAAAAUUAAUUUGGGUUGACCUCAAUUUUGGGCUUAGUUCAAACCAAUGCUUCAAGAAUCUAAGCCUAAUUAAACUCCAUUUAAUAUUUUAUAAUAUUUAUAGAAUGUAUUACUAUAUAAUAAUAUCAAUUUUUUUUCUAGAAUAAGUUCAAGGGAAAAAACAUCAAAAUAUAUUAAGCUAACUCUUAAAAAUUUGCCUACUCUUUGUGAACACUAUUUGGAAGGAAAAUUAAUAAGGAAGCCUCUUAAGAAAGCCCCAAAGGUAUAUCGUCCUUUUAGCCAAGGCAUUCUAAAGUACAAGGCCUAAUGAACAUGAGAGCUAAGCAUGGUGCCUACUACUUCAUCACAUUUAUAGACAAUUAUGUCUACAAGUCCAAAGAAUUACUCUAGUUUAGAUGUUAUAUGAAUAUUGUAGAAAACUGAAAAGAAAAAACUAUUAAAGCAUUAAGGAUAAAUCAUGGACAUGAGUAUCUAUUAAAGAUUUUUUAAAAUCUCUAUGAUGAAAAGGAAAUCCAAAGACAAUCAAUAGCUUCAAGGACUCGAUAGUAAAUUGGUUGAAUUGAAAAAAGUAACCAUAAACUUUUGGAUAUGGUUUACUUAAAAUGACAUAAGCCAACUUUCUAAUAUCCUUGGGGAGGAAGGGUUACUGUUUUGAUUGUAACUUAAAACUUGAAUAGAGUACCCUCAAAAUCAAUUACUUCAAACCCAUAUAGUUGUGAAAAAAAAGAAGUAAAAAACUAAACCUAACUCACUUGUGAUCCUAAGGCUUAGUAGGUUCAAUUCAUGUAAAUUCUCAUAUAUAUUGUGCUAUAAAGGAAACAAGUAAAUUUUCAUUAGAUAUUCUAAUAAAUCAAAGGUUGUGUGAUGCUUAAUGUACAACUCACGAGAGUAUAAUUGAAGUUAAGUCAUAUGAAGUUAGUUUCUUAUAGGAUGAUAUUUCGAGUAGAGGAGCAUUAAACAAGAGUCUUAAUUUAUUUAAGGCAAUUAAACCAAAGGAAAAUACUGUGAUAUCCCACAUCGAAUAUAGGAAAAAGUUCUUGACAUUAUAUAUGUAUGAGCUCCUCUUAAUUAUUUAGACACAUUUUAACAUUGUGAGGGCUCUUUAAACCCAAAGCAGAUAGAAUAUAUUUACAUAGUUGGGAGUGGGUCGUUAAAAAUGAUAUUAGAGUAUAUUCUCAACCCCAAUGUGGGAGUUUGUUUAGCCUCACAACGGAUAUUUGUUUGUUUGGUCUUGCAAUCCUAUGAGACAUAAUAAGUAUGUUAUGUCUCUCUGGGGGUGAUUGUGAUAUCCCACAUUGAAUAGGGGAAAAAGUUCUUAGCAUUAUGUAUGGACUCCUCUUAACCAUGCAAGUGUGUUUUAAAUCUAUAAGGACCCUUUAAGCUUAGAGUAAACAAUAUUUACAUGAUUAGAGUGAGUUGUUAUAGAUGUUGAAGAUCUUGCUAAGGAUAUGAGUGACUCGACAAUUUUCAAGACUAUAAUUUUAAGUAGUAGCCUACCACCUACUUAUGCCACCAAGUGGGAUUUUACCAUUACAUAUUAUUCACUAGAUUUAGAUGUUUGUGUAGAAAACUUGGAACUAUCCCAUCAUUGUCAUUGUGGGCAUUAGGGUGAAGCUUUCAUGUUUGCUUCAUAAGAUCAUGAUGUUGGGAUAGAGCUUUAAAAAGUAUGAUAUGAUGUAACCAUAAAUGGAGUUCAUUAAUACUUAUAUUAUGACUUCGAUUUUCUAUUCCCUAUCCUGUUCAUGAAUUAUGUAUAUUGAGCAUUUAAACCUACAUCACUUGCAUAGUACAUGGGUGAAUUAGGAGUUGCAUAGAAGAUCCCAAUCAUAGGUUCCUUGCAAGUUAAUAACUCAUUCACCAUUGGUUCAUGGACCUAGGUAAUCCAUCUGAGGUUAUAGUGCAUUAUCUCCUAAUUAGAGAGAUGACUUACCUUGGUCAUUAGGAUGGGUUUUCCAUGAUGAGAAACUAGUGUGUUUAGUUAUGCUGGGAAACCUAGAUCUUUUCAUUCCCAUAACCCUUGAUUGUAUAGGUGCAUGCAAAAUACCCUAGGCCUCUAGAUAUUAUUCAACGUGAGAAAAAAUCAAUUUUUUAAUAUUCUAGAACCUAGAGAAAAGUCAUUAGAAAACUUUAUCUUUGAUUUGGACAGUUCUCAAAUCAAUUUUGCUUAGUGAAGAUGAAGCUUAAAGACUCCAGAGGUCUCGUACACCUAAGAUCUUUCACCCAAUGACUCAAUCCACAAUCUUGCCACUCCAUGGUGUGGGCUUUAAAAGGGUAGAAUCCUAGGCUCACUUUCUUUUUCUAAAGAUAGAAGAUGAUUGAUCUUAAAAAGCAAUGAAAACCCUAAUCCUUAAGGGGUAUUUAUAGGGUUCUCCUACUAGACUUAAGUGACUUGAGCCCACCAAGACUUAGGUCACUUAAUCAAGCUCAAAAUUGGUCUUAAUUGAUUAAUUAAGCAUAUAAGGUCAUCUAAUUAAUCAAUUAGCCCAAUCCAAAGACCUUGUUUAUUAUCCCUUGUGUAACCUUUCAUAAUUACCAAAAUACCCUUAUACAUAAGAGUGAACUUAGAGUCAAUCCAACCCUCAUAAAACUAUGCCAUAAUGGUAUAUGAGCUUAGAGUAAGGACCAAUUGGAUAGAUAGGAGGACUAACUCCUUCAUAAUCCAAUUUUGGAGUUGAUUCAACAUUCCACUAAAGAGAAUUAAUGGAACUCCAUUACCCUAUAUGAAUAAUAAUGAGAUGAAGCUUAGAUCCGUGACCUACUAUCCAUUGCAUGUAGAGUCCCCAUGAACUAAUGUCUAUAAUCUAAUAAGGUAGUGUUAUCACCUGUCAAGAUUUUCUCUUCAAUACUUAAGUUAUAGAUCCCACUUAUUAUGUGAUCAAUUGACUUUAGCUUGAAGGAGUAUAUGUCAAAUUUCCAUUAAAGGAAUUAUUAUGGCCAUAGUCUUCUAGAUCACAUGUCCUUUGGAUCACCCAAUAGGACAUAUUUUCUCAAUCUAUAAGAUAUCAUGGUGCCUCCAUUGAGAAUAUUUUUUGCCACUAGCCUCCAUCAACAGUGAUCUAAUCCAUAAGGAUAUAUGGCCACUUUAGAGUCUCACUCAUAAGUCAAAACCUCAUGUUGGCUUUGACACUAACUUAAUAUCCUCUCAAGGUUGAGAGUCCUUACCGUAUAGUAGCAUGGUGUAUCAUGACAAUUGAUAGCCUUAUGUCUUGACUCACUAUAGGUCGAGUCUAGUGCAAAUCAUAUGCACUAGUGCACUCACCAUGGGAAAACCAUCCUGGCUAUCAAGAGAAGUCAUCCCUCUUAUUAGGAGGUAGUGCACUACAAUCUUAAAUGAAUUUCCUAAAUCCAUGAACCAACCAUGGACAACUUAUCACUUUGUAAGGAACCCAUAACUUUGGAUCUUCUAUGAAACUCUUAAUGCACCCAAGUCAUGUAUAGUGUAAGUGAUGUGGGGUGUGUAUGUUCAAAUAACCAAUUAAUGCAAAUGGGAUAAUAAUAAGAAACCAAGAAGCAAAAAUAAAUAAAUUUAUAAAAGAAUCUCUAUAUCUUACAUCAUGUCAUGCUUUCAAGGGCUUAAUCCCAAUAGGCUACACAUUAGAUAGGACUUAUGGUAAGUCAGACAUUAGUUAUUAGGUAGUCAUGACUUCACCAAACAACUUUGUUGCAUGAGCUCUCAACUUUGAGAGAAUAUUGAUCUAGUGCUAAGGUCUUCAAUGACUUUGACCUAUGAGAGAGACCCUAAAGUGGUCACAUAUUCUCUAUGGAUUGGGUUACUAUUAAUUGGGACGAACAGGUAUUCUCAAAAUAGGCAUCAUGAUAUCUUAAGGGUUUGAGACAUUAUGUUCCCUUGGGUGAUCCUAAGGACAUGUGACCAUGAAAACUAUGGCCACAAUAAUUCCUUAAGUGAAAUUUGACAUAUGCACUUAGACAGAUAUAGUAUGGCAGUUAAUAAAAUAAUAGGAGGAUUUAAGAUUAAAGGAUUAUAAAGGUAGUCUUGAAAGGUUGAUAACAUUCAUCUCGUUAAAUUAUGGAUACCAAUUCAUAGGAAGCUUGCAUGCAAUUGUUAGUAGGUCAUAGCCUCAAGUCUUCUAUCUCGAUCUAAUAUCAUAGGAUACUAAAGUGUAGUUGACUCUUUAUAGUUAGAUGUUGAGUCAACUUUAAAAUUGGAUUUUGAGGGAGCUAGUACUUUUUUAUGCAUCCCGAUGGUUCCCACUUGAACUCAUAUUCCUUGGUGACAUAUUAUUUGAGGGAUAGUUGGGUUCUUUAUUCAUAUGUGUGCAUAAGAGAAUUUUGGUAAAUACAGAAGGUGACACAAGUGAUUAUACAAGAGGUAAAUAUAGAAAAAAUGAUACAACCAAAAUGAGAGUGUAAAGUAAAAUAAUAAACAGAAUAAUAAAAAACUUCUUAUGAGUACUAAGGUUUGCCUCAACUCUCCUCAUUCAAACCAUUAUCAUGCCUUUGGAUUUGGAAUUAUACCAAAUAAACAUUCAAAUCACUUUUCUUAAUGGAGAAAUGAAUGAGAAGAUCUAUGUAGAUCAAUUGACUUGUUUUAUGGCAACUAAAUAGAAGGGUAAAGUUAACAACUACGAAGGUCUGUUUAUAGCCUAAAAUAAUCUUCUAAACAAUGGUAUAUUACACUAAUUGGUUUAUGAUGGUCUAAGAACACUACUACAUGUUUAUUAAAUGGAGUAAAGGUAUAUUCUUUAUUUUUAUUUUUUUCUAUACAAAUGACAUGUUAGUUAGGGAUGACAAUGAGAUCGUCAUUGCCUCUAAAGUGUGGUGGUCAUCAAAUUUUAAAAUGAACAACAUGUUUAAAGCAAACUAUGUGCUCAAAGUUAUGAUCCUAAGCAAUCAAUAAAGUAGAAUUUUUCGUUUGUCUUACAAAUCAUACACAACAAAUAUUCUUGAAAAAAUUCUAGAUGUAAAAUUGAAAACCUAUUAGCACACAUAUAGAGAGAGUUAAAACCUUAAGCUUUAACAUGUGUCUAAGACUUUGGAUGAAAAGAAAAAGAUCACUCAAGGUUCCUAUAUAUGCUAGCAUUGUUAGUUGCUUAAAGUACCCAAUGAUAUGAACAUGAACUAAUAUUUAUUACAUAAUUAGGUUAGUAGGUUCCGGUUAGAUCCAAACCUUGCUUACAAGAAAGUAGUGAAUUGGAUGCUUUCUUACCUCAGAGGCACCAUAGGGUGUAUAAUUGUUAUUGAGGAUUGAAUUUGCACUUGAUUGGCUGUAACAAUGCUAAUUGGGGUAGCAUCCUAAAUGAACCCAAAUCCACAUAUAAUUAUAAUUUUAUAUAUGCUCCAUGAUGUUAGCAUAUAUUGGAGAAGUAGAAAACAAUCAUUUAUGACAUUGUCUAUCAUGGAGUUAGGAGUACAUUACUUAUCGUUUAGGAAAGUGACUAGUUUACAAUGUUCUUACAUAUGUUUUAUAAUGUUUCAUGUGCUUUUGAGCAUACUACUAUUUAUUGUGAUAGCAAGGAAGCUUUAGCCUAUGCCAAAGAGCCCCAACUAUCAUAGUUGAACCAAACACAUCAAUCUUAAAUAUUAGUUGUUAUAAGACAUGGUUGCAUAGGAACAUAUUUCUACACGUUUCAUGGUUACAGACUGAACCCCCCAUCCCUCCAUUGACUAAGUUAAUACGUAAAUAUGUUUAUUAGGGUCAGGUUGAGAACAUUGGAUUAUGUAGAUCAUGAUUACAUAGGAGUUAAGUUGAGAGCAUUGGAUCAUGUAGAUUAUGAUUCCAUAUUGUAUAUUUCAAUUAACCAUUAUACCUAGGAUUUAUUCAUUGUUCAAUCUUGUUUGAUGGUGGCAUGUUAUUUGCUUUACUUUAUUGGCAUGCACUUUCAUUACUUUGCACAGUGAGCAAAGUUGAAACAUAAUGAGUCUGAACCACUUAGAUAGUGUGCUAGGUCAUUGAUCCUUGUUGUGUCCAAUAUGACUUAUAUGUUAGUAGUGAAAGAGACCAAGUAUAAAUAGUCCUAUAGUCCAUACUUUACUUGUAAUGGAGUUAAUUGCCAAAUGACAUUAAUGUAGUGCUUGAUUUAGCAAGCAUAUGCAAAACUUAAGUUCUUUGCUUGAUGCAACUGAACUAAGAUUUGUAUGAUAUAGAAGAACUAAGGUACACUCAUAAUGAAGAUCUCCAUGGUAGCAUGCAUUUUCAUACUAUAUCUUCUUGGCAAUCAAAUAAGAAUGAAUGAAUAGAUUCCUCCUUCCUUGUCAUGUGUAUUAAUCUUAUAUAGGUCAUUAUAUAGUAUAACUUUUAUGCUCUUGCAAUUUUCAUUCAUAAGUUAUAAGUAUGGUGUAUUUUGAAAUAUUUUUCUAAAGGGAUUAAUGAUGCUUAAUUCAAUGUGAAUAAAUGUGUUUAAGGUAUAACAAGAAACCUUUUGGGAUGAAUUAUACAAGUUGAGAUGAAAUUUAUUUUAAUACUCCACCUUUCUUAUCAAUGUGUUCCAUAGUUGUACAAUCCAUUAGUCAAUAUGAACAUGGAUGAUAAUGAUAUAGUUGAGAGAUGCAUGACAUUGUUUUGCCUAGUAUGCAUGAGUGGGAGACAAUGGAGUUUCUAUUUCAUGAGAUACUCUCAGUAGGACUUUAUCAACUAAGAGCUUGAGAGUAAGUUGCAUACUUAUCAGUUAAGAUUCCUCUUGUGAGAGGAGGUUCACAUUCAGAUUUGGGGAGAAUCUAUAAGAGUUGUUCAUGUUUUGCAAUUCCAAUUCUAGUCCUUUCCCAUGUUUUCAAUUUAGAUUGUCGCAAUUGUUAAAUAUUUUUACUUUAGUCUUUAGCAAUUAUAAUUUUUUAAAGCUUGCUAUUUAGGUUUAGAUUUACUAGAUGCUUAUUAGAUAUCUUAAUUCUUGUUGUAUUCUCCUUGGUUAAUAAUCUUUGAUUGUGGAGUUCAAAGCUUUUUACCAAAAUAGGGAUAACGGUUUUCAAUGUUAGGGAAAGCAUUUAAUAAAAUUAAUUCUUGAAUAAGUUGGCAUGCUAAAUCUUUCAAUUGAACCUAAUAAGUUUACAUACUAAAUCUCUCAUUUUCAACCUUGGUUGUUUCCACUCUUUGCAAUUUAAUUAGGUUUUCUUUAUAUAUAUGUGUGUGUGUGUGUGUGUAUAUAUAUAUAUAUAGAUAGAUAAUUUAUUUUGUGUACCUAUAUAACUAAGUUUUUGAGUAAUUAUGAGUUGUAUUGUUACAUUUAGUAGAAUUUGACAAACUAAAUAAAUGAAGUGCUUACCUUUGAAAAAUUGAGUCCAAUAGCACAUUUGUGUGGAUAGGUCACAUCUACCAACUUGAUUCUCCAUGCUUCCUCUAUUAGGUUGACUAAGAAAAUAGUUUAAUUUCACAGGAGCACCUUAAGGACAAAAAUAUCAAGAAAAGUGAAGGAAAAUUAUGCUUCAUCUAAUAUGACUAUAGGACUUAAAUGGAAAAAAACAUAAUAAUAUAAUAGUUAUUAUAAUGAAUAUAAUAAAAAUAAAAUUUUUCAUGAUCUUCCCAAUACUCAUAAAGCCCCUUUCAAUGAAACUUUGUAAGCUCUACUAACACAAAAUAAUAGUCUGUAUAGUAAAAGCUCAAUAAAUGAGUGCUUGAUAAAUUAAUAACCUUAUUUGAAUAACAGAACCUUCUGGUCUUAACUCAGGCUAGUGUACUAAAUUAUAUAUAUAUAUUAAAAAGAAAUUCAUAAUACAAUAUUAGGUAACUUUUUAUAACUUUUAUUUUUCUAAAUUCACUUGUUUUGGAAUCAUCACAUAUUUAAAAUAUCUUUAUCUUUUACAACAUUAAGUUUUGAUGUCAUACCUAUUUUUUUAGGAGUCUUUCUAUCUUUUACAAUCAAUAACGAUCCUUUUUUUUUAGUCUCUUAGGUUUCUAUGUAUUAUCUUUUUACCAUAUGAAUUAUUUUUAAAUUUAUAAGUCAUACAUGUACCAAUAUUGUAUACUAAUAACAUAAUACUCUUUAUAAAUUAAUGAAUAUUCAUUUAUCGAUAAAUCUAAGAUAAUAAUUUUUCUUGGUCCCAAUAACAUUAUUUUAUAAGAUUUUACCCUAUAUACUUCCUUCAUUGUAGGAAUUUCUUUAGAUUAAUAUUUUUAAGUAAUAGUUGUACUUAAAAAAAUAUAUAUAAUGGAAGUUAAGAGAAUUUUGAAGUUAUAAAUUAGUGUUUUAUAUCAUUUGUUUGUCUAUGAAUGCUAAAACCAUUGUCAAAUAAAAAGAGUAAAUAAAGUAAUUAGUUAAAAAUUAAAUAAGUGACUUAAAAUUACUACUUUGGUACAUGUUUGUUUGAGGUAUAGUAGAUCGUAAGAAAUAAAAUCCUCUAGUUAUGUUUAUUUGAUAGAAUAAAAAAGUGAGUGUGUGGUUGCUCUACAAGAGAAGACCACACAUUAGUCAAAGAAAAAGUAACCAGAAAGCUUGCACAAGUGUUGAAUGAUCAAUCUCUCACCUAAGUGCACUAAUGAGAAAUAAAUGUUGAAUUAAACCAUAGUCAUGCACUCGUGCCAAGGCUCAUGCCUCCAUAUGGGAAAACCUUAAUUGCUCCAAAGUUUAAAAGUGGCCACAUCCUCUAUGCCAGGUAAGUAUUCCAAAAAUCAAGAAAGUUAACCUUUGAGUUGAUGCUUAUUUAUCUAGCAGUUUCCUCAUCCUUCUUACUAACUUGACCUUCAAAGGCUUUAUGACCAUAAGGAGCCUAGAGUGCUCACUUUUAGGUUCCUUAUGAUUGUAGGGUCCUAAUGAUCCAUUGAAGUAAGAAUGUGAACUAGGAGUUGGAAAAAUGGUGUCAUCUAUGGGAAUGCAUUAAAAGCCUUGAAGCCAUGUUUAAACCCAUAGUGGCGGUUGGGCAAUAGAAGAACCUCAUGCAAUGGACUCUUGGUAGGAAAAGGUAAUCAUGACAAAUAUGAGGUGGAGAAAGGAGUGAGAGCAAACCUUUCAACAUAUGGAGGAGCUUACUAAAAUAAGCAACUAACUCACUCAAGAGAAUGUUGCCUUUAGGGUAAGGGUGUAAGAGUACCAGUGUGAUCUUAAUCAACAGCUCUCAUUGGUUUGCACCAAUAAGAUUCAAGUCAGUGAAUAAUAGUUAUCAAAGCAAUUAGACCGACAUAUAGAUUAAAUUAGGGAAGGAGGGUGGAGGGGACCUUAAUCAUACUAACUUACCAAAGGCCUCAAUGCCUUAGGGCUUCUUGCCACCAUAGCUACCAUUAGAUGUAUAACCUUGGUGAAUAAGGAGAUUAAGCCUAGGGCCCUUCAGGAGAAGGUUGCCACAUGAGGAUUUUCCCUUCCAAAUUCAAUUUCUUUCAAUGGAACUUAAGACCCCCUAGACUACUCAUGCAUUUCUAGCAUAUAAUGAUCCCAAAAAAGGGAAAUGAUAGACUUUUAUUCAAGAUCUUCCUCUCCAGCCUCCAAGGACUAACUUUCUAUUGGCUUUAUCAACUUCUGUUAUGGUUUAUUCCUGAUAUGGAAACCUUAAGGUGAUGUUUGCCUCCUAGUACAUGAACUUAACAAGAUAGAAGAAAAGCCUUGACCAACCCAAGGUGGUUAUAGCUACCAUCCAUGAGGGAUCAUUCACUAGAUUUGAGUAACUAGGUAGGGUAUCAGGAUAUUAUAGAAGCAAAUGGUGAUUCAAGUAAAAGUCCACACAACCUUCUAUGAAGUAACUACCACUUGCCUAUAUGCCAUAUGCAUCUUUAACAAAGACUUAAGAGGACUCCAAGCCCUGCACAAGAUUUAUUGGUUAUUAGUUUAAGGAUUAUUGACUAAGACAUGCAUCUAUUCUUAGUUGACCUAAGGAGUUUAGCUAACUUACUAAAUAUAUUAGCCCAUAUACAAACAAAUGAAUAUGGAUAAAGGAAAACUAGUGUCGACUCUAGGGUAAUUGGUAGGACUAGAUAAAGUCUUGCGUGGGUUAACUAGGGAAGUCACUCUAAUAGUUUUAGUUGGUUGCUGCCAUAUAAUGACACAAUUCUUUGUUAUGGAUAUCAUUUUCCCUAUAAUACCAUUAUGGGAUGACCUUGGAUAUACAACCUAAAAGGCAUACUCUUCACCUACCAUCACAUCAUUAAAUUCGUAACACUAUAAGGAAUAUGAGAAGUAUAUUAGGACUAGGUGGUAGCAUGAGUGAUACACCAUAGCCCUUAAAGCGGUUAGGAAGUGCAUCAAUCGGGACCCAUAAGAAGUUCAUAAAUCAUAAAUCUAAUAACAAUUAACAGAUGACCCUAAAAGGCAGUUAGAGAACCUAGGGAGUCAUUACUUUAAAGGCCCUAAACCCAGGAAGUUCCUCUUGGCUCAUGCAAAAAAUGAUGUCUUAAGAUGGUUACUGGAAAAGAACCCAUCUUCGCUUGGAAACAGUAGGACAUGGUGGGUAUCAACCCCCAAGUUGCAUAUCACUAACUCAACAUAAACCUAGGUGGUUAGCUCCUUAAAGACACUAGAUUGUGAAAGAAAAGGUAUCCAGUUUCUUAGAUACUAGAUUUAUAAGAGAGGUAAUUUGUCCUAGUUGGUUAGUGAAUAAAAAUCAUCAUACCUAAGAAGACGGGAAAGUGGAAGGUAUGCCUAGACUAUACCAAUUUAAAUAAGGAUUUCCUUAAGGAUAGCUAUUCCUCACCUUGAAUAGAUUAGUUAGUCGAUGCCACCUUUGAUUAUAAGUUGAUUAUGUUCAUGGAUGUGUAUUCCAAGUAGAACCAAAUAAGCAAGCAACAAAGAAAAAAUAGCCUUUAUUAUCGGAUUAGUAACAUAUUGCUAUCAAACCAUGCUCUUUGGCCCAAAAAAAUUAAGGCUACCUACAAAUGUUCGAUCAUCUAGGUCUUUUAACUAUAAAUAGAAGUCAACAUGAAAGUCCACAUUAAUAACAUGUUAGUAACAUAUAAGAAAAGGAACAAGUACUUGAUUGACUUCCUAAGAACAUUUCAAACUCUUUGAAAGUACUAAAUGAAACUAAAUCAAUGAAGUACACCUUUAAUGUAGGGUGUGGAAAGUUCCUUAAGUGCUUGGUUACAUACAAAUGAAUAGAAAUUAACCUAGACCAAAUAAAAGCAACUUUGGAGAUAUCAAUGACUAAAAUUGUUAGAGAAGUCCAAGAGCUCACUAACAAGAUUGGUGCUUGAAAUAGAUUCAUAUAUUGGAUAAUGAAUAAAUGUCAUCCUUUCUUCGACAUCAGCAAGAAUGGAAAAUGGACUAAAGGAACCAAAAAGUGCAAAUAAGCUUGCGAAUGACUAAAGCAUUACAUGAUGCUACCCCCCAUUUUGGAUAAACCUUCGGAUAAGAAGGUCUUAUAAGGUCUUAUAAGGUCUCAUUAGCAACUAUAAGUGGAAUAUUUGCUCAAAAAGAAGGAAAAGAGGAGCAACCAAUGUACUAUGUCUAAAAAGCCCUCUUAGGUGUGGAAACGUGAGAGUAUAUAUAAAUAUUGAAAAGUUGGUGCUUACCUUUUAGAUCACCACACUAAAACUUCAAUGUUAUUUCCAAGUGCAUGUUAUUAAGGUAAGGACCAAGUGAUGAAAACUCAAACUUAACACUUUAAUGGCUCUAAAGAGCCUACUUUGGUGUUUUGAGGCACUAAAAAAUUAACCCAAUGUUUUGUUUUGUUGAUAAUACCUUAGAAUAUUAUGUUUGAUGCAUUCUAUGAGCAUUCUACAGGCUUUAAGGUGUUUUUGGUGCAAUAGAACCUUGUUGGGAACUCAUGGAGACAAAAAUGCCUAAGUAGGAAGGAAACACAUAUUGCACACCUAAAAAGUGUGCAAGACUCAAUCAUGCACUUUGUUUUUAGCGUAGAGCCACAUAGUGAUGGGAAAAUCCUAGAUCUCUUUGUUUCCUAAGCUCGGAUUAGGUUAGAAACAUACAAAACUAUCCUAGGCUUUUCUAAAUCCUAUGCAUAGUAGAAAAUUUGCAUUUUUAAACUUUAUACGGAUUUAGAAUAUGCUAAUGAAAAAUGUACCUGAGAUUUGAAUGUUCUUGAAUCGAUUCUACGCAAAGAAGAUGAAGAAUGGAGUCCCAAGAACUCUUGUAAACCCCGAGCCUUUCGCCUUAUAACUUGAACCUUAAUCUUGACACACUUUUGGUAGGGAUAGAAGGAAGGGUAGAGGCUAUGAUUCUCUUUCUAGAGAUGGAAGAAGCCUUUCUAGAAAAAGUUAUGGAAACCCUAAGCCCUAAGGGGCUAUUUAUAAGGUUUUCCCACUAGGCUUAAGUGAUUUGAGCCCACUAUAGGCUUGGGUCACUUAAUCUUAACCCAAAACAGGUUCUAAUUGAUUCAUCAACCCAAUAGGGCCUACUAAUUAAUUAAUUAACCCAAUCUAGAGACCUUGUUCACUUACCACGAUGCAAUCUUGCGUAAUUACCAAAACUCCCUUAUGCACAAAAGUGAACCUAUAGCUAAUUCGACCCUCAUAACCCAUGCCAAUAAGGUAUAUGAUCUUAGAGCAAGGACCAUUGGGACCCAUAAGAGUACUAGCUCCCUCAAAAUCCAAUUUUGAAGUUGAUUCAACAUCUUACUACAAAAAAAAAUCAACUAAACUAUAAUAUCCUAUGUAAAUAACAACAAGACACCAUGUGUUAAUGUCCGUGACCUACUAUCCAUUGCGUUUAGUCUUCCCAUGAACUGGCGACCAUAGUCCAACAAGGUGAAAACUAUCAUCCUUUCAAAACUACCUCUACUAUCCUUGAGUUAUAGAUCCUCUUAUUUUGUGUUCAAUUGACAUGUAUUACCUCUUAAAGAGUCUAUGUCAACUUCCACUUAAGGAACUACUAUGGCUAUAGUUUCCAUGAACACACUUCCUUAGGAUCACCCAAAAGGACACUCUAUCUCAAUACUAAGAGAUAUCAUGGUGCUUUUAUCAAGAAUUCAUAUUGCUAAUAGCUUUCAUCAAUAGUGACCCAAUCUAUAGGAAAUAUAUGAUCAGCUUAUGAUCUCACUGGUAGGUUAAAUCUACUACUAACUUUAGAACAAACUUAAUAUCCUCUCAAGGUUGAGAGACAACACAAUGAAGUAGUUUAGUGAAGUCAUGACUACUUGAUAGCCUUAAGUCAUGACUCAUUGCAGGUCUUGUCUAAUGUGUAACCACACACACUAAUGCACACACCAUGGGAAACCCAUCCCGAUAGUUAGAACAAGUCAUCCAUCUAAUUAGGAGGUGAUGCCUUACAACCUUUAAUGGGUUGCCUAGACUCACGAAUUGGCUAUGAAUAAGUCAUCUAUUUGCAAGGAACUGUGAUUAAUUUAGAUCUUCCUUGUAACUCCUAAUGCACCUAAGUCAUGUAUAAUGCAAAAGAUGUAGGUUAGAGUGCUUACAAGGUAUAAUGCAUGGAAAUAGGAUAUAUAAAAGUGAACUAGAACUUUAUUAAACAAAUAAUAAAAUCCUAGAGUUUAUUACAUCAUGUCAUGCUUUUGAGGACUUUAUCCUAACAUAUAAUGCACCUCCCAUGUAUGUAUUGAAGACCAAACACAUAAGAGCUCUCUAAUGUAUUGGACCAAAUUUUGCAUCCUACUCAAGCAACUCAAUCUAUAAACCUCUUAAGUGCUCUAAGCCAAAAUGUUGUGCACCCCUUUGCUUAAGUCAGCAGGAUGUGUAGUAGUACACCCCCUUGAUGUCAUCUAAAUUACAAACCAUUCUUACCUCUACAAUAGCUAUGUCCUCCCAAAGUAGCAUGUUAUUUAUAAAGUCUUCAAUUCUAUUACCAAAACCUACUCGAUGUUGAUUGCAUAGAGAAAAAAGUGCAACUCCCAACCAUAAGCUAACAUAUCAAGAAUGAUGGUGGGUUGACUACACUGACCAAGGAUCUGACCCUCAAUAUAGGCAAGAGACAAGUCCAGAUGGGUUGGUGUUGGAGUAGUUGGAAUGGAGAGAGUAUUUUUUACCUAUAAAUGGAGGAUUGUAAAUAUAUAAGUAGAAGCAAAUUAUAGAAAGCGAAAUAGUAGAUAAGUUUUUCUUCUCGUAGGAAUAGGAGUAACUUAAUGUAGUUUUAGUUUUUAGUUUUCCAUUGUGAUAUUUUUAUUUCUUUAUAAACUUUCCCUAAUUUCUAGUUUAAUGGAUUUUACAAUCUUUUUUAUUAAUCUUACAUUUCAAUUUUUCAUUUUCAACUUACAAAUUUACAUUUUCAGUUACUUCCUUAAUUUUUAACAUACUUAUAUAACCUUUGACACUCUAAGAGGUGAGAGGAGCUUAGGUCUCCCAUCAAUAAGUUUAGCUCUCUACUCAUUUAUUUAUGCAUUAGUUAUAAAGAAUUUGAUAUCUAUCGGUAGUUACGAUGACCAAAAGGAGUAACCAUGGGCAGAAAAGUCUAUGUUACACUGGUUGUGGGGGUUGUAAUUUAAGUAGCCUUGGGAGCAUAUUUUGGCAUUGUUUUAAUAAUUUUUUCAACUAAGUAUAGGCUUAUUGACAUGAAAAGAACCUCAUCUAAAUCAUUUGGUUGCAAGGAUAAAAAAAAAAGAGCAGUUAGAGGGAGAUGAACCUUAUUAAGACGGUUAUUGUUCAUUUCAAGCAAGAACCUUUUGUGGUAUAGAUCCUUGGAUUAAUCCUAAACUUGAAAGCAUAAGUUCACAACCUCGUUGGUAAGUUGUAUUUGAAAAUGGUGAUCCUAAUAAAUCUCUUGUUUUUGGGUUUUCUUUUCUUUAAUUUUCUAUCUUUAAAACUUUUUGUGUGUGUGUCUUUUAUUUAUAAAAUCAUUUUUCUAAUCUUUUAGCUAACAUUCACACCCCUAAAGCUAUUACCUCAGUUGCUACCAAUUUAUAAUUCCUUGUGGAGGCAACCUAACGGCUAUACAACUAUUAGUUUUUUUUUUUUUGGUUCAAGAGUUGAGAGUUUUAAUUAAUGAUCUAGUUUAAUUCCUCUUUGUAAAACUUGACUAUUAAAUAUAUUUUUAAAUUUUGGUAAAAAAAGGAACUAGAGAAUGACAAACAAAAAAUUAGUGUUGUUGCCAGGGACUUUUCAACAUUGACUACUCUAGAGGUAUUUUUGGGUAUAUGUUUGUUGUUUUAAAAGCUUAGCAAGUAUAUUUCACCCAUUCCCUACCUAUCUUUUAGUUGGAUUUUUAUUUAUUUUUACUUAAUUUGUUUUAUUUAGAUUUUUUUUUCUUUAUUUUUUUUGCUUAGUUUUCACUUUCAAUUGUUAAAUCUAACAUUACAAGCAUGUUCUUUAUUAGGGAAAUGAUUUUAGAAAAAAGACACUAAGUAAUCAACCAAACCAUAGUUAUCAUUUUCCUCAACACAUUAGACCAUAACCACCUUAUAUCUAUUUUCCAAAUUCAAGCAUUGGUAGUACUAAUAGAAGUAUGAUGAAUGGGGAUUUUAACCCAAAUAACUAGCUAGCCAGGACCAUAAGGGUUACCUACAACCCAAGUCAAUGCUUUCUUUUAAUUGAUAUUUCCUUUUGAAUAUUUUCAAAUAAACAUUGAGCUUGUAAUGAUCCAAUUGGUAUCUUUAUCUUAUGGAAGGGAUGAUGAAAAUCCUUAUACUUAUUUAAAAUAAUUUGAAGAGCUAUGGUCUAUUUUGGUAGAACCUUCAUGAAAUCUAGAUCAUUUGAAACUCAAGGUUUUUUUUUUUUUUUCAUUAAAGAAAAAGGCUAAGCAUUAGAGGUAUAACCCAAGACUCUAUAGUAUAAGUUCUUGGGCUACUUUACAAAAUAUUUUUAAUAUUUUUUUAUUUAUUUUUUGUUUUGUAAAGAAGGAGACCUUGCAUAAUUGUUGGGAUCAGUUUAAAGCUUUGUUGCUCAACUUCCUUACCAUAGUUUUGAAAACUUAAGGAUUGCUUCUGCUUUUUAAAAGAGACCAUCUCCCUAAAUGAAACAAUUUGUUGAAAACAUGAGUGAUGGUUAAUUUAUAUAGGAGAAACCACAAGAAACACUUAAACAUUUAAAUUUGCUUGCUGAAAAAUCAAGGGUUUGGAACCCCUUAGUCCCUCGAGUACAUCUUCUGGAACUUGAAAACCAACCCCAACAACAUAUAGUCUCUCAUCCCAUCUCUCAAUUUAUCAUUUUCUCUUGGAACAAGAUUUUUGAAGAAGAUGAUCUUUGGAUGCUAUAAGAGGAGGAAGUCGCUGAAGUUGAGGAAAAGGAAACUAUGUACAUAGUAGAUUGAAAUGAAUUUGUUGAAUAAGAAUUAGUUGAAGAAGAGAAUUUCCAAUAGGUUGCAAAUAAGUUUGUAAGCUUCAUUUUAAAAAAAAAAUUUCAAAAAUAGAAAAAGAAAACUAUAAAGAGUAAGAAACAAAGAAGGAAUGAAACAAUGUAUUACAUUCUCACACUAGCUUUAUUCUUCCUCAGUUUUCCUUCUCGUUGCAAACUAAAAAUAUUGAGCUUCAAUUUUUAGAAGCUAGCCAACAAUUUGUAAAAAGCUUUCACUUUUCUUUUCUUCAUUAUUUUUAUUUAUGUUGCUCUUGCAACUUGAGUGUGUAGUAGCACCAUCAUUGUGAAGCCUGUAAUAUUACAUUCUCAGUACACUCAAUGCAUUUGGGUGACCUAUAUCAUCUCAUAAGAACUCAAGUAUAAAUUUCUCCACACUCUAUUGGUUUCAUCAUGAUUCAAAGUACGUGUAAAUUGUUAGCACUAGGAAGGCGCACAAAAGUGUUGGAAAUAUAGGAAUUCCAUACCUUUGAGGUGCAUUGCCCAACUUGUAUGAUGACUUAAAUUGUGCAUCUAUAAAGCACAACUCAAAUUGUACACCUUGAAAGCAUGACUUAAAUUCCAUACCCUAAGAGAAUAAUUUAAAUGGUACACUCAAAAGAGCGCAACUAAAAAUUACAUACCUUUGAGCAACCUUUUAUAUUGCAUAGCUUAUGUGUGCACAAUUUAAAUUACACAUCAUAAGAGUGCAAUCAUUUCCCAUGGGAUGCCAACUUAUUCUUUUGUAUUAUUAUCCAAGCGUGUUGUCCCUAGUAAAAAAUCUUUAUUCUCUUAUGCAAACUUUUUGGAAGAAAAAUAUCUUCUUAAACAAAACCAUAAUUUCCUAUAAUUUCUUAGAGACUUUUGUCUAUCCCACCAUCAAUGUAUCAAUUAUGGUGUAGGUAGGAAAUCGAGCAGCUUUCUAAGUUUUAUAUAAAGGAAGUAAUUUUAAUACUGUUUGCAUGUGCUCAAACAAGAACACACACAAUAGUGCAAUAUGAAAACUCUGAAGAAUGGUAAAAACCAAAACACUGAGCCUAAAUGAGACAAUGAAGAGAGCUAAAAAUGAACAAUCAAGCCAAUUUAUUGAAGUAAAGGUGACUAAACCAGUCACUAUAGUAGCCAUAAUACUAGAACAACCCAACAGAGCAUUUAGUAGAAUGAACAUUCAAACAAAAAAAGAAUCACGUUAAGGUUAAUAGCGUUGACCACGUCUUCAAUUAUUAUUGCUUAAUCUUUAGGAUAAUAACAUCAUAUAAUGAGCAUUUGAAGCUAACAAUGGGUGAUAUUGAACUUUGUCGGUCAAUCUCACCCUUAGUGAAGAAUUCAAUUAAGUAAUAGUCAGAGGUUGAACAGGAUAAACAAAAAUACCCCCAAGGAACUCAAAAUCUCAAGACUAUACAAUUUUUCAAGAGCCCCUGAUAAAUAUAACUUCUUUACCUAAUUUUUGCAUCAUUUUUGUUUUCUUUACCUUUUUCUUUUAACAAUCAAAUCAAGUAAAAUAAGCUUAGUUUUAAAUAUUUUAAUUCAAGCUCACAUCUGGAAUUAAUCUACUUAAAUGACUUAUUAAAAAUCAUCAUCUAAGUAAUGAAGUACCAUAGUGAACUUAGAGGAACCAAAAAGAAAUGAGUUUUCCUAAAAGUUUCUCUUUAAUCUAGUCUCACACACCAUGCACUAUAGUGUUAGGGUACUCAUACUUCUCAGGAGAAGAACUGGUGGCAACUUGAGAAAUAGAACAAACUCAUUGUAGAUAAAGUGUUAUGAUAAGAUUUGCUAUCACCAACAUCCUAUAGGAGGACGCAAUGAAGAGCAACUAAAGGAAUCCAUUUAUUACUUGAAGCUUGGUGGUAAUUCCCCAAGGGUGCUUUAUCACCUAGUGCCUUAUACCAACUGGUCUGGGAGUCAUAUAUUGAAAUCCAUUACAUAAGCAACAAGAAGGUGACAAAGUCUACAUUCUUUGAUGAAUGAACUUUUAAUUUUUCAAAAAACAAAAAGGGCGAGUGGAGGAAGGGAAGUGAAAGUAUAUUAAGGAAAACAAUUUGUCUCAAACUUAUGCCCUAGGAACUUGCUAUUCCUAAGACUAAGGGGUGUUAGUUUGAAAAAUCAAAAGAUAGAGGAAGGGAGAAACAAUAGUAAAAACUACUAAACUUAAGGAACCUUUUGUAUGCGAAGAUCUAGUCACACCUAAGUAAGGGCUGAUUUGAAAAUUUUCUUUUAAUGUAUUUAUUUUGUUUCAUUUGAGCUCUCUUACUUUUUGCGUUUUCUAACUCAAACUCAACACUUUAAUGGCUCUAAAUAUCUCACUUUAAUGUGUGAGGUACUCAGAAUUAACCUAAUGCAUUGUUUGACAAUACCUUAAACAACUAUAUUUGAUGAAUUUUGUGAGCAUUUUGUAGGCUUUAAGGUAUUUUUGGUAUAACAUAGCCUUUUUGGGAACUUGCAUGGACAAAAAUGUGUAAGUAUAGAGCAAACACAAAUACCUCACCUCUUAGGUGCACAAGACUUAAUAACAUGCCUCUUUUUUAGUGUAAAUCCAUAGUACACCUCCCAUGUACACCCUAAAGACCAAGUUGUGCACCCACUCAAACACCUUAAUUUGCACCUCUCUUAAGUGCUCUAAGCCUAGCAGUUGCAUACCUUUUCACUUGAGUCGGUAGGAUGGCCAGAGGUGCAACUACUCAAGAUCUAAAAUGUGCAAUCUUUUUUCAAUAAUAGAAUGCACUCUUAGGGGUAUUCUAACCUUACAUACCAUUCAUAUCUCCACAAGAGUUGUGUACUUAAUCAUUCUUCUAAUUAUUAGUGUACUCACAAAAGUAGCACAGUCAUGCAUGCAUCAAAGUCUUCAAUUGUAGUACCAAAACCUACGUAAUGUCGACAACACAAAAAAUGAGGUGUAGCUACCAACCCCAAGCUAAUACAUUAAGAAUCAUGAUCAAUUGACUACAUUGACAUAGGACUAAAUUUUGGUGUUGGAGUAGUUGGAACAAGGGGAAAUUUUUUUGCCCAUAAAACUAGGAUUGUAAAUAAGUAGAAAUAGAUAAUAGAGAAUUAUAUAUUUUUUCUUCCUCAUACAAAUAAGACUAACUUGAUGCAGUUUUAGUUUUCAAUUUUCAUUUGUAAUCUUUUCUUUUCUUUAUAAAAUUUCCCUUAUUUCCAAUUUAAUGAAUUUUCUAGUUUUUUCAAUUGAUCUUACUUUUCAAUUUUUUAGUUUUAGCUUAUAGAUUUAUAUUUCUAUUGAUUUCCUUAAUUUUUAACAUGCUUAGAUAACUUUUAACACUUUAAGAGGUGAGAGGAGUUGAGGUCUUCGAUAUCUUAGUUCAACUCUCUAUUGGUUUAGUUGUGCAUAGCUACAAAGAAUUUGAUCUUUGUUAGUAGUUACAAUGACUAAAAGGAGUAACCAUGGGGAUAAAAGUCUAUGUUGCAUCGGUUGUGACGAUCACAAGUCAAGCAACCUUGGGAGCAUGCUUAAGCAUUGUUUAAAUGAUUCUUUUAACUAAGCAUAAGCCUACUAACAUGAAAUAAAAAAAUAAAAAAAUAAAAACUAUCUAAAUCAUCUAGUUGCAUGGAUCCAAAAGAGGGCAAUUAGAGAGGAAACUUAUUCAGGUGGUUCUUGUUUAUUUCAAGAAGCAAUCUUUUUGGGUAAAAACCCUUAGCCUAAUGUUAAAGCCAAUAUCAUAGGUUCAGAGCCUUAGUGGUGAGUUGUACUUGAGAGUAAAAAUCCUAACAAACCUCUAAUCCUAGGGUUACUUUUUUUUUUUUUGCCUUUUAAACUCUUUCUCCCUUUCUUUCUUUCUUCUUCCUCUCUCUCUCUUAUUUAUAAAAUCAUUUUUUUGAUUUCAAAAAAUGGUGAAAUACAAAAUAGAACUAGCCUAGCAAAUUCGAUAUAUGUUAUGCCCAUGUGUUGCAUUCAAAUUGUAAUCUCUUGUUAAAUUCAUGAUAAAGUUUACUAGUAUUAUGAAAAGGUUUAGGGGAGUUAUAGAUAGUGAAAUGAUCGAUUCAAAUGACUUUGGCAUUAUGAGUGUAUGGAGCCUCCAUUGUAAAGGGCUUAGCAAUUGGGAUACACUACUAUGCUCUCCCGAUAGGGUUUGAAAUCAACCUAUCAAUGUAGUUAGAGUAUUUGACAACUAAUAAGGAAUUGGAAUACAAGGUCCUACUAGCUAGCUUACCUUUGGCAAAAGAGGUGGGGGUUUUCUGCAUACAAUUAUAUAACUAUUUGUAACUUAUUAUCGAAAAGAUCACAAGACAUGAUGAGGCUUGGAAACCUCAAUUAUGACCUUGCUAAAAUAUUAUUUAAGCCACUAUAUGUGACCUAUAGAGGUUCCACCUUAGCCUUAUCCCUAAAGAAGCUAACCAACAAGUAUAUACCCUAGCCACACAAGUACUAGCUCACCUACGGGAACCUCAAGUAUACGUUACAUAACCAAUAGUGGAAACAUCCCACUUUAUUGUUGAGGUUCAUUAUUGGAUCUUCAAUAACAUGCUUCUAAAAAAUCCCUAUCCUUUAGUACCUCCUCGAGAGGAAGCAAUUAUAAAGGGGAAAAUGAAGCACAGGGGCUCUAAAAAAAAGUUGUAAGGUCGUAUACUAUCAUGAAUUGUGCCAGCUCCUAUGAUGGACCCUACCUAUGUUGCAUAGAUGAGGAAGAUGCUCGAUAUAAUGAAAUUAUCUACAAUGACCUAUUAUUCAUUUCUUUGGGAUACCAUGGGUCAUAGUAUCAAACAAUGGAUUCCAAUUAACCACCCAAAACUUCUAAGAUUUAUAUAAGGAAAUGAGAAUUGAGAAUUGUUACCAUAUUUUGUGGUACCCUUAAGGCAUCCAACCAGCAAAGGCCAAUAAUAAGGUAAUAGUGCAUGAACUUAAGCAAAAAGUUGGAAAAAUCUAAGCGAAUGUGAGUGAAGCAACUUUUCACUAUACUUUGAUCUUACAAAACCACUCAAAGAACGUCUACCCGAGAAGCACCUUACUUUCUCACAUAUAGGAUAGAGGUGAUCAUUUUAACUAUGAUUAGAAUGCCAACCUUGUGUACCUAAAUGAGUAGCAAAGAAGUGCUUGUUGCUAGAAAACAAGAUUUUGAUCUAGUUGAAGAAAGAAAGCAAGUGACACCCAUAAAGAUGAUUAUCUACUAGAGCAAGAUAACCAAAAUCAUAAUGGAAUAAAAACAAGACCCUUGCAUGAAAAAGAUUGAGUUUUGAGAAGGACUUUCCAUGAAAGCUAAGAAGAUGAAAAAUUAUCCUCCCUGUGGAAAGGACGAUUCCUAAUUAAAAGAAUGGGGACACAAUGCAUAUUAGUGGGAUGUUCUUGAAGGAAAGUUUAUACCAUGACCAUGGAACAUGUGCCACCUAAUAAAAACCAAAAUUUAUUAUCUUUAAAUAAAGAGAAACCUUUGGAAGAAAAAUCAUCUAACCCCUAGUGGGCAUAUUUCCUUUUAACAAGCAUAUUACUCUAAUGGGUGCCUUACCUUUCAACGAGAAUCUCUUCCUUAAUGGGUAUCUUGCCUUUUAAUAGUCAUUUUAUCCUCAAUGGGAAUUUUGCCCUUAACAGUUGUCUUAUUCCCUAGUAGACAUCCUAUCUUUUAAUAAGAACCUUGUCUCUAGUAGGGUUUCUACCUUUUAAUAGGCAUCUAAACUAAAUAGGCACCUAAACCUAAUGGGCACCCUUCCUUUUAGCAUAACAAAGUAACAACAUCAAAGAUAAAAAUAGCAAAAUGUAAAGCAUAAAAAGGUCAUAAAGGCCAUCUAAUGUAAUAGAGGCACAAAAGCCAUAAACAAACCAUGACACAAUGGCAAACAAGUGUUUAAGGGUGUGCAGGCCAAACUCCAAAUAAACAACGUAUUAAUUACUCCUCCGAUCUAAUGCAGAGGACUUCAGAAUCUCCCAUAACUUGUAAUAAAAUUAGAGUUAUCUUCGAGGAUCCUUUUAAAGCAGGUUAGACACUAUUCUUGGCCUAGAUGGCUUGAUUAAAGGCUCCAAAAUUGGGUUGGUGUCUUUUGAGGCAUUUUCCUUUAACAUUUGGAUUAUCUCUUUAAGAUGGACUUCAUGCCUAGCAAUAUCCUCCCCUGAUGGAGCAAACUUGAUGUGCAAAAUUUGUGAACACUUGAACACUUAAACUACAUGGGCCUUGAAAUAAAUAAUGCAUUCGACCUUUAGGUUUUCCAUCUCCAUAAACUUUUCCAAUAAAAUUUGAAUACAAAUUUUUUUACUAUUGACAAAUGUUGUGCUCCCACUACUAACCUCCUUUAGCUUUCCCUUUAGGACCCACACUUCCUCUUGCUUCAAUCAAAGCUCUUCUAUGACCUUCCUAUAUAUAUGUUGCUCACUCAUAGUGUGGUCCUUAAGUGCUUGUGAUGUAACCCAUAAUACGAAGAGACCCACCAUCAGGAUGUUCACUCAAUCAAAUUGCACCCCUAGCUCCCUACCACUUAGUUCCUUUAAACUUGCUAGCACCAACUUAAUAUGGUUCAUGUUUCACCUCUUGAACAAGCAACCAAAUAGAGGGCAAAGACGCACACUACGACCAAAUAAAGGGUAGCCAAAAGGGGGGAAAAAGAAAAGCUACUCACAACAUUUGAGUCAAGAAAGAGGGAAAGCAUGGAAAAAAUCUCAUAGAUCAACAUACCAACCAACCAAAGAGUAGCUUAUGGAGCAUUAAAGAAAGAUAAUUAACCCACAAAGCCCCUAAGCUUCUGUCUUCUCAAAGGAAGAUUCCUGUAUGCAAAAUGGUGGAUAAGAGCCUAACUAAUAGUUUUGUCCUAUUAUUAUGAUUCCACUAUAAUCAAUUUGCUAGAAAUAGGAAGGUAGGAGAGGGUCCUUUAAAGAAUGGGGGACAUAUCAAAAUAGGAGAAAAAACAAUUAGGGGAACAUGAAAAGGAAUAGAUGAGAUCUAUAAUUGAAACCUCCAUGGAUUUAAUAGAGUUAAGUAGAUCGGAGGACUUAAAAAAUAAAAGCGAUUUUCUAGAUUCCUGAUAAGAGAGCAUGAGGGACCGAUACAUGAGAAAGGCACGUUUGGCUACCUACAACUCACCUAUACUUUUGUUUGAACAAUUUUAUGAAAUGAAAAAAGAUAUCUAACAUAGGAGGUGAGAAAGCAUGAGCCCAUAAGCAUGAUCAAACAAGGCUGUAAGUAGGUUUUGUUAGGAUGGAAUCAUAGAGUGGGUGCUCUAAGAUCCUAGAGCAACUAGAUCUAAGAACAACAGAAGCAUAUACAUUUCAAAUAUUUAGAUAUAGGUGUUAAAAGGCAUACCUUUACAUCUAGAUGUUCCUAGAUCAUACUCUAGUUAUUACAGGGAUCUAAAAAAACUUGGUGCUUCUACCGAUGACUUUGUCUUUAAUCCUUGGAACAAGUGUAAAGUGACUACACACCUUGAGAAAGAGAGUACUUAAUGUUUUCUCUAGAAGAGCAAUGAAUGAAUAGAUGGAUAGAUAGAUUGAUAACUUGACCUCAAACCCUCAUCAAUCUAACCUUAAACCCUAAGAGAGUUUAUAUAACUUCUUUUGUAAGCUAAUGUGACUUAGGCCCACCAUAGGCUAAGGUCACUUAACCUAGUCAACUAGGUACUAAUGAAUUAAAUAGUUCUAAUGAGCUUCAAUUAAUUAAGUGGCUUAAUAAAAAAAACUUAAAAUACACUACAAGAAAAUGUACUUUUCGUGACAAAAAUUUAGUGGUGAAUUCUACUUUUGUCGCUAAAAGUAACAUUUACCGAUGAAAUUUUAGAUGUUGUCAAUAAUGCCAAUUUUCUACAAACUUUUCCUAACAAAUUUGAAAUUUUUGUCAUUGAAAGAUGUGACAGGAAAAUUUGGCGUUUUGUUUUUGGCGCAAACACUUUUGUGACGAAAAUAAACUAUUUCCCUACGAAAAUAUUUAUCACUAAUUAUAAUUUUUGGUGAUGAAAAUAAUUUCCUCACUAAAAGUUACAACUUUUUAUCUAUUUUUGCUUACAAAAUGGUUUCGUCGAUAAUUAUAUUAUUUCCUAACAAAUUGAGUAAUUUUUUCAUCAAAUCAUGUUAUUAAAUUGUGAUAUUAAUAAAGAAUAUUAAUAAAUAAGUAGAUGAUUUAUACUAUGAAAUAAUAUAAUAUAUAUUUGUUGACACUUAAUAUUUAUACUAUAAUAUUUUAUUUAUAUAAAUAAUAAUAAAAAUUAAGGAUCCAUAAAAUUAAAUACUAGAAUGUAGAUUUAUUUAAAUUUAAAUGUUCUAUUAUGUAAUAAUAGUAUUGUUAUGAAAUAAAAAAAUGUAAAUUAUUUAAGCAAUUAAUAUUUAUAGUGUAACAUGUUAUUUAUAUAUAUAUAUAUAUAUAUAUAUAUAUAAAUAAUAACAAUAGAUAAUCCAAGAUAUGUAAGAUUACAUCCUAUGAUAUAAAUUUAUUUAAAUUUCAAUAUUAUUAUAUGGUGCUACACAUACAUAAAUAUUACUAAAUGAUUUUUAUUAUAUUAGGUAAAAGUUAUCCAUACAAGUCCAAUGUAGUAUUAAAUUUAUGUUAGCUAUGAAUAAGUUAUAGUCCUCUAAUUUGUUCUCAUUCAAAAUCAUACCUUAUCCACUCAAGAAGUAAAUUUCUACUAACAUUUAGUUACCUAGUUUAAAUUAAUAGAUUUUUUUUAAUUAUUACUUAGUUUUUAAAUAAUUGGUUAGAAUUAAAUUUCUCAAAUAAAUUGUCUAGUGUCUAUAAAAACAUUCUACCUACAUAAAAUUCCAAAUAUUAUUUAUGUGUAUGAAGAUAUCAUAUAUUAUUAAUAAAUAAAUAAGUAUAAGUUAAAUAUUAUAUGAUAUAAUAUAUUGCAAGUACUAUAUGCCUAGCUCUAUUUUCAUAUUUACAAAAUAAAAAAUGUACAAUAUAUAUAGCACAUGUGAAAUUCUAUAUAAAUAUAAAGUUUUUUAAAAAGUUUUCAAUCACAUCUUUAUUAAUAAUUGGUUAUUUUAUUUUUUAUUGAUCAAUUUUAUAUUUAUUUUUUUAAAUUAUUAAUUACUAAUUUAUCAAAAUUGAUUAGUUAUUAAGAAUAAAGUCUUAAAUUAUACCGCAAAUAACUUGUAAAGGAGUUUUUAUACUUGUAUGCAUUUUUAAUCAAAUAUUUAAAACAAAUAUAGUUAUAAAAAUAAUUAAAAUAUAUCAUAAAUUAUUAUAUGAUUUAUAUUUAUAGUGUUUCAUUAUGUUUGAUAUUUUUGUUUGGAAUAGAUGAGAAAGGGAAAGAAAAAAAAUGAUGUAGAAUCCUAAUUUCAUUUUGAUCAUUAUUUUAUUAAUGUCAAUAUGAGUAUUACACUUUGGCAUUCUCCUAACAUUGUCUUCCAAUUGUACUUUUAUUUUAUAUUUCAAAUUUAUCACUUUAAUCCAUAAGUCUGGAAUUGAAUUUAUUCUAGCUAUUAAUAAACUAUAGUCCUCUAAUUUGUUCUCAUUCAACAUUAGGUUUGUUUAGAGGUGACAAAAUUUGAUAUGACUUGUCAAUAUGACUUGAAUUUAACACCCUUUCAUGAUUUAGGGUUGAGUAUAAUUGAGUUCAAGUCAAAUUCAUGUCGACUUGCAUACCUUAUUUAAUAAAUAAAUAGUGUUGGCCUUAUGGGGGGGCUAACAACCACCCUAAUGGACUAUGGAGAGUAAGCUUAAAUAAUAUAAGAUCUCCAUUCUAAUCACCAAUUAGUUUUCAGAACAAAUGGGGGUCUUGUCAUAAGAUACUCCGUGGUUAAGCAUGUUGCAGCAAAAGAAAUCUUAGGAUGGGUGACCCACUAGGAAGUAUAGAGCACCUCGAUCAAUAAGUGGUAUCAGAGCCUGGUCACAUGAUUGAUGGGUGAGCUAGCACUGUGGGUGAAUGGUGAAGGCCUGGGGUGUGGCCAAGUUAAACAAAGACGGUAGGCUAUCACCGACUUUUGGGACAAAUUUGAUUUUUUUCGUGACAAAAAUUCUUAGUUUUGUCGAUGAAAUAUUUCGUUGGAAAACACUUCUAGUAACAAAAUUUUAUUUCAAGGAAAACUUUAGGCGACAAAAUAAGAUUUUUGUCAUGGAACUUUUAGUGACGGAUCUAGGGCGAUGAACAAGGCACGAAAGAAUUUUCAUUGGGGAAUGUUUUUGUAGGCAAAAUUUAGACUUUCAAUGACAAAAUAUUUUAUCGUUGAAAGUCAAUUUUCUUGUAGUGAUAAAUAGUCAUAAGUUUUUGUGCAACUUUUAUUUUUACCAAAAUGCCCUUAUGCACACAUAUGAUUAAUUAAACCCAAUUUCCUCAAAUCUUUAUGUCAAUAAAAAUUAUGAACUUGAGCAGGGAUCACUAGAACCCAUAGGAAAAUAUAAGCCCCCUGAUAAUCCAAUUCUAAAGUUGACUCAGCAUUCCACUAAAGAAAAUCAACUACAUUCCAAUGUCCUAUGAUAUUAUAUUGAGAUAAAAUUGAUUAAAUCUAAUUUAAUUAAUUUCUUAAGCUUGUGACCUACUGUCCGCUGCAGAUGGGUUCCUUAUGAGCUAAUGUCCAUAAUCUAAAGAGUUAAUAACUAUCAACCUUAGAAAAUUACCUCUAUAGGAUUACUUAUACAAUCCUUGAGUCUCACAUCCUCCUAUUUUGUGAUUAAUUGACAUACACUAGUUCAUAAAGAACAUAUCUUCAAUCCCACUUAAGCAAUUGUUGUGGCAACAAAUUUCAUAAUCACAAGUUAUUAGGAUCACCUAAUAGGAGACACCAUAUUAAUCUCAUGAGAUAUCAUAAUGCCUUUGUUGAAAAUGUUUAGUGUCACUUGCUUUAAUUAAUAGUGACCCAAUCUAUAGGGAAUUUGUGACCACCUUAGAGUCUUAUCCACAUGUUGAACCCUUUAAAGACCUUAACACUACCUUAAUAUUCUCUUAUGAUUGAAAGUCUAUGUAACAUAGUAACUUCUUAAAGUCAUAACUACUUGGUAGACAAUGUCAUGAUUCAUUGUAAGUCUUGUCCAAUUUGUAUACACACUAGUGAACUCAUCAAGGGAAACCUAACUCAAUAACCAAGAUAAGUCAUCCCUCAAAUUAGGAAAUAGUGCACUAAAACUUUAAAUGGAUUGCCUAAGUCCCCAAACUUACUCUGAGUAACUCAUUAACCUAUAAGGAACCCAUGACAUGAAUCUUUUAUGCACUCUUAACAUACCUAAGUCAUGUACAAUGCAAAUGAUGUAAGUUUGAAUGGUCUUAUAAGUAAUAAUGCAAUCAAGGAUAGAAAAUUAGAAAUUGAAAUCAUAAUAUAAAUAUAUUGAAGAAACCUCAUUUUGUUAGAUCAUAUCAUGCUUUUAAAGGCUCUAUCUUAACAGUUUUGACACGCUAGAUGAAGACAUUUUUAAGACACACUCUUCUUUCUCUAAGUAGCUAUGAAACUCGAAAAAGUUAUAGAUAAUCAAAGGAAGAUUGUUUUGUUUAAAAAUUCCUUCUAGAGUAAAAUUUGAGGAGAUAUUGUGUGGUGGAAUGAUCUCCUAACAAUAAAGUAAAAGAGGGUAGGUAAAUUGAAAGGAGAAAAAAAAAGAAGAAUCAAAGAAAGAAAGUAAUCAUGCAAUUUAGGCCUUAAAAGCCACAAGGGACUCGAAAAUGGAUAUCCUUGUGCUCUAAACCUUCCUAAUCACUAAAGACCAUUAGUAAACCCUUUUUUCCUAAGCCUUGUUGGAGUCAAGGAGUUUCAACACUAAAUCUCUAUCAUUAAAGUUUGGCAUAAAAUCAUCAUUUUUACCCUUGUGCAACUUUAUUGAACAAGGAAAGAGUACCUUUCCUAAAUUGACAUAUUGUCCCUCUAACAUGUUGAGGAUAAUAGUACAAACCAAGAAUGUGACGAUGGUAAGGUUAACUCUAAUGAGAAAAACCCUAGAAAAAUCAUAAAGCUAACAAAUAGUGGAAGAAAAGAGAAAUGAAUGUUAGCCUGGAUGUGGGCAAUCAAGACAUCAUCUCCUUUUGAGAACUCAUAAAGUUAGUCUAAGAAAAACAACCCACUCAACAUAAGAAUAGGCCCCUUAGCAUAACUCUAUCAGGUCUAAAAAUCCUUGGAGCACUUGACUAAGAAGUCCUUGUUCUUUGCCAUAAAAAUUGAAACCCAUACUUGCUCAAAAAACCCAAGAAGAGGAAAAUAGGUGUAAGAAUAAGCCUCAAAGUACUAUUUAGUGAAGAACCACAAAGAGGCAUGAAGAGGGCGAGACUUAACUACCCAUUAAUGCGUAACACUCUAAGAAUCUCAAAAUGCUCCUUGCAUAACAAAUUAUCAUAAUGAUGUAUGGCAUUUUUAAAUCUUCCUCAUCCCUUACGAACUGUUGUCAAAGAAAAAUGAGGGAAAAAUAUAGGGGUGCUUGGUAGAAGAAGGCCACGUGUUAGCAAGAGAAUAGGUAACCAAAACCCUAGGUAUGAUUAUGCUUAUAUCUGAACCCCUUGCACAAGUGCUAAAUGAUUGAUCACUCGCCAACAAGCAUGAAUGAACAAUAAAUGCUAACUUAGACCAUACUCAUGUGACCUUAACAAAGUCUAUGCCUUGAUAUACGGAAACUCCAACUACUCCCUCAAAGGCCUUGUAUAAAAGUGACCACAACCUCUAUGCCAAGUAAGUAUUCUAAAAUCCAAGAAAUUAGCCUUUUGGAUUGACACUCAUUCAUCUAUUAGUUCCCUCAUUCUUUCUACGAACGACAAAAAAAUCAUGAUAAAUCGACAAUAUGUUAACAAAAUAUCGAAUUUUGAUUGGCACUAAAGCAACACAUAGUGGAGAAAUUUCAAUCAACCAAUUUUUUUUUAAUCAUUUUUCGGGGUAUUUAUGGGUUUUUUUACCAAUUUUUUUAGUCUAGUCAACAUGUGGCUGGCUCGGUCAAACUGCCUACUCAGUCAAAAUCAAUCAAACUUCAAAAGUGAACAUGGUUUGAUGUAGGGGGGGUUUCGAACCUAGACAAAAGGUUCUACACCUACACCACAUGACCAUUGGGCAUUACCCUUUAAUCAAUAUCAUUCACUAAUAUAUAUAUAUAUAUAUAUGUAUGUACGUAUGUAUGUAUGUAUGCAUGUAUGCAUAUAUGUAUGCUGAGAAAUAAAACUGUCAUUGCAGGUAGAUGGUGGAAAUCCUUGUUAAUAUUUUCAAUCUCAUCUUCAUCCCAACUAAAGACCAAUCUUGAAAAUUGAUGUCCAUCUGCCUUUCUUAUUUCUCAUGUGCCAAACUUAUUCUUAAUUAUGCUCUUAUUCCAUGGGCUUUGUGGUGUAUCAGAGUCUUACUAUCCAUUUAUAACACAAAAUGACCUAUUAUAUAACAUAAAAUCAAAUAAAUAAUAACAUGCAAUUGUGUGCCUUAUAUUUAAUUUUUAUUCAACAAAAUUAGGGAUAUUCAUAUAUUUUGGUAGAAUUCAUUAAGCUUAUAUUUGGUUGGGAUGAAUUUUGAUAGAAAUUAAGAAAUAGAAAUAAAAUAUAUAUAUAUAUAUAUAUAUAUAUAUAUGCAAAAAUAUAAUUUUUUUCCCUACUGUUUAUUUUACUAUGAAAAAAUUAAAUGAUAUAAAAUUAAAUAUACCUAAGAAAUGCAUUUUUAUUCCCAAAUUGUUUCCAACUUUUCUGAGGAAAGUGGAGAAAAAAUUUUAGAAUUCCUCCUGCCUUUUUCUGUAAUAUUUUUCUUACAUUUUCAUGUCAUCCAAAGCCAUGAAAAUUAAUUAUUCUUUUCUCUAUAAACAAAAGCAAGGGAGAUGCAGCGAAAAACACAAAGAAAAUUAAAAGAGUCAAGCGAGUAAAGAAACUAACAGUGAUAUAUUAUGAGUUCCCAUAACUCGAAGCGAUUUCCACUUCGGAAAGCCCAAGGCCUUUUAGCCAAUACCGUCAAAGGGGUUUUAACAUCAUCAGAAUCUUUAUCAUCAUAAGAAUCUUUAGCAUCACCGAAAUUGCAUGUGGCAAGGUCAGGAAAACGUUUAACCAGAUACAGUGCUACAUCUGCAUAUUACAAAAUUGUACAUGGGAACCCGACGGUAAUUCAUAUCAAGAAAAUAGAUAGGGGAUGGUAAAUAUAGCUCACCAUGAAACCCCACCAUUAGUGCUCUGUGCAGAAGUAUGACUCCAGGCUUGUCUGCGAAAGGACUUGGAUCUACAUCAUCUCUGGUGACGCUUAAUAAAUAUAAAGUCAGCUCUUUAUGACCAUACCUAAGAGCGCUGUGAAGAGGCACUAAAUUGCCUUGGUUGCAGGUAUUGAGCAAGCUUGGGCUUUUGUUCACUAACAACUUGACUGCUUUUAUAUUGUCAGCCCUUACAGCGUUGAAAAGGGCAGUGGCGCCAUCAGAAUCCUUCAGAGCCAGUUUAUCUAUUGGCAUAAAGUCAACCAACUGCUCCACGAAACCCAUUCUGGCCUCUCCUAACUCAACUGCUAUGUGAAGCAUUGUUGAAUUAUCUAUUCCGAUCGGGGCGUCCAAUAAUUGUGGCUCACGCCCCAAUAAUUCUGAAGCACUUUCCCAGUCACCAUUGACCACAGCUUUGUACAGUUCCGAGUAAUAGAUUAUAUCUGCAUCAUAGAAUUCUGCAGUCACAAAACCAAAAGAUGUAUAGGUCAGCCUAGAUUUCCCUGAUAUGUAUAUUUCUUCAACGUUCACAACAUCCUAAUACUAAAAUUACUUUUUUAAAAAUAAAUCAUUUAAGUUAUGUUUGGUUCUUAGAAAAUUUGACAAAAAUUACAAGGAAAAGAAAGUAAAUUGAAAAAAAUAGCUAGAAGGUGAGAAAAAGUGAAAUAAAAUAUAUCUAAAAUCAAUAAAUUAAUUAUUUUUAUAUGUUACUCAUUUCACUUAUUUUAACUAUUCAAUAUAAAAAUUAAAUAAUUUAAAAUUUCAUAAAUUUAUAACUAAUUUUAAUUAUAUUUGAUUUUCUUAAAUAUUUUUUUCGAUAUAACCAAAUAUGGGAAAAUCAUUUUGCUUGAUAUAUUGCCUUUGCUAAUUAUUUUCUUGGACUUCUUUGUUUACCUCUAAUCAACAUCUUUAUAUCUUUCAAUAAUAGUUUGAACCUCCAAUAAACUACACGAAUUAAAAUUUAAUUUAGUUUCAUUUGUUUUUUUAACAGCAGGUUGUAAAACAGUUCUACUUGUAAACUAAUUAUGCCCAAAAGUUGCAUAAGGACUUGGGCAUGAACAUGGUUUUUAGAAUCUUACCGGAGCUGCUAGUUCUUUGCAAAGAUGAAGGGGAAGAGACUGAAGCAUUGUUUGGGCUGUCAUCAUUACCGAGAUGGUAAUGAAGAGGAAGCCAUUGCAGUACACUCCUCAUCAUCCUCAGCAAUGUCGAUGUUACUGUUUUUAGGACGUAGUGAAGAAGAAGAAGUCAUCACAACAAAUUCCGAACAUGAAACUUUGGUUUAUUCGACUCUUUCAUUAUAGACGGAUAAAUUUCCAAAUUUAAGACAUAGACAAAAUUAAAAAAAAAAAAAAACUUUACUUGAUAUAUGAAUACCAAAAUAAUAAUAUUGUGUGUAACAAAAAGGAGAAUGAAUCCUGGUUGAAUGAAUAGUGCAUGCAGAAUCUUCAACUGCAUUGACCCAAAAGAUCAAACCGAUAGAAAAAAAAAAUGAAUAUAUUAGAAUUCAACUAGGUCAACCACAUUCCAUCCAAGUCAAAUACCAGCCCACAAUCGCAGCAAACAAAGACUAGCUAGCCAGUGCGUUUAAUUUCAUCCAAUAAGAAUUCCCUCAAGCAAAAAGCCAGGAAACAGAAGUAGUAGGAAAGCCCUAGCCUUGCACCAAAAAAGUCUCGUCUCAUUGCUGGGAGUGCAUGCAUCCAUGCAGGAUCUGUUGGAUCAGAAAUUGGAAGAGCUAAAGUCCAGGACAUACAGAAGCGGUCGCCGGAGCCAAACCUAGUGAGCUUCCAUUUAAAGAUUAAAGCUAUGUUUGGUUCCCGAAAAUAUUAAUUUUCUACCAUGUAUCCAAGGGAAUCAAGGGCCUCAUAUGAUUCGAUGUUAUAAAGUCGGCCUCUACAAUUUAGAUUAAAAAAAUAGUUUGUUUCAAAGGAUAAUCCAUCAAAGAAGAAUGAAACAACAUUCUCAUCCUAAUCUUCUAACCUAACAUUGGUGAAACUUUUUAAACUCGUUUUCUUUGAAAUUGAUCAACUGAUCCAUGAUGGAAAACGACCUACAUGCAUGAAAGCAACCUAGGUAGUCUUCAAAGUCCAUUUUAGCCAUAAAAAUUCAAACACCCAACUUCUAAAACUAGAAGAGGUUGAACUAAAAACGAAAGAGAUCGAAACUAAUGAUUCUAUUCUUAACAAAAAUUCAUAGCCUACCCAACCUCACACGAAAACACUUCUUGAAUUGGUUGGCAUCACUUCCACAUGGAAAUGGCAUCAAAAAAUGCAUGCGUCUCAUAGUUGUAUUCUUAUUGUUGACUAGUGUCCCAUGUCACGCCCCAAGACCCACUCCAAGGGCGUGACGGUCAUUUCACACCUCAAACCCGAAGGCUUAAAGUAUAAUCUGACCCAAACAAUCAUAUUGUAAUUGGAUGUUACCAAUUACCAAAUACCUGUUCAGAGUAGCGGAACAAAAUCUAAAAUCCUAAAAAUUUAAUUUCCAAAUAACUUCCAAAUAUCAAAUGAUCCAAAUAAAAGUUGCAGAAGGACCUCAAGCGGAAAUGGACAUGAACAUGGUUUUUAGCAUCUUACCGGAGCUGCUAAUCCUUUGCAAAGAUGAAGGGGAAGAGACUGGAGCAUAUUCAUCAGCAUUCUGCGCCAUAUUGAUGCUACUACGGUUAGGAUUGUUUGGGCUGUCAUCAAUUACCGAGAUGGUAAUGAAGAGGAAGCCACUGCAGUAAACUCCUCAUCAUGCUCAGCAAUGUCGAUGUUACUGUUUUUAGGACUGUUUGCGCUGUUGUCAUUUCUAGGACGUAGUGAAGAAGAAGAAGCCAUUACAACAAAUUCCUUAUCGUUCUAUAGUAUUGCCAUGUUUAGCGAAGUUAUUCUAAUGUGUAACAGAAAACCUAAACAAAAUCUGCAGUUGACAAAGGUCAAAAUUAACUUACCUCGCAGAUGGAAGAUUAUAUUUAACUAUAUCAAGGCAGAGAAGAUACUCUCAUCCAAAGAGAAACAACAGCAGCCCUUUUUCCCACUGUCUUCAAAAGAUACAGGAACCAUUGAAGCAUAAGAGGUGCAAUGAUAUAGUCUUCCAAGUCAACUUUAUUUAGUUGAGUAUUGGGUAAGGAGUAGACAUGAUAAACAAUAGUAAACAUGUAUCAAAUAUAAAAAAUUUCUCACAAGUGAUGCAAUUAACAUUUUUUUUCUUCAAUAAUAUGUAUAAUAUAUACCAUGUGAUGUAUUAUUUAUACUUUAAGCUUUGUUUGGAUAUAUUUUUUAUUUUUUAUAUAUAAAAAAUAAAUUAUAUUUUAAAAUUUGUGUAAUAUAAAAAAGUUAUUAUUUUUUAGUAUUUGAUAUAAUACAUUUAUAUAUUUAUUAAAUUAUGACAAUAAAUGAAAAUAAAGUGGAGAGGACGAUGUAGGUUGGCAAACCUUUCUGGAGUGAAUGCAGCGCAGCAAAAGAGAAGGUACCAUUAACUUGAAUGCGAGAAGGGUGAUUGAUCUAUCAAUCUGUACGUGUCCUUCUUGAAAGGGACCAGAUUUUAUGGGGUUGCUUAAGGAUUAAUGUGGGUGCCUGUAGCAUGAAAGUGAAAAGAAUUUUGGGUCACCAAGGCGCCUCCCAUAAAAAUAUAUCUUUUAGGUCCUUUUUCCCCAGAGUGUCCUAUCAUCCUCUGAUAAAAAUAAAAUUUUAAUUAAUAAUUAAUAAUUAAAUUUUUAAUUCAAAAAUAAAAUUAUAAUUAUUAAUUAAGAUUUUGAUUAAAAAAUAAAGCUUCAAUGGAUAAUUAAAACUUUAUUUUUAUCUCAAAUUUUAAUUGAUAAAUAAAAUUUUGGGCUAAUAGUUUUUAGUAAAAAAGAUUUAUAUUCUUUCUUUGGGCAAAUUGAACAUAGACUUAGAUUUCACUUAGAAUGAUAAACAUUCAUGGAGCCAAAUGUAAAUCCGCACUCUUGGGCAUAAUAUUAUUGAGCCAUUGGUUACCAAAAAUUACUCUAAGGUAUCAUACCCACCUUUUAGGCCAAUAAAAUUAAGAAACAUGACAAGGAAAUUAAAAAAACCAAUUCUCCAGGUUUAGCAUGGUUGCCGAGGGAAUUAAUCAUGUGCACCACACAUUGCUAUGAUCGUUUGCAAUAACCAAUUAUAUAAAAUCUGUUGAAAUAUUUUUGUAAAAUGAUAAAAUUUUACAAAAAUGAUAAUUUUUUUUGUAAAAUAUAGAAAAGGAUACAAGGCUAUUAGUUCAUAAUUGCAUGAUAACCUUUUAGUAUUUCAAUCUUUGAUUUUUUUUGGAGAUUAUUUCCAUAAAUUCCACAUUCCAAAAACAAUGAUAAUCUUUACACAAUAUUAUUGUUAUUUAAAAUGGGAAAAAAAAUAUAAAAAAUAAAAAUUUCAAAAAAAAAUUAGAGAUCACAAAGAAUACAAGGAUACGAAGAAGGUGAGGAUUGUCAUAUUUUUUGUACUCUCCUCACAUUCUUCAUGCCCCAAACCAUUUGAAUAUUUUAAUCUUUUAAUUGUUCCAAACAUUAUUUACUUCAAUUGCAAGUGUAAUUAGCGUUUUUACACAAUAUUAUUUUCAAAUGAAGUAAAAAAGAAAUUCAAAAUUAAAAAUUUCAAAAAAUUUAGAGGGUACGAAGAAUGUGAAGAGCCUCACAUUUCUUGUACCCUCCUCAAAUUCUUCGUACCUAUUGUAAUUUUUAAAUUUUUUAAUCUUUCAAUUUUUUCGAACAUUAUUUGCUUCAAUUUCAAGUGUAAUAAAGAUUUUUACCCAAUAUUAUCAUCAAGUGAUGUGAAGAAAAACUUAAAAUUAAAAAAAUUUAGAGGGUACAAAAAAUAUGAGAGAGGAGGGUGUGAGGAAUGUAAAAAAGGGUAUGAGAAAUGUGAGGGUACAAGAAAUGAAAAAAAGAAAAAAAAAAAAUCUCAUACCCUCCUCACUUUCUUCGUACCCCUACAAAUUUUUUAAUAUUUUAAUCUUUCAAAAUUUUUGAACAUUAUUUGCUUCAAUUUCAAGUGUAAUUAGUCUUUUUACAAUAUAUUAUUAUCAAGUCAAUUUAAAAAAAUUAAAACAAUUUAGAGGGUACAACAAAUGUGAGGAGGGUGUGAGAAAUGUGAAGAGGGUAUGAGAAAUAUAAGGGUACAAGAAAUGAAAAAAAAAAAAAAAAAUUCAUACCCUCUUCACAUUUCUUGUACUCUCCUCACAUUCUUUGUAUUUUCACCAAUUUUUGAAUAUUUAAAUUUUUUUUCAAAUAUUAUUUGCUUCAAUUUCAACAAAAUUCUCAUACCCUCACAUUUUUCAUACCCCACCAAUUUUGUACUAUUUUAAUAUAUAAUUUUUUUUAAACAUUAUUUGUUUCAAUUUCAAGUGUAUUUAGUCUUUUUACACAAUAUUAUUGUCAAGUGAAGUGAAAAAAAAAAAACAUAAAAUUAAAAUUUUCAAAAAAAUUAAAGGGUACAAAAAAUGUGAGAAGGGUAUAAAGAAUGUGAAGAGGGUGCAUAAAAUGUGAGGGUAUAAGAAAUGAAAAAACAAAAUUUUCAUCCCAUUCUCACAUUCUUUGUACCUUCACCAACUUUUAAAUAUUUUAAUCUUUUAAUUUUAACCCAUCUAACCCUUAUAAAUCGUGUCAUUAAGGAAUAUGAGCUCAAAGUAAGGACCAUUGGGAUCCAUAGGAGUAUUGGCUCCCUUAGAAUCAAAUUCUGAAAUUGAUUCAACAUCCCACUAUAGAGAGUCAACUACACUUUAAUAUCCUAUGUAUAUUACAACAAGACACCAAGUACUUGGGUUUAUGAUCUACUAUCUAUUGCAUGCAAACUCCCUAUGAACCGGUGUCCGUAAUCUAAUAAGGUAGUGUUGUCACCUAUCAAGAUUACCCCUCAAAUCCUUUAGUUAAAAAUCACACUUAUUAUGUGAUCAAAUGACAUACUCUACCUUUAAGGGGCAUAUGUCAAAUUCCACUGAAGGAAUUACUAUGACCACUGAUUUCAUGAUCACAUGCCCUCUGGAUCACCCAAUGGGACAUAUUGUCUCAAUCUAAUGAGAUAUCAUGGUGCCUCUAUUGAGAAUACCUAUUGUCAUCAACCUCCAUCAACAGUGACCCAAUUCAUAGGGAUAUAUGACCGCUUUAGGGUUUCACUCAUAGGUUAAAGUCUUCUAUUAAUUUUGGCACAAAUUCAAUAUCCUCUAAAGUUGAGAGUCUAUGCAGUAGAGUAGCUUAGUGAAUCAUGAUAAUUUAUAGUCUUGCGUCAUGAUUCACAUAGGUCCUAUCUAGUGUGUAUCACAUACAUUAGUAUAUUCAUCAUAGGAAACUCAUCCCAACGACCAAGACCAGUCAUCCCUCCAAUUAGGAGGUAGUGCACUAUAGUCUCUACUGAAUUGCCCAAAUCCAUGAUCCAACUAUGGACAACUUAUCUACUUAGAAGGAAUCCAUGACUUAUACAUCUGUGCAACUCCUAAUGCACCCAAAUCAUGUACAAUGUAAGAAACAUGGGUUGAAUGUUCAAAUCAGUGUCAAUACACUAGAGGGAUAACAAGGGGAUAGUUAAAUCUAACUUUGUUACAUCAUGUCUUACUUAGUUAAGUUUAAUUUUAUUACAUCGUAUCUUGCUUUUAGGGGUUCAAUUCCAACAAACUCCUACUAGCCCCAAAAGUAUACUAUGUAUUGUAGAAAAAAUCUACUCUACAGUCACGUCACCUUUCUAUACUAUCCCACAGCAAGGUAUCACUUGCUUUUUAUAUGUUCCCUCUUAUAGUGGUACUUUAGUUCUUUGGACUAUGCCACCAUCCUAGAUAAUAGUAUCUUAAACAAUACAACCAAUGGAAAUACCCAUAAGCCAAAGGCUUCCUUUGUUGCCAUAGAAGUAACAAAAACCACUUAGAGUGUACACAAUCCAAGAGGUAGACAUGCAAGAGUCCUCAUCAGAAUGAAAGUCCAAUUUCUCGAUACAAGGACUCACAAACAUAUAAUCCUUCAUUCUCUAUGGAUACUAGAGUAUAUGUUUGACAUUCGCCUAAUGAAGAAAUGAACUAAUAUCUACUCAUUAUUCCUAUAACAAAGCAAAUAUCUGGUCUAGCACAUAUCAUUGUAUGCUUAAGGCUAUCCAUUGCAAAGGCAUUAGAUACCAUCUUAAUGCGAUCUCUCUCCACAUAUGUCCAAGGACAUUGAUCUUAAGAAAGAUAACUCCAAAUCCAAAGAGUAACAAACCUUUCUUAGAGUUUUACAUCAUAUACUUGACCAAAUGCUCAUUAAUGUAGAUGACAUGGCACAAUUUUUCAUAUUCCUACAAUGCUAAAGGACCUUAACCCUAUGAAUAUAUUAUGCCUUCAUCUAGAUUUUUAUCUAGAACUGAGUAAACAACUAGAUCUUGACAGAUGAAAAUAUCCUUACAUCAUAUCCAAUGAGUAGAUUAUCAUCUACCUACAAGAUCUUAGAGCAUUACCAUGCUCCCCUAUGCUUUCAUGUACACACAAGGCCCAUUGCUAUGAAAAUGUUUGGUUGCUAUAUCUCAUAAAUGAGACACAAUGCAAUAGAUAAGAGUAAUCUGAUAGAUUUGAGUAUGAUCACUAUUGAAAAGGUUUUCCACAGUUGAAACAAAGUUUCAAACUAUAACCUUUAGCUAUAGUCUUAGCCACAUAAAACUCAAGCUUUCCAUCUACUCUUGUAGACCAUCUUACACCUAUGAGUUUUAUCCCUUUAAGUGCUUCUAUAGGAACUCAAACUAUGUUAAAAUGCAAAGAUUCUAACUACCUCUUCAUAGCUCAUUACCUUAAGUGAGCAUAAACACUACUCAAUGCUUCAUCAUAAUCUAUGACAUAUAAACUUCCCAUUAUGAUAAGGCACUGUUGUACUCAAAAUCAUAGGAAUGGUAUGCCUUAAACCCUCUAGAUCCAUAGUAUCAUAUGCAAUGUGGGACUAUCUUCUAAUAUAUCUUCCAAUCAUUAUCAUUUUUUGCCUUAUUCCUUAUAAUAUAGUUUUCAUAAAACAAAAUUGACAUUUGUGUUAACAAAUAUCUUCUGAUGAUCCUAACUAUAAAGGUAAUAACCUAAAAAUCCUCUUAUACAUCCUAUAAAUUGAUAUACCUCUUAAGAAAAAGGGUAAUCACCUUUUUAAAAAAUAGUAGGUAAAAUAUACUUGAUACAUACCUUCAACCACUACAAGAAAAAAGGUCAUUGUUGACAUAUUAUUAUCUUGACUUAAGGUGAAAUGUGUCAAUGUUGCCUAUUUUAAUGAACAACUAUGACAUAUACAACUUGUUUAAACCAAUAAUGACAUAUAUAAAAUUUGUUGAAUUCUUUCAUGACUUAUAUAGUAGAAUCUUGACAAAUAAUUUAUGAGUCAAUGUAUUCAAGGUACUUAAAUAAAAGCAAUAAUGAUAAUAAUUUGUUUGAUAUGUGUAUAUCUAAUUUACUUACUAAGUAUUAUAAAUUGAAGUGACAACAAUCAAUUUUGAUUAAGGAAGUUAAUAUUUAAUAAAUUUUUUUAGUAAUGUUAAUAUCAAUUUUCAUUUUUUUUAUCAAAUUGAUUAAAUCAUUUUUUAGUCUAUAUCAAUAGCACUGAAAUAAAUUUGUGUACAUAAUUUUUUAUGCACUAAUUUUAGUGAAAUAAAAUUUGCUACAUUAUGGUUUUUUUAUAAUUGGAUAUAAAUAAAAUCAAUACUAAUAAAGUAUUUUUUUUAUUCAUUGAUGUUAAUGAUUUUUUUUUUUUUUUUUGAGUUUGUAUUAAUAUAAUAUUUUUUUCAUAAACUGUUUUUCAUUAUUUUUAAAUUAGUAAGUAACUUGUAUUUGAUUUAAAAAUAAUUAAUAAAUUUGUGUAAGCUUGAAAAUUAAGAUAUUUGGAAUUUUGAUUUAUCAAUUCUUCGGCAUAAUAUCAGGUUUCAAAAUUUUAUUUUUUAAGUUAACUCAUACAAAUUUAGACAUUAGGAAAGAAGAAAAUUAAUUAUGGAAAAUUGACAUUAUAAAAGUUAUAAAUAUAUUCCAUGAAUUGAUUUUCAUAAAGAUAUUAUUAUUAUUAGUAUUAUUAUUAUUAUUAUUAUUUGUUUAUUUACUUUAUGUUUUUAUUUUUUAUUUUAUUUUCAUUUCUUUUUUAAAAUGCUUAUUUUAUUUUAUUUUAUUUACCUAAAAAAAAGGGCUUUGAAAAAUGUAGAACAAUCCAGCUCCAUUCGGGAAAAAUCUCUCUCUAGAUUGAUGGUUCCUGUUGAGUGGUAGAAAGAGAAAUUAGGUUUUUGAUUUUGAGAAGCAAUCUUCUAGGUUUUGACCUUUAAGGCAAAAACUACUCAUCAAAACGCAUUUGUUUCCGAUUAUCUGGUCUUAGCCACAUCUUAAUUAUUCAUAAAUUUUUAGCCCCAAAAUUCAUUCUGUUCUUAUUCAAAUCAAUAUCUGAGUAAGAGUAUGUCUGUGUCAUUAACCCAUAUUUCUUGGUGGUUAUGGAGUGGAAAACACCAAGAGCCCAAAAGACUCUCCAAUGGAUCUUCUUUAAAUUCUUCUCAAGAUUCAGGUUUGUGGGAGUCGGAUGCUUUGAAAUUCCCUUUAGUUAAGGGGACUUCUUCAUUCACAUUUCAACUCUUUUUUUCUCCCAGAACCUCUUGAUUCUCUGAAUCUCAAAGUCUCCCAAUCUCCCGCACCUCGAUCCACGCAGAUCUCCGAUUUUUGCUAUUUUUUAUUUUUUUUUUCUUCGUGAGAAUUUUCAACCUAGGGUUUUGAUUUUGUAUGUUCUAGUUUUUGCUUCGAUCUCCUCGAUCUCGGUUCCGAAUUCACCCAAGGUUUGAUCGUUUGAUUGUUGGAUUGUUUGGUUCAUCUCAUGGAGGCGAUCGAUGAGCUCAUGCAGCUGUUAGGGUCUAUGUGCUAGGCCGCGGCACUGCUGGCGGAUGAAGAUGUGGAUGAGAAUUCGAGUUCCAGUUCUUCUCAUAGGGGUUCAACUUUUCUUAACGUUGUUGCUCUUGGAAAUGUCGGUGCUGGUAAAUCUGCAAUUUUGAACAAUUUGAUUGGACAUCUUGUUUUGCCUAUUGGAGAAAAUGGUGCUACUCGGGCUCUAAUAUGUAUUGAUUUACAAAAGGAUUGUUUCCUAAGCAGCAAGUCGAUCAUCUUACAAAUUGCCAACAAAUCUCAACAAGUUUCUACAAGUGCUCUUCGACAUUCUCUCCAGGACAAGCUGAGUAAGGGUGCUUCAGGCAAGAACCGAGAUGAAAUAUAUUUGAAGCUACGAACUAGUACAACACCUCCUCUGAAACUGGUUGAUUUGCCUGGAUUGGAUCAACGGAUUAUGGAUGAGACAUUGGUGAGUGACUAUGCUCAGCACAAUGAUGCCAUUUUGCUGGUUAUUGUACCUACUGCCCAGGCACCUGAAAUGGCUUCAUCUCGAGCUCUCAAAAUUGCUAAGGAAUAUGAUGGAGAUGGUACAAGAAAAAUCGAUGUAAUUAGUAAAAUAGAUCAAGCUGCAUCAUACCAGAAAAUCCUUGCUGCUGUUCAGGCUCUCUUGUUAAAUCAGGGUCCUCGAAGUACAUCUGAAAUGCCAUGGGUUGCUUUAAUUGGGCAAUCUGUUUCAAUUGCCUCUGUCUGGAUCUAUUGGGUCUGCAUGAGUUUGAUAGCGUGCCUAAAAGAAUGUCUAUUGUCAUCAAAUUCCCCAACGAUACUGUGAAAGACUUGGUGAAAGGUGUUGAUUCUUAAAUGUUUAGCAUUUUAGCAAAAGACAGUGGGAGGAAUAGUCAUGUAAGGCCGGCAACUCAGAGCCAUUUCACUGAAUAUUCAUCACAAGGCUUACUCACACUUGUAGUUGCUGCUAGGGAUAUUAUUGAUGAGGAACUUUCAGAGUGGCAGUGUAAGUAUGAAAAUGCAAGCACUUCAUUGACUGAUAGAUCCGUAAAACUUCAUCAAACAACAACUUUCAUUGAAUGCAAAUUAAAUCUUCUUGGGUCUACUAGGAUGAGAAUAAGGCUUCCACUUUGAACCUCCACUACACAUCAGUUUAUUUUUUGUAAAAAAAAAAAAAAAAAGAAUGCUGCCACUUUAAGAAUAUGGCACCACCAGAUUUUGUGAAAGGCAUCCACACAUGAAUUUGGAGGGCAACCAUACCAUGCAAAGAAGAUGAUUGCCACUUUAAGAAUAUAGGUUUAGUUAUUUUUUAUUUAUUAGUCUUUAAUCUUAUCAUUAUUAUUGGUGAAUUAACCUCACUUUUGUAGAAUCAUUGACGCUUGCUAUAUAGGUACGCUCUCUCUCUUCCCAUUUUAAAGUUUCAUGAAUAUGUAUGUCAUUAAGAACUAUAUCCUCAUUUGAUAUUGACUUUGGGUGCCUUGAUAUUCAUUUGAUUUCCUUUGAUAAAAUGCAUGUUGAGUAAUAUAAUACUUGAAAAUUGCUAUUUUGAUACUUGUUGCUUACUUUGCUAUUAACAUGUGUCUAUCCUACUAGGUAUUCAAGAAAUAUAGCAAAAAAGAAGAAGAAGAUGAAGAAUUAAUGACCACCUCUUAUGAAGAUAGUAUUGUACUUUUUAAUUUAAGUUUAUAUAUUAUCUUAAUUGAAUAUUUGUAAUUAGUUUUUUUUUGUAUAUAGAAAAUAGAGAGUAAAUAGAAAAAGAUUUAUUCCAUUGUGUUUUUAAUAUUCAAAUGUAUCUAUAACAAUUUUUUUCCCUUGAGUAAUAGUUUAUUUACAUUGUUUUAGGACUUAGUUAUUAUUAUCAUAAUUAAAUAUGUAUCAAAAUUAAUUUGGAAACAAGUUUCAUAUGGUAACAAGUUUAUUUUCCAUUAAAACUAAAAAUUAUAGUAAAAUAAUAUUAAAUUUGUCAUAGGCAACCUUGACAGAUGGCCAAUGCCCAACAUUGACAUUGCAAUAGCUAGAAACCUUCACAUAUUAUACUUAUCCUUGACAUUUGUUGUAGCAACCUUAACAGAAUAUCAAAUUAACAUUGACAUAUGAUAAAAAAAUCUUGACAUAUGUUGAAUCCAACCUUGACAAAAGUGAAAGAAACAUUGACAUAUGUCAUAGUAACAAAGAUUCGAUCAUUGGUAGAAAUAGAAACAACCUUGACAUAUGUAAAUGUCAAGGUAGAUUUAAACUUUUCUUGACACUGGAAUAGAUGACAUAUAUAAAUAGUAACAUACCUUGACAGAUAUACCCUACCUUGAUGGUGAAAAACUGUCAACGAAAGGCUUUUUUCUUGUAGUGAACCUUUUUCUUGUCUUACAUUUUGGUCUCUUAUAUUUCAAAUCCAUCAUUUUACCCAUUCAAACUUAUUAGAAAGCAAUACUUCAAUAUCAUUUGCAAACCCUUUAUAAAUUAUAAAAAGGAAUUUUUUUUUCCACAUUCUUGUUUGAACAUUGGUUUGAAUUUAGGUAAAACCAAUUUUGAAUUGAUAGCCUUGGGUAGUAUUUGAUUACUACUCAAAAAGUGCUCUUUGGUAGCUUGUAUUUAACCCUUUUAAACACUUUUGAGUAGUAGUUUUGGCCUUUUAACUCAAUUGGCAUGUUAAGGACCCUUGAAAGCAAUUUUAAUCACUUUGUGUAAGUUUUGGUGUUUUUGUUAGUAAUUUGAUCACCAAAGCAAUCCAAGAUUGAGGAGAGUUAUGAGGAAUCUUGGGCAAAUCUUGGAAGUCAUUUGCCAAGAGUAAAUCCGGAGUGCAAGGAGAAGAAGUAAAGAGAAUCUGCCAUGAAGCAUAUUCUUGAUGACAGUCGUGGCAGCCACUUUUGGAGCACUUUAUGAAGUCUAAUUAAUGCAUGCUAUAUACCAUUUCAAAGCUCAGGAAGUCAAAAAUCCAAUGCUUUAAACGGUACGUAAUUCGGAGUUGAAACGAAGAAGUUACAGCCAUUGCAAGUCAAUCACUCCAAGCUGAAGGAAGCAUUUUGCAAAAGGUUGCGAAAUCACCCUUUUGUUGCGAAGUGAUUUCGCAGCCUUUUUGUAUAGUGUGGUGUAUUUCCUCCUGAAGUUGCCCGAUAUAUGCCACAAGCUGGAAGCUGAGAACCUCAAGAUGGAAGCCAACUUCGCAGCCCUGCGAGAAUAACCUUUUGCUGCGAAGUGAUUUCGCAACCCUUUUGUGUGUCUGCGAAAUCUCGCAGACAUCAUUUUCUCUUGCGAAAUGGUCCGUAGUGCUUCCCGAUAUUUGCUACCGACAUUGGGAGAUAUUUUCCAUCAGAUUUUUGUUGUCUAAAUCCCAAAAUACUCCUUGUAAGCCACCAAUUACAAGAUUCCUUAGCUUUUAAGUUAGUAAAAAGAGAAAAUAUCUAUAUAAUAAUUAGUUUUGUAUUAUGUUCAUAUAUAUACUCUUCGAGAGCCUGUUCGAACGAGAGGAGACCCUUUGUAAAGUUUUGAAAAGCAAGUAAAGUUCAGGCCCUUUGUUUUGCCUUACCUUCUCACUUUGUAUUAUUUAUUUCUUACUAAGUUAUGCACUCUCUAAGGAAUUUUCCCCAGAGAAUGAGUAACUAAACCUCUAGUUCCUUGGAGCUAAGGUUGCCGGGGAAGGUUCCAAGUGCAAGAAUGCAAAGCUUUGUGGUUUCAGCCAUCAAUGAAGAGGAAGUGAAAUCCUUUAGUGAUUUCUAUGUUUUUAGUUAACUUAAAACACCUUAGAGUCACCUGGGCCAACACUUGGUAUAGCAAGUGAUCUCCAACCAAGGAGAUGCAUUAGUUUACCCCUUGCGAGCCUCUGGGAGGCGACUUUAAGGUAGGAUUUUUUGGAAUUGCCAACACUUGGUAAGCUUUUAGACUCCAAGGAGACAUCCAUUAGUUAUCUCUUGCGAGCUUGAGAAGGGAAGUCUAAGGUUAAAGAUCACCUUGAAUGGUUAAGGCUUAGUUAGAGGCUUGAACCAUUGCAAGUUGCAUCAAUGAGAGAAUUAAAGUUGAAAUCUAAUUAAAGGAUGUAUCUGUACAACACCGGUUAGAGAAUUGACAAUAUGUUGAAUCUCUAACGCGAGGAAAUGAACCAUUUGACCGGAGCUAUGUCUUUUGCAUGAGGAACCACCCCAGUGAACUUGACUCUCCAAGGAAUGUUUUUCUUCCUAAGUUAUUCCCAUUACUUGUUUUGUUAGUUAGUUUGAAUCUAAAUCUUUACCAAUCAAGGUUUGAGUUUUAUUUCUUAAGCUAACCUUGAAAUGAAACACUACCAAUUCACUUUGAAUUGAUAUCAUUGAUAACUUGCUAAUCCUUCCCAGUGAACGAUCCUAGAGCCACUAUACUAUAGUAGAUUUUUCUUUGCUACCCUAGUAUAUGGUGUAAUAGGUUAUAAAUUUUGUUGAUUACUCCCUCAUCCAAGGAGCACCAGCUGGACAUGAAUCAGUUGAGACACCAAUUAGGCAUGAAUCAGUAUUUCCUAAACAUCUUUAUAUUAUUAUUUAUUAUCUAACCCUUCAUGUCUUGUGGAAGCACGUUACAUGUUAUCUAUGCUAUCUAGGUACGCCCCCUAUCACCUACCUUCUAAAUUUUGUGAAUAUGCUUGUCACUAUGAACCGUGCCUAUGUUUGAUAGUGCAUGGGUGUCUUGAUAUAUUGUUUCAUUGUUCAAUCAUUUCCAAUAAAGUGCAUGUUGGAUGAUAUGCUAUUUGAACUAACUUUAAUGUCUUGUGAUAGCACUUAAGAAGCAGUCCAGACACACACCCUAAAUUGUCUUUAUGAUUUAUGAUUGAUUAUUUUGUUUAGCAUGCCAUUUUUUUUUUUAAAUCACCUUAGUUUACCUAGGUACCCUCAAUCAACCAAUUAAUUGUCCCAAUUCCCUCAACUUAGCUAGUAGAGACCUCUUUAGGGCUUAGAGGGGUGCUACCUGUUAGAGGUACCUUCCCAAUAGGUAACUUGAUCCCUGAACCUAGACUUAGGUUUUUCAAAGACACGUUUUUCCAAAAACUAUGGAGUCACUUAUUUAGGGUUUUCUUUCUUGUUUUAUUUUCCAUUUUAAAAUAAAAUAAAAUAAGUGGUAACUCCAACUUUUCCAAAAUUAUUUUUUUUCACCAAUAAAAGCAAGUCUCAUCGAUUGAGUGGGAGCACAUAUGAAAAAUACGAGUCCACACUACGGCUUUUGUAGUACUCUAGGUAUCGUCCUCAUGGACUAGCUUAUGGAAAUUGUCAAUACUACAAUAAAUGAAUUGCUUUCGUUUGAAUCCUAAAGUGAAAAAUACUAUGAGAAUAAUGUGAAACUAAGUAAAAGAAAAUAAAUUAAUAACAAAAUGGAUAUUUAUUUUAAAUUCAAUUGAUUCAAGUUUGGGGCUUUCUACAAUCCAACAUAGGGUAUAUAAAUUAGAGAAAAUAAGGGUCUUUUAAGUAAUAUGAUCUUAGGGUUUUGGGAUCCUUGGCUGCUCGUGAUCAAGUUGAGUUCUAUAACACAAAAUUGCAUCUGAAACCUAAUUUUUCUUUUUUAAAUCAGAUUCCUAAAACCAUCAAAUGAAUUAGAUUGAUUACUAGUUUAAGAUUUGGCUUUUUAACCCUUCCUACUCUUUAUAGCUUUGUUUUGGGGCAAAUAACGAUAGAAAAAACGAGGAUAACUAAGGAUCAAGAAUUACCAAGAAUCACUAGUAUCGAGUAAUAACCUACCGUAUCAUUCCCUAAACUAACUCACAAGGAUAGGAUAAAAAAUGAUAAAUUGUCACCCAACCAAUAAUUAAUCUCAUUGUUAUAAUAAUUUACCCAUUGUCCCUAUAGGUUUCCUAACCCUUAGGUUUUCAUGCUUUAAGCCCCAAGUUGGCUCUUAACCUCUCAUGGGGGUGAUGUCACAUUCAAUCAAUAAUAGGGCAAAAAUCCAUAAUUUGAAUGAAAAGAACCUAAAACAAUAUAUUUAAUAAAGAAGAAAAAGAAAACAAACCAAAGUUCUCGUCUUCUUCCACCUUCAAUGUCAAACUCUCUAGGAAAAAAAAUCCAAGAUCCCUAAAACAUAGAACUAAGAGAGUUUAGAUAAUAUCAUCAAUUACCUAUCCUAUGGCACACUCUCAUUAGCCACUUAUUACAAAAAUAAUUACCUAAAAAUGAUUAAAAAAAUAAUAAAAUGGUGAUUUCUAGUUGUGUGGGGUCCAUUUAAGUUUGAUGGAGUGCCUUAGAUGCAAUUCCCAAGGUAGAGGAGGCGAAACAUCAAAGUGGUAGUGGGUGAAUUUGAAAUUGGUGUCAUUUCAAUGUGGAUUUCGAAUUCAUAAGUUGAAUUUUGAAAUCAUUUUGAAAUGACCCUUUAGCUUUGUGCAGUUGUUUUCAAAUGGCCAUAACUUCUUCAUUUCAGCUCCCAUUUGCACAUUGUUUGAAGUAUUAGACUCUUGACCUCCCAAGCUUCGAAACAAUAUACCAUAUGUAUAAAAUGGUCUCUAGGAAAUGCUCCAAUUUUGUCCUCAAAGUCAGGGUAUAUAUUACCAUUAGAUUUUUGAGUUCUAAAUUUCCAUGCAGUUGAAUCUUGCUUCAUGCCUCAUUUUCUAUGUUUUCUUAGCUUCUUUCUUACUCCAUUAUGGUCAUUUCUCAUCUUCCAAACUCAUGAUAUCCUCAUCUUGCCUUUUCUCAUGGUCCAUGAGUCUUGACUCACUUAUUUCUUCAUUUAACCCUUUCUUGAUCUUUCAAAAUCUAAAGUGAUUCAACUUGCACCCUUUUCUUCCCUCGAACCUGAGAUAAGUCUCCAAAGUACAAAUUAAACUCACGGCUAGGGCUUUAGCAUCAAUUUAGGUAAAGUUGGGUGAUUUGAAUGUCCUUUGGUGCACAAAUCAUAUCAAAUAUGUGCCAUUAGAGCACAUAUUUUGGCUCCAAUCAUCUCCCUUAACUAAACUUUGCUAGUCCAUAGCAAAUGAAAAGAGUAAAGAAAAAAGUGAAAAAUAUGUAAUGAGAUUCAUGAAACCAUAUUGACUCAACAUAACUGAUUACUACUCAAAAAGUGCAUUUUUAUAAGCUUAAACUUAAUUGUAUUAAGCACUUUUGAGUAGUAGUUAGACAUUUUAUCCCAAUUGGCAUGUGAAGGACCUAGCAAAUGUUACUAACCAAUUUUUGGUAAGUUUUAAUGUUUUUAGUAGCUUUUUGAUCACUGAAACAACCCAAUAUUGAGAGAGAGUUUUGUGCAAGCUAUGGCAAGGCAAGUUUAUGGUCAAUCACAUGAAGAAUCUGAGCCUUAGAGCACUUCAAAACCCCUUGCCAAACUUGGAAAGGGGUUGGCAAAGCUAUUAGUAGUAAGAUGGACGGAAACAGAGCAUUUUGCAAGGCAAAAUCAUCAAAUUCGCAAGGUGUGCCAAAAUUCGCAAUGUGUGCCAAAUUUUGGCAGGGUGUGCCAAACUUUCGCAAAGUAUGCCAAAAUUUCGCAAGGUGUGCGAAAAUCACUUUAUGCGCACCGACCUUCAGGAAAAAUCUCCAGAAUUGUAAUUUUUUCUUUUUUACUCCUUUUGUAAUAGAUAAAAGACAUUAGGGUUUGUUUAGGAACUAUAAAUAGGGGUUGGAAAACCUCUCAGAGAUGAUGUUGUGUUAGAUAUUAUGUUUUAGAUAUUUCGUAAAGUCUGAGUUUUUCUCUGCCUUUCCUUCUCAUUUUCUCUUCACUUUCUCUCUAGCCAAACACCCUCUGAGGAUGAUUUCUCAGAGGAUGAAUGGCUAAGUUUCACAUUUCUUGGAGUGAUGGAAGCUAGGUAAAGGACCCAGAUGCAAAGGUGGGAGUUUUCCUUGCUAAAAAUGAAGGUAGUUGUGUAUCGUUAAUGGUUUGUAUGUCAAGUUUUAGCUUUAAUCCCUUAGAAUCACCUUGAAUGGCCAAUACUUGGUAAGCUUUUAGGAUUCUAUGGAUGCUUAUUGCUAGAUCCAUGGAUGUCCAUUAGUUAUCAAGUACGAGCCAUUGGAAGGUGGUUCAAGGUGAGGGUCUUUAGUGUUUGAAGUCAUUAAUGGGAAGCAACUACUAUUUUUCAAGAACCCUUUGGAUCAAAACUUAUUUGCUAAAUACAAAUCCGGUUUGGGAGAUGACCAUCCUUUAUGUCAUUGUCCCCAAUGCGAGGGGAAGAUCCGGAAUUUCCCACUUUGCAAUAGGAACCUGAUCCUAGUAACCAUAGCUCCAAGAGACUUUCUCUUUAUAAUAAUUUCAAUUGUUUAUGUUUGCUUAACUUAAAAUCAACCCUUCCAAUCAAUCUUAUUUUCAUUUAAAAACUAACUUCCAAAAAGAAAAUCACCAUUUCUUCUUUCAUUAAUGUUAAGUGUACAAAGAAAACCCAUCCCUGUGGACGAUCCUAGAGCCACUAUACUAUAGUAGCUUUGUAUUUGCUACUCUAGUAUAAGGUGUUGUAGGUUUUAUAAAUGUUUUGAUAGACACCCGACUGGGCAUGAAUCAAAUGGCGCCGUUGCCGGGAAUGGUGCCUAAGUACAUAAAUGUUACCUUUUAUGAGUACUUGUGAUCUUCAUCACAAGUUGGUGAUUUUUUUUUCACUAACUCGUUUUCUUUGUUUUUAUUUUAUCUUAUCUUUCAUUUACUUUUUAGCUAACUUGUAAUCUUUUCCUAGAAUUGUAGUCCUUUUUGUUUUCUUUGUUUUUGUUUCAGUACUCUCGAGUUGUGUAUGCCCUAUUGGAUAAGAGAUAUUGAGGAAAGACUUGUGAAAAUUGAAACUCCUCAAGAAAUCAAGUUGGAAGUCUGCUUGAACAUCAUGGAUAUUCCACCUGAAGAUCAGCAUAGCCAACAUGGGCAAGAGGAGAAUCUCAAUGCAUAUCGAUCCAUAAGGGACCGCAUGCAUCCACCUCGAAUGAGUGCACCUUCAUGCAUAGUGCCUCCCACUGAGCAACUAGUGAUCCGACCUCAUAUAGUGCCCCUUCUACCUACUUUCCAUGGGAUGGAAAGUGAGAACCCCUAUUCUCACAUCAAGGAGUUUGAAGACGUGUGCAAUACAUUCCAAGAAAGAGGAGCUGCAAUUGACUUGAUGAGACUCAAGCUAUUCUCUUUCACCUUAAAGGAUAAGACCAAGGUUUGGCUUAAUUCUCUAAGGCCGAGGAGUAUCAGAAUGUGGACUAAUUUACAAGCUGAGUUUCUCAAGAAGUUCUUCCCUACUCAUAGGACCAAUGGCUUAAAAAGGAAAAUUUCGAACUUCUCAGCUAAGAAGAAUGAGAAAUUCUAUGAGUGUUGGGAGAGGUACAUGGAAGCUAUCAACGCUUGUCCUCACCAUGGCUUUAAUACAUGGCUCUUAGUGAGUUAUUUCUAUGAUGGUAUGUCUUCCUCUAUGAAGCAACUCCUAGAGACCAUGUGUGGAGGAGACUUCAUGAGUAAGAAUCCAGAGGAAGCUAUGGACUUCUUGAGUUAUGUUUCUGAAGUUUCAAGAGGAUGGGAUGAACCGAAUACUAGAGAUAUGGGGAUAAUGAAGUCUCAGCCCAAUGCUAAGGGUGGAAUGUAUGUGUUGAGUGAAGACAUGGACAUGAAAGCAAAAUUUGCAACUAUGGCAAGGAGAUUGGAAGAGCUAGAACUAAAGAAAGUAUAAGAAGUAUAAGCCAUUUCUGAGGCAUGAGUGCAAGCUACGCCUUGUUCCAUAUGUCAAUCUUAUGAGCAUUUGGUGGAGGAGUGUCCAACCAUUCCAGUAGUGCGAGAAAUGUUUGGUGAUCAAGCAAAUGUGGUUGACCAAUUCAAGCCCAACAACUAUGCUCCUUAUAGAAGCACCUACAAUUUUAAUUGGAUAAACCAUCCAAAUUUCUCAUGGAAGCUAAGGCCACCUCAGUACACACCACCAGCUCAAGCACCUCAACAAGCUUCAAACCUUGAACAAGCCAUUGUGAAUCUUAGCAAGGUUGUGGGAGACUUUGUGGGGGAGCAAAAUUCAAUCAACUCUCAAUUGAAUCAGAAAAUUGAUAGAGUGAAGAGUACAUUGAAUAAAAUGAUGGAUGAGAUGCAAAAUGAUCUAUCUCAGAAGAUAGAUAAUGUUCAAUACUCCAUCUCAAGGCUCACCAACCUCAAUACUGUGCAAGAGAAAGGAAAGUUUCCUUCUCAACCUCAUCAAAAUCCCAAGGUAAUUCAUGAAGUAGAAGCUCAAGAAGGAGAAUCUUCAAAGUUGAGGGAAGUCAAAGCAGUUAUCACUCUUAGGAGUGGUAAGGAGGUUGUUCAACCCCCACCCAAGCUGAAACAUGAUGAAGGAAGUGAAUCAAAUAAGGACAUGGGUGAGAAAAAGUCAAAGAAAGGUGACCAUGAUUCAAGUGUGGAUGAAGAACCAAGGAUAGUCAUCAAGGAAGAUAUGAUGAAGAAGCACAUGUCUCCACCUUUCCCUCUAGCUUUACAUGGUAAGAAGGGAACCAAGAAUACAUCAGAAAUUUUUGAAGUGUUGAGGCAAGUGAAGGUCAACAUUCCUUUACUUGACAUGAUCAAGCAAGUUCCAACUUAUGCCAAAUUCUUGAAGGACUUGUGCACUGUAAAGAGAGGGUUAAAUGUGACCAAGAAAGCCUUCUUGACUGAACAAGUGAGUGCUAUCAUCCAAUGCAAGUCUCCAGUGAAGUAUAAAGAUCCAGGAUGCCCCACCAUUUCAGUAAAUAUUGGAGGGACAUGUGUGGAGAAAGCUCUUCUAGACUUGAGAGCAAGUGUGAAUUUGCUACCCUAUUCGGUUUACAAGCAGUUGGGACUUGGGGGGUUGAAGCCCACAUCCAUUACUCUCUCCCUAGUUGAUAGAUCAGUGAAGAUCCCAAGGGGGGUAAUUGAGGAUGUCUUGGUAUAGGUUGACAAAUUCUACUAUCCAGUAGAUUUUGUUGUUCUUGAUACUAAUCUAGUUGUCAUAGGGACAAACUAUGUGUCAAUCAUACUUGGAAGACCAUUCCUCGCUACUUCUAAUGCAAUCAUCAAUUGUAGGAAUGAAGUUAUGCAACUCAUGUUUGGCAACAUGACCUUGGAGCUAAACAUCUUCCAUUUGUGCAAGAAGCAUCUCCAUCUAGAAUAAGAGAAAGGGCCAGAGAAAGUGUGCAUGAUUGACACUUUGGUGGAGGAGCACUGUGAACAGAGCAUGGAGGAAGAUUUGAUUGAGAGUCUUGGGGAUCCUGAUGAAGGGUUACCUGAACCCUCAGAUUUGCUAACUACCAUGUCUCAUUGGAGAAAGAUGGAAAAGAUUCUACCUUUGUUCAAUGAGGAGGAGUCGCACAGAGUUGGUAAGGAGGAGCCCCCAAAACUUACUCUUAAGCUUCUACCUACUGGGUUGAAAUACGCAUACUUGGAGGAAGACAAGCAGUGCCCUAUGGUGAUUUCUUCAGCUCUCACCAUUCAUCAAGAGGAUUGUCUAAUCGAACUCCUUAGAAGAUGUAAGAAGGCCAUUGGGUGGAAAAUUUUAGACUUGAAAUGAAUCAGCCCUUUGGUGUGCACCCAUCAUAUCUAUAUGGAGGAGGAAGCAAAGUCAGUUCGCCAACCGCAGAGAAGGUUGAACCCUCACAUGCAAGAGGUGGUACGAGCUAAAGUUUUGAAGCUACUUCAAGCCGGUAUUAUAUAUCCCAUAUCAGAUAGCCUAUGGGUGAGUCCAACCCAGGUUGUCCCAAAGAAGUCUGGGAUCACGGUGGUGCAGAAUGAUAAGGGAGAAGAUGUCUCCAAAUGCCUUACUACUGGUUGAAGGGUGUGUAUCGAUUACAGGAAGUUGAAUGCGGUGACAAGAAAUGACCAUUUCCCGUUGCCUUUUAUUGACCAAGUGCUUGAAAGGGUUUUUGGGCAUCCUUUCUAUUGUUUUUUGGAUGGCUACUCUGGCUACUUUCAAAUAGAGAUUGAUUUGGAAUAUCAAGAGAAGACCACUUUCACAUGCCCCUUCGGUACAUUUGCAUAUAGGAGAAUGCAUUUCGGUUUAUGCAAUGCACCUGCAACUUUCCAAAGAUGCAUGCUAAGCAUCUUUAGUGAUAUGGUGGAGCGAAUUUUGGAAGUCUUUAUGGACGAUAUCAUCGUUUAUGGAAGUGCAUUUGAGGAUUGCUUAGUAAACUUAGAAGUUGUUCUAAACCGGUGCAUUGAAAAAGACUUGGUGCUUAACUAGGAGAAGUGUCAUUUCAUGGUACAACAAGGGAUUGUUCUUGGGCAUAUCAUCUCUAAGGAGGGUAUUGAGGUUGAUAAAGAAAAAGUUGAACUCAUUGUGAAGUUGCCAUCCCCCACCAAUGUCAAGGGAGUAAGGCAAUUCCUUGGACAUAUCGGUUUCUAUAGGAGGUUUAUCAAGGACUUUUCAAAGCUUACAAGGCCUCUUUGUGAAUUGUUGGUCAAGGAUGCUAAAUUCAUAUGGGAUGAAAGAUGCCAAAGAAGUUUUGAGCAAUUAAAGUCAUUUUUGACAACAAUACCCAUUGUGCGAGCUCUUAACUGGCAGUUACCCUUUGAGGUAAUGUGCGAUGCUAGUGAUUUUUCUAUUGAAGUUAUGAUGGGCCAAAGAGAAGAUGGAAAACCCUAUGUGAUCUAUUAUGCCAGUAAGACACUCAAUGAGGCUCAAAGAAACUACACAACCACUGAGAAGGAAUUGUUAGCAGUAGUUUUUGCCUUGGACAAAUUUCGUGCUUACUUGGAGGGGUAUUUCAUAGUGGUAUUCACCGAUCACUCUGCUUUGAAGUAUUUGUUGACUAAGCAAGACUGAUUAGGUGGAUCCUCUUGCUUCAAGAGUUCAAUCUUCAAAUCAAAGACAAGAAGGGAGUAGAAAAUGUGGUAGCUGACCACCUUUCAAGGCUUGCAAUCGCACAUAAUUCCCAUGGUUUGCCCAUUAAUGAUGACUUCCCAGAGGAAUCUCUCAUGUUAGUGGUAGUAACUUUGUGGUAUGCUCACAUUGCGAACUACCUAGUUACAGGAGAAGUUCCAAGUGAGUGGAAAGCACAAGAUAGAAAACAUUUCUUUGUAAAGAUCAAUGCCUACUAUUGGGAAGAACCAUUUCUAUUCAAGUAUUGUGCGGAUCAAAUAAUAAGGAAGUGUGUUCCUGAACAAGAGCAACAUGGGAUUCUCUCUCAUUGCCAUGAGAAUGCUUGUGGAGGUCACUUUGCUUCUCAAAAGACAGCUAUGAGGGUCUUGCAAUCGGGUUUCUAUUGGCCCUCACUUUUCAAGGAUGCCCAUGCCAUGUGCAAGGUUUGUGAUCGAUGUUAGAGGCUUGGGAAGUUGACCUGAAGGUAUAUGAUGUCUUUGAACCCCAUUCUGAUAGUUGAUCUUUUUGAUGUUUGAGGCAUUGACUUCAUGGGACCUUUUCCUAUGUCAUUUGGCUACUCCUACAUCUUGGUGGGAGUCGAUUAUGUUUCUAAGUGGGUUGAAGCAAUUCCAUGCAAACACAAUGACCAUAGGGUGGUUAUCAAGUUCUUGAAGGAGAACAUUUUCUCAAGAUUUGGAAUGCCUAAAGCCAUAAUCAGUGAUGGGGGUACUCAUUUUUGUAACAAUCCUUUUGAAACUCUUCUAGCCAAGUACGGGGUGAAGCAUAAGGUAGCUACGCCUUACCACCCUUAAACUAGCGGGCAAGUUAAGUUGGCAAACCGGGAGAUCAAGAACAUAUUGAUGAAGGUGGUGAAUGUGAACAGAAAAGAUUGGUCUAUCAAACUCCUUGAUUCACUAUGGGCUUAUAGAACUGCUUACAAGACCAUUCUUGGAAUGUCCCCUUAUCGCUUAGUCUAUGGUAAAGCGUGCCAUCUCCCUGUGGAAUUGGAAUACAAGGCUUGGUGGGCAAUCAAGAAACUCAACAUGGAUUUGAGCAAAGUCGGGUUGAAGAGAUUCUUAGACCUCAAUGAGUUGGAGGAACUGCGAAAUGAUGCUUACCUUAAUUCGAAAAUUGCAAAAGAGAGGUUGAAGAGAUGGCAUGAUCAGUUGGUGACCCGAAAUGACUUUUCAAAGGGACAAAGAGUCUUGCUCUAUGACUCUAAGCUCCAUAUCUUUCCGGGCAAGUUGAAAUCAAGGUGGUUAGGUCAUUUCACAAUCCACCAAGUGUAUUCAAAUGGAGUAGUGGAGCUACUCAACGCCAAUAGUAAUCGAACUUUCAAAGUGAAUGGCCAUCGUCUCAAGCCUUUGUGGAGCCUUUUUCUCGAGACAAGGAGGAAUUCACCCUCCUUGAUCCCCCUCAGGCUUAAAAAAUAAUAAUAAUAAUCAGAUCCUGGAUGGACUUAGUCUUUCUGAAAACUAUUAAGUUCAUCCAUUUUUGCUUUUUGUUUUUAAUUUCAUGUUUUUCUUGCAUUUGUAUUUGUUUUGAUUUCGAUUUCUUACUUGAAUUCCAUUUUAGUUUGAUUUAAUUUAGGUUUUUGAUGAUCACUUGUAGAGGAAAAGCUGAGGAAAAAUUGAAGCAAAGCAUUUCGCAUACCUCUCUGCGAAUUUUUCGCAUGGUGUGUGAAAAGUGCUCUUUGCAUUAAGUGAGCUACUGCCAUUUAGCAGAGCAUGCAAAAAUUUCGCACCCUCUACGAAAUUCUUGUGACUCUCGGUCUUCAAAUGCGAAUUUCCACAUGGUUUGCUAACUCAAAGUUCACCCUACAAAUCAACUUUGCGAAAAUUCCAUUUUGCGAAAAUCCCACUUUGCGAAAACUCCACUUUGCGAAAAUUACACUUUGCGAAAAUUCCAUUUUGCGAAGACCCCACUUUGCGAAAAUUCCACUUUGCGAACAAUCUCCACCCCUCAUUUUUCUAAAAAAAAAAAAAAAAUAGUAAAAUUUUAUUUAUUUAUUUUUUUUGCAGCAUACAUCCCAACUUCAUUUCUCACUUCUCUAGUCAUUUUUGCGCCCUUUUGCGAAACUUUUGCAUGACUAUGAAAAAUUUGCCUCGAAAGGUAUCACUUCCUCCCUUUAUUUUCACUUGCAAUUGAAACAUUGAGGACAAUGUUCGUCUUGGUUAGGGGGAGAGUUGAGGAAGUAAGUAUUGUAAAUAUUGCUAGGAUAUUUUGUUAACUUAGUUACCUUUUGUUUAUUUUUUUUUUAAAAGUUUUUACUCUACUCUCCAUGGUUGUUAAGGAAAAAUUCUCAAAAUGAAAUGAGAGAAGUUGAGUUCUUGCCUUUUUGCUUAAGUCUUAGAGUUUGUAUUAUGUAUAUUGAGGUUGAUGAAUUAUUGAAGCUCCUAUUGAAUUCAACCUUGUUUCUUCCACUUUAAUCUUACCACACACUGUGCACAUUAGGUUCCAAUUAUAAGAUGAAAAACUAUCUCACCCCUUGAACUUAGGAAAAUUUUGACUUGGUACCUUUGACCUCAUUUUAAUAGUGUUGGGACACCUUAUAGAAGGCCAAUGAGCCUUCAGAAAAAAAAAAAAAAACAAGUGCUACACAUGCCUUGAAACCCAAGCAAGGUCAUAAGGAUAUAUGGCGAAAGUCUUUGAAGCCUGGUGCCCUAAACCUUAAUUGGUUGGGAGUCGCAAACCUUAAUGCUCGUUAUAGGGGUGAAUGGGUGAAGUUGAGCAAAUAAAAGAAUUGUGAAAUAAAAGAGGUGUGUUCUUAGCCUAUUGGGUGUUGGUCAGUUUGCUAGGUUUGAGAAAGAACUAGGUUGGGGGGAGAGCAUAGUUUAGCAUACUAUAAUUGGAAACUAAUCACCUUAACACUUAGAUUCUUGUCGAAGAUUAAGUGUUGGAUCUUUGAGAGUGGAAAUUCUUUUGAUGCUUAAAUUUGUAUAGUGCCUACUCUUUGUAUUUUGUGAUUAGGUAAGUGAUUUAAUGACUCUUGUUAAAGGUUGGGUUUUAUAUCUUUGAUUUUCCAUGAGAGAUUUUUGAUCCAUAUCAUGCUGCUUUAAAAUUUUAUUUUUGAAGUGGUGAGCAUGAUUUUGUAAAUUGUUGUAUAGUCUAUUUUUCUUUUUGUCUCCUUCAUUGCUAAGGGACUAGCAAUGUGUCGGUUGGGGGGAGUGAUUACUACUCAAAAAGUGCAUUUUUAUAAUCUUAAACUUAAUUGUAUUAAGCACUUUUGAGUAGUAGUUAGACAUUUUAUCCCAAUUGGCAUGUUAAGGACCUAGCAAAUGUUAUUAACUAAUUUUUGGUAAGUUUUAGUGUUUUUGGUAGCUUUUUGAUCACUGAAAUAGGCCAAGAUUGAGGGAGAGUUUUGUGCAAGCUAUGGCAAGGCAAGUUAAAGGUCAAUCACAUGAAGAAUUUGAGCCUUGGAGCACUUCAAAACCCCUUGCCAAACUUGGAAAGGGGUUGACAAAGCUAUCAGUAGUAAGAUGGAGGGAAACAAAGCAUUUCGCAAGGCAAAAUCAUCAAAUUCGCAAGGUGUGCCAAACUUUCGCAAGGUGUGCCAAAAUUUUGCAAGGCGUGCCAAAAUUUUGCAAGGCGUGCCAAAAUCACUUUGUGCACACCGACCUUCAGGAAAAAUCUCCAGAAUUGUAAUUUUUUCCUUUUUACUCAUUUUGUAAUAGAUAAAAGACAUUAGGGUUUGUUUAGGAACUAUAAAUAGGGGUUGGAAAACCUCUCAAAGAUGAUGUUAUGUUAGAUAUUAUGUUUUAGAUAUUUUGUAAAGUCUAAGUUUUUCUCUGUCUUUCCUUCUCAUUUUCUCUUCACUUUCUCUCUAGCCAAACAUCCUCUGAGGAUGAUUUCUCAGAGGAUGAGUGGCUAAGUUUCACGUUUCUUAGAGUGAUGGAAGCUAGGUAAAGGACCCAGAUGCAAAGGUGGGAGUUUUCCUUGCUAAAAAUGAAGGUAGUUGUGUAUCGUUAAUGGUUUGUAUGUCAAGUUUUAGCUUUAAUCCCUUAGAAUCACCUUGAAUGGCCAAUACUUGGUAAGCUUUUAGGAUUCUAUGGAUGCUUAUUGCUAGAUCCAUGGAUGUCCAUUAGUUAUCAAGUACGAGCCAUUGGAAGGUGGUUCAAGGUGAGGGUCUUUAGUGUUUGAAGCUAUUAAUGGGAAGCAACUAUGAUUUUUGAAGAACCCUUUGGAUCAAAACUUAUUUGCUAAAUACAAAUCCGGUUUGGGAGAUGACCAUCCUCUAUGUUAUUAUCCCCAAUGUGAGGAGAAGAUCCAGAAUUUCCCACUUUGCAACAGGAACCUGAUCCUAGUAACCAGAGCUCCAAGAGACUUUCUCUUUAUAAUAAUUUCAAUUGUUUAUGUUUCCUUAACUUAAAAUCAACCCUUCCAAUCAAUCUUAUUUUCAUUUAAAAACUAACUUCCAAAAAGGAAAUCACCAUUUCUCCUUUCAUUAAUGUUAAGUGUAUAAAGAAAACCCAUCCCUGUGGACGAUCCUAGAGCCACUAUACUAUAGUAGCUUUGUAUUUGCUACUCUAGUAUAAGGUGUUGUAGGUUUUAUAAAUGUUUUGAUAAACACCCGACUGAGCAUGAAUCAAUAACAUGUUACACACAAAAGAUACCCAAGUAGUCAAAUUUCCUAGAAUUGAGCAAAAUGAAACAAGAUAUGCAAUUUCUUAGUUUUUUCACCUUAUCUUCGUAUACAUAAAUGUGCAUCCAUGUUUAGCAUUCCCCUUAGUGUCUCUUGAUUUUUCCUUGUUUGGUUUUUUCCACCUAAACCUCAUGUGCUUAAUUUUGGUGUCCCCUCAGUAUUUUUCUUAAGACUUUUCUUAAACUCAAACUUCAUCAUUCUUUAAUUUAAAAAAUGAGGAAAAUUUAUUUUGAUUUUUCUUUCUUAGUUUAGGAAAUCUCCUUCUAUAUGGCUUAAUAGGGAUCCAUCGACAACUCCCAAGUUUUCACCCAAGGUACUAGGUAUUGAGAACCUUUGUAGGCCACUUACCUUUUAGGUGUCAUCCUAGCUCAAGGUAGAACAAGGUUGAAUUUCCCAAAUAUUUAUUUAUUUAUUUUAAUGUUUUUUUUCAAAAUUGAGUUUAGCUUAUGUUACAAGCAAGAUAUCGAUGACUUCUAACCAGUCGUUUUCGGGCACCGGGGCUUGAAAACACAGGGCCAUUACCCCCUCAAAUAAUUGCUCAAGCUUAAAUAAAUCAUUUUCAAAUUUUUUUUUCAUCAAUUUUUUUUUUCAUUUCCUCAUUUUAUUGCUUAAGAACAACUCCUUUUAAGCUAAAGAAAUUAUUUUAAUCAAGAUACCACAAGGGUAUAUGUGCUUUAUGUGUGCUUUGAGUCUUAAAUAGAAAAUAACCAUUAAAAAAAAUUUGAAGGCAUUCAAAGAAUUUAACCUAACUAUUUUUGCACUUCAAAGUAUAUAAAGAUAAGGUAAGUGAACUAAUACUCUUGCUCUAACUGUAUUUUUUCUCAAAUUCUAAAGAAAUAAUACUACUUAAAGCAUUCUCAUGCAAAAUAAACCAUGAGUUGCCAAGGCAAAUUAAGAAUGUCAUUAAUUAACCAAAUAUAACAGGCAAACUUUUGAAAAAAAUUAGGGCUAAUAGACCUUCCCCCCUCAACCUAAAUUACACAUUGUCCCCAAUGUGUAGGAUAUUGGGUCAAAUGAAAGGAAAAAUGGAGAUGUUACCUCAAUAUCAUCAAGUGAGAAGUUUGUCAUGAGGACUUCAUAUAAACUAGUCUUGCACAAAAAAAACAAGAUUAGUGGCAAAAGUAUGCAUAGAGAAAAAUAUAAAUGGUGAGAAUCUAAAAGAGAGUAUAAGAGUAUGAGUAUGUGAUUCGUCCCUAGCAGCGGCAGUGGCAACAGCACCAUUUGAUUCGGGGUUCGAUCCCCGGCAACGGCGCCAUUUGAUUCGUGCCCACUUGGUGUCUCAGCUGAUUCAUGUCCAGCUGGUGCUCCUUGAUUGAGAGAGUAAUCAACAAAAUUUAUAACCUAUUACACCAUAUACUAGGGUAGCAAAGACAAAGCUACUAUAACAUAGUGGCUCUAGGAUCGUUCACUGGGAUGGGUUUUCACUUUGCAAAUGAUAUUAAUUCAAAAUUGAAUUGGUGCCUUUUCAUUUCAAGGUUAGCUUUAAAAGAAAACAUAAAGAUGUUUGAAUGAAAAAGGUUUAGAUUUAAACUAACAAAAAAUAGUAACUGAUUUUACUUACAAAGAAAAGUGUUUCUUGGAGUUUCAAAUCACUAGGCUCAGAUUCCUCAUACAAAAAGGGAGUUCCGGUCACUUGUUUCUUUUCCUCGCAUUAGAGAAUUAACAUAUAGUUAAUUCUCUAACCGAUGUUGUACAGAUGCUUCCCAUUAAUGGGUUCAAACACUAAAUCCCUCUCACUGAUGCAUCUUGCAAUGGCUCGUGCCUCUCACCUAGCAUUUGCCAUUCAAGGUGAUCUUUAACCUUGGAUUACCCGUCAAAAGCUCGCAAGAGAUAACUAAUGGAUGUCUCCUUGGAGUCCAAAAGCUUACCAAGUGUUGGCUAUUCUAGAAAAUCCUACCUUCAAGUCACCUCCCAAAAGCUCGCAAGAGAUAAACUAGUGAAUCUCCAUGGACGGAGAUCACUUGCCUUACCAAGUGUUGGCUCAGGUGAAUUGAAGACGUUUUAAGUUAACUAAAAAGAUAAAAACCAUUAACGGGUCACACUUUCUCUUCAUUAAAAACUAAAACAACAAAACUUCCAAACUAUGCAUGUGGAAACUUACCCGGCUUUCCUCACUCCAAGAGACAAAAAGCCUAGCCUCUCAUCCUCUGAGGAAAAAUCCUCAGAGUUUGGUUGGCUAGAAAGAAAACUAACGAGAAAACAAGAAUAUAUAUGAAAAACAGAGCAAGUGCUCUGUUCGUUGAUCUAUAUAUGAUAUAUCUAUAUUACAGUGGAUUACAUGAUUACAUGAUUCUCUGAGAACAAGCUCCCGAGAGCUAUAUAUAAAGAAAAUUACAAAACAAAAUAUCUGAGGUUAUUCACCCCUGUGUUCUUACUUAACAACUAAGGAAUCCUAUAAUUGGUGGAUUACAAGGAGAGAAUUGGGAUUUAGACAUCAAAUAUCUGAAGCAAAAUAUCAAAAAAUGUCGGUCGCAAAUAUCUGGAAGCACUCGGGAGAAUUUCGCAGGCGCACAAAAUGGCUGGUUCGACUCAUGGUAGCUUAGCUUUAAAGGCGUAUCAACAAAAUUUAUACCUUGAAUACUAUUACUAAAGUAGCCAAGCUACUAUAGCAUAGUGGUUCUAGGAUCGUUCACUGGGAAGGGUUUUCGCAAACACAAGUGAUAUUCAAAUUAGGAAAAUAGGUGAUUUUCUUAUGGAUGUUAGCUUUAAAAGAAGAUGUAAAUGUUUUAGAAAGAUUGAAACUAAUCUAAGCUAACAUUAAAGACUAAAAUGAAAGGGUGUAAAAACAAGUUUCUCAAAUAUAGGAUAACUAUGCUCUGGCUCUUAUGCAAAUUGGAAAUCUCAGGAUAGGCUCCUCGCGUUGGGGUUGCAACUAUGGUGAUGCUUGCUUCCCGAACCGGUAUGGAUUUAGCAAAUCAAGUUUUAAUCCUUUAAAAUGACAAAACAGAUGGUAGUGAAUUUCAUCAAUGGUUAUUCACCUUAGACUUCCUUUGAAUGGCUCGUAAGAGAUAACUAGUGGUCUAAAGCCAAAAGCUUACCAAAUAUUGGCAACUCAAAGUCAUUCCAAGUGAUAAACUCACCUUUCAAUGGCCAUUGAAAUUGGUUCUAACGGAUUAAUGCAAAACUUGGAAUUGAAAACCUCACCUUCCAAUAGCUCGUAGGAGAUAACUAAUGGAUAGAAAUCCAAAAGCUUAUCAAGUAUUGGCCGUUGGAAGUUGUCAAAAGGAAAUAAAAACCAAACUUUGCAUUAAUGAACCAUUAAUGAAAAACGACUACCUUACCUUCCGGGUGCGAGAAAUUUCCAUGGGAUUGCAUCCAAGCCAUCACAUAACAUCCAUACUUUGAGAAACUAAAAGUUUUAGCCAAUCAUCCUAUGAGGAAAAGCCCUCAGAGGCUGUUUGGCUACUAAGAAAAUAGAAAUGGGGAAGAACAGGAGAAGAGAGAAAAACAGAGCAAGGCUCUGUAUAUUCUAUAUAUUGAUCGAUAUAUAAUUACAACGGAUGCAAGGGAAUAUAUAUAGAGAAGUUUUUCCAAUCCUUCCUAGCUAAGAAAUCUUAUGAUUCGUGGAUUACAAGGAGAAGAAUGGAAAUUUAUACAAAAAUAUCUAAAAGAAAAGAUCUCGUGUGGAGUCGGCAGAAACAGGGGAAAAUUCGCACGUUGGAGUUCCAAUUUCGCACGUUGAUUUGAGGUGUGCGAAAUUCUCGCACAGUGGACUGAGGAAUUCGCACCUUGAAUAGUGGUGUGCGAAAUUCCCGCUCAGCUCGGUCCAGUUUUCUUGCAAUGACCAUAACUUUUUCGUUUCAACUCCGAUUUGGACACCGUUUGAAGCGUUGGACUUCUGACUUCCCGAGCUUCGAAAUGGUAUAUAGUAUGUAUAAAAUGGACUCGAGAAAGUACUCCAAAAUAUGUCCCAAAGUGGAAAUAGAACCAAUGGCCAGAAUUCUCUCUUCUCUUCCUUUUCUUUCAUCAUUUUUGCAUCUCCUCCUACAAUGAUCAUCCAAAACUCAUCUUAAAAACAUAUUAAAACUAAAUUAAAGCUAAGAAUUCAAACUAAAACAUGCAUAAAUUUAAAGAAAGCAUAGAAUUUAAAUGAAGCUGAUAGCAUGUACCCCAAAAAGAAGAUGAACUAUUUAGCUCAUCCUGACUCACACACCCACUUCAUGCUGAAUUCCCCCUGGAUCCCAAACAAAAUUGGCAUCCUUCCCAUUUGGUCCAAGGGAAUUCGUUUCUCUUCUCUUCCCUAGAGAAGUGGAUGCUUUAAAGGGUUCAGGUAACCCCUUAUCAUCUUGAACCUUAUGAUUUUCAAUGGAAGGUUGGUCCAUAGAGUUGUCAUAGCAAUCCCCCACCAAAGUGUCAAUCUUCAACACUUUCCUUGAUCUUUUUGCAUUGGUUCCUUGAAGGUUAUGGUGGGGUUGAGGAGUAAGCUUCCUUUUCCCCCUUGCUAUGUCGAGAUUGGUGAGCUUCUCAAUGGAGUCUUGAACUUUUUCUAUCCUUAGUGAUAGAUCAUUAUAAACCCCCUCCAUUCUUACAUUUAUUGAACUCUCCAUAUUAUCAAUCUUUUCAUUAAGCUGAGAGUUGAUCUUUUGUUGCUCACCUACAAAGUCCUCCAUGACUUUGCUUAUCUUCAAAAUGGCUUGCUCCAAUGAAGAUGUACUCAUUGAUGGUUGAGGUUGAGGUUGGGUUGCAAGGUUGGGAUGGUUUAUAUACUCAAAUGAAGUUGGCAUGGCUUGUGGUUGUGCUUCAGUAUGCACAUUCCUCAAUUCAAACUCUUCUAUCCUUCUAGCCAUAGAUGCUAGCUUUGCCUUCAUGCUCAUGUCUUCAUUCAAAGCAUACUUACUAGCCCAUUGGCUUUGUUGAACUUGCCUUUUCCCUAAUUCAAUCCGAUCCCUCAUGGAUAAGUAUGCAAAUUUGUCCUUCUCAUGAUCAUAAUGAGAGCUUUGAUCUUCAUGUGGAAUUUCCAUUUAUAAAAAAAAUGAUAUUCAACUAAGGCUCUUUUCUUCAACUUGUACCAGGGUUCCCUCUUGGUCUCGAAUCCAACAAGGAAUGCACAAAUUGAAAUUAAAACAAAAAUAAAAGAAAAGAGAAUAAAAAAUUUAACUCAAUAAAAACUAAACUAAAAAAAAUUAUAAGAAAACUCACCAAACUUGUGAUGAAGAUCACAAGUUACCCUUAAUGGUUGCUUCACUGUGCUUGUGGCACCUUCCCCGGCAACGGCGCCAUUUGAUUCGACUCAUGGUAGCUUAGCUUUAAAGGCGUAUCAACAAAAUUUAUACCUUGAAUACUAUUACUAAAGUAGCCAAGCUACUAUAACAUAGUGGUUCUAGGAUCGUUCACUGGGAAGGGUUUUCGUAAACACAAGUGAUAUUCAAAUUAGGAAAAUAGGUGAUUUUCUUAUGGAUGUUAGCUUUAAAAGAAGAUGUAAAUUUUUUAGAAAGAUUUAAACUAAUCUAAGCUAACAUUAAAGACUAAAAUGAAAGGGUGUAAAAACAAGUUUCUCAAAGAUAGGAUAGUUAUGCUCUGGUUCUUAUGCAAAUUGGAAAUCUUAGGAUAGGCUCCUCGCGUUGGGGUUGCAACUAUGGUGAUGCUUGCUUCCCGAACCGGUAUGGAUUUAGCAAAUCAAGUUUUAAUCCUUUAAAAUGGCAAAACAGAUGGUAGUGAAUUUCAUCAAUGGUUAUUCACCUUAGACUUCCUUUGAAUGGCUCGUAAGAGAUAACUAAUCGUCUAAAGCCAAAAGCUUACCAAAUAUUGGCAACUCAAAGUCAUUCGAGGUGAUAAACUCACCUUUCAAUGGCCAUUGAAAUUGGUUCUAACAGAUUAAUGCAAAACUUGGAAUUGAAAACCUCACCUUCCAAUAGCUCGUAGGAGAUAACUAAUGGAUAGAAAUCCAAAAGCUUAUCAACUAUUGGCCGUUGGAAGUUGUCCAAAGGAAAUAAAAACCAAACUUUGCAUUAAUGAACCAUUAAUAAAAAAUGACUAUCUUACCUUCCAGGUGCGAGAAAUUUCCAUGGGAUUGCAUCCAAGUCAUCACAUAACAUCCAUACUUUGAGAAACUAAAAGUUUUAGCCAAUCAUCCUCUGAGGAAAAGCCCUCAGAGGCUGUUUGGCUACUAAGAAAAUAGAAAUGGGGAAGAACAGGAGAAGAGAGAAAAACAGAGCAAGGCUCUGUAUAUUCUAUAUAUUGAUCGAUAUAUAAUUACAACGGAUGCAAGGGAAUAUAUAUAGAGAAGUUUUUCCAAUCCUUCCUAGCUAAGAAAUCUUAUGAUUCGUGGAUUACAAGGAGAAGAAUGGAAAUUUAUACAAAAAUAUCUAAAAGAAAAGAUCUCGUGUGGAGUUGGCAGAAACAGGGGAAAAUUCGCACGUUGGAGUUCCAAUUUCGCACGUUGAUUUGAGGUGUGCGAAAUUCUCGCACAGUGGACUGAGGAAUUCGCACCUUGAACAGUGGUGUGCGAAAUUGUCCCUCAGCUUGAUGCAGUUGUCUUCCAAAGGCCAUAUCUUUCUCAAUUCAGCUCCAAAUCAUAUAUGGUUUGAACCGUUGGAUUUUUGACUUUCUGAGCUUUGAAAUGGUAUAUAGCAUGUAGAAAAUGGACUUCGGGAAGUGCUCCAAAAGUGCCAAAGAAGACUGCAGCUGCUGUCCUCUGUUUUCCUCUUUGCUUCUUUUAGCUUCUCUUUGCUUCUCUUUGCUUUUCUCCUUUUGUUGGCUUGCUUUGGUGUAGCUAAAACCUUGCUUUAACUUGUACAAGUAGUUCCUCCAUCAUUUGGCAUGCUUGAAUUGAUUCAUAAGCUGAUAUAAACAUGUAAACUUGCCACAAAAUGGUUAAAACCAAUUACUAAGGACCUUAAUGAAUUAAUUGGGUUAAAUGAAUAUGAUUACUACACAAAGGUGCUUAAAAUCAUUAUAAUUAGGUCUAAAAAAUAGCACUUUUUGGUAGUAAUCAAUGGCUGUGAAAUUUCGCAGCCAAAGGCUAAUUUCGCAGCCCUGCGAAAUUGGCCUUCAGCUUGGAGUGAUCUGCUUCCAAUGGCUCUAAUUUCUUCAUUUCAACUCCGAUUUGCAAACCGUUUAAAGCAUUGGAUUGUUGACUUCCUGAUCUUCGAAACGACAUAUAGCAUGUAUAAAUUGGACUUCAGGAAGUGCUCCAAAAGUGGCUGAAAUGACUAUCAUCAAGAAUGCUUCAUGGCAGAUUUCUCUUUGCUUCCCCUCCUUGCAUUCCGGAUUUGCUUAUGGCAAAGGACUUCAAAGCUUUGGUUAUUCAUGUUUUUGAGCUUUCCAUUGCUUUGCCAUGGAUUCCAAAGAACUCUCCUCAAUCUUGGAUUGCUUUGGUGAUCAAAAAGCUAUCAAAACACCAAAACUUAACACAAUUUGAUUAGAAUUGAUUGCAAGGGUCCUUAACAUGCCAAUUGAGUUAAAAGGUAAUAACUACUACUGAAAAGUGUUUAAAAGAGUUAAUUACAAGCUAUCAAAUAGCACUUUUUGAGUAGUAAUCAGUAUGCGCCAAAAAUACCAUAGUAUAUACAACCAAAUUGAAUAAGGUAUAUAUAGAAAUGAACAUCAAGCACCAAUGAUAGGAUGGACAACUCCAUCUAUCUCCUCUAACAUAGGGGUGGCUACCUGGUCAAUAUCCUUCGAUAUAGGUGUAGUAGCCUGAUUAGUGAUAUCCAUGAUAGGUGUAACAGCCUCGCCAGCAGCUUGUACCAUAGGGGGGUCAUCCCUAAUAAUGAUGUCCACACUAGUGUUAAUAGCAUAAAUGAAGAUCUCACCAUCGACCUGUCCUGCAGAAUUUGGAAUAUCAAUAGUCGAGUUAAAAAUCUUAGCUGCGGCAUCACCUGAUGUUUGUAAGAUAGGCAUGGUCUCAUGGGCUACUGUCGGUGCUCUAGUGUCAAAGCCAAAACCAAUCACCUCUGUGUUGCCAUCAACCUCUAAGUUGGUAUCAGUUAGUGUAACCAAAUCUCCCCUUUAUCUAGAUGGAAUAACCAAAGAAGUGAGCUAUUGUAUAGAAAAAGUGAGGUCAUCCAUCUGAGUCUCCAUCUUACUUAGGUAAGCGUCAAUGUGGAAGUCCAUGGACACAAAUAACUUCUGAAGUGUGUCUAGACGAGCCAUGAUUGAUAAAGUACUCGGGGUAGCAUCAACAAUCUAAGGCUAUGAAGGUUUAGGAAGAUCGGAGAUUGGUACUGUUGGUGUAGAAAUAGGAAUAGCAAGCUCUGGGGCACAUGAAAGAGAUGGUGGAAGAGGAAUAGGAAGCACUAGUAAGCUCAUGUCAAAAGUAAGAAUGAGUGGGAGCGGGCUCUUUGUAGUAGAUGGAAGUCGAACAAAAUCCAAAGCUCUCUUUCACCUAGUGCGAUGGGUAGUCAAUUGUGACCCUGAAUGAAUCAUUCGAGCACACUGAUCGAUAACAGAAGUGUGAGAAGCCAUGUGACGACCAAACUCAAGUAACUGUUGUCCACGGUGGAGCAAGUAGUAUGAGAGCAAUCAAGGCAAAGGAAUGAGAUAGCUUUGAGCUAAAAAUAACUGUUUAUCCUUAACCUUCUAAAAAAAAAGAAAUGAUGGUAUCCAACUGAGUUGAGGUGGACUCCACCCCUCGCCUGUGUGCAUAUGAUAUAACCCCCAUAAGACUAAAUCAGAGCGCUCUAUAGAGUGUCCACAACAAGUACCCUGAGGUGCUAGUAUAUGUGCAAUCCUCGAAAAAGCUAGUCGUGACUGAGGUGUAAAUCAGGCUUCAAGAGGAGUGGAUGAUGGUAAACCAAAGGCUGAAACAAUGCUCUCAGUGGAAAUAAUAUCAACUCGUCCUCUAAUAGAAAAAUGGAGCUCUCGGUACCCCCCUCUCUAAUCCUCGAGAGUAAAUAAUAACUCUCGUACACUAGCGACAUAAAAAUAUGGGGGAUGAUCCAUCAAUGCGAGAAAAUAAUAUCGGUCAAGGAGAUGCAUGGACAAUGCAGUGGGCUCAUAAGUACUAAAUGCCUUUAUGUCAUAAAAGAACUCUUGACCAAACUCCCGUUGAGAUAGGUCCACCCUAGGGGCAUCAUCACAAACUCUUAGAGAUGGAGGACGUGUUGGGCUCAGAGUAGGGGGAGCUGCCCAUGGAUGUGGAGGAGUGGUAGUAGGCCUGGUGGUCUUAGGAGUGGUUGAGCGAUCAAAAUGGGCCUUCAUCCUAGUCUUUACAUGCAUGGCUUCAGUCCUCUUAGUGGUUGGGUGGUCAAAACGAGACUUCGUCCUAACCUCUACAUGCAUGGCUUUAGUCCUCUUAGUGGUUGGGUGAUCACAACGAGCCUUCAUCUUGGCCUCUACAUGCUUGGCUUGACUAGUGACAUGCCUCUCGGUAAGCUCACUAAUCAGUACACCACUUUGACUUUGGACAAGAGGUCGGGCAUGCUUUUGCCUUGGGAAUGCUUAGUCUCAUUGUCACUUUGAAUAACAACUUUCCUUUUAUCUCGAGCCAUCUAAAAUAAAUGUCGAAAAAUAAACUAAACUUAAAAAGGGAAAUAAAUAAAUAAAAAUAAAAGCAAAAACUCAUAAGGGUUAAGAAAACAAUCCCAAAAAAAUUGAAUGCUCAUGAAAUUUAUGGAUUCAUGUGAAACGGUGGUAGACCAUUCCUAAAAUGCGGGAAAACAUUCAAGGUGUCCAACACUGAUGAAAAUAUGAGUCUUUGAAGCCUUAGAUAUAAUCCAAACAAUACUUAAGCUCAAAUAUCAUGUGACAAGGAAAUCAAAGUGAUUGGUUAGCUUAGGAGAAUGUGUAGAACAAAUAGAAAAAUCUACUAGAGAGUUUAAAAUGUUCUAGAGGAUAUAAAACAUAAAUUAGGCAACAAUUAUGCAAAACUCAUGGAAAAAUAAGAACCUUGCUCUCAAAGUAUUCUAAGAUGAUAAAAAAUCCCUAAGAAUCAUGUAGAAAAAAUUUCAAAAAUUUUCUCCAAGAAUAAACCAAAAAUUAUAACACCUUGAAUUUCCAAGCAAAACAAAAGAACUAUGUAACCAAAAUCAAUCUUGUUGUGUUGCACUCGGGUUUUUGGGGGUCAAGUUCCCCGUUGAGCUCGUGGGGGUCGAGGGGCAGUGCCCUAUAGAUUUUUUUUUUCAUUAUAUUUAUUGUUUUUUAUUUAUCCAUCCAACCAGAACAAUAGAAACCCCAAACAAUGUUAGUGAGAAUUGGGUAACACCGCAUUUUAUAUGAAGCAACAUCGCACAAUGAAACCAUAAAGAUCAAGGAAAAUCCAUGAAAAAUAAAUAAGAAAUGAGUAUGAGUGUAAUACGUACAUGGAAUGCAACAAACCCACAAUGAAAACCUAAAAUCGCCCUCAAUGGAAGCUAGGACGAUGAACAAGGGAAGUGGAAAUGACCAUUUGUAAAGGAGUUUGGGUGAUUUCAGAGUGAGCUCAAAAUAGAAAUUAAGUAUUUUGAAUUGGAUUUUUGGUUAAGAAAAGUCAUUUCGAAAUUUAACUAUUGAAUUUGAAAAUAACCUUAUUUUGAAUUCAUUAAUUAAUGGUAAAAAAAUGCACAUUUUAAAAUGAAACCAUUGGAUUCGAAAACUACCUUAUUUCGAAAUGGUUCACUAUAUACAAAAAAUUUUAAAAAACCUCAUUUCAAAAUGAAAAAAAAAAAAUUCAUUUCUAAAUUGGGCAAAUUUCGAAUUCACCUUCUGAAGUUAAAAAAUCUCAAUUCUAAAGUAAAAGAUUCAAUUUUGAAAAGCCCACCAUUUUGAAUUUGCUAAAUGUAGCCUCAAUACAUUGUUAAAACCCCAUUUCAAAAUUCCACUAAUGAUUUUGAAAAUAGCUCCAUUUCGAAAUGGCUCACUGUUGAUUCCAACUUCUAUUUCGAAAUAGCAAUUUUUUUAUAUUUCAAAUUUGCCUUUAUUUCGAAAUAACCCACGGUGAGUGUUGAAGUCCAUCUUAAAGCAUGAAAAUUGCUCAUUUCGAAAUUCAAAACUCAUUGUAUUUUGAACUCAUUGUCUGUGAGUUCAAAACACCUAUUUUGACAUUUACUAGUGAUUUCAAAAUUAACCUCAAUUCGAAUUCACUUUCUGUAGAUUUAAAAUUGCAAUUCUAAGACAAAAAUUUUGAUUUCAAAAGGAUCAUAAUAUUUAAAUCACCCAUUACUAGUCUCCAAAAGUGUCAUCUCUAUUUGAGAUUUGAAAUUCAAAAACAAAGGAAUUUUGAAUUCAGCCACUAUACCUUUAACUCUUUAUCAUAAAAAUUUAGGAUUUCCCUCCCAAGGGCUACUCAGUUUUGUAUUUCAUCAUUUGUUUUCAAAGUUCACCAAUGAUUCUCACAAGUAAAUUUUUGGGAGACCUAUUGAUUCGUGCCCAGUCGGUGUAUCAGCUGAUUCAUGUCCAGCUUCUGCUUCUUGAUUGAGGGAGUAAUCAACAAAAUUUAUAACCUAUUACACCAUGUACUAGGGUAGCAAAGACAAAGCUACUAUAGCAUAGUGGCUCUAGGAUCGUUCACUGGGAUGGGUUUUCACUUCACAAAUGAUAUUAAUUCAAAGCUAAAUUGGUGCCUUUUCAUUUCAAGGUUAGCUUUAAAAGAAAACAUAAUUUUUGGUAGAAAAGGUUGGUUUUAAGUUAACCAAAAAUAAUAACUAAUUUUACUUACAAAGAAAAGUGUUUCUUGGAGUUUAGACCACAGGGCUCAUAUUCCUUGUACAAAAAGGAGAGUUCCGGUCACUUGUUUAUUUUCCUCGCAUUGGGGAUUUAACAUAUAGUUAUUUCCCGAACCGGUGUGGUACAGAUGCUUCACUUUAAUGGGUUCAAACACUAAAUCCCUCUCACUGAUGCACCUUGCAAUGGCUCAUACCUCUCACCUAGCACUUGCCAUUCAAGGUGAUCUUUAACCUUGGACUUCUCGUCAAAAGCUCGCAAGAGAUAACUAAUGGAUAUCUCCGUGGAGUCCAAAAGCUUAUCAAGUGUUGUCUAUUCUAGAAAAUCCUACCUUCAAACCACCUCCCAAAGGCUCGCAAGAGAUAAACUAGUGCAUCUCAAUGGAUAGAGAUCACUUGCCUUAUCGAGUGUUGGCCCAGGUGAUUUAAUGGCGUUUUAAGUUAACUAAAAAGAUAAAAACCAUUAAUGGGUCACACUUUCUCUUCAUUAAAAACUAAAACAACAAAACUUCCAAUUUAUGCAUGAGGAAAUUUACCCGGCUUUCUUCACUCCAAGAGACAAAGAGCCUAGCCUCUCAUCCUCCGAGGAAAAAUCCUUAGAGUUUGAUUGGCUAGAAAGAAAAUAAUGAGAAAACAAAAGCAAAGCAAGUGCUCUGUAUUUUACUUCCUUCCCAAAACUGUAAAAAAGGAUUCUCCCCCUGAGAACAGGCUCCCAAGAGAUAUAUAUAAGGAAAAUUACAAAAUAUCUAUAUGAGGUUAUUCACCCUUUUUCCAAACUUAAUAACUAAGGAAUCCUAUAAUUGGUGGGUUACAAGGAGAUUUUGGGGAUUUAGACAACAAAUAUCUAAAGCAAAAUAUCUCAAAAUAUCCCAAAAUAUCGAUGGCAAAUAUCAGGAAGCUUCAGGAGAACACCGCGGCCCUGUGCAAAAUGGCUGCUCUCCCAUCCGGGUAGACGCUAUCAGAUGAUCCGGAUACGUCCGUCCGGAGAAGUUGAAACGCCCUCUUCUCCCAUCCGGCGUCAUGCGCCGGAUGCAAAAUAUCCGGAUGUAAUGGCGGCGACAGUAGAUUUCUGGAUGUGAUACAUCCGGGUGGAAAGAGGCGGCAGCCGGAUGCAAUGGCGGCAGCCGCUCCAUCUGGAUGAAACGAUAGCAUCUUAUCCGGAUAUGUUGUCCGGAUGCCCUCUGAUGGUGUAUCCUGACGCCCUAUCCGGGUAUACUCCUUGCAUGGAUUCCAAGUAACUCUCCUCAAUCUCAGAUUGCUUUGGUGAUCAACAAGCUAUCAAAACACAAAACUUAACACAUUUUUUAUUAGAAUUGAUUGCAAGGGUCCUUAACAUGUUAAUUCGGUUAAAAGGUAAUAACUACUACUCAAAAGUGUUUAAAAGAGUUAAUUCCAAGCUAUGAAAUAUCACUUUUUGAGUAGUAAUCACCUAUGAUCUUAAAUAUAGAUCAAUGUACCUAUAGGAGCUUUGUCACCUUGAACACAUGUGAGGCUUACCAUUUCACUCCCUUCAAGUUUGCAUUCACCUAUAUCACUCGGCUGUUUGCAAGCUAAGUUGCUACAACUUAUAAACUCAUUAGUAAGUUAAAAAUUAACUAAAAAAUGCUAACCACAUUGCUAAUGACUAAUUGAAAAUGCAAAACUAAAAAAAGAAAAAUUAAAUUAAAUAAAAAAAUAAAACAUAAAUUAAAUAAAUAAAAGUUUUACCUAAAUUUAAUUUUUACCUACUAGAUUUUCAGAAAAUACUUCAACCCUUUUAAACAUUCCCAUAAAGAAAAUGGAGAUUCUCCUCUUGUGUCUCAAAUCUUUCAAUGAAAUGCUUUAAGCGUUGACCAUUAACUUUGAAUUCACUACCAAUCCUCAGAUUUUGAAUGGUCACGGUGCCAUAAGGGAAGACUUCCUUUACCACAUAAGGGCCAUUCCACCUCGACCUAAGCUUUCUUGGAAAAAUGUGAAGCUUGGAGUCGUAUAACAACACAUUUUCACCUUGCUUGAACUCUCUUCGUAAAAUAAGUUUGUCAUGGUAGAAUAUGUGUUUUUCCCUUGUAUUAUGUAAGCAUUCAUAACUUUAAUUUUGAUAUGCCUCAAGUUCCUUCAUAUCAUAUUUCCUUUUAGCUCUAGUUUGAUCCAAAUGAAAGUUCAUCUUCUUUGUAGCCCAAUAUGCACGAUGUUUGAGCUCUAUAGGCAAAUGACAUGAUUUACCAUAAAUAGUCUGAUAUGGUGACAUGCCAAAGCCAGUCUUAUAGGUUGUCCUAUAUGCCUGAAGUGCAUCACUCAACUUGGUAGACCAAUCUUUUCUUGUAGUAUUGACUACUUUGGUGAGGAUUUUCUUAAUCUCUCAAUUUUCUAGCUCAACUUGCCAAUUCGUUUGAGGGUGAUAUGGGGUGGACACUUUAUGCCACACUCCAUAUUUCUGCAAAAGAGUGGAAAAGGGCUUGUUACAAAAGUGUGAACCUCAAUUACUAAUGAUUACUCUCAGAAUGUCAAACCUAGAGAAAAUAUUCUCCUUUAAAAAUUUGAGUACCAUUUUGUGAUCAUUGCUCUUGCAUGCCACUGCUUCUACCCAUUUAGAAACAUAAUCCACUCCCACCAAAAUAUAGAGAUUACCAAAAGGAGGGAAUGGUCCUAUAAAGUCAAGGCCCCAACAAUCAAAGACCUUAACAACACAAAUAUAAUUUUGUGGCAUUUGAUACCUUGUGCUGAUUUUCCCCAAUUGUUGACAUUGUGGACAAGUUCCGCAGUGAGUGUUGCAAUCCUUGAACAUAGUUGGCCAAUAUAAUCAACUCUGUAGAAUGUUUGCUAAAGUCUUCCUCGGAGCAAAAUGACCUCCACAAGCUCCCUUAUGGCACAUUUUCAAUAUGUUGUUCAUCCUCUAGAACACAUCUCCGGAUAAUUUGAUUUGGGCAAAACUUAUACAAAUAUGGAUCAUCCCAAGCAUAGUGUUUUUCUCAUAAAAGAAAAUACUUUUUCAUCUCCAUGUUCCAUUCUGAGGGAAGCUCUCUAGUUGCCAAGUAGUUGACUAUAUUUGCGAACCAAGUCAACUUCUCCACUGCACAAAGUGCAUCAUUAAUUCAUACUGCCUUGAAAUGUGACUCUACUUUAACUCGGGACAGAUGAUCAGUAACCACAUUCUUUACCCUUUGCUUAUCCUUGAUUUGAAUGUUAAAUUCUUGAAGAAGAAGGAUCCAUUUGAUAAGUCUUGUUUUGACAUCCUUUUUGUUGAGUAGAUAUUUCAAGGUCGAAUGAUUAGUAAAAAUUACUAUUGAAGUUCUCAAAUGGUAGUUCUUGAAUUUAUCAAGUGUGAACAGCACUACAAGGAACUCCUUUUCAGUAGUUGUGUAGUUCUUCUAAGCAUCAUUGAGGGUCUUACUAGCAUAGUACACCACAUAUGGUUUUCCAUCCUCUCUUUGACCUAGUACGACUCCCAUUGCAUAGUCACUGGCAUCACACAUGGGGUCUCACAAUUAGUGCGAUAGUGAGGAGUGACUUUAGCCUCUCAAAAGCUUCUGGGCAUGCUUUAGUCCAUAUGAAUUAUGCAUUUUUAAGUAAUAAAGCACAAAGAGGUUAAGAGAUUUUUGAGAAGUCAUGUAUGAACCUUCUAUAAAAAUCUGCAUGCCCCAAAAAUUGUCUCACCUCUUUAACGGUAGUAGGCGAAGGUAGCUUUGAGAUGAGCUCAAUUUUUUCUGGAUCUACUUGAAUGCCUUCUCUAGAGAUGAUACGGCCAAGUACUACCCUUGAGGUUGCCAUGAAGUGACACUUCUUCCAAUUUAGGACCAAGUCUUUCUCAAUGCACCUUUUCAAAACUUUUUUAAAUUUAAAAGACAAUCAUCAAAGGCCUUCCCAUAAACUAUCAGAUCAUCCAUGAAAUCUUCCAUGAUUCUCUCUACCAUGUCAUGGAAGAUAUUGACCAAACACUUUUGAAAUGUGGUCGGCGUAUUACAAAGACCAAAAGGCAUGCGCUUAUAAGCAUAGGUGCCAAAUGGGCAUGUGAAUGUGGUUUUCUCCUAAUCCUCUAAUGUAAUGACAAUUUCAAAGUAACCUGAAUAGCCAUCCAAGAAGCAAUAAUAGUCAUGACCAACUACCUUCUCCAAAACCUGAUCUAAGAAAGGUAAUGGGAAAUGAUAUUUCAUGGUGACUGCAUUUAACUUCCUAAAAUCAAUGCAUACUCACCAACCUGUAGUCAACCUUGUAGGAAUGAACUCUCCUUCAUCAUUCUUUACCACAGUUAUCCUGCUUUUCUUAGGUACUACUUGAGUAGGGCUCACCAAACUAUACCUGCAUCUAAAAGCUUCAAUACCUCAUUUCUGACUACAACUUGUAUAAGGGUAUUUAGCCUUUUUUUGUGGUUGCCUUAGUGGUUUUACAUUAUCUUCCAAAUAAAUAUGAUGCGUGCAAAUCAAGGGAUUUAUCCCUUUCAAAUCUAAAAUAAACCAACCAAUCACUCUUUUACUCUCUUUAAGCACUUUUAAAAAAUUGAUUUGUUGCUCUUCAAUUAAUGUAGUUGAAAUGACCAAAGGUUUUUCUUCAUUUUUCUCUAAAUAAACAUACUUAAAACCAUGUGGUGGGCUUUAACUCUAGUUUGUUGGUCUCAACAUUCCCCUUUUUUAUUUCUUCAUCAUUUUCAACACUAUUCAAAGACUAAAUGCUACAUUUUUCUUUCCACUUUGUAGCAACUUCAACGCGUUCUUUCUCAAUGAUUGUAGAGAAAAAUUUGUUUAUAUUUUCUUCCAUUAACUUUUAUAUGGGUUCUUGCACCAAGGCCUCUAUAAUGCAUGCUUCCUCAUCCUCCACAUCAUCAUGGUCCAUCGGUUGCUUGCAUAAAUUGAAGACAUUCAUUUCCACUACCAUGUUCCCAAAAAAUAACUGCAUCAAUCCAUUCUAACAGUUAAUGACAGCAUUGGUUGUAGCAAGGAAGGCUCUCCCAAGAAUAAUUGGAACAAAAUUCACACAUUUUUUCAACGGUUCUGUAUCUAACACCACAAAGUCCAUUGGGUAGUAAAACUUUUCAACUUGCAGCAAGACAUCUUCGACUACUCCUCUAGGUAGUUUAAUCAAACAAUCUGCUAAAGAGAGUGUAAUGGUAGUAGCCUUAAGCUUUCCCAAUCCCAAUUGCUUAUAGAUUGAAUAUGGAAGCAAAUUUAUACUAGCUUCCAAAUCUAACAAAGCCCUUUCCACGAAUGAGUCUCCAAUUUGGACUGAGAUGGUAGAGCAACCUAGAUCUUUGUACUUCACCAUUGCCUUAUUCUCAAUGAUGGCACUGACUUGCUUAGUGAGGAAUGUUUUCUUGCUUAAUUUAAUCAUUCUCUUCAUAGUGCAUAAGUCCUUAAGGAACAUUGCAUAAGCAAGCACUUUCUUGAUCAUAUCAAGGAGUGGAAUGUUGAUCUUCACUUGCUUCAAAACUUCCAAAAUCUCUAAAGUCUUAUCCCCCACUUUGUGUCUUUGCGUUGCUGAAGGGAAAGAAAAAUGAUUGAAAACACUCUUUUUAUCUUUGCUCACAAUGACUUUCUCAUAUUUUUCAUACUCUUUCUCAUUUCUAGCAUUUUUCUCCAUGGUUGGUUCAUUUCUAGCAAGAAUAUCUUCAUUUAUCGGUAACUUGGGCCUUUGAUAUUCUUUUCCAUUUUUUAUUGUGAUAACUGCAUUGCAAUCUUUCUUUUGCACUUCAGAAACUUCAUUUACUCAUCUCAUAUUUUUCUAUUGUUGAGUUGUGAACUUUCUUUUCUCUUGAGAUAAGCCUGUAGCAAGUUGGCUCAAAAUGGUUCAAAUAUUUGCUAGUUCUUAAGAUGCUUGAGCAUUUAUCCUAUUUUGAUCCUCAUUACGGUUGUCUUCCUUCUAUAGAAACUCUCUCAUCAUAUCUUCCAGUCUUGAGUUAAUUGAUGAGGUAUGAUGUUGUUGUUGAAAAUUUUGAGAUGGCAUACCUUGUGGUUGAAAACCUUUUUGCCCAUUAGUCUGAUUACCCUGAAAUCAAUUUCCUUGCUACUGAAAAUGGCCAUUGUUACCUCAUCUCCAUGAUAGAUUUGAAUAAUUCCUCCAACCUGGAUUGUAAGUGUUGGAAUAUGGAGAAUUGCUAGAAUAUUGCUUGUAUGUCCUUAAGGCAUUGGUUUGCUCUGAAAACAUGUCUUGCACUAUAAUUAGAGUGGGACAAGAUUGCACACCAUAUUCCAUAGACUUACAUAUCAAGAACGGUUGAGUUAUUCCCUAAUUGACUAUUUGUACCUCUUGACCUCUUUUGGCUUCCAAAUCAUCCAACCUUCUCAUAAUGGUUACAAACUUUACUUGGACAUCUAAACUCUCUGGUAAUGUAUUCACUCCACUAGCUCUUGCCCUGUUCAUUGUUCUAUCUCUAGGUGUUUCCUUGACGAUUGGUUCUUCCCAACUUCUAGAUACCUCGGCAACAUAAUCAAGGAAUUGAAAUGCUUCAUCAGGGUUUUUAUUCAUGAAAUCUCCUCCACACAUAGUCUCGAGAAGUUGUUUCAUUGGUAGUGACAUGCCUUCAUAGAAAUAUGAUACUAGUAUCUAGUUGUCAAAUCUGUGAUGGGGAUAUGCUGCAACCAUCUCCUUGAAUCUUUCCCAACAUGCAAAAAAUUUCUCAUCCUCCAUAGCCUUGAAAUUCGAGGUUUCCUUUUUCAAUGCACUAGUCAUAUGUAUUGGAAAGAUUUUUUGCAAAAACACUGAUUGUGGAUCACCCCAAUUUCUAAUACUAUAGGGUCUAAGACUAUUUAACCAAGUCUUAGCUUUAUCCUUCAAUGACAAGGGGAAUAGCUUCAUGCGGAAGAUCUCUAAAGGAGUGUUGGCUUCUCGAAAAAUUGAAACGAUGUCCUCAAAUUCCUUGAUGUGAGAGUAUGGGUUUUCAUUUUUCGUUCCCUUAAUAAUGGGUAACUGAGAUACCACUUAAGGUCGAAUGGUAACAUGAUCAUGAUUUGGAGGUAGAAUAAAACACGAUGGUGUGCUCAACCUGGGAGGAUUUAGAAACUCUCUCACAGUUUUUUGGUCCUACAUAGGUGGUCAUGGCCUGUUGUUACUACUGUUGGAUUCUUUAGUGUCCUCCAUAUUUGGUUAAGAUUCCUCAGUUGUUCUUUGAAGUCUACCUAAAAGAUCUCUUUCCCAACCAAGCAUAAAAUAGAAGAAAAAUAUAUAUAAAGAAAAAAAAGAACUAAAACAAAGUAUUGCCAAUCCCUGCCAACGACACCAAUUUCUUGACGAAAAUUCUCUAUUGUACCAAAAUACUUAGCUUUUUUUACGUAGCAACUCCAAUUAAGAAAAACUAGAGAAAGAGUCACUACAACUUUUGAAGUACUCCAGGCAUCGUCCUCAAGAAUUAGCUUAUGGAAAGAAUUAAUACUAGAAUAAAUGAAUUGCUUUCGUCUAAAUCCUAAAGUGAAAAAAAAAAUGAGAAUAAUGUGAAACUAAGUAAAAGAAAUUAAAUUAAUAACAAAAUGGAUAUUAAUAUUAAAUUCAAUUGAUUCAAGUUUGGGCCUUUCCACAAUCCAACCUAAGGUAUAGAAAUUAGAGAAAACAAAGGUCUAUUAAGUAAUAUGAUCUUAGGGUUUUGGGAUCCUUGGCCGCUCACGAUCAAGUUGAGUUUUAUAACUGAAAAUUGCAUCAGAAACCUAUUUUUUUCCUUUUUAAAACAGAUUCCUAAAACCAUCAAAUGAAUGAGAUUGAUUACUACUUUAAGAUUUGGCUUUUUAACCCUUCCUACUCCUUAUAGCUUUGUUUUGGGGCAAAUAAUGAUAGGGAAGACGAGGAUAACUAAUGAUAAAAAAUUACCAAAAAUCACUAGUAUUGGGUAAUAACCUACCAUAUCAUUCCCUAAACCAACUCACAAGGAUAGGAUAAAAAAAAUGAUAAAUUGUCACCCAACCAAUAAAUAAUCUCAUUGUUAUAAUAAUUUACUCAUUGUCCCUAUAGGUUUCCUAGCCCUUAGGUUUUCAUGCUUUAAGCUCCAAGUUGGCUCUUAACCUCUCAUGGGGGUGAUGUCACAUUCACAAUCCAUAAUAUGGUAAAAAUCCAUAAUUUGAAUAAUAAUAAUAAAAAAAAAAACAAACCAAAGUUCUCGUCUUCUUCCACCUUUGAUGUCAAACUCUCCGAAAAAAAAAAUCCAAGAUCCCUAAAACCUAGAACUAAGAGAGUUUAUAUAAUACCAUCAAUUACCAAACAUGUGGCACACACUCAUUGGCCACUUAUUAAAAAAUAAAUACCUAAAAAUGAUUAAAAAAAUAAUAAAAUGGUGAUUUCUAGUCGUGUGGGCUCCAUUUAGGAUGGAGUGCCCUAGAUGCAAUUCCCGAGGUAGAGGAGACAAAACAUCGAAGUGGCAAUGGGUGAAUUCGAAAUUGGUGUCAUUUCGAUGUGGAUUUCAAAUUCAUAAGUUGAAUUUUAAAAUCAUUUUGAAAUCAUUUCAGCUCCGAUUUGCACAUUAUUUAAUGCUUUGGACUUGUAACCUCCCAAGCUUCGAAACAAUAUAUUGUAUAUAUAAAAUAAACUCUGGGAAGUACUCUAAAUUUGUCCUCAAAUUUAGAGUAUAUAUUAUCAUCAGAUUUUUGAGUUCUAAAUUUCCAUGUAGCUAAAUCUUGCUUCAUGCCUCAUUUCCUAUGUUUUCUUGCCUUCUUUCUUACUCCAUAAUGGUCAUUUCUCAUCUUCCAAACUCAUGAUAUCCUUGUUUAGCCUUUCCUCAUGGUUUAUGAGUCCUGACUCACUUAUUUCCUCGUUUAACCCUUUCUUGAUCUUUCAAAAUUUAAAGUGAUUUAACUUACACCCUUUUCUUCCCUUGAACCUAAGAUAAGUCUCCAAAGUACAAAUUAAACUCAUGGCUAGGGCCUUAGCAUCAAUUUAGGUUAAGUUAGGUGAUUUGAAUGUCCUUUGGUGUAUAAAUCAUAUCGAAUAUGUGCCAUUGAGCACAUAUUUUGGCUCCAAUCAAGCUUUCCCGCCAAAUUCUGCAUGCCAAACAUUGAGUGAUAGAAUGGAGUAGGUUGUCCGAAGAUUCACUUGAGGCUCUAUAGUACAGUCAUGAAAGCACACAAAUUAGAUGAUAUGUAGUUGGUUGCUCUCUUCCCCAUGUCACUUAGUUGAGCAGCAUAGAGGUGGUUGGCAUUAAUUAAGCCUUCAAGACUUUGCACUUGGAAGGAUGUGGCCUAUGAGUUUUUGACAUAGUUUGCCUUUAGUGCCGAUAUUGAUUUUUUUUUUUUCACUAAACAAGACGUCAAGAGUGUUACUUAACCAUCCCUAUGGGAAAAGCAAAAGUUGUUGCCUUAAGUGUUAAUAUUGAUGUUUCUAGGUGAGACUUAGAGGCUACUAAGCAGAGGCCAAAUGAGUCUAUUUCUUCAUUUAUUAGGCAUUGGAGGGCUAAGGUGGUUGAUAUGAUAGAUUGACUUAAGGAGUAAGAUCAGAUUGACGCACUUCUUUGGAACCUUCAACCGGGGUUUGCUAGACAUCUUGUAGGUAUUCCAUUUCAAGACUUUUGAAGUUUGGUUCAAGUCGCUUGUAGUGUUCAGGAGGGUAUUGAUAAAGGGUUAUAGACAAACACUAUUCCUUCCUUAGACAAUAAAGGAAAGAAGCCUAUAGGAUCAUCAGGGAGUCUUGGAGAGGUUAACACUAUCAGUUAUCAUCAUUGAGGUUAGCUUAUCAGUCAUACCAAAGGUCUCCUACAAUUAGAGCCCACUUUCCUCAUCCAUUGUGCCAAUAUUAGUCCACCUAUAUUCAACAACCUUUCAUUGCUCAGACCAGUAUGCAACCACGACUACCAUAUCCUAGAGACACUGGUUCUCAUUCAUUACUCAUGUUCCCACUCAUAUUUUUUACACACAUGAUCUUUAUCGAAGAGGGGCAUAUUUGUAGACCCUCCAUUCUAUCUCCUUAAUACAUGCCCUAUUAAGUGUUCUUUCAAUACUCCACAAUGGUUCCCUAGUGGCUCUAUGUUGCUCAUAUAACCUACCUUUUUUAGCCACCUUGGAGACUUUGGUUGAGGAAUUUAUUUCACCCCUCAUUAUGACUCUUGGCAUAAUCGAGUUAGAUUUAGAUUUUUCUUUUUUCUUUUUAGGAUAGCUCCUUUAAGUACAUCUCUAGAAUAGAGUACUUAGGCAUCAUUUUUCGAUCACCUUGGCCCAUUUAGACACUUUUAGCCCAUUUAGGCACAUCCGACCCAUUUGGGAUCACCCUAACCCAUUUAGAUACAUCUGGAUUAUUCAGAUUACCUUGACCGAUUUAGACACAUUUGGCCCAUUUAGGUACAUCCAACUCAUUUAGGUCACCUUGGGCCAUUUAGACACACAUAGGCCCAUUUAGGCACAUCUGGCCGAUUUAAGAUCACCUUAGCCUAUUUAGACACAUCCAACCUAUUUAGGAUGACCUUGCCUCAUUUAGACACAUUUGACCCAUUUAGGAUUACCUGAACCCAUUUAAGCACAUUCGACCCAUUUAGGUCAUCCUAGCUCAUUUAGACCACUUAGGCCCGUUUAGGCACAUUAGGCACAUUGGAGCCAUUUAGGAUCACCCUGGCCCACUUAGGCAUGCCUUGACCCAUUUAGCUCACUUGGCCCAUUUAGGCACAUUUGGUCCAUUUAGGAUCACGUAGGCCAAUUUAGGCAUAUUCGACCCAUUUAGGUUGCCUUGGCCUAUUUAGAAACAGCCAAGCCUAUUUAGGUCACUUAGGCCCACUUAGGCACACCUUGCCCUAUUUAGGUCACUUAGGCCCAUUUAGGCUCAUUCGACCCAUUUUGGAUCACCCUGACCCAUUUAGGCAUAUUUGGCCCAUUUAGGAUCAUCGUGGCCCAUUUAAACACACCCUAGCCCAUUUAGGUCAUUUAGGCCCAUUUAAGAACACAUUAACCCAUUUAGGAUCACCCCAGCCCAUUUAGACAUACCUAGGCCCAUUAAGGCAUAUCUGACCCAUUUUAGAUCACCCUAACCCAUUUAGACACAUUCGGCCUAUUUAUGAUCACCAUGGCACAUUGGGCCCAUUUAGGGUCAGUUAGGCCCAUCUAAGCACACCCUAAGCCCAUUUAGGUCACCCAUUGUCUCACUUCUUAUUGCAUGGUUUGUGUGAUUGCAUUGUUGAACUUCCUUGCAUGGCCUGCAUGACACUUUGUUUUUUUUUUUGUUAUUAUUAAUUACUUAUUUAUUUUUAUUUAUUAUCUUGCCAUUUAUUUAUUUAUUAUUUAUCUAUUAUUAUUUCAUCAGUUUCUGAAUUAUUUUUAAUUACUAUUCAUUUGUUCAAUGUAAUUUUAAUUUUUUUUUUGUUUUUGUAGGGAAAUUUACCAAAGAGAGAGCCAACGGAGAAGGAAAAUAAGAAUCACCAAAAUGAAAAAGGAAGAUAAAGACAAAAGAGAGUAAAACUUACCAAAAGGAGAGGGGAUUGUGAGUUGCAUUAUGAAAGUAUGGAGAACGCAUUUUGGGAAGUUUAUCAAAGAGAGAGUGAAUGGAGGUGUAAAGCAAGAAUUACCAAAAUAAAAAAGGAAGACAAAACGAGAGAGAGUAAAACUUACCAAGAGAAGAGGGGAUUGAGGGUUGCAUUAUGAAAAUAUGGAGAACAUGUUUUGGUAAUUGAGAAAUUCAGCACAUGGAGGUUUUGGAGUAAGGAGAGGAAGGAUUUGGUCAAGGUGGAAUUUUAAGAAAAAAGGAUAUUCAAUGUGGUAGGAAGGAAUGUUUAGCAUAUUAAGGAAGAAUGUGGGGAUUGGUAGGGGGGAAGAAGAACAAUUGCAAUUUUGAGCAUAAUUUUUGUAAAAUUUAUUGGAUGAUUGGUUUGUAUAAUUUUAAUGUUAGUAGAUUUUAAAAUUUUACGGAAUGAUUGUUAGGUUAAAUUCCCAUGUUGAAUGUGUUUUAAAAAUUCGUUAAAAAAAUUAAAUAAAAAUUCUUUGAAUGUUUGUUAGGUUAAAUUCUCAUGUGAGCAUUAUUAUUAUUAUUAUUAUUUAAUGCUAUAUUUGGUUGAAUUUUCAUGUCAAUAGAUUUUUUUUUAUUAAAAAAAAAUUGUUGAAUGUUUGUUAGUUUAAACGUUUAUGUUAAUAUAUUUUUAAAAUUCAUAGGAUGUUCUUGGCAUAAUUCUUAGUUGCCCUUAUCUCUAAAACCUUUCUAAAAUAAGAAAGUCAUUCAAGAAAAUAAAAAAAAUAUAAGAAAAAGGCAAAGUUGCUGCCUUUUUUUUUUUGGGGGGGGGGGGGGGGCCUUAUUUAUUUAUUAAUUUAUUUUUGUCAAUCUCCUACAAAAUGAUAUCCCACUUACACCCUUACGCAACAAGAGCGCGUGGGACACCCACUUCGACCCAACAACUUUAUGAUGAAUCUGAACCCUGUGGACAAUAAUACCAUGUGCAUAUAUACGAGCCUGUAACACUCAUUUAUGGGUUUAAAUUCAUUCAAAUGAGUCAGUAGUAAAAGCUAUGAAACAGAUCGAACCCCACCUUUUUUUUUUUCUUUUUUUUCGUUUUUAAAUUUUCUGGGGUCCCUCAGUUACUUUACAGAAGGUGGCAGAGAAAGAGAGACGAAUAAUCACUUUCAAUGCUGUUGUCUUCUUGUUGUAAGGGUAAAAUAAGAGGCAAAGAAAUUAAUGAAUUCAUUAUCUUACCUUUCUAUUGAAAUGCCUUCCAAGAAAUGUUUUGAGAGCUUUGAGUUUAGUCUAUAAUAAUGGUAGUAUAUUUCAAUGAAUAUGCAUUCUAGAAAAAUAUAUACCUUUAGCAUAUACCAAGAUAUCCUAGGGUUUCAAGUCAAGUAACAACCAAUCAAAACAAAAUCACUCUUCUUGGAAAACAUGGAUGUUCGAGUAUCCAGCUCUUUUCUUUAAUUGUGCUAACAUCGGCUCUCUCUCCAGCAUGCAAGUGUGCGUCCCAGGCAGCUCUUUUGUGCUUUAAAUGAAUUGAAUUCUUGAUCUUAUUCUGCCAUUGUUUUGGCUCAAACCUAAGAAGUAUAUUUACCCUAACUUCUUUUCAUGUCUUCAACUUACUCAAAGGCUCACAAGUCCCAUUGGAAGUAAGCAGUUAAGGAUUUUUGAACUAAAAUUAUCAAACAUAGUCUAAUAGGUUAUUAAUGAAAUUAUUGAUGCAGAAUAACAGGGCGGGUGACUUCAAAUGGAUACACUGAGGUCUAUCUGUGCGUGUUAGGCAUUCAUGAACCUGUUUUCUUCGGUCAAAGAGCAGCCAAUACAAGGAAAAAACAUGGCGAAAAUUAAGUGAAGUAUGACUUCUGGAAGAUUUAUCACCUUCGUAAAUGAAGUGAGAGUUUUGACCGAAUUGAAGUAAAAAAAUUAAAUGCAACGGCUAGACCGGCUCCAACUAUUAAGAUUAUAAGUGCCACACAGAAAGAACGGAAAGAACGGUCCUAGUAAAUGAAGUAUAAAGACAUGAAAACAUAAAAUUGUCCAGGUAAAUGAAGACAUGCAAUGAAGAAGAAAUCUGUUGCAGACUACACAAAUCACAACCACAUAAAUCAACCACCCACCCAUUUUUCGAACUUCCAGCUCUCAUGCACUGGCACAGUUCGGUCCUUUUAAAAAUUAAAGUAGGCAUCUAAAAUUUUAUUGGUUUCAAGAAAUUUGGUGCACUAGGAUCCAAUGAAGAGAACCUUUUUAUUCUAAAUAUUCAAUAGUAGAUUCCAUUCUUAGCUUACCAAUAUAUAUAAAUUACUCAGGACCUUAAGAAGUUGAUAUUACAAUUUAAACAAUGUUAUAUCAUGUGUAUUAGGAGAGAACCAAUCUCACCCACAAAUCAAGAACACUCAAUUGUCAAUUCUUAAGUUUAUGACUAAUAUAGUUUAUGUAUCUUUUGGAAAGUCAUGCGUAUAUUUAAAAGACUAUAGUGUACACCAAUAAUAAUAUACUUGCACCAUUCAUCUAUGUACCUCUUUCUGGUAUCAGAGCAAUUCUAGCUCCCAUGAGUUCUUUUUUUCGCCUUCAUCCUAUGUUUCACCAUGGCUGAAGCAAGCUCAACCAGGCUAUCCCACCUUCCCUUACCUACCAAUACAACCAUGAACCUGGACAAUCUCAUUGCCAUCAACACAAUUAGCUAGCCAACUUCCACUCAAGCUCAUCCUCACUAACUAUUACUCAUGGAAAACAUAGUUUGCUGCACUGCUCUUUGGAUAUGACCUACUUGGCUACAUUGUCGGAACAAAGCCAGGACAAACAAAUAUCAAUCGUAACUAUACUAUUUGGACAAGUAGGACAAGCUUCUUCUUCUAGGAAUCAUCGGCUCUCUCAGCCAUAAAGUCGUACCUGUGGUUCAUUCAUGCAAAACUUCCACUAAAGCUUGGCAUCAUUUUUCAAAGCUCUAUGUCAAUCCCUCAUUCUCCAAAACCAUGGGAUUGGUAGAGCAACUCAUUCUUCUCAACCAUGGCUCUUAACCAAUGGUUAACUACCUUGCAACAAUCCAUGAUAUUAUUGAUGAAUUGGACCUUCUUAGAGAAGCCAUUCCAAACCAAUAACUCACCCCUUAUGCAUGCAAACAUGUCACCCACGAAUUCAAUGAAUUGUUGUUGUUAUAUGCGCACGAGAUACUAUGAUCACAUUUGAUGAGCUGCAUGAAAAAUUGAUGGAAUAUGAAGCCUUCCUCAUGUAGGAAGAGCUUCGUUCCACUAGCACUCUUGGUACCAUUAAAGUCAACAAUACACAAUUUUCAUCUUCCCAUAGUGACAAAAACGCUAGCCAAAAAUAUUUCCCUAGUAGGAAAGGAUACAAAGGCCAACAUCCUCCUCAUUUUGGGAAUCAACACCCCAACAAGAACGCCACUAUGAUUUGCCAAUUCUGCGAGAAGAAAGGUCAUACUACUUGCUAGUGUUACUUGGCUAAGAAAUUGUUCCUUUCAUCCACACCUACUACUAGUCCAAUUAUCCCCACAAACAACUUCCUAACCAAUUGGCUCGUAGAUAUCAGUGCCUCACAUCAUGUUACAUCUAAUCUUAACAAUUUGUCUCUCUGCCAACCAAUGAAUCUGGUCAUUAAUAGUUUUCACAUUUCCUAUACUUGGAGGGUUGUUCCAAGAUUAAAUAAAGUUUUUUCCCAAGCUAAUCUUAAUGUAGUCUUUUCCUAUUCUUUGAGGGUUGUUCCAAGAUUAAAUAUGCUCAGUUUCAGAAUUGAAAGGACUUUUUCAUAUUGCUAAGAAAAAAACUUAUGAGAUUGAUUUUUCUAUCAAAAUUCUUAUCUCUAAAGUGGAUUCCUUUGAGUGGUGAGCUUAAUUCUGAGUUCUUAUCUUUAAGGUGAUGAAUUUCUUAUCGUUAAAGUGGUGAACUUGUGUUAUUAACUUAUCAUUUUAUUUCCUUAAAACGGUAUCAUUUUGUGUCAGAAAAAGUAGUUACAGGCUCCCUUCAAGUUUCUUAUGUAUCAACCCACAAUCAACUUGUGGAUAUACUCAACAAACCAUUGCCCAAGUCCCGCUUUACAUUCUUUCAGUCCAAGAUUGGCAUUUUUUUUUUUUUUAUGGAAGCACCAUCUUGCAAGGGCAUAUUAGGAGAGAACCAAUCUAACCCACAAAUUAAGAGCACUCAACAAACCAUUGCAAGGGCAUAUUAGGAAAGUCAUGUGUAUAAGAUUGUAGUGUACACCAAUACUAAUAUACUUUCACCAUUCAUCUAUUUACCUCUUUAAUGUGAAUGACAUCUACACCAAAAGAUAAUUUGGUGCCUAUACAUGCGUUAGUUUUUCAACUAAAUUGUUGAACAAAUGCCAUGAAUUGAGGUAUUACGAAUUAUUAAAAAGUUAAACUUGACUUAGAAUGUUUCUAAAAAUUAGAAUUUCACUUAGUUUAAGCUAACUAGAAUAUUUUAUUUUUGGCAAUUUAUUAUUUUCUAUUUUUUUUUUAUGAAGUUUUAUAUUUUAUAAGAAGUUUCUAUUUUAUUAGGUGUUAGUAUCUAUAAAUAAGAUGUAAUUUAAUAGUUGAAUAAGAGCGGUGAAAAACAAUAAUUUUUUUCUUAAUCCAUCUCAGUUGCUUAUCUCCCUUUAUGUUAUUAUUUGUCAUAAGUUAUUUCAACCCUAUUACUCCAACAAAUGGCUAUCACUGUCAUUCAAAAAAGUGGAAAUUGGCAUGUAUCUAUUUCAAGUCCACAAAGUCAAUAAAUGUAAUUACAAUAAAGGGGUAUGAAACUACUCUAUCCUAAAAUUAAUCAAAAGGAAUUUUUUUUUUGAAAAAUAUAAGUAAGAAAGAUAAGAAAGCUCUUACCUCCAUCAAUUAAGCAAUGGAUGAAGGUACUUUUGAGAAGAUUUUCAGUGCAACCAUAACCAAAUAUGAGAGAAUUUUAAGCACACAUAACAUAUUUAACAAUAUACAAAAGAUUAAUCUUCAAACUCUAAUAAGAGAAUUUGAAAGUUUGAGCAUGAAAAAAGAAAUCGAAAUAAAUCUCUAAUUAUUUUUCUAGAGUAUUAGCUGUUGUGAGUUUACAAUAAAAAUAUGUCAAAAGUUUGAAUGAUAGCCAUGUGGUAAAAAAAUAUGUUCAAUCUUUAGAUUCCAAAUAAGUUUAACUAUAUUGUUGUUGUCAUUGAAGAAUAUAAACAUUUAGAUUCUAUCACCAUUGAUCAACUCAUGAGAUCACUAUAGACUCAUAAAGAGAUUAAAAAGAAAUAACUAAGAAAAAUUACAACUUUUUUAAACAGAUUAAACUUAUACUAAAGGAGAAUGAUGAAAACAUUAGUGAAAGAAGUCAAAACAAUCAUGAAUAUGUCAAAGACAUGGUCAUAGCCAUGGCUAAGACAAUAGAGGAAGAGAUAGGUUUAAUUUAUCAAACAAUGAAAUAACAAGUCAAAAUUCACAUUCCUCAAGAGGACAUGAAAGAUGACACAACUUCAGGCAUAAUAAAAGAAGAGGAUAUGAUAAAUUUCAAAUUGAAUGUUAUAAUUAUAAAAAAUAUGGUCAUGAUGCUUAUGAAUAUAGAAAUGCUACAAACAAUAUGAAAAGAUACGUCAAAGGAGUUGCCACCUAGGACCAAACUUCCUGCUGAUCAAGUCUCAUAUCGAAUAUUGUAAACCCUCAAUUUUGUCCCUUUAGCACAUGUCUUUAAAAUUCGUUUUCAAUGCUCCACAAUAGUUCCUUGGUGGCCCAUGGCUACUCAUACCACUUACCUUUUUCUGAGUCACCUCGGAGACUUUGGUUGAGGGAUUAUCUGACCCCUUAUUGUGACCCUUGGCAGCCCUAACUUAGACUUAGGCUUUUCUUGCUUUUUAGGAUAGCUUUUAGAUACACUUGGCCCAUUAGGCACCACCUUAGGCCCACUUAGGUCACCUUUUAAGUAAUUUUUUGCAUGUUUGCAUGAUUGCAUUUUUUUGUAUGACUUGCAUGGCUUGUGGGGCCCGAUUUUUGUUAAUUUGUUUAUUUUUAUUUAUUUAUUUUACUUUAUUUUUUAUUUUUUAUUUUUUAUUUUUUUUUUACUAUCAUUCACUUUUUAUUGGUUAUCUUCCUCUUUAUAUUAUUUUCCUUAACUUAUUUAUUUAUUUAUUAUUUUUACCAUUUUCUAAUUUAUUUACUUAUUUAUCUAUUCAUUCAAUUAUUUAACUUAAAAAAUUUCAUGCUUUUGCAAGGAAACUUACCAUUGGAGUUUAAGGAAAGUGGGACUCUCCAUCGAAGGUUUUUGGAGGGGAAUUUGAAAUUGGGAAGAUUGCUUUUGAAUUGGAAGAUUUAAAAAAAAAGGAAAAGGUGAAAAGAAGAAAGAAAAUAAGAGAAUUUGUCUUUUUUAGAGAGAUUUAGGUUUUAGGGGGGUAAUAUAUAUAUAUAUGUGAGAAAAGGAAAAGAAGAGGACACGUAUUGGAGUCACGGUAGGGAGAGGAAUAAAGAUAGCAAAAAAAGGAUUUUUUCUUUUGAGGAGUACGCUGAAGAAGAGGAAGGAGAUGGGUGAUUCAUUACUCUGCAGCUGCCUAAAGGUUAUAGUGUUUUCAUGUUUCACUUUUAUUGAUUUUUCGUCAAGAUCAGUUUGGUACUGCUUUAGUCUCUCUAUAUCCUUGCUUCCCAUAGAGAUGUGGAUGCUUGCUAAUCAGGUAUGCCCUUUCUACCCCACAACCCUAAAAUUCUAUGAAUGUGUAUGUUCUCAUGAGACAUGACCAUGUUUGAUGCCAUAAUUGAUUGCCUUGAUGCUUGAUUGAUAAUCUUUGAUGAAAAUACAUACCAUGUAUCAUAUUUCCAAACUAAUCUCUUAUGUUUCAUGAUAGCGCUUGAGAAGCGGUUUCGGUACGCACCCUAACUUUCCUUUAUUGUGAUUUGAUCUUGUUUAGCAAGCUAUUUUUUGAAAUCACCUUAGUCUAUCUAGGUACUCUCAAUUAAUCAAUUAAUUGCCCCACUUCCCUCAACUUAGUCAGUAGAGACCUCUUUGGGGCUUAGAGGGGUGCUACCUCCUAGAGGUACCUUCCCAAUAAGCAACCUGAUCCCCAGACCUAGACUCGGGUUUCUCAAAGACAUGCUUUUUCCAAAACUAUGGAGUCACUUUUUAGGGUUUCUCUUUCUUGUUUUAUUUUCCCUUCAAAAUAAAAAUAAAAUAGGUGGUGAUUCCAACUUUUCUAAAAUUAAUUUUUCACAAAUAAAAAACUAGUCUCGCCGAUCGAGUGGGGACACACGUGAAAAAUGCGGGUCCGCAAAUAUCACUUUCGAAGUUACUAGAGCUAAGGAGGUAAUUGAAGAAACUAUUGGAUGCAUGCAUGAUCCAAUCUUUAAGGGUUUGUUUUGGUGCUCCUAUCUUAUUCCAAAUAGAUGUGUGUUAACUAUUGGGCCUUGAACAAAGUAACGAUCAAGAAUAAGUAUCCAAUCUCCUUAGUGGAAGAAUUAUUUAAUAAACUGGCCAAGGCAAAGUUUUUCUCCAAAUUCGACUAACGGUUAGGAUACUAGCAAGUAAGGAUUGUAAAGGGGGACAAAAAAAAAAAAAAGACUAUAUGUGUAACUCACUAUGGACCAUAUGAGUUCCUCAUGAUGCCAUUUAGACUAACUAAUGCCUCAAUAACAUUCUACAACCUAAUGAAUGAUUGCCAUACAAGUUCUUAUAUGCCUUUGUUGUGGUUUACUUUAAUGCAUUGUUGUCUAAAGCAAGACCUUAGAAGAGCCUGUGAAUCACUUGAGAUUAGUGUUUCAAAGACUAAGAGAACAUGAACUCUACUUGAAGAUGGAGAAGUGUGAGUUCGCACAAAGUCAUAUUACCUAUCUAGGACAUUAGAUAGAGGAAGGGUUUAUCAAGAUGGAUGUUUAGACCAUUAAAGAUUGGCAUGCUCUAAGCAAGAUGACACUACCUGACUAUUAUUGAAUGUACAUAAGGGGCUACUUCAAGAUAGUGGCUCCCCUUGCUAACCUUCUAAAGAAGGAUAUUUGCUAGGAUUGGAGGUUUGAAUGCUAGAAAGAUUUUGAGAAGUUGAAAGUAGUGAUUUGAGUCAAGUUGGUGUUGCAAUUACUAGAUUUGGAUCUCCUAUUUGAGGCUCAAAUAGAUGCAUCAGCUAGGGCCUUAGGAAGGAUCUUGGUGCAGGAAGGGCACCCAAUAGCCUUUGAGAGUUGAAAACUUAAUGAGUUAGAACAAAGAUACUCCAUUCACGAGAAAGAGAUGACAAUGAUUAUCCAUUGCUUAUAGUAGUGGAAGCAUUAUCUGUUGGGGAGUAUAUUUACUAUAUAUGGUCACAGGCAACAUAGUUAAUACAUUUUUCAAGAUGCAAAAGGAGUUGAGCCCUAAGCAAUCUAGGUGGCAAGAAUUCCUAGCCGACUUCAAGUUUAAAUGGUUGUAUUGACCAAGAAGACAUACUGUAGUUGUAGAUGCCUUAAACCAGAAGGAAUUGACAGAGUAUGUGAUCCCUCUAUCACAUGUGAUCUCAUAUUUUAAUGAAAAGAUCAAGCAAGCUGCUAAGCUUGAUUCUACUUAUGAGAAGAUGAAUCAACAAGUCAAAGAGGGGGCUAUUAAAAAGUAUUGGCUAGAAGAUGACCUCUUGGUGGCUAAAAGAGGUAGGCUAUGUGUACCAAGAAGUUGCUUACAUAAGGAGUUACUAAGAGAGACCUAUGAUGUCGAGUAGCCAGGUCACCUUGGCAAAGAGAUGACAUCAAUAGUAUUGUCCAACUACUAUUACUAGCUAAAAAUAAGAGAGGACAUCUAGGCUUAUGUUCUAUAUUGUUUGAUAUGUCAAUUGGAUAAGACAGGCAAGAAGAAAGCUAUAAGGUUACUACAACCUUUCCCUAUCCUAAAGAGACCUUAGGAGAACAUAUUUGUGGACUUCAUCGGUGGCUUUCCAAAAGUGAGGGAAUUUAAGUAUAUCUUCAUGAUAGUAGAUAGACUCUUUAAGUAUGUUGCUUUCAUACUUACACCACAUGCAUGUCCCGUAAAGGAGGUUGUUAGGCUAUUCCUCAACCAUGUGGUCAAGUACUUCAAGUUGCCUAAAGACAUAGUCAGUGAUUUUGAUGCUUGAUUCAUUGGUUAGUGUUGGAUUGAGUUGUUUAAACUCCUAGGAUUGAAGUUGAAGUUCUAAACAACAAAUGAUUCAUAGAUAGAUGGGCAAACAAAGUGUAUCAAAUGUGCCACUUAAGGAAUACCUCAGACACUAUGUUUUUGCAACACAAAAGAACUAGAUUGAUUUAGUGGAGAUAGCUCAGUUAUCCUAUAACUUACAUAAGAGUUCAAUAAUAGGGUUGAGUCCCUUUGAAUUGGCUAACAAGUGUUAGGGUUCCCAACAAAUACCCCCUUAGAGGUUAGGGUUUCUAAGGUUUUUCAGUUGUCUUCCUAAUCUAGAGAGCGUAAGAGAAAGAGCUUAGGAAUCAUCCCUUCUAAAGCCCACUCUUUGGAGUUCUAAGAUCGUAGUUCGAGUCAUCAAGUGUAAGAUCUUGGAUGUACAAGACCUCCAAACUCUUCAAGUUUAUUUUUUACCCAUGAAAUUGAUUUGGGGACAUCCAGAUCUAGACAUGAAUGUUUCUUCUCUAGUUUUAUUAAUCUAAAUCAUUUUAAAAGUCAUAUUUCAAUUCAAAUUAGUUUCUACAAAAGCCUAGGGUAGAUUUACAUGUACCUAUACAAUCCAAGGUAUGGGAAUGGAAUGAUCCAAGGUUCUCAACAUACACACUAUCUUACUCCCAUGAGAUAUCAUGGUGCUUUUAUUAAGAAUACUUGUUGCUAGCUUUCCCAUAUGGAUAUAUGACCACAUUAGGGUCUCACCUAUAAAUCAAAGUUUCUUAUUGAUUUUGGUAUAAAUUCAAUAUAUUCUCAAGGUUGAGAAUCUAUGUAUUACAGUAGCUUAGUGAAUCAUGACAACUAAUAGCCUUAUGUCAUGAUUCACUAUAGGUCUUGUCCUAUAUGUAACCAUACACACUAAUGUACUCAUCAUGGGAAACUCAUCUCAAUGGUCAUGAUAAGUCAUCUCUCCAAUUAGGAGGUGGUGCAUUGUAGUCUUUAUUGAAUUGCCCAAAUCUAUGAACCAAUUAUAAACAACUAAUCAUCUUGCAAGGAAUCCAUGACUUAUGUCCUUUAUGCAAUUCCUAGUACACUAAAGUCAUAUGCAAUGCAAGUGAAAUGACAUGUUUAUUUAGGUAACCAAUCAGUACAUAAUGGGAUAGUAAGUUGAGCAAUAAACAUAAAUAAAUAAAUUUAUUAAUGAAUCUACAACUAUUAUAUCAUGUCAUGCUUUCCAAGGCACUAUCCCAAUAGGUUGGAUUAGGUGACUCAAGUUCAGUUUAAGCUUAAGUCACUUAAACCCAUAAGAAGCCCUAUAUAAACACUCUAAGAGGUUUAGGGUUCACGAUUUUAACAUUUUGGCCACCAUCUUCCUAAAAGAGAGUAAGAGCAAGCCUUAACCACUCUUAGGAGAGGAAGAGAAGCUCACCCUUAUCUUAUGCCAUGAUCCUUGAAAUGAGAGAUCGAGUAAAAGAUCUUUGGGUAGAUGAACUCCACCACAUCCCCAACAUCUUCUUUGACAUCUUCUUGGGAUUAGAUUCGAUUUUGGAACAUCCAAAUUGUAGGUAUGAAACUUUAACCUCUACAUCUAGAUCAUAAUGUGGUUUUAGUUACCAUAUAUUUUUACUAUGUUAGAUACAAAGCCUAUGAACUAAGUAACUAGUGGUUCCCAACAGUUUAUAGUUAUAAAAUGAUGAAAACUAAUGUCUUUUCACCAACUAAACCUCAUAAAGCAUUAAAAUCAUUAGUUUCAUUGCAAAUUCAAGUUAAAGAUUAAAAUGCACCAAGUAUGAGUCUCACCCACAAAAUGAUCCCUAAUGCUCAUUAAUAUAUAUAUUAAAAGUCAAAAGGAUAAUGAAGAUGAUGACAAACCAAUAAUCAAAGCAAACUUUUGAUAAUGAAGAAAUAUGUUAUGUUCAGUGUCAAAAUAAAAUCAACACUAAAUUUUCUAAUAAAAGAAUUUGAUAGUAGGUUGUGACUACAACCUAGAUAUCAAUUCCAUAUUGAUACAAAAACAGAGCUUAAGGCAAUUUGAAAAACAAGCAUAAAAUCGAUGGUUUUGGAAUUGAUAAUAAAAUCAAUAAACCAACUCAACUUGAUACUCCUUGACAACAUGGAACCAAUGUCAAUCCCAAUAUGAUAACAAGAUCUAUACAACAUGAAAAACUGACAAAGCAAAAUUUACCAGACUUGGUAUCAAAUCAAAAUCAACAUGUAUUUCAAUAAAUUAUAUAUAUAUAAAUCAAUACAACACUAACAAUGGUAAUGUUAUUAUUUGGGAUAAACUAAUAUACAAAUAAUAAAGGCUCUGAGGUAUCAAAAUAUCAUUAAUGAGUACAAAAUCUAAUUCAACCAAUUUCAGGCAUUCUCAUGUGAAUUUACAAGUAUAAAAUAAUGAAAACUAAUGCAUUUUCACAAGCUAAACCUCAUAAAAGCAUUGAAACCAUUAGUUUCAUUGUAAUUUCAAACUAAAUAUCAAAAUGCACCAAAUAUGAGUCUCUCACGCAAAAUGAUUCCUAAUGCUCAUUAAUCUGAUUUUUUUUUUUUUCAUAUAAGACAAAAACAAAAACAAUUCAACAAUUUUUAUAGGGCUAAUUUUUUUUAAAAUGAUAUAGAAUAAUACAAAAGAAAAUAGAAAGGAGAGGAUAAUAUAUUGAAUGAAAGCUUGAAGUGCAGUUGGGGAGGCUUCAAGACUUGUUCAUAGCUUUGAUCUUCCUUUUUGAUCUCCAAUUUGACAAAGUUUCUUCUGCUUUUAUUUCCAUAGAAUUGUCUCCUUUGAAAAUGUAGCUCCCUCUUUGAAUUUAUUGCCUUGAGGAUGAUGAGGAUGAGGAGGAUGAUGAUAAACCAAUAAUCAAAGUUAACUUUUAAUAAUGAAAAAAUAUACUAGGUUCAAUGUCAAAAUCAAAUCAACACCAAAUUCUCUAAUAAAGGAAUUUGAUAAUAAGUUGUGACUCCAAACCAAAUAUAAAUUUCAUUUUGAUACAAAAACUGAGGCUAGACUAAUUCGAUAAACAAACAUAAAAUAGGUGGUUCGGGAAUUGAUUUGAAAUUAAUACUUGAGUAAAUACAACUACCCAAAUUGAUACUCCUCUACAACAUAGAACCAAUGUCAAUCCCAAUAUGAUAACAAGAUCUAUGCACCAUGAAAAAUCAACAGAACAACAAUUACCAUAGACUUGCAUUGAAUCUAAAUUAACAUUGAUUUCAAUGAAGUAUUAAAAAAUCAAUACAAUACAAACAAUGGCAACAUUAUUCUUUGGGAUGCAUGGAUACAAAAACAAUUAAGACUUUGAGGUAUCAAAAUGUUAUUAAUGCUUCAAUAAAAAAUCUAAUUCAACAAGUUUUUUUUUUAUUUCCAUUUGAAUUUACAAGUAUAAAAUGAUGGAAACUAAUGCAUUUUCAAUAGCUAAAACUCACAAAAGCAUUAUGUAGAACCUUCCUUUUUGUCCUGGUAACACAUGCUUUUAAUCGUAUUUAGUACCCCUCAUUUUUAGCAAUUUAAAUUGUUUAUAUAUAUAUAGAUUAUACGAAUGUUUUAACACUUAGAGAAAUUGGAAUGAAGCAAAAUAUGCAAAAAAAAAAAAAAAAAAAAAGAAAUAAUUGUCUAUAGUUAUCUUUAUUAUUUUUUAUACAUUUCUAUUGACAUGGUAUAAAUCAUCAAUAAUUGUUGUGAGUAAUAGCAUUGAGAAAAGUCAAUGUCCAUAAUAAUACUCUAUUGCCAUUUUUUAUUUUUUAUUUUUGUAAAAUAAUAAAUCAAAUCACAUCUUGUAACAUUAUCAUUAAGAUUUACAUGAUUUCUUACAAUGUAGCUUAAAACCAAAUAUUUCAUCAAAGAAGUUAUCAAUAAUUAGCCCCACACAAUGAUAUCUAUUAUAAUACAGACUUCCUUCAAUAUGUGUGUUUGUGAGUGUAAAGAAAAUAACAAAGAUAAGAAAGUAAGGUAAUAGAAAUUGAGAAAGUAAGAGAAAUAUUUUUUUUUUGUUUUAUUUUUCUCUCUCUAUUUAUUAUGCUAUUUAUAGAGUAAUAUAUAUAGUAAACCUAACUAAAAAAUUCUUUAACAAUAAUAGAAGAAAACCAAUGAGUAUAUGACACGUGUACAUCUUGUAACCAUAUGAAACUAUCUCUUAACAUUCUUCCUUGAACUUAAGGUAGAAAGAUUUUCUACUUUGAGUUUGUUUCUUAGAUUUACAAAGUGAGUGCUUGAGACAACUUUUGUUAAGACAUCUGCUACUUGAUCAAUGGAAGGCACUUGUUGGACUAAAACCUUUCUUUGCAAAACCUUUUCCUUGACAAAAUGUAAAUCCAAUUCAAUGUGUUUGUCCUAGCAAGUAAUAUUGGAUUAGCAACCAACAUAAUAGUGCUAAGAUUAUCACACCAAAUAACUAGUGGUGUCGGCAAAGUGAUUUUAAGUUUUGAGAGAAGAUAUUGUAACCAAGUGAUUUUUGCAACGAAACUAGUUAGGUUUCUAUACUCUACUCUUGUACUUGAUCUAAAAAUAGUAUGUUGUUUCUUUGACUGCUAAGUGACUACAUUUAAACCAAAGUAUACACAAAAUCCUAAAGUUGAUCUUCAAUCAUGAGGAUCAAAGGCCCAAUCGACAUCACAAAAUGCUAUAAGAUCAAGAGUAGGAGACUUUCUUAAAUGGAAUUUCAAGUAUCUAAGAAUUCUUUUGACUACUGUUUAAUGAGAUUCUAAGGGAGCUUGCAUAUAUUGACACUUUAUUAAUACUAUAGGUAAUUUCAAGCCUAUUAACUAUUCCUUAUUGUAAAGGUCUUACAAUUGAUCUAUAUAACUUCACAUCCUAAACUGAUUCACUUCCAUAGCUUAAAAGUUUCUAUUCAUUGGUCAUAGGAGUAGAAAUAGGAUUGGAACCUUGCAUUUUGAAUUUUCAUAAUAGAUCAGUUAAGUAUUUUCCUUGAGAGAGGUGAAUGCCUUCAACAAUAUGCUUUACUUCAAUCCCUAAAAAAUAAUUGACUUCUCCAAGAUCUUUUAAGGUAUACUCUCUAUUUAAUUGGUAAUGAGAUAAAUCAUAACUUUUUCACUACUACCAGUGAUAAGAAUAUCAUCUACAUAUACAAGAAUAUAGGUAGAAUGAAUAGAGAUUGAUCUAACUUUGUAGAGAUAAAUCCAAAAGGAAUAUAGGGUUGCACUUAACUUUUCAAGCCAAGCACUUGGUGCUUGUUUGAAGUCAUAUAAAGUUUUAUGUAAUUUGUGAACAAGAUGAGACUAGUUGUGCUGAAUAAAACCAGGAGAUUGUUGCAUAAAAACUUCCUCAUGUUAUUAAUGUCUAAUUGAUGAAUUAACCAACCUCUAGACAAAGUUAUAGUAAGCAUAACCCAAAUAGUGGCAUGUUUAACAACUGGAUUGAACGUUUCAGUGAAAUCAAAACCAGAUACUUAAUGAAACUCUUUAGCCACUAACUUGGCUUUGUACUUCUAAAUUGAGCCAUUGGGGUUUUCUUUCACUUUAAAUACCCAUUUGCAGCCAAUAGGUGUUCUUCCAGGUGGUAAUGAGACUAAGGAUCAUGUAUUAUUCUUCAAAAAAGCCAUCAAUUCAUCAGUCAUUGCUUGUUUCCAAUGAUGUAUAUGUAAAUCUUCCUUAACACAAGUAGGUUCACAUGUGGCAGCAAAAAGCUUUGGUUUAAAAAAUUCCAGUUUUAGAUCGAGUGACCAUAGAAUGAGUAUUUUUGCAAGGUUGCAUUGGAACAAAAGCUAAAUCUUCUUGUGUUUGGUCUUGUGAAAGAGCUCUAUGACCAACAACACUGUCAUAAGUAUUAGUAGCAAGAGGAGAGGUAGUGGGUACUAAAACAUUAGUAACAGAUUGGACAAUUUCUAGAUGAGUAAACCUACCAAAAAAAGAAAUUAUUAGAGAAGCAACAGAAAGAUGAAAAAAGGGUGAAACAUAAUUAGAUAAGGAUGAUUGAAUUUUAUGAGCAAAAGAAAAUGAAGACUCACAGAAAAUGACAUCUCGAGAAAUAAUAAAUUUGCCAUUAAAAUCAAGACAUUUAUAGCCUUGAUGAUUGAGACUAUAACCUAGAAAAGUACAUUCAACGAAUUGGAACUGAAGCUUGUGUUUGUUAUAUGAAUGAAUGUUAUGAAAAUAGGAGCAACCAAAUAUUUUUAAGAAAAAGUAAUCUGGUAAGGUUUUGAACAAAACUUCUAGAGGAGUUUUAUGAUGAAAAACAAAAGUUAGUAAAUUUAUUGUUGAGAUAAACAUAAGCUUUAAAGGCUUCAUCCCAAUAUUCCAUUGGCAUUAAAGCAGAUGCUAACAAGGUGAGACCAUGUUCUACAAUGGUUUUAUGCCUCCUUUCAGGCCAACCAUUUUGUUCAUGAGUAUAAAGACAAGAAUAUCUAUAAAAAAUGCCAUUUAAAGUUAAAAAAUUUGUGAAAGCUCUAUAUUCUCCACCCUAAUUUGUUUGUAUGGUGUUCAUUUUAAAUCCUAGUUGUAAUUCACCUUGAGUUUUGAAAUUAAGAAAGGCUUGAAAUGCAUCUAAUUUAUAUCUAAGCAAGUAGAUCCAAGAAAAUCUUGAGUAAGCAUCAACAAAGUGAAUGUAGUAGUAAUAACCACUAGAAGAUUGAAGUAGAGAGGGACCCCAUAAAUCAGAGUGUAUAAGUUGUAGGGUUUGAGUGUAAACAAUGUCAGAAAAAUAAAAAAGAAGUUUGUGAAUCUUGCCAUAACAACAAGUUGAGCAAAAAGAAAAUUGCAUUUUAUUAGGAACAUAAAUAUUGCAAUUAAUUAGACAGAACAAACUUUAAAAUUUUAAAGAAUGGAUGUCCAAGUUUGUGAUGCCAUAGAUCAAAAGUAUUCAAAGAACCAGAAGAAUCCUUAGUUGCAGUACAAGAGUCAAGAUUAUCUUGAAAGGGGCUAGAAACAUGAUUCUGAAAUAAAGAGGUGGAAAACUCGCAAAAGGUUGUAAAAGAUGGAACUGAUAGUGGCUUUGAUGAAGACAAUAGUGUGAAAUCAUCAAAUACGUAAAGUUCAUUCUUAACUCUCCUUGCCAUGAAAAUUUCCUUGGAAGCUUGAUCUUUGACAUAACAGAAAUUAGGAAAGAACUCAAAAUACAUAGCAUUAUCUUUGGCAAAUUUAGAGACAUUGAGCAAAUUUUUGGUAAUAGAUGGAACAUGAAGAAGAUGAUUUAAAGAGAGCAAUUUCAAAGUAAAUUGAGAUUGAAAAGAUGAUUGUCCAAUAUGUUUAAUGUUCAACCCUGUUCCAUUACCCAUCAUGAUCUUAUCUUACCCAACAAAUUUAGUUUUAUUCAUCAUAUUAUUAAUGUCUAGUGUGAUAUGAUUUGUAGCUCCUGAAUUUGGGUAGGCAAAUUCAAGAGUAGUAGCAACCAUGGCAAUCAUUUGUGAUGAAUCUUGAGUAGAAGGAAAUUCAUGCUAAAAUGAAGAUGGAUCAAAUCUAUAGUAACAUGGUUACACCAAAUGACCAACACGACCACAAAAUUGGCAUUGAGGUUUAUUGAAAUUCCAAUAAUUUUGACCACCAUUGAAGCCUCCAUGACCUUUGCUACUAGGACCUCUAAAUUUAUUGAAUCCACGACUACCAAAACCUCCUUUACUAUGAAAGUUAUUGAAAACACAAAAAUCGCCCUGAACAAAAGUAGAAAAGCCAUUUUCAGAAGAAUUGUAAGACCUUUUCUUGUCUUUGUUAUUCUCACUCUGAGUUGCUAAGUUAGCAUUCAAAUUAGAAUCUAAAACUUUUAUAGCCUUCUCAAUGUGCCUUUCUUGAGCCAAAAGAACAAACUUUAUUUCAUCAACAGUAUAUGAAUCCAUGUGUGUGGUAACAACAGUAAUCAAUGUGUCAUACUUGAGGGUAAUCCUUCAAAAAUUGUGUCAAUAUGAUCCAAAGUAGAUAUAGAAUAAUUAACCAAUAAUAUGCUAUCAACAAUGAUUUUGAUUUGCAAGUGAUAAUCAUUCAUGGAUGAUGAACCUUUCUAAGAGCUCUUGAUUUGCAUCUUGAACUUAUCAGUCUUAGUAUGAGUUUUAGUAGCAAAGAAAAUCUCCAAUUUCUCCCAAAUCUGAAAAGAAGUUACACAUCCAACCAUUCUUGUUAAAAGCCCUUUGGACAUUAAUGAAUGAAACCAAGAGAUUAGUAAUUAGUUCUGUUGUUCCCAAUUAGAGAAAUCUCAAUUGAUUUUACCACUUGUUUCAUUAAUGGAAGAAAGAAAUUUUGGAGGAGUGGUAUCGGUUCUAUUGAUGAACUUUGAGAGCUUGUAACCCUUGAUUGCAACUUCAACUUGUUGACGCCAAAUCAAAAAAUUAUUAUGAUAAAGUUUUAUGGCAAUUGAGUGAUUGAAGGAAAUCAGAACAAAUUGGGAUAGGAACGAAAAAGUAGGGGUGAGGGAAUCGGCCAUGGAUGAGACCUCCGAUACCACGUAAAGAAAGUAAUAGAGAUAAGAAAGUUAGGUAACAGAAAUUGAGAAAAAUCUUUUCUCAUUUUCUAUUUUAUUUUUCUAUUUCUAUUUAUUUUGCUAUUUACAGAGUAAUAUAUAUAGUAAACCUAACUAACAAAUUCUCUAGCAAUUCAUCUAACAAUAAUAGAAGAAAAUCAACGAGCAUAUGACACAUGUACAUCUUGUAAUCAUAUGAAAUUAUCUCUUAACAAUGAGUAAAAAACAAAGUUCUUGGUUUAUAUUCAACAUAAAUGUUAUAAAGGUAUUGCUAAUGGCAAGUAAUAACAAAAAAUCUCAAUACUAAAGUUUUUAGCAUGCUAACAUUUAUUUUUUCUGUUAUAACAACUAUAUUAGUAUAGAAUAUUCUCGAUAUAGUUUGUUAGAAUAAGUUUUGAGCUAUACAACCUCGUUUAGCAAUGUAAGGAAAAACACUUUCCUAUAUAUUUUUUGUACUUUCAAACUAUCAAUUAAAUUCAAUGAAAUGAGAAUGUGUUUUCUCUUUUCUAUUCUCUUCUUAUAAUAUGGUAUCAAAACAUUUUCCUUUUGUUGUUCUUCCAUCUUCUUGCUAAAAUGACCCAUGGUGGUCAAAAUAACAACACCAACUUAUUCAAGUCAUUGAUACCUCCUUCUUCCACUAGUACCAUGGCUUAACAUGAUUCUUCUUCUUCCAUGAAUAACACUAAUGGUCCUUUUUUCUUGCACAGUUGUGACCAUCCCGAAUUGGUUCUUGUUUUUCAUUUCCUUACUACUCUUAACUAAAAUUGUUGGAGUCAAGCCAUGGCCAUGGCUCUCAACACCAAGCAUAAACUCGUUUUUGUCAAUGGAUUGAUUCCACAACCACCUUCAGAGAAUCCUGUUGCUAAGGUUUGGUUAAGAUGUAAUAGUAUGGUCACUUAUUGGCUUCUCAAUGUCGUUUCCAAAGAGAUUAUUGAUAAUUUCCUCUACCUUGAUAGUGCUCAAGAUAUUUGGGCAGAUCUAUGAUCCAUGCCCAGUCGAGUGUUUAUCAAAACAUUUAUAAAACCUACAACACCUUAUAUUAGGAUAGCAAAGACAAAGCUACUAUAGUAUAAUGACUCUAGGAUUGUUGAUUCCUGCCCAGUCGGUGUCUCAACUAAUUCGUGUCCAGUUGGUAUCCUUGAUUGCGGGAGUAAUCAACAAAAUUUAUAACCUAUUACACCAUGAACUAGGGUAGCAAAGACAAAGCUAUUGAUUACUACCCAAAAAGUGUUAUUUUGCACCUUUAAUUCAUUAUGUUUUAAGCACUUUUGUGUAGUAGUUCUCCAUUUUUAUUCAAAUUGGCAUGUUAAGGACCUAGCAAUGACUUCUAAUCAUAUUUGUGGCUAUUUUUAGUGUUUUGACAGCUUUUUGGAUCAUUAAGACAAGCCAAGUAAAAGAGAGAAGCAAAGAGGAAAACAGAGUGAAGAAAACAGAGGACAGCAGCUGCAGUCUUCCUUCGCACUUUUGGAGCACUUCCCGAAGUCCAUUUGCUACAUGCUAUAUACCAUUUCAAAUCUCAGGAAGUCAAGAAUCUAACAAUUCAAACUGUGUAUGAUUUGGAGCUGAAAUGAGGAACAUAUGGCCUUCGAAAGACAACUGCACCAAGCAUGUGCAAACUUUGCACAACAGCCCAAGCUUGUGCAAAAUUCGCACAACACCUUUCCCUUGUGCGAAAUUCGCACCAGCCCAUGCAUGGUGCGAAAUCUCCUCUGUUCUGCUGACUCCACACGAGAUCUUUUCUUUUAGAUAUUUUUGUAUAAAUUUCCAUUCUUCUCCUUGUAAUCCACCAACCAUAAGAUUUCUUAGCUAGGAAGGUUGGAAAAACUUCUCUAUAUAUAUUCCCUUGCAUCCAUUGUAAUAGAUAUAGAAGUAUGUAAUAUAGAUAUAUAAAUAUAAAGAAUAUACAGAGCCUUGCUCUGUUUUUCCUUCUCUUUUAUUUUUCUUUUUCUUGAAAGCCAAACAACCUCUGAGGAUGUUUUCCCAGAGGAUGAGAGGCUAAACUUUUGGUUUCUUGGAGUGAAGGAAGCUAGGUGAAAAGUCCAGAUGCAAAGGUGAAAACUCUCGUGCAUUAAAUACAGGUAGUUGGAGUUCAUAAAUGGCUUUUAAAUCUAAAGUUUUGCUUUAAAUCCCUUAGAAUAACUUUGAAUGGCCAAUACAUGGUAAGCUUUAGGUCUUUGUGGAUACUUAUUACUAGAUCCACACCAGUCCAUUAGUUAUCAUGUACGAGCCAUUGGAAAGUGGCUCAAGGUGAAGACCCAUAGUGUCUAAAGCCAUUAAUGGAACCUGACUACCAUUUCUAUUGACUUUUUAUGGAUUAAAUCUUCAUGGUUAAACCUAUACCGGUUCGGGAAACAACCAUCUUUUAUGUUGUUGUCCCCAAUGCGAGAAGAAGAAUCCGAAAUUUCCACUUUGCAUUCUGAACUUGAUCCUAGCAACCUUAGCUCCGGGAGACUUUCUUUCUUCCAUUUUUACCUAGUUUUAUGUUAGUUUAGUUUAAAACACCACUUUCAAAACAAAUAUUAUUUUCUUUUAAACUUAAAGUUUUUGACAAAGGAAAUCAUCAGAUUCAAUCUCUAAUCUUGAGUCUAUCACUGGUAGAGUGAAAACCCAUCCCAGAGUUCGACCCUAGAGCUGCUAUACUAUAGUAGCUUUGCUACGCUAGUAUGAGGUCAUAGGAUUUAUAAAUUUUUUUUAUUAAAAGACCCGACUGGGCACGAAUCAAAAUGGUGUCGUUGCCGGGGAUGGUGCCACUUUACAGUGAUAUGACCUUUUCAGAGUACUUGUGAUCUUCAUCACAAGUUUGGUGACUUUUCUUUUCCUUUUACUAACUUUUUUUAUUUGUUUAUUUUCCUUUGUUCAUGUUUUAGUAUAUCUUUUAUUUAGUUUUUAGUUAAUCUUAACAAUUUUCUUUAGAAUUUUAUUUUCUUUUAUUUUCUUUUGUUUUCUCUGUUUUUAAUUCACAAAUUGCUAGUUGUGCAUGCCAUUUCUAAAACACUAGUGCAAGCUAUGUUGUGUUCCAUUUGUCAAUCUUUUGAGCACUUGGUGGAGGAGUGUCCUAUCCUUCCAGCAGCGAGGGAGAUGUUUGGUAUGCCAUGUAGCAUUUGUCAGUCUUUUGAGCACCUGGUAGAGGAGUGUCCUAUCAUUCCAGUGGUGAGAGAGAUAUUUGGUGAUUAUAACACCUACAAUUCAAAUUGUAGGAAUCAUCCAAAUUUCUUUUGGGAACCACAACCACGUCAGUACAUGCAACCCACUCAAGCACCACAGCAAGCCUCAAACCUUGAACAAGCUAUGAUGAAUCUUAACAAGGUCAUGGAAGACUUUGUUGAAGCUCAGAAAUCCAUCAAUGCUCAGCUCAGUCAAAGAAUAUCACUCCCUGAUAGAGUAGAGAGUUCAUUGAAUAAAAAGAUGGAUGGAGUGCAACAUGAUCUAUCUCAAAAGAUAGAUAAUCUCCAAGAUUCAAUCUCAAGGUUUGCCAACCUCAACACAAUGCAAGAAAAAGAAAACUCUCCUUCUCAACCUUAUCAAAAUUCCAAGGGUAUCCAUGAAGUGGAGGCUCAAAAGGGAGAAUCUUCAAUGGUGAAGGAAGUUAAAAUGGUUAUCACUUUGAGUGCUAAAGAGGUUGAUUUGGCCACAUCCAAACAAGAGCAUGAAAUAGAGAAUGAAAUAGAGAAAAAGAAGAGGGAGGAAAUUAAAGGAAAGAGAAAGGGAAUUGUUUCCAUUGCCAUCAUACAAUGCAAAUCUCUAAUGAAGGAUGCAAACUUCAUAUGGGAUCCGGGCAAGCUGAACCAGGAUCAAAUUUUUUUAUGGACUUAGUUUUUUUAAAGACUAGCUAGUCCAUAUCUUUUUGUUUUAUUUUUAAAUUUGUUUUGAUUUUGAUUUCUUGCUUUAAUUUUAUUUUGGUUUGAUUUAACUUGUUUUUUUUUUAUGAUCAACAUAGGGGAAGCCAAAAAUAGAGGAAAAUAGAGCAAUUUGCACCACCCAAUUCUCUGGUGCGAAAUUCGCACCACCCUACCCCCUUGUGCGAAAUUGCCUUUGUGAGCGUUUUCCAAAAAGCAUGCUCUCAGUCCCUACCCAAAAUCUCAGUGCAAAAAUCACAGGAAUGCGAACAUUGUGUGAAAUUCCCACCGCCAUCUCCACAUGUGCGAAAUUCGCACAACACUACUCCACCUGUGCAAAAUUCGUACCACCCCAUUUCGGCAACUGUUGGGCACAUUUAGAUCACUUCCCAAAUUUCAUUUCAUGCGUACUAUAUCUCGUUUCAAAGCUUGGGAAGUCAGGAGUCCAUAGCUUCAAACGGUGCUCGAUUUGGAGUUGAAACGAAGAAGUUAUGGCCAUUUGAAGACGACUGUGCAAAGCUGAACGGAAAUGUUGCAGCCGCACCCCAUUUCGCUACUGUUGGACACGUUUUUUGGAGCACUUUCUGGAGAUAAAAUUAUGCAUACCAUAUGUCGUUUUUAAGCUUAGGAAGUCAGGAGUCCAGUGCUUCAAACGGUGUGCGAUUUAGAUUUGAAACGAAGAAGUUAUGGCCAUUUGAAACCACCACAAUUUCGCAUUUGGACGGGUGAAUAGUGCCUUGUGCGAAAUUCGCACAACCCAUUCCCUUGUGCUAAUUUUUGAGAUUCUUCAUCCCUACCCUUCCCAAUCCCAAGCCUUUGAGCCUCAUUUCUUUGCUCCAUUAUGCCUAAGACCCGAGGAGGCUAUGCCUCAGCUCCCCAGAGGCAGCAUCGUCUGAUGCCCCACCUACUGUCCCUCCUUACCAACAGAGCCCCGCGCACCCUGGGAUCACACACAUGAAGCCUCUUACUCCAUUUCUGACCUCCUUAAACCAUCAAAGCCCAUAGCUCCAGCUGAGAGCUCCAGUUGAGGAGACUAUGCCAUCCAAGGAGAAUAUCAAAACAGAGGCCAAAGUCCUGAUCCAACCCACUCAGAAGGCCACCACAGAUGCAUCAGCUCCAUAGGACCUUACCAUUAUUUGAUCAUCUCUUUACUUUUUGUCUUUACAUAUUAUAUUAGUAUAUAUAAUUCCAUGUUUUGAUGUUUUAUAUUCUGGGAUUGGAUGUAUUGCAUGAUCAUAUAUUAUAUUCUAUUUUCUCAGAUUAAUAUAUAGGCAUCAUUUUUGUUUAAACUUGACAUUUUUCUAUUUUCUCUACUCACUAUUUUUUUUUAAACAUGUGGUUUCUCUUAUACAACUCAGACUCCAUGUCACUCAAGAGGUACCACUUCCUCCCUAUUUUUUAAUCGCUUUGUCACAUUGAGGACAAUGUUUAGCUUGGUUGGGGGGAGAGUUGAGGAAGGAAGUUUUUGUUAUUAAUGCUAAGUUAUUUUGGUAAUUUAGUUGCUUUUUGCUUAAUUUUAAAAAAUUUUUAAAGUUUUUUUUGAAUACUCUCCAUGGUUAUUAAGGAAAAAAUUUCAAAAUGAAAUGGGAGAAAUUAAAUUUUUGUCUUUUUACUUGAAACUUAGAGUUUGUAUUAUGUUUAUUAAAGUUGAUGAAUUAUUGAACUCCUAUUGAUUUCAACCUUAUUUCUUCCACUUUAAGCUUAUCACACACCAUGCACACUAGGUUCCGUUUAUAAGAUGAAAAACUAUUUUACCCCUUGACUUAGGAAAAUUUAGACUUGGUACCUUUGACCUCAUUUUAAUAGUGUUGAGACACCUUAUAAAAGGCCAAUGAGCCUUUGGAAAAAGAAAGAAAAAGAAAAAUGUUUUACUUGCCUUGAAACCCGAGCAAGGUCUGAGGGGUAUAUGGUGAAAAUCUUUAAAACCUGGUGCCCUAAGCCUUCAAUGGUUGGGAGUCACCGACCUCAAUGCUCGUUACAUGGGUGAAUAGGUGGAGUUUAACAUAUUGUAGGUGCUUGGGUAUUAAAAAUUCAUUCUCAAAAGUCCGAGGUGAAAUCCGAGGAGUUAGUGGUUGAAAAAUCCUUAAAGCUUGAUGCCCUAAACCUUGAUUGGUUGGGAGUCAUCGAUGGACCCCCGUUACAUGGACAAUUUAGAAAAGAAUGCCUUUAAGCUUUGCACUCCUACAGGAAAAAAAUUGUGAAAGAAAAGAGGUGUGUUCUUAGCCUAUUGGAGGUUGAUUAGUUUGCUAAGCUUUGAAAAGAACUAGGUUGAGGGGAGAGAUUAGUUUGACAUACUAUAUCCGGAAACUAAUAAAUAACACAUAGAUUUUUGUGGAAGAGUAGGGUUGGACCUUUAGGAGUGGAAAUUAUUUUGAAGCUUAAAUUUGCAUAAUGCCUACUCUUUAUGAAUUGUGACUAGGCAAAUUAUUUGAUAGCUCCUAUUGAAGUUUGAGUUUUAUUUCUUUCAUGUUCCAUGUGAGAGUUUGAUCCAAUCAUGCCACUUGAUUAUUUUUUGGAGUGAUCAACAUGAUUUUAUAAAUUAUUAUAUUAUCUAUUUUUCUUUCUUUCUUUUUCUCUCCUUCAUUGCUUAGGGACUAGCAAUGUGUCAGUUGGGGGGAGUGAUUACUACCCAAAAAGUGCUAUUUUGCGCCUUUAAUUCAUUAUGUUUUAAGCACUUUUGUGUAGUAGUUCUCCAUUUUUAUUCCAAUUGGCAUGUUAAGGACCUAGCAAUGACUUCUAAUCAUAUUUGUGGCUAGUUUUAGUGUUUUGACAGCUUUUUGGAUCAUUAAGACAAGCCAAGUAAAGGAGAGAAGCAAAGAGGAAAACAGAGUGGAGAAAACAGAGGAUAGCAGCUGCAGUCUUCCUUCGCACUUUUGGAGCACUUCUUGAAGUCUAUUUGCUACAUGCUAUAUACCAUUUCAAAGCUCAGGAAGUCAAGAAUCCAACUCUUCAAACCGUGUACGAUUUGGAGCUGAAAUGAGGAAGAUAUGGCCUUCGGAAGACAACUGCACCAAGCAUGUGCGAAUUUCGCACAACAGCCCAAGCUUGUGCGAAAUUCGUACAACACCUUCCCCUUGUGCAAAAUUCGCACCAGCCCAUGCGUGGUGCGAAAUCUCCUCUAUUCUGCCGACUCCACGUGAGAUCUUUUCUUUUAGAUAUUUUUGUAUAAAUUUCCAUUCUUCUCCUUGUAAUCCACCAACCAUAAGAUUUCUUAGCUAGGAAGGUUGGAAAAACUUCUCUAUAUAUAUUCCCUUGCAUCCAUUGUAAUAGAUAUAGAAGUAUGUAAUAUAGAUAUAUAAAUAUAUAGAAUAUACAGAGCCUUGCUUUUUUUUUCCUUCUCUUUUAUUUUUCUUUUUCUUGAAAGCCAAACAACCUCUGAGGAUGUUCUCCUAGAGGAUGAGAGGCUAAACUUUUGGUUUCUUGGAGUGAAGGAAGCUAGGUGAAAAGUCCAGAUGCAAAGGUGGAAAACUCUCGUGCAUUAAAUACAGGUAGUUGGAGUUCAUAAAUGGCUUUUAAAUCUAAAGUUUUGCUUUAAAUCCCUUAGAAUCACUUUGAAUGGCCAAUACAUGAUAAGCUUCAGGUCUCUGUGGAUACUUAUUGCUAGAUCCACAUCAGUCCAUUAGUUAUCAUGUACAAGCCAUUGGAAAGUGGCUCAAGGUGAAGACCCAUAGUGUCUAAAGCCAUUAAUGGAACAUGACUACCAUUUCUAUUGACUUUUUAUGGAUUAAAUCUUCAUUGUUAAACCUAUACCGGUUCGGGAAACAACCAUCUUUUAUGUUGUUGUCCCCAAUGCGAGAAGAAGAAUCCGAAAUUUCCACUUUGCAUUCUGAACUUGAUCCUAGCAACCUUAGCUUCGGGAGACUUUCUUUCUUCCAUUUUUACCUAGUUUUAUGUUAGUUUAUUUUCAAACACCACUUUGAAAACAAAUAUUAUUUUCUUUUAAACUUAAAGUUUUUGACAAAGGAAAUCAUCAGAUUCAAUCUCUAAUCUUGAGUCUAUCACUGGUAGAGUGAAAACCCAUCCUAGAGUUCGACCCUAGAGCUGCUAUACUAUAGUAGCUUUGCUACGCUAGUAUGAGGUCAUAGGAUUUAUAAAUGUUUUUUAUGAAAAGACCCGACUGGGCACGAAUCAGCUACUAUAGCAUUGUGGCUCUAGGAUCGUUCAUUGGGAUGGGUUUUCACUUCACAAUUGAUAUUAAUUCAAAACUGAAUUAGUGCCUUUUCAUUUCAAGGUUAGCUUUAAAAGAAAACAUAAAGAUUUUUGAAACUAAACUAACAUAGAACUAGGUAAAAAUGGAAGAAAGAAAGUCUCCCGGAGCUAAAGGUUGCUAGGAUCAAGUUCAGAAUGCAAAGUGGGAAAUUCCGGAUUGUUCUCCUCGCAUUGGGGACAACAACAUAAAGGAUGGUUGUUUCCCGAACCGGUAGAGGUUUAACAAUGAAGAUUUAAUCCAUAAAAAGUCAAUAGAAAUUAGUCAAGUUCCAUUAAUGGCUUUAGACAUUAUGGGUCUUCACCUUGAGUCACUUUCCAAUGGCUCGUAUAUGAUAACUAAUGAUCUGAUGUGGAUCUAGCAAUAAGUAUCCCCAUAGACCUAAAAGCUUACCAUUUAUUGGCCAUUCAAAGUGAUUCUAAGGGGUUUAAAGCAAAACUUUAGAUUUAAAAGCCAUUUAUAAACUCCAACUACCUGUAUUUAAAGCACGAGAAUUUUCCACUUUUUCAUCCGGACUUUUCACCUAGCUUCCCUUAGUCCAAGAAACCAAAGGUUUAGCCUCUCAUCCUCUGGGAAAACAUCCUUAGAGGUUGUUUGGCUAGUAAGAAAAUAUAAUCAAAAUGAGAAGGUAAAAGCAAAGCAAAGCUCUGUAUUUUUCUUCCUUUCAAAAUUGUACAAAGGAUUGAUCGAUAAUAUAUUCGAUAUCUUGUGUAAAGGAAAUUACAAACUAUAUAUAAGGGUUUAUUCACCCUUUUUCCAAACUUAAUAACUAAGGAAUCCUAUCAUUGGUGGGUUACAAGGAGACUUUGGGAAUUUAGACAUAAAAUGUCUAAAGCAAAAUAUCUUAAAAUAUCCCAAAAUAUUGGUGGCAAAUAUCAGGAAGCUUCAGGAGAACACAGCAGCACUGUGCAGAAUGGUUGCUCUCCCAUCCGGGUAGGCGGUUAUCAAAUGAUCCGGAUACGUCCAUCUGGAAAAGUUGAAACACCUACAUCUCCUAUCCGGCUCCUGAAUUCCAGAAGUGAACAUUCGGGGUGGAAAGUGCGCGGCAACCGGAUGCAAUGGCAGCAGCCGGGUGCAAACGGCGGCGCACAUCCGGGUGCAAAUGGUGGCGCACAUCCGGGUGCAACUCCUAUCUGGUGGUGUGGUCCGGACGCCCUCCAAUGGUGUAUCCGGACGCUCUGUCCAGGUAUACUCCUUGCAUGGAUUCCAAAGAAGUCUCCUCAAUCUCAUAUUGCUUUGGUGAUAAAAAAGCUAUCAAAACACCAAAACUUAACACAUUUUUUAUUAGAAUUGAUUGCAAGGGUCCUUAACAUGCCAAUUGAGUUAAAAGGUGAUAACUACUACUCAAAAGUGUUUAAAAGAGUUAAUUACCAGCUAUGAAAUAACACUUUUUGAUCCUAGUUCAGCUGGCCCGGAUCCCAUAUGAAGUUUGCAUCCCUCACUUGAGAUUUGCUUUGUAUGAUUUUGCCAUACAAAGCUUGGGGGAAAAGUGGAUGCAUGUGUUUCUUCCUUGAUGACUAUCCUUUUUGGUUUUUCUUUUAUACAAUCAUCUUUCUCUGUACUUUUCCCCUUUCUCUUUCCUUUUAUUUUCUCCCUCUUUUCUUUCUCUGUUUCACUCUCUUCUUUGUGGUCUAGCUUGCAUGCGGGUAGAUCAACCUCUUUAUCACUCUCCUUAGCCUCUAUUUCAAGGAUACCCUUUUGAUUUUGAUGAGGUUGAGAAGGAAAGUUUUCUUUCUCUUGCAUUGCGUUGAGGUUGGCAAACCUUGAGCUUGAGUAUUCGAAAUUGUCUGUCUUCUGAGACAGGUCAUUGAACCUCUCAUCCAUCCUAUCAAUUCUUUGACUGAGCUGAGCAUUGAUGGAUUUUUUAGCUUCAACAAAGUCUUCCAUGACCUUGUUAAGAUUCAUCAUAGCUUGUUCAAGGUUUGAGGCUUGCUGUGGUGCUUGAGCAGGUUGCUGAUACUGAGGUGGUUGUGGUUUCCAAGAGAAAUUUGGAUGAUUCCUACAAUUUGAAUUGUAGGUGUUAUAAUCACCAAAUAUCUCUUUCGCCACUGGAAUGAUAAGACACUCCUCCACCAAGUGCUCAAAAGAUUGACAAAUGGCACACGACAUAGCUUGCACUAGUGUUUUAGAAAUGGCAUGCACAACUAGCAAUUUGUGAAUUAAAAACAGAGAAAACAAAAGAAAAUAAAAGAAAAUAAAAUUCUAAAGAAAAUUAUUAAGAUUAACUAAAAACUAAAUAAAAAAUAUACUAAAACAUGAAUAAAGAAAAAUAAAAUAAAAAGAGUUAGUAAAAGGAAAAGAAAAUUCACCAAACUUGUGAUGAAGAUCACAAGUACUCUGAAAAGGUCAUAUCACUGUAAAGUGGCACCAUCCCCGGCAGCGGCGCCAUUUGAUUCAUGCCCAAUCGGUGUCUCAGCUAAUUCGUGUCCAGCUGGUAUCCUUGAUUGCGGGAGUAAUCAACAAAAUUUAUAACCUAUAACACCAUGAACUAGGGUAGCAAAGACAAAGCUACUAUAGCAUAGUGGCUCUAGGAUCGUUCACUGAGAUGGGUUUUCACUUCACAAUUGAUAUUAAUUCAAAGCUGAAUUGGUGCCUUUUCAUUUCAAGGUCAAGUUUAAAAGAAAACAUAAAGAUGUUUGAAACUAAACUAACAUAGAACUAGGUAAAAAUGGAAGAAAGAAAGUCUCCCGGAGCUAAAGGUUGCUAGGAUCAAGUUCAGAAUGCAAAGUGGGAAAUUCCGGAUUGUUCUCCUCGCAUUGGGGACAACAACAUAAAGGAUGGUUGUUUCCCGAACCGGUAUAGGUUUAACAAUGAAGAUUUAAUCCAUAAAAAGUCAAUAGAAAUUAGUCAAGUUCCAUUAAUGGCUUUAAACACUAUGGGUCUUCACCUUGAGUCACUUUCCAAUGGCUCGUAUAUGAUAACUAAUGAUCUGAUGUGGAUCUAGCAAUAAGUAUCCCCAGAGACCUAAAAGCUUGCCAUGUAUUGGCCAUUCAAAGUGAUUCUAAGGGGUUUAAAGCAAAAAUUUAGAUUUAAAAGCCAUUUAUAAACUCCAACUACCUGUAUUUAAAGCACGAGAAUUUUCCACUUUUUCAUCCGAACUUUUCACCUAGCUUCCCUUAGUCUAAGAAACCAAAGGUUUAGCCUCUCAUCCUCUGGGAAAACAUCCUCAGAGGUUGUUUGGCUAGUAAGAAAAUAUAAUCAAAAUGAGAAGGUAAAAGCAGAGCAAAGCUCUGUAUUUUUCUUCCUUUCAAAACUGUACAAAGGAUUGGUCGAUAAUAUAUUCGAUAUCUUGUGUAAAGGAAAUUACAAACUAUAUAUAAGGGUUUAUUCACCCUUUUUCCAAACUUAAUAACUAAGAAAUCCUAUCAUUGGUGGGUUACAAGGAGACUUUGGGAAUUUAGACAUAAAAUGUCUAAAGUAAAAUAUCUCAAAAUAUCCCAAAAUAUCGGUGGCAAAUAUCAGGAAGCUUCAGGAGAACACAGCAGCACUGUGCAGAAUGGCUGCUCUCCCAUCCAGGUAGGCGGAUAUCAGAUGAUCCGGAUACGUCCAUCUGGAAAAGUUGAAACACCUACAUCUCCCAUCCGGCUCCUGAAUUCCAGACGUGAACAUCCGGGGUGGAAAGUGCAUGGCAGCCGGAUGCAAUGGCAGCAGCCGGGUGCAAACGGCGGCGCACAUCCGGGUGCAACUCCUAUCUGGUGGUGUGGUCCGGACGCCCUCCGAUGGUGUAUCCGGACGCUCUAUCCGGGUAUACUCCUUGCAUGGAUUCCAAAAAACUCUCCUCAAUCUCAUAUUGCUUUGGUGAUAAAAAAGCUAUCAAAACACCAAAACUUAACACAUUUUUUAUUAGAAUUGAUUGCAAUGGUCCUUAACAUGCCAAUUGAGUUAAAAGGUGAUAACUACUACUCAAAAGUGUUUAAAAGAGUUAAUUACCAGCUAUGAAAUAACACUUUUUGAGUAGUUAUCAAUUGUCCACAAUGAUGGGUUUUCGUUAUACACUUGACAUUAAUGAAAUGAGAAAUGGUGAUUUCCUUUUUGAAAGUUAGUUUUUAAUGAAAAUAAUAUUGAUUGGAAGGGUUGAUUUUAAGUUAAGCAAACAUAAACAACUGAAAUUACUACAAAGAGAAAGUCUCUUGGAGCUAUAGGUUACUAGGAUCAUGUUCCUAUUGCAAAGUGGGAAAUUCCGGAUCUUCUCCUCGCAUUGGGGACAAUAACAUAAAGGAUGGUUAUCUCCCAAACCGGAUUUGUAUUUAGCAAAUAAGUUUUGAUCCAAAGGGUUCUUGAAAAAUGGUAGUUGCUUCCCAUUAAUGGCUUCAAACACUAAAGACCCUCACCUUGAACCACCUUCCAAUGGCUCGUACUUGAUAACUAAUGGACAUUCAUGGAUCUAGCAAUAAGCAUCCAUAGAAUCCUAAAAGCUUACCAAGUAUUGGCCAUUCAAGGUGAUUCUAAGGGAUUAAAGCUGAAACUUGAAAUACAAACCAUUAAUGUUACACAACUACCUUCAUUUAAAGCAAGGAAAACUCCCACAUUUGCAUCUGGGUCCUUUACCUAGCUCCCAUCACUCCAAGAAACGUGAAACUUAGCCACUCAUCCUCUGAGAAAUCAUCCUCAAAGGGUGUUUGGCUAGAGAGAAUAUGAAGAGAAAAUGAGAAGGAAAGGUAGAGAAAAACUCCCGUAUAUUUUCUUCAAAACCCGACUUUACAAAAUAUAAAAAACAUCAAGCAUCCUUUGAGAGGUUUUCCAACCCUUAUUUAUAGUUCGUAAACAAACCCUAAUGUCAUUUAUCUAUUACAAAGGAGUAAAAAGGAAAAAUUACAAUUCUGGAGAAAAAUCCCAAAAGUUGGUGCGCACAAAGUGAUUUUGGCACACCCUACCAAAUUUUGGCACAUCCUGCCAAAUUUUGGCACAUCCUGCCAAAUUGAUGAUUUUGCCUUGCAAAAUGCUCUGUUUUCCUCCAUCUUACUACUGAUAGUUUUGGCAAGAAUAGAGAAGUCAAGUAAUGGGUACAUUUCCUCAAUCAAUAGAAGCAAGACACACUAUAACUCAUAUGGCAUAAACUUCAUUCAAACCAAGUUUUCCAAACUCAAAUUUCAAAAUUUUGAAGGUGAGAAUUGGGAAUUAGGAAAAAGUAGGUGUGGACCCCGCAUUUCGCUUUGCUCGAAUGCGUUUCCCACUCGAAUGGCGAGCUCGAUUUUUAUUUUUUUUGAAAAUGAUUUUUAUUCAUUAAAAAUUGACUUGGAGUCGCCACUUAUUUUUGUUUUAUUUUUAAAGGGUAAACAAAAUAAGAAAGAAAAACCCUAAGUGUGACUCCUUAUUUUGGAAAAGGCGGUCUGUGAAAAACCGGAUCGGGUUCGGGGGUCAGGUUACUUAUCGGGAAGGUACGGUAAAGACCGUAGCACCCCUCUAAGUCCCUAAAGUCGGGUCUCUACUAAUAAGAUGAAACUGACAUGGCAAUCAAUGAGAAUCGAUGAAUAGUCAAAUCAAUCAUGCACAAUAUGAGAAGCGAAGCAUGUAUAAAGAAUGAGCGAAAUAUGAAUAGAUGCGUACCUGGAUGGCAAUCACGAAUGUGCUAUCAUGAAACAUGGUUAGUGAACAAUGAACAAAUAUAGUUAAGCGCAUAUCAAGGAAUAGAGUAAAUCAAUCAUGCAUGACAAAUAAAUAAAUCAAUCAGUCAAUCCAUCAUGAAGUCUCAUAUGUAGGGCCCCCACCAAAGCCCAAUUCAUUUUUGCAUGAAUUAAUACCAUAAAUUCCCUUGCUUGGAAUUACGGAAUUUUAUUCUAGCUUAUUUUAAAACAUUUUGAAAAUUUGAGGAGUUGUGAAAAUUGCUUAUCAGAAGAAAAAGUGGAGGCAAAAAUUUAUUAAAAAUAGGAUUUUUGUGUAACCUAGGGAAAAUGCUAAGGAUGAAAAGUUGGAAUAUUUGAAGUUAUUUAAUCGACCAAAACUUGGAAAACUACUUUGAAAACAGAGGUUUGAGGAAUUAUUUUAAAAUAAAAUAUGAUGAAAUAACAAAAAAAAAAUAAAAAAAUGGCACGUGGUCUAAUUGCCUGCUUUUUUAUUUCAUAAUAGUGACUCCAAACCCCACGCCUCUCAAGCUCACAAACUUGUCAUCUUCUCAAUCAGCAAAUGGCCUGUCUGCCAAGGCUGGCAUGUCACAAACGAUGCGUCCUGCAGCCAACAGUGUUUCAAGAACAGCAGCUUAGUGAUCAACAUGGAAAAUCUGACACGGCUCCCAGGUCAAAUUUGGUUUAGAACGAGUCCUCAAGCUGUUUCUCCCUGCAAUACUGGACCAUAAAUUUGUGACGAGAGUCCUGAAGUGACCUUUCCCAGCAAUAUGUUCCCAAAAGUGAGGGUUACUCUCCACAUGUUUAUCAGGACUCGAAACAUCCACACUACUGGUGCUCAUGUCGUUACGUACAAUGCACAGCUUUCCAUUAAGGGGGACAAGAGCAGCAGCCUCUAGAACUCGGGAGCUCCCCAGAUGGAGCUUGCUAUCUAUGAAUUUGUUCCAUGAAUCUGUGUCACUGUCAUAGACCCUGAGCUUGCACCCACCCUGGCAGUCCAAGGCGUAGAGCUGUCCAUUCAAAGAGAUGCUAGGGUUGCGCCAACCAGCAACCAUUCCAUCACUGAUUGGGGUCCAAGUAUUGGUUUCAGGAAUAUAAGCUUCACUCAUGACCUCACGGUGGGAUCCAAGUCCUUUUAGGAACCAUUUUCCAUUUAUAGAUUACUCCGAUAAAGGGCACCAUAGCCGAGCUCAUAUCUGAAAUAAAGCUCCACCUAUUCCUGUUAGGAUCAUAGACUUCAGCUGAACGGAGAGUCUUCUGAAUUCCUUCACAUUCGGAGCAUGCCAACUAAGGAGUUGAACGAAGUGGGCCCACAAUUCUUUAUCAAAACGAGGCUCAACAGUUUCUUUAUUGUUGGAAUCCUUGAGCCGACUAGGAUCCUCAUUGCAUACCUUCAGGUUCUGACGCCUUUCCAAGCAACCAUGCAUAUUUACUUCGAUCACACUGGUGAAUAGAAAGAGUUAUCUUCGUGUAAGCAUGCUAAAAAAACAUCGGUGUGCACUGUCGAAUGCUUCGAGCAUUGAGCUAUAUGUUUACAAAUCUGACAUGAGGGAAAUACUGCCACCAUCCAUGCAUAUACUAGAAGCAAAAAGUAGCAUCAUCGGAGACUAUAGAUAGACACUUGGCGGCCAAAUCUGGAGGGCAGUCUGAAUAUGAAGCAUGUAGUCCCCAAAUGAGCUUUUCGAGCUCCUCAUACCAUGAAGAAGAAUUUUUAGAAGGUGGUGAAGGGAAGGAUAAUGGAUAUGAGAAGGUCUUAGAGUGAGAAAAUGGGUUUGACGGAUGUUUUGAUGGGUAAUGAAGGCUGCCAUGCAUAUGAGAGAGUAUGAGACACGGGCAUGAAACAAUGGAUUUGAUGGAUAUGGGAUGCAUGCAUGAGGUGGAUGACAGAGGAUGAGAUGGACGGGUUUGAUGGGUACGUAGAAAUAAAAUAAUGGGUAUGAAAGGGUAGAGAGAGAAAAGAUGAUAGGAAAUGGGUGUGAAGAGUGGAAUAGAGAGAGAAAGUGAGGUGGUGAGAAAAAUGUAAGGGUGUAGGGAUAUGGGUCUAGAUAUGAGUGUAGGGAGAUGGUUUGUGGGUAUGAAAAGAAUGGGUACGAAGGACGGGUAUAGUGGGGUGUGGUUCAAUGAUGUUGUGCAUGGGCUUGUGCUCAGUUUCGCUACCGAUCCUGGAUUCAUCCCAUUGUUGAAGCAUGAAAUUAGUGGAGUAGCGUAGUGGCUGCGUCUUAGCAAGAUGCUUCACGGUGUCUUCUCCAGCUGUAGCCAAAACGCGUCAGCUGCUUCCACCCAAAACCUGAUAUGCUGAGAAGUUUCUGUCUAUUAUUGGAUUCGGUAUCUGAUUCGUCAAUCGUUGUGAUCUUCUCUUCUUCAAACUUGAUGCAUGGAUGCCAAAUUGCUCCAACAUUCUUUGAUAUACAUAUAGUUGGUAUCAGCCUUUGUCCUACUGUUGGGAGCAAGGACAUGAACCCUAGCAGCAUUAACUCUAACUUGACCUUUUCCAGCGCUUCAUAUAGAGCUCUCCUGUGUAACCUCAGAUUGCAAGGUAACCUCAGAGUUUUGUACAUCACAACCAGGAAUUCCAGCAGCGGAAUUAUUGCCAUAGCCUCUGACACUGACAUCAAAUUCCUGUCUCAUAUUCCACAAAUACUAAGACAAAGCUUUCAAAGAAUCCGGAAUCAUUGGUGGCUGUAGUUGCUCCAAAGUAACAUCAUUUGGAAGCAAAGAAGCACCAUUGAGAGAAUCAGAUUGAUUAAUUGUAACAGCUUGGUUAAGUUGUUGUUCGCUAGAGUCUCUCAAACCACUUAAACCAUAAGUUCCUAUGCCUUUCUCUGAGACAGGAUCCCAAAUUUUUGAGGAGGAUUUAUCUUCAUGUGAAGAAGAAACAGGGCAUGUAGCAUCAGUGAAGUCCCUAAACCAUACAAGCCCAUCCUCUGUACCACAGCUAGUAGUGAUAACUCUUUGCAUCGUCCUCAAAUCAAUUGUGGAAACAGAGGAACCAGCAGCAACAAAAAACAAUGAUUCAUAACAUCUCAUGUCCAUAGGUGCAUCAAGAACAGAAGUCAUUCCCACACAACAUAAAGAAUGGACAGUAGAUGAUGUAGUUGUAUUCCAAACUCUCACCUUAGAAUCUUUCGAAAUUGUCACUCGAAGAGAAGUUUUAUGCCCAGUAACUGUCAUCAAUUUUACAGGUUUCGCAUGCCCAUAAAGAGUUGCCUUUAAAGCCUGAUAGCCACGUUAACCACUUGAGCUAAGGAACCAAAGUCAAACUGUACCAUCUUAUCCUCCACUUGCAAAUACUUUGCCACUACCAUCACCCAGCAAUUUAUCUCAAAGAGUGGAAACUGGGCCAUUAUGAUUUCUAAAACACCGCUGGCAAGAACCCUUCCACCAUAGACGAAUGGAGUGGUCACAGCUUGAGAUUACCGAAACAUUUUCUUCUCGUUGUGUCUCACUUCGAAAUAAAGAUGUUUCACUAAGCGGAAAUAAUCUGCUAAAUGAUCAAUUCCAUAUUCUUUGUCAUUCACAUCAUGGGAAGCCCAGAAACGAAUUAUUAAUUACUUCUGGUCCAAAUUGGGAGACGAAUUCAGGCAGCCCUAGCAGGAGCCCACGACUUUCAGACAAGCUGAUGGUAUCUUCUGGGGUCACUCUAUCAGCACAUGGAACCUUCUUAGUCAAGGAUGCUACUGCUACUGCCAAUUUGGCUCCGCUUCUUGGCCGUGGCUAUGGACCUUUGGCUGAACUUCAAAACGUCAUUGACAAGACUGAAGCUGCCGAAUCACUUAGAUGUUCUCGUGAUCAAUUCUCCUCUUAGAUGUCAACCAAACUUUGAGAAUAUGUAUCCCUUGUAAGGAUUCACAACUAGCCUUGAUUUCUCUCUCUCUCACAGCCAAUGUAUUGAACGAGAUCCCAAAAGCAAAAGGCAAUCACCACAGAGAAAGAAACAAUAGAAACAGAGCAUAAAAAAAACAAAGUAAAAACAUCCUCAAAUGAGGCUUCACUGCAUGAGUCAUCAGCAAGCCCUCUGAUUAAGUGAGAAAAACCACAUCAAAUAUGACUAUUGGCAUGAUUCCUAGGUAUUUCGCAAUAGAGGCAAGGUGCAUUAAGAUCAACAAUGGCAAACAUGAGUUCAAGAUUAUAUAUCAACAAGCAACAAGUGGCCUUCAUCAUCCACUCCAAGCAAACCAACAAAUAUCCAGAUAUUAACAAGAAAUGCAGAGGAGUAAUAAGAAUCCAAACCAAACAAGAAAUCAGCUGCAUUCAUACCUGAGAGAACCCUUUUCCGGUAAGGCUCUGUUCAGCUCUAAACGCCUUAAGUCCUCCUCCAAUGCCGAUGAAACCAGCAAGCUUACCUCCCUAUCACUCUCUCACCAGCAGCCUCUAAAUCAACUCUCAGCAGUCUUCUCCCUCUGGUUUUCUCUCUGAGCUCCUCUCAAUCUCUAGCUAAGCAAUCCCUCAAAAAUAUCUCUCUCUAAGCUCUCCAAAAACUCACCUCUCUGCUCCAACCUCAAACCUCCCUCCUACAGUAAUAAAAAACUCCCCUCCCUAGCUUACCUUCCUUCCUCUCUGGUUCUCUCCCUCUCAAGUUCCCCUUCUCUCAAGAAAACUCUCACAGUAGUCUAUCCGCCCUCCCCUCCAGUUGCUCUCUCUCCUUUUCUCUGCCGAGAACCCUCCAAAAGCAGCCUGCUGUCCAAAAUAUCUCCUAACCAACUCUGAAAAGCACCACCUGCCAGAGACGCCCCUCUCACAGCAACGUACCUCCUCUGCAUAUCCUCCUCCAGGUGUCAACCUCUGAUUAGUCCAUCAAUUCCACUAUUUUGAUAACCAACUCUGAAAAGCACCACCUGCCAGAGACGCCCCUCUCACAGCAACGUACCUCCUCUGCAUAUCCUCCUCCAGGUGUCAACCUCUGAUUAGUCCAUCAAUUCCACUAUUUUGAUCCCAUAUUGACUAAUCCGGGAGUGACACGUGGCCAUGCAAGAUGGUGACACUUGUCAAGCAUCAGCUGCAAGAAUCACUCCCAAAAUGGGGGUCUACAGUAGGAUUGGCUUCCUUACAUUUAAAAGGAAGGGCCUUAGAAAGGUUUCAAGGGUAUGAGGCUAUUAACAAGGAAAUCAAAUGGACACAAUUUUAUAUAGAUGUUGUUUCUAGGUUUAGCCCUAGUGUUAAUGAUAACCUUAUGGGGUAAACAACCAAAUUGAAAUAGGUUUCUACAGUUAUGGCAUACAAAAAUUAGUUUAAGGUAUUGAUGACCAAAACUAGUGGGUUUUUGAUUCAUGCCCAGUCGGGUGUUUAUCAAAACAUUUAUAAAACCUACAACACCUUAUACUAGGGUAGCAAAGACAAAGCUACUAUAGUAUAGUGGCUCUAUGAUCGUCCACAGGGAUGAGUUUUCUUUGUACACAUGACAUUACUGAAAGGAGAAAUGGUGAUUUCCUUUUGAAAGUUUGUUUUUAAUGAAAAUAAGAUUGAUUGGAAGGGUUGAUUUUAAUUUAAGCAAACAUAAACAACUUAAAUUAUUACAAAGAGAAAGUCUCUUGGAGUUAUAGGUUACUAGGAUCAGGUUCCUGUUGUAAAGUGGGAAAUUCCGAAUCUUCUCCUCGCACUGGGGACAAUAACAUGAAGGAUGGUUAUCUCCCCAACCAAAUUUGUAUUUAGCAAAUAAGUUUUGAUCCAAAGGGUUCUUGAAAAAUGGUAGUUGCUUCCCAUUAAUGGCUUUAAACACUAAAGACCCUCACCUUGAACCACCUUCCAAUGGCUCGUACUUGAUAACUAAUGGACAUCCAUGGAUCUAGCAAUAAGUAUCCAUAGAAUCCUAAAAGCUUACCAAGUAUUGGCCAUUCAAGGUGAUUUUAAGGGAUUAAAGCUGAAACUUGAAAUACAAACCAUUAAUGAUACAUAACUACCUUCAUUUAAAGCAAGGAAAACUCCCACCUUUGCAUCCGAGUCCUUUACCUAGCUUCCAUCACUCCAAGAAACGUGAAACGUAGCCACUCAUCCCCUGAGAAAUCAUCCUCAGAGGAUGUUUGGCUCUAGAGAGAAUGUGAAGAGAAAAUGAGAAGGAAAGGCAAAGAAAAACCAGGCUUUAUAAAAUAUCGAAAACAUAAUAUCUCCUCCUCCUCUGAGAGGUUUUCCAACCCUUAUUUAUAGUUCCUAAACAAACCGUAAUGUCUUUUAUCUAUUAUAAAAGGAGUAAAAAAGAAAAUUUACAAUUCUGUAGAAAAAUCUCGAAGCUCGGUGCGCAUAAAGUGAUUUUCGCACACCCUGCGAAAUUUUGGGACACCUUGCGAAAGUUUGGCACACCCUGCCAAAUUUUGGCACAUCUUGCGAAAUAGAUGAUUUUGCCUUGCGAAAUAGAUGUUUUCCUCCAUCUUACUACUGAUAGUUUUGGCAACCCCUUUCCAAGUUUGGCAAGGGGUUUUGAAGUGCUCCAAAACUCGGAUUCUUCAUGUGAUUGAUCUUCAACUUGCCUUACCAUAGCUUGCACAAAACUCUCCCUCAAUUUUGGCCUGUUUCAAUGAUCAAAAAGCUACCAAAAACACUAAAACUGACCAAAAAUUGGUUAGUAACAUUUGCUAGGUCCUUAACAUGCCAAUUGGGAUAAAAAGGUCUAACUACUACUCAAAAGUGCUUAAUACAAUUAAGUUUAAGCUUAUAAAAAUGCACUUUUUGAGUAGUAAUCAAUCUACAUGCAUUUUUUUAGAUCAAACAAUAACUGCAUGGUUUGUCUCAAGGUUCUCUCGAUAUUAAUACUUAUUAUACCAGUUUAAAAAUUCUUUGGGAUGAACUUAAGAUGUUUGAACCCAUUUCCCGUUUGGCAAUUUGGUGGCAUCAAAAUAUGGAUGGAUUAUCAAUAGCAUAAGUAUGUAAUGCAAUUUUUUAAGGGCUUGAAUGAAUCCUAUGUCGUGAUGAGUGGGUAGAUUUUGAUGUUUGGCCCAUUACCCUCUGUUGCGAAGGUUUUCAAUCUCGUCGUUUAAGAAGAACAAUAAUGCACCAUCGAAUCUAGUUCCCUUGCUCUGUUUGAAUCUUUGGCAUUUAGUGCCUCCUCGUCAUCUCUCUCUGUUGCAAAUUUCUCUUCUUAGGGUAAGCUCAAUCAUGAUCACCCGAUUUGUUCUCAUUGUGGGCUCAUGGGGUAUAUUGUGAAUUGUUGCUACAAGUUACAUGGGUACCCAAUUGGGUAUAAGCCCAAACCCAAGGCCCAAUUGAGCUCUCUUCAGCCCACCAACAAUCCAUUAUCUUUCCUUAAGCCAUCAAAAGACACCCACUUCUCUCAUUUAGCUACAACUGCCAUACCAUCCUCUCCACUUUCUAGUUCUCUCUCAAUAGAUCAAGUUCAAUAGCUCAUAAAGUAGACUUUAUUCACUUUGGAAUAAUCCUUUGUCAUGAUCAAAUCUUAUUAUCCACAUGCCUUGUUUGACUAAGAUCAUUAUAAUUGUUUCCCAAAGUGAGUCAAUGCCAAAUAUUGAAUAAUUGGUUAAGCAUAACUCUUACACACAUUCUAAGAUUUAUGCUCUUAACUUUAUGUGACUUGCUUGCAACAUUUGGAAAUACCCCUAAAGUGGAUACAAAGGUAGCCAUGAAUGAAAAAAAAAAAUCAAUAUUGAUCAAAGUGUACAAUAGCUUUACUUUCAAAAGAAAAAAAAAGUAAAAAAAAAAAAAGAACUAUGAUAUCAAAUUAAGGGGAAGUCAAGUUGUGUUGUAUAUAAAUCAACAAGACCGUGUUAAAUAAAAAUCCAACAAUCUUAGAUCAAAUUAAUUGGAUGUGUACUUUAAUUAGAACAAAGGUAUGAUUGGAACUCUUCUAAGUGAUCAAUUUUGAAAUAUAGAACUAGACAAUAAGUUGUAUUCCCUUGAACAUCAAUACUUAUGUAUCUAUGUUGACCUUCUUAUCUACUAAUGGUUAUGCACUAGAUUUUGAAAUUGAAAUUACAAUUAACUCUAACCUUUUGGACUUGAAACCUCAAUCUUGAUGGAUUGAUGUAUAAUAUCUAUAGUAACUCGCUUUAUAAUUGAUUAAAGUAACUCCUGCAAGCUAUUUAAAGCCAUCCAGUACAUUAUUUCUUAUUUCUCACUUUUCUGAGUUGUUUCAAUCACUCCAUGUUUCCACUUCUUCGUCAUUUGAGGUCAAUUCUCUUAGUUUUUCGUAUUUUUGUUCAUAUAAUAUUUUUUACACCUCAUUUUUAGUAUUCUUAGAUGUUUAGGGGUUUUUUUUUUUUGGAUUUUCAUCAAUUUUUCUUACUUUUAUUGUCCUUUUAUAUUUCAUCCUCUUGUUAUGGAAAGUCGUCAUCAUCCGUAUGAGGUGACCCCUCUAAGGUCGCCUGAGCUCAUUUAAAGCAUUGCACUCUAAAGUCCAUUUGACCUAAGAAUUUUUCUUGUUGAGUGCUUCCAUUGUUAGGAGGCAUGAGAUCAAUACUACACCUCUUUCAAUGAUUAACUAGUCGAGGUUGAGCAUCCAGUCAAUCUCAAAGUCUUCUAGGAGACUUCUCUCAUUGCUAUUGUUAGAGUGAGGAUAAGAGACAUUAUUUUCUCUUUAGGGGACUUCUACCCCCAUCAUAUUCACAUGUUUUAUGUGAACAUGCAUUCUCUUGUAAUUGGAGUUACCUUUUAGUUGAUUUUGUAUUAUCAAUCAUUUCUUGUCUCUUCCUGUUCUAUUUGAUGUGUUCUUAGCAUGUUGCGACAUGAGUCUUGCUUUGGGCAGAAGCCAUUCUCUAAGCCAGCGUGGCUACUAGCUACCUUCUUCACCUACUCCUUCUGUCAUUCUACUCAUCGUACCCAUAUUUGUCGGUUGUCUACUCAAUUCAUUCAUGCCAUACUCUCUAGCUACCAAUUUGAUAUCGACUUAAUGAUUUUGGAUAGAAUUACUCCUUCCCAUGAUCCAUAUUUUUGAGAAGGCACCUUUUCCUUUACCCUUCUUAUCUCAUAGAAUUUGGAGGAUGUAGGUUUUGAGAUAAACCCUACAUUAGGGGGUAUAAGAUACAUAUGCCCUCUUGGAAGGGAGCUCCUGGGCUAAGCCUUAUAGCCACAUUUAUGGACCAAUGGCACCUUUAAUCCACCAUGGUCCUCAGGAUAUAGCUCAACAGGCGGCUUAGGAGGCAACAAUAGAGGAGGAUGAGCUCCAAGCUAUGAAGCAAAGUGUAGUUCUUGAGGUAAAUUAUCUUAAGCCUACUUUGAGGACUUGCUCUAGUUGAGGUCAAGCAAAUUCUUCAAGAGCUACUCACAAGCAGUGUUUUAAAUGCCACAAAAUAUCGGGGAUAUUUUGCCAAUAUUUCGGGUAUAGAUGGGGCUCAAUAGAUAAAGAGAAUGAAAUUUUGGGUUAUGCAAAAUUUUGAGUAUUUCCCUCAUUUUUCAUUGAUAUAUCGGCUAUAUGCUGAUAUAAUACCAAUAGAUUAGUUAUAUUGGUCAUUUUUUAGUGCUUUGAUUUCUUUUAGGCCAAAAGGUUUCCCUUUUUUGCCAAAAGGUUUCUCUUUUUUUUCCAAAAGGUUUCCAUUUUUUAUUUUAAGCCGCAUUCUCACACGCACAGCCACACAAUAGUUGUUCGAGAGGAGAAAGGCACCAUCUAUUAAAUAGGCAAUUUUGUUCUCUCAAGUUUAUUGAUAAGUUUAAAAUUCUAAUCAAAUAGGUAAACAAAAUUUACAUUGGUGAGACUUGAACCCGAGUGCACAAGUUUGUCAUGGAAGGACACAACCAUUAAACCAUAUGUGAAUUUGUGGUUUAAAUUGUAUAUAGAAUUAUAUAUAUAAUGUACAUACCUUUUAUACAUUAUAAUAUUUUUAAUAUAUAUUAUAAUAAUAUUUAAUAAAUUAAACCAUUAUAAAUAAGUUAAUUUUAAUUAUCAUAUUAUAUAUUUUGUAUUCCAAUUAAAUACAAGGUAAAUAUAAAUUUUAUAAAUGAAUUUUUUAAUAUAAAAUACUUAUCUAAAUAUCACUUUUUUAUCCCUCAAUAUAUUCAAAUCAAACUAUUAUCAUUCUAAUAUUAUUGUGCUUUUAAAUUAGUAUAUUAUUGCCUACUAUUACAAAUUUAUUACAUAUUACUAUAUAUAUAGUAAUAUGCGUAUUCUUUUUUAUUUUAUCAUUUUUUUUAAGUUUUUCCAAGUAUUUUCAUGAAUUUUGAUUAAUUUGUAUUUCUUCAUUUUUUUUUUCAAAAUAUUCCACCGUUAUUUCCUGAUAUAUCCAUAAAAUCCAAUGAUCAAUAAUUCCAUGAUUAUCGAUAUUUUCAUCUUUGCUCACGAGACAUCUUUUUCUAUAGGCCCGACUACCCGAGAGACAUUGGAUUCCAUGGCUUAUGUCCAUUAGUAGAUGGACUCACAGGAUCUUCACCUUCGUGAGAUCCAAGGAUAACUCCACUAUAUCAUUUCCUAGAUCCACUAUAAAGGCGCCUUGAGCUCUACCUCUCUGUCUUCUUUGGAUGCAUAUAUAUAUAUAUAUGUUGUAUUCUUCUUUCUAUUUAACUCUUUAACUAUUGUGUGCUUUCCAAUGUUUAUAAUUCAUAUGCUUUGCCAUUUUUAUGACAAAAACAGGAGAUCAUUGACCAUAUUUAACUCACUUAAAUAGGGAGAGCGUAGGCAUCAAUAUAAUAGAAAAAAAGAUAAAGAAACUCGUUGACAAAUAGGAGUUAAUAAUUUUUUAAUUAUUUAUUUAAUUCAUUCUUUUGCUCAUUUAAUUCUUAAGGGAAAUUAAUUGAAAUAUUGGAGAAAAUUAAACCUAAGACAUUAGAAGAAAUUCGAUCAACUGUUGAAAGCAUAACUUGGAAGUUUAAGAGAGUUACCUAACACAAAUAUUUAUGUUUGAAUUGUCUUUCUCUUUGGAACUAUUAUGAGUCACGAAAGCUUCUUCUCAUGGUUUUCAUUGUCUAUUUUCUAGUUGGAGAUAGGCCUCUAGGCAUCAUAGUUGAUCUAUUGUGUCUUAUCAAGAUUCUAUUAUGUUCGGUUGAUUUGUAUACAUUUAAAUUCCUCUCGAGCUUUACUUUGUACCUUGGUAUCACUAUAGGGAUAUAUUUCUCUUACAUGUUUUCACAUCCAACUAUCAUGUUCUAUUGCUUUGAUCAUAUCUUAUUUCACACAUUGUUCUACUUUUGUUGUAGUUUUUUUAUGUGUGUAGCUUACAAGAUUGGAAGAUAAGUACUACAAGAUGAUGCAAAGCAUUCCCUUAGUUUAUUUUUAAUUAAGCAUUAAUGUGUGUUAUGUAAACUCCUUUAUAAGAGUUUAGAUCGGUUUAUGUAAUGAUGUUUUGUCACAAGACUGCCAAAGAGUGAAAUAGUUAGGACAUUAAGUCUUGAUUAUAUGUUGGAAAUUUUGUUCAUUUUAAUGUUUGGCCACAAAAGUCUUUUUAGAUAGUGAAUUGCUCUCCAUUGAAGGUCAAAAGUUAUUGUUUGUCUAACCGAGAAUUCACAAGUAUAUCUAAAAAAGUUUGGCUUGUAGUAAGUUAGGCUCCUUUGAGGUAUAAAGAAGAUUGAUAAUUGUUUUGAACUUAAAAUUAAUUUUUAUAAGGUUUUUGAAAAACAGGGGAUGCUUAAGUAGGAAGCAAUGCUCAAGUUGACCACUCAAGUGCCAUACACUGCUUGAAUGCCCAAAGCGCUCAAGCCACUAUCAUAAGCUCGAGCAAUCAUGAAUUUAUAGUUGAGAUUUUUUCAUGCAAAAUUGAUUUGGAAGUCUUCUAAAACCAAACCUUUUGGAGAUUUAUUCCUACAAAUACCUCUUUAUAACCCCUUAAGGGUUAGAGAUUGUUUAAGAGAUUGGUGAGAGAUCUUACAUUCUUUAGGGAGAGUCUCUUAGAGAAAAAGCUUAACGAGCCACACCAUUCCCAAUCUCUCAUUCAAGGAUUCAAUCUUUGAAUCUUGGUUGAAAUGCAUUCACUAGAGUAAUAGGAGGUUGCUACGUUGCGGACAUGGAUCAAGUUUUAAGUAUUAAAGAGUAAGUCUUUAGGGUAAAGUGGCUAAGUAAAUCUAUAUAACUUGAUCUCAUAUAAUGGAUUUAGAUUAUUGGUCUUACACUUCAUGUUCUUUUAUCUCCACAAUUAGUGUGGGGGUUUUCCAUGUGAAAAAUCUCUUGUACCUCAUUUCUUAUUACUUGAUAUCUUAUUUGAACUGCCUACAAUAGAAAUUAUUGGUAUACUAAUAUCUCGUAGGAUAAAAAUUAGGUAUAACAUAUAAAUCUUUAUUUAAAUUUUUUAACAAAUCCAUUUUGCCUCCUUCCCCUAGGUGUUACCUCACUGGACUUAGGGGCUUUUCAAACCAUAAGUUGGUUCAACUUGAGUUGUUCUUUUAUGUUGUUGACCAUCGUUAGAUGAAUCAUUUUGUUGGAUUGCACUUGUUAAUCGAUUUUUUUUUCUCAUAUCCAACUUUUGUUUCUUGUGAUUCCUCCAUCUAAAACCCACCAAUUAUUUUACAUCAUAAUAUAAAGUUUCACCACUUGUUUUGUAUUUUAACCCUAACAAUUCAUGUUCUUUAAAAGUAACAUCUCUACUAAUUAUUGUCUUUCUCAAAUUCAGACACUACAACUUAUACCCCUUCACUUUAGUAGAAUAUCUAAGAAAUAAACAUUUCUUUCUUUGCUCUUGGUUGCAACUUUUUAUCAUUUACAUGUGCAUAUGUUGUUGACCCAAAUACAAUAAGGUGUUCCAUACUUCUUGAGGUGUUUUGAACUUUAUGGAACUUGAAGGUCAUUUGUUAAUCAAGUCACAUCUUGUAUGGAUAUCUUUCACCCAUAACUUUGUAGUUUAUCUUAUAUUUAUCAACAUGCAUCUUACUCUUUCAAGAAUAGUAUGAUUCAUCCUUUUAGUUAAGCCAUUUUGUUGAGAUGUACUCUUCACAGUUCUUGUUGGGAUUGAGCUCUUAAAGGAAACACAUGAUGUAACAAAGUUAGACUUAACUGUCCUCUUGCCAUCCUUUUGGUGUAUUGACAUUGAUUUGAGCAUUUAGCUCAUAUCUCUUACAUUAUUACAUGACUUAGGUCAUUAAGAGUUGCACACAAGAUACAAGUCAUGAGUUCCUCAUAAGUACAUAAGUUGUCCACAAUUGGUUAAUGGAUUUGGGCAAUCCAAUAAAGACUGUAGUGCACCACCUCAUAAUUGAAGGGAUGACUUAUCUUGGCCAUCAAGAUGAGUAUCCCAUGAUGAAAUGAUGAGUGCACUAGUUUAUGUGAUGCACAUUGGACUGGACCUAUGGUGAAUCAUGAUGUAAGGCUAUCAAAUGUCAUGAUUCACCAAGCUAUUAUGCUACAUGGACUCUCAACCUUGAGAGGAUAUUGAGCUUGUGAUGAAAUCAAUAGAAGGCUUUGACCUAUGGGAGAGACCCUAAAGUGGUCAUAUAUCCUUAUAGAUUAGGUCACUAUUAAUGAAGACUAGCGACAAUAGGUAUUCUCAAUAGAGGCACCAUGAUAUCCCAUAGGAUUGAGACGGUGUGUCCCCUUGAGUGAUCUAAAGGACAUGUGAUAAUGAAAUUUGUGGCCAAAGUAAUUCCUUUAGUGGAAUUUGACUUAUGCUCCUUGGAGUUGGAGCUAGAGUAUGUUAGUUAAUCAUAUAAUAGGUUGUGUGCACGAGACGCGCAUAGGUCACAUGCAUGGGAAUUGCAUGAGACGUGCUUAUGGGUAGCAGCAUGAGGAGAAAGACUCUCUAGUUUUUCCAAGUAUGUUCUUCAUCGGAUGGAUUUUGAUUUGGGAACAUCUAAAUCACAAGUAUGAGUUUCAAAUAUCAAGAUCUAUAGUUAUUAAUGGUUUUCAUUGCCAUUUUAUUUCACUAUGAUAGAUUUUCAAAUGCCUAGAGAUAGAUGCAUGCACCCUAUGAGAUCCAAGGUAUUGGAAUGGAGUAUUAAUCUAGGGUUCCGAAGUGAUUAGAAUAGUAAGAUCUAAAGAUUGAACCUAGCACUAAUUAAACAUCUGGUAUUUAGACCUAGGUCAUAUUAAUCUGAAUAAGAUGCAAAGAUUGGCAAAGUCAAGACUCUUUGAUUCCAAAAGAUCUUCCAAUCUAUGAAUUUUAUAUAGAUGGUAAAAUGAUCAAGAGGACUAGAAUUAAGGAAUAUUUGGAGUUAGUGCAUACUAACAUGUAUGGACCUUUUAGUGUCUAUGCAUGGGGAGGGUAUGGGUAUUUCAUCACUUUUAGUAAUGAUUGCUCUAGGUUUGGAUAUGUACAUAGGAAAUCUGAUGCCUUGGAUACAUUCAUUGAAUUUAAGGUGGGAUCGAAUAACCUAUUGGAUAUACAUACCAAGUCAUUUCAAUUAUGUCAAGCUGAUAUGUCUAGUAAGUUUGAUUUUUUUUGUUGGAGCAUAGGAUUAUUUUCUAGUUAUGUUCAUCAAGGUCUCUAUUGCAAAAUGGAGAAGUGGAAAUAAGAUAUCAAACUUGGAUUAACAUAGUAAGAUUGUGGAUAGGCUUCUCCUAUUUUAUCAGAUUAUUUUGGGGAUAUGUCAUAUAGUCUGUGUAAUUACCUUUUUCUUUUUUCUUCGUAAGAGGUGUAUUAGUUUAUAGGAUAUCUAAGAGGAUUUUUGGGUUAUUAGGUUUAUAGUCAAGAUGAUCAAAAAAUAUUUGUGAACAUAAAUGUCCCAUUUUUUAUGAAGAUUAUAUGAUAAGGAAGAAGGCAGGGAGUGACAUAGAUUGGAGGAUAUAUUAGAAUAUAGUUCCACAUUACAUAGGACACUAUGGAUCGAAAGGGUUAAAGACAUACCAUUCUUAUGAUUUCUAGUACACCAGUACUUCAUCAUAGUAAGGAGUUUAUAUCCCACAAAUUAUGAUGAAGCAAUGAGCAGUGUUUAUGCUCACUUAAGGCAAGGACGUGUGAUCAUGAAAUCUAUGAACCCAUUAUAAUUCUUUUAGUGAAAUUUGACAUAUGCUCUUAGUGAUUUAGAGUAUGUAAUUUAAUCACAUAAUAGGAGGAUCUAUAACUCUAAAAUUGUAGAGGUAGUCUUUAAAGACUGAUAACUUUCACCUUGUUAGACUACAAACAACCAAUUCAUGGGAAGAUUGUAUACAAUAGAUAGCAAGUCACGAACUUGAGCACUUGGUGUCUCAUUGUAAUAUACAUAGGGUACCAAAAUAUAGUUAACUCUCUAUAGUGGGAUAUUGAGUCAACUUUAUAAUUGGAUUCUAAGGGAUCUAGUACUGUCCUAUGGGUUCCAUUGGUCUCUACUAAAGCUUAUUUUCCUUGAUAACAUGGUUUAUGAGAGUUGGAUGAGUUUUUAGUUAACUUGUGUGCAUAAAUGCAUUUUGGUAAUUACACAAGGUUACAUAGGGGUAACUGUGCGAUAUCUUUGAACUUGGGUAAUUGAUUAAUUAGAGCCUUAUCGUAUUAAUUAAUCAAUUAGAAAUCUUUUUGGGUUAAAUUAAGUGACCCAUGCCCAUAGUGGGCUCAAGUCACUUAAGCAUAGUAGGAAACUUAUAAAUACCCCUCUCAAGGGUUUAGGUUUCUAAUUCAAUCUUGCCAUUCUCUCCCUACAGUCCAGAGAGAGAACCUUAGUCUUCAACCUUGAGAUUUCCACCAUCUCAGUGCCUAGAUUCAAGAAGGAGUCAUCGAGUGGAUGAUUAUGGGUUUACAGGAUCUUUAUUAGAUUUGGAGCUUUCUACACUAACAAGAAUUGAUUUGGGAACAUCUGAAUAAUACAUAUAACACUUUUUUCUAGAUUCAUGAUAUGUUUUCUUUUUUAAAAUACCAAAGUUUUCAACUAUGCUUAGAUCUAGAAAGCACAAAAUAGGAUUACAUGCACCCUAAUGAUCCAAGGCCUAGGAAUAGAGCGAUCCAAGGUUUCCUAGAAAAUAUAACCCAAUAAGUAAGAAUGAUUUAUAGGAACUAAAAAUUCUUUCAAAAAGAAAAAAAGUUAAUUGGAGUAAGAUAGGUAUACAAGAGAAGGAAAAAUGCAAAAGGAGUAGAAAAAUAUAAAGCAACAUUGGUGCAAAGGAUUACAAGAAAGAAUAAUGCACCAACAAGAUGAGGGUAUUUGCUCUCAUUGUUCUUUUAGUAACUAUAAAUUAAUAAUCUCUUUGGUAGCUCAAAAUAGUUGAAAUUUUCAAAUGGAUGUGAAAUCCAAUUUUUUGAAUUGACAUCUUGAAGAAGUGUAUGUAGAACACACCAUAGUUGGUAUAUAUAUAUAUAUGGGCAUGAGAAUAAAGUUCCAAAAUUGAAAAUAACCUUGUAUGGAAUAAAACAAACACUAAGAGCAUGAAAUGAUAGAAUUGACCAAUAUUUUCAUGAUAAUAAUUUUGUUUAAUACCUUUAUGAACACGCUCUCUGCAUAAAAGUGAAUGAAAAAAAGUAAUAUAUUACUUGUUUGUUUAAAUGUGAAUUUUUUGAUCUUUAUUGGAACUAAUCCAAUCAUGUUUAACGAGUUCAAAGAAGUAAUAGAAUAAAAGUUUGAGAUGACUGGAUUAGUCUCAUAUCAUACUCUCUUGGCUUAGACUUGAAGAGAUUGAAAAGAGUACUUUUUAUUUCUCAAGAAGACCAUGCAAAAUAAAUUUUCAGAAAGUUUAACUUGAAUAUGUGUAAUAUGGUAAACACUACAAUAUAAUGCAAAGCUAAAUUAUCAAAGACAUGUAGAAAGAGAAAAAGUGGAUUCAACAUAACAUAAAAUCUUAGUUGGAAGCAUACACUAUUUGACUUAUACAAUUUCAAACAUUCUCUAUGGCAGUUGGAUUUGUCCAUCAUUAUAUGGAAGCACUAAUGAGUAUUUACACUAAGACCUCGUGAAUUUUUCACUACAUCAACGACACAUUUGAUUAUGACUUAUAUUAUUCACCUUUAACAAUUUCAAACUUGUUAGAUAUAACGAUAGUGAUUAAGGUGGAGACUUAGGAUGAUACAAAGAGAACCACUAGCUUUAUGUUCCUCAUGGGAGAUACCAUGUUCACUUGGACUUCAAAGAAGCAACCUAUUGUGAAACUUUCAAUGUAUAAAGUGGAAUUUGUAUUGGCAUCAUGUGUACGUAGGUCAUGGAAUUUGGCUCAAAAAUUUGUUGAAAGAAUUUAGUUUACCACACAAGAAACCAAUAAAGAUCCAAGUGGAUAUAAAAUCAACAAUUACCUUAUGAAAAAAUCUAGUUCUCCAUGAUGAAAGCAAGUACAUUGAUACAAAAUAUCAUAUUUUAGAGAGUAUAUGAAAUACAGAGUGCAAUUAAAAUUUACAAAAUCUCAUAAUCAAAUUGUUAAAAUGUUUACAAAUUCUCUUAAGUUUAGCGAUUUUAGAAAGCUAAGCUUGCUACUUUGACAAAUCAAGUUGAAGGCAUGAGUGAAAAUGUUGACAAAGUUUCUCGAGUUUAAAAAUUUUAGAAAACUAAGGAUGCUAUUUUUACAAUUGAAUGGAGGAUUUAGUAAAACUGGAUUUAGGAAGUUUCUAAAAAUUAGAAUUUGAGUUAGAUUCUAAAAUGCUUGUUUAGUUUGUAUAUUUUGUUAUUACAAGAUUUCAUAUUUUACCAUUAUGAGUAUUAAAUUUUUUUAGGUGUUAAUAUCUAAAAAUAAGAUGUUAUGUAAUAGUUGAACAAGAGUGGUGGAAGAAAAUAAAUUUUUUCUUAGUCAUCCCAAUUAUUUAAAUAUCUCCCUUUACAUAUGUAAUUAUGUAAUGCCCUAAACCCAAUUUAGGGGUAAAAUCAUAAUUUAGAAAUUAUUAAUGAAUAAAAGUAAUUUAAUAAGGGUAAAAAAGUCUUUUUAUAUUUAAAACCCUAGAUAUAAAUUAGAUUUUUCAUAUCUUCUCUAUUCAGAAAACCCUUUUACAUAGAGAUCAGAAAGAUCAAAGAGCAUAGGGCUGAAGAUUUGGAGGUUUAGGGUUUGAAGAUCAAUUUUUCAGGUAAGAUUUUUAAUCCUUAAAUUAAUAUUUUAUAUUCGCUAAUUAGUUUUGAAUACUUUAGAUAUUCUUUGGAAUAUCUCAAUUUUGAUUAGAGUUCAUUUAAUUAAUUUCUAGGUCAAAAAGAUUAAAAAUUUAUGAACAUAGUUUGAUUUAUUAAUGGAGAUCGAUAAGUUUUGAUUGCUCAAAUGAAUAAAUCUAGAUAAAAAAAAAUUAAAAAUUAUACUUUAGAGGGUAUGGAGGUUAAAAGUUUUUACUUUAGAGAGGAGAAAACAAAUGAUGAAAGAUGCGUAGGAAGGAUUUGGCAUGUUGAAAAAAAAAAUGGUUGACCUAGGAAAGGAAUUAAAUAGUAUUUUGGUAAACAAUAAGGAAGAAAAGGACGUGGAUGUCUUGGAAGAGAAAUAGGUUAAGGUGUUGUUAGGUAUUGAAAUUAAUAAUAAUAAUAAUAAUAAUAAUAAUAAUGAUGAUAAUAAUAAUAAUAAUAAUAAUAAUAAUAAUAAUAAUAAUAAAAGAAACAAUAAUAAUGAAAGGAGUUGGUGUGGAGUUGUUGGGAAAAAAAAAAAGAAAAAUUGCAUGGGGUAUUUGUUAAGUUUCAAUAGAAGAUUUAAAUAAUAGUAAUAAUAAUUUAAUACAAAUAAAUAUUCGUAAAAGUUUUAAUUUAGAUAAGUUAGAAAAGAGAAAUAAAUUAUUGUUUAGGAAGUUGAAAAUAAUAUUGGAUGGUAAUAAUAUUAAUAUGAGAAAUUAAUUAGGAUCCCUAAUACUAAAUAAAAUAUUUUUAAGGUUGUCAAAUUUAUAUAUUUAGAUAAAUAAUCAAUAAUCAAUAUUGUGUAUGAUAUUAUGUUAGGUGAGGAGUAAAUUCGUCAAGCUAAAUACUUUAAGUUUUUGAGUGCUUCUUCAAGGUAAGGGAAAUUAGUGCGGAUUUUUAUAAAAGAAAACAAUUUUAUUUUUAUAUUGUAUUUUGAAAUGUGCAAAAAUAUUAUUUUUAUCUUUACGUAUAGAUGAAAUAUGUGUUUUGUAUGGAAAAUAUAUUUGAGAAUUUUCUUUGUUUAUGAAAAAUGAAAAAUUAAGGAGAUAUGAUAUUUUGUUUUGUAAAUUUGAAUUAAUGAAAUAAAGUGUUUGACUUUGGUUCUUAUGGCCCUAAUCAACGGGUUAUAAUUGUUGACAUAUUCAGCCCUAAUCAACGGGUUAUAAUAGUUGAUAUUAUAUGACCCCAGUCAACAGGUUAUAAUUGUUGACAUAUUCAAUCCUAAUCAAUAGGUUAUAAUAGUUGAUAUUAUAUGGCUCUAGUCAAUGGGUUAUAAUUGUUGACAUUUGGUUUUGUUCACCUUAAAUAGAACAAAUUUGAAACUAGUUACUCAAUUGUGAAGUCCCAUCUAAUUAGGCACUAUUUGUCAUACAAUAACCAGAGUAAAGAUAUUUUGAAUGUAUUCGAUUUGGUUUUGAUGAGAAAUUGUUUUGAAAUGGAUAUGAGAAAGUUUUGUUGAAAAGUUUGAAUGUAUUAGUAUUUUGAACUCAAAAGUUUUUGUGAAAAUAAGUAUAUGUUAUAUUUGUUAUUUGCAAGCAUGAUUGAAAAUGUUUGAUCCAUGAAACUGUAUUAAUGUUCCUUAUUGGGCUUUGAGCUCAUCCACUUUUGUUAAUAAUCUUUCAACUAACCUCAGUUCGAGUGAGGAGUGACCGUUAGGAGGGAAAUUUGGCUUUAUUAGGACAUUUGUUUAAACUCUCUUUAUGUUGGACAUUGUUUAGAUGUUAAAACUUAAUUCUCAUUUGAAUUAUUUUGAGUUUGGAGUUAUUUGGACAAUGACACUUUGGUUGAUGUAUUAGUUUUUUUAUAAAGUUGAUACUUGGAGAUUUUAGAAUUUUAUCAUACUACUCUGAAUAGGAAUUUGGUAAUUUGUAAAUUUCUAGUUACAAUAUGAAUGUUUGUAUCGUUUCCACUUUGAGCCUUUGGGCUUGAGGUGAAAUGAGAGGUGAAAUGAUCGUCAUGCCCUUGGAGUGGGUUUUGGGGUGUGACAAAUUACUUCCAUGUUUUUUCAACCAUAUUAUUGCAACAUAUGUGGAUCUGCUGGUUGGUCUAUGAAAAUUCAUAUAAGUUGUUAAAUUCUGUUAGGCUUGUGUAACGGUAUUUAGAUCAUAACAUCUUUCCCUAAGCCCGCAUUUUUCUAAAUAUAUAAUUAAAAUUGUUGUGUUUGCAAUUUUAAUGAAAUCUAGCAUUGGAUACUCAACUUCUCACAAAAUGACAAAAAAAAAUGGUGGUGAUUUCAUGGAGGCUAACCAUUCACCUACCUUUAGUCAAGGUUUUCAAGUUGUGUUACAAUAGUAAAGUAAUAAUCUCAAUCAAAACACAAAAUUUAGUUUUCUAAACAAUUAUUGUUCUUGGAAAACAUGCAAGGAAUUUAAGCAUCUUAAGGUACUUAAGCAAUCUUAGUUGGACAUUCAGUAUCCAGAUCUUUUCAUUAAUUGGUUUUUCUCUUUUUGUGCCAACAUCUGCUCUCUCUCUCUCCAACAUGCAAGCGUAAGUGGUAGGCACCUCUUUUGUGCUUUAAAUUAAUUUUUGAAGUAAUUUAAAUCAACUUAAAAGAUCAUAAGUCCCAUUGGAUAUGAUGUAUUGAGUUUUAGAUUUUUGAAGUAAAAUUAUCAACAUAGUCUAGAAUAUAUACUAAUAGAUUAUACUCUUUCCAAGAGUUUAAAUUGCUUUUUGUUAAUAGAUUAUAUGGAUGUUUUAACACAGAAAUUGGAAUGAAGCCAAAUAUGCAGAAAAAAGAAAUGGUUGUGACCAAUAGUUAUAUUUAAUCUCUUUUAUUUCUAUUGAUACUCAAAUUUUUAGGGAUAGAGCAUCAACAAUCCUUGUGAUGAAUUAAUAAUGUUGAUAAAAGUCAAUGACUACACAAUGUAGCUAGCUUAAAACCAAAUAUGUCAUUAAAGAAGAUAUCGAUAAUCACCCCCACACAAUGAUAUCUUGUAUAAUUCAUUAGUUGAAUCAAACACAAAUUUCGUUCAAUAUAUGUGUCUACGAGUAAAAGAGAGUUCUUGGUUUAUAUUCGACAUACACGCUAUAUAGGCUAUGCUAACAGCAAUUGAUAACAAGAAUCUCAACACUGAAGUCCAUGUAGAAUCAGGUGUCCACCAUAUUGGAGUUGCAUAGUUAGGAUAUUGAAAGGAGCAUGAGCAUAGGAUGGCGAAAGUUCAAAUAAGAAGUGUUGUAAGAUCAUUGCCAAAGCUAUUUUUGCCUCCAUCAUUGCAAAAUUUUGUCCAAUGCAUGCCUGAGGACCCCAACCAAAUGGGAAAAAUGAAACUUGGUUUUUUUUUGCCUUCGAAAUUCCUUCUGCAAGCCUCUCUGGGUUAAACUCCUUUACAUCAUCUCCCCAAAUUUCAUGAUCAUGGUGAACUAGGAUGGUGGGCAACGCAACCUGCACUCCAGCUGGAAAAUACAUGUCUCCCACUUGAGUGUCCUUAUAAACAGCUCUAGUAAGCAUUGCUACUGGUGGGUAUAACCUAAGAACCUCAUGAAAAAUCAUGGUAACCUGUGGUAGAGAAACUUUAUAAGUUGUAGCAUGAGAAUUCUUACUAAAAUACAUUCUAAUCAUUAUGCAGAACACUGAAGAAUAAAGCAAUUUCUUAAAAUAGUGAUGCAUAAGAGAAAAUGUUCUAAAUCAUGCAUGCCAAAAUAUCAAGUAUACAAAGGACAUUGCAUAUCCCAUGGAUAUAAUAACUUAAGAACCUCAUAAAAAAUCAUCAUGAUCUAUCAGAGAAAUUUGAAAUCAUGGCAUGAGAACCUGUUCCUGAGCUACUAAGUGAAAGCAAAUGUUUAGUACAAAAUAUAAAAACUUAAGAAAAAUGUGUUUUCAAUUUUACUCCAAUUUUGGGGAAAAAAAAUAGAGUACUAUAUGAUUUCAGUGAGAAUCACUAAACUGAAGAUUGGACUGAGUACUCACAAUUUUUAGGUGAUUUAAUCCAUUAGCUUCCAGUUUUUUAUUCCCAAAAACCUGUAAAACCUCUUCUCUUGCACGAGCUUGCCAAUUUGGAUUCUCGCUUAGCAGGACCAUUGUCCAUACAAGAAAAACUGAGGUUGUCUCUUGGCCAGCAAGAUAGAAUAUCUUACACUCUUCAAUGACCUCUUUGACACUCAUUCCAAUCUUCUUGUUAUUUUUAUGUUCUUGAAUUUAUCUAAAAUUGGAUUCCAUUAGUAUAACUAAUAAGUCACUAUUACCAGUUUUGUCAGCCUUCAUUGUCUUCUCCCUUUUGUUAAUGAUACCCCUCAGCAAUGCAUAUGCUUUUUUGCUUAUUUGCUUCAUCUUCCUGUUCGUCUUUGUGGGUAAAAACUUGUGCGCAUGUUAGUAAUUCUAGUAAAUAAAACAUCACAUGAAACACACAGACAUUAAUUCUUAUUUUCAUUCAUGCUUUUUACUUCUCCAUUAAUUUUUUGAAGCUUGUAUAAGGCUUCAAAGGUAGAAACUAUCAAGACAAUAACUAAUGGUUUCAUCUACACAUGUGUUGCAAUGGUAUAUCAUCAUCUUGACACAGUAUCCUGCCAACAUAAGAUUGAGGAUACUAAACAUCAAUUAGUGAAACAUACUACUUUCUAGGUGUUAUACAAAAGAAGUAAUUGACUAAAAGGGGAUGAAAUGAUCUCAUAUUUGUAAAUCUAAUAUCUCCUAUGCUUGACCGUGAAAAGUAAUCCAUUUUUAACAUAAAUUCCCUUCAACAUAUGAACCGAAAUUUGUGCUGGCAUCAUGUGUAGGUCAUGAAAUUUGGCUCUGAAAUUUGUUCAAUAAACUUAAUUUACCAAACAACACUACAAGGAAAAAGAUAUAUGGUGACAUUUAUAAUAAGUCACUAUAAACAUAGGGUGUCACUACAACAUAGCGUCACCUUAUCCACUGACACCAUAAAGGGUAUCAAUUGGUGACGUAUUUGGAAGCGACACCAAAGCAGAUAAAUGGUGACACAUUCAGAAGAGACACCAUAUAUUUUUAGUGAUGCUUAAUUUGAUAUAGAGUUGUAUGAGAUAUAUAAGGUGUCAUAUUAAAUGCAUCAUCUUUGAGUUAUGGUGUCACGUUAAAUGUAUCACCUUUAAUUUAUGGUGUCACAUCAUUGUAAAUGAUUAUGGAAAAUAUGGUUGUUUUUUGUUGAUUAGUUUGUAGAUUUUUGUAAUGCUUAUUAAUAAAUAAGACUAACCUGUGUAAAUUGUCCAUAAAUAUAAUAAUCAUAUUACAUUUAACUUAUAUUUUCAUAAUGCUUAUGAAUUAAUUUGUAACAUAUUACAUCAUCCAAUAAUAUUUGUAUAUCAAAUGUUCACAAAAUGAUAGUACAUCAAACACAUCAAACCCACCAAAAGGAAAAAAGAAAAGUGAAUACACAUUAAAACAUGAUUUAAANNNNNNNNNNNNNNNNNNNNNNNNNNNNNNNNNNNNNNNNNNNNNNNNNNNNNNNNNNNNNNNNNNNNNNNNNNNNNNNNNNNNNNNNNNNNNNNNNNNNGAAUAAGUAAUGUUAUACAAUAUCAAUGGAAAAUUCAAUCAUAUAACAACUAAGGGACUUACCAUGAAUGAUCACAAUACAUCAAUAUGAUUCAUGAUUAGUUAUAACACAAAAGUAAUCUAUUCUUCUCUAAUUUCAUCAAAUUCUACUUGAGAAUAUGUUUUAUUUGUCAUCAAACUGAAAUCAAAUGAGAAUAACAUUAAUAUCACAAUAAUUAAAAGUAUGAAAUUAUGUACAAUUCAUUAAAUGAGUAAAACCUUUGAUGCAAUUACUGUAAAAUCAACAAUUAUUUCUUUAAUGAAUCUCAUAACAAAGUAGUCAUAUUUGAACUUAGCAUUAUUUUUUUACUCUUAAAUUAUUUUAAAACAAAAUAACAAUUAUUAAUAUAUUGGUUCAUUUUUAAAUACUUUCACAAGAAUAUAUUUUAACUACGAGUUAUUUUAAUUUAUCAAAAGACUUUUAGGAAAUGAGCUAUUAUCCAUUUAUUAUUUUCUUAUUUUUCAAAAAAUAUUUUUAGUCAUUUCAUACACGUUUUCAACUACUAAAAUUAUUGUUUUUAUAGAAUAAACAAAGAAGCAUACACUUCUCCUCCACUCACUAAGUCAACUAUUACAAUCACCAUAAUAUUUUAUUCACCUACCAACAUCUCAUUCCAUUUAGAUAACUCUCUCAACAAAAUCAUUUCUACAAUACUUUUUACUCUCCUAUGAUAUUGAAUAUUUUAUUCCAUUUAGGUGACUCUCAACACAAAGAAAAGUAGGAAUGUCUUCUUAGGUUAACUAAACAAAGACUUUUUUUUUUUUUUUUACUUUACAAUAUGUAUAAAAAACAAUUAUUUAUUACAAGGAAUGUGGUAGAAAGGUCAUUUUAUUUUUAAAGAAUUUUUAAGAAUUUAUUAAACAUUUACAAAAAAUAGAAUCUAACAAUUUUAUUUCUAAAAAAAUUGAUCAAUUCAAAAAAGAAAGAAGAAUGUUAUUUUUUAAGAAAAGUUAAUAAACCACUUUAUUCUUGAAUUAUCUAAACAAAACUUACUAAAAAAUAUUUUAUCCCAAAUUUAUUUUCAAAACUUUCUUAUUGAAAACUAUCUCAUAUAUAAAUUAUUUUAUUAUAUAGAGAAAUUCUUAUUUUAUUCUUUUUUUAGAGAAAAAUUCACUUGUUUUUUAAAUAUCAAAGAAGUCUAUUUUUAUGUCUAUUAUAUAUAUAUAUAUAUAUAAAUUCUCUUAUUUUCAUACAAGAAAUUUCCAUUUAUGCCUAAAAUACUUUUAGAAAAAUCAUUGCCAACAAAAUUUUAUUUUUAAAAUUAUUUUCAACAUUCUUAUUUAAAAAAAUUAUCAUUGGAUUAUUUUCAAAAAAGACCGUCCUAAAAAAAUUAACCAUUUAUAACCCAAUUUAAACUCAAAAAUUAUCCCCAAUAUUAUUUUAUAUUCCUAAAUUAUUUUCAAACAAAAUAACAAUUAUUAAUAUUUUGAUUCAUUUUUAAAUACUUUCACAAAAAUAUAUUUAAACCACAUAUUAUUUUAAUUUAUCAAAAUAUUUUUAGGAAAUGUGCUAUUUUCCAUUUAUUACUAUCCUAUUUUUCAAAACAUAUUUUCAGGCAUUUCAUUCACAUUUUAAAUUUCAAAUACUAAAAUUAUUGUUUUUAUAAAACAACAAAGCAUGUAAAUUUCAACUACUAAAAUUAUUGUUUUUAUAGAAUAAACAAAGCAACAUACACUUAUCUUCCAUUUACUAAUUCAACUAUUACAAUCACCCCAAUAUUUUGUUCACCUACCAAUAAUUCAUUCCAUGUAGGUGACUCUAAAAAAAAAAAGUCAUAUUUAUAAUACCCUUUACCACUCUGAUACCCAAUAUUCUAUUCCAUUUAGGUGACUCAAUACAAAGAAAGUGGGAAUGUUUUCUUAGGUUAACCGAAGAAAACCCUAAAUAACUUAAGUGCUUUUGGAUUAAUUGAGCAUCAUCUUGUAGUAGAUGUCAAUCUCUAUUGUUAGACUUCACCAAAAAGCUCCUAGCACGGUGGAAAAAAGUAUCAAAUAUAGUCAAGUCUUCAAUAAAAUAUUUUCACAUGUGAAAAAUUACAACCAAUACACUAUAUAGUCAAGUCUUCAAUAAAAUAUUAUUUCAUACGAAAAAUUACUACAAACUAGUGUAUCUCUCAUUCUCAAUUAGACAUAAUUUUUAAAAAUAAUUCCUUUUUUUUUUUCAUUUGUUUUGGGGCUUAUUAGCAAUGAAACAAAAAAUAUGUUAGAAUGUUAAACCUAGUUUUUACUUCCCUGGAACUUGAUAAAAAACACCAUUUACAAAACCCACAUCAUAGAUAUACUUAAUCAAGAGAUAUAAAACAAUUAUACUAACAAAGUUUUUUGCAUUAAUAAAAAAAAAUGAAGAUGAUAGAUAAGAGAUUUGGACUUACCCGAGAUUUUACGAAGCAAAGAAUAUCAAUUAUGGGUGUGCCGACCAUGGGUGUGAGAAGAAGGAGAAGAAAACGAUGGUUAGGGUUAAGCAAUAAGAUCUUUUAUAUUAGUUAAUGUAUAUAUGGAAACAAUGGACUUUUCAUAAAUUGUUCCUACUUACUAUUUUUAAAAAGGGCCCAUUGAGUUAUAAAAUUUAAAACUUUUUAUUUCAUAUGGUGUCACUUCCAAAAAAUGACACUGUAAAUCUGAAAUUAGCAUCAUCUAACUAUCCUAAUUGAAGAUUUUUUAUAUGAUGUGUCACCUUUAUAAAUUUUAAGUUCAAUGGUGUCAUUAUUUUAAAUGCGACACCAUAAAUAGUGACAUCAUAAAUUAUUUUUGUAGUAGUGCAAGAAACGAAUAAAGAUCUAUAUGGAUAUGAAAUCAACAAUUAUCUUAUGAAAAAAUCUAGUUCUCCAUGAUGGAAGCCAGUAUAUUGAUACAAAAUAUAAUUUAUUAGAGAGUACAUUAUGAAAUAUGAAAUGCAAUUAAAAUUUACAAAAUGUCAUGAUCAAAUUGUGAAAACAUUAACCAAGUCUCUCAAGUAUAAAGAUUUUAGAAAGCUAAGGAUGCUAUUUUUACAAAUCAAGUUGAUGGGAGGAUGUUAGUUAAACUAGAUUUAGAAAGUUUCUAAAAAUUAGAUUUUGAGUUAGGUAUUAAAAGUUAAUUAAAAUAUUUUAUACAGAAUUCUUGAUUUAGUUUGUAUAUUUUGUUACUGCAAGAUUUUAUAUUUUACUAUCGUGAGUAUCUAUUCUUUUUAGGUGUUAGUAUCUAUAAAUAAGAUGUUAUGUAAUAGUUGAUCAAGUGUACAGGUGGACGACAAUAAAUUUUUUCUUAAUCAUCUCAAUUAUUUAUUUAUGUAAUUGCUUGUGUGUUUUUUCAACCACAUUGCUGCAACAUAGGUGAAUCUGUUAGUUGGUCUAUGAAAAUUCAUAUCAGUUGUUCAACCUUUUAAAUUCUAUAACGUAUGUAGAUUAUAGCCUCUUUCCCUAAGCCUGCAUUUUUCUUUCAUUUCAUGGUGUCAACACUUGAGGAAAGCAAAAUUUCCUAAAAUGGAAUAUGGUGUGCAAGGAUCCAGUGACUUAUUAGGCAUCUAAACAUGGUGGCAUUUAUUUUUUUGGCUUUUUGCUAAAAGCAAUUUGCUUUCAAAAUUUAGGUUGUUUGUUUUUUUAGUUUUUGAUGACUUAUUAUUGAAUUUUUAAAAUUUUUGGCUAAAUUGAGCACAAACAACUGACAUAAAAAUUCAUCUAAAAGUUUUCAAAAUUUUUGCUAAAACGUUAUAAAUUAACACUUGAAAAAAAAAUAGUACUUUUCAAAGUGGAAGUAUAUUAAUUUCUUGAUAAAAGAAAUUGCAAUAUUGUUAGCAAAGAUUAAGAACUACCACUGAAAUCUAAACCUUUGGUGUAAUUUAAAAAAGAGGGAAAAAAAACAAAAAGGAAAAGAAAAAUAAUUAGGAAGAGAAGAGCAGAAAACAAACAACUGCUUUAGGGCAGUAUAAAAAAGUUGGCCAUAAUUUGAAGAGAUCAGCAAACUUUAAUACUAUGAUGAAAAGUAAUAACUCAUAUCGCUAACGUAUUUCUUAAUGAAAUGACAACGGAAGGGCAGGACACGCGGGGCAAUAUCAUCAGAGAGGCUGAUUGGUCUUGAAUAUGCUUCUUUUAAUAUCAUGGACAUUUCUUUGAAGUCCCCAUGUAAAAGGCUAUAAGAAUUCUCAGCCAGGCCUUACUCUCUAAGGCAUCUUUCUAACCUCUAUGGCCUCAACCACACCCAAUUCAAUAGCAUCCAUAAACAGCUUAUGAACACAGUAAGGAACCCAAAAGAAAUUGCAACUGAGUUAUGCUUCAUUUCCAGGUUGAGGGACUUCUAUCAGGAGAGGUAUGUUAAAUCACUUCAGAGUGAGAAAAUGACUUUAUGCUGCCGAUGUGUAUAAAUUGGCCGCUAUUCUAUUCCCUCGUGUCGGCAAACAUAGAAGAGUUCGUCAAUACCUAAUGGAGAGAAGAACUUCUAGUAUUUUAAAAUCUAUAAAUUAUCUAUUUUAAUUGUCUCCAUCAAUAUGGCUUUUAAACUUCUCAAUGAAUUAUUAAUUUAUUCUAUUUGAUACAUUUCAAAGUUUGUGCAAUCAUCACUGCUUAUUAAAAACUAUAUAUGCCAUGAAUGUAGAAGGCAAAAUUUGAGCAUACAGAAUAUGGAAUUCUAUUUGAUGGACCAGCUUUCACUUGUGAGUCGAUGGAGCAUGUGGAUGCUCACUUUCAGAGAGUCAAGGGGCAGCUCGCAUCCCUCACAUCUUGGAAGAUGUCGCAGGGUGCUUCCAGCUCUACAACUCCAUCUGAUCUGGACUUUUUGAUACUUUAUGUUUUUUUUUUUUUUUUGGUGGAUAAGCUUAUUUUGUACACCUAACCCAUCUUGGCUCAGUUUAUCAUAUAUUUUGUUUGUCUAGAUGUACUUUUAUUUUCUUAUCUCUUGUAUCCAAAACCUUUUUUAUCAUAUAUGUCCAUGUGUUUGCUUUUCUUUUCUUCUUUUUGUAUGCUUACUGCUUCAUCAUGCUUUUUGUCAUUUUUUUUGCAACAAAAAAGGGGAAAUGGAUUGUUGAUUUGAUUGAGUGUUUUGAUAUUCAUAUUUUUUUGACAUCUGUUUCAUGACUUGCAUCCCCUUACUCGUUUACCUGAUUUGAUAAAAUUGAUCAAUUAUCUUUCUUCCCACACACUACUUUACCUGGGUAUGUUGUUUAGUGUGUGCAAGUUCUAGGUACUAGGGUGUUGGUCAUUUUUUGGAUGUGGCUUCUAGUCCUUUGCACGAUAGAUGAUGAAUUGGUUUAGACAAGAGGUAUUGAGAGAGAUUUGUAAACUCCAUUUCAGAGUAUUGAGGGGUUUAUGCAAUUUGUAUUUUAUCACAAAAUUGCCAAAGGGAGAGAUUGUUCGUACAUUAGGUGAUGUAGUUUAAAAUUGUCAAUUUUGUUCUAUUCAUUUUGGUUUAGGAUCUUUCUAGAUUGUGUUUCAUUCCCCAUUGAAGACUCAAGGUUAUUAAUUGAUCAACCAAGAUUACAUAGGUAAGUGUAAAAAGAUUUAGGAAAGGGAAGUUAGUGUUUGGUAUGACAUGGCAUGGAUUGAGUGGUUUAAAAUUGAGCAAAAUGAUUUUCUAAUUGGGUUUAAAAAAUGCUUAAAGUGCUCAAGCACUCUAAGAGCAUUUGAGCUCUAGAAAAAAAAUUCUCUAGAAUUUUGGAGAUCUGUCUUUCUAUUUUUAAAGGAUUUAUUUUGAGGAACUUUUUAGAAUUAGUCCACUAGGUUCCUAAGCUUAAAUAUACAUUGCAUAAAAAGGUUUUUGGUUUGAUGCUUUUGAGUUGAAAAACCUAGUUUUUCUUAUUGUUUCCAAAAUUAUAGAAGAAACAUUCAUAUUUACUUCUGCCUAGUUGAGAAGGAGAUUUGUAUCCCCCUCAAGUGCUGAAGUGAGAUCCUCUAUGAGCACAUGAGAUGUUGCAUUGUGGACGCAAAACACAGUGUAGGUGUUAGGUAGUAAGUCUUAGUAGUAGCUUUCAUCAGGUAAAAUUGAGUACAUACCUCAUUAUAUAUGAUGGACAGCUCCUCAAAUGCAUAUCCUACAAUCAAAAUCAAUUGAUUCUAAAUUAACACCCAACCCAUAUUUCAAACAAAAUCUUGCAAUUUCACAUUUUGAGCACCAAUCCAUGAAAAUGGUGUUUUUGGGGAGAAAAUUCAAUUGAUUUAGGAGCAUAUUAGAUCUUACCCUUCCCCUCUUGAGACUUGAGACUUAGGAGUAACCUAUUUUCAGAUAGAUUCAAUAUCACUAAUUGAUUAAUUUUUAUGUACAAUAUGUUUUUCUAAAUUUUUAAAAAUUCCAUCCUUUUAAUUCUAUUAGAAUAACGUAAAUCAUAUGGAAGUUAGAUUCUAAAUCUCAAGUCUUCACAUCAUCAAGUAUCAACUAUAAGAACUCAAACUCAACACUUUAGUGGCUCUAAAGAGUCUAUUUUAGUGCAUUUGAGGUAUUUAAAAAUGACCUAAUGCUUGGUUUUUUUGUUAUUAAUGCCUUAGCCAUUUGUUUUUGAUAUUUUUUUGUGAGUAUUUUUAGAACUUUAAAGUAUUUUGAAAAUGAAGUGGACUUUGUGGAGGAUUCUCAAAGAAUAAAAUGCCUAAGUAGAGAGCAAGAACAAAUUGUAUACCUUUUAAGUACACAGGAUUCUAUUGUGCAUCUCGCUAGUGUGCCACCAAACUAGAUUGCACAUUCCCUCUAACAAUUUAAAUUGAGCACCUUCCCUAUGAUUCAAAGGUUGCAUACCCCUCAACAAUUGAACCUAACAAGAGCACUCAAGUUGUGCAUGUCCAUAACAUCUUAAUUGCACUUUUCCCUACCGCUACAGUAGUUUAUCCCUAGGGUCACUCACCAUGCAAUGUCACACCCCAAAACCCACUCCAAGGGCAUGAAGAUCUUUUCACAGCUAGCUCAAGCCCAAGGGCUUAAAGUGGAAACAACACAAACAUUUGUAUUGUAACUGAAAAUUUACCAAUUACCAAAUUCUUGUUCAAAGUAGUAGGACAAAAUUCUAAAAUCUCCAAGUAUCAACUUGAAAAAAAAAACUAAUACAUCAACCAAAGUGUUAUUGUCCAAAUAACUUUCAACUCAAAAUAAUUCAAAUGAGAAUUAAGCUUUAACAUCUAAACAAUGUCCAAAAUAAAGAGAGUUUAAACAAAUGUUAUAACAAAGCCAAAUUUCCCUCUUAAUGGUCACUCCUUGCCAGAACUGAGGUUGCCUAAAAGAUUAUCAAUGAAGAGAGGUAAGCUCAAAGGCCAAUAAGGAACAUUAAUACAAUUUUAUGGAUCAACAUUUUCAAUUAUGCUUGCAAAUAGGAGAUAUAACAUAUACUUAUUUUCAUAAAAACUUUUGAGUUCAAAAUGCUAAUACAUUCAAACUUUUCAACAAAACUUUCUCAUAUCCAUUUCAAAACAAUUUCUCAUCAAACCAAAUCAAAUACAUUCAAAAUAUCUUUACUCCAGUUAUCGUGUGACAAAUGGUGCCCAAUUAGGUGGGACUUUGCAAUUGAGUAACUAGUUUCAAAUUUGUUCCAUUUAAGGUGAACAAAACCAAAUGUCAAGAAUUAUAACCCAUUGACUAAGGUCAUAUAAUAUCAACUAUUAUAACCUGUUGACUAGGGCCAAAAAUGUCAACUAUUAUAACCCGUUGACUAAGGCCAUAUAAUGUAGAGAGUCAAAUACUUUAUUUCAUUAAUUCAAACUUACAAAACAAAACAUCAUAUCUCAAAUUUUCAUUUUUCAUAAACAAAGAAAAUACUCAAAUAUACUUUCCAUACAAGACAUAUAUUUGAUCCGUGCUUAAAGAUAAAAAUAAUAUUUUUAAACAUUUCAAAAUAUAAUAUAAAAAGAAAACUAUUUUCUUUUACAAAAAUCUGCAUUAAUUUCCUUUACUUGAAUAAGCACUCAAAAUCUUGAAGUAUUUAGCUUUGAAGAAUUUCCUCCUCACCUAACAUAAUAUCAUACACAAUAUUGAUUAUUGAUUAUUUAUCUAAAUAUAUAAAUUUGACAAUCCUAAAAAUAUUUUAUUUAGUAUUAGGGAUCCUAAUUAAUUUCUCAUGUUAAUAUUAUUACCAUCCAAUAUUAUUUUCAACUUCCUAAACAAUAAUUUAUUUCUCUUCUCUAACUUAUCUAAAUUAAAUCUUUUAAGAAUAUUUAUUUGCAUUAAACAUUAUUACUAUUAUUUAAAUCUCCUACUAAAACUUAACAAAUACCCCAUGCAAUUCUUUAUUUUUUUCCCAACAACUCCACACCAACUCCAUUCAUUAUUAUUAUUUCUUUUAUUAUUAUUAUUAUUAUUAUUAUUACUAAUUUCAAUACCCAAUAACACCUUAACCUAUUUCUCUUCCAAGCCAUCAACGUCCUUUUCUUCCUCAUCGUUUACCAAAAUACUAUUUACUUCCUUUCCUAGGUCAACGUGCUGACCAAUCCUUAGUUUUUUUUUUUUCAACAUGCCAAAUCCUUCCUACCUACAUGCAUCUUUCAUCAUUUUUUUCUCCUCUCUAAGGUCAAAACUUUUAAUCUCCAUACUCACAAAUUUUAUGUAAUUUUCACAUCUGAAACUAUAUAUAUAUAUAUAUAUAUAUAUAUCUAGAUCUAUUCGUUUGAGUAAUCAAAAUUUGUCGAUCUCCAUUAAUAAAUCAAACUAUGUUCAUAUUUUUUUUAUCUUUUUGACCUAGAAAUUAAUUAAAUGAACUCUAAUCAAAAUUGAAAUAUUCCAAAGAAUAUCUAAAGUGUUCAAAACUAAUUAACAAAUAUAAAAUAUUAAUUUAAGGAUUAAAAAUCUUACUUGAAAAAUUGAUCUUCAAAUCAUAAACCUCCAAAUCUUCAACCGUAUGCUCUCUAAUAUUUCAAAUCUUUAUGUAAAAGGGUUUUCUGAAUAGAGAGGAUGGGAAAAAUCUAAUUUAUACCUAGGAGUUUUAAAUACAAAAAGACCUUUUUACCUUUAUUAAAUUACUUAAUUUAAUUAUUAAUUUCUAAAUUAUGAUUUUACCCCUAAAUUGGGUUUAGGGCAUUACAUUCACACUGUUCCCACUCUUGCAAAGGUUGCACACCUGAGAAAACUCCUUCCAAUGAUUUGUACACUCACCAAAGUAAUGCAAGCAUCUAAGCCUUAAGUCAUCAUCUAUACUAUCAAUUCUCCCAUACCGAUUGCAUUGAAAGCCAAGUGCAGCCACCAACUCCAAGCUGACAAGUCAAGUACAAGAAAGAUGGCUAGUUGACUACAUUGACACAUGAUAUGAUCCCCAACAUGAGCAAGAGGCAGUUCUAGGAGAAUAGUUUGAGCAAUAAGAAUGGAUUACCUAAAGGGAAACCCAUCUAUAAAUAGAGGAUUGUCUGGGCACGCGUGCGCAUACACACACACACACACACACACACAUAUAUAUAAAUAUGUAUGUAUGUAUGUAUGGGGAGAAGAAAAGAAAAGAAAAAAAGAAUGUUGAAGAGUUUGAAUCUUUAAUGGAGAUGAUAUUAACCUUUUUAGGAUUUAGUUAGGAAUUUAUUUUGGUAAUUAAAAUGACAAUUAAUUAUUUGGAUAGGAUUUGUUAGGUAGUUUCCUACUUCUUUCCAUAUAUUUUCCUUAUGUUUGUAGGUUUCCUACAUUAUAUAAAUAGAGGACAUUUUCUCUUCUUUUCUCUAUGAAUGAAUAUAUGACUAGGUAAAAUUAAGCUAUAGGUUUCUUAAUUGUAUCAAAGCCAAAUUCUUAUUACUAGGAAUAAUGGUUAAAAUUACAAUGAUAGGUGCUUCCAAUUAUGAUAACAACUUGAAGGAGGCAGAAAGAAAACCUAUCCCUCAUUAGAAUUUUGUGACCAAUGGUCAUGGUCACUCUUCUUAGCUAAUUACCUCUCACAAACUAACUUAAUGGAGAAAAUUAUCUUGAAUGGUCUCAAUUUGUCUAACCUUUCAUUCGUGGGCAUGGACAAAUUGAAUAUUUUAUUAGAGUAACAUCAAUACCACAAGGAACAAUUCUCAUCGAGACAUAGGAAGUAGAGAAUGCCAUGAUUAUGUCAUGGUUGAUCAACUCAAUGGAACUCAAGAUUAGGAAGACAAACAUGUUCAUGCCCAUAACUAGAGAGAUCUAGGAGGCUACCAAGGAAACCUAUUACAACUUGGUAAUUUGCUCAAGUCCACAAGAUAGCCAUACAAGUAAAAAAUACCAAGCAAGAUAAUAUGAAUGUAAUUCAAUACUAUAAUACACUCAAAACUCUUUGGUAAGAACUUAAUUUGUUCUAUGAUUAUGAAUAACAUUGUGCACAUGAUAGUGAAAUGUUCUAAAAGAUAUGAUUGAGAAGGAUCGAGUAUUUGCAUUCCUAAUGGGGUUUAAAUAAUAAAUUAGAUGAGGUUUAAAGUAGAAUUCUUAGUAGUGAAUAAUUCUAGCAAAAUCUAAUACCUCUUUACUUAACAUUACCCUAGUUGUAAAAAAACAGUAAGCUUCACAUUUCGACCAAUGAUCCAAAAUUCAAAAGUAUUCAUGGAAGGCCCUAGUGUGACCGUCAUCUCCUCUAAAUGCUUCCAGAAUUCAAAAUAUUCAUUGACAAGUGAUUAACCAUCAUCUUUUCCAAAUGCAUCUUUAGAUGUCAUAUACCCAAAGGUGUUCAAAUUCACAAGAUAUUGACCAAGUCUAGAUAUUAAGAAGGUAUAUGAUCCUCUACCAUUAGAAAGAAUAAGAUACAUUAUCCUCUACUAGUGAAAGCACAUAUGUCAUCAUAUCAACAAAUCAAGCAUGCGUGCAAAUCUAUCUUCUUGGUCUUCUAAUUGUGGUCAAGCAAGUAUUAAUGAAGUACUUAAUUUGAAGCAUCUCUUUAUCAUCUAUAGUGGUUGUAGUUGCUAAUCCAAUAAUUGUACUCCUUUAAAAGUGGUACAAAUUAUUCUUCCUUAUUCCUUGCAUCACGACAAGUUUACUUGGCAUAACUUUCAAAAUCCCAUCUUUUAUAGUAACAAUAUUGAACCCUAUGGGUUCUAAUACUCCAAUUGAGAUGAGACACUUAUUCAUACUAGGAACAUACCAAACAUCACUCAAAAUUUUAGUUGAUUCAUCGUGAGUCUUCAACUGGAUGGUAUUUAUUAUUGUUAUCUCAUAAGCAUUAUCAUUCCCCAUGUAAAUAACUCCAUCUUGUAGUUCUUCAAAGCAAGAAAACCACUCCUUGUAGGAAUGCGUGUCAAGGUGGACCCAAUAUCCAAAAUCCAUUCAACUAAGUUAUAAAACAAGGAUAAGCAAACCAAAGCAAAGUUUGACCCAUCUUUUCCAAACUUAGCCACACAAGCAUCGAAUACUAUUUCUUCUUUAUUCUUAUUCUGUAGCUUAGGACAAUCAUUAUUUUGACACUACCAAAACUUAAGUAUGGUUGACCCAUUUACAUUUAAUUUUCUAACAUAUUUAAGCUGACGGAAAUUUAUAAUACACCUAUUCCAUCGCAAAUUGAAUUGUCCGUCACUUAUAUGUAACUAUUUACCAACAGUAAUUGCAACAACAAAUACUUGUCGGCAAAAAUAUUAUUGCAAUGGAUUUAAACCAUUGCAAAUGUUCAACUAAUAUACUUUGUCACAAGAGCAAUUUACCUAUAAAAUAGAAAAAUAAAAAACAAACUUUCAAAAAUAAUUUUUUCUAUGAAAAUUACUACUCACUAAAACAGUUUUAUUAUAGUGGAUAAUAAUACCACACAUAAUUUGUUCCAAAAAUAAUUGUAGUUAUAUGAAUAUAAAAUCUUUUCACCAUGGUUUUAUGAUAAAUACGAUCUAGCUAGUGACAAAACAAUUUUAUGAUUAUUUUUUAGGUUCAUACAAUAUUUACAUUUUUUUUAAUCAUAAUAGUUUUAACUACUUUUUAUUGUCCAUUUUAGAAAGAAAUAAAUUAAAAAUUAUUGACAUAUAUAUAUAUAUAUAUAUAUAUAUAUAUAUAUAUAUAUGUAUGUAUGAUAUAAUUUAUGAUAUCGAAUAAUAAUAUUUAAAAUUUAAAAAUAUAUUUUAUAGAGAUUUAUCUAAUUUGAAUGUAUUCAAUAACAUAAAAAAAUGAUAGUACAUGUAUAAGUAUUUUUAUUUUAAAAUGUUGAUAAUUUUAUUUAUAAAUUUAUAUUUAAUUAUUAUACAAAAUAAACAAGAAUCAAAAUUAAUUAAUUUAUAAUAAUUUUAUUUUAACUAAUUUAUAAUUUAUAUAUAUAUAUAUAUAUAUAUAUAUAUUAAUUCAUGCAUGUAUAAUUUAUAUAUAAUAUGUAUUUAUAUAUAGAUAAUAUUUAUAAUAUAAAUGCAUAAGUAUAUAAUAUUUACAUUUAUGAAUCUCAUAUACAUUCUUUAUAUUACACAUAAAUAAGAUGACUUGGUGGCAUAGUUGCUUCCUUUCAAACUUGAGGUCAAGGGUUCAAUCUCAAGAAACAACAUCCAAGUCAAUAUCCAAAAUUAGCAAGGAGAGGAGUGUACAAGAUGCUCCAUGUGAAUGUAAUGAAAUCGAAAUUUCAUGACAACCUAAAAUCUUUUAUUAUUUAUAUUUCUCAACCAACUUAAUUUGUUGGUAAUAGUGAUGGUCUAAAUCCAUUGGAUAGUUUGUCACUAAAUAUUUUUUAUUGGCAACGGAAAAUUCCCAUCAAUGGACUUUUGCCAACACACCUUUCCUCGACUACCAUGCGAUGGGAUUAUUGAUUGGUAAAUAUUUAUUUCGACUGUGUAUAUUAGUUGAGAAAAGUCAAAUUUCUUGUAGUGCGGUGACCCUUGUCAUGAAAAAAGACGCAUUCAUCUUUUGCAAGUAUACAUUUAAAUUAAGAAUUGUCUUCUUUUCUAAGUUUUCAACUUUGAGAUUAGUCAUUAACUGUUAAAGCUUCCAAUGAUAUAUCUCUAUGAUCGCUUUGGUCCUUCUUCCUUUAUUCAUAUAUUUGUCCUCCAAUGUCUUCCAUAAAUGUUUUUGUGGAUAUCUCUUUCAUAAUGGAAUAAUUUUAAGCUUUAACAAGAUAUAAGUGGAUGGAACUAUAAAAUUGACAAUUGAUCCCUUACCCAUUCUUUAUCAUUCAUGUUUUCAAGUUUUUCUUCCAAAACAAUAUCCAAAUCCUAUUGACAUAUCUAAUUAAUGCCUCUUACUGCCACAUUCCAAAAGUACUAGUCCUAUCAAAUUUAUCUAUUAUAAAUUUUGCAUUAGUAACCAUAGUUUUAACUAACGAAGUUUUUACCUUUUCUUUUAACUAGUGCAAUAAAAAAUAAUCUUGAACUAAUCUUGAAACCAACCUUGGAUAGAACUAAUGCUCUUAUACCAUUUUGUUGUGCUUUAACCUAAUCCCACAUGCAAGACUUCCAAAAGUACCAAAUAAAAUACAAACUAAACUAGUCCAUAAUAUAAAGAGAAAUAUCAAGAGAAAUAAAAAUAAAGGAGGGUACACAAUAUUUAUGAGGUUUAGUAACGAUGUCUUACCUAUUUCACCGAACAAUGAUGAUCAAUCUACUAAUCUUCAAAUCAAAAUUACAAAAUCAAGUUGUGAAAGAUUGUCUCACAAAGUGGCUGCAAUUACAAAGAUUGACUGAAGCUACUCUAACAACUUUGCUAAAGUCAUUCUUACACUACUAUGAUGAAAAGACUUAAGACUCAUUUAUAGAACCUAAAUAAGUCCUCGAGCCUUGACAAAACUAAUUCAUAGUUCCUAUGGGACAAGGACUCCUAACAUAUAACAAAUUAUGAAAUCAUAAUCCUUAUAGGACAAGGAUCCCUAAAAUAUAUUAAACUCUUAAUUAAGCUAAAAGCCAGUACCUAAUAUAGAACCUAUACCAUAUUUGCUAUAACUCUACUAAGUAGAUGGUUGUUAAGAAGUAUUAUCACUUUCAAAAGUUAAAUAAUCAUUUAUUUUUCCUUCCCUUUCCACUUUUCUUAUCAUCCAGACAACAACAGUAAAAAAUGUAGUGUAACUUUUGUUACUUUGCUACUUGUUCUCUCAACUUACUUGCUUGCUUGUGAAUGACCUCCAUAAUCAAAGUAAAUGGAGAAAAAAUGUGGAGUUCCAAGAUAUAGGUAGAAAAGAGUGGAAAAAACCUUAGUUCUAUAAAAUAGUUUGCAAUUUUGUCUCUAGAUCUCUCAUUUUCGUGGUAAUGGCCAUUGAAGAUGUCAUCACUGAGAAGAUCACAAAGUGAAGAAGGCAUGACUGAGGGUUGGUAGUAUAGAGAGUUAAGGUAGAAAAUAGCAAAGAUAGGAUUUUGACGUUUUUAGAAUUUGUAAAUAAAAAAUAAAUACAAUCCAAAAAUCACUUUUAGAACAUGAUUUUACCUAACCAUGCCAAACAUAUUUUUUGUUAUGUGGAUUGUAUUUGAUGUUCUCAAAAACAUUGAAUACAUUUUGGAUUGACUAUUAAACACGACCUUAGUAAUUAAAUUAGCAUAUUGAUAAAUUAUCAAGAGGCUCUUAUCAAUUUGGUCAACUCUUAGAAAAGUGUUGUUGAAAACACUAAAUACAAUCUAUAUAUAUAUAUAAAAAAAUGAAACAUGAAUUUACUUGACCAUACCAAACACAUUAUUUUUUAUUUGGAUUGUGUUCAGUAUUUUCAAAAACACUAAAUACAUGCAGUUUGAUUGACUACUGAACAUGAACUUAGUAAUUAAAUUAGAAAUUUCAAAUGAAUUAAUGUCUUCUAUUUUGCAAGCAAGUCAAGAUUUUAUGUUUUCUACUAAAAUUUUAAAUGCAUCACUAAAAGUAACAUCACCACUUUCUAGUUAUAAAGUUUUGAGAAGAUAUUUUUUAUCAACACAUAUAGUUGUUUGCUUUCAUGUCAAGAUACCAAAUACUUUUUUCGUAAAAUUUUUCCUUUUUAUGCAACUAAUAAAGUGGGGUUUUUUUCUUGAUUCAUUUUUUAACAUAGUUUUCCAUUCUACACUGUUAAUAUACCAACACUUUUCAUUUUUUCUUGAAUUUUGGAUGUUCCUUCAUUGUAUGAUGGACAAUUUCCUUAGCCACAACCAUGAUGACCAUGACCAUGACAAUGAUUAUUUUGGCUUCCUUCAUACCAAAUUUUUUUCCCCUCUUGUUGAUAUAUUAAACUAUGUUGACAAUUUUCUUUUAUUUAUAUAGUGAGUCUAAUACAUCAUACUUCCAAGGGUCAUAUUGAUGUCACUCAACUUCAAGCUACUUUUGAGUUAACUAUAUUACAAGGUAUAUGUGCAACAUUAGGUUGAAUUAAGGCACAAGGAAUGGCUACCACAUGUAUGCUAGGUGAAAUAUUAGAGUUUUUUUUUUUUUUUUUGUCAAGGAUAAGGAUUUGAGUAACUAAAGCCUCAAUAAAGUCUUUAAGAUAUCCAUUAAGGAACACAAGGAGUGUUGCAUGGGGGCGUGGAAGAAGAAUAUAAGUUAUGUGUAUCUUGUCUUUAUAUUUAGUAGAUUGUUUGUGGUUGAUAAACUAUUCAUGUAAUGACCUGCUCCCAACCGUGUAGAUAUUGUCCACUUUGGACCUAAAGGGGCCCUCACGGCUUUAAAAUGCCUUUAUAGAGUUAAGAUAAGUCCAUACUUAUAUAGCGCUAAGAAAUUUCCCCCCUAUUUGAUGUGGGAUGUUAGAAACACCCCCUUCCCUAUGUAGACACAACGUCCUCGUUGUGUCCUAUGGGAUUGUAGGGCCAAACAAAUGAACACCCCUACAAGGCCAAACAAACCCUCAAACCGAGGUUGAAGAUCGGCUUUGAUACCAUUUGUAACAACCCAUUCCCAGCCAUGUAGAUAUUGUUCGCUUUAGGCCUAAAGGGGCCCUUACGACUUUAAAACACAUCUACGAAGUUAAGAAAAGUCCAUACUUAUAUAGCGCCAAGAACUUCCCCCCUAUCCAAUGUGGGAUGUCACAAACACCCCCAUCCCCCACCCCAUUAUAUAAAUAUAUUAUUAUUAUUAUUAUUAUUAUCAUUACUUUCAAAAAACCCUACAACACCAUUACUCCAAGCCACCAACUACACUCAUUAUUAUUAUUAUAAUAAUAACACUUUUUUUUUCUUUUGUUUCUUCCUUCAUAGACGUCCACAUGCAUUUUUUUUUUCUUUUUAGUUUGUUUGUGACAUCCCACAUCAGAUAGAGGGAAAGUUCUUGGCGUUAUAUAAGUAUGGACUCCUCGUAACCCUGUAGACGUGUUUUAAAGUCGUGACGGCCCCUUUGGAUUCAAAAUGGACAAUAUCUACAUGAUUGGGAGCGGGUUGUUACAAAUGGUAUCAAAGUCGAUCCCCAACCUCGGUGAGGGGUUUGUUUGGCCCUGUAAGGGUGUUUGUAUGUUUAAACCCACAAUCCCGUGGGACACAACGAGGACGUUGUGUCUGCAUGGGUGUUGUUUGUGACAUCCCACAUCAAAUAGGGGAGAAAGUUCUUGGCGCUAUAUAAGUAUGGACUCCUCAUAACCCUGUAGACGCAUUUUCAAAUUGUGAGGGCCUAUUUGGGUCCAAAGAGGACAAUAUCUACACGGUUGGGAGCGGGUCGUUACAUACACAUAAAUUUCAUGAAAGUCUUGCAACAUAUAAGGGGUAGGCCUUGAAGUUACAGUGAUAAUUUAUUCCACUAAAAAAUUUGAUCUCUACAUUGAUAUCAAAUUUUUUUUUUUUUUUGGGAGUAAUAGGGAUAAAUACACAAAUAAUAGUACUAUUAAAAGAGAUAAGUAGAUGAGGAAAUUAAAAGAAAUUUAUUGUGUUUUAAUACAUUAAUUGAAGUAUUAUAUACACAACUCCAAUUACAAUAUGUUUUAAUACACUUUUAAAAACCAAAUCAAAUGUAAUUUUUGAAAACUUCUUGAAACUCAAAUUUAGAUUUCAACGUGUGAUUGAAUGAUAGGGAUGAAAAAAAAUAGGUAAAUAAAACAUAUGUAAUAUUAUUGUAUAUUAUUAAUCGCUUCCAUACCAUUAGCAUAUCAAUGGCAUCUUGCUAAGAAGAAGAACCACCACAACAAUCCAUUAUAAUAGUUUCGGAAUGAAUGACAUUUAUUUGUUUGUAUUCUAUUGUUUUUCUAUUUACGUCAUAUUCACAUGAAUUGACUUUUUGUUUAGAGUAGUGUUUUAGUAGAGUAUUCGUAGUACACCUAGAUAUCUUUCUAUGCUAUCAUAAAGUAGCUGAUUGCCCAUGAUUAUGCAAUGCCAUCAUAAAGGAACUGAAUGGCCAACACACGUACAUGUGAGGUACCAUAUUUUUUAAGAAAGACAAGUCAGUUUGCAAUUGAUGUUAAUAUCUUUCCAAGGCAGAAACAUCAUUUUGUAGGUAUAAUUGAAUUAGUUAAACUCAAACCCCAAUUGACAUUCUUUCAAGUAAAAUCAUUUUUAACCUAUAAUGCUCAACACUUUUAUGAGAAUCAUAAAAGUAUCAGAAUCAUAGAGAAUUAUUGAAAGUGAUUUUGUAGUGUUGUUGAUAAUAUGUCACAUGACUAUAAAAAUGCUUUUAAUAUUAGCAAAUUAUAAAAAAGGACAUCAAAUUUAAUUACAAGGAAAUAUUAUAAUAAACUAAUACUUUUUCGUGAUAAAAGAAUAUAUAAACAUUUAUAGUAAAAGAAUAUAUAAACAUCUAUAUUACUAACAAAAACUAAAAAAUAAUAGUUCUUGUGAUUACAAGAAAAUUUUAGAAAAUAUUUACAACAUGAUUUGGAUUAAUAAACAAACAUCAAUAAUAAUAUAAUAAUUUUUAAAACAAAAAAAAUCAUUUGAUUAUUUAUUCACUUAAAAAUAAUAAUUUUUAUUACUACAAAAUUUUGAAAAAUACUUACUAAAAAUCUAGAUUAAUAAUGAAAAAUUGAAUAAAAACAUAUUAGUUUAGUUUCUAAAAAAAAAAAAAUAGUAAUUGAAAGCAAAUGAGAAAACAAAUUCUCUCAUAGUAAAAAAAUGAGAAAAUUAUAUAUAUUUUUUUCAUAUUAGUGUUAUAAUAAAACAUCAACAAGAUAUAAAACGACUAGCAAUUCGAUCACGUUUUUCUUACAUCUCUCUUGCAUGAUAGAACCAUCUUUCUCAACUCAUGAAUCCACUCUACUCUUUUUUUUUUUUUUUAUUGAAACAGAUGUAACCCUUGAUCAUCAUCAUAAGGUUUAAAUUUCAUAUAUAUCCUAACAUUAAUCAUUAUUAAGUUGUAAAAACCAUCAAAGUAAUAACAGUGUUGACUUAUUUUUCAAGAGGAAAACUAUGCAUUUCUCAUAUUGUUCCACAUCUAUUCUUUAAAAAGGCAAAUGUUCAAUUGUUCUUCUCAAAGAUGUCUAUGGUUAAAUAUUUCCUUCUUACCUCUUGGUAAACUACUCUAUCGAAAUCUAAAAGAUGGUAACACUCGCCCUUUAAGGGCCUAAUUAUAUAUCCACUCAUUUAAGGAUAACCAACAUUGAGUAAAUAAUAUUUACCUACAAAAAAAAAAUUAAAAUUAUAUAAGAUUAUGAAAAUCUAAUCACAAAAGUAACUUUCAUAUUUUUAGUCACAAAUCUCUAGAAGGAUGAGGAAAACCCAAUUCUAGCAUUUUUUUUUAAUGCCUAUGAAAAGACGCAUACAUCAUGAGCAAAACCUUCCCAUCUAGCCAAUGCAAAUGUGAAAUACAUAUUGAAAUAAUAUAUGACCAUAAUAUUUUAGGUAGUUAUGCUUUUUGUACCAAUAUAUGAUAUUUGCCUAUCUAUAAAAACCAUAAUGGGCAUAUGAGUUCCAUCAAUUAACCCUGUACAAUUCUUAAAAUAUUGCCAAUAACGUCUAACAUUUCUUAUUUUAUCAAGGAUCUCCCUAAACUAUGAAUCACUUGGUUUUAUAUAUCCAUAGCUAUAAGAUAAACAACAUAUAAUAUAAUCUCAAACCAUCUAGAAAUAAAUUCAUUGGAGUGAUAAAAUCUUUCUUAGGUUGUCAUGUUGCCAAGUUUAUGGCCAAUUGUAGUGAGAAACAUUGCUAAAGCCUCUAUUAAGGGAAUAUCUAAACCUUCUCUUAGACCAUGCCUUUUAAUAAGUGUUUCCAAUAAUUAAUGCAUACAUGUUUUUCCAUUCUAAAUUGCUCAACUAUAAUUUUGAAAAAGUUCUACAAGGUUUUUAUUUUUUGUAGUUAGUAACUGUUAUAGGUAUAACACAUCCAACCAACACCAAUUGAUAAAAAUCAUUUCAUCACUGCGUUCAUCUUUAAUAUCAUGAUUGCAACUAUUAUUAUAAUUAGAAAACAUAAAUACAAAAAGUAAAAAUAAGAAAUACAUUAAAAAAACUAAUAAUGUAUAUUAUGUUAAUAUAGCUUAAACUAAUGCAUGUUUACUAAAAUAAAAGGAUUUUUUAUUUAAAAAUUUAUUUGAACAUGCAAAAUCAAGAGUAGUAGUAGUAUGCAAAAUAAUAGCACUGAAAAGUAGUAAGAGUAGAAAUACAUGUAAUCGUAUAAUUCUAUUUUUCCAUAAUAAUAAUAAUAAUAAUCUAGCUCAUGUGGGUCACCCUAGGAUAGGACUCCUCCCAUAACACCCCUAUUUUCAAUCCAUUUAUAUUCUUAAUAGUUUGACUAAAUAAAAUUUUAAAUUCAAAAGUGUUGUAUUGAGAAAUCAAAUACAUUAUAAAGCUCAUCUAAUUAGGAACUUGACUGAGACAAAAUUUUAGAUUCAAAGGUGUUGUGUUGUGAAAUCAAAUACAUUAUAAAGCUCAUCUAAUAGUCACAACUUUUAGAGAAAGAAACAAUUAAAUAUACCAUGUGAUAGACAUAUAUGUCUUCCUCACUCAAAAAGUUUACUCAAUACCAACAUACAAAUCUUAUUUAAAACAAUAUUAGGUAGCAAAAUAUGUUUCAACAUUAGAAUAAGAAAUAACUCAAAUAGUGAAACAUAUUUAUGCUUAUUUCAUGCAAUUUGAUCAAUUGAGUUUUCUAAUGCUAGAAACAGCUCCUUAUUUCCCUUGACAACUUGAAUAAUACAAUUUAAGGUCAUUCUUCACUUCAAGCAUGCCACAUAUAACUUUUAUUACUUUAACAAUAGCCAGGCUUAUCUACUCUAGAUGUAACUUUAAAAAUGGCCUCUAACUGCAUAGUCAAAAAACAAGAUUUGGUUCCAUCUCUUAUCUUCUUUCUUAUUCUCUCAUUUUGCUAUGAAAUUUAUUUCCUUGGGGUUCUCCUACAAAAGUAUUCAAUUUAUUAUAUUUCACGACCAAAAUAUAAAUUAACCAAAUAAACUUAGUAAAUAAAUAAAAAUGUAUCAUCAAUUUAUUAUCCCACCAUUCAUUUUUAGCAUUAGUGGUUUCUCAUAGGAUCCCACCCAAGGCCAAUCUUUUUCUGAAUCAAGGCAUUCCAAAGUUGUCAAUCUUUUUUAAGAGAACUUAAUAUAUUCUUAGGUUGCUUGUAUUGGUAGGUUCUUCUAGUUAGAUUGUUGAAUACCUUUAUCAUUUUUUUCCAUCCAAUUUACUAAAGUGACUAUUUGGUCUAUUUUUAGCCAAAAUCUUAGCAACACAAACUGUGAGAUAUGCAUUAACAACAAUAUCAUUCAAUAUACUUUGCUUUAUUUAUCAUUUUCUUUACCACUUGUUUGUUGUAGUGGUUGAACUAUACUACUAGACAUCUAAUAACAAAGUAAAGAACAAAGAAGUAUUAAAAGAAAAUGUUGUCAAUGUACUUUUAUAUUUUAUAGUUUAGACAUCUAAUGAGACCCAUAAAAAAGUGAACCUUAAAGAAAUAGGUCAACUAGAGGAAAAUGAAUCUCAGAAUACUGAAUUGGAAAGACUCACAUUCAUGGAAUAAAUUAAUAUACUAUAUCAUAAUUUUAUUAAUUCUUUUCAUUAGGUUGCUAAAAGUUGAAAAAGAAUUCCUCAUGAAACAAAUUAAAUAAUUUCCUCAUGAAAGAAUCCAAUCAUGGCCUCAUUAUGAAGUAUUGAAUUAACUCAAAGAACUUAAAUAUUAUCUAAUAAAUUUUUUCAUGGGUUUGUUUUUAUAACUUUAAUGUUACCAAUAUAAAAGGAAAUGAAACAUGUUUUAAAUAAUGUAAGAAACUAUGGUAGAAACGUGGAAAGAUUUAAGGAUAAGAGGCUUUAUAUGAACUUUAAUAUUGUUAGUAACAGAGAGGCAAAUGAGAUAUCUCAAUAUUAAAUUAUGCAUAAUUAGUAUAAUUUUUUAAAACUAAAUGGAAGAGAAUUUAGGAGGAAAAUAAGUAAUUAGAGUAUGAGAUAACAUGAAUGGUUAAAAUUGCCAAUCAUUAAAUUUAAGAUAAUUGUUAAUUUUCCAACUCCAUUAAUUAAAGCAAAGAGGGGAAAUGAGUUGGAUUUCUUAAUAGUAUUAAGUGUUGGAUUGACACAAAAUUAGGGUGCUAGUGGACACUUGAAAUGAGGACAAAGUAACAAUUGCAGAUAGCAUUUUACUCAUCUAACAUAGUUAAAAUUUGCAAAACCCACUUCUUAUUUAGUACUUUUAUUGAAUAUAUGGGUAUAGUUUAACUUCGAAUCUAAUAUGAGUGUACUUUGAAUUUCCUAAAGCUUACAUAUAUCUUCACAUAUUAAAUCAAAGAGAAAAUAUUAACGUUUUUUACAAUUACAAUUUAUCAGGACUCAAGGUUUAAUUCCUAAACUUUUAAAGUGGGAAAAAGAAGUGUAAGGGAGAAAAAAGGAAAAGGAAAAGAAAGGAAAAACAAAAAGAAUAAAAAACUAUUAAAAGGCAUUAGAAGCCUAAGAUGGGCAUAUCCAUGAUUUGAGGUGCAAAUAGGGGUGACAAUUCAUGUUGGUGGAUAGUGUUUGUGUUGUGUCAAAGCCUAGGUAUUCUACUACAUAGCUCAACCCAACCCUGAUACUACUUAUAAUCAUAUAAAAAAUAUAAGCCUAAAUACUAUCUAAUUAUUAAACAAGUAACACAUUGUACAACCCGCUUAAUCUAUUUAAUAUUCAGGUCCUGCUAUUUAAUAAUCAAAUUAAGUUAGGUCUUCUAUAUGUCUAUAUGAUUAAUGCCUCAAUAAAAUAUGUUUUUGGCUCAAUUGACCUAUCUAUUUAGAAACAAAUUUAAAAUGAAUCAAAUAUGGGUCAAACAUCUUAAAAAUAUAAGUAAGUUAAUAGCAAGAUUAUUAAAUAGGUUAAUUUGGGUCAAAUUCGUAUUAUGCAGGUUGACCAAAAAAGUACUUAUUUAGUAAAUGAGUUAUGUAAGUCGACACAAAUUUUACCUAAACUCAUUUAUACUUGACCCAAACCCAUGAAAAGCAUGUUAGGCUUGUAUCAUGCUAGGAAUUGUAUCAAACUUUGUCAUUCCUAGGUGCAAACAACUCCAAGACCCUACUUUUAAGGAGAAUAUAUAUACUUGAGAUUGCUACAUGAUUACUACUCAAAAUGUGCACUUUUAUAAGCUUAAACUUAAUUGUACUAAGCACUUUUGAGUAGUAGUUAGACCUUUUUAUCCCAAUUGUCAUGUUAAGGACCUAGAAAAUGUUACUAACCAAUUUCUAGUAAGUUUUAGUGUUUUUGGUAGUUUUUUUAUCACUGAAGCAGGCCAAGAUUGAGGGAGAUUUUUGUGCAAGCUAUGGCAAGGCAAGUUAAAUAUCAAUCACAUGAAGAAUCCGAGCUUCGGAGCACUUCAAAACCCUUGCCAAACUUGGAAAGGGAUUGGAAAAGUUAUCAGUAGUAAGAUGGAGGAAAACAGAGCAUUUUGCAAGGCAAAAUCAUCAAUUUUGUAAGGCAGGGUGUGCCAAACUUUUGCAAGGUGUGCCAAAAUUUCGCAGGGUGUGCAAAAAUCAUUUUGUGCGCACCGACCUUCUGGAUUUUUCUCCAUAAUUGUAAUUGUUCCUUUUUACUCCUUUUGUAAUAGAUAAAAGACAUUAGGGUUUGUUUAGGAACUAUAAAUAGGGGUUCGAAAGCCUCUCAAAUGAUGUGAGAUAUUAUGUUUUAGAUAUUUUGUAAAGGAGUUUUGAAGGAAAUAUAUGGAAGUUUUUCUCGGCCUUUCCUUCUCAUUUUCUUUUCAUAUUCUCUCUAGCCAAACACCCUCUGAGGAUGAUUUCUCAGAGGAUGAGUGGCUAAGUUUCAAGUUUCUUGGAGUGAUGGAAGCUAGGUAAAGGACCUAGAUGCAAAGGUGGGAGUUUUCCUUACUUUAAAUGAAGGUAGUUGUGUAUCAUUAAUGGUUUAUAUUUCAAGUUUCAGCUUUAAUCCCUUAGAAUCACCUUGAAUGGCCAAUACUUGGUAAGCUUUUAAGAUUCUGUGGAUGCUUAUUGCUAGAUCCAUGGAUGUCCAUUAUUAUCAAGUACGAGCCAUUGGAAGAUGGUUCAAGGUGAGAGUCUUUAGUGUUUGAAGCCAUUAAUGGGAAGCAACUACCAUUUUUCAAUAACCCUUUGGAUCAAAACUUAUUUGCUAAAUACAAAUCCGGUUCGGGAGAUAACCAUCCUUUAUGUUAUUGUCCCCAAUCCGAGGAGAAGAUUCGGAAUUUCCCACUUUGCAACAGGAACCUGAUCCUAGUAACCUAUAGCUCCAAGAGACUUUCUCUUUGUAGUAAUUUCAAUUGUUUAUGUUUGCUUAACUUAAAACCAACCCUUCCAAUCAAUCUUAUUUUCAUUUAAAAACUAAAUUCCAAAAAGGAAAUCGUCAUUUCUUCUUUCAUUAAUGUUAAGUGUACAAAGAAAACCCAUCAUUGUGGACGAUCGUAGAGCCACUAUACUAUAGUAGCUUUGUCUUUGCUACCCUAGUAUAAGGUGUUGUAGUUUUUAUAAAUGUUUUGAUAAACACCCGGCUGGGCAUGAAUCACUACAUUAUUUAGACUAAUCCACACCUACUUAUUAAGGGAAAAAAAUAAAAGAGGACAAAGGUAGGGCACAAGAUGAUGAGACAAGGCACAAAAUGAUAAGACGUAGGAUGAUAAGAAUCCACUUCAAUUAAUAUUUCCCUAAAUCAAGAGUAAUCAAAUAUUAAAAUAUUUUAUUCUCCUAAUUUAGGAUAUAAUAUUUAUUCUAAAUAAAUCAAGAGCAAUCAAAUAUUAAUAAUAUUUUAUUCUCUUAAUUUAAGAAAUAAUAUUUAUUUUCCUUAAUUAUAGGAUAUUUAUUAUUUAUUUCUUCUAUAAUUCACAAUGCAUUCUUGUAUAAAUUUAUGAAAAGAAAUAAUAAAAAUUCAUCGCUUCUAUUAUCAAAUUAUCAAAUUCUUCUUGGUAUUAGAGAUAGAGGAGGAGACUCAAACUUGGGUUUUCUCCGAAGGUGGUUGAAUACCCUAAAAGACUUGACCUAUCCACACAAACAAUGUCUUCCUCUUCAUUCAUUCAAAAAUAAAAUAAAAUAAAAUAAAAUCCUUAGUGCUCUAGCUUUCCAUCAACAUUUUUUCUAAUUUGAUUUCAUUCAAGCUAAACACAACAAAUUUUCUACUAUGGGGAAAUCAAAUCAUCCUCUCAGCUUGUGGUUUCCGUGUUCAAACCUUUCAUCAAUGUUUUACCCUUUCAUUGGUGUUAUUUCUAGUUUGAUUUCAAUCAAGUUAAACACCAUAAAUUUUCUACUAUGGCAAAAUCAAGUCAUCCUCUUAGUUCAUGGUGUGUUCUCUGACAUUUCUUAGGUGGAGAAAAACCUGCUAAAGAAUUAAAGAUGAUGAGGAAAGCAAAAUUUUUAUCCUACAAUACUAGUAAUCAAUUAAUAAUAACAUAUUUGUCACUUCAUGAGUUAUCGAAACCAUGACAAAAGACAUUUUCAUUAUGAUCCUUGGGGCUAACAAGAUAUAUAAGGUAUAAACUUUUCUUAAGGAGUAAUCGCUUCCUAUUAUAGUUGAAAAAAAAAUGAUAUCUUCAAGAAUAGUUAAGAGAUAUAAACAAUAUAUAUUAUAAUCUCAUGAAAAUCAAAAGCUAAUUUCAGACCAAUACAAAGUUUGUUGAUUCACUCAUGGUUUAGGAUAAUGGAAUGAUUUUUUUUUUUAACCUACUAUGCUUUUCUAACCAAUUCAUGGCAACUCUUUAGGGACAUAAGCAAUCACUCACUACCAAAGGGAUGGAAAGAAAAUUUUUAUAGAGUAUUCACAAAUUUUUAUUUGGACAACAUAGUUAUGGUCAUAAUGGUUGAAAAGGCAUAAAUUUUAAUUUGAGGGGAAGAAGCUUUACACUUUCUAUGUAUUACAAUUCUUUAAAAAAAAUAAACUUUUAUGAUUUUAUGAAGUCCUUGUCAAAGGAUAUCUUCAUCAUGUUUUGAGAUAAGCUGGGGUGUGCAUAUUCUUUUCGACUCCAAUUUGAGCUUGCAUAUUAAGGGAAAUAAUAAAAUAAGAUAAAAAGCACAUAGGAUUGCAACAUGUAGGAUGAUAAAAAUCCGAUUCAAUUAAUAUUUCCAUAAAUCAAGAGUAAUCAAAUAUUAAAAUAUUUGAUUCUCCUAAUUUAGGAUAUAAUAUUUAUUUUAAAUAAAUAAUGAACAAUCAAAUAAUAAUAAUAUUUUAUUCUCUUAAUUUAGGAAAUAAUAUUUAUUUUCCUUAAUUUUAGUAUACUUGUUAUUUAUUUCUUUGUAUAAUUCAAAAUGCAUUCUUGUAUAAAUUUUCUAAAAGAAACAAUAAAAUUCAUCAUUUUCACUACCAAAUUAUCAAAUCCUUUACUAAUGACCUUAUGAUUAAAAUCUUGUUUGUUUGGUAAGUGUUAAGCAAAAUGCCUUAGUAGCUACAAACAUUAUGGAAGACGUGUGAAAGUUGUUGUGAACUGAGGAAGCUUAAGAAUCUGUUAAGAAGGUUGCUGAGGUGUGAAGAGAUGUUGAAAUUGAGGCUGCAACCAUAAAACAACUUAGUCAAUGAAGUUGUUAUGCUAUUGUUGCUGUUGUUGUUAAAAUCUUGUUUCAUGGAGUUGUUAUGUUGUUGUUGUUAAAAUCUUGUUUCAUGGAGUUUUUAUGCUGUUGUUGCUAUUAUAUAGGAAAUAAUUGUUAGUUCCAACUAUUUUUGCUACUUUUCUAUUGUUUUCUGUUGCAAAUUUGUGUAUAAAUGUUGCAUUGAUCAUUCAACAAGAGUAGACAUUUUCGUUGUCUCAAAUACAACUUUUGGUUGUUACUUCCAACAUUUCUAGAUUCUAAAACCUAUAGAUUAGUAUCAGAGCCUUCAAUGUUGAGGAACAUGUGAGGAUUGAGUGAAGCCAAAAUACCUUCACACAUACUGAAACUCCAAAGCCAACAUAAACACACAACCUUUGACAGGUUGUAACUAUCAUUCUACAACAAAUGGAUGGAGAUACAAGCUUUCUGUUAGUACCAGUUUUCAAUGGUGAUAAUUAUCAGGCGUGGGCUAUUAGAAUGACAGUCCACCUUGAAGCUUUGGAUCUUUGGGAAGUAGUAGAAGAAGAUUAUGAAGUACCACCACUUGGAGACAAUCCAAGUAUCAAUCAAAUGAAGAUUCACAGGGAAAUAAAAACAAGGAAAGCCAAAGCCAAGGCUUGCCUCUUCUUUGCAGUUUCACCUUCUAUUCUCACCAGAAUCAUGCAAAUAGAGUUUUUUAUAGCAAUCCGGGAGUAUCUAAAAAAUGAGUAUUGGGGGAAUGAAAGGGUGUAGAAUAUGCAGGUAAUGAAUUUAAUAUGAGAAUUUGGAAUGAGCAGAAUGAAAAAGUCUCUAACUAUCAAAGAUUAUGUUGAACAACUGCUUAGCAUAGCAAACAAGGUAAGAUUGUAUGGUAAGGAAUUUUCUGAUGAAAGAAUUGUUAAGAAAAUCUUAGGAACUCUGCCUGAAAAAAUAUGAAGCCACAAUCUCUUCCUUGGAAAACUCUAAAGAUCUGUCAAGUAUAUCUUUGGUAGAAAUUGUUAAUGCUUUGCAGGCCUUGGAACAAAGGAGAAUGAUGAGACAAGAAGGAUAUGUUGAGGGAGCAUUCUAAGCCAAAUCAAAGAACAAUGAUUCCAGCAAAGACAGAAAGAAAAACAAGAAAUAGAAGUCAAGCAAUAACAAAAUGAAUCAGAAAGGAGCUGAUCCACCUUGCCCUUAUUACAAAAAAACAAAUCAUCCUCCACAAAAGUGUUGGUGGAGGCCAAAUGUCAAGAGCAACAAUUAUGGUCAAUUAGGCCAUAUGGAGGAGGUAUGCAAAAAAAAAAAAAAAAAAAAAAACAAACAAGGAGAGAUCAAGGCUACAAUUGUUGAUCAAUAUCACGAAGAACAAUUGUUUGUUGCCACCUGUUUUUCCAGCAAAAACAUGUUUGAAAGUUGGCUCAUAGAUAGUGGUUGCACAAACCACAUGACUUAUGAUCAAGGACUUUUUAGGGAACUCGAUAAAAUAACCGUUUCCAAAGUAAGAAUUGGAAAUGGGGAAUACAUCUCAGCAAGGGGCAAAGAGGUUGUUGCCAUUGAAAGUCUCUCAGGUUUGAAACUUAUCCCCGAUGUUUUGUUUGUUCCUAAUAUUGAUCAAAAUAUCUUGAGUAUUGGGCAGCUACUUGAGAAAGGUUUCAAGGUGCUAUUUGAGGACAAGUUCUGUAUGAUUAAGGAUGCAAAUGGAAAAAAUGUGUUCUAGAUCAAGAUGAGAGGCAAAACCUUUGCCUUGAAUCUGCUUGAGAAAGAGUAGGUUGUUAUUUCUCAAGAAAAUAAUGUCACAAUUUUAUGGCAUAAGAGAUUGGGGCACUUUCAUCAUAAUGGAGUGCUCUACAUGAAGAAUAAUCAACUUACAGUAGGUCUACUUGACCUAAAGCAAAAUCUUCCUACUUGCAUAGCCUGUCAGUAUAGAAAACAAUCCAGACUUCCUUUCCCAUAGAAAUCUACAUAGAGAUCAUCACACAUGCUGCAACUUGUACACAUUGAUGUUGGAGGACCUCAGAGAACACCAUCUCUAAAGGGCAGUAAGUACUACAUUGCCUUUAUAGAUGAUUACACCAGAUAUUGUUGGAUUUUUUUCCUAAAUUUUAAAUCUGAGGUUGCUGAUGUAUUUUGGAAGUACAAGGCCCUAGUAGAAAACCAAAGUGGUGUCGUCUUGUAGGUUAUAAGGACAGAUAAUGACACUGAAUAUACUUCUGAAAUAUCCAACAAUUUCUAUGAAGAAGUAGGCAUAAAGCACCAACUGACUACACUUUACAGACCACAACAGAAUGGAGUGGUGGAGAGGAAGAAUAGUGGAGAGGAAGAAUAGGACUAUAAUGGAGAUGACAAGAUGCCUUUUGCAUGAGAAAGGGCUACCAAAAAAGUUUUGGGCUGAAGCCACAAACACUAUAGUGUUUCUACUGAAUAGACUCCCAACCAAAGCUUUUAAAAAAAAGACUCAUUUUGAGGCUUGGUUUGGAUAUAAACCUCUAUUAUUAAACUUAAAAACAUUUGGUUGCCUUUGUUUUAGUUAUGUGCCUUAGGUGAAACAAGACAAGUUAGAUAAAAAGGCAGAAGUUGGGAUCUUCGUAGGAGACAACAACCAAUCAAAGACUUAUAGAGUUAAUAUGCCUCAUGCUAACAAAGUCAUUGUUAGCAUAGAUGUCAAAUUCAUGGAGGAUGAUAAAUGGAGUUAGGAUGCUAAAAAAAAAAUUAGAAUUUUGAGUUACUUGACGAAAAUAUUGAUGACAUUCCUAUAAGAAGCACCAAAUCACUUUUUGAUAUUUAUCAAAUGUGUAAUGUGGUUGUGUUUGAGCCUGUAGGGUUUAAUGAAGUUGUUGAGGAUAAAAAAUGAAGGGUUGUAACGUGGGAGGAGCUUAGAAUGAUAGAGAAAAACAACACUUAGGAGCUAGUUGAUAGACCAACACAUAAAAAGACCAUUGGUGUCAAGUGGGUUUAUAAAACCAAACUCAAUUCUGAUGGUUCUGUAAACAAACAUAGAGCCUGGCUGGUUGUCAAAGGUUAUGCUCAAAUGUUCGGUGUGGAUUUUUCAUAAACCUUUGCACCUGUAGCUAGGUUGGAUACAAUAAGGAUGCUGCUAGCUUUGGCUGCUCAAAAUGGUUUGAAAAUCUAUCAGCUAGAUGUAAAAUCAGCUUUUCUAAAUGGCUACCUUGAGGAGGAAAUCUUUGUAGAGCAACCUGAAUGAUUUGCAGUAAAAGGCAAAGAAGACAAGGUUUAUCAACUAAAGAAAGCCUUGUAUGACUUGAAGCAAGCCCCCAGAUCUUGGUACAACAGGAUUAAUGCACAUCUGCUUGGUUUGGGGUUAAAAAAAGUCAGAGUGAAUCCACACUUUAUAUUUGAAAAAUUAAUGCUGGCAUACUUAUUAUUUCAUUAUAUGUUGAUGAUUUGCUUGUAAAGGAAGCAAUCAAUUUUUAAGCUAAAAUAGAGAAGGUCUUUGAGAUGAAAGAUCUUGGAGACAUGUCUUAUUUUCUGGGAAUGGAAGUCCAUCAGAAUCAGCAUGAGAUAUUCAUCUAUUAGCAAAAGUAUGCAAAGGAAAUUCUAAAACAGUUCAAGAUGGAGGAAUGCAAGGCCACAUGCACACCUAUGAAUCAAAAAGAAAAGUUUUGAAAAGAAGAUGGUGCUAAAAAAGUAAAUAAAGAGUUAUACAGAAGCAUGAUUGGAUGUUUGAUGUAUUUGAGUACAAGAAGAACAAAUAUAAUACAUGUUGUAAGUCUACUCUCAAGAUAUAUGCAUUGUGCUAGUGAAAUUCACUUGUAGGUAGCAAAACGUAUUGUGAGAUAUAUAAAAAACACUAUCGACUUUGGCAUCAAGUUCAAGCAGGUGCAGAAUUUUCAUUUUCAUGGAUUUUAUGAUAGUGAUUGGGUUGGCUGCAUUGAUGAUAUGAGAAGCACAUCAAGUUAUUGCUUUAGUUUUGGUUCAAGUUUUUUUCUCUUGGUGCUCUAAAACAUAGGAUAUCAUGGCAUAAUCCAUAGUUGAAGCAGAGUACAUUGCUACUGUUGCUGCUGCAAAUUAAGCACUUUAGAUAAGAAAGCUACUAACAGACUUAAACAUGGAGCAAACUAGGAGCACACAAGUCUUUGAGGACAAUCAAGCUGCAAUUUCAAUUGCAAGUAAUCCAGUAUUCCAUGGUAGGACAAAGCACUUCAAAAUCAAGUUUUAUUUCUUAAGGGAAAUACAACUUGAUGGAGAAGUAAUUUUGGUACAUUGUAAAACAGAAGUAAAAAAUGUUAAUAUUCUAAAAAAAGCUCUACCAAAAGCUAGGUUUGAAUUUCUCAGAAAAAGACUUAAAGUUUGUAGCUCCCAAGUCAAGGAGGAGUGUUAAGCAAAAUACCUUAGUAGCUAUAAUCAUGUUGGAAGACGUGUGAAAGUUGGUGUCAACUGAGGAAGCUUAAGAAUUUGUUAAGAAGGUUGCUGAGGUGUGAAGAGAUGCUGAAAUUGAGGUUGUAACCAUAAAACAACUUAGUCAAUGAAGUUGAUAGAGUUUCAUGGAGCUGUUAUGCUGUUGUUGCUAUUUUAUAGGAAAUAGUUGUUAGUUCCAACUAUUUUUGUCGCUUUUCUAUUGUUUUCUAUUGCAAACUUGUGUAAAAAUGUUGCAUUGAUCAUUCAAUAAGAGUAGACAUUUUCGUUGUCUCAAAUACAACUUUUGGUUGUUGCUUCCAGCACUUCUAGAUUCUAAAACCUACAGAUUCUAUGAAUUUUAAUGAUAUUCCAUCAUUUCUAGGUCUCUCAAACCUUCAAUUUAGUAGGGUUACAAAACAUAGCAUCUCUAUUUGGCAUUUCAUCAAACGCCUUUCUCACUUUUUCUUGAUCCACAUGGGCAUAAAUCACUCUCAACUAUUAACACAAACAACAUAGAUUUUAGCUAAUUACAAACCAAAUUGAUAUAUCACCCCUAGUAGUUGUAAUUUCCUUCAUUAAUUGCCUUCCCAUUUCCACAUCUCUUUUUUUACGCAACCCAUAAAAAAAUUUCAUGAAAUUUGAGUCUAGGUAGGAGAAAGCACGAAUCUCAGUGCACAAAAAUUUGAUUUCAAUCAUUCACAAAAAAAAAUUAAUUUUAUGGAAAAACAUUAAAAUAGUAAAAUAACAAAUUGAGAAGGACUUUCUAAGAAAAUAUAAUCAAAGGAAAACAAGGUAAUCAAAAGACUCAUAUAAUGUUUUACUUCCAUUUUCUAAGUAACUAAAUAGAAAUGUUGAAAUGAAAGUACCUCCAACUAUGGAUGUAAAGAGUCAUUGUUAAUGAGAAAAUGGUGAGAAUUGGAAUCAUGAAAAGUGUAGAAGAAGACUGUUUGGACUAUGGAGAGUGAAGGAGAAAGAGAAUGCUUGUUGAAAAGGAAAGAGUGGGUUAUUGGGUAACACUUAAGGUUAUUUUAGGUAUAUUUGAAAAUUUUAAAAGUAUUUUUUUUUUAAAUAAUCAGCUCUUAAGUGCUUUUCUAAAAAUUACUUCAAGUGAUUUUUUUCUUUUAAAGGUUUUUAAAAGUGUUUUUGAAAUCUUGCCAAACAUCUAUUUUUCACCCAAAAAAAAACUCUUUUAAUUAUUAAAAAUGCUAGACACUCUUCUUAAAAAUACUACUAAACAAGUUCUUAAUAGGAUUUUAUUUAUUAUCGCAUGUUUCUUAGUCUUUAACCAAGGAUAUGUCUAUACUUCAAAAUAAAAGAAGGGACACAAUUUUAUUCUAACCAUCCUUCAACCUUAUUUUCUUUAAAUAUCUACUAAAAUGGGAUUACUAUGAUUUCACCCCAAUUCCAACUCCCUUUUCUACAAAAAGUAAAACUAAUUUUUUGGGAAUACGUAUGCAAAGGUAAUGGCAUAGAUGAAGUUGUAAAUGGAGAUUAAUGGAAGUGAUAGAAACGGGAUUAUGCUAGGGUUUUAGAGCCAAAGAGGAUGGGUUGGUGAUGGUGGGUCUUAAGGGAAGUGAUAGAGAAGUUGGGAAUUAAGGUUAGAUUUAAGGUUAAGGUUAGGGCUAGGGUUUCAUCAAUGGAUGGUGAUGAAGAUGAAGAUAUGGACAUCCCUUGCAAAAUCUACCAAUAUAAUUAGUUUCUACUAUAUAAUCAACUAAAAUUGGAAUCAAUUCUCCUUCUCAAACUAUGAUAAUAUGACUUUAGAUGGUUUUUGAUAAUGAUUUCUUUUCCUCUCAAUGAAACUAUAGAUCAAUUAUAUGUUUCAACCCAAAUAAGGGAUCCUUAGAAUCCCUUAAUCUUUAGUUUCUAUUUAGAUUAAGGAAUAAGAGAUCCCUAAGAUCUUUUAAUCUUUAAUUUCUAUUUAGUUUCCUAUAUAAAAUAAGAAGAGUGUAAUGGGGAAAGAAAUGGAAAAAUAAUCUCAAUAUGAAAAAUUGGUUCUCUCAAUUUUGCAUCUUCUCUUUGAGUCAUAAGAAUUGGUGUUAGAACACGAUCUUGGCACCAAUCAUGGAUGAAGGGACUAGAGUGUAAGAACAACAUAGACUUGAAGAUACUAUUAAAUAGUUGAAAAAAUCAUUGGAUAAACAAGCGACUACCUCAUUAGAACUAUCAAAGAUGGUUGCAACCAUAAACUUGAAAUUUAAACACAUGAAUUCAAGAAUAGAGAAGUCAAGUAAUGGGUACAAUGCCUCAAUCAAUAGAAGCAAGACAAACUAUCAUUCAUAUGGCAUAAACUCCAUUCAAUCCAGGUUUUCCAAACUCAAAUUUCAAAAUUUUGGAGGUGAGAAUUGGGAAUUAGGAAAAGGUAGGAUUGGCUUCAUUACAUUUAAAAGGAAGGGCCUUAGAAAGGUUUCAAGGGUACAAGGCUAGUAACAAGGAAAUCAACUGGACACAAUUUUAUAUAGUUGUUGUUUCUAGGUUUAGCCCUAGUGUUUAUGAUAGCCUUAUGAGGUAAAUAACCAAAUUGAAAUAGGUUUAUACGAUUAUGGCAUACAAAAAUUAGUUUAAAGUAUUGAUGACCAAAACUAAUGGGUUAUCAAAGGAAUUUUUUGUCUAGUAUUUCAUUAGUAUCUUGAAAGAGGCAAUUAAAAAUCAAGUCACCAUGUUUCAACCGAUCACACUAGCCCAAACCAUCGAAUUAGUCUUGUUGCAGAAAUGAAUAGUGGAAGUAAUUCUCAAGGAAGUCAAGGACUCUAACGAAAGUGAGGAUAGUACAAUGAACUUUACAAGAAUCAUAAUGAAUCAUAAUAACAAAUUACCACCCUUAAGAAGAUUUCAGUUGUAGAAGUGCAAGAGAGAUGAAAAAAAUGUUUUGUUAUUAUUGUGAUGAGAAGUAUAAGUCUGGCUAUAUAUAUAAAAUGAGACAAUUUUUUCUACUAAAUGGUCAUAGAAGUGAAGGGAAAGCAACGUGUGAAGCUAAAAAUGAUAUCAGGAGGAUGAUCUUAUGGCUUUAAUAAAUGCAAUAUUUGGUUCAACAUCUCAUCAAACCAUGAGAAUCUGUGGCAACAUAAAAAGGAAGGUCGUGACCAUACUAAUUGACUUAGGAAGAACCCAUAACUUUCUUGAUCUCGUAGUGGCCAAAAGAACAAGAUGCUCAAUACAAACUACCGACCCCAUGAAGGUGGCAAUAACAGAUAGAACUAGAAUUACUAGUGAUGCAAUUUGUCAGCAAUGAUAGGAUAGAACCCUUAAAAGCAUGACAUAAUGUAAUAAACUGGGAAUUCAUUAUUUAUUCAAUGAUAUUCCAAUUUCAGUUUUAUCUAUCCUUAUUCCAUGUAUUAUACUUUAUGAACUUUUUUGUCCGCAUCUUUUGCAUUAUAUGUGACUUAGGUGGAUCAGGAGUUGCAUAGAAGAUCUAAGUCAUGAGUUCCUUGUAAAUAGAUGACUAGUUCACAACCAAUUUAUGGGUCUAGGCAAUCCAUUAGAGGUUUCGGUGCACCACUUCCUAAUUAGAGGGAUAACUGGUCUUGGCUAUUAGGAUGAGUUUUACUAAUAUGUAUGGAUGCACAUUGGGCAGGACUGAUUAUAAGCUUAAGGCUAUCAAGUAGUCAUGACUUCACCAAGUUGUUUCAUUAUGUUGUUUCUCAACCUUGAGAGAAUAUUGCAUUUGUGUAGAAGUUAGCAGUGCUUUUGAUCUACGGGUAAAAUCGUAAGCUAAUCAUAUGCUCUUUAUGGAUUGGAUCACUAUUGACGGAUGCCAGUAGCAAUAAGUAUUCUAAAUAGAGACACCAUGAUAUCUCUUAGGAAUAAGACAGUGUGUAUCCUUGGGUGAUCCUAAGGAGGUGUGUUCAUGGAAACUAUGGUCAUAAUAGUUCCUUAUGUGGAACUUGACAUAGGCUCUUUGAAAGUUAAGAUAUGUCAAUUGAAUACACAAUAGGAGAAUCUGUAACUCAAGGAUGGUAGAGGUAGUCUUAAAAAGCUUAUAGCUUUCACUUUAUUAGACUACGAACACCAAUUCAUGGGGAGACUAAACAUAAUGGAUAGCAAGUCAUGGACUCGAGCACUUGGUGUCUUAUUAUUAUUUACAUAGGAUAUUUGAGUUCAAUUGAUUCUCUAUAGUGGGAUGUUGAAUCCACUUUAGAAUUGGAUUAUGAGAGAACUAGUAUUUCUAUAGGUCCUAGUGGUCUUUGUUUUGAGCUCAUAUACCUUGUUGGCACUGAUUAUGAGGGUCAGAUUGGCUUUAGGUUCACUUUUGUACAUAAAGGUGUUUUGGUAAUCACACAAGGUUGCACAAAGGUAAGUGAGCAAAGUCUUUGGAUUAGGCUAAUUGAUUAAUUAGUAGGCCCUAUUGGGUUAACUAAUCAAUUAGGACCCAUUUUGGGAUAGAUUAAGUGACCUAAGCCCUUAGUGAACUCAAGUCACUUAAGUCUAAUAGGAAACCACAUAAAUACCCCCUUAGGGGUUAGGGUUCCCAUUGCUUUUUCUAGAGAUCCAUAUUCCAUCUCUAGAGAGAGAGAGAGAUUCAUAGCAUGUACUCUUCCUUCUAUCCCCACCAGAAGUGUGUCAAGAUCAAGUUUCGAGUCAUUUGGCGAAAGACUUCGGGUUUAUGAGACUUCUACGAUUUCAUUCUUCAUCUUCACCAUGUAGAUUUGAUUCACAAACAUCCGAAUCUAAGGUAUGGAUUUUGUUUGCACUUUCUGAAUCCCUUUAAAGUUUAAAAAUGUUAUUUUUCCGUUGUGCAAAGGAUUUAGAAAAAGCCUAGGAUAGUUAUGCAUAUUCCUAACUUGAUCCGAUCUUAGGAAACAAAGAGAUCCUAGUUUUUCCCAUUAGGCAAUUGACAUGGAACAUGCAAGGGAAGAAAUUUUAGAUAGAUUUGAGGCUCAUCCUUUUGAGUGGGUGCGAUAUGGUAUUGGGAAUUCAAUGGCCAACUGAAUUGGGACUCAUAUUGUGGGAUUUCAGGAAUUUUAAAUUUGAAUUUAUUGUUGAUGGAAGGAAAUUCGUGUUAAGAGGUACAACUAUAGGUCCUAAGAAGUUAGUUUCAACUAAUGAAAUUCAAAAUUAUUGAAGGCAUAUGUCUCAAGCAUCUACAAUUCAAAAUUUCACUAUACAAGGGAAUGAGGAAAAUAAAGUUGAAAAUGAACAACAUGGCAGCUGUCCAACUCAUUUCCAAAUAAUGUAACAUAGAAAGAUGCUUACUUUCAACAAAAGUUUCCAUAGUUUCAACCUUGAGGACAAUGCUUCUUUUGAUGGGGGAGAGAAUGUUACAACCCUGAAUAAAGGAUCCCUGGGAUCCCUUAAUCUUUAGUUUCUAUUUCUGUUUAGUUUCUACUUCUAUUUAAAUUGGGGAAUAAAGUAUCCUUAAGAUCCCUCAAUCUUUAGUUUCUAUUUCUAUUUAGUAUCCUAUAUAAAAUAAGAAAAGUGUAAUGGAGAAAAAAAUGAAAAAAAAAUCUCAAUAAGAAAAAUUUGUUCUCUCAAUUUUGUAUCUUCUCUUCAUAUCAUAAAAUUCUACAUGUAGAUUUUCUCCUUCUAAAUCUCUAUAUGAUACAAAAUCAAUUCUUUUUUACUCCAAUUCCAAGUAUGUAUUUAUAGAAAUAGGUAUGCUUUGACUCUCAAUGAACACAUUUUUUCAAUUUUUCUACCUACCUAAGUGGAAAUAACAUAAGGUAACUAAACUUGCUUUGAGAUUAAUUAUGGUUUUGACAAUACAAAACUAGGUAUAGUACAAGACCUCCUAAACAAAGUUUCUAGCAUUAAUGAAUUCAAAAGAAGCUGGGUAAAACAAGUUUCUACUCACCAUCCCAAACAUCCCUUUAGAUGUAUUGUAUGAUAGAGGAUUAUUCUUUUAUUAUUAUUAUUAUUAUUAUUAUUAUUAUUCUUUUUUCUUUUUCCUUUUAAUGGUUUGGAGCAAAUUCAAAUGGCAUUAUAGAAGUAGAAUUUCCUAAUUUAAUUUGUUGGACAAAUUUGUUUUGGUUUUGCUAUAUUUUAUGUUUUGAAUACAUAGAAAUUGAAAUAUAAUAAGAUAACAAUUAUAAUGUAUUUUUAAGGGGAAAAUGUUUUUAUCUUCUAUAAUUAAAAAAAAAAAAAAAACAACAACAACAUCAACAACUACAAUAAUAUAGACAUUUGCAAUUUUUUUUAAAGUGUCUUUGUUAGGACAUUGAGUUCUAUUUGUAUGUUGGCAAUUUUGUUCCGAUUUAUUUUUUGCCUUAGAAAUCUUUUUAGAUAGUGACUUACUUUCCAUUGAAGAUCAAGGAUUGCUACUUGUCCAACUGGAAAAUCACAGGCAUGUCUAAAAGAUUUGACUUGUAGCAAAUUAGGGUUCUAAAAGGUAUAAAGAGGAUCGUUAUUCUUUUUUUUUUUGGAAUAAAAUUGAUUUUUAUUUAUCUUUGUCAAAAAGGCAGGAUUGCUCAAGCAAGGAAUAACACUCAAGCGUUAGGAUGCUCGAGCACUUGACUAGCGCUCGAAUGCCCGAGUUGCUUAAGUGAUGGUUAAGUGGACUCGGCCUCGAGCUCUCGAGCAUUCAUACCAAUUCUACCAAAGAUUAGCAUAAUAUUUUUGGAGAUUUCAUGCAAAUCCUUUCUGGAAACCUUGAGAUACCGACUCUCUUCAACCUUUAAGCCUAUAUGUACCCCAUUAUGGCCAUUCUAAAGUUAGGAGAUUGAUUUAUUGUCGUAAUUGAUAGAGAGUCUCCUAAAUAGAAAGCCUAAUGAACCACACGAUUCCUAAUCUCUCAUUUGAAGGAUAAUCUAGGGUUGAAAACUUGCAUCCCUUCAGUAAGGUUGAAGAGUACUCAGUGGAGUAAUUAGAGAUUAUUGCAUCACAGACGUCAAUGAAGUUGUAGGUAUUAGAGGGUAAGUCUUUAGGAUAAAACGACGAGGUAAAUUUGUGUAACUUGAUCUUGUAUAGUGGAUUUUGAUUAACAAUCUUAGACCUCGUGGUUUUUUUAUCUCCACAGUAGUGCAUGGAUUUUCCAUGUAAAAAUCAUUGUGUCCAUUGUUAUAUCUUGUGAUUAUCAUGAUUGUUUGGAUUUUUUUUAUCUCUAAUAUUAUCUCAUAGGGUAAAAAUUGAGUAUAACAUAUAAUCUUUUUUUUAGAAUUCUUUUAAUUACACCCAUUCACCCCCCUCCUCUCUUUGGGUGUUACCCUACUAGACUUGGCUUUUUCAGUCUCAAAUACUACAAUAGCAUUUUUUUACUUAAGUUAUAAAUGGAAAAAGUUAUAAACCCAAGAUAACUUGCUAAAAAAGUGAGAAAUAAUAAAGGACUCGUGUUAGAGUAUAAAUAGUUAAUCUAUUCUAGGCUUAAUAUAGCUCCAAUGUCAAACAUGAAUACUUAAUUAUUUAUUAUAUUUUGAAAAUAAAGUAAGUAUUUUUUAUAUAAAAAAUGAAACAACUUUUCUAGAACAACACAAGGCACUAAUGCAUAUAGUUGGUAACAAGUUGGAGAAAGAAAAUAAUGUGGAGAAAUAAAACAACAUGUAGAAAGAAACAAAAUGGAGAGAAAGAAAAUGACUAACAAAAAAGAAAAUAGAGAAAUUAUAGAAAAUAAGAUAAUUAAACUUAUUUUCAUAAAAAUAAUAUAUUUUCGAAAAAUAGAAAAUUUCAUUCAUAUUCUCUUUUUCACUUAUUUUAAAAAUAAAAGUAAAAAUUAAUAUUUAUCAAAUAUAUAAGAUUAAGAUUGAGAUAUAAACUUUUUAUAAUCUAAACUAUUAUUUUCAUUUUAAACAAGAAAGUUCGAUGUGACAUAAUAAAAUUUGUACACAAAAUUUAAAUUAUCUCUAUUCAUAUAGAAUUAUAUAUAGGUAUAGAUUCAUUUCAAAAUUCGAAUAAUUAUUUGAAUUUUACAUUUAAAUUUUAUUUUAAAAUUUAAAACUUAAUUAUUUUGUAAUAGGGUAUGUGUCAUAAAAUUGAAGCUUAUAUAUAUAAAUGCCUCCACUUCCAUACCUCUCAUAAAAUUGGAGCCUACUUUUUUUGUUUUCUUUUGUGUGUUUAUAAAUGUCUCAAAUUCCAUAUCUAGUUGUGAUAUAGUUUUGUAGAUGAUUGUGAUUGAAGUAUACUUUCUUUUGAUAUGUUUCCCUCCAUACAAAUCUAUUUAAAAGAAAAAAAAAACACAAAGUGUGGACCCCGCAUUUCGGCUCAUGCGUUUCCCACUCGAUGGUGAAACUCGCUUUUUAAAUUAAAAAAUGAUUUUUUGUUGUUGAUUAAGAAAAAUGACUUAGAGUCGCCACUUAUUUUGUUUUAUUUUUAAAGGGUAAACAAAAUAAGAAAGAAAACCCUAAGUGUAACUCCUUAUUUCGGAAAAGGUGAUAUGUGAAAAACCGGAUCGGGUUUGGGGGUUAGGUUACUUAUCAGGAAGGUACGGUAAAAAAAAAACCGUAGCACCCUUCUAAGCCCCUAAAACGGGUCUCUUCUAAUAAAAUGAAGCUGACAUGGCCAUUGAUGAGGAAAUCAAUGAAUACCCGGAACUAUCAUGCACAUAUGAGAAUCAGAAUAUACGUAACGAAUGAUCAGAAUGAGUGAAUGCGUACCUGGGCAGCAAACUGCAACGCGCUAUCAUGUGUGGACCCCGCAUUUUCGACUCAUGCUCGAAUGCGUUUCCCACUCGAUGGCGAGCUCGAUUUUGCCAAUUGAUGAAUAAAUCAAUGAAUACACAGAGUGAUCUUGCACAUGUGAGAAUCAAAAUAUGCAUAUAGAAAUACCAGAAUGGGAAUAGAUGCGUACCUGAGCGACGAACCACUAGGCGCUAUCAAGAAAGAGGGUUAGUGCACAAUUAAGGACUAAUAACAUGCAUGUAAGAGAGCAGGAUAAAUCAAUCAUGUAUCAUAAUCAAAUCAAAUCAAUCAGUCAAUCAAUCAAUCGGUCACAUAUGUGGGGGCCCCCACCAAAGCCCGUUUAUUUUGCAUGAAUUAAUUCCAAUAACUCCAUUACUUGGAAUUACGGAAUUUAAUCCUUGCUUAUUUAAAAACAUUUUAAAAUCCGGGAAGUCUUGAAAGUUGCAUGCCGAAGAGAGGUGGCAUCAAAUUUUAUUGAAAAACAGGAUUUUUGGAACUCAAAGGAAACGUAAGGAUGAAAGAUGGAAAUUAUUUAAAUUAUUUGAAAACCGACAUAAAAAAAAAUUAUUUGCAAGAAAGGUAUCAGGAAAUUAUUUUUUUAAGCCAAAAGAUUGAGGGAAUGGGAGGUGACACGUGGCCCAAAAGGUGGCCAUGCAGCUGGGUGUAUAGAGUAGAUGGCAAGUGGACCCCUGAGUCAUUUUGUUUGACAAACAGCUUGCUGUUGUAGUCUGCAUCCAUAUUGAUAAUACCCAAACUUGGAGCGCUGACCUUAUUUUUCAUUGGAGACAUCAAAUGACGUGUUUCAUGGUGGUGAGGCACGUACACUGCUGCAAAAUGGGUGACUUUGCUCCUAUGACUCAUGUUUUCUCCUCUUGAGUUGUUCAUCUGGGAAUAUACAAUAAUUUUCCAGCACAAACAUUCAGAAUCUGGAUUCCUUUCACUCAAUUUAUCUGCUACCACUUCUGAUAUAUUCAGCUCGAACCAGGGUCGUUCAUGUUCUCGGUAUAUUUCCCUUAUACCCUGGUCAACAUGGAAUUCGCGGAAACUGCUUGGUUGAUCUGCAUUAAAUGGAAUUAGUGAGCUCAGUGAUAGCAAAUCUAGCUCAGCACUUGCUGCUAAUUGCCUUUGUUCGCGCAACUCCCUUCCUUUUGAAGGUCGUUACUUCCACCUCGAGCCAAGCCAGUCUGGAUGUCUCCCCUAAUUGAGCAUUCAGAAUACUCAAAGAAUCUAGACUGCGACAGAUGACCUGUCUGACCUUCGCAUGCUAUGUGCUUGCUGCACUGAGCUUUGCUCCACCGUUGAAGGCGACGCUGGAGGUAGCAACGACACAGGUCUGAAUGACGGUGUUCUCCUGCCUUAUGAAGGGCUGCUUAGGGAAUUGGAAAACUCACAACCACUUAAAGUUCCAAAUUGACUGCCACCAUUCGAAACUAAGCCUUCAUCUGAUUCAAAAAUGUCUCGGCUUUAACAUCCAUUAGAGCCUUUGUCCUGAUGUUAAUAGAAUCUGGAUCAUAUUGCUCAGAAAAAGAUUUCGGUGCUUUGCUUCCCCCAGAGAACCCAGCUAUCCUUGAAAACUUUGUCUCAUAUUGAAUUCCCAAAACAACCAGUGGGAUUGCUACAGCUGGACCAUUUCCCCUUUUGACCAACGUGGCUGUUAAAGCUGGAAGAUGAGGUCAGAGGUGUUCCAUGAUAUCCUUGUUCGAGAUCCCUUAACAUUCAUUCCAACAGCUACCGAUUUGCACCCUUCAGUAGACAUUGCUCGGGUAAGGACUGUAGCAUAGGCGGUACCAUCUCUUGCCACAUUAUUAAUGGUAUUUGCAACCUAUUUUGCAAGGCUUGCACAAAUAUUCUUGACUGUAGCAUUAAGCCUCGAACUUCAACCCCGAAUCUGAUGUCUUUAGCAGUAUGGUUCCUGCCCUAGUUCAGCCUACUACCGAUAUGAUGGGUGUUGUGCCAAGUGGUCUGAACCUUAGGAGCAAGACUGGUGACGAGUGUGAAGGUGAUGGGUGAUGUUCACUUGCACCAUGCCCUUUUCUAAUUGGAGAUAUCACCAAUAUAAAGCAGGGUGGAUUUUCUGAUGAGAGAUUUCUAUGUCCUAGAGUGGUUCAUGUCGCAUGGGCAUAGGGAUUAAUGAAGGGGCAUGAUGAUGCCAGACGGGUAUGAGUUGUUGAUAACGGAUGUGAGGGAUAGUAGGCUCUACUAACAGAUGAACAAUGUCAUGCAAGCCUUGCACAACAAAAUGCGGAGAGCACAGUACCCGAGAAUACUUCCUUUGUCCCCUUCAACUCAUUUUCUGCUUGAACACUUCCUCUUCCUCUCAUCCUUAGAUGACAUCUCUUCUUUCAAAGGUAUCUCUUCUCUCAAAACCCAUAUAAUGAACAAGAUCCAGGAACAGAGGUGGCCUCAACCAUGAAAAGAAAUGCAUGAAAACAGAGCACAAAGGGAAACAAAUAUAAAGGUCCUCAAAGGAAGAUUCACAUCAUGAGUCAUCAGUGAACCUUCCUAUUAGGUGAGGAAAAACAGCAUCAAAUGCAAACAUUGGUGGGGUUCUCGGGCAUUUCAUAGUCACAAAUAGAAACAGAACAUAUUAAGAUUGACAAUGGCAGGUAUGAAUUCAGGAUUAUAUCUCAACAAGCAACAAGUGGCCUUCAUUAUCCACCCCAAGCAAAACAACAAAUAUCCAAAUAUCAACAAGCAAUGCAGAGGGAUAGCAAGGAUCCAAAUCAAACAAUAAACCUGUUGCCUUCAUACCUGAGAAUGUCCUUCUCCAGUAAGGCUCUGUUCUUCUACAAACACCUCAAGUUCCCCUUUAAAAUCAACGAAAACUAAUGAGACAGCAGCACCUCUUCUACUCUCCAAACACACAGCUCUCUCCCUCUUAAUUUUCUCUCAAACUAAACAGCCACCUAAAAUCCUCCAUCAACCUCUCUCUCAAAACUCCUCCUGUGAAAACUCUCCCCUCUCUCAGGUUCCUCUAAACGGCAGCCAAUAGCACCCCUACCUCUCACAGUUUGCUGCUCCCUGUUCUCUCCUCCGAUAGCCUCUCCUCUAAGCUAGAAACUUAUCCUCAAACUCUCACCCUUUUCUCCUCUGAUUCCCCUGUUUUUCUCUCUCUCUAGUCUCCCUCAGUAACCAGCCUGGAGACCCUAGUUCUCUCCCAAGCUCUCCUCUCUCGUUCCCCCAAGCAAAGGCCCCCCUAACAAUAUCUCCCGGUAGCCUCCUUCUUUUGCUCUCUAGCCUCAAAACUCUCUCUGGAAUCCCUCAGACUUCAGCAGCCCAGGUACCUCUCUCUUCUGAUUUUUCUCUAUUUUCUCUCUAAAAAUCCUCCCCCUUGAGUAACCAGCCUCCUCCUUACCCAAGCAAAGGAUCCCCUAAAAAAAUAUCUCUAACGGCCUGCUCAGAGAGCUCCUGCAGCUGCCAGACGACACCCCCUUCCAGCUGCCUGCCUCCAAAAUAUCUCAUAACUGCCUGAAGAAUCCCUUUACAGGUGUCACCCUCUGGUUUGCCUCUCAAAUCCACUACUUGAUCCUUUAGCAGCCUGUCAAGAGGCACCAUGCGGCCUCCUCAAGUUGCUCCACCUGGAAAAAUUUGCUACAACAAUUACCUCCCAAAGUGGGGGUCUACAUCAUGGAAUGGGGUUAGUGAAUAAAUGCAGAAUGAUUAUAUGUAUAUCAAGGAAUAGAGUGAAUCAAUCACGCAUGGCAAACAAAUAAAUAAAUCAAUCAAUCAAUUAUGAAGUCGAGUAUAUGGGGCCCCCACCAAAGCCCGUUUUAUCUUGCCUGAAUCGAUUCCGAUAACUCCAUUGCUCGGAAUUACAGAACUUGAUUCCUUGCUUAUUUCAAAACAUUUUAAAAAUAGAGGAAGUAUGAAAAAUUGCUUGCCAGAAAUAAAAGUGGCAGCAAAGCUUUAUCAAAAAUGUGAUUUUGGAACCUAAGGAAAAUGCUCUAAGGAUGAAGAAAAAGGUGGAACAUCGGUUGGAUAGAAUUCCGGAUGUGAGAUAUCCAGAGAAGGUGGAACGUCGGCGGAUAGGAUUCCAGGCGUGAGACACCCGGUGAUUACUACCAAAAAUUGCUAUUUUUUAGACCUAAUUAUAAUGGUUUUAAGCAUCUUUGAGUAGUAAUCAUAUUCAUUUAACCUAAUUAAUUCAUUAAGGUCCUUAGUAAUUGGUUUUAACCAUUUUGUGGCAAGUUUACAUGUUUUUAUCAGCUUAUGAAUCAAUUCAAGCAUGCCAAAUGAUGGAGGAGCUACUUGGACAAGUUAAAGCAAUGAUUUUGGAAGUUUACAGGCUUGAAUUUCAAGUGGAAACACGAGCACAAACAAAGGGAUAGCCAUUUCGCAAGGCAAGGCAAAGUACCUUGCCAAAAUGCAAUUUUCGCAAGGUGAAUUUACUCAUGAUGCGAAAAUAAGGCACUUCGCAUCAUGAGUAAUUCACCUUGCUAAAAUUUAGCAAGGUGCCUUUUACCUUGCCAAAUUACCUCUGUUUCUCCACGCACGCACCAUCGACUUCCCAGAUAUUUUUAGCUUGAUAUUUUCUCGUGUAAAUUCCUUUUGUAACCUUGUAUUCAGCCGACAUAAGGCUUUAUCUUGUAAUUUUGCUAUAUAUAGAGGUGCACAACACCUCCAAAAGAUAUUGGGGAUCGAUCCUCUGUACAUUAACUUAGAAAUAUAUAAAGCUCUGUUUUUCUCUCUUCUCCUGUUCUUCCCCAUUUCUAUUUUCUUAGUAACCAAACAACCUCUGAGGGCUUUUCCUUAGAGGAUAAUUGGCUAAAACUUUUAGUUUCUCAAAGUAUGGAUGUUAUGGGAUGGCUUGGAUGCAAUCCCAUGGAAAUUUCUCGCACCUAGAAGGUAAGGUAGUCGUUUUUCAUUAAUGGUUCAUUAAUGCAAAGUUUGGUUUUUAUUUCCUUUGGACAACUUCCAACGGCCAAUACUUGAUAAGCUUUUGGAUUUCUAUCCAUUAGUUAUCUCCUACGAACUAUUGGAAGGUGAAUUUUUCAAUUCCAAGUUUUACAUUAAUCCGUUAGAACCAAUUUCAAUGGCCAUUGAAAGGUGAGUUUAUCACCUGGAAUGACUUUGAGCUGCCAAUAUUUGGUAAGCUUUUGGUUUUAGACCAUUAGUUAUCUCUUACGAGCCAUUCAAAGGAAGUCUAAGAUGAAUAACCAUUGAUGAAAUUCACUACCAUCUGUUUUGCCAUUUUAAAGGAUUAAAACUUGAUUUGCUAAAUCCAUACCGGUUCGGGAAUCAAGCAUCACCAUAGUUGCAACCCCAACGCGAGGAGCCUAUCUUGAGAUUUCCAAUUUGCAUAAGAGCCAGAGCAUAGCUAUCCUAUCUUUGAGAAACUUGCUUUUACACCCUUUCAUUUUAGUCUUUAAUGUUAGCUUAGAUUAGUUUAAAUCUUUCUAAAACAUUUACAUCUUCUUUUAAAGCUAACAUCCAUAAGAAAAUCACCUAUUUUCCUAAUUUGAAUAUCACUAGUGUUUGCGAAAACCCUUCCCAGUGAACGAUCCUAGAACCACUAUGCUAUAGUAGUUUGGCUACUUUAGUAAUAGUAUUUAAGGUAUAAAUUUUGUUGAUACGCCUUCAAAGCUAAGCUACCAUGAGUCGCAUCACCCGGGAAAGGUGGAACAUCGGCGGAUAGGAUUCCGGAUGCGAGGCAUUCGGAUGGAAUGACAGCGGAGAGGACUCCGGGUGUGAGACACCCGAGGAAGGUGGAUCGUCGGCGGAUAGGAUUCCGGGCGUGAAACACCCGGGGAAGGUGGAACGUCGGCGGAUAGGAUUUCGGAUGCCUUGCAUCCGGAUGGAAUGACGGCGGAGACGACUUCGGGUGUGAGACACCUGGGGAAGGUGGAUCGUCGAUGGAUAGGAUUCCGGACAUGAGACACCCGGAUGGAAAUGACGGCGCAGAACGAUUCCGGGUGUGAGACACUCGGAUAGAAAUGGCAGCACAGAAGGGAUUCCGGGUGUAAGACAGUCGAAUGAAAAUGGCGGUGGGGAAGGAUUCCAGGUGUGAGACACCCGGAUGGAAAUGGCGGCGCAGAAGGAUUCCAGGUGUGAGACACCCGGAUAAGGUAGAAUGUUGUUACGAGUAGCAUGAAGGAUAGGUAUGGGUUGUGUGGAUAUGGGGGCUUGGGUGAGUGGUUUUAAUGGGUAUGCGAAAAAGUGAAGGAUAGCAUGCACCCAAGAGACCCCAUGUACGUGGGGGGAGUGGGGUGGAGAAUGAAUGAGAGGAAAAGGAGUGCAGUGGAGGAUGCCCGAUUCCUAUAAGCUUGAGUGAGGAAAUGGGUAUGACGACCUAGAAAGAAAGGUAUAUAGAUGAACGAUGGGUAUGGGGAUGCUGAUGAGGUGAGCUUUGCCGCCACGAAAACUACUCCAGAUUCUCUAGGAUCUCUUUCGAGUAGGGAUGAGAAAAUGGAUGCGUACCAUGGACGGAUAUCAAGAAACAGGGGAAGUAGAGAAACAGAGCGUGAAAGAAGACGAAUAAACAAAGAAAAAAAAGAAUCUCAGAAAAUCCAUUUCAUGGAUCAUCCAUGAACCUUCUGUGCAGGUGAGUAGAUCAUGUCAAAUGCAACCACCCCCCUGAUUCUCAAGCAUUACGUAAUCAUAGUAGGAUUAGAGUAAGUAAAAAUGGACAGUGGCAAACACAAAUACAAGGUCAUACUUCAACAAGUAGACUGGUGGCCUUCAUUAUCCACCCUAAACAGAUCAAUGAGUAUUCAAAUAUUCACAAGAGAUGUAAAAGAGUGAUAGUCAUACCUGAAAGCCUCUUCUCCCGCUAGGCGUCUCUGGCUAAACUCUCCUCUCCUCUCCCCUCUGUCUCCCUUUUUCCUGGAUUCACCUUCCUUAGCAAGUCAGUACCUGCCUCCUCCUAUUCAUGCAUCAGCCAGUAUGGCUUGCCCAACUACCGUCACUGUUGUUGUACGCUUCAUGCAGACGACAUCAAGCUCCCAGCUGGGGGUCCCCUACCCUAUCUCAAAAAAUGUAAUCCAAAACCAAGAAAAAAACCGCUCCCCCCUCCUCACAAAAAGCUCAUCUCUAACAACCAAAAAGCUCCUCCGAAUAUCCUCCAACAGGUGUCUCCACCCCAUUGCAUUUCCAAACCACUACCUGGUUCAUUGACCACCCAACCAGGAAGCAACAUCUGGCUCUUCAAGAGCCCUCCACUUGGCCAGAAGCGUGAACUGCAGCAAAUGAAAAAAACGAGCCCCAUAUGGGGGUCUACACAAACAAAGACAACAACAGAUGAAAAUAAUUAUUCAUCUGUUAGUGCAAAAUAUGAAAGAGAAGACAACAGUGUGCAUCUUCACUAUGACUGAGGAUCAAAUUCUCUUUGAGAUUGAUAUAAAUUAUUUAUAGCUUCAUUGUUCAUGGAGAGUUGAUUCAGUAGUGUCUUCCAUUUGAAGACAUACAAAAAUGGUUAGAAUUAUCUAUUCAUUUCAAGAGAUAACUUGCAUCUAUGACCCUUAUACUCCCAUGAACUUUGAGCAUCUAUUAUUUAUAAAAUAUGGAUGAAAAGAGAAUAAAAAAAAAAAAUUCAUGGGAAGUGUAUUUUGGAAAAAAUAAUUCUCAUUUGAUACAUUGGAAAAGUGUCUACCUCACAUUACCCAAAAAUGACGUUAUAUGUGUACAUGGGUCAUCAUCCAUAGUAACCCAAUUCACAUGAGGAUGGUAUAUCAUUUAUAAAGGUACAUUAAGCUCAAAACAGUGGUACAUUAUAAUCAAAACAAUAUUACUUUAAUAUCAAAAUACAUGUAAGGACAUUUUCAGGUAAUGUGAGGUAAAUACUACUAUAAUACAUUAAAUAAGAAUUAUUUUCCCAAAAAAGUACUUCCCAUGAAAAUGACUUAUGUAGGUUUUCUUUUAUUUAUUUUUUAUAAAUAGUGCAUGUUUACAUGAUUCCCUUAUUAAUAUAAUAUAAUCAUCUAUACAUGAUAAUUAAGGAAAUCGAAAAUAUUUACAUACUAAGCAAGGAUAAUGGAAAUUAAACAGUAUGAAAAAAGAGAAAAAUAAAUAUUAAAUAUAAAUUAAAACUCUAAAAUACAAGCCUUCAUUUGCACAUAUAGGCCAAUAUCUUAGGAGGUAUUUGAUUAAAAAAUAAUAAUGAUUAAAACUGGAAAAAUUUAUGGGUCCCAUUUUUUAAGUGUUUUCAAUAACAUAAUUAUAAACCUCUUAAAAUUUAAAAUCAUUUAUUUAAACCACUUUAUUCAUUUAGCAACAAGGACUUAAUUAAUCACUAAGAUCAAACAUAAUGAUUUAUAAUUUUUAUAAUUUUUUCUUCCAUUACUAUCAUUUUUUUGUUAAUAAAAUGAAGAUUUCUAUUGAUGAAUUUUUUACUAUUAAAAAAAUUAAUUCAUCUAUGAGAUUCUUUUAACUAAUCCUUUUAGAAUUUUUAUAAUUUUUUUUUUCAUAUUUAAAGAUAAAAAAAUUGUUAUGAAAUAAUUAAAUUAAUUAUAAAAUUUAUCUUUCUUUUCUAAAUCAGAAUUUUUGUCAUGUCCAUUCAUAUAAUAAAAUUAAAAUUAUAAAUAAAUAAAAAAACCUAUUUUAAUUGACAGCAUCAUGGAAUCUCUCCAUGCACACUCAUGCAGCCAGCCAUCAAUUCCCACGGCAGCCACGUGUCUUCCAACAAGUAUAUUCCCUUUCUUUGGCUCUCCACGUGUUUGUGUUCUAUUUUUAUUUAUUUAUUUUAUCCUGAUUAGUAGUUCACCGAACAAGCAUAACAAGGAUAUGAGUAGAUAUGUCAUGGCUAUGAUCACUUCUAACACUAAACCUUCUUAAACAAAGUGAGGUAUGAAUGUAGUAUGCCAGUCUAAAUAAUGGUGAAAGAAUAAAAACAAUGGAGAAUGCAUGUAAGAUGUAUAUAUAACUAUAAAUAAGGAUUCAAAAUGAGGGGAAAAAUCAUUGAGAAGGGUGAACCAUGGGUGAUAAGCCACUUUAAGGUUCAUCCUUUGGAUAAAUAUUAAAAGUUAAAGAGUAUAAAAUGUCUACUUAUGUCAUCAUUUUUUUUUUUCACUUUUAAGUUAAAUAUAUUUUUAUUGUUAUAAAUGAAGUAAUGAAUGCCACCACAUUUAUUAUAUUAAAUGUUCAUUAAAAGCAUAUAAAAAUGUUUCCUAUCCCCUAUAAAAUGCAUCCCAAGCAAAGAAAUACAUUUUCUUUCUCUUUUAUUCUCUUUUUUUAUUUUUUUAUUUUAUUUUUAUUCUCCAUAUCUUUCAUUCUUUCAACUAUCUUAAUUGUCUUUUAUGAUUCCUUCCUCUCCAUUAUAUAUCAUUGUCAAAAUAAUAUAUAGUUGUUCUCUACUUUUAUUGUCGUUGCAUUUAUCCUCUUUUUAUAAUAGGUUAUUAGCAUGAAUUGCUCUGAAGGUAAUUCUCAUAUCUUAAACUUGAAGUUAUUUAUAUAGAAUAAAAUUUUACAUAUUUAUAUUGCUAUUGUUAAAUUCAUUUAAUUUGUGUUAUAUAUUAUUAAAAGCUAUACACAAAUUAUUUGAUUUUGAUUAUAAUCAAAAGUUAUACCAAUGCCAUUAAUUUAUAACUAAUUAUAGUAAUAUUGUUUUGUCAUAUAUCUGAAGUUAUUUAACAAUGUCAAAUCUCACAAAACUCAAAUUUAUGGCACUUGACAUUUCGGGAAAGAACUAUAUAUCUUGAAUCCUUAAUGCUGAAAUACGUCUUGAUGCAAUGAAUCUUGGAGCUAUGAUUAAAGAAGGAAAUCAAGCAUCCUUGUGGGAUCACGCAAAAGCGUUGAUUUUCUUUUGCCAUCAUCUCUAUAAAGGUUUUAAAAAUGAGUAUCUUAUAGUAAAUGACACUUUUACUCUAUGGAGUAAUUUAAAGGAAAUAUAUGACCACCAGAAAAUUGUAAUUAUCCGGAAAGCCUGAUAUGAUUGGAUGUAUUCAAGGUUGUAGGAUUUCAAAACUAUUGGUGAAUAUAACUCUGCCCUUUUCAAAAUCAGGUCUCAAUUAAAGCUAUGUGGAGAAAAAAACCAUAGAAGAAGACAUGUUAGAAAAAACUUUACUACAUUUCACGCCUCGAAUGUGCUCUUACAACAGUAAUACCAAGAACGUAUAUUUACAAAAUACUCUGAAUUAAUAUCAUGUCUUCUUGUUGUUGAACAAAAUAAUGAGCUUUUGAUGAGAAAUCACUAGUCUCAUCUAAUUGGAUAUGAACCAUUCCCUAAAGUGAAUGCAAUAUUGUCCCAAACUCGUGGACAUGGGCAAUGACAAGGAAAUGGUCAUGGUCAUGGAAGGAAUCCCUGAUAUAAUGGUUAUUAUGGUAAUAAUUCCACAAAUUCUCAUAAAAUGAAAGCUUCAUUGCACCACUGAUUACUACUCAAAAAGUGCAUUUUUAUAAGCUUAAACUUAAUUGUAUUAAGCACUUUUGAGUAGUAGUUAGACCUUUUAUCCCAAUUGGCAUGUUAAGGACCUAGCAAAUGUUACUAACCAAUUUUUGGUAAGUUUUAGUGUUUUUGAUAGCUUUUUUAUCACUGAAACAGCCCAAGAUUGAGGGAGAGUUUGGAGCACAUGAAGAAUCAGAGCUUUGGAGCACUUCAAAACCCCUUGCCAAACUUGAAAAAGGGUUGCCAAAACUAUCAGUAGUAAGAUGGAGGGAAAUAGAGCAUUUCGCAAGGCAAAAUCAUCAAAUUCGCAAGGUGUGCCAAAAUUCGCAAGGUGUGCCAAACUUUCGCAGGGUGAUUACUACCAAAAAGUGCUAUUUUGUAGACCUAAUUAUAAUGGUUUUAAGCACCUUUGAGUAGUAAUCAUAUUCAUUUAACCCAAUUAAUUCAUUAAGGUCCUUAGUAAUUGGUUUUAACCAUUUUGUGGCAAGUUUACAUGUUUUUAUCAGCUUAUGAAUCAAUUCAAACAUGCCAAAUGAUGGAGGAGCUACUUGGACAAGUUAUGGCAAAGCUUUUGGAAGCUCAAAUUCAUGAAGAACCAAGCUUUGGAGCUCCAUAGCCCUUUUCCAAAGUCGUUCAAAGUAUGCAAGGAAAGAACAAUGGAAAAGAGGAAAAGCAAGCAAAGUGAAGAGAAGCAAAGAGGACAGCAGCUGCAGUCUUCUUUUGCCCUUUUGGAGCACUUACCGAAGUCCAUUUUUUACAUAAUAUAUACCAUUUCAAAGCUCUGGAAGUCAAGAAUCCAACGCUUUAAACCAUGUACGAUUUGGAGCUGAAAUGAGGAAGAUAUGGCCUUCGGAAGACAACUGCUCCAGGUUAUGCGAAAAUUUUGCACGACACAAGGUGUUAUGCGAAAUUCGCAUAACACCUUCAAAAUUCGCAUAACCCAUGCGUGGUGCGAAUUUUGCUCUGUUUUUUCCGACUCCACUUUAGAUAUUUUCCUUUGUAUUUUGUGAUGUAAUUUCCUUUCUUAUCCUUGUAACUAACCAAUCACAAGCUUUUGUUUUUGUAAAGACUAUAAAAGAGGUGGAAAUCACCUCUUGAAAAAAAGAGAACAUGCGUGUUAGGUUUUAUACAGAGCUCUCUCGUUUCUCUUUUCUCUUUACUAUUUUAUUUUCUUGGAAGCCAAACAGCCUCUGAGGGCUUUUCCUUAGAGGAUGAUUGGCUGAAACUUUUAGUUUUUCAAAGUAUGGAUGUUAUGUCAUGGCUUGGAUGCACUCCCAUGGAAAUUUCUCGCACCCGAAAGGUAAGGUAGACGUUUUUCAUUAAAGGUUCAUUAAUGUAAAGUUUGGUUUUUAUUUCCUUUGGACAACUUCCAAUGGCCAAUACUUGAUGAGCUUUUGGAUUUCUAUCCAUUAGUUAUCUCCUACGAGCUAUUGGAAGGUGAGGUUUUCAAUUCCAAGUUUUGCAUUAAUCUGUUAGAACCAAUUUCAAUGGCCAUUGAAAGGUGAGUUUAUCACUUGGAAUGACUUUGAGUUGCCAAUAUUUGGUAAGCUUUUGGCUUUAGACCAUUAGUUAUCUCUUACGAGCCAUUCAAAGGAAGUCUAAGGUGAAUAACCAUUGAUGAAAUUCACUACCAUCUGUUUUUCCAUUUUAAAAGAUUAAAACUUGAUUUGCUAAAUCCAUACCGGUUCGGGAAGCAAGCAUCACCAUAGUUGCAACCCCAACGCGAGGAGCCUAUCCUGAGAUUUCCAAUUUGCAUAAGAGCCAGAGCAUAGCUAUCCUAUCUUUGAGAAACUUGUUUUUACACCCUUUCAUUUUAGUCUUUAAUGUUAGCUUAGAUUAGUUUAAAUCUUUCUAAAACAUUUACAUCUUCUUUUAAAGCUAACAUCCAUAAGAAAAUCACUUAUUUUCCUAAUUUGAAUAUCACUUGUGUUUGCGAAAACCCUUCCCAGUGAACGAUCCUAGAACCACUAUGCUAUAGUAGCUUGGCUACUUUAGUAAUAGUAUUCAAGGUAUAAAUUUUGUUGAUACGCCUUUAAAUCUAAGCUACCAUGAGUCGAAUCACAGGGUGUGCCAAACUUUUGUAGGGUGUGCGAAAAUCACUUUGUGCGCACCGACCUUUGAGAUUUUUCUCCAGAACUGUAAUUGUUCCUUUUUAAUCCUUUUGUAAUAGAUUCAUUACAUUAGGGUUUGUUUAGGAACUAUAAAUAGGGGUUGGAAAACCUCUCAAAAGAUAUUAUGUUAGGAUAGAUAUUAUGUUUUAGAUAUUUUGUAAAGUCUGAGUUUUUCUCUGCCUUUCCUUCUCAUUUUCUCUUCACUUUCUCUCUAACCACACACCCUCUGAGGAUGAUUUCUCAGAGGAUGAGUGGCUAAGUUUCACGUUUCUUGGAGUGAUGGAAGCUAGGUAAAGGACCCAGAUGCAAAGGUAUGAGUUUUCCUUACUUUAAAUGAAGGUAGUUGUGUAUCAUUAAUGGUUUAUAUUUCAAGUUUCAGUUUUAAUCCCUUAGAAUCACCUUGAAUGGUCAAUACUUGGUAAGCUUUUAGGAUUCUAUGGAUGCUUAUUGCUAGAUCCAUGGAUGUCCAUUAGUUAUCAAGUACUAGCCAUUGGAAGGUGGUUCAAGGUGAGGGUCUUUAGUGUUUGAAGCCAUUAAUGGGAAGCAACUACCAUUUUUCAAGAAUCCUUUGGAUCAAAACUUAUAUGCUAAAUAUAAAUCCGGUUCGGGAGAUAACCAUCCUUUAUGUUAUUGUCCCCAAUGCAAGGAGAAGAUCUGGAAUUUCCUGCUUUGCAACAGGAACCUGAUCCUAGUAACCAUAGCUCCAAGAGACUUUCUCUUUAUAAUAAUUUCAAUUGUUUAUGUUUGCUUAACUUAAAAUCAACCCUUCCAAUCAAUCUUAUUUUCAUUUAAAAACUAACUUCCAAAAAGGAAAUCACCAUUUCUUCUUUUAUUAAUGUUAAGUGUACAAAGAAAACCCAUCUCUGUGGAUGAUCCUAAAGCCACUAUACUAUAGUAGCUUUGUCCUUGCUAUCCUAGUAUAAGGUGUUGUAGGUUUUAUAAAUGUUUUGAUAAACACCCGACUGGGCAUGAAUCAAAUGGCGUUGUUGCCGGGGAUGGUGCCUAAGCGCAUAAAUGUUACCUUUUAUGAGUACUUGUGAUCUUCAUCACAAGUUGGUGAUUUUUCUUUCACUAACUCAUUUUCUUUGUUUUUAUUUUAUCUUAUCUUUCAUUUAGUUUUUAGAUAACCUUAAAUAUUUUCCUAGAAUUGUAGUCCUUUUUGUUUUCUUUGUUUUUGUUUCAGUAAUCUCGGGUUGUGUAUGCCCUAUUAGAUAAGAGAUAUUGAGGGAAGACUUGUGAAAAUUGAAACUCCUCAAGAAACUGAGUUGGAAGUCUGCUUGAACAUCAUGGAUUGUCCACAUGAAGAUCAGCAUAGCCAACAUGGGCAAGAGGAGAAUCUCAAUGCAUACCGAUCCAUGAGGGACCGCAUGCAUCCACCUUGAAUGAGUGCACCUUCAUGCAUAGUGCCUCCCACUAAGCAGCUAGUGAUCCGACCUCAUAUAGUGCCACUUCUACCUACUUUUCAUGGGAUGGAAAGUGAGAACCCCUAUUCUCACAUCAAGGAGUUUGAAGAAGUGUUGAUUACUACCCAAAAAGUGUUAUUUUGCUCCUUUAAUUCAUUAUGUUUUAAGCACUUUUGUGUAGUAGUUCUCCAUCUUUAUUCCAAUUGGCAUGUUAAGGACCUAGCAAUGACUUCUAAUCAUAUUUGUGGCUAGAUUUAUUGUUUUGACAGCUUUUUGGAUCAUUAAGACAAGCCAAGUAAAGGAGAGAAGCAAAGAGGAAAACAGAGUGAAGAAAAUAGAGGACAGCAUCUGCAGUAUUCCUUUGCACUUUUGGAGCACUUAAUGAAGUCCAUUUUCUACAUGCUAUAUACCAUUUAAAAUAUCAGGAAGUCAAGAAUCCAACGCUUCAAACCGUGUAUGAUUUGGAGCUAAAAUGAGGAAGAUAUGGCCUUCGAAGACAACUGCAUCAAGCUAAGUGCGAAUUUCGCACAGCAGCCCAAGCAAGUGCGAAUUUCGCACCACCAGCCAUGCAAGUGCGAAUUCGCACCAGCCCAUGCUUCUUUGGUGCGAAAUCUCCUCUGUUUUUCCGACUCCACAUGAGAUCUUUUCUUUUGUAUUUUUUGAUGUAAAUUCCUUUCUUAUCCCUGUAAUUAGCCAAUCACACGCUUUGCUUUUGUAAAGAUUAUAAGAGGGGUGGAAAUCAUCUCUCGAAAAAUGACGAACAUAUGUUAUGUUUUACACUUAGUAAAAUACAGGGCUCUCUUUGCUUUCCUUUUCUCUCUACUAUUUUCUUUUUCUUGGAAGCCAAACAACCUCUAAGGAUGUUUUCCCAGAUGAUGAGAGGCUAAACCUUUGGUUUCUUGGAGUGAAGGAAGCUAGGUGAAAAGUCCAGAUGCAAAAGUGGAAAACUCUCGUGCAUUAAAUACAGGUAGUUGGAGUUCAUAAAUGGCUUUUAAAUCUAAAGUUUUGCUUUAAAUCCCUUAGAAUCACUUUGAAUGGCCAAUACAUGUUAAGCUUUAGGUCUCUGUGGAUACUUAUUGCUAGAUCCAUAUCAGACCAUUAGUUAUCAUGUAUGAGCCAUUGGAAAAUGGCUCAAGGUGAAGACCCAUAGUGUCUAAAGCCAUUAAUGGAACCUGACUACCAUUUCUAUUGACUUUUUAUGGAUUAAAUCUUCAUUGUUAAACCUAUACCGGUUCGGGAAACAACCAUCCUUUAUGUUGUUGUCCCCAAUACGAGAAGAAGAAUCCGGAAUUUCCACUUUGCAUUCUGAACUUGAUCCUAGCAACCCUUAUCUUCGGGAGACUUUCUUUCUUCCAUUUUUACCUAGUUCUAUAUUAGUUUAGCUUCAAACACCACUUUCAAAAAAAAAUUUAUUUUCCUUUAAACUUUAAGUUUUUGACAAAGGAAAUCAUCAGAUUCAAUUUCUAAUCUUGAGUAUAUCAUUGGUAGAAUGAAAACCCAUCCCAGAUUUCGACCCUAGAGCUGCUAUACUAUAGUAGCUUUGCUACGCUAGUAUGAGGUCAUAGGAUUUAUAAAUAUUUUUUAUUAAAACACCCGACUGGGCACGAAUCAAAAUGGCGCUGCUGCCGGGGAUGGUGCCACUUUACAGUGAUAUGACCUUUUCAGAGUACUUGUGAUCUUUAUCACAAGUUUGGUGACUUUUCUUUUCCUUUUAUUAACUCUUUUUUUUUGUUUAUUUUCCUUUGUUCAUGUUUUAGUAUAUCUUUUAUUUAGAUUUUAGUUAAUCUUAAUAAUUUUCUUUAGAAUUUUAUUUUCUUUUGUUUGCUCUGUUUUUAAUUCACAAAUUGCUAGUUGUGCAUGCCAUUUCUAAAACACUAGUGCAAGCUAUGUCGUGUGCCAUUUGUCAAUCUUUUGAGCACUUGGUGGAGGAGUGUCCUAUCCUUCCAGCAAUGAGGGAGAUGUUUGGUAUGCCAUGUGGCAUUUGUCAGUCUUUUGAGCACCUGGUGGAGGAGUGUCCUAUCAAUCCAGUGGCAAGAGAGAUAUUUGGUGAUUAUAACACCUACAAUUCAUUUUGUAGGAAUCAUCCAAAUUUCUUUUAGGAACCACAACCACGUCAGUACAUGCAACCCGCUCAAGCACCACAUCAAGCCUUGAAACUUGAACAAGCAAUUGUGAACCUUACCAAGGUUGUGGAAGACUUUGUAGCACACUAGAAAUCCAUCAUUGAUCAAUUCAGGCAAGAAAAUGCUCAAGUCAGGCAAGAAAUUGAUAGCCAAGACAGAAAGAUGGAUGGGAGGUUGAAUGAUUUGUCUCAGAAGACAGACAAUCUUGAAUACUCAAGCUCAAGGCUUAUCAACCUCAACACAGAGCGAGAAAAAGAAAACUUUCCUUCUCAACCAUAUCAACAUCUCAAGGGUAUCCAUAAAGAGGAGGCCCAAAACGAAGAAAAUUCAAUGGUGAGGAAAGUCAAAGUAGUUAUGGUUGAUCAGCCCAUAUUCAAGCCAAAGCAUGAUGAAGGGUUACCUGAACCCUCAGAGAAGCUUGCUAAUCUGUUCCAUUGGACGAGAACAAAAGAAAUGUAGCCCUUAUUGAAUGCGGUGGAGAUACAGAGACAUGCGAAGGAGGAGCCCCCAAAGCUUAUUCUUAACUCGCUACCUCUAAAGAUGAAAUAUGCAUACCGGGUAGAAGACAAGCUGAAACAGGACCAGUUUUUUUUUUUUUUUAUAGACUUAGUCUUUCUAAAGACUAGCUAGUCCAUAUAUUUUUGUUUUAUUUUUAAAUUUGUUUUGAUUUUGAUUUCUUGCUUUAAUUUUAUUUUGGUUUGAUUUAACUUGGGUUUUUUUAUGAUCAACACAGGGGAAGCCAAAAACAGAGGAAAACAGAGCAAUUUGCACCACCCUACCCCCUUGUGCAAAAUUGCUUUUGUGAGCAUUUUCCAAAAAGCAUGCUCUCGGUCCCUACCCAAAAUCUUAGUGCAAAAAUGCACAGGAAUGCGAAAAUUUUUGCCAUCACUAUUCACUUUGUGCGAAAUUCGCAUUUGCUCUUUAAAAGCCAAUUUCUCUUCUUAAAAUCUAAGUUUGUUCUUCUUCAAUCCUCUCAACCCCUCUUUUCCGAUCACUCCUUUCCAUCCACAAGGUCCUCUCCUUCAUCAUCUCCCAUCCUAAAACCCCACCAUGGCAGCCCAUCUCAAAAGCUUCAUUCCAUAGUCGCGGCCAUCACUAUUCACAACAGCCCAUGCCUUUCAUUUUCAGCUUUUUCUCCUCCUUCCACCAUAAAAAACCCUUCAUUUCUUCACUCAACACUCCAAAUCCAUCCCUAAACCCAACCCAACCUUGAUUUUUCAAAAUCAAAACCUCAAGCAUAGGUUUCAAAGCCUCGAUUUCUUCAUAAGAAACCCAUUGUCGCCGGGUAUGGGAGCUUCAAAAUCUCUCAUUCUCUUCUUGUAAAGCUCCCAUUUCCAAGCUUAGCCACCAUGAAAAACUCCUUUCCUACCUCAGCCAGCAUUUCCCACCCUCAAAAACCAAGAAUUGUUGCCAUUUGAAACCACCACAAUUUCGCAUUUGCACGGGUGAAUAGUGCAUUGUGUGAAAUUCGCACAACACAUUUCCCUUGUGCGAAAUUCGCACCACCCUUCCCUUGUGCAAAUUUUUGAGCUUCUUCAUCCCUACCUUCCCUAAUCCCAAGCCUCUGAGCCUCAUUUCUUUGUUCCAUUAUGCCUAAGACCCGAGGAGGCUAUGCCUCAGCUCCCUAGAGCAGUCAGAGAGCUGCCCCUGUGCAGGCCCCACUAGAUGUACCCCCAUAUUUACCUGAUUCUGUCCCUUAGCGCAGAUACCAUACGAGGAGAGCAGUUGCCAUGCUUGUGGCCCCUACUCAGAUUCCACCUAGGAGUCCUCCUACAAAGAAAGCCAAGACUUCAAAGCCAAGAGAGUCCUCCAGAGCACCUCGAGAUUCACAGUCUCAGCCUCCUCCCACCAAGCGCCCUAUCCUCGCCAGCUCGCCCAUUGAGGGCAACUCCGAUUGCCGAUCGAGAGCAUUCCAUGUCGAGGCAUAUUUUGAUCACUCUAUUUUGCGACAGCAGCCUGAGUUAGGGGAUUCAUACCGCAUACUUGAGAGGUACCACCUUAUACCCUUUAUGACUCCCCCACAGUUCUUUUAUCCUCAAGUAGCUUUAGACUUUUACCAGUCUAUGACUACUCGUGGCGUCCCGGUACCAGCCUCGAUCCUUUUUGCCAUUGAUGGAUGCCAGGGUAUUUUGGGGGCUAGACAGAUUGCCGAGGCUUUCCAUAUCCCUUAUGCACUAGCAGAUCCCGCUACAUUUAGACGUUGGGCCCCACUUUCUGAGUGGGACAUGGUUCGUAUACUAUCUCGAGGGACAUCUUCACAGAGGAUCAUUAUGAGGAAGGAGCUUCCCCCUGGGAUGCUCCUAGUUGAUGUGGUGCUUUGUAACAAUCUUUUUCCUCUUCAGCAUAAAGUGUAAAGGCGAGGGGCCAUUCUAAAGGCAUUAUUCCGUAUCUCUGAGGACUACUACUUUAGCCCCCAUCAUUUGAUUAUGGUCGCCCUCCUCCAUUUUGAGGAGAAGGUGCAUAAGCGGCGUCUUACGAGGGCAAACACCAUUCUUUUAUUUUUCCCUCGACUGCUAUGCCAUGUUCUAGCGCAUAUGGGUUUCCCUGCAGACCCUCAUUCUGAGCACCGUCGCCAUUAUCGAGAGAACUUCUCUCUUGACCAAUGGAAUCAGGUAUGGCUCCAUCAACAUUCCCCAGAACUUCCCGAGCCAAGGGAAGUCCCUCCACAGCCUUUACCAUCUAUAUCUGCUCCGUCCACUUCAGCUCCCUCGGAGCCCGUACCAGAGGCAGCAUUGUCUGACACCCCACCUGUUGUUCCUCCUACCUAAGAGCCACCCAUUACUAUCCCUGGUGCAGAGUAUCGUGACUUGCUCGCUUCUUUCCAGACUCUGACCACUACUCAGACGGCUAUUAUGGAGCGGAUGGACCACUUCCAGCUUCGGUAGGACCAACAGACUCUCAUUCUCUGUGAGAUUCAGCAGCACCUCGGUCUUUUGCCACCAGCUCCACCUGUUGCUCCUGUGCCCUCAGAGCCUUCUACUCCAGCUGAUGAUGCUACACCUAUAGCGGUACCUUCCACAGUUGCAGCGGAUGACCCCUCCUAUCCACCAGAGGAGCCUACUACUUGAUCAUACGAUCACUCCUCUCAUUUUUUGAUUUGUAUCUAUAUUCUAUGUUUUUGGAUGUGUUAUAUAUUUUGGACUACUUUUAUAUUGGGAUUGGAUGUGUUCCAUGUUUAUCUUGUAUAUUGUACUCUCUCAGUUUAUAUAGACAUCUUCCUUUUUGUGUAUUUUAGUUUUUUCUUUUUAUUUCCUCUAAUCAUCACUCUUAUGAUUUUUCUUUUCUUAUGCAACAUGUGGUUUCUCCUAUUCAUUUAGAGUCCCUUACUAUCAGGAGGUAUCACUUCCUCCCUUUUUAUUAUCACUUGUUUUUGGAACAUUGGGGACAAUGUUCAUCCUAGUUGGGGAGAGAGUUGAGGAAGUAAUUUAUUGAAUUUUUAGUUAAGUUAUUUUGCUAACAAAUUUUUUGCAAACUCUUUUUGUUUUCUCAAAGAUAAAUUCUCAAAAAUAAAUGGGAGAAAUUAAAUUCUUAUCUUAUUGCCAUAGUCUUAGAGUUUGUAUUAUGCUUAUUAAAGUUGAUAAAUUGUUGAAGCUCCUUUUGAUUUCAAUCUUAAGUCUUCCACUCUAAUCUUUUCACACACUGAACACAUUAGAUUCCAGUUAUAAGAUGGAAAACUUUCUCACCCCCUAAACUUAGGAAAUUUUCGACUUGGUGCCUUUGACCUCAUUCUAUUAGUGUUGGGACACCUUAUAAAAGGCCAAUGUGUCUUAUGAAAAAAUUUGCUUCACUUGCUUUGAAACUCGAGCAAGGUUCGAGGGGUAUAUGGUGAAAAUCUUUGAAGUCUGGUGCCCUAAGCCUUUAUUGGUUGGGAGUCACUGACCUCACUGCUCGUUACAUAGGUGGAUGGGUGGAGUUCAAAAAAAAAAAAAAAAAAAAAAGGUGCGUUCUUAGCCUUUUAUAUGGGGGUUAGUGUUGCUAAAGUUAGAGAAAAACCUUAGUUGGGGGGAGAAUAUAGUUUGACAUACUAUAACUGGAAACUAAGCACCUUAACACUUAGAUUUUUGUGGAAGAUUAAGAGUUGGUCCUUUGGGAGUGGAAAUUAUUGUGAUACUCAAAUUUGCAUAAUGCCCACUCUUUGUAUGUUGUGAUAUGUAAGUUAUUUGAUGACUCUUGUUGAUGAUUGAGUUUUAUAUCCUUGACUUGCCAUGUGAGAUUUUGAUCUAAUCAUGCCACUUGAUUAUUUUUUCGAGUGAUCAGCAUGAUUUUGUAAAUUAUUAUAUUAUCUAUUUUUCUUUAUUUUUCUCUCCUUCAUUGCUCAGGUACUAGCAAUGUGUCAGUUGGGGGGAGUGAUUACUACCCAAAAAGUGUUAUUUUGCGCCUUUAAUUCAUUAUGUUUUAAGCACUUUUAUGUAGUAGUUCUCCAUCUUUAUUCCAAUUGGCAUGUUAAGGACCUAGCAAUGACUUCUAAUCAUAUUUGUGGCUAGAUUUAUUGUUUUGACAGCUUUUUGGAUCAUUAAGACAAGCCAAGUAAAGGAGAGAAGCAAAGAGGAACACAGAGUGAAGAAAACAGAUGACAGCAGCUGCAUUCUUCCUUCGCACUUUUGGAGCACUUACCAAAGUCCAUUUUCUACAUGCUAUAUACCAUUUCAAAGCUCAGGAAGUCAAUAAUCCAACGCUUCAAACCGUGUACAAUUUGGAGCUAAAAUGAGGAAGAUAUAGCCUUCGGAAGACAACUGCAUCAAGCUAAGUGCGAAUUUCGCACAGCAGCCCAAGCAAGUGCGAAUUUCGCACCACCAACCAUGCAAGUGCGAAUUUCGCACAGCCCAUGCGUCUUUGGUGUGAAAUCUCCUCUGUUCUGCCGACUCCACAUGAGAUCUUUUCUUUUUUAUUUUUUGAUGUAAAUUCCUUUCUUAUCCCUGUAAUUAGCCAAUCACAGGCUUUGCUUUUGUAAAGACUAUAAGAGGGGUGGAAAUCAUCUCUUGAAAAACGACGAACAUAUGUUAUGUUUUACACUUAGUAAAAUACAGGGCUCUCUUUGCUUUCCUUUUCUCUCUACUAUUUUCUUUUUCUUGGAAGCCAAACAACCUCUAAGGAUGUUUUCCCAGACGAUGAGAGGCUAAACCUUUGGUUUCUUGGAGUGAAGGAAGCUGGGUGAAAAGUCCAAAUGCAAAAGUGGAAUACUCUCGUGCAUUAAAUACAGGUAGUUGGAGUUCAUAAAUGGCUUUUAAAUCUAAAGUUUUGCUUUAAAUCCCUUAGAAUCACUUUGAAUGGCCAAUACAUGUUAAGUUUUAGGUCUCUGUGGAUACUUAUUGCUAGAUCCAUAUCAGACCAUUAGUUAUCAUGUACGAGCCAUUGGAAAAUGGCUCAAGGUGAAGACCCAUAGUGUCUAAAGCCAUUAAUGGAACCUGACUACCAUUUCUAUUGACUUUUUAUGGAUUUAAUCUUCAUUGUUAAACCUAUACCGGUUCGGGAAACAACCAUCCUUUAUGUUGUUGUCCCCAAUACGAGAAGAAGAGUCCGUAAUUUCCACUUUGCAUUCUGAACUUGAUCCUAGCAACCCUUAGCUCCGGGAGACUUUCUUUCUUCCAUUUUUACCUAGUUCUAUAUUAGUUUAGUUUCAAACACCACUUCCAAAACAAAUUUUAUUUUCCUUUAAACUUUAAGUUUUUGACAAAGAAAAAACCAAAAGCAACCCUGAAUCAAGUACCAAUUAAACACUAAUCUAAAUUAAAGUGAUCGUGAGAAGUUGCCAACUCAUAUUGGCUGGUGUAAAGUUUUUUUGGGAUUCAAUAGGUUUUGAUAUACUUCCCUUAAACCAUCGCACUUGAAUUUAAAGGCUAGAAUCAAGAAGCCUAAUGAAACUUGGUACAAGCUCAAUUACUGGACUUCUUAUUAAUUAACCAGGAGCAUCAAGUGACAAGAUAUUCACAAAAUCUAUCAAAGCAAUGAAAAUUGUGUAUCCUACAUAAUUUGAUUGUAGAGCUGAUUUCAAAUCCAUUACUCGAACUUAAAAGGAAAAAAAUUGAAGACAAUUUUGUGAGGACAAAUUAAAAUUGUGAGGAUCCCGAAUUCAACAAAUUAGCAUUUCUCUACCGGGUGCAAUUUGGCAAAUUGGUUUGACCUAACUUGAAUCUUGGUGAAGUUGAGAAACCAUUUAUAGUACUCAAGUUAGGAUUUGGUCGAGUUUCUCAACCAAAAGUUAUUUUGGGUUGAGUUCAAUUUUGGGCUAAGUUCAAACCAAUGCUUCAACAAUCUAAGCUGAAUUAAACUCCAUUAAUAUUUUAUAAUAUUUAUAGAAUAUAUUACUAUAUAAUAAUAUCAAUUUUUUUUCUAAAAUAAGUUUAAGGGAAAAACCAUCAAAAUAUAUUAAGCUAACUCUCAGAAAUUUGCCUAUCCCCUUGUGAACACUAUUUGGAAGGAAAAUUAAUUAGGAAGCCUCUUAAGCAAGCCAAAAAGGUAUCUGGUCCUUUGUAGCCUAUGCAUUCCAAAGUACAGGGCCUAAUGAACAUGCGAGCCAAGCAUGGUGCCUACUACUUCAUCACAUUUGCGGAUGGUUAUAUCUACAAGUCCAAAGAAUUGCUUUGAUUUAGAUGUUAUAUGAAUAUUGUUAAAAAAAAUGAAAAGAAAAAACUAUUACAACAUUAAGGAUAAAUCAUGGACUUGAGUAUCCAUUGAAGAGUUUUAAAAAUCUCUAUGAUGAAAAGGAAAUCCAAAGAACAAUCAAUGGCUUCAAGGACUCCACAGUAAAAUGGUUGAACUAAAAAAAGUAACCAUAAACUUUUGGAUAUGGUUCACUCAAAAAGGCACAAGCCAACUAUCUAACAUCUUUCAGGGUGGGAAAUGAGGGUUACUAUUUUGAUUGAAUAGAGUGCCCUCAAAAUCAAUUACUUCAAAUCCAUAUAGUUAAGAAGUCAAACCUAGCUCACUUGUGAUCCUAAGGGUUAGCAAGUUUAGUUCAUGUAAAUUUUCAUAGAUAUUGUGCUAUAAAGGAAACAAGUGCACUUUCAUUAGAUAUUCUAAUAAAUCAAAGGUUGUGUGAUGCUUAGUGAACAACUCAAUGGGAGUAUAAUUGAAAUAAAGUCAUAUGAAGUCAAUUUCUUAUAGGAUGAUAUUUUUAGUAGAGCAGCAUUGAACAAGAGUCUCAAUUUAUUUGAGGCAAUUAAACCAAAGGAAAAUACUAUGAUAUCUCAUAUCGAAUAGGAGAAAAAGUUCUUGACAUUAUAUAUAUGAGCUUCUCUUAAUUAUUUAGACACAUUUUAAUGUUGUAAGGGCUCUUUGAGCCCAAAGUGGAUGAUAUAUAUUUACACGGUUGGGAGUGAGUCAUUACAAAUGGUAUCAAAGUGUAUCCUCAACCAUGGUAUGGGAGUUUAUCUCAUCAUUGUAAUUAUGGGCAUUAAGGUGAAGCUUUCAUGUUUGCAUGAUAUGAUGUAACCAUAAAUGGAGUUCAUUAAUACUUAUAUUAUGACUUCGAAUUUCUAUUCACUAUCCUAUUUAUGAAUUAUGUAUGUUAAGCAUUCAAACCUACAUCACUUGCAUGUACAUGACUUGAGUGAAUUAGGAGUCACAUGAAAAAUCUAAGUCAUAGAUUCCUUACAAGUUAAUGACUCGUUCACAAUUGGUUCAUGGACUUUAAUAAACCAUUUGAGGCUAUAGUGCACUACCUCCUAAUUGGAGGGAUGACUUGCCCUAGUCAUUAGGAUGGGUUCCCCAUGGUGAGUGUACUAGUGUGUUUAAUUAUGUUGGGAAACCUAGAUAUUUCCAUUCCCAUAACCCUAGAUCGUAUAGGUGCAUGCAAAAUACCCUAGGCCUCUAAAUCCUAUGAACCAGAAGCAAAAAUCAAAAUUUUAACAUUCUAUAAUCUAGGGAAAAGUCACUAAAAACUUUGAGAAAAUUAAAGGCUAAUCUUAAUAGAGAAAACACCCAAGAGAUGAGGAAGGGGGUGAAUUGGGUUUUUAAAAAAUAUUUUUCAAACACCACAAAUUCAAGAAAAUGAAACACAAAUAUAAAGAUAUAAGGUUAGAAAGAGCAAACUUAGAUUUUAUAGUGGUUCAGCACUUCCUUGCCUAUGUCCACUCUCCUCAACCUCUUAACCGAGUGAAGGUUCCACUAUACUUGAAGCUUCAACUAAGCUUUUAAUCACCUUUACACUUGGAUUCCGGCUCCAAUGGGCUAUUACAUAAUCCCUUCAAGUCUUAACUCACUUGAAUCUUUUAGCAUUCAAAUAACAAGUUUGAAUCUCUCAACCUAGCCCAACAAGGGCUCAAAUACAACUUAAAUGUUAGGAAGAAUCACAAAGGUGCACUAAGAAAUAUGCAAAUGGAUAUUGAAUGCACUAAGGAAAGAAUGAGAGCUUUUGAGGCAAGAACAAGUAGGCAAACAAAUAAAUGCAGGUGUUCUCUACCUCAUAAAUGAAGUGGAGUUCUCAAUUUAUAGGUUUCUAGCCUUAAGAGUAAAAAAUGCCAAAAAGCGGCCAUGAUCAGUCGAGUUAGGGUUACUAGCCAUUGGAUAAUAAAUGCAUUGUAGGUGAUUGUUACGCCUCAACCGGUUUUUGACCAAAUCUCGACCAGAUCUCGACCGAGAAGGCAUAUCCCUUGACCAGGAAUGCAAAGCUAUAAGAAGAGAGAGAAGAUUUUUUGCAUUUCUCGACUGGACCUCGAUCAAGAAGGUGUAACCGAUCGACCAGUGCCCUAGCCGAUUGAGCCAGUUGGCUAGUGCCUUGACGAGUUCACCAUUUUUUGCCUGAAAACUUUUUUUUUUUUUUUUUGUUCUUUUCUCUUCUAACACUUAGGCAAGGUAUUUAGGUAAAUUAAUAUGCCAAUUUUGAAACAAUUUGUCUAAGGUUCAUCUGAUAAAACUCGGGUUUUGACGAAAAUGUAACUUUAAUGCCUAAACUGAGUUUUUAAAGUGCAUGAAAAGAUAUGAAAAUCCUAUGUGCACAAUGCAUUCAUCUUAGAUAUGUUUCCUAUUAUUAAAGGGUCUUUCAAUUGUCUUGAUCUUGCAUCCAUUGGGUUCUUUUAUGAAUUUCCAAACUAAUAUAUGAAAUUCUUUAUAAUUCAAACCAAUUAAUGACUUAACCAUGGUUUGUUAUCAUCAAAACGUGAUUAGGAGAACCCUUGGGCUAACAAACUUUACAUUUGAUUUAAAUGGUUCUUAAAUCAAUUAUGCUUAGUGAAUGUGAAGCCUAAAGAGUCCAGAGGUCUCACACAUCGAAAAUCUUUUGCUUGAUGACUUGAUCCACGAUCUUGCCACUCCAAAAUGGGGGCUUUUGAAGAGAGAAAUCCUAGGCUCUCUCUUUUUAGAGUUAGAAGAUGAUUGUCUCUCAAAAAGUGAUUGCAACCCUAACCUUUAAAUGGUAUUUAUAGAAUUUCCCUACUGGGCUUAAAUGACUUGAGCCCACUAAGGCUUGGGUCACUUAAUCUUGUAUAAAAUAGGUCUUAAUUGAUUAAUUAACCAUACAAGAUCAUCUAAUUACCUAAUUCAUGUCAAUGAGAUAAUAAAGAGAAAACAAAAAAUAUAAAUAAAUUUCUAUCUGUUACAUCAUGUCAUGCUUUUUAGGGCUCAAUCCUAAUAGGUUACACAUUAGAUAGGAUUUAUGGUGAGUCAGACAUUGGUCAUUAGGUAGUCUUGACUUCACGAAGCUACUAUGUUGCAUAAGCUCUCAACCUUGAGAGAAUAUUGAUCUAGUGCUAAGGUCUUCAAUGGCUUUGACCCAUGAGUGAGACCCUAAAGUGGUCAUAUAUUCUCUAUAAAUUGAGUCACUAUGAUUGAGGCAUGUGAUAAUGGGUAUUCUCAAGAUAAGCACCAUGAUAUCUUAAGGGAUUGAAACAUUAUAUCCCCUUAGAUGAUCAUAAGGACAUGUGAUUGUGAAAAUUAUGGUCAUAAUAAUUCCUUAAGUGGAAUUUGACAGAUGCUCUUGAAGAGAUAUAGUAUGUCAAUUGAUCACAUAAUAGGAGGAUCUAAGACUCAAGGAUUGUAGAAGUAGUCUUGAGAGGUUGAUAACAUUCAUUUUGUUAAAUUAUGGAUAAUAAUUCAUGAGGAGCUUGCAUGCAAUUGCUAGUAGGUCACAAACUGAAGUUUUCUAUCUCGGUCUAAUAUCAUAAAGAUACUAAAGUGUAGUUGACUCUCUAGAGUUAGAUUUUGAGUCAACUUUAAAAUUGGAUUUUAAGGGAGCUAGUACUUCCCUAUGGAUCCUAGUGGUUCCCACUCAAACUCAUAUUCCUUGGUCAAAAAAUAUUUGAGGAAUAGUAGGAUUCUUUAUUUAUAUGUGUGUAUAAGAGCAUUUUGGUAAAUACAGAAGGUUGCACAAGUACAUAUAAAUAGUCUUUUAAAUCAGAUAAUUAAUUAAUUGAAGCUUAAUAGAUAAAUUUAGUUAAUUAGGACCUAAUGAGUUAGAUUAAGUAACCCAAACAUAAGAUGAGCUCAAGUCACUCGAGCUAAGAGGUAAGCCUAUAUAAACUCCUUAAAGGGUUUAAGGCUUAGUACUUUUCAGCUAUUCAAUCUUCUACCUUAAUAUCUAUCCCCGUAGAGAGGAUUCUAACACCCUUGUGUAUUAGGAUACAAGAAAGAGAGUUAUCAGGCAAAAGAUCAUGAGUUAUUUGAGAUCUUAAUUAACCUCUUCACCAAUUAGAUUUAAUUCUUUGAGCACUUAAAUCUAAUAUUCAUUGUUCUGAAUUCUCCCAUUACAUAGUUCUAGCAUUUCUACGAAGAUAGUGUCAUGCACCUAAUGAUCUAGGGCUUGAAGUUAAGUAAUCUAGAUGUUCCAACACAUCAGAAGUAUAAAUUUUUUAAUAAUGUUCUCUUAUCCAUACUUGUGAAAUAUGGAAAGCUAUAGUGAAAUAACAUAUGAAGUUUAUUAGCAAGAACUCUAUUUGAGAAUUAAUUGAACUAUUGUUAAGACAUAAGACCUUAAGGAAUAAGUAGGUUUUUAAGGUCAAACUUUAGGCAAAUGAUGCAAGUUGUUAAACUUAACUCAUGAAGAAAGGCUACAACCAAAAUGAGAGUGUAGAGUAUAAAAAAAAAAAAAAAAAAAAAAAAAAGAACUUCUCAUGAGAAGUGAGGUUUGCCUCAACUCUCCUUAUUCAACCAUUAUCACAUUUUGGAUUUGAAAUUAUAUCAAAUAAACAUUCAAAUCAUUUUUUUUUCAAUGGAGAACUAAAUAAGAAGAACUAUAUAGAUCAACUAACUUGUUUUAUGGCAACUAAAUAGAAAGUCAAAGUUAACAACUACAAAGGUCCAUUUAUAGCCUACAAUAAUCAUUUAAACAAUGGUAUAUUACACUAAUGGGUUUAUGAUGGUCUAAGAACACUAUUACAUGUUUGUUAAAUGGUGUAAGGGUAGAUUCUUUAUUUUUUAUUUAUUUAUUUAUUUUUUUGUAUACAAAUGAAAUGUUAGUUAGGGAUGAUAAUGAGAUGGUUGCCUCUAAAGUGUGGUGGUCGUCAACUUUUAAAAUGAACAACAUGCUUAAAGCAAACUAUGUGUUCAAAGUUAUGAUUCUAAUCAAUCAAUCAAUGAGACUUUUUGGUUUGUUUUACAAAUCAUACACAAUGAAUAUUCUUGGAAAAAAUCUAGAUGUAAAAUUGAAAAUCUAUUAGCAUACAUAUACAGAAAGAUAAGACCUUAAGCUUUAACAUGUGUCGUAAGACUUUAAAUGAAUAGGAAAAGAUCACUCAAGGUUCCUAUAUGCUAGCAUUGUUAGUAGCUUAAAGUACCCAAUGAUGUGUACAUGAACUAAUAUUUGUUAUGUAAUUAGGUUAGUAACUUCUAAUUAGAUCUAAACCUUGCUUACAAAAAAGCAAUGGACUGGAUGCUUUCGUACCUUAAAGUCACCAUAGGCUAUAUAAUUUUCUAUUGAGGAUUGAAUUUGGACUUGAUUAGCUAUAACAAUGAUAAUUGGGGUAGCAUCCUAAAUGAACCCAAAUCCACACAUGGUUAUAAUUUUACAUAUGCUCUAUGAUGGUAGCAUAUAUUGGUGAAAUAGAAAACAAUCAUGUAUAACAUUGUCUACCAUGCAUGUAGUUAGGAGUACAUGACUUGUCGUUUAGGAAAGUGACUAGUUUAUGAUGUUCAUACAUAUUUUUCACAAUAUUGCUUGUUCUUUUGAGCAUACUACUAUUUAUUGUGAUAGCAUGGAAACUUUAGCCUAUGUCAAAGACCCCCCCAAGUAUCCAUAGUUGAACCAAACACAUCAAUCUUAAACAUUAGUUUAUAUGAGACAUGGUUGCAUAGGAACAUAUUUCUAAUUGAUAAAUGGUUAAAAAUCCCACCCUCACCCCCUUGUUGACUAAGCUAAUAUGUAAAGAUGUUUAUUAGGGUCAUGUUGAGAGCAUUGUAUUAUUUAGAUUAUGAUUACAUGGGAGUUAAGUUAAGAGCAUUGGAUCAUGUAUAUUAUGAUUACAUAUUAUAUAUUUCAAUUAACCAUUAUAUCUAUGAUUUAUUCAUUGUCCAAUCUUGUUUGAUGGUGCCAUUUAAUUAUUUGUUUUACUUUAUUGACAUACACUUUCAUUACUUUGCACAAUUGAAACAUAAUGAGUCCAAACCACUUAGAUAGUGUGUUAGAUCAUUGAUAUUUAUAAGACUCCUAUUUGUAUCCAAUAAAACUUGCAUGUUAGUAGCGACCAAGUAUAGAUAGUCCUAUAGUACACAUUUGUAAUGGAGUCAAUUGCCAAAUCUUGUUAAUGUAGUGCUUGAUUUAGUAAGCAUGUGCAAAACUUGAGUUCUUUGUUCGAUGCAAGUAAACUAAGAUUUGUACAAUAUAGAAGAUCUAAGGUACACUCAUAAUGAAGAUCUCCAUGUCAGCAUGUAUUUUCAUACUAUAUCUUCUUGGCAAUCAAACAAGAAUGAAUGAAUAUAUUCAUAGCUACUCCCUCAUCAUGUGCAUUAAUCUUAUAGGUCAUUAUAUAGUAUAACUUUUAUGCCCUUGUGAUUUUCAGUCAUAAGUUACAAGUAUGGUGUAGUUUUAAAUAUUUUUCUAAGGGGAUUCACCAUGUUUAACUCAAUGUGAAUAAAAGUGUUUAAGAUAUAACGAGACACCUUUUAGGGAUGAAUUACACUGGUUAAGAUGAAAUUUAGUUUAAUACUCUUACACCUUUCUUAUCAAUGUGUUCGACAGUUGUACAAUCCAUUAGUCAAUAUGGACAUGGAUGAUAAUGAUAUAGUUGAGAGAAAUGCAUGACGUUAUUUUGCCUACUAUGCAUGAGUGGGAAACAAUGGAGUUUCUAUUUCAUGAGAUACUCUUAGUAGAACUUCAUUAACUAAGAGCUUGAGAGUAAGUUGCAUACUUAUCAGUUAAGAUUCCUCAUGCGAGGAAAGUUUAGUUAAGAUUCCUCUCGUGGGAGGAGGUUCACAUUUAGAUUUGGUCAGAAUAUAUAAGAGUUGUUUGUCCUUUGCAAUUCCAAUUCUAGUCUUUUUGCAUGUUUUCAAUUUAGUUUGUGGCAGUUGUUAAAUACUUCUACUUUAAUUUGUAGCAAUUAUAAUUUUUAAAGCUUACUAUUUAGGUUUAGAUUUACUACAUGCUUAUUAGAUAUCUUAAUUCCUAUUGUAUUCUCCUUGGUUAAUAAUCUUUCAAUUUGAUUGUGGAGUUCAAAGAUUUUUACCAAAAUAGGGAUCGGGGUUUUCAAAGUUAGGAAAAGUAUUUAAUAAAAUUAAUUUUUGAAAAAGUUUGCAAGCUAAAUCUUUCAAUUGAACCUAAUGAGUUUACAUACUAAAUCUCUCAUUUUCAGCCUUGGUUGUUUCCACUCUUUGCAAUUUAAUUAGUUUUUUUUAAUAUACAUAUAUAUAUAUAUAUAUAGAUAAUUCAUUUUGUGUACCUAUAUACUCAAGUUUUUGAGUAAUUAUGAGUUGUAUUGUUAUAUAGUAGAAUUUGAUAAACUAAAAAUGCUUACCUUUGAACAAUCGAGUACAAUAGCACAUUUGUGUGGAUAAAUCAUAGCUACCAACUUGAUUCUCCAUGCCUCCUCUAUUAGGCUGACUAAGAAAAUGGAUUAAUUUCACAAGAACACCUUAAGAAUAAAAAUGUCAAGAAAAAGAGAAAAAUCAUGCUUCAUCUAAUUUGACUGCAAGACUUAAAGGAAAAAACAUAAUAAUAUAAUAGUUAUUAUAAUGAAUAUAAUAAAAGGAAAAAUUGUCAUGUUCUUCCCAAUACUCAUAUAACCCCUUUCAAUGAAACUUUGUAAGCUCUACUAAUACAAAAUAAUGGUUCAUAUAGUAAAAGCUCAAUAAAUGAAUCUUUGAUAAAUUGAUAAUCUUACUUAUAAAACAAAAUCUUCUAGUCUUAACUCAUACCAAUGUACUAAAUUAGCAAUCUCGUUAAAUACAUAAGAAAAAUAUUUUCAAAAAUCAUUAAGGGCUCAAGAAAUAUAAACUAAUAAUUGAUGAAGUAGAAACAAAAAUUUAUAGUAUAGCAAAUAGAACUUCGUAAUAUAGUAUUAAGUAAUUUUUCAUAACUUUUGUUUUUCUAAAUUCACUUCUUUUAGAAUUAUCACAUAUUUGAAAUAGCUUUAUCUUUUUCAACAUUAAGUUUUGAUGCCACAUCUUUUUUUAGGAGUCUUUUUAUCUUUAAUUUACAAUCAAUAACUUUUUUUUUUCUUCAGUCUCUUAGGUUUCUAUGUAUUAACUUUUUACCAUGUUUAUUAUUUUUAAAUUUAUUAAGUCAUACAUGUACUAAUAAUGUACAGUAACAACAUAAUACUCUUCAUCAAUUAAUAAAUAUUCAUUUAUCUAUAAAUCAAUAACCUUGCUAAGAUCAUAAUUUUUCUUAGUACCAAGAGUACUAUUUUAUAAGAGUUUUUCUCUAUAUAGUUCCUUCAUUGUAGGAAUUUCUUUGGGUUAAUAUUACUAAAGUUGUAAUUUUAAAAAACAUAUAUAAUGGAAAUGAAGAGAAAUUUGAAAUCUAUGAAUUAGUGUUUUAUAUCAUUCUUUUUUCCUAUGAAUGCUAAAGCCAUUGUCAAAUAAAAAGAGUAAAUAAAAUAAUUAAUCAAGUAAUUAGUUGAAAGUGAAAUAGGUGACUUAAAACUAUUGCUUUGGUACAUGUUUGUUUGAGGUAAAUAUAGUAGAUAAUAAGAAAUAAAAUCCUCUAACUAUGUUUAUUUGAUAGAAUAAAAAAGUGAGUGUGUGGUUGCUCCAUAGGAGAAGACCACAUGUUAACCAAAGAAUAAGUAACUAGAAAGCUUACACAAGUGUUAAAUGAUCAAUUUCUCACCUAAGCACAUUAAUGAGAACUAAAUGUUGAAGGUCCAUGCCUCCAUGUGGGGAGACCUUAAUUGCUACCUUAAAGGGGCAGUUUAAAAGUGGUCACAUCCUCUAUGCCAAGUUAGUAUUCCAAAAACUAAGAAAGUUAACCUUUGAGUUGAUGCUUAUUUGUUUGGUAGUUUCCUCAUUCUUCUUACUAACUUGACCUUUGAAGGCUCUAUGACUGUAAGGAGCCUAGAGUGGUCACUUUAGGUUCCUUAUUAUUGUAAGGUCCUAACCAUCCAUUGAAGUAAGAAAGUGAACUAAUACUUGGAAAAAUGGUGUCAUCUAUGGUGAAGAUACAAAAAUUCAGCUCACCAAAAAAUCUUAGUAAAGCUACUAAAAAACACCCCACCCCGAGGCAAGGACCUUCAUUUUAGUACUCCUUGAGGUCUACCCAAAUCAAAGACCCGACGUUGAAGAAAUGAAGUCAACUAAACUUAGUUCCAUGCAUGAUAAGGUUGAAAAGCCUGCAUAAAAACCUACAGAAAGCUUGCCUCUUUAUAAGAAUAACUUGAACAUAAAAAGGAAGAAGACCUAUAAAAGGAAAUCAUAAACAACAAAGAAAAAGAAGUUUUUCCCUCCUUUGAAAAAGCUUUCUGUGAAUGCAAAAACCUAUUUUUUUUUUUUUUAUCAAGAAACCUUCCUUUGUAUCCAAAAAUUGGUGGAAUAAAAAUUUUUAAUUACAUAUGAAGAGUUUUAGCUUCUUCAUAUGGGAAUGCAUUAAAAGCCUUGAAGACAUUGUUUAGAUCUAUAGCAACGGUUAGGCAAUAGAAGACUAUGUAAUAGAGUCUUGGUAGGAAAAUGUAAUCAUGAUAGAAAUGAAGUGGAGCAAUGAGUGAGAGCAAACCAUUCAAUAAAUGAAGAAGCUCACUAAAAGAAGCAAUCGACUCAUUCAAGAAAAUGUUGCCUUCAAGGUAAGGGUAAACAAAUGCCAAUGUGAUUUUGACUAGGAACUCUCAUUGGUAAGCACCAAUAAGAUGCAAGUUAAUGAAUAAUAGUUAUCAAAGCAAUUAGACCAACAUAUAGAUUAAAUUGGGAGAGAAAGGUGAAGCAAACCUUAAUUAAACUAACCAAAUAGACCACCUUGCCAGAGGUCCCAAUGCUCUAAGGGCUUCUUACCACUAAAGCUACCACAAAAUGCAUAAUCUUAGUGGAUAAGGCGAUUGAGGCUAAGUCCCUUUAGGAGGAGGAGGAGGCCACAUGAGGGUUUUCCCUCCCUAAGUUUAAUUUCUUUCAAUGAAACUAAAGGCACUCUAGAUAACUCAUGCAUUUCUAUGCAUAUGAUGAUCUUAGAGAAGGGAAAUGAUCGACUUUUAUGCAAAAUCUUCUCCUUCAUCCUCCAAGGACUAACUUUGUAUUGUUUUAUCAACUUACCUUAGAGUUUGUUCCUGAUAUUGAGACCCUAAGGGCGAUGUCUGCCUCCUAGUACAUGCACUUAACAAGACAAAAGAAAAGCCUCAAAUAACCCAAGGUAGUUAUAGCUACCAUCCAUGGUGGCUCAUCUACUAGAUUUGAGUAACUAGACAGGGUAUCAAGAUGUUACAGAAGCAUAUGGCGAUUGAAGCAAAAGUCCUCACAUCCUUGCAUGAAGCAACUACCACUUGUCCAUAUGUCAUAUGCUUCUCUAAUAAAGACUUAAAAGGAGUCCAAACCCUGCCCAAGAUCCAUUGGUUAUUACUUUAAGAAUUAUUGAAUACAACAUGCACCUAUUCUUAGUUGACCUAACAAGUUUAGUUAACUUGCUAAAUAUAUUAGCCCAUAUAUGAACAAAUGAAUAUGGACGAAGGAAAACUAGUUUCAAGUCUUGGGUCAUUAGUGGGACUAGACAAAGUCCUAUGUGGCUCAACUAGGGAAGCAGCUCUAAUGGUUUCAAUUAGUUGUUGCCAUAUAAUGACACAAUUCUUUGUUAUGGAUAUCCUUUUCCCGAUAAUGCCAUUAUGGGAUGAACAUGGAUAUACAACCACAGAGGAACACUAUUCACAUACCAUCAUACAAUUAAAUUCCUAACACUACAAGGAAUAUGGGAAAUAUAUCGGGACUAGGUGGCAACAUGAGUAUGCUACACCAUACCCCUUAAAGCAGUCAACAAGUGCAUCAACCAGGACCUUUAGGAAGUUCAUAAAUCAAAACUCAAAUACAAAUUAGUAGGUGACCCAAGAAAGCAAUUAGAGAACCUAUGGAUUCAUUAUUUGAAAGCCCCUAAACCUAGGAGGUUCCUUCUAGUCCAUGUAAAAAAAAAAAAAAAGGUUUAAGAUGGCUACUAGAAAAAAACACAUCUUUGCUAGGAAACUACAGGACAUCAUGGGCAUUGAUCCCCAAGUCACAUGUCAUCGACUCAACAUAAACCCUAGUGUUUAGCUCCUUAAAAACAUUAGAUUGUGAAAGAAAUGGUAUUUAGGCUCUUAGAUGCUAGAUUUGGUCAUCUAGGUCUUUUAACAACAAAUAGAAGUCAGUAUGCUAGUUUACAUUAAUAACAUGUUAGUAACAAGUAAGAAGAGGAAUGAGUACCUGAUUGACCUCCUAAGAACAUUUCAAACUCUUAGAAAUUACUAAAUGAAGCUAAAUUAGUGAAGUGCACCUUCAAAUGUAGGGUAUGGAAAGUUCCUUAGGUACUUGGUUACAUACAAAGGAAAAGAAGCUAACCCAAACAAAAUAAAAUCAACUUUGGAGAUACCAAUGACCAAAAGGGUUGGAGAAGUCCAAAAGCUCACUAACAAGAUUGGUUCUUGAAAUGGAUUUAUAUAUUGGACAAAAAAUAUAUGUCCUCCUUUAUUUGACAUUAGCAAGAAGGGAAAAUGGACUAAAGGAACCAAAAAAUGCAACUAAGCCUAUGAAUCACUAAAGCAUUACAUGAUGCUAACCUUCACUUUGGAUAAACCUUAGGAUAAGGAGGUCUUACAAGGUCUCAUUAGUAGUAGUAAGUGGAGUGUUAUCUCAAAAAAAAAAAAAAAAAGGAAAAGAGGAGCAACCAAUGUACUAUGUCUAAAAGGCCCUCUUAGAUGUGGAAACCUGAGAUACAUAUAAAUAUUGAAAAACCGAUGCUUGCCCUUUAGAUUGCCACAUUGAAGCUUCAAUGUUACUUCCAAGUGCAUGUUAUUAAGGUAAUGACAAAGUGAUGAGAACUCAAACUUAAUACUUUAAUGGCUUUAAAGAGCCCACUUUAGUGUGUUUGAGGUACCAAAAAAUUAACCCAAGGUUUUGUUUUUUUUUAUAAUACCUUAGAAAAUUAUGUUUGAUGCAUUCUAUGACCAUUCUACAUUCUUUAAGGUGUUUUUUUGUUAGGAUAGAGUCCUUAAAAGUAUGAUAUGAUGUAAUAAAUUUGGAAUUCAAUAUUUAUUUAAUGAUGUUCUAGUUUCACUUUUAUCUAUCCUUAUUCCAUGUAUUGUACUUUAUGAGCAUUCUUAUCUACAUUUUUUGCAUUGCAUGUGACUUAAGUGCAUUAGGAGUUGCACAGAAGAUCUAAGUCAUGGGUUCCUUGCAAAUAGAUUACUUGUUCACAUUCAGUUCAUGGGCGUAGGCAAACCAUUAGAGGUUGCAAUGCGCCACCUCCUAAUUGGAGGGAUGGUUGGUCUUGACUAUUGGGAUGAGUUUUCCAUGAUGAGUGCACUAGUGUGUAUGGUUGCACAUUGAACAGGACCUAUGGUGAUUUAUGACUUAAACCUAUCGAGUAGUCAUGACUCCAUUGAGCUACUUCAUUGUAUUAUCUCUCAAACUUGAGAGAAUAUUGAGUUUGUGCUAAAGUUAAUAGUGGCUUUGGCUUAUAAGUGAGGUCGUAAGCUGAUCAUAUAUUCCCUAUGGAUCAGGUCACUAUUGAUGGAAGUCGAUAGCAAUGGGUAUUCUUAAUAAAGGCACCAUGAUAUCUAUUGGGAUUGAGAUAGUGUGUCCCUUGGGUGAUCUUAAGGAAGUGUGUUCAUGGAAACUUUGGCUAUAGUAGUUCCUUAAGUGGAAUUUGACAUAGACUCUUUGAGAGCUAAGAUAUGUUAAUUAAACACACAAUAGGAAGAUCUGUAACUCAAGGAUGGUAGAAGUAGUCUUGAAAGGCUGAUAGCUUUCACCUUGUUAGACUAUGAACACCAAUUCAUAGGGAGAUUAAACACAAUGGACAGUAGGUCAUGAACCCAAGCACUUAGUGUCUCCGUUGUUAUUUACAUAAGAUACCGGAGUUCAUUUGAUUCUUUGUAGUGGGAUGUUGAAUCAACUUUAAAAUUGGACUAUAAGGGAGCUAGUAUUCCUGUAGGUCCUAGUGGUCCUCGCUAUAAGCUCAUAUUCCUUGUUACAUGGGUAAUGAGGGUUGGAUUGACUUUAGGUUCACUUUUGUGCAUAAGGGCAUUUUGGUAAUUAUGCAAGGUUGUAUAGGAGUAAGUCAUCAAGGUCUCUGAACUGGGCUAAUUGAUUAAUUAGUAGGCCCUAUUGGGUUAGUUAAUCAAUUAGAACCCAUUUUAAACUAGAUUAAGUGACUUCAACCCAUGUGGGCUCAAGUCACUUAAGUCCACUUAGAAACCCUAUAAAUAACCCCUAGGGGUUAGGGUUUCCAUAACUUUUGUCUUCCAUCAUCCAGAGAGAUAGAGAGCCAUAGCCUCCACCAUUUUUUCCUCCUUAUCGAAAGUGUUCCAAGAUCAAGGUUCGAGUCAUUUGGCAAAAGACUUCGGGUUUACGAGACUUCUAUGAUUUCAAUUUUCAUCUUCACCAUGUGGAUUUGAUUCGGGAACACCUAAAUCUAAUGUAUGGUUUUCUUUAGCACUUUUUGAAUCCUUUUUAAGUAUAAAAAUGUUAUUUUUCCAUUGUGCAUAAGAUUUAGAAAAAGCCUAAGAUAGUUAUGCAUGUUCCUAACUUGAUCCGGACUUGGGAAAUGGAGAGAGAUUCGGGUUUUUCCCAUCAUUUUUGGUGCAAUAGAACCUUGUUAGGAAAUCAUAUAGACAAAAAUGCCUAAGUAAGGAGGAAACAUAGAUUGCACACCUAAAAGGUGUGCAAGACUUAAUCAUGCAAUUCUUUCUUAGUGUAAAGCCACAUAGUGCACCUCCCAUGUAUACCUUAAAGACCAAACACACAAGAUCUCUCUAAUGCAUUGGACCAAAUUUCACACCCUAUUCAAGCAACCCAAUCUGCAAACCUCUUAAGUGCUUUAAGCUAAGAUGUUGUGCACCCCCUUACUUGAGUCAACAAGAUGUGUAGUAGUGCAGCCCCUUGAUGUCAUCUAAAUUACAAACCAUUCUUACCUCUACAAUAGCUAAGUACUUAAUAAUUCUUCUAAUGAUUGGCUUACACACCAAAGUAGUAUGUUGUUUAUACCUCAAAGUCUUCAAUUGUACUACCUAAACGUACCUAAGCCAAAUUACAUAGAGAAAAAGAUGCAACUACCGACCAUAAGCUAACACAUCAAGAAUGAUGGCGGGUUGAUUGCAAUGACAAAGGACUUGACCCUUAAUAUAAGAAGAGACAAGUCUUGAGGAGGGGGGGACAAGUUUUGCCUAUAAAUGGAGGAUUGUGAAUAUACAAGUGGAAGCAAAUUAUAGAAAGUGAAAUUGUAGAUAAGUUUUUUCUGCUUGUGGGAACAAAAGUAGGAAUAAGAAUAACUUAAUGUAAUUUUAGUUUUUAAUUUUCCACUGUAAUCUUUUCUUUUCAUUAUAAAUGUUCCCUAAUUUCUAGUUUAAUGAGUUUUCUAGUCUUUUUAAUUAACAUCACAUUUCAGUUUUUCAAUUUCAACUUACAAAUUUGCAUUUUUAGUUCUUUACUUAAUUUUAACAUGCUUAGAUAACCUUUAACACUCUAAGGGGUGAGAGGAGCUCAAGUCUCCCAUAUCUUAGUUUAGCUCUCUAUUGGUUUAUCUGUGCAUUAGUUACAAGCAAUAUGAUCUCUAUUAGUAAUUAUAAUGACCAAAAGAAGUAACCAUGGGGAGAAAAGUCUAUGUUGCAUUGGUUGUGAGCGUUGUAAGUCAAGCAACCUUGGAAGCAUACUUAGGCAUUGUUUUAAUGAUUCUUUCAACUAAGUAUAGGCCUAUUGACAUGAAAAGAAUUUAUCUAAAUCAUUUGGUUAUAAGGAUAUUAAAAAAAAAAAAAACAAUUAGAGGGAGAUGAACGUUAUUAAGGUGGUUCUUGUUCAUUUGAAGCAGGAAACCUUUUUGGUAUAAAUCCUUGCUUUGACCCUAAAUCUGAAAGCAUAAGUUCAAAGCCUUGUUGGUGAGUUGUAUCUAAAAGUGGUGAUCCUAGUGAAUCUCUAGGUUUGAGGUUUUCUUUCCUUUAAUUUUCUAUCUUUUAAACUUUGUGUGUGUAUGUCUAUUUUAUUUAUAAAAUCAUUUUUCUAAUCUUUUAGCUAACAUUCACACCCCUAAAGCUAUUACCUUAGUUGCUACCAAUUAAAGUUCCUUGUGGAGGCAACCUAACAAUUAUAAAAUUAUUAAUUUUAUUUUUUUAUUUUUGGUUAAGGAGUUGAAAGUUUCAAUGAAUGAUCAAGUUUAAUUUCUCUUUGUAAAACUUAACUAUUAAAUAUAUUUCCUAGUUUUGAUAAAAGAAAUGAAUUAGAGAAUGACAAACCAAAAAUUAGUGUCGUCACUAGGGUACUUUCAACAUUGAUGACUCUAAAGGUAUUUUUGUGUAUAUGCUUGUUGUUUUAGAAGCUUAACAAGUAUAUUUCACCCACUCCCCACCUCUCUUUUAGUUGGAUUUUUUUCUUUUUUUACAUAAUUUUUUUUCUUUGGAUUUUCUUUUUCUACUCAGUUAGCAUUUUCAAUUGUUAAAUCCAACAUUUCCAGCAUUUUCUUUAAAGUGAUAUGAUGUAUUAGGGAAAUGAUUUUAAAGGAAGGGAACUAAGAGUGCAUUUGGGAGCGAUUCUACAAAGCAUUUCUAACAUUUCUAACACUUGAGUGAUAAAAAUUUUCAAGUAUUAUGAAUAUUAAAAGUGUUUCCUAGAAUCACUUCCAAAUAGGUUCUAAGUAAUCAACUAGAAGAAACAAUUUUAGAGGAAGGACACUAAGUAAUUAACCAAAAAAAAGUGAUUUUAGAGGAAGGACACUAAGUAAUCAACCAACCCCUAGUUAUCCUUUUCCUCAACACACCAAACCACCACCGUCUCAUAUCUAUUUUCCAAAUUCAACUAUUGGUGGUACUAAUAGAAGUGUGAUGAAUGGGGGUUUUAACCCCAAUAACUAGCCACCUAAGACCAUGAGGGAUUACCUAGUCGGGCCAAUGCUCCUUUUUGCUUGAUAUUUUUUUUUACGCUUUUCAAAUAAACAUUGAGCUUGAAAUGAUCCAAUUUCUAUCUCUAUUUUAUGGAAGGGAGGACGAAAAUCCUUUUUCUUAUUUAAAAGAAUUUGAAUAGGUAUGGUUUAUUUUGGUAGAACUGGAUUUGAUAUCUCUAUUUUAUGAGCCUUCAUGAAACCUGGAUCAUUCGAAACUCAAGGUUUUCUUUUUUCAUUAAAGAAAGAGGAUAAGCAUUGGUGGUAUAGCAUGAGACUCUAUAGGAUAAGUUCUUAGGAUACUUGAUAAAAUAUUUUUUUCACAAAUUUAUUUUGGUAUAUAAAAUUGUUUCCUUUGAAAGACAAAUUAAAAUUUUUUGUUUUAUAGAGAAUGAGACUUUUCAUCAUUGUUAUGAUUAAUUUAAAGCUUUUUUGUUUAACUUCCUUACCAUAGUUUUGAAAACUCAAGGAUUGCUUCUUCUUUUUAAAGGGGACCAUCCCCCUAAAUGAAAUAAUUUGUUGAAAACAUGACUGGUGGGUACUUUAUACAGGAGAAACCAAAAGAAGCACUUAAGCAUUUAAAAUUGCUUGCUGAAAAAUCAAGGGUUUGGGACCCCUUAGUCCUCAAGUGCAUCUUCUAGAACGUGAAAGCCAACCCCAACAACAUCUAAUCUCUCAUCUCAUCUCUCAAUUUAUCAUUUCCCCUUAGAACAAGAGUUUUGACGAAGAUGAUUUUUGGAUGCUGUAAGAGGACGAAGCCACUGAAGUUAAGGAAAAGGAAACUGUGUACAUAGCAGUUGAAAAGAAUUUGAAGAGAACUUCCAACAGGUUGCAAAUAAGGUUAUAAGCUGCAUUUUUUCUUCUUUUCCAAAAAAAAAAAAAACCAAAGAUAGAAAAAGAAAUCCGUAAAGAGCAAGAAACAGAGGAGGAGUGGAGCAAUGUAUUGCAUGAUCACACCUACUUUAUUUGUUUCUCAAUUCCCUUCUCUUUGCAACCCAAAAAUGUUGAUCUUCAAGGUAUCAUCAGAGGGCUUCUCAAUAUCUCUUCUAAUGAAAGUGGCUCUUAACUAGAGGGGAGGGCAUCCCAAAAAUUUUAGGAAACCAUGAAGAAAAAUUUAUCAAAGUGGAUGCUUCCAAUCUACCUGUGGGAAGCAAAGAAAAAGUGAACCAUUGGCUAGCUAGAAGCUAGCCAAAAACUUGUAAAUAGCUUUCAUUUUUUUUUUUCUUUAUUAUUUUUGUUUUUAUUGCUUUGGCCAAUUUAGUGUGUAGGAGCACCAUCAUUGUGAAGCCUAUAAUAUUAUGUUCUCAGUCCACUCAAUACAUUUGGGUAACCUUUAUCAUCUCAUAAGAACUCAAGUAUAAAUUUCUCUAUACUCUAUUGGUUUUAUCAUACUUCAGAGUAGGUGUAAAUUGUUAGCACCAGGAAAGUGUAGGACAUAUAGGAAUUGCGCACUUUUGAGGUUUGCUAACCCAACUUGUAUGAUGACUUAAAUUACGUAUCUGUAGAGCAUAACUCAAAUUGUACACUUUGAAAGCAUGACUGAAAUUCCACACCCUAAGAGAUUAAUUUAAACGGUGCAUCCAAAGGAGCGCAACCAAAAAUUGCACACCUUUAAGUGCGCAAUCAUUUCCCAAGGGAUGCCUACUUAUUCUCUUUUGUAUUAUUGUCCAAGCACGCCAUCCAUAAUAAAAAUCUUUAUUCUCUUAUGUAAACUUUUUGGAAGAAAAAUGCCUUCCCAAAUAAAACCAUAAUUGCUUAGAGACUUUUGUCCACCCCACCAUCAUAUCAAUUGAGGUAACCGAGAAGUCUUCUAAGUUUUAUAUAAAAGAAGUAAUUUUCACUAAAGUAGUCACUGCAAUAAAUACUAAAAUAAUCCAACGAAGCAUUCAGUGGAAUGAGCAUAUUAUAAAAUUGUACAUGGGAACCCGACAGUAAUUCAUAUCAAGAAAGUAGAUAGGGGAUAGUAAAUAUAGCUCACCAUGAAACCCCACCAUUAGAGCUCUGUACAGAAGUUCGAAUCCAGGCUUGUCUGCGAAAGGACUUGGAUCUACAUCAUCUCUGGUGACGCUUAAUAAAUAUGAAGUCAGCUCUUUAUGACCAUACCUAACAGCGCUGUGAAGAGGCGCAAAAUUGUGGCGUUGGCAGAUAUUGGGCAAGCUUGGGUUUCUGUUCACUAACAACUUGACUGCUUUUAUAUUGCCAGCCCUUGCAGCGUUGAAAAGGGUAGUGGCGCCAUCAGAAUCCCGCAGAGCCAGUGCCUCACUUGGCAUAAACUCAACGAACUUCUCCACGAAAUCCAUUCUGGCCUCUCCUAACUCAACUGCUAUGUGAAGCAUUGGGGAAUCAUCUGUUCCAAUCGGGGCGGAGAAUGAUUUGGGAUCAUCCGCCAAUAAUUUUGAAGCACUUUCCCAGUCACCAUUGAGCACAGCUUUGUACAGUUCCAAGUAAUAGAAUUCUGCAGUCACAAAACCAAAAGAUGUAUACCUCGCAGAGAAGAUACUCUCAUCCAAAGAGAAACAACAGCAGCCCCUUUUUCCCAGAGUCUUCAAAAGAUACAGGAAAUGGGCCAGGAACCAUUGAAGCAUAAGAGGUGCAAUGAUAGAGUCUUCCAAGUCAACUUUAUUUAGUUGAGUAUUGGGUCAGGAGUAGAUAUAGCGUUGAAACGUUAUGACUGGUGGAUGAUAGUCAUUCAAAAUAAACAAAGAAAAUUAGGGGGUAACUUUGAGCCGUUUGUUUUCGCAUGAUUUCUUCUGACUCUGUUGCUGGGCAUAGACCUCGACUGCCAUACAAGCACAGUCACCAGCGGCUGCCGUGGGAAUUAAUCCUAUGCACCACACAUUGCUAUGAUAGUUUACAAUAACUAAUUAUAUAAAAUCUGUUAAAAUAUUUUAUAUAAUUAACUUUUUGGAAUUUUUUUUUUAUCAAGUAGUAAAAUAAAGAAAAUUUAGGAAAAAAAUAUUUUUGAAAAAUGAUAAGUUUAAAAAAACGAUAAAGUUUUUGUAAAAUAUAGAAAAGGAUACAAGGCUAUUAAAUCAUAAUUAUAUGAUAACCUUUUAGUAUUUCAAUCUUUGAAUUUUUUUUGGAGAUUAUUUCCAUAAAUUCCACAUUCCAAAAACAAUGAUAAUCUUUACACAAUAUUAUUGUCAUAAAAAAUAAAAUUUUUUAAAAAAAUUAGAGAUUACAAAGAAUAUAAGGAUACGAAGAAUGUGAGAAUUGUCAUAUUUUUCGUACCCUCCUCACAUUCUUCAUGGCCCAACCCAUUUGAAUUUUUUUAUUUUUUUAUUUUUUUCAAACAUUAUUUACUUCACUUGCAAGUGUAAUUAGUGUUUUUACACAAUAUUAUUGUCAAAUGAAGUAAACAAAAAAAUCCUUAUUCUCUUAUGUAAACUUUUUGGAAGAAAAAUGCCUUCCCAAAUAAAACCAUAAUUGCUUAGAGACUUUUGUCCACCCCACCAUCAUAUCAAUUGAGGUAACCGAGAAGUCUUCUAAGUUUUAUAUAAAAGAAGUAAUUUUCACUUCCUUUUGCAUGCACUCAAACAAGAACACACACAAUAACGCAACAUGAAAACUCCAAAGAAUCUUAAAACCAAAACACUGAGCCUAAAUAAGAUAAGGAAGUGAGAUAAAAAUGAACAAUCAAGCCAAUUUGUUGAAGUCAAUAGGCACAAUACUAAAAUAAUCCAACAAGCAUUCAGUGGAAUGAGCAUUUGGACAGAAAGGGAACACAUUAAAUUUAAAAGCACUUGAAGCUAGCAAUGGGUGAUAUUGAUAUUUUUGGUCAAUCUCACCCUCAGUGCAGAAUUCCAAAUUGUUUCCAACUUUUCUGUAAUAUUUUUCUUACAUUUUUAUAUUAUCCAAAGACAGAAAAUUAAUUAUUCCUUUCAAGUUUUUUUUUUCUUUUUUAUUUAUAGGACAUAGCUAAACAGGAUUAGCAUAAAAGAAAAUAACUUGACUUAUAAACAAAAGCAAAGGAGAUGCAAUGGCAAACACAAAGCAAUUUAAAAGGGGCAAGCAGUAAAGAAACUAACAAUGAUAUAUUAUGAGUUGCCAUAAGUUGAAGCGACUUCCACUUGGGAAAGCCCAAGGCCUUUUAGCCAAUACUGUCAAAGGGGCAAAAUCCUCAUCAGAAUCAUUAGCAUCAUCGUGGCGGGCGGAAUCGAAAUGGCAUGUGGCAAGGUCAGGAUAACGUUCAACCAGAUACAGUGCUACAUCUGCAUAUUAUAAAAUUGUACAUGGGAACCCGACAGUAAUUCAUAUCAAGAAAAUAGAUAGGGGAUGGUAAAUAUAGCUCACCAUGAAACCCCACCAUUAGUGCUCUGCGCAGAAGUUCGAAUCCAGGCGAAUUUGAGAAAGGAUAUGGAGGUUCAUUAUCUCUGGUGACGCUUAAUAAAUAUAAAGUCAGCUCUUUAUGACCAUACCUAACAGCGCUGUGAAGAGGCGCAAAAUUGUCGCGUUGGCAGAUAUUGGGCAAGCUUGGGUUUUUGUUCACUAACAACUUGACUGCUUUUAUAUUGCCAGCCCUUGCAGCGUUGAAAAGGGCAGUGACGCCAUCAGAAUCCCGCAGAGCCAGUGCCUCACUUGGCAUAAACUCAACCAACUUCUCCACGAAACCCAUUCUGGCCUCUCCUAACUCAACUGCUAUGUGAAGCAUUCGGGAAUCAUCUGUUCCGAUCAGGGCGGAGAAUGAUCGUGGAUCAUCCUUCAAUAAUUUUGAAGCACUUUCCCAGUCACCAUUGUGUUGGGGAUAAAUGUAUGCCCAAGAUCCAAUCUAUCAUGUAAUCAACUUUAGUUUUAAUAAGGUAUUAAUUCUUUAUUUCAUUAUCAUAUCUGUUUAAAAUAGUUUAUAUGAUAAGGUCCUUGAUUAAAAUUUGAAAAUUGUUAUCAUGAUAGAGAUUAUGAUAAUGAGAAGCAAUUCUUUUAAUAAUUUUAAUCUAAACUGUUCUUGAUCAUAGGAUUAUUGUCAACAGGACAUCAAUAAUCCAGAUAGAUCAAUAUAUAUGUGAUGGUCUUUAUUGGAUAAAGAUUGAUAUAUCUCAUUUGUUAAAUUACAUAUAUAGAUGAUGCACAUGUAGAUGUGAUCAUUGAACUGACUCAACUGAGAAUUUCUAAUGGUCAUCUUUACCUUAAAUUGUCAAUAGGAAUUUCUCAAGAAGAAAUAUAAUAGUUUUCUUUGACCUGAGAUUAUCAAAGUAAUUAACAAGUUAUUUAUUAUAUUUUAAUCCCGGACACCUAAUGCCUUAGGGCACUAGUUGAAUGGAUAUUGGAUAUAAUUAAAUACUUGUAGAAUUAAUGAUUAAUCAAGAAGGAAUCCAUCAACUCGUGGUAAUGAGUUUGAGCUCUAUGAUAAAAAUAAGACCUUGGCCAAGGGCAAUUGAAUGAAUGAAGAAAUGAGUUUCUUAAGUUAUUCACUAAAUAAAUAAUGUGCUGACUUAUUAGAGUUUGACAGUAAUACCAUACUCUAGAGUUAGCCCAGAGCUGUGAAUGAUGGAAGGAAAUAUUACAUUAUUCUUCUACCGGUUCUUGAAAGUAAAAGAUAUUACUUCAUACUAUCUGGACGUUAAGGAGUGUUGCUAGAUGCCUACCUUAAUUAGUAAAUUGAUUUGAUUAAUUUACUACCAGCUUAGUAAUGAACCUACGGGGUUACACACAAACGAGUGUUUUAAUCUUUGCAAAGAACUAUUUAUUAUUAUUUGAUAAUUAAAUUAGAGAAUUUAAUUUUAAUCAAAUAAAUAAAUAUGUUCUAUGUGGAAUAUUAUUAUAUUCUUUGCUAGCACCAAGAAUAUAAUUAAUAUAUAGAUAAAAAAAUAAAAUAUUUUUCUUUGGACGUGGAAGUUAGUCCACGAGAAUGUUUGCUAAACAUUUGCAAACAUAUGGGUACAUGCAGCAACUUACAGGAGGGAUGUGGGUUUUGUUUUUAACUUACAAGACUUGGUCAAAGUGUUUUUCAAAUGCUAUUGAAAAUAGCAAAAGAAAAACAAAUGGACCAAUAGAAUCUCUUAGUAGCCCAAAAAAGAAGGAGGACACGAUAGAGAUAGAUUAAGUGAUAAAAUCAAAAAUCAAAUUAGUUGAGUUAUCUUAUCACUUAAAACAGAAGUUGUAUCGGAUAUGCUAUAUAGCAUAUAUACACAAUCUGAAUAAGGAUCGAUCUAUCUUUAUCCUCCUUGUUUUUACGCCAAAGAAAUACAAAGUGUUGUUCUAUUUUUUUUAAGUUCCGCGUAUCAAAGGGUUGAUAGCAAAGAUUAAUUUCGGUGUGGAUACACGUAGAGUCUUCAUACAAUUGGAGAAAAUUUUAUGCUUGAAGAACUGAUAUCCAGGUUAUUAUUUUAAAUUUUUUGAUAGCUGCAGUAUAUAUUUUGAAUGCAAAAUAGAUCAAUUUUCCGCUGUAUGUGUUAUAAAUUUAUUUUAUAACCUUUCAAUUGGUAUCAGAGCCAGGUUUAUUUUUGUGUUUAAAAUUAUACUACCAAUAUAAUUUUCGUGACGUGAAAGCUUUAUCCUCUGUUAUUGCUGUUCAUUAGACUGCAACAGUUGCAGAAGUAAAGAUUGAUGCGACAAUUGCUUAUUGCUUUUCUGUUGAUAUACGUGCCUAAUAGAUAUUUCAAAUUUAUAUUCACAUGCUGAAGUAUUACUUUUUGAAUUAUAUAUAUAUGUGAUCUUUUACUUUGAAUCCCGCAUGCAUAUAUAUUUUUAUAUGCUAAAGUCUUGUCAUGCUUUAUCAUUGUGAUAAGUAAAAGUUGAUUCAAAUAAAUGAUCCUCUGUCUUGCCAUUUAUCUAAUAUAAAAUAUAGUAAUAUAUAGUUGAUAUAUUUUGACUUACGUUUUAUUAAAACUAUUUGGCUUUAAUAUGAAUAUAUAAAUAUACAUGUACCUGGAGAGGUAUAAUUCAUUAUUGAUUUUGUUGAAUUAUUAUAUAUAGUGAUAUAUAUUAAUUCUUUGAUAGAUGAAUUCUAUUCAUGUAUAAUAAUGUGUUUAUGUAUAUUUGCAAGUUGUGUAAAUUUUUUAGCAUGUGAUGAAAUUUUUUUUAUUAAUAACAAGGAACGACCUGAUAACCAGGAGACUUGUAAUUAAUUACAGCAUGUAUGUUUAAAAUAAUUUUAUACUUAAUGUCUGGACUACCCAGAGAAGUAUUAAAUUAAAUUCAUAGAUAUUAAUAAGUUUGACCUGACAACCAGGAACUUAUGUAAUAUAUUAUUCUUUUGAAAUUGUAUGAGAUACAUUUUGUCUUAGAAUAUGUAUGAGAAACGACUUGAUAACCAAGUGGCUUAUUCAUAGUUUUAAGAAAUUAUAUAUGUUUUGACAUAAUUAUAUUUUAAUAUCCAGAAUGUCUUCCUUAUCACUCCGUUCCAUACUUGAAACUUCAAAAUUGGUUGGAGCCAAUUAUGAUGACUGGUACCGCAAUCUGAGAAUUGUUCUCAUGCAUGAAAAACUUAUCAAUAUAAGUGAUAAGCCUGCUAUAACUGCACCAGCUGACACAAAUCAUGCUGAAGCAACCAAGACCUAUCAAAAUACUUGGAAGAAUGUCUUUCUGCAAAAUGCAUAAUGCUAGCAUCCAUGAGUCCUGAACUUCAGAGGCAACAUGAGGAUAUGGAACCACCUGCAAUCAUCGAGCAUCUUAAGAAGAUGUACGGUGGACAAAGUAGGACAGCUAGAUACCAGUUAUCUAAGGCUUUGUUCAGGUCCUCAUUAGGUGUAAAUGCUCAAGUUGGACCCCAUGUUCUGAAGAUGAUUGAUCUUAUUGAACAACUUGAGAAGUUGGGGUGCACGCUUGGAAAGGAACUUUCUCAAGAUUUGAUUUUACAAUCACUUCCUGAUUCUUUGUCACAAUUCAUUGUGAAUUUCAACAUGAACAAAAUGAGUUGUGAUCUGCAUGAGAUGCUUAACUUGUUAAUUGAUUAUGAGAAUCAAGUUUCCUCUGAAAAGAAUAAAGGAAUUGUCAUGGUGGUUGGCAAGACUUCUAAGAAAAAGGGCAAAGGUAAAUAUAUACCAAAAAGGAAACCUCUUGGAACUAAGGGUGGUGUGACCAAACCCAAAUACAAGAAGGUUAAAACUGACCACAGUGAUGCUGAAUGCUUCUUCUGUAAAGAGAAAGGACAUUGGAAGAGAAACUGCAAGAAAUAUCUUGAUUCUUUGAAAAACAAGAAACAAGGUAAGACAUUAAUGAAAAAUGUUUUCAUGAUUUCUUUAACUGUCACAGAUUCUUCAACAUGGGUAUUAGAUACCGGUAGUAGUUUUAACAUCUACAAUAUGUUGUAGGGGCUGAAGAUAACUAGAUGGUUGAAGAAAGGAGAAAUCAACCUUCAAGUAGGGAAUGGAGCAAAUGUUGCCGCCUUAGCUUUAGGAUCAAUUUCUUUAAAUAUGCCCACUGGCAAAGUACUAGUGUUAAAUGAUUGUUAUUAUGUUCCGAACUUUGUUUCAAAUAUAAUUUCAAUUUCUAUGUUGGACAAGCGAGGUUUUCGCAUUAUUUUCAAUAAUAACAUUUGCUCAAUUUAUCAUGAUGAUGAUUUAUAUGUAAAUGGUUAUCUCCAACAUGGCAUUUAUGUCUUACCUGAUGUGAAUUAUAAUUCAGUUAUGCAUGUUUCUUCUAGUUUUAAAAGAAAAAGAGAUAGUCAAUUAAAUAAAACAUAUCUUUGGCACUGUAGGCUUGGUCAUGUUGGUGAGAAAAGAAUUAACAAGUUAUACAAGGAAGGUUACCUUGAUAAUUAUGAUUAUGAAUCAUAUAAAACUUGUGAAUCUUGUCUCAAAGGAAAAAUGACUAAAUCUCCAUUUAUUGGAACUGGAGAAAGAGCCUCUGAAUUAUUGGGACUAGUUCAUACAGAUGUUUGUGGACCCAUGAAAAUUCAAGCCAAAUGAGGAUAUUCUUAUUUUAUAACCUUCACUGAUGACAUGUCAAGAUAUGGUUUUUUGUAUCUCAUGAAACAUAAAUCUGAGUCAUUUGAAAUGUUCAAAAGGUUUCGCAGUGAAGUUGAAAAACAAACAGGUAACAGUAUCAAAGUGCUGAGAUCUGAUAGAGGAGGAGAAUAUCUCAGUGAAAAUUUUAUUGACUAUCUAAGAGAGAAUGGGAUUCUCUCACAGUGGACACCCCCAGGAACACCACAGCACAAUGGUGUAUCAGAAAGGAGAAAUCGAACCUUAUUAGAUAUGGUAAGAUCUAUGAUGAGGUUCACUGAUCUUCCAUUAAAUUUAUGGGGAUAUGCUUUAGAAGCAGCAGCUUAUUUACUAAACAAAAUCCAUACAAAAACAAUAUCUACAACUCCGUAUGAGAUAUGGAAAGGGCGUAAACCAAAUCUCAAACACAUUAAGGUUUGGGGUUGUCCAGCUUACGUUAAGAAAUUACAAACAGAUAAACUUGAGGCAAGGUCAGAUAAGUGUAGGUUCAUUGGGUAUCCCAAAGAAACAAUGGGAUAUUAUUUCUACCACCCUUUAGACCAUAAAGUGUUUGUGGCAAGAGGAGGAACCUUUCUAGAAAGGGAAUUUCUUGCAGAAGGGAGUCAUGGCAAAGAAAUAGAGCUUGAUGAAACUCAAGAAGAAACCAAUGAAACAACAGCAGCUCAAGAACAUGAGAUGGAAUUUGAGCAACCUUUCUUUGAUGUCUUAAAAUCAACACAAAGGUUACAAUCUCCAACAAUUGUGGCUCCAGAACCAGCUAUAGUUCAAGAACAAGUUAAUGAACCUGAACCAGCUGUAGUUCAAGAACAGGUUAAUGAACCAAUCUUAGAACAGAUUCAGCAACCUCUGAAUCCAAUACAUGAGCCUCUAAGAAGGUCUAGUCGAGCACAUCGUGCGCCGGAUAGACUAAACUUGAUGGUUCAAGAUGACUUGUCUAAUGAGGUUCAUCAUAAUGAUGAUGACCCUAAGAACUAUGAAGAGGCUAUGCAAAGCUUGGACCGCAAUAAAUGGCAAGAAGCCAUGGAAUCCGAAAUAGAAUCAAUGAAGAUCAACAAAGUAUGGACUUUGGUUGAAGCUUCAAAGGAUAUAAAACCAAUUGGUUGUAAAUGGGUUUACAAGAAAAAGAUUGGAGCAGAUGGAAAAGUUGAGACUUACAAAGCUCGCCUUGUUGCUAAAGGAUAUCGUCAAAAAGAAGGAAUUGAUUAUGAUGAAACUUUUUCCCCAGUGGCAAUGCUCAAAUCAAUUCGGAUUCUACUUGCCAUAGCAGCAUACUAUGAUUAUGAAAUAUGGCAAAUGGAUGUGAAAACAGCUUUUCUUAAUGGUGAGUUGAAAGAGGAUGUAUACAUGACACAACCUGAAGGAUACACAUCAAUGUCUGAUCAUAAUAAAGUUUGCAAGUUGCGACGAUCCAUUUAUGGAUUAAAACAAGCUUCAAGAAGUUGGAACAUACAUUUUAACAAGACAAUCGAAAAGUUCGAUUUUGUUAAAUGUGAAGAAGAACCUUGUGUGUACAAAAGGUUUAGUGGGAGCACAAUCAUUUUCUUAGUGUUAUAUGUAGAUGACAUAUUGCUUAUAGGAAAUGAUAUACCAGCAAUGCAAGGGACAAAGGUUUGGCUAUCAGAACAGUUCUCCAUGAAAGAUUUGGGAGAAGCAGCCUAUAUUCUAGGAAUAAAGAUUUAUAGAGAUAGAUCUAAAAGGUUGCUUGGACUAUCCCAAUCCAUGUACAUUGAUACCAUCUUAAAGAGGUAUAAUAUGGAAAACUCCAAAAGGGGCUAUUUACCAAUAGGAACUGGAGUUACUCUUAGUAGGGAGGAUUGUCCUAAAACUCCUAAAGAGAGAGAACGCAUGAAUAGGGUACCAUAUGCUAGCGCAGUGGGAGCUAUUAUGUAUACCAUGACUUGUACACGUCCUGAUGUCGCUUAUGCACUAAGUGUAGCUAGUCGAUAUCAGGCAAACCCUGGUGAGGAACAUUGGAAAGUGGUCAAGACCAUUCUUAAAUACUUAAGAAGAACUAAAGACCAAUUCCUUAUCUAUGGAGAAUCUGAAUUAAAAUUAAAGGGUUAUACUGAUGCAAGUUUUGCAUCAGAUAAAGAUGAUAGCAAAUCUAUUUCAGGUUAUGUUUUCACCUUAAAUGGUGGUGCAGUGAGUUGGAAAAGCUCCAAACAAGCUACAGUAGCAGAUUCAACUACUGAAGCCGAAUAUAUAGCAGCAAGUGAGGCAGCUAAGGAAGCAGUUUGGAUGAAGAAGUUCAUAUCUGAACUUGGUGUGGUUCCUUCAAUUGAAGAACCAAUUCCACUGUUAUGUGACAAUAAUGGAGCAAUUGCUCAAGCAAAGGAACCAAGAUCACACCAAAAGUCUAAACAUGUCUUGCGAAUGUAUCACUUGAUUAGAGAAAUCAUUGAACGUGGUGACGUUAAGAUUGAAAAGAUAGAUGGAAAAGAGAAUGCGGCAGACCCAUUUACCAAAGCACUUGGCAUAACGCAGUUUGACAAGCACAAAUGGGAAGUGGGAAUGAAAUACAUGACUGAUUGGCUCUAGUGCAAGUGGAAGAUUGUUGGGGAUAAAUGUAUGCCCAAGAUCCAAUCUAUCAUGUAAUCAACUUUAGUUUUAAUAAGGUAUUAAUUCUUUAUUUCAUUAUCAUAUCUGUUUAAAAUAGUUUAUAUGAUAAGGUCCUUGAUUAAAAUUUGAAAAUUGUUAUCAUGAUAGAGAUUAUGAUAAUGAGAAGCAAUUCUUUUAAUAAUUUUAAUCUAAACUGUUCUUGAUCAUAGGAUUAUUGUCAACAGGACAUCAAUAAUCCAGAUAGAUCAAUAUAUAUGUGAUGGUCUUUAUUGGAUAAAGAUUGAUAUAUCUCAUUUGUUAAAUUACAUAUAUAGAUGAUGCACAUGUAGAUGUGAUCAUUGAACUGACUCAACUGAGAAUUUCUAAUGGUCAUCUUUACCUUAAAUUGUCAAUAGGAAUUUCUCAAGAAGAAAUAUAAUAGUUUUCUUUGACCUGAGAUUAUCAAAGUAAUUAACAAGUUAUUUAUUAUAUUUUAAUCCCGGACACCUAAUGCCUUAGGGCACUAGUUGAAUGGAUAUUGGAUAUAAUUAAAUACUUGUAGAAUUAAUGAUUAAUCAAGAAGGAAUCCAUCAACUCGUGGUAAUGAGUUUGAGCUCUAUGAUAAAAAUAAGACCUUGGCCAAGGGCAAUUGAAUGAAUGAAGAAAUGAGUUUCUUAAGUUAUUCACUAAAUAAAUAAUGUGCUGACUUAUUAGAGUUUGACAGUAAUACCAUACUCUAGAGUUAGCCCAGAACUGUAAAUGAUGGAAGGAAAUAUUACAUUAUUCUUCUACCGGUUCUUGAAAGUAAAAGAUAUUACUUCAUACUAUCUGGACGUUAAGGAGUGUUGCUAGACGCCUACCUUAAUUAGUAAAUUGAUUUGAUUAAUUUACUACCAGCUUAGUACUAAACCUACGAGGUCACACACAAACGAGUGUUUUAAUCUUUGCAAAGAACUAUUUAUUAUUAUUUGAUAAUUAAAUUAGAGAAUUUAAUUUUAAUCAAAUAAAUAAAUAUGUUCUAUGUGGAAUAUUAUUAUAUUCUUUGCUAGCACCAAGAAUAUAAUUAAUAUAUAGAUAAAAAAAUAAAAUAUUUUUCUUUGGACGUGGAAGUUAGUCCACGAGAAUGUUUGCUAAACAUUUGCAAACAUAUGGGUACAUGCAGCAACUUACAGGGGGGAUGUGGGUUUUGUUUUUAACUUACAAGACUUGGUCAAAGUGUUUUUCAAAUGCUAUUGAAAAUAGCAAAAGAAAAACAAAUGGACCAAUAGAAUCUCUUAGUAGCCCAAAAAAGAAGGAGGACACGAUAGAGAUAGAUUAAGUGAUAAAAUCAAAAAUCAAAUUAGUUGAGUUAUCUUAUCACUUAAAACAGAAGUUGUAUCGGAUAUGCUAUAUAGCAUAUAUACACAAUCUGAAUAAGGAUCGAUCUAUCUUUAUCCUCCUUGUUUUUACGCCAAAGAAAUACAAAGUGUUGUUCUAUUUUUUUUAAGUUCCACGUAUCAAAGGGUUGAUAGCAAAGAUUAAUUUCGGUGUGGAUACACGUAGAGUCUUCAUACAAUUGGAGAAAAUUUUAUGCUUGAAGAACUGAUAUCCAGGUUAUUAUUUUAAAUUUUUUGAUAGCUGCAGUAUAUAUUUUGAAUGCAAAAUAGAUCAAUUUUCCACUGUAUGUGUUAUAAAUUUAUUUUAUAACCUUUCACAUUGAGCACAGCUUUGUACAGUUCCAAGUAAUAGAAUUCUGCAGUCACAAAACCAAAAGAUGUAUACGUCAGCCUAGAUUUCCCUAAUAUGUAUAUUUCUUCAACGUUCACAAUGUCCUAAUACUAAAAUUAUUUUUAAAAAAUAAAUCAUUUAAGUUAUGUUUGGUUCUUAGAAAAUUUGACAAAAAAAUAGAGGGGAAAGAAAAGAAAGUAAAUUGAAAAAAUAGAAGGCAAGAAAAAGUGAAAUAAAAUACAUCUAAAAUCAAUAAAUUAAUUAUUUUUAAUUAAUUUAUUUUAAUUAUAUUUUAUUUUCUUAAAUAUUUUUUUUCGAUAUAACCAAAUACGGGAAAAUCAUUUUCCUUGAUAUCUUUUCUUUGCUAAUUAUUUUCUUGGACUUCUUUGUUUACAUCUAAUCAACAUCUUUAUAUAUUUCAAUAAUAGUUUGAACCUCCAAUAAACUACACGAAUUAAAAUUUAAUUUUCUUCCAUUUUUUAUUUUAACAGCAGGUUGUAAAAUACUUCUACUUGUAUACUAAUUAUGCCCAAAAGUUUCAGGAGGACCUCAAACGGAAAUGGGCAUGAACAUGGUUUUCAGCAUCUCACCGGAGCUGCUAGUCCUUCGCAAAGAUGAAGAUGAAACCACUGAAACAUAUUCAUUGGUAUGGUGUGCCGUGUCGAUGGUAGUAGUUCUUUUCAAUGAUGAAGUGGAAGAGACUGGGCCAUAUUCAUCAGUAUCCUGCGCCAUAUUGAUGCUGCUACAGUUAGGAUUGUUUGGGCUGUCAUCGAUUACCGAGAGUGGUAAUGAAGAGGAAGCCAUUACAGUGAACUCCUCAUCAUGCUCAGCAAUGUCCAUGUUACUGUUUGUAGGGCUGUUUGCGCUGUUGUCAUUUAUAAGACGUAGUGAAGAAGAAGAAGCCAUUACAACAAAUUCUUUAUCGUGCUGAUAGUCAUUGCCAUGUUUAGCGAAGUUAUUCUAAUGUGCAACAGAAAACCUAAACAAAAUCUGCAGUUGACAAAGGUCAAAAUUAACUUACCUCGCAGAUGGAUUUGUUAUCUAUGAUAGAAGAUUAUAUUUAACUAUAUCAAGGCAGAGAAGAUACUCUCAUCCAAAGAGAGACAACAGCAGCCCUUUUUCCCAGAGUCUUCAAAUGAUACAGGAAAUGGGCCAGGAACCAUUGAAGCAUAAGAGGUACAAUGAUAGAGUCUUCCAAGUCAACUUUAUUUAGUUGAGUAUUGGGUAAGGAGUAGAUAGCGUUGAAACGUUAUGACUGGUGGAUGAGAGUCAUUCAAAAUAAUAGGCAUACAUGAUUUAUUCAUAUAUAAAUUAAACAAAGAAAAUUAGGGGGUAAUUUUGAGCUGUUUGUUUUCGCAUGAUUUCUUCUGACUGUGUUGCUGGGCAUUACUAGGUCUUUUCUUUUUAAUUUUUCAUGUUUUAUUUUAAGACGAUAUCCAGAAGUAGUAGGUAUGGUAUAUGAAUUAUGGUCUGCGGGCAUGUUGAACACAGACUUGAAUUUCACUUAGAAUGAUAAACAUUCAUAGAGCCAAAUGUAAAUCCAGGCGAAUUUGAGAAAGGAUAUGGAGGUUCAUUAUCUCUGGUGACGCUUAAUAAAUAUAAAGUCAGCUCUUUAUGACCAUACCUAACAGCGCUGUGAAGAGGCGCAAAAUUGUCGCGUUGGCAGAUAUUGGGCAAGCUUGGGUUUUUGUUCACUAACAACUUGACUGCUUUUAUAUUGCCAGCCCUUGCAGCGUUGAAAAGGGCAGUGACGCCAUCAGAAUCCCGCAGAGCCAGUGCCUCACUUGGCAAAAACUCAACCAACUUCUCCACGAAACCCAUUCUGGCCUCUCCUAACUCAACUGCUAUGUGAAGCAUUCGGGAAUCAUCUGUUCUGAUCGGGGCGGAGAAUGAUCGUGGAUCAUCCUUCAAUAAUUUUGAAGCACUUUCCCAGUCACCAUUGAGCACAGCUUUGUACAGUUCCAAGUAAUAGAAUUCUGCAGUCACAAAACCAAAAGAUGUAUACGUCAGCCUAGAUUUCCCUGAUAUGUAUAUUUCUUCAACGUUCACAACAUCCUAAUACUAAAAUUAUUUUUUAAAAAAUAAAUCAUUUAAGUUAUGUUUGGCUUUUAUAAAAUUUGACAAAAAUUACAAGGAAAAGAAAGUAAAUUGAAAAAAUUGAAGGUUAGAAAAAGUGAAAUAAAAUACAUCUAAAAUCAAUAAAUUAAUUAUUUUUAUAUGCUACUCAUUUCACUUAUUUUAAUUAUUUAAUAUAAAAAUUAAAUAAUUUAAAAUUUCAUAAAUUUAUAACUAAUUUUAAUUAUAUUUGAUUUUCUUAAAUAUUUUUUUUCGAUAUAACCAAAUACGGGAAAAUUAUUUUCCUUGAUAUCUUUUCUUGGACUUCUUUGUUUACCUCUAAUCAACAUCUUUAUAUCUUUCAAUAAUAGUUUGAACCUCCAUUUUUUAUUUUAACACUUCUACUUGUAUACUAAUUAUGCCCAAAAUACACGGAAAUGGACAUGAACAUGGCUUUCAGCAUCUUACCGGAGCUGCUACAGUUAUUGGUAAGGUGUGCCGUGUCGAUGGUAGUAGUUCUUUUCAAUGAUGAAGUGGAAGAGGAAGCAACAGUUAGGAUUGUUUGGGCUGUCAUCGAUUACAACAAAUUCCUUAUCGUUCUUAUAGUCAUUGCCAUGUUUAGCAAAGUUAUUCUAAUGUGUAACAGAAAACCUAAACAAAAUCUGCAGUUGACAAAGGUCAAAAUUAACUUACCUCGCAGAUGGAAGAUUAUAUUUAACUAUAUCGAGGCAGAGAAGAGAGUCUCAUCCAAAAAUAAAAACUUUGCUCUCAAAGUAUUCUAAGAUGAUCAACAAGCCCUAAGAAUCAUGUAGGAAAAAUUUUAAAAAUUUUCUCUAACUAUAAACCAAAAAUUCUAACACCCUAAAUUUCCAAGCAAAAUAAACGAAUUGUGUGUAACCAAAAUCAAUCUUGUUGUGCUACGCUCGGGUUUUCGGGGGUCAAGCUCCUCGUUGAGGUCGUAGGGGUCGGGGGGCAACACCCUCUAGAAUUUUUUUUUCAUUAUAUUUAUUAUUUUUUAUUUAUCUAUCCAACUGGAACAAUAGAAACCCUAAACAAUGUUAAUGAGAGUUGGGUAACACUACAUUUUAUAUGGAGCAACACUACACAACGAAACCAUAAAGAUCAAGGAAAAUCCAUGAAAAAUAAACAAGAAAUGAGUAUGAGUGUAAUGCGUACCUGGAAUGUGACAAACCCACAAUGAAACCCUAAAAUCGCCUUCAAUGGAAGUUAGGAUGAUGAACAAGGAAAGAGGAAACAAGGGAAAAAGGAGAUGAAAAUUGUAAUAUCUGAUAGAAAUAAAGGUAUAUAAAAUAUCGUUUUUUCACCAACAAAAAUUAUCAAAACUUUUCAACACUAUCUACUCUACAGAAUGUUUGUUAAAGUCUUCCUUGGAGCAAAAUGACCUCCACAAGCUCCCUCAUGGCACAUUCACAAUAUGUUUUGUUGUUCAUCCUCUGGAACACAUCUCCGAAUAAUUUGAUUUGGGCAAAACUUAUACAAAUAUGGAUCAUCCCAAGCAUAGUGUUUUGCUCACGAAAGAAAAUACUUUUUCAUCUCCAUGUUCCAUUAUGAGAGAAGCUCUCUAAUUGCCAAGUAGCUGAGUAUAUUUGCGAACCAAGGCAACUCUCCACUACACAAAGUGCAUCAUCAAGAAACUCAUCAUUCAUCUUUUCUUUCUCGAAAUGUGACUCUACUUUAACUCAGGAGAGAUGAUUAGUAACCAGAUUCUCUUCCCUUGCUUAUCCUUGAUUUGAAUGUUAAAUUCUUAAAGAAGAAGGAUCCUCUCUUUGACCUAGUACGACUCCCACUACAUAGUCAAUCGCAUUACACAUCAACUCAAAUGGAAGAGACCAAUUGGGAGGUCUCACAAUUGGUGUAGUAGUGAGGAGUGACUUUAGCCUCUCAAAAGCUUCUUGGCAUGCUUUAGUCCAUAUGAAUUCUGCAUCCUUAAGUAAUAAAGCACAAAGAGGUUGAGAGACUUUUUAGAAGUCGUGUAUGAACCUUCUAUAAAAAUAUGCAUGCCCCAAAAAUUGUCUCACCCCUUUAACAGUAUUGGGCGAAGGUAGCUUUGAGAUGAGCUCAAUUUUUGUUGAAUCUACCUGAAUGCCUUCUCUAGAGAUGAUAUGACCAAGUACUACCCCUGAGGUUGCCAUGAAGUGACAUUUAUCCCAAUUUAGGACCAAGUCCUUCUCAAUGCACCUUUUCAAAACUUUUUUCAAAUUUAAGAGACAAUCAUCAAAGGUCUUCCCAUAAACUGUUAGAUCAUCCAUGAAAGCUUCCAUGAUUCUCUCUACCAUGUCAUUGAAGAUAUUGAGCAUACACCUUUGAAAUGUGGUCGGUGCAUUACAAAGACCAAAAGGCAUGCACUUAUAAGCAUAGGUGUCAAAUGGGCAGGUGAAUGUGGUUUUCUCCUGAUCCUCCAAUGCAAUGGAAAUUUGAAAGUAGCCCGAAUAGCCAUCCAAGAAGCAAUAAUAGUCAUGACCAACUACCUUCUCCAAAACUUGAUCUAAGAAAGGUAAUGGGAAAUGAUAUUUCUUGGUGGCUGCAUUCAACUUUUUAAAAUCAAUGCAUACUUGCCAACCUGUAGUCAACCUUGUAGGAAUGAGCUCUCCUUCAUCAUUCUUCACCACAGUUAUCCCGCUUUUCUUAGGUACUACUUGAGUAGGGCUCACUAGACUACUGUCAGAGAUAGGAUAUAUAAUACCUGCAUCUAAAAGCUUCAAUACCUCAUUUCUGACUACAUCUUGCAUAAGGGGAUUUAGCCUUCUUUGUGGUUACCCUAUUGGUUUUGCGUUCUCUUCCAAAUAAAUAUGAUACGUGCAAAUCAAGGGAUUUGUCCCUUUCAAAUCUAAAAUAGACCAACCAAUCACUCUUUCAUUCUCUUUAAGCACUUUUAAAAAUUUGAUUUCUUGCUCUUCAGUUAAUGUAGUUGAAAUGACCAAAGGUUUUUCUUCAUUUUCCUCUAAAUAAACAUACUUUAAACCAUGUGGUAGGGGCUUUAACUCUGCUUUGCUGAUCUCAACCUCCAUUUUUUUUUUCUUCAUCAUUUUCAACAUUGUUCAAAGACUGAAUGGUAAAUUUUUCUUUCCACUUUGUAGCAACUUCAACACUCUUUCCUUAAUGAUUGUAGAGAAAAAUUCAUCUAUAUUUUCUUCCAUUUAAUUUCUUAUGUUUUCUUGCACCAAGACCUCUAUAAGGCAUGCUUCCUCAUCCUCCACAUCAUCAUGGUCCAUCAGUUGCUUGCAUAAAUUGAAGAAAUUCAUUUCCACUGUCAUGUUCGCAAAAAAUAACUGCAUCAAUCCAUUCUGAUAGUUAAUGAGAGCAUUGGUUGUAGCAAGGAAGGGUCUCCCAAGAAUAAUUGGAACAAAAUUCACGCAUUUUUUCAACGAUUCUAUAUCUAGCACCGCAAAGUCCAUUGGGCAGUAGAACUUUUCAACUUGCACUAAGACAUCUUCAACUACUCUUUUAGGUACUUUAAUUGAACGGUCUGCUAAAGAGAGUGUAAUGGUAGUAGCCUUAAGCUCUCCCAAUCCCAAUUUCUUAUAGAUUGAAUAUGGAAUCAAAUUUAUACUAGCUCCCAAAUCUAACAAAGCCCUUUCCACAAAUGAGUCUCCAAUCUGGAUUAAGAUGGUAGAACAACCUGGAUCUUUGUACUUCACCAUUGUCUUAUUCUCGAUGAUGUCAUUGACUUGCUCGGUGAGGAAUGCUUUCUUGCUUAAUUUAAUCAUUUUCUUCAUAGUGCAUAAGUCCUUAAGGAACUUUGCAUAAGCAAGCACUUGCUUGAUCAUAUCAAGGAGUGGAAUGAUGAACUUCACUUGCUUCAAAACUUUCAAAACCUCAAAAGUCUUAUCCCCCACUUUAUGUCUUUGCAUUGAUGAAGGGAAAGACAGAUGAUUGAAAAUACUCUUUUUAUCUUUGCUCACAAUGACUUUCUUAUAUUUUUCAUACUCUUUCUCAUUUCUAGCAUUUUUCUCCACGAUUGGUUCAUUUCUAAUAAGAAUAUCUUCACUUAUUGCUAACUUGGGCCUUUCAUAUUCUUUCCCAUUUCUGAGUGUGAUAACUGCAUUGCAAUCUUCCUUUUGCACUUCGGAAACUUCAUUUACUCAUCUCGAAUUUUUCUAUGGUUGAGUUGUGAACUUUCUUUUCUCUUGAGAUAAGCUUCUAGCAAGUUGGUUCAAAGUGGUUCGAAUAUUUGCUAGUUCUUAAGAUGUUUGAGCAUUUAUCCUAUUUUGAUCCUCAUUACGCUUGUUUUGCUUCUAUAUAAACUCUCUUAGCAUAUCUUCCAGGCUUGAGUUAAAUGAUGAGAUUUGAGGUUACUGUUGAAAAUUUUGAGAUGGCAUACCUUGUGGUUGAAAACCUUGCUACCCAUUAGUCUGAUUACCUUGAAAUCAGUUUCCUUGCUAUUGAAGUUGGCCAUUGUUACCUCAUCUCCAUGAUAGAUUUGGAUGAUUCCUCCAACCCGGAUUAUAAGUGUUAGAAUAUGGAGAAUUGCUAGAAUAUUGCUUGUAUGUCCUUAAGGCAUUGGCUUGCUCUGAAAACAUGUUUUGCACUGCAAGUAGAGUAGGACAAGAUUACACACCAUGUUCCAUAGACUUACAUAUCUAGAAUGGUUGAGUUAUUCCCUCAUUAACUAUUUGUACCUCUUGACCUCCCUUAGCUUCCAAAUCAUCCAACCUUCUCAUAAUGGUUACAAACUUUGCUUGGACAUCUAAACUCUCUGUAAGGUAUACACUCCACUAGCUCUUGCCCUAUUCAUUGUUCUAUCUCUAGGUGUUUCCUUGAUGAUUGGUUCUUCCCAACUUCUAGAUACCUCAGCAACAUAAUCAAGGAAUUGAAAUGCUUCAUCGAGGUUUUUAUUCAUGAAAUCUCAUCCACACAUAGUCUCGAGAAGUUGUUUUUCCUUCAUAGAAAUAUGAUACUAGCAUCCAAUUGUCAAAUCUGUGAUGGGGGCAUGUUGCAACCAUCUCCCUAAAUUUUUCCCAGGAUGCAAAAAAUUUCUCAUCUUUUAUAGCCUUGAAAUUCGAGAUCUCCUUUUUCAAUGCACUAGUCCUAUGUGUUGGAAAGAACUUUUUAAAAACACUAAUUGUCAAUCACCCCAAUUUUUUAUACUACAGGGUCUAAGACUAUUUAACCAAGUCUUAGCUUUAUCCUUCAAUGACAAGGGGAAUAGCUUCAUGCGGAAGGUCUUUAAAGAAGUGUUGGCUUCUCGAAAAAUUGAAGCGAUGUCCUCAAAUUCCUUGAUGUGAGAGUGUGGCUUUUCAUUUUUUGUCUCCCUAACAAUGGGUAGUUGAGAUACCACUUGAGGCCGAAUGGUAACAUGAUCGUGAUUUGGAGGUAGCAUAAAACACGAUGGUGUGCUCAACCUAGGAGGAUUUAGAAACUCUCUCAUGGUUUUUUGGUCCUGCAUAGGUGGUCAUGGCCUGUUGUUACUACUGUUGGAUUCUUCAGUGUCCUCCAUAUUUGGUUGAGAUUCCUUAGUUGUUCUUUGAAGUCUACUUGAAAGAUCUCUUUCCCAACCAAGCAUAAAAUAGAAGAAAAAUAUAUAUAGAGAAAAAAAAAAGAACUAAAACAAAGUGAUGCACUAUAUCCUAGUUAUGACGAUUGCUAAUCCCCACCAACGACGACAGUUUCUUGACUAAAAUUCUUUAUUGUACUAAAAUACUUAGCAUUUUUUACGUAGCAACUCCAGUUAAGAAAAACUAGAGAAAUAGUCACUACGACUUUUGUAGUACUUCGGGCAUCGUCCUCAAGGACUGGCAUAUGGAAAGAGUCAAUACUAGAAUAAAUGAAUUGCUUUCGUUUAAAUCCUAAAGUGAAAAAUAAUAUGAGAAUAAUGUGAAACUAAGUAAAAGAAAUUAAAUUAAUAAAAAAAUGGAUAUUGAUAUUAAAUUCGAUUGAUUCACGUUUAGGGCUUUCCACAAUCCAACCUAGGUUAUAGAAAUUAGAGAAAACAAGGGUCUUUAAAGUAAUAUGAUCUUAGGGUUUUGGGAUCCUUGGCCGUUCACAAUCAAAUUGAGUUUUAUAACUUGAAAUUGCAUUUGAAACCUAUUUUUUCCUUUUUUAAAACAAAUUCCUAAAGCCAUUAAAUGAAUGAGAUUGAUUACCAGUUUAAGAUUUGGCUUUUUAACCCUUCCUACUCCUUAUAGCUUUGUUUUGGGGCAAAUAAUGAUAGGGAAUAUGAGGAUAACUAAUGAUAAAAAAAUUACCAAGAAUCAUUAGUAUCGGGUAAUAACCUACCAUAUCAUUCCCUAAACUAACUCACAAGGAUAGGACAAAAAAAAUGAUAAAUUGUCACCCAACCAAUAAUUAAUCUAAUUGUUAUAAUAAUUUAUCCAUUGUCCUUUUAGGUUUCCUAGCCCUUAGGUUUUCAUGCUUUAAGCCCCAAGUUGGCUCUUAACCUCUCAUGGGGGUGAUGUCACAUUCACAAUCCAUAAUAUGGUAAAAAUCCAUAAUUUGAAUCAAAAGAACCUAAAACAACAUAUUUAAUAAAGAAGAGAAAGAAAACAAACCAAAGUUCUCAUCUUCUUCUACCUUCAAUGUCAAACUCUUCGAAAAAAAAAAUCCAAGAUCCCUAAAACCUAGAACUAAGAAAGUUUAUAUAAUAUCAUCAAUUACCUAACAUGUGCCACACUCUCAUUGGCCCCUUAUUACAAAAAUAAUUACCUAAAAAUGAUUUAAAAAAAUAAUAAAAUUGUGAUUUCUAGUCAUAUGAGGUCCAUUUAGGGCGGAUGGAAUGCCCUAGAUGCAAUUACUGAGGUAAAGGAGGUGAAACAUUAAAGUGGCAAUAGGUGAAUUUGAAAUUGGUGUCAUUUUGAUGUGGAUUUCGAAUUCAUAAGUUGAAUUUCGAAAUCAUUUCGAAAUGACCCUUAAACUUUGUGCAGUUGUUUUCAAAUGGCCAUAACUUCUUCAUUUCAGCUCUGAUUUUCACACUAUUUGAAGCAUUGGACUCAUAACAUCCCAAGAAACGAUAUAUUGUAUAUAUAAAAUGGAGUCCGAGAAGUGCUCCAAAUUUUUCCUCAAAGUUAAAGUAUAUAUUACCAUCAAAUUUUUGAGUUCUAAAUUUCCAUGUAGCUGAAUCUUGCUUCAUGCCUCAUUUCCUAUGUUUUCUUGCCUUCUUUCUUACUCCAUAAUGGUCAUUUCUCAUCUUCCAAACUCAUAAUAUCCUUGUCUUGCCUUUCCUCGUGGUCCAUGAGUUCUGACUCACUUAUUUUCUCAUUUAACCCUUUCUUGAUCUUUCAAAAUUUAAAGUGAUUCAACUUGUACCCUUUUCUUCCCUUGAACCUAAGAUAAGUCUCCAAAGUACAAAUUAAACUCAUGGCUAGGGCCUUAGCAUUGAUUUAGGUCAAGUUGGGUGAUUUGAAUGUUCUUUGGUGAAUAAAUCAUAUUGAAUAUGUACCAUUAGAGCACAUAUUUUGGCUCCAAUCAAGCUUACCCGCCAAACAUUGAGUGAUAAAAUGGAGUGGGUUGUCUAAAGAUUCAUUUGAGGCUCUAUAGUAUAGUCAUGAGAGCACACAAAUUAGAUAAUAUGUAGUUGGUUGCUCUCUUCCCCAUGUCACUUAGUUGAGCAGCAUAGAGGUGGUUGGCAUUAAUUAAGCCUUUGAGACUCUAUACUUAGGAGGAUGUGGCCUAUGAGUUUCUGACACAGUUUGCCUUUAGUGUCGAUAUUGAUUUUUUUUUUUUUACUAAACAAGAUGUCGAGAGUGUUACUUAACCAUCCCUAUGGCAAAAGCAAAAAUUGUUGCCUUUAGUGCUAAUAUUAAUGUUUCUAAGCGAGAGUUAGAGGCUACUAAGUAGAGGCCAAAUGAGUUUGUUUCUUCAUUUAUUAGUCAUUAGAGGGCUAAGGUGGUUGGUAUGAUAGAUUGACUUAAGGAGUAAGAUCAUAUUGACGUGCUUCUUUGGAACCUUCAACCGAGGUUUGCCAGACAUCUUAUAGGUAUUCCAUUUCAAGACUUCUGAAGUUUGGUUCAAGUCGUUUUCAGUGUUUAGGAGGGUAUUUCUAAAGGGUUAUAGACAAACACUAUUCCUUCCUUAGACAAUAAAGAAAAGAAGCCUAUAGGAUCAUUAGGGAGGCUUGGAGAGGUUAGCACUAUCAGUUAUCAUCAUCGAGGUCAACUUAUCAGUCAUACCAAAGGUCUCCUAUAAUCAAAGCCUACUUUCCUCAUCUAUUGUGUCAAUAUUAGUCCACUUAUAUUCAACAACCUUUCAUUGCUUGGACUAGUAUGCAACCAUGACUGUCGUAUCCCAGAGCCACUGGUUCUCAUUCAUUACUCAUAUUCCCACUCAUAUUUUUUAAAACAUGUGAUCUUUAUCAUAAAGGGGCAUAUUUGUAGACCCUUCAUUCUAUCUCCUUAAUACAUAAGUGUUCUUUCAAUACUCCCCAAUGGUUCCCUAAUGGCUCUUUACUGCUCAUAUAGCCAACAUUUUUUAGUCACCUUGGAGACUUUGGUUGAGGAAUUUAUUUGACCCCUCGUUAUGACCCUUAGCAGAAUCGAGUUAGAUUUAGGUUUUUCUUUUUUCUUUUUAGGAUAGCUCCUUUAAGUACAUCUCUAGGAUAGAAUACUUAGGCAUCAUUUUUCAAUCACCUUGGCCCAUUUAGGCACAUUUGACCCAUUUAGGAUCACCCUAACCCAUUUAGAUCCAUUUGGCCUAUUUAGUUCACCUUGACUGAUUUAGACACAUUUGACCCAUUUAGGUACAUCCAACUCAUUUAGGUCACCCUGGCUCAUUUAGACACAUAUAGGCCCAUUUAGGCACAUCCGACCCAUUUAGGAUCACCCUGGCCUAUUUAGACACAUCCAACCUAUUUAGGAUGCCCUUGUCCCAUUUAGACACAUUUGGCCCAUUUAGGAUUACCUAGGCCCAUUUAGGCACAUUCGACCCAUUUAAGUCAUCUUAGCCCAUUUAGACCACUUAGGCCCGUUUAGGCACAUUAGGCACAUAGGACCUAUUUAGGAUCACCCUAACCUACUUAGUCACACCUUGACCCAUUUAGGUCACUUAGCCCAUGAUUACUACUCAAAAAGUGCUAUUUGAUAGCCUAUAAUAAAUCCUUUUAAACACUUUUGAGUAGUAGUUUAGGCCUUUUAACUCAAUUGGCAUGUUAAGGACCCUUGAAAGGGAUUUUAAUCACUUUGUGUAAGUUUUGGUGUUUUUGUUAGUAAUUUAAUCACCAAAGCAAGUCAAGACUAAGGAGAGCUAUGAGGAAUCUUGGGCAAAGCUUAGAAGUCAUUUUCCAAGAGUAAAUCCGGAUUGCAAGGAGAAAAAGUAAAGAGAAUCUGCCAUGAAGCCUAUUCUUGAUGACAGUCGUAGCAGCCACUUUUGGAGCAUUUUAUGAAGCUCAAAUGAUGCAUGCUAUAUACCAUUUCAAAGCUCAGGAAGUCAACAAUCCAAUUCUUCAAACGGUGUGCAAUUUCGAGUUGAAACGAAGAAGUUGCAGCCGUUACAAGCCAAUCACUCCGAGCUGAAGGAAGCAUUUUGCAAAGUGCUGCGAAAUCACCCAUUUGUUGCAAAGUGAUUUCGCAGCCUUUUUGAACAGUGUGAUGUUUCUCCUUCUGACGAUGCCCGACAUAUACCGUGAGAGGGAAGCUAGGAACCUCAAGGUGGGAGCCAACUUCGCAGCCCUGCGAGUUUAACUUGUUGAUGCGAAAAUAUUUCGCAGCCCUCUUGAGUGUCUGCGAAAUCUCGCAGACACCAUUUUUCUCUUGCGAAAUGGUUCCUGAAGCCUCCUGAUAUUUGCUACCGACAUUGGGAGAUAUUUUCCAUUAGAUUUUUGUUGUCUAAAUCCCAAAGUACUCCUUGUAAACCACCAAUUACAUGAUUCCUUAGCUUUUAAGUUAGUAAAAAGACUAAAUAUCUAUGUAAUAAUUAGUUUUAUAUUAUGUUCAUAUAUAUACCUCUCGGGAGCCUGUUCUCAGGGAGGAGUUCCUUCUAUAAAAGUUUGGGUAAGCAAGUAAAGUUUAUUUCUUUCUAUUGCUUUACCUUCUCACUUUGUAUUUUCAUUUUCUUACUAAGUUAUGAAUUCUCUGAGGAGUUUUUCCCAGAGAAUGAGUAACUAAACCUCUAAUUCCUUGGAGCUAAGGUUGCCAGGGAAGGUUCCAAGUGCAAGAAUGCAAGGCUUUGUGGUUUUAGCUAUUAAUGAAGAGGAAGUGAAAUCCUUUAAUGAUUUCUAUGUUUUUAGUUAACUUAAAACACCUUAGAGUCACCUGGGCCAACACUUGGUAAGGCAUGUGAUUUCCAACCAAGGAAAUGCACUAGUUUACCCCUUACGAGCCUCUGGGAGGUGACUUUAGGGUAGGAUUUUCUAGAAUAGCCAACACUUGGUAAGCUUUUGGACUCCUAAGAGACAUCCAUUAGUUAUCUCUUGCGAGCUUUUGACGGGUAAUCCAAGGUUAAAGAUCACCUUGAAUGGUUGAGGCUUAGUGAGAGGCUUAAACCAUUGCAAGUUGCAUCAGUGAGAGAAUUAAAGUGAAAUCUAAUUGAAGGAGUCUCUGUACAACACCGGUUAGAGAAUUGACUAUAUGUUGAAUCUCUAACGCGAGGAAAUGAACCAUCUGACCAGAGCCGUGUCUUUUGCAUGAGGAACCACCCCAGUGAACCUAACUCUCCAGGGAAUGCUUUUCUUCCUAAAUUAUUCCAAACUUCUGUUGUGUUAGUUAGUUUAAGUCUAAACCUUUACCAAUCAAAGCUUGUGUUUUACUUGUUAAGCUAACCAUGAAAUGAAACAAAACCAAUUCACUUGGAAUUGGUAUCAUUGAUAGCUUGCUAAUCCUUCCCAGUGAACGAUCCUAGAGCCGCUAUACUAUAGUAGCUUUUUCUUUGCUACCCUAUUAUAUGGUGUUAUAGGUUAUAAAUUUUGUUGAUUACUCCCUCAAUCAAGGAGCACCAGCUGGACACGAAUCAGCUGAGACACCAAUUAGGCACGAAUCAAAUGGCGCCGUUGCCGGGGAUCGAACCCCGAAUCAGAUGGUGCCAUUGCCACUUCCGCUGCUAGGGACGAAUCAAAUGGUGCCGUUGCCGGGGAAUGAGUGUCAAGUUUAUAUUGAUACCAUUUUUGAGCACUUGUGAUUUUCAUCACAAGUUGGUAAAGUUUCUUUCACUUUACUAAUUCUCAUUCUUUCUUUAUUUAUUCAUAAUCUAAGUUUAUCUUUUAAAAUUUAGCCUAGUUUAAUUUUGUUGUUGUAGCCCUGUUUUUCUUGUUGUCCUCUGUUUUCAUUUUUUGUUGCAGAUUGAUACUAGUUGUGUAUGCCAAAGUGGAUACGAGACAUUGGAGGCAGGCUUGUUAAGUGUGAUACACCUCAGAGAAGAGAAUUCGAAGUGAUCUUGAAUAUCAUGGAAGCUACACCUGAAGAUCAACAUAGUCACCAAGGUCGUCAAGAUAAUCUUAAUGAAUUCAGAUCAAUGAGGGAUCGUAUGCAUCCACCUCGUAUGAGUGCACCAUCAUGUAUAGUGCCCCCUACAGAGCAGCUAGUGAUCAGACCGUAUCUUGUUCCACUUCUACCAACUUUCCAUGGAAUGGAAAGUGAGAAUCCGUAUGCACACAUCAAGGAAUUUGAAGAUGUUUGUAAUACAUUCCAAGAGGGAGGAGCUUUAAUUGAUUUGAUGAGGCUUAAGUUAUUUCCUUUUACUUUAAAGGAUAAGGCCAAAAUUUGGCUUAAUUCUUUAAGGCCAAGGAGUAUCCGCUCUUGGAUUGAUUUACAAGCUGAAUUCCUUAAGAAAUUUUUUCCCACUCAUAGAACAAAUGACUUGAAAAGGCAAAUUUCAAACUUCUCAGCUAAAGAGAAUGAGAAAUUCUAUGAGUGUUGGGAAAGAUACAUGGAAGCUAUAAAUGCUUGUCCUCACCAUGGCUUUGAUACUUGGCUAUUGGUGAGCUAUUUUUAUGAUGGUAUGUCCUCCUCAAUGAAGCAACUCCUCGAGACAAUGUGUGGAGGAGAUUUCAUGAGCAAAAAUCCAGAGGAAGCUAUGGAUUUCUUGAGCUAUGUAGCUGAUGUUUCAAGGGGAUGGGAUGAACCAACCAAAGGAGAAGUGGGAAAGAUGAAGUCUCAGUUGAAUGCUUACAAUGCAAAGGCUGGGAUGUAUACCUUGAAAGAAGAUGAUGAUGUGAAAGCAAAGUUGGCAGCUAUGACAAGAAGAUUGGAGGAGCUGGAGCUGAAAAGAAUACAUGAAGUGCAAGCUGUUGCUGAAGCACCAGUGCAAGUGAAGUUGUGUCCCAAUUGUCAAUCAUAUGAACAUUUGGUGGAGGAAUGCCCUGCAAUUUCAGCUGAAAGGGAAAUGUAUAGAGAUCAAGCAAAUGUUGUUAGACAAUUCAGGCCUAAUAACAAUGCGCCUUAUGGAAAUACCUACAACUCAAGUUGGAGGAAUCAUCCAAAUUUCUCAUGGAAGGCCAGAGCAACUCAGUACCAACAGCCGGAUCCACCAUCUCAACAAUCUUCAAGUAUUGAACAAGCAAUAGCCAAUCUCACUAAGGUAGUGGGAGAUUUUAUUGGAAAGCAAGAAGCCACCAAUGCUCGAGUCGAUCAAAGAAUUGAUAGAGUGGAGAGUAUGUUGAAUAAAAGGAUGGAUGGAAUGCAAAAUGAUAUGAACCAAAAGUUUGAUAACAUCCAGUAUUCAAUUUCAAGGCUCACAAAUUUGAAUACACUGCAAGAAAAGGGAAGAUUUCCUUCUCAACCUCACCAAAACCCCAAAGGUGUCCAUGAAGUGGAAAGCCAAGAGGGAGAAUCAUCACAAAUGAAAGAAGUUAAAGCCUUGAUCACUCUAAGGAGUGGUAAAAAAAUUGAGCAGCCAACACCCAAGCCACAUGUUGAGAAAGAAGAAGAGAUAAAGAAAGGGAAGGAAAUGGAAGAUAAAGAGAGUGAGAUCAAUGAAGAAAAGAAGGACUCUGAUUCAACAAGGAAAGUAAUUCCAGAGAAGGAGCUUCUGAAGGAAGAAAUGCUGAAGAAAUCAACUUCUCCACCUUUUCCUCAAGCAUUACAUGGGAAAAAGGGGAUUAGAAAUGCAGCUGAAAUCCUUGAAGUAUUGAGACAAGUGAAAGUCAAUAUUCCACUGCUGGAUAUGAUUAAACAAGUUCCAACGUAUGCAAAAUUCCUAAAGGACUUGUGUACUAUCAAGAAAGGGUUAACUGUAAACAAGAAAGCCUUCUUGACUGAGCAAGUAAGUGCAAUCUUACAGUGUAAGUCUCCUUUGAAGUACAAAGACCCUGGAAGUCCUACCAUUUCAGUCAUGAUUGGAGGAAAGGUAGUGGAAAAAGCCUUGCUAGAUUUGGGAGCAAGUGUGAAUUUGCUUCCAUAUUCCGUCUACAAGCAAUUGGGACUUGGAGAGUUGAAGCCAACAACAAUCACUCUAUCUCUGGCAGAUAGAUCAGUGAAAAUUCCAAGAGGGGUAAUUGAGGAUGUAUUGGUUCAAGUAGAUAAUUUCUACUAUCCAGUAGAUUUUAUUGUUCUUGAUACAGAUCCUACUAUAAAGGAAGCUAAUUUAGUUCCUAUCAUCCUUGGAAGGCCAUUUCUUGCAACUUCAAAUGCAAUCAUCAACUGCAGGAAUGGGCUUAUGCAACUCGCUUUUGGUAACAUGACACUGGAUCUCAAUAUUUUCUAUAUGUCUAAAAAGCAAAUCACUCCGAAAGAAGAAGAAGGACCAGAAGAGUUAUGUAUUAUUGACACUCUGGUGGAGGAGCACUGUAAUCAAAAUAUGCAAGACAAGUUGAAUAAAAGUCUUGUGAAUUUUGAGGAAGGUUUGUCUGAAUCUCCUAUUGGGCUUGCUACUCUACAAAGUUGGAGAAAGAUAGAAGAAAUUCUACCUUUGUUCAAUAAAGAAGAGGAGGCAGCUGUUGAAAAAGAAAUUCCAAAACUCAAUCUGAAGCCUUUACCUGAGGAGCUGAAAUAUAUAUAUCUUGAGGAAAAUAAUCAAUGUCCUGUUGUGAUAUCUUCAUCUCUGACCAGUCAUCAAGAGAAAUGUUUAAUGGAAGUUCUCAAGAAGUGUAAGAAGGCAAUAGGAUGGCAAAUAUCUGACUUGAAAGGCAUUAGUCCUUUAGUUUGUACUCAUCAUAUAUAUAUGGAGGAGGAAGCAAAGCCAAUUCGUCAAUUUCAAAGAAGGUUGAAUCCUCAUCUACAAGAGGUGGUGCGAGCUGAGGUGCUGAAGCUACUUCAAGCAGGAAUCAUUUACCCUAUAUCUGAUAGCCCUUGGGUGAGUCCUACUCAAGUGGUACCAAAGAAGUCAGGGAUCACAGUGGUUCAAAAUGAAAAAGGGGAAGAAGUUACUACACGCCUCACUUCAGGUUGGAGGGUGUGUAUUGAUUAUAGAAAGCUGAAUGUUGUAACCAGGAAAGAUCAUUUUCCAUUGCCAUUUAUUGAUCAAGUGCUGGAGAGAGUCUCUGGACAUCCAUUUUAUUUUUUUUUUGGAUGGGUAUUCAGGGUAUUUUCAUAUUGAAAUUGAUUUGGCAGAUCAGGAAAAGACCACUUUUACAUGUCCAUUUGGAACAUAUGCUUAUAGGAGAAUGCCUUUUGGUUUAUGCAAUGCACCUGCUACAUUUCAAAGAUGUAUGUUGAGUAUUUUCAGUGAUAUGGUGGAGCGAAUUAUGGAGGUUUUCAUGGAUGACAUCACCGUAUAUGGAGGUACAUUUGAGGAAUGCUUGGUUAAUUUGGUAGCAGUUCUUCACAGAUGCAUUGAAAAAGAUCUGGUGCUCAACUGGGAGAAAUGCCAUUUUAUGGUACAUCAAGGAAUUGUCCUUGGCCAUAUCAUCUCUGAAAAAGGCAUUGAAGUUGAUAAAGCAAAGGUGGAGCUUAUUGUCAAAUUACCAUCCCCAACAACUGUAAAAGGAGUAAGGCAGUUCCUUGGCCAUGCAGGGUUCUAUAGGAGGUUUAUAAAAAGUUUUUCAAGUCUUUCAAAACCUCUUUGUGAGCUGUUAGCUAAGGAUGCUAAGUUUAUAUGGGAUGAAAGGUGUCAAAAUAGCUUUGAUCAACUGAAGAAAUUUUUAACAACAACUCCAAUACUAAGAGCCCCUAACUGGCAAUUACCUUUUGAACUGAUGUGUGAUGCCAGUGACUUUGCUAUAGGAGCUGUGCUUGGCCAAAGAGAAUAUGGGAAGCCCUAUGUGAUUUACUAUGCAAGUAAAACACUGAAUGAAGCUCAAAGGAACUACACAACUACAGAGAAAGAAUUGUUAGCUGUGGUAUUUGCUUUGGACAAAUUUCGUGCUUAUUUAGUGGGGUCUUUCAUCAUUGUCUUUACUGACCAUUCAGCCUUGAAGUAUUUAUUGACAAAUCAAGAUGCAAAAGCAAGGUUGAUUAGAUGGAUUCUUUUGUUACAAGAAUUCGAUCUUCAAAUCAAAGAUAAGAAAGGAGUGGAGAAUGUGGUAGCUGACCACCUUUCAAGGUUAGUUAUAGCACAUAAUUCCCAUCCCUUGCCUUUUAAUGAUGAUUUUCCUGAAGAAUCACUCAUGUUCCUAGUGAAAACUCCUUGGUAUGCUCAUAUUGCUAAUUAUUUAGUAACUGGUGAAAUUCCAAGUGAGUGGAAUGCACAGGACAGGAAGCACUUCUUUGCCAAAAUUCAUUCUUAUUAUUGGGAAGAGCCCUUUCUCUUUAAGUAUUGUGCAGAUCAGAUUAUUAGGAAAUGUGUCCCUGAAGAUGAGCAGCAAGGGAUUCUAUCUCAUUGUCAUGAGAAUGCAUGUGGAGGCCACUUUGCCUCUCAGAAAACAACCAUGAAGGUAUUGCAAUCAGGGUUUACUUGGCCAUCUCUUUUUAAAGAUGCCCACAACAUGUGUAGGAAUUGUGAUAGAUGCCAAAGACUUGGAAAGCUAACAAAAAGAAUCAAAUGCCUAUGAGCCCCAUUCUAAUAGUUGAGCUAUUUCAUGUAUGGGGCAUUGACUUUAUGGGACCUUUCUCAAUGUCUUUUGGUAAUUCUUACAUCUUGGUGGGGGUAGAUUAUGUUUCUAAAUGGGUUGAGGCAAUCCCCUGUAAACAAAAUGAUCACAGGGUGGUUCUCAAGUUUCUUAAAGAGAACAUUUUCUCAAGAUUUGGGGUGCCCAAAGCCAUAAUCAGUGAUGGAGGUGCUCAUUUUUGCAACAAACCUUUUAAAGCUCUGUUAUCCAAGUAUGGAGUGAAGCAUAAGGUGGCUACACCUUAUCAUCCUCAGACUUCCGGGCAAGUUGAGCUAGCUAACAGGGAAAUAAAGAACAUCUUGAUGAAAGUGGUGAAUUCCAAUAGAAAGGAUUGGUCUAUUAGGCUUCAUGAUUCAUUGUGGGCAUAUAGAACAGCUUAUAAGACUAUUCUUGGGAUGUCUCCCUAUCGUCUUGUCUAUGGUAAAGCAUGCCAUCUCCCUGUGGAAGUUGAAUACAAAGCUUGGUGGGCAAUAAAGAAGUUGAAUAUGGACUUGAUCAAGGCAGGAGAAAAGAGAUAUCUAGACCUUAAUGAGAUGGAGGAAUUAAGAAAUAAUGCUUAUAUCAAUUCCAAAGUUGCAAAACAGAGGAUGAAGAAGUGGCAUGACCAACUCAUCUCCAACAAGGAAUUUCAGGAAGGGCAAAGAGUUUUACUGUAUGACACAAGACUCCAUAUCUUUCUUGGGAAGCUCAAGUCAAGGUGGAUAGGGCCGUUCAUUAUUCACCGAGUAUGUUCCAAUGGAGUGGUGGAAUUAUUGAAUUCCAAUGGCAAGGACAGCUUUAGAGUCAAUGGAUAUCGUCUCAAGCCAUUCAUGGAGCCAUUCAAACCAGAAAAGGAGGAGAUCAACCUCCUUGAACCUCAAAAAGCAUAAGCGAAAAAGGGUUUGCUGGACGUGGUUUACCACAGUCCAAAUUUUUUUGUAAAUUUUGUAAAUUUUCAAGUUGUUUCCAUACUUUUGAUCUUAGUUUUUGAUCUUAAAUCAUGUUUUUAUGUGUAUUUUAAUCUUUUUGAAUGAUCCCAGGUGGAAGAAAUUUCAAGGAGAUUGAAAGAAAAAAAAUCGGGAAGAAAUCGGAGCAAAAAUAGAGUAAAAACAGAGGAAAAACAGAGCUCUGCGAAAUUUCGCAGAGUGAAGGAAACUUCUGCGAAAUGAGCACUAUGCUGCAAAACCAUUCCGCAACACUGUAGAAGUCUCUGCGAGGGUAUUUCGCAACUGCGAAGGCGUUCUUGGCACACGAGUGCCACUUCGCAGCACAGGAACUCUCAUUUCGCAGCUACGAAACGCACUGCAAAGUUACUGCGAAAAUGGCAUUUUGCUACGAAAUUUGCGUUUUGUUGCAAAACUUAAACUGACCCUUAGGCUUCCGUUUUUCCUAUUUAUACCGGUCAUUUGAGCUGCGAAAAGGGUUUCAAAAAUCAGAGCGCCAUUCUCGCAAGCUGUUCGUCUUCUUCAGUGAGCCACGCCGACCAAGCCUCCGGUCAUCUUCUCCGAUCAGCAAUGUCGGCCAAAGUUCGGUAUCCCGAAAUGGCGCGAACACAAGGGGCUAAGUCUUCGUCUCCUUCGAAUCGCAAGAGGAGUCUGCGAAAGGAGCCAGUUUCAGAUCCUGCUCCUCAACCUUUGCAGCCGAAAACAAUCCCUCCUCCAAUGAAGCCAGCGCUGCCAAAGCCUCCGGUGAAGCCCGCACCGCCAAAACCUCUGGCAAAACGAUACCUUACCAGGUCAGGGGGUCGGCCACUGUAGAAGAAGCCCAGGGUUGAGAGCUCAGAACCCAUCGAUUUGACUGAGCAAUCUCCAGAGCCUUCACCAAUUCCAACUCCAGUGCCGUCUCCAGUUCCCUCGCCGAUUCCAAUGCCAGUUCUGUCUCCGGUGUCAUCUCCGGCGCCGAAAGAAAAAUCUCAGGAGCCUCAAGCGCCAAUUCCUGAGCCCCAAAUUCCAUCCGAAACAGCUCUGGAAGAAGUAAUUAGGCGGCCAAUGCUUCAUCAGCCACCAAUUGAGGGAAACUUGGAUUGUAGAACUCGGCCAUUCCAUUCCGAGCUAUGCUUCGACUUACCGGCAUUCAGAGUGAGGCCAGAGCUUGCCCAAUCAUUCCAGCUAUUGAGGAGGUAUCACAUGGAGCACUUGCUGACUCCAAGAGAUUUUUUCUAUCCCCGGAUAGCCACGGAUUUCUAUCAAUCCAUGACAACCAAAGAGGUUAGGAAUCCAACCUUGAUUCAUUUCACUAUCGAUGGGAGACAUGGCAUAUUGGGAGCAUGACAUAUUGCUGAAGCCCUGCAAAUUCCCUUUGAGCCAACCCAAUUCGAUAAUUUUAGAGCUUGGGCAAAUCCUACUGAGCUGGAGAUGGUGCGCACCCUUUCCAGAGGAGCUGCAAAUCGAUCACAUCUGCUGAGGGGGGAGCUUCCUCCAGUUAUGUUUUUGAUUGAUGCAUUUUUACGUCAUAAUAUCUAUCCAUUGCAGCAUUGGACCCAAAGAAGGGGAGUCCUCCUAGAAGCUCUUUACAAGAUGUCAGAAGGAUUUUUCUUUGGGCCUCAUCAUCUGAUCCUAGCAGCCCUUCUCUAUUUCGAAGAGAAGGUUCACAGAAAGAAGCUUCAGAGAGCUGAUUGCAUUCCCCUCCUCUUUCCAAGGCUGCUAUGCCAAAUUUUGGAGCAUCUGGGAUGCCCUUCUAAGCCUCAGCUGGAGAGAAAGCGAAUUUUCCGUGAACCAUUCACUCUUGAUAAAUGGAACAAUAUGACGGCCUACAAAGUUGAUCAGCCUGAGCAGCCUCAGCCAGCUGCAAGAAGAGCAUCCCCAAGACAUAUACCUGAAGGUAUAACAGUUGCUGCUCCUGCCAUUCCUAGAGCUCCACCAGCUGCACCAGCUUCAUCUCAGCCAUCCACAUCAGCUGAGCCGAGGAUGGCCAUUCCUAUAUCUGAAUAUAGAGAGUUGUGUCGUGCAUUGGAGACUCUCACAGCUUCUCAUAGCAGUCUUGCUCAGGAGAUGGCAACCAUUAGAGCAUGCCAAGAGCAAAUGUUGGCCACUCAGGCUCAACAAGCUGCCAUCUUAAGGCAGCUCCAGCUUCAUUUCAAUCUGCCACAAGCUGUAGAGCCCUCCACUGAUACACCACCAGAGCCACACUCUCAUCCUUCAGAGUCUCAUCCUCCAGAGCCCCAAGCCCCAGUUGAUGCACCUACUGAAGAGGCAGAUCCUUCUGCCUAGUCCCAGCACCACCCCACUCAUCAGACUAUAUUAUAUAUCUAAUAUUUUUAUGUAUUUCGUUUUUUUAGUUGAAAAGAAGUCCCAGUAUUUUGGUACUAUAUUUGGGAUUCCUUGUGUUACUUAUCUUUUGCAUUGUAAUCAAAUGAAUUUAAAGUAAUACAAGUUGAAUAUUUCUUGUUAACAGUUAGCAUUAAGUUGUCUUUAUUUCCUUUUCUCACAUAUUCUAUUCUUUUUUAAACAUGUGGUUUUCCCCAAUCAAUAUUCGAAUUUGAUAUCAACAAGGAGGUACCACUUCCUCCCUUUAAUUACAGUCACUCAUAUCACAUUGAGGACAAUGCUUAAUUCGGUUGGGGGGAAUGAGGAAGGAAGUAUGCUAAAUCUUUUUGGUAAUGCAAUUAUUUUGGUAAAUUAGUUGUAAUUUUUACUUUUUACUCUUGUUACUCUAAUCUCCAUGAAUUUUGAGGAAAAAUUUUCAAAUUAAACCAAGAGAAAUUGAACUGUUGUUUUUCACUUGACUUAGAGUAUGGAUUAUGCUUACUAAAGUGGUUCAAUUGUUUAAACUUCUAUUGAAAUUGAAUUUAGUUCUUCCACUUUAAGCUAUCCACACACUGUGCACAUUAGAUUCCGAUUAUAAGAUGAAAAUCUAUUUCCCUCUUGACUUAAGAUAAUUUUGGGACUUGGUAUAUUUGACCUCAUUUGAUAAAAUUGAAACACCCUGCAAAAGGCUAAUGAGCCUUUGAAAUAAAGAAAGUUGUUUGCUUGCCUUGAAACCUGAGCAAGGUCUGAGGGGUAUAUGGUGAAAGCCUUUAAAGCCUGGUGCCCUAAGCCUUAAUUGGUUGGGAGUCAUCGACCUCAAUGCUCGUUACAAGGGUGAAUAGGUAGAGUUAACAUAUGGUAAAUGCUUGGGUAUUAGAAAUUCAUUCUUAAAAGUCUAGGGAAAAAUCCGAGGAGUUAGUGGUUGAAAGAUCCUUAAAGCUUGGUGCCCUAAAUCUUAAAUGGUUGGGAGUCAUCGAUGGACCCCCAUAACAUGGACAAGUCAGAAAAAGUACCACAUAAAGCUACCUUAAAAAAAAAAAUAAAAAAAUAAAAAAAAAUGAUGAAAGUGUGUUCUUUUCUUAUUGAUUUUGGUCAGUUUGCUAAGUGUUGAAAAGAGAUAGGUUGGGGGGAGAGAUUAGUUUAGCAUAUUAUUCUCGGAAGCUAAGGAACCAAUACACAUAGAUUUUUGUGGAAGAUUAAAGUUUGGUUCUUAGAAAGUGGAAAUGACUUUAAAACUUCAGUUUGCAUAAUGCACUCCCUUGAUUGACAGUGUUUAGCAUAGUUUGUUAUAACUCUUGUUGAAAUUUGGGUUUGUAUUUCUUUAAUGUUUCAUGUGAGAAUUAGAUCAUCAUGCCACUUGAGAAUUGAUUUUGAUCAGCAUGAUGUGGUAAAUUUUAAUAUAGGUUGCUUUUUAUUUUCAUUGUUCUCUCCUAUUUUGCUAAGGGACUAGCAAUAUGUCGGUUGGGGGGAGUGAUUACUACUCAAAAAGUGCUAUUUGAUAGCCUAUAAUAAAUCCUUUUAAACACUUUUGAGUAGUAGUUUAGGCCUUUUAACUCAAUUGGCAUGUUAAGGACCCUUGAAAGGGAUUUUAAUCACUUUGUGUAAGUUUUGGUGUUUUUGUUAGUAAUUUAAUCACCAAAGCAAGUCAAGACUGAGGAGAGAUAUGAGGAAUCUUGGGCAAAGCUUAGAAGUCAUUUUCCAAGAGUAAAUCCGGAUUGCAAGGAGAAAAAGUAAAGAGAAUCUGCCAUGAAGCCUAUUCUUGAUGACAGUCGUAGCAGCCACUUUUGGAGCAUUUUAUGAAGCUCAAAUGAUGCAUGCUAUAUACCAUUUCAAAGCUCAGGAAGUCAACAAUCCAAUGCUUCAAACGGUGUGCAAUUCGGAGUUGAAACGAAGAAGUUGCAGCCGUUACAAGCCAAUCACUUCGAGCUGAAGGAAGCAUUUUGCAAAGUGCUGCGAAAUCACCCUUUUGUUGCGAAGUGAUUUCGCAGCCUUUUUGAACAGUCUGAUGUUUCUCCUUCUGACGAUGCCCGACAUAUACCGCGAGAGGGAAGCUAGGAACCUCAAGGUGGGAGCCAACUUCGCAGCCCUGCGAGUUUAACUUGUUGAUGCGAAAAUAUUUCGCAGCCCUCUUGAGUGUCUGCGAAAUCUCGCAGACACCAUUUUUCUCCUGCGAAAUGGUUCCUGAAGCCUCCCGAUAUUUGCUACCGACAUUGGGAGAUAUUUUCCAUUAGAUUUUUGUUGUCUAAAUCCCAAAGUACUCCUUGUAAACCACCAAUUACAUGAUUCCUUAGCUUUUAAGUUAGUAAAAAGACUAAAUAUCUAUGUAAUAAUUAGUUUUAUAUUAUGUUCAUAUAUAUACCUCUCGGGAGCCUGUUCUCAGGGAGGAGUUCCUUCUGUAAAAGUUUGGGUAAGCAAGUAAAGUUUAUUUCUUUCUAUUGCUUUACCUUCUCACUUUGUAUUUUCAUUUUCUUACUAAGUUAUGAAUUCUCUGAGGAGUUUUUCCCAGAGAAUGAGUAACUAAACCUCUAAUUCCUUGGAGCUAAGGUUGCCAGGGAAGGUUCCAAGUGCAAGAAUGCAAGGCUUUGUGGUUUUAGCUAUUAAUGAAGAGGAAGUGAAAUCCUUUAAUGAUUUCUAUGUUUUUAGUUAACUUAAAACACCUUAGAGUCACCUGGGCCAACACUUGGUAAGGCAUGUGAUUUCCAACCAAGGAAAUGCACUAGUUUACCCCUUACGAGCCUCUGGGAGGUGACUUUAGGGUAGGAUUUUCUAGAAUAGCCAACACUUGGUAAGCUUUUAGACUCCUAGGAGACAUCCAUUAGUUAUCUCUUGCGAGCUUUUGACGGGUAAUCCAAGGUUAAAGAUCACCUUGAAUGGUUGAGGCUUAGUGAGAGGCUUAAACCAUUGCAAGUUGCAUCAGUGAGAGAAUUAAAGUGAAAUCUAAUUGAAGGAGUCUCUGUACAACACCGGUUAGAGAAUUGACUAUAUGUUGAAUCUCUAACGCGAGGAAAUGAACCAUCUGACCAGAGCCGUGUCUUUUGCAUGAGGAACCACCCCAGUGAACCUAACUCUCCAAGGAAUGCUUUUCUUCCUAAAUUAUUCCAAACUUCUGUUGUGUUAGUUAGUUUAAGUCUAAACCUUUACCAAUCAAAGCUUGUGUUUUACUUCUUAAGCUAACCAUGAAAUGAAACAAAACCAAUUCACUUGGAAUUGGUAUCAUUGAUAGCUUGCUAAUCCUUCCCAGUGAACGAUCCUAGAGCCGCUAUACUAUAGUAGCUUUUUCUUUGCUACCCUAUUAUAUGGUGUUAUAGGUUAUAAAUUUUUUUGAUUACUCCCUCAAUCAAGGAGCACCAGUUGGACACAAAUCAGCUGAGACACCAAUUGGGCACGAAUCAGCCCAUCUAGGCACAUUUGGCUCAUUUAGGAUCAUAGGCUAAUUUAGGCACAUUCGACCCAUUUAGGUUGCCUUGACCCAUUUAGAAACACCCAAGCCUAUUUAGGUCACUUAGGCCUACUUAGGCACACCUUGCCCUAUUUAGGUCACUUAGGCCCAUUUAGGCACAUUCGACCCAUUUUGGAUCACCUUGACCCAUUUAGGCAUAUUUGGCCCAUUUAGGAUCAUCGUGGCCCAUUUAAACACACCCUGACCCAUUUAGGUCAUUUAGGCCCAUUUAGGAGCAUUCGACCUAUUUAAACAUAUUUGGCCCAUUUAGGAUCAUCGUGGCCCAUUUAAACACACCCUGGCCCAUUUAGCUCAUUAAGGCCCAUUUAAGAACACAUUAACCCAUUUAGGUCACUUAGGCCCAUUUAGGUACAUUUCAUCCCCUAGCCCAUUUAGAAACACCCAAGCCCAUUUAGGUGAUUUAGGCCAAUUUAGGCACAUUUGGUCCAUUUAGACACUCUGGGCUCAUUUAGGUUCACGUAGGCCCAUUUAGGCACAUCCGACCCAUUUAAGAUCACCCUAACCCAUUUAGACACAUUCGACCCAUUUAGGAUCGUCUAGGCCCAUUGUAGCACAUUUGGCCCAUUUAUGAUCACCAUGGCACAUUAGGCCCAUUUAGGGUCACUUAGGCCCAUCUAGGCACACGCUAAGCCCAUUUAGGUCACCCGUUGUCUCACUUCUUAUUGCAUGGUUUGCGUGAUUGCAUUGUUGAACUUCCUUGCAGGGCUUGCAUGACACUUUGUUUUUUUUUUUUUUGUUAUUAUUAAUUACUUAUUUAUUUUUAUUUAUUAUCUUGCUAUUUAUUUAUUUAUUAUUUAUCUAUUAUUAUUUCAUUAUUUUCUAAAUUAUUUUUAAUUACUAUUCAUUUGUUCAAUCUAAUUUUUUAGUAUUAUUUUUUUUUGUGUUUUUGUAGGGAAAUUUACCAAAGAGAGCCAACGGAGAUGGAAAUUAAGAAUCACCAAAAUAAAAAAGGAAGAUAAAGGCAAAAGAGAGUAAAACUUACCAAAAGGAGAGGGGCUUGUGAGUUGCAUUAUGAAAGUAUGGAGAACACAUUUUGGGAGGUUUAUCAAAGAGAGAGUCAAUGGAGGUGUAAAGCAAGAAUUACCAAAAUAAAAAAGGAAGACAAAGCGAGAGAGAGAGUAAAACUUACCAAGAGAAGAGGGGAUUGAGGGUUGCAUUAUGAAAAUAUGGAGAACAUGUUUUGGUAACUGAGAAAUUCAGCAUAUGGAGGUUUUGGAGUAAGGAGAUGAAGGAUUUGGUCAAGGUGGAAUUUUAAGAAAAAAGGAUAUUCAAUGUGGUAGGAAGGAAUGUUUAGCAUAUUAAGGAAGAAUGUGGGGAUUGGUAGGGGGGAAGAAGAACAACUGCAAUUUUUCUUUUUUCUUUUUUGGUAGAGAGAACACUUUGGCAAAUUUUUGGGAGGUUCAACGUGCAUGUACAAUAAGAUCUCUUGAAAGAGAACCUAUAGAAGAGGGCACAAAUUAUUUUUGGAGACAAUUAGUUGCAUCUUAAAAGGGAAUUGAAGGAAAAUAUUGAUGAUGAUAUUGAUUUUAUUAGUUUCCAAAAUAUUGAUAUUAGUUUCAUGAAUAUGGAUGUUUUAGUUUAGAUAGAUAUUGAUGUUUUAGUUUUGAAAAUAUUGAUGUUUGCUUAGAUGUUUUGAUUCAGAUAAAUUUUGACAUUUUAGUUUUGAUAAAUAUUGAAUUCUUGGAUGUGUUUGCAUGUUGGUUAUAUUUUUAAAUAAAAAUUCUCAGAACGUUAGUCAUCCGAGAAAAUAAAAAUAAUAUAAGAAAAAAGCAAAGUUGUUGCCUUUUUUUUUUUUUUUUUGGCCUGUAUUAAUUUUAUUUUUAAAUUUCAUUGGAUGAUUAGUUGGGGUAUAAUUCACAUGUUAUUUUUAUUGGAUGAUUAGUUUGGUUAUAAUUCACAUGGUGGUAUUAAUUUAAAAAUUCAUUGGAUGAUUAUUUUGAGCAUAAUUUUUGUAAAAUUUAUUGGAUGAUUGGUUUGUAUAAUUUUAAUGUUAGUAGAUUUUAAAAAUUUAUGGAAUGAUUGUUAGGUUAAAUUCCCAUGUUGAAUGUGUUUUAAAAAUUCGUUAAAAAAAUUAAAUACAAAUUCUUUUUUUAUUUAUUAAUUAAAUAAAAUUAAAUGAUUGGCUAUAAAUUAAAUAUUUACAAAUGAUUCCUCAGAAUGGGAAACGAAAGGCUAUAAAUGAUUGGCAGCUUAGAAACCUCAACAAGCCCAUCUCUAAAACCUUUCUAAAAUAAGAAAGUCAUCCAAGAAGAUAAAAAUAAUAUAAGAAAAAGGCAAAGUUGCUGCCUUUUUUUUUUUUUUUGGGCUGUAUUUAUUUAUUAAUUUAUUUUUGUCAAUCUCCUACAGAAGGUGGCAGAGAAAGGUAGAGAGGAGUUAUUAGAGUUACAGACGAAUAAUCAGUUUCAAUGCUAUUGUCUUCUUGUUGUAAGGGUAAAAUAAGAGGCAAACAAAUUAAUGAAUUCAUUAUCUUAGCUUUCUAUUGAAAUGCCUUCCAAGAAAUGUUUUGAAAGGUUUUGAGAGCUUUGAGUUUAGUCUAGAAUAAUGGUAGUAUAUUUCAGUGAAUAUGCAUUCUAAAAAAAUAUAUACCUUUAGCAUAUACCAAGAUAUCCAGUAACAACCAAUCAAAACAAAAUCACUCUUCUUGGAAAACAUGGAUGUUCGAGUACCCAGCUCUUUUCUUUAAUUGUGCUUUCUUCUUUUUGUGCCAACAUCUGCUCUCUCUCCAGCAUGCCAGUGUGCGUCCCAGCCAGCUCUUUUGUGCUUUAAAUGAAUUGAAUACUUGAUCUUAUUCUGCCAUUGUUUUGGCUCAAACCUAAGAAGUAUAUUUACCCUAACUUCUUUUCAUGUCUUCAACUUACUCAAAGGCUCACAAGUCCCAUUGGAAGUAAGCAGUUAAGGAUUUUUGAACUAAAAUUAUCAAACAUAGUCUAAUAGGUUAUACUCUUUUCAACAGUUUAAAUUGUUUUUGUUGAUAGAUUAUUUGAUUUUUCUCCUAGCUGGCCCAGUUGUUUAUUUCAAAGUGCAGUUUAGAACAACUUUCAACAUUUGAAUAAGGAAAAGAAAAUAUAUAGAUGAAUUGACUGAUUCAAAGGGCAUAUUACAGUCAGUCUGGUCACCUACAUUAUUAAUGAAAUUAUUGACGCAGAAUAACAGGGCGGAUGACUUCAAAUGGAUACACUGAGGUCUAUCUGUGCGUGUUAGGCAUUCAUGAACCUGUUUUCUUCGGUCAAAGAGCAGCCAUUACAAGGAAAAAACAUGGCGAAAAUUAAGUGAAGUAUGACUUCUGGAAGAUUUAUCACCUUCGUAAAUGAAGUGAGAGUUUUGACCGAAUUGAAGUAAAAAAAUUAAAUGCAACGGCCGGACCGGCUCCAACUAUUAAGAUUAUAAGUGCCACACAGAAAGAACAGAAAGAACGGUCCUAGUAAAUGAAGUAUAAAGACAUGUAAACAUAAAAUUGUCCAGGUAAAUGAAGACAUGCAAUGAAGAAGAAAUCUGUUGCAGACUACACAAAUCACAACCACAUAAAUCAACCACCCACCCAUUUUUCAAACUUCCAGCUCUCAUGCACUGGCACAGUUCGGUCCUUUUAAAGAUUAAAGUAGGCAUCUAAAAUUUUAUUGGUUUCAAGAAAUUUGGUGCACCAGGUUCCAAUGAAGAGAAGCUUUUUGUUCUAAAUAUUUAAUAGUAGAUUCCAUUCUUAGCUUACCAAUAUAUAUAAAUUACUCAGGACCUUAAGAAGUUGAUAUUACAAUUUAAACAAUGUUAUAUCAUGUGUAUUAGGAGAGAACCAAUCUCACCCACAAAUCAAGAACACUCAAUUGUCAAUUCUUAAGUUUAUCACUAAUAUAUGUAUACUUAUAUAGUUUAUGUAUCUUUUGGAAAGUCAUGUGUAUAUUUAAAAGAUUAUAGUGUACACCAAUAAUAAUAUACUUUCACCAUUCAUCUAUGCACCUCUUUCUAGUAUCAGAGCAAUUCUACCUCCCAUGAGUUCUUUUUUUCUCCUUCAUCCUAUGUUUCACCAUGGCUGAAGCAAGCUCAACAAGGCUAUCCCACCUUCCCUUACCUACCAAUACCACCGUGAACCUUAACAAUCUCAUUGCCAUCAACACAAUUAGCUAGCCAACUUCCACUCAAGCUCACCCUCACUAACUAUUACUCAUGGAAAACAUAGUUUGGUGCACUGCUCUUUAGAUAUGACUGUAGACCCUCAAUUUUGUCCCUUUAACACAUGUCUUUAAGUUCGUUUUCAGUGCUCCACAAUAGUUCCUUGGUGGCCCAGUACUAUUCAUUACUUACCUUUCUUGAGCCACCUCGAAGACUCUGGUUGAGGGAUUAUCUGACCCCUUAUUAUGACCCUUGGCAGUUUUGAUUUAGACUUAGGUUUUUCCUUCCUUUUUAGGAUAGCAUUUAGGUGCACUUUUAGGAUAGCACACUUAGGCAUUGUCCUAAACAUCCUAGUCUCACUUAGACACUUUUUUUUUUAGACUCACUCAGGUUCGCUAGGUCCACCUAAGCAUCCCAGCCCAUUUGCAUUUUUAAUGCUUGCAUGUACUUGAUCUCUUAUUUAUUUAUUAUUAUUUGGUUAGUUAUUUGUUUUUAUUUAUUUAUUUUAUAGAAUAUUGCAUGAGAUUGAUGAUUAAUUGUGUAAAUUGAUGUCUUAAUUAUUUUUGUGUACCUAUGAUAGACAUAAUGUUUUUAAUUGCAUAAUUUUAAAUUAGUUUUAAUUUUCAAUUUCAUGACCUUUACUAAUUUUAAUUCUUAUUUUUAUUUUGGCAUGAGAUUCGAAUGCACACAUUGGAGAAGAUCCUUGAUGUACACGGCUGCAUAUAUGUGGGAAGAUUCUAUGCAACAUGGAAAGGAGAUUUAAAAUGUUAAAGAAAGGAAAGCAGAUCACUUAUGAAGGAUGGAAAGAAGAUUUUUCUUUUAUUUAUUUUUUUUUUUCUAAAAAAGGGGCUGCCAUUUAUUGGGAAGGAGGAUCACCAAAAUUUUAAAGAAAGGAAAGUAGCUGCCCAUAGAAUAAUAUAUGGAAACUUCCAUACAAAAGGGGGGAUUCUUGGAUGGUCAGAGGGGGAAAGGAGCACGUAUUGGAGGAUGGGAGAAUUCUGAAGGGAGGAGAGAGGAACGUGUAUUGGGAACGCAGGGAGAUACAUAGAAAGCAAGGAGGUUAGGCUAUGAUUUUGAGAGGGCGGGCUGCUGUUUUCAAAGGGAUCAGCCCGUGGAUUUUGAGAGUGAGAGAUUAGUCCGCGGAUUUUUAGAGUGGAGGAUCAGUCCGUUUCAGAGUAGAGGACUGGCUGCUAUUUUUUUAAGAGAUCAGUCUAUGGAUUUUCAGGAUGGUGGACCAAUUCGUUUUAGAGGAGAGGACGGUCUGCUUUUUUUUUAAAAAAGAUCAGUUCGUGGAUUUUGAGAGUGGGAGAUCACUCCGUGAAUUUUUAGAGUGGGGGAUCAGUCCGUUUCAGAGGAGAGGGCAGGCUGCUAUUUUUUUUUAAGAGAUCAGUCCAUGUAUUUUCAGGGUGGAGGAUCAGUCUGUUUCAAAGGAAAGGGCGGGCUGCUAUUUUUUUAAGAGAUCAGUCCAUGGAAUUUAAGAGUGGACGAUUAGUCCAUUUCAGAUGAGAAGGUGGGCUGUUAUUUUUUUUAGAGAUCAGUUCGUGGAUUUUCGAAGUGGAAUUUGGAGGAUCCUCACGCAGCCAUAGAAGGAGUGGGCUGCCACAGAAAUAAAGGGAGAAGAACAGGAAAAAGGAGAGAGAUCAAUCCAUGUUUCAAAGAGAUUAGAGGCUGCUGUUUGGGCAAAGAGCAGUCCGUGUUUUGAAAUGAUUUUGGGGGCUGCUAUUUGGAGGGAUCAAUCCGUGUUUUGAAAGGAAGGGGGCAGCAGCGGCACGAAGGAGAAUUCGGGUGAAAGGAGAAGGAUGGAUUUUCUGGAAUGUGAGAGGGUGCAGCCGCAACACUUUGUGCGAUACCCGAGCAUCUCCGACAACAUCUUAUGGCUGUUGGAGAUUCGCACCAGCUUGUUAAUCCCGCCACCUAAACACCACAGCCGCACCGGAUUUUCAAAGGGAAUUCAUAUCCACGCAGCACUUUGAGGAUUUGCAGCACAUAGGUAUCCACCACACCAUGCAUCCUUGGAAUUUUUUUUUAAUUAAAAAGUCCUACUAGUGGAAAGUAGUCUUCACAUUUUGAAAAGGUAUUUAAAGAAUUUGCUGUGCAAGGGUAUCCACCACACUAUGCAUCAUUGGAAUUGUUUUUUUGUUGUUUUUAUUAAAAAAAAUCCUACUAGUGGAAAAUGACCUUCACGUGUUAAAAAAAAGUAAACUAAUUCAUCCCAUUUCAAUUUUGCUCCAUGAAACAUUCAAUUCAAUUCAUAGUUGUUUAGAAUUUUGGUUAUUUAGUUUAAUUUAUUCCAAUGUCAAUAUAUUCAUGCUAUCAAGUUGUUAAGUUUAGCUUUAAAUUAUUCCUAUUUGGCCUAUGCAUUUUCAAGGUUUAUUUUAUUAGAAAUUCAUGGUUAAUUUAGAUGUUAUUUAUUUAUUUAUUUUUAAUUUUUCUUAUCUAAAUAAAUUAAUUAUUACUGAUUCAUUAUUCUAGUUUGAAGAUUAUGAUUUUUGUUUAAUAUAGUUACAAUUUAUUAUUCUUAGUUUGACAAAUUAAUUUUUUAGUAUUGGUUUGGGCAAUUUUUGUUAAUAAUGGAAAAGUUAAGAUUUUUUAGAGUUUAGGUAAUUUGUUAUGAUAGGUAAAAAUUUAGAAUUUUGAUUAGCAUUAUUUUGGUUCUCAAUUAGGAAAUUCAUAAUUUCUUUUAGUUUAGUUUUAAUCUAUCUUUUAGUUUAGAUGUUAUUAAAAUUCAGUUCAUUAGUUCAAUUGAUUCCAUGUCACAUCUUUUCGUAUCUAAAGGUUGUUAAAUUUAAUUCAUGAUUCAUUCUUUUAGUUUAUUAAUUUUAGAAUUUAAGUUGGUUAAUUUAUUUCAUUCCGCAUUGAUAUAUUCAUGUUUUAAAAUAAAUAAAGAAAAAAAAUUAUUUUAGUUUUGAUUGAUCCUACUUUAGUUGAUAUUCUUUAGAGUUUUAAUUAAUUCGAUUGGUUUCAUAUUGUUUAGUUUAUGUUAAAAUUUUUCAAUUCCAUUUUGCUAUUAAUUCUAUGCUUUCAAAUUGUAGGCUAUUAGUUUAAUCUAUCCCCAUGUUGCCAUUUUGCGUUUAAAAAUAGUUCAUUUUCGUUUUUGAUUAAUUUUAUUUAUUUUAUGUGUUUGUCUUUUUUUUUAUUACUUUCUUAUUUUUUAUUAUUAUUUUUUUUAUUUUUUUAUUUUUUAUUACUCAUUUGUUUAGUUAGUCGAUUAAAUUUAUGACUCCAAAUUGUCAAUAUUAGUUGAUAUGUAUCGUUUGUACUAUUUUAAAGGUCACAUAAUAUUUAGUGCUUGAUUAAGUUUAUCUUAAGAUUAAAUGUUGUUAAAGUUUCAAUGCUUGUAAGAUCUAAGGUUUCAGUUUAUCACUUUGGUCAUCCUUUGUCAAAUUCAAUUUUUAGAGGCUAUCGGAAAAUAGUGAAGAUUAGCCUCCAUUCUCACCUUCAAUUUUCUUGGUUGUCAAAAAUUCUACUUUGUGAUUUUGUUCUCUUUUGUUUUGCUUGGUAUUUUGAUUCAUACACUUUAUUGCUUUCAAAUUAAUUUCUUUUUAUUUUUAAAAUACAACACUAUUCUCAAAAUCUCAUUUUCCUUAAAAAUUCAUUUAGAGUUCUUAGAAUCAAAAUCUCAUUUUUUUAAAAAUAAUGUGCAACCAUGUUUUGAUCGGUUCACAUCUUUCAAAUAAAAUUACAGUUUUGAAUAAAACACGAAUCAAAGCUUGUGGUCCCAAAUAAAUGGGAUAAUUCUAGGCUAAAUUCGUGUAUAUCAAUUGGGGAAUUGGUGAAACCCCUACAUAAGAAAAUCUUUUCAAAAAUUAUUUUCGUUGCCACUUUUGUCACUUGUUGAAAUUAUGUCUAUCUUUUUAUUAGAAAUUGUAUACAAGAUGAGUGUGAUAAUUAUCGUUUUCAUAUACUUUGAUAAUUUCUGCUAUGCUAAUUAGAUAACGAGCAUGCUAGGCUUUCUAUAUUUUAUUAUUUAUCAUCUAACCCCUUACAACUUGAGGAAGCAUGUUACAAAUUAUCUAUGCUAUCCAGGUAUGUCUUCUAUCACCUACUUUCUGAAUUUUGUGAACAUGCUUGUCAUUGUGAAAUAAUACUUAUGUCUAAUAAUGCUCGAAUAUUCUGAUAUACAUGUUUCAUUGCUUGAUUAUUUCUGAUAAAAUACAUGUUGGAUGAUAUAUUGUUUAAAUUAACCAUCGAUGUUUUAUGAUAGCGCUUGAGAAGCCGUCCAGGUAUGCACCCUAACUCUCUUUUAUGGAAAUCUGAUCCUAUUUGGCAUGUUAUUUUUCGAAAUCACCUUAGUCUGUUUAGGUAUCCCCAAUUAAUCAAUUAAUUACCAUUUUACCCCCAACUUUGUUAGUAGAGACCUUUUUAGGGCUUAGAGGGGUGCUACCUCCUAGAGGUACCUUCCCAAUAAGUAACCUGAUCCCCAGACCUAGACUCGGGUUUCUCAAAGACACGCUUUUCCAAAAAUUAUGGAGUCAUUUUUUUUAGGGUUUUAUUUCUUGUUUUAUUUUCCCUUUAAAAAAAAAAUAAAAUAAGUGGCGACUCCAACUGUUUUUCAAAAAAUCAAUUUUUCACAAAAAUAAUAAAAAGCGAGUCUCGCCAAUCGAGUGGGGACGCACGUGAAAAAUGCGGGUCCACAAUGACCUACUUGGCUACAUUGACGGAACAAAGCCAGGACAAACAAAUCUCAAUCCUAACUAUACUUUUUGGACAAGUAGGACAAACUUCUUCUUCUAGGAAUCAUCGGCUCUCUUAUUGGAUUUUAAGGGAAUGGAAACAAAGACUAUCCCAAAAGACACAAACAAAUAACAGAAUGAAUAAAAAGAAAAAAUUAUCGGCUGAGGUGUGACAAACACUAUCCUUGAAAUAGAUCCACCCUCCUCGAAGACAAACUCGGUGCACUAGGGUACCAAUGGUCUACUUCCAGGAUUCAACAGCUAGAUCUCGCCUUGGGUGCACUCUGAAAUCGAGAUGUAUACAACUUGAAUUUUUUAAUAAAUUCCUCCAAUUAGAUGUAUGAAAAUACUCCCUGAAAAACUCUUCAAAAAAAUUCUCUAAAAAAUUUUGUAUCCAAAGUAUAGAGAGGGGUGACCUGCUUUUUUAGGCCACUAACACAAUCUCAAUGGGAAUCUACUUAUAAUUAGAAGAUGACACAAAGUGGAAGGUGAUUCUACUUAUAAAAGGAAUGAGAUUCCACUAGCACAAUUCCAAUAGGACUCUUCCCAAAAAUAUAACACUAAUAGAAUAAAAUAAAAUAUAAAAAAAUAAAAAAAUAAUUCUCAAUAGGACACUUCCCAAAAAUUUAAGACUCAUAGAAUAAAAUAAAAUAAAAUAAAGUUAAUUUCCAAAAAUAAAAAUAGAAAUUAUUUACACUCAUCCUAUAUCUCUCAGCCACAAAGUCAUACUUGUGGUUCAUUGAUGCAAAACUUCCACUAAAGCUUGGCAUCAUUUUUCAAAGCUCUAUGUCAAUCCCUCAUUCUCCAGAACCAUGGGAUUGGUAGAGCAACUCAUUCUUCUCAACCAUGGCUCUUAACCAAUAGUUAACUACCUUGCAACAGUCCAUGAUAUUAUUGAUGAAUUGGACCUUCUUAGAGAAGCCAUUCCAAACCAAUAACUCAUCACUUACGUAUGCAAACAUGUCACCCCUGAAUUCAAUGAAUUGUUGUUGUUAUAUGCACACAAGAUACUAUGAUCACAUUUGAUGAGCUGAAUGAAAAAUUAGUGGAAUAUGAUGCCUUCCUCAUGUAGGAAGAGCUUUGUUCCACUAGCACUCUUGGUACCACUAAAGUCAACAAUACACAAUUUUCAUCUUCCCAUAGUGACAAAAACGCUAGCCAAAAAUAUUUCCCUAGUAGGAAAGGAUACCAAGGCUAACAUCCUCCUCAUUUUGGGAAUCAACACCCCAACAAGAACGCCACUUUGAUUUGCCAAUUCUGUGAGAAGAAAGGUCAUACUACUUGCUAGUGUUACAUGGCUAAGAAAUUGUUCCUUUCAUCCACACUUACUACUAGUCCAAUUAUCCCCACAAACAACUUCUUAACCAAUUGGCUCGCAGAUAUCAGUGCCUCACAUCAAGUUACAUCUAAUCUUAACAACUUGUCUCUCUGCUAACCAAUGAAUCUAGUCAUUAAUAGUUUUCACAUUUCCUAUACUUGGAGGGUUGUUCCAAGAUUAAAUAAAGUUUUUUCCCAUGCUAAUCUUAAUAUAGUGAUUCAUGCCCAGUCGGGUGUUUAUCAAAACAUUUAUAAAACCUACAACACCUUAUACUAAGGUAGCAAAGACAAAGCUACUAUAGUAUAGUGGCUCUAGGAUUGUCCACAGGGAUGGGUUUUCUUUGUACACUUAACAUUAAUGAAAGGAGAAAUGGUGAUUUCCUUUUUGGAAGUUAGCUUUUAAAUGAAAAUAAGAUUGAUUGGAAGGGUUGAUUUUAAGUUAAGCAAACAUAAACAACUGAAAUUACUAUAAAGAGAAAGUCUCUUGGAGCUAUAGGUUACUAGGAUCAGGUUCCUGUUGCAAAGUGGGAAAUUACGGAUCUUCUCCUCGCAUUGGGGAUAAUAACAUAAAGGAUGGUUAUCUCCCGAACCGGAUUUGUAUUUAGCAAAUAAGUUUUGAUCCAAAGGAUUCUUGAAAAAUGGUAGUUGCUUCCCAUUAAUGGCUUCAAACACUAAAGACCCUCACCUUGAACCACCUUCCAAUGGCUCGUACUUGAUAACUAAUGGACAUCCAUGGAUCUAGCAAUAAGCAUCCAUAGAAUCCUAAAAGCUUACCAAGUAUUGGCCAUUCAAGGUGAUUCUAAGGGAUCAAAGCUAAAACUUGAAAUACAAACCAUUAACGAUACACAACUACCUUCAUUUUUAGCAAGGAAAACUCCCACCUUUACAUAUGGGUCCUUUACCUAGCUUCCAUCACUCCAAGAAACGUGAAACUUAGCCACUCAUCCUCUGAGAAAUCAUCCUCUGAGGGUGUUUGGCUAGAGAGAAAGUGAAGAGAAAAUGAGAAGGAAAGGUAGAGAAAAACUCGUCUUUACAAAAUAUCUAAAACAUAAUAUCUCCCAUCCUUUGAGAGGUUUUCCAACCCCUAUUUAUAGAUCCUAAACAAACCCUAAUGUCAUUUAUCUAUUACAAAAAGAGAAAAGGAAAAAAUUACAAUUCUGGAGAUUUUUCCCGAAGGUCGGUGUGCAUAAAGUGAUUUUUGCACACCCUACAAAAAUUUGGCACACCUUGCGAAAAUUUGGCACACCUUGCGAAUUUGAUGAUUUUGCCUUGCAAAAUGCUCUGUUUCCCUCCAUCUUACUACUGAUAGCUUUGCCAACCCCUUUCCAAGUUUGCCAAGGGGUUUUGAAGUGCUCCAAGGCUCGGAUUCUUCAUGUGAUUGAUCUUCAACUUACCUUGCCAUAGCUUGCACAAAACUCUCCCUCAAUCUUGGCCUGUUUUGGUGAUAAAAAAGCUACCAAAAACACUAAAACUUACCAGAAAUUGGUUAGUAACAUUCGCUAGGUCCUUACAUGCCAAUUGGGAUAAAAAGGUCUAACUACUACUCAAAAGUGCUUAGUACAAUUAAGUUUAAGCUUAUAAAAAUGCACUUUUUGAGUAGUAAUCACUCCCCCCAACUGACACAUUGCUAGUCCCUUAGCAAUGAAGGAGAGAAAAAAAAAUGCAUCUCUCAUGGAAAAUCAAAGAUAUAAAACCCAACCUUCAACAAGAGUUAUUAAAUCACUUACCUAAUCACAAAAUACAAAGAGUGGGCAUUAUGCAAAUUUAAGCAUCAAAAGAAUUUCCACUCCCAAAGAUCCAACUCUUAAUCUUCCACAAGAAUCUAAGUGUUAAGGUGAUUAGUUUCCAAUUAUAGUAUGCUAAACUAUACUCUCACUCCCCCUAACUUAGUUCUUUCUCAAACUUGGCAAACUGACCAACAUCCAAUAGGUUAAGAACGCACCUCUUUUAUUUUACAAUUCUUUUAUUUGCUCAACUUCACCCAUUCACCCUUGUAAUGAGCAUUAAGGUCUAUGACUCCCAACCAAUUAAGGUUUAGGGCACCAGGCUUUAAAGACUUUCGCCAUAUACCCCUAGGACCUUGCUCGGGUUUCAAGGCAAGCACAACAUUUUUUUAUUUUUUUUCUGAAGGCUCAUUGGCCUUCUAUAAGGUGUCCCAACACUAUUAAAAUGAGGUCAAAGGUACCAAGUCAAAAUUUUCCUAAGUUCAAGGGGUGAGAUAAUUUUUCAUCUUAUAAUUGGAACCUAAUGUACACAGUGUGUGGUAAGAUUAAAGUGGAAGAAACAAGGUUGAAUUCAAUAGGAGCUUCAAUAAUUCAUCAACCUCAAUAAACACAAUACAAACUUUAAGACUUAAGCAAAAAGGCAAGAACUCAACUUCUCUCAUUUCAUUUUGAGAAUUUUUCCUUGACAACCAUGGAGAGUAGAGUAAUUUUAAAAAAAAAAUUAAACAAGAGGUAACUAAGAACAAAAUAUCCUAGCAAUAUUUACAAUACUUACUUCCUCAACUCUCCCCCCAAUCAAGAUGAACAUUGUCCUCAAUGUUUCAAUUGCAAGUGAAAAUAAACGGAGGAGGUGAUACCUUUUGAGGCAAAUUUUUCAUAGUCAUGCAAACGUUUCGCAAAAGGGAGCGAAAAUGACUAGAGAAGUGAGAAAUGAAGUUGGGAUGUAUGCUAUAAAAAAAAAAAUGUACUUUUUUUUUUUGUAGAGAAAAAUGAGGGGUGUAGAUUGUUCGCAAAGUGGAAUUUUCAUAAAAUAGAAUUUUCGCAAAAUGGAAUUUUCGUAAAGUGGGAUUUUCGUAAAGUGGGAUUUUCGUAAAAUGGAAUUUUCGCAAAAUGGAAUUUUCGCAAAGUGGAAUUUUUGCAAAAUGGGGUUUUCGCAAAGUGGGGUUUUCAAAACUUGAUUCGCAAGGUGAACUUUGAGUUUGCAAACCCUAUGGAAAUUCACAUUUGAAGACCGAGAGUUGUAGUUUUCAAAAAUGAUCACAAAGGGUUUUCGCAGAGGAUUCGCAUACCCUGUGUUUUUUCACAUAGGGUGCGAAGUUAAAGACCGAGAGCUUGAAUUUUUCAAAAAUCAUCAGGAGGAUUUCGCAGAGGGUGUGAAAUUUUCGCAUGCUCUGCGAAAUGGCAGUAGCUCACAUAAUGUAAAGAGCACUUUUCGCACAACAUGCGAAAAUUUCGCAGGGAGGUAUGCGAAAUGCUCUGCUUCAAUUUUUUCCUCAGUUUUUCCUCUGCCGACGAAUCCUUAAGUGCCCUCCCCUACAAGUGAUUGAUUACUACUCAAAAAGGGCUAUUUGAUAGCUUGUAAUUAACUCUUUUAAACACUUUUGAGUAGUAAUUAUUGCCCUUUAACCCAAUUAACAUAUUAAGGACCUUUGCAAUCACUUCUAAUCACUUUGUGUAAGUUUUGGUGUUUUUGUUAGUAAUUUGAUCACCAAAGCAAUCCAAGAAGGAGGAGAAGUAAAGAGAGAAUCUACCUUGAAGCAUUCUUGAUGACAGUCAUUUCAGCCACUUUUGGAGUACUUCCUAAAGUCCAAUUUAUGCAUGCUUUAUGUCGUUUCGAAGAUCGGGAAGUCAACAAUCCAAUGCUUCAAACGGUUUGCAAAUCAGAGUUGAAAUGAAGAAGUUAGAGCCAAUGGAAGCAGAUCACUCCAAGCUGAAGGCCAAUUUCGCAGGGCUGCGAAAUCAGCCUUCGGCUGCGAAAUGAUUUCGCAGCCAUCUUGUUCGUCUACGAAAUUUCGCAGCCAUUUUGUGCGCCUGCGAAAUUCUCCUGAGUGCUUCCAGUUAUUUGCGACCAUCGUUUUUUGUUAUUUUGCCUCAGAUAUUUGUUGUCUAAAUUCCAAUUCUCUCCUUGUAAUCCACCAAUUAGAUGAUUCCUUAGUUGUUGAGCAAGGAUGCAGGGGUAAACAACCUGAUAUGUAUUGUUUUGUAUUUUUCACUUUAAAACAUCGGGGAACUUUCCCCAGGAGAACGGAUGUAAAUUUUACACUUAGCUAAAUACGAAGUAUCUUUUGCUUUCUUUUUCUCUCUACUAUUCCCUAUUUUCUCAGUAGCCAAACAUCCUUGGAGGAUGAAAUCCCCAAGGAUGAGAGGCUAAAACUUUUUAGUUUCUUGAAGUAAUGGAUGCCAUGUGAAGCUCCCGUGUCAGGAUGGAGAUUUCCAAGCCAUGAAUGUAAGUAGUUGAGCAUCAUAAAUGUUUUCAUUCAAAGUAAAGCUUUUAAUCCCUCUGACUUGCUUUGAAUGGCCAAUACUUGAUAACCUUUUGGUCUCAGUGGAUUCUUAUUGUUAGAUCCACUGACGUUCAUUAGUUAUCUCCUACGAGCCAUUGUAUUGCAAGUCGAGGAGAUGACCUAUAUCAUUAAAAGAGCAUUUAUGAGGUUCAGCUACCCUUUUUGUAAGUUUUGAAGGACUAAAACUCAGUUGUUAAACACAUACCGGUUCGGGAAGUAAGCAUCACCUUAGUUGCUUCCCCAACUCGAGGUGAAAAGUUCCAAAAUCUCCAUUUUUACACAUUGAGUUAAGCAUGGCUAUCCAAAGCUUUGAGAAACUUCUUUUUCCAUCUUUUAACCUAUUUGCAUGUUAGUUUAGUUUAAAACACUUUCAUCUUUUUAUGUUUUCAUCUUAACCUAAUUUUUAUUAAGAAAAGUUCACUCCAUCCUCCGAACUUCAUCAGUUAAAGUAAAAACCCUUCCCAGUGUUCGAUCCUAGAGCCACUAUGCUAUAGUAGCUUUGCUACUUUAGUGUAAGGACGUUAGGUAUAAAUUUUGUUGAUACCCUUACAUGCCAAGCUACCAAGAGUCGGGUUAUCAGUGAUCAUCAAAAACCUAAAUUAAAUCAAACUAAAAUGGAAUUCAAGCAAGAAAAUGAAAUAAAAACAAAUACAAAUACAAGAAAAAACAUGAAAUCAAAAACAAAAAACAAAAAUGGAUGAACUUAAUAAUUUUCAGAAAGAUUAAGUCCAUCCAGGAUCUAAUUUUUCAAGCCUGAGAGGGAUCAAGGAGGAUGAAUUCCUCCUUGUCUCGGGAAAAAUGCUCCAGAAAGGGCUUGAGACGAUGAAAGUUCGAUUGGUGUUGGCGUUGAGUAGCUCCACUACUCUAUUCGAAUACACUUGGUGGAUUGUGAAAGGACCUAACCACCUUGAUUUCAACUUGCCCGGAAAGAUAUGGAGCUUAGAGUCAUAAAGCAAGACUUUUUGUCCCUUUGAAAAGUUCUUUUGGGUCACCAACUGAUCAUGUCAUCUCUUCAACCUCUCUUUUGCAAUUUUGAAUUGAGGUAAGCAUCAUUUCGCAGUUCCUCCAACUCAUUGAGGUCUAAGAAUCUCUUCAACCCAACUUUGCUCAAAUCCAUGUUGAGUUUCUUGAUUGCCCACCAAGCCUUGUAUUCUAAUUCCACAGGGAGAUGGCAUGCUUUGCCAUAGACUAAGCGAUAAGGGGACAUCCCAAGAAUGGUCUUGUAAGCUGUUCUAUAAGCCCAUAGUGAAUCAAGGAGUUUGAUAGACCAAUAUGUUUUGUUCACAUUCACUACCUUUAUCAAUAUGUUCUUGAUCUCCCAGUUUUCCAACUCAACUUGCCCGCUAGUUUGAGGAUGGUAAGGCGUAGCUACCUUAUACUUCACCCCGUACUUGGCUAGAAGAGUUUCAAAAGGCUUGUUACAAAAAAUGAGUACCCUCAUCACUGAUUAUGGCUUUAGGCACUCCAAAUCUUGAGAAAAUGUUUUCCUUCAAGAACUUGAUAACCACCCUAUGGUCAUUGUGUUUGCAUGGAAUUGCUUCAACCCACUUAGAAACAUAAUUGAAUCUCACCAAGAUGUAGGAGUAGCCAAAUGACAUAGGAAAAGGUUCCAUGAAGUCAAUGCCCCAAACAUCAAAAAGAUCAACUAUCAGAAUAGGGUUCAAAGGCAUCAUAUUCCUUUGGGUCAACUUCCCAAGCCUUUAACAUCGAUCACAACCCUUGCACAUGGCAUGGGCAUCCUUGAAAAGUGAGGGCCAACAGAAACCCGAUUGCAAGACCCUCAUAGCUGUCUUUUGAGAAGCAAAGUGACCUCCACAAGCAUUCUCAUGGCAAUGAGAGAGAAUCCCCUGUUGCUCUUGUUCAGGAACACACUUUCUUAUUAUUUGAUCCAAAAAAUACUUGAAUAGAAAUGAUUCUUCCCAAUAGUAGGCAUGGAUCUUUACAAAGAAAUGUUUUCUAUCUUGUGUUUUCCACUCACUUGGAACUUCUCCAGUAACUAGGUAGUUUGCAAUAUGAGCAUACCACGGAGUUACUUCCACCAACAUGAGAGAUUCCUCUGGGAAGUCAUCAUUGAUGGGCAAACCAUGGGAAUUAUGUGCAAUUGCAAGCCUUGAAAGGUGGUCAGCUACCACAUUUUCUACUCCCUUCUUGUCUUUGAUUUGAAGAUUGAUCUCUUGAAGCAAGAGGGUUGAUUCCGUGCCCAACUGGUGUACCUUGAUUUCCGUCCUCUGAUGGGAGUAAUCAACAAAAUUUAUAACCUACUGCACCAUGUACUAGGAUAGCCUCGGCUAGCAUAGCAUAGUAGCUCUAAGAUUGUUCACUGGGAAGGGUUUUCAAUUAUAAAUGAUACUAAUUCAAAGUGAAUUGGUGCCUUUUCAUUUCAAGGUUAGCUUUAAAAGAAAACAUAAACUUGGGUUGGAAAAGGUUUGGUUUUAAGCUAACUAAAAAGAAAGUAAUGGGAAUUACUUAUAAAGAAAAGCGUUUCUUGGAGUUUUAGGAUCACCGGGGUCAGGCUCCUUAUACAAAAAAAAAGUUUUGGUCACUUUGAUUCUUUUCCUCGAAUUGGAGAAUUAACAUAUAGUUCAUUCUCCAACCGGUGUUGUACAGAUGCAGCCCAUUUAUGGAUUUCAGCAUUAAACCCCUCUCACUGAUGCAUCUCGCAAUGUCUUAUGCCUCCCACCUAGCAUUUGCCAUUCAAGGUGAUCAUUAACCUUGGACUUCCCUUCUCAAGCUCGCAAGAGGUAACUAAUGGAUGUCUCCUUAGAGUCCAAAAGCUUACCAAGUGUUGGCAAUUCUAGAAAAUCCUACCUUCAAGUCACCUCCCAAAGGCUUGCAAGAGAUAAACUAGUGAAUCUCCAUGGACGGAGAUCACUUGCCUUACCAAGUGUUGGCCCAGGUGAAUUGAAGGCAUUUUAAGUUAACUAAAAAGAUAAAAACCAUUAACGGGUUACAUUUCCUCUUCAUUUACAACUGAAACCACAAAACUCUAAAUUCAUGCAUUUGGAAACUUACCCAGCUACCUUAGUCCAAGAGACACAAAGUCUAGCCACUCAUUCUUUGAGGAAACAUCCUCAGAGCUUGUUUGGCUAGUAAGAAAAAUACAAUCAAAAUGAGAAGGUAAGGCAGAGCAAAGCUCUGUAUUUUACUUCCUUGAAAAACUAUACAAAAAGUUGGUUUUUCUCUGAGAACAGGCUCCCGAGAUAUCACUGAUAUGAAAAUUACAAUAAUAAUAUAUACAUGGCUAUUCACCCUUUUUGUCUUUCUUAGCAACUAAGGAAUCCUAUAAUUGGUGGGUUACAAGGAGAAAAUGGGGAUUUGGACAUCAAAUAUCUGAAGCAAAAUAUCCAAAAGUGUCGAUCACAAAUAUCUGGAAGCACUCAAGAGAAUUUCGCAGACGUACAAGAUGGCUGAGAAAUUUCGCAGCCAAAGGCUGAUUUCGUAGAGGCUUUCCUUAGGCUGCGAAAUUGGCCUUCAGCUUGGUGUGAUCGGCUUCCAAUGGUUCUAACUUCUUCAUUUCAACUCUGAUUCAUGUACCAUUUAAAGCUUUGGAUUGCUGACUUCCCGAGCUUCGAAACGACAUAUGGUGUAUAUCAAAUGGACUCUAGAAAGUGCUUCAAAAGUGUCAAAUAGUUGAUGUCCUCUUGCAUUAUUCAUGUUACUUUCAUCCUUGCAUUCUUGAUUUGUUUUUGGCAAAGGAUUACAAAGCUUCAAAGCUUGAAUUCUUCAUGUUAAUGAGCUUCCAAUUGCUUUGCCAUGGAUUCCAUAGAACUCUCCUUAGUCUUGGAUUGCUUUGGUGAUCAAAAUACUAUCAAAAACACCAAAACUUAAACUUUUUGAUUAGAAAUGAUUGCAAAGGUACUUAAUAUGUUAAUUGAGUUAAAAGGUAAUAACUACUACUCAAAAGUGUUUAAAAGAGUUAAUUACAAGCUAUCAAUUAGUACUUUUUGAGUAGUAAUCACUCCCCCCAACUGACAUAUUGCUAGUCCCUUAGCAAAAAAUGAGAGAAAAAGAAAAUUAAAAAGUAAAAAAAAUACUAUAAUUUACAACGUCAUGCUGAUCACUUCAAAAAAUUUUAAGUGGCAUGAUGAUCAAGCUCUCUCAUGGAACAUUAAAGAAAUGAAACUCAAAUUUCAGCAAGAGUUAUCACGUAUGUUUUCUAAUCAUAAUUCCAACAAGAGAAGGCAUUAUGCAAAUUGAAGCUUUAAAAUCAUUUCCAUUUCCAAAUGACCAACCCUUACUCUUCCACUAAAAUCUAAGUGUUACUUGAUAGUUUCCGAAUAUAGUAUGCUAAACUAAUCUCUCUCCCCAAUCUAGUUCUUUUUCAACACUUAGCAAACUGACCAAAUUCAAUAGGCUAAGAACACACCCUUUUAUUUAUUUAUUUAUUUUUAUUUUUUUUUUCAGCGUAGGAGUACAAGGCUUGAAGGUAUUCUUUUUCUAAAUUGUCCAUGUAGCGGGGGUCCAUCGAUGACUCCCAACCAAUUAAGGUUUAGGGCAUCAAGCUUUAAGGAUCUUUCAACCACUAACUCCUCGAAUUUUACCUCGAACUUUUGAGAGUGAAUUUUUAAUACCCAAGCACCUACAGUAUGUUAAACUCCACCUAUUCACCCUUGUAACGAGCAUUGAGGUCGGUGACUCCCAACCAAUUAAGGCUUAGGGCACCAGGUUUUAAAGAUUUUCACCAUAUACCCCUCAGACCUUGCUCGGGUUUCAAGGCAAGCAAACAUUUUCUUUUAAAGGCUCAUUGGCCUUUCAUAAGGUGUCUCAACACUAUUAAAUAAGGUAAAAAAUACCAAGUCUAAAUUUUCCUAAGUCAAGAGGGAAAUAGUUUUUCAUCUUAUAGUCGAAAUCUAUUGUGCACAGUGUGUGAAUAGCUUAAAGUGGAAGAACUAAGGUUGAAUUCAAUAGAAGUUCAACAAUUCAUCAACUUUAAUAAGCAUAAUACAAACUCUAAGUCAAGUAAACAAAAAUUCGAUUUCUCUUAUGUUAAUUUGAGAAUUUUUCUUUAAUAACCAUGGAGAAUAGAAUAAAAACUUUAAAAAUUUAAAAUUAAGCAAAAAGCAACUAAAUUAUCAAAAUAACUUAGCAUUAAUCACAAAACUUCCUUCCUCAACUCUCCCCUCAACCAAGCUGAACAUUGUCCUCAAUGUGAGAAAAGCGAUUGAACAGUAGGGAGGAAGUGGUGCCUCCUUAGUGGUAUGAAGUUCGGGUAGAAUAGGAGAACCCACAUGUUUCAUAAAACAACAAAAGAUAUCAGUAGAGGAAUUAAAAUAAUGCUAAAAAUGCUAACAAAUUGAUAGACUUGUAUUACUUGAAGAAAGUACAAGAUGGCUAACAAGUAAUACAACCAAUCCCAAUAUAUAAUAUCAAAAGCAUGGGAGUACAAUUUCUAUUUUAGUAAAAAAAAAAAAUACAUAAAGAAAAUACAUAAAGUAAAGUAUGUAAAUGAUCAGAUAGGGGGAGGGUGAUGAUGGCUCAGGUGGAUGUCUCUACAUCUCCUGCAGUCGGCGGCUCAGUAUAGGGCUCUGUGGGCUCUGAAAUGAUAGGAUUGGGGUACUCAGAAGCUGAUGGAAUACCCAGAUAGUGCUGAAUCUGCCUCAUAAUGGCAGUAUGCUGAGUCUGGGUGGCCAAAAUCUGCUCCUGAUGGGCACGAAAAGCUACCAUCUCCUAAGUAAGGAUGUUUUGAGAUGUGGUCAAUGUCUACAAAGUGUGACAAAGACCUCUAUACUCGGACAUGGAUAUAGCAAUCCUAGGCUCAGAUGACGAAGUGGGCUCUGAUGUAGAUGGUAUAACAGGAGGAGUCUGUGGUGUGGCAAGAGGAGCAGAGGGUGCAACCUUAGGUAUAGGCUCCUCAGGUUGUGGAAUGUCUGGAUGUUCUGCUCCAGCUGGGGAUCCAGGCUCUGCACUAUAUGCUGUCAUAUUUGACCAUUUAUCAAGAGUGAAUAUCUCUCGGCAAAUGCGUUUAUGCUCAUGGUGAGGCUCAGAUGGAUAGCCCAAAUGCUUGAAAAUCUGGCAAAGCAAUCUCGGGAAAAGAAGUGGAAUAGCAUGUGCUUGGAGCAGCUUCUUCUUGUGAACCUUCUCUUCAAAGUAGAGAAGAACAGCCAUAAUCAGAUGAUGAGGGCCAAAGAAGAAUCCCUCAGAUAUCCUAAACAGGGUCUCCAGCAAAACUCCUCUCCUCUGCACCCAAUGCUGAAGUGGAUAAAUGUUAUGGCGCAGGAGUGCAUCGAUGAAGAACAUGCUGGGAGGGAGCUCCUUCCUCAACAGAUACUGAUGUGAGGAUGCUCCUCUGGAUAGGAUAUGAACUAUGUCACUCUGAGCCGGAUGAGUCCAUACUUGAAAAUCCUCUGGAUGGGCUGGCUCGUAUGGAAUAUGCAGUGCCUGUGCUAUAUGUCGAGCUCUUAGAAUACCAUGAUGUCCGUCAAUGGUGAAGUGAAUGACAGUAGGAUCUCUGACCUGGUGUGUGGUCAUGGACUGAUAGAAGUCCAUGACUACACGGGCAUAGAAAAAAUCCCUAGGAGUCAGCAAAUGCUCCAUAUGAUACCUGUGUAGCAGAUGAAAGGAGUCCCGGAGCUCAGGCUAAAGUUUGAAAGUGGCUGUGUCAAAACACAGCUCAGAGUGAAAUGGUCGAGCCCUGCAAUCUAGAUUACCCUCAAUGGGCGGCUGAGCGUUCAUGGGACGCCUGAUAAUCACCUCAGGAGUCAUGCCUGAGGGAAUCUGAGAUUCUAUAGGUGGCGACUGAGACUGAUGAGGCUCCAACAGAGGCUCCGGAGACGGCUCCGUUAAGUCAAUUGGCUCUGAAUCCUCUACCCUGGAUUUUUUCAUUGGUGGACGGCCACCUGACCUUGUCUGAUAUCGUCUGACCGGUGGACUUAUCGGCAAGGGUUCAACCGGAGGUGGAGCGACUACUUGACGCGGAGGCUGGGAUGUGGAUCCUUGAACAGGGGUCUCUUUUGCGGCUUUCUUGCGGCCGGACGGGGAUGAGGACUUUGCUCCUCUGGUUCUUGCCAUGGCGAAUUGAAGAAAAUGGUUGGAGACACUUGCGGCUUGGGCUCAGACGAGAGAGAGCAAAUGAACGGUUGCUCUGGCUUUCUUUCUCUUUAGUAUCUUUUUGCAGCUCAAAUGACCGGUUUUUACAAAAUAUGGAAUUUAUAAGGUUCAAAAAAUGGAUACCAAGGGUCGUUUUAAUUUUUCGCAGAGGAGGGUCGAUUUCGCAAUGGAGGGGCUUUUUCGUAGCGAAGGGCCGAUUUCGUAGCCCAUUUCGCAACUGCGAAAUGAGGCUACUGUGCUACGAAAUGGCACUCGUGUGCCAAAGGGGUGUUUCGCAGCUGCGAAAAUUUUCGCAGAGGAGGGCAUGGGGCUGCGAAAUGAAUUUCGCAGCCGAUGGGCGAUUUCACAGCGGACCUUUUGGGGCUGCAAAAUCAUUUCGCAGGGGCCCCCUUUUGGCUGCGAAAUUUCGUAAACCACUACUUUUCCCUUUCUUUUAAAUUCCUUUUUGCUCCCAACGACCUUCCUUCGAUUUCUUUGCAAUUCCUCCUACAUGAGAUCAUUCAAAAAGAUUUAAUUACAUACAAAUACACAACUUAAGAUCAAAAAUUAAAAUUAAAAUAAUUAAUAAAGCUUUUAAAUUAACAAAAUUAAACAAAAAUAUGGACUUUGGUGAAACCAAGUCCAUCUAACCCUUGUCUGAUUAGGCUUUAUGUGGCUUAAGGAGGUUGAUUUCCUCAUUUUCUUUCUUGAAUGGCUCAAUGAAUGGCUUGAGACGAUGACCAUUGACCUUGAAAGUGUCAAUGCUGUUGGAAUUCAAUAAUUCCACCACUCCAUUCAAGCGCACUUGGUGAAUAAUGAAAGGGCCUAUUCACCUUGACUUGAGCUUCCCUGGAAAGAUGUGGAGCCUUGAAUCAUAGAGUAAGACUCUUUGUCCUUUAUGGAAUUCUUUAUUGGAGAUUAAUUGAUCAUGCCACCUCUUCAUCCUCUGUUUUGCAACUUUGGAAUUGAUGUAAGCAUCAUUUCUUAAUUCCUCCAUCUCAUUAAGGUCUAAGCACCUAUUUGCCCCGGUUCUGAUCAAGUCCAUGUUUAACUUCUUGAUUGCCCACCAAGCUUUAUAUUCAACUUCCACAGGGAGAUGGCAUGCUUUGCCAUAGACUAGGCGAUAAGGAGACAUACCAAGAAUAGUCUUGUAAGCUGUUCUAUAUGCCCAUAGUGAAUCAUGAAGCUUAAUAGACCAAUCUCUUCUACUUGUGAUCACCACCUUCAUCAAUAUAUUUUUGAUUUCCCUGUUUGCUAGCUCCACUUGAUCGGAUGUCUGAGGGUGAUAAGGUGUAGCUACCUUAUGCUUCACUCCAUACUUGGCUAAUAAGGCUUCAAAAGGUCUAUUGCAAAAAUGAGUACCUCCAUCACUGAUUAUGGCCUUGGGCACCCCAAAUCUUGAAAAAAUGUUCUCUUUGAGAAACUUGAGAACCACCUUGUGAUCAUUAUGUUUACAGGGGAUUGCCUCAACCCAUUUAGAAACAUAGUCCACCCCCACCAAGAUAUAAGAGUUACCAAAAAACAUUGGGAAAUGGCCCAUGAAAUCAAUGCCCCAAACAUCAAAGAGAUCAACUAUUAGAAUGGGGUUCAUAGGCAUUUGAUUCCUUCUUGUUAGCUUUCCAAGCCUUUGGCAUCUAUCACAGCUCCUACACAUGAUGUGGGCAUAUUUGAAAAGUGAUGGCCAAGUAAACCCUGAUUGCAACACCUUCAUGGUUGUUUUCUGAGAGGCAAAGUGGGCUCCACAUGCACUUUCAUAACAAUGGCUGAGGAUUCCUUGUUGCUCUUCUUCAGGAACACACUUCCGUAUUAUUUGAUCUACACAAUACUUGAAAAGGAAAGGCUCCUCCCAAUAAUAAGCAUGAAUCUUUGCAAAGAAGUGCUUCUUGUCUUGUGCUUUCCACUCACUUGGAACAUCACCAGUAACUAGAUAGUUAGCAAUAUGAGUAUACCAAGGAGUUUUUACUAGCAACAUGAGUGAUUCCUCAGGAAAAUCAUCAUUAAUAGGUAAGACAUGGGAAUUGUGUGCUAUAGCCAACCUUGAAAGGUGGUCAGCUACCACAUUUUCCACUCCUUUCUUGUCUCUGAUCUGGAGAUCGAACUCUUGUAGUAAGAGAAUCCAUCUAAUCAACCUUGCUUUAGCAUCUUGUUUUGUCAAUAAAUACUUCAAGGCUGAAUGGUCAAUGAAAACAAUGAUGAAAGACCCUACUAGAUAAGCACGAAACUUGUCUAAGGCAAACACCAUGACUAAAAAUUCUUUCUCUGUAGUUGUGUAGUUUCUUUGAGCUUCGUUCAAGGUUUUGCUUGCAUAGUAGAUCACAUAGGGCUUCCCAUCUUCUCUUUGGCCAAGCACAGCUCCUAUAGCAAAGUCACUGGCAUCACACAUUAUUUCAAAGGGUAGUUGCCAGUUAGGAGCCCUCACUAUUGGAGUUGUUGUUAAGAAUUGCUUCAGUUGAUCAAAGCUCUUUUGACAUCUUUCAUCCCAUAUAAAUUUAGCAUCCUUAGUCAAAAUUUCACAAAGAGGUUUUGAAAGAUUAGAGAAAUCUUUUAUAAAUCUCCUAUAGAACCCUGCAUGGCCAAGGAAUUGCCUCACUCCUUUUACAGUUGUUGGGGACAACAAUUUGAAAAUAAGUUCCACCUUUGCUUUAUCAACUUCAAUGCCUUUCUUGGAGAUGAUAUGGCCAAGGACAAUUCCCUGACGUACCAUAAAAUGGCAUUUCUCCCAGUUGAGCACCAAGUCCUUCUCAAUGCAUCUGUUAAGAACCGCUUCCAAAUUGACUAAGCAUUCUUCAAAUGUACCUCCAUAUACGGUGAUGUCAUCCAUGAAAACCUCCAUAAUUUGCUCCACCAUAUCACUGAAGAUACUCAAUAUACAUCUCUGGAAUGUUGUGGGUGCAUUGCAUAAACCAAAAGACAUUCUUCUGUAAGCAUAUGUUCCAAAUGGACAUGUGAAAGUGGUCUUCUCCUGAUCUUCAACAUCAAUUUCAAUUUGAAAAUAUCCGGAGUACACAUCUAAGAAACAAUAGAAAGGAUGGCUAGAGACUCUCUCCAAAACUUGAUCAAUAAAUGGCAAUGGAAAAUGAUCUUUCCUUGUCACAACAUUCAAUUUUCUAUAAUCAAUACACACCCUCCAACCUGAAGUGAGGCGUGUAGUAAUUUCUUCUCCUCUUUCAUUUUGAACCAUAGUAAUCCCUGACUUCUUUGGUACCACUUGAGUAGGACUCACCCAAGGGCUGUCAGAUAUGGGGUAGAUAAUACCUGCUUGAAGUAGCUUUAACACUUCCACUCGCACCACCUCUUGCAAAUGAGGAUUCAAUCUUCUUUAAGGUUGACGAAUUGGUUUGGAUUCUUCCUCCAUAUAUAUAUGAUGUGUACAAACCAAAGGACUAAUGCCUUUCAAGUCAGAUAUUUGCCAUCCUAUUGCUUUCUUGCACCUCUUGAGAACUUCAAGUAGACACUUUUCCUGAUGAUUAGUAAGAGAUGAAGAUAUAACAACAGGGCAUUGUUUAUUCUCUUCUAGGUAUGUAUAUUUCAACUUCAUGGGCAGAGGCUUCAAAUUAAGCUUUGGGGUUUCUUUUUUAUCAGCUUCUUGUGCCUCCUCUUUAUUGAACAAAGGUAGAAUCUCUUAUCUCCUUCUCCAACCUUGUAGAGUAGCUAGCACAUCAGAGGGUUUAGGCAACCCUUCUUCAAGAUCCCCAAGACUUUCAUUUAAUUUGUCUUGCAUAUUCUGAUUACAGUGCUCCUCCAUUAGAGUGUCAAUAAUGCAUACCUCCUCGAGACCUUCUUCUUUUUCUGGAGUGAUUUGCUUUUUAGACAUAUAAAAGAUAUUGAGCUCAAGUGUCAUGUUGCCAAAAGUGAGUUGCAUGAGUCCAUUCCUACAGUUAAUGAUUGCAUUUGACAUAGCAAGGAAUGACCUUCCAAGGAUGAUAGGAACUGAAUUUGCUUCCUUAACAGUAGGAUCUACUAGAUAGUAGAAAUUGUCAACUUGAACUAAGACAUCUUCAAUUACCCCCCUUGGAAUUUUCACUGAUCUAUCUGCUAGAGAUAGAGUGAUUGAUGUUGGCUUCAAUUCACCAAGUCCCAAUUGCUUGUAGACAGAGUAUGGAAGCAAAUUCACACUUGCUCCCAAGUCUAACAAAGCUUUCUCCACUACCUUUCCUCCAAUCAUGACGGGAAUGGUAGGACAACCCGGAUCUUUGUACUUCAAAGGAGACUUGCAUUGUAUAAUAGCACUUACUUGCUUAGUCAAGAAGGUUUUCUUGUUCACAUUCAACCCUCUUUUGAUAGUACACAAAUCCUUUAGGAAUUUUGCAUAUGUUGGAACUUGUUUAAUCAUAUCUAGCAAUGGAAUAUUGACUUUCACUUGUCUCAAUACUUCAAGAAUUUCUGAUGCAUUUCUAAUCCCCUUUUUCCCAUGUAAAGCUUGAGGAAAAGGUGGAGAGGUGUGCUUCUUCAGCAUUUCUUCCUUAAGAAGUAUCUUCUCCGGAUUUGUAUUCACUGUUGAAUCAUGGUCCUCUUUCUUUUCACUGAUAUCUUUCUUCUUUCCUUUGAUCUCCUCCCUCUUCUUUGUCUCUUCUUCUUCUACCUCUUCAUUGUCUCUUCUUCUUCUACCUCUUCAUGUGGCUUGGGUGUUGGCAUCUCAACCUUUUUACCACUCCUUAGAGUGAUCAAAGCUUUAACAUCUCUCACCUGUGAGGAUUCUCCCUCAUGAGUUUCCACUUCAUGGAUACCCUUGGGGUUUUGGUGAGGUUGAGAAGGAAAUCUACCCUUCUCUUGCAUUGUGUUCAAGUUAGUGAGCCUUGAGAUUGAGUAUUGGAGAUUAUCUAUCUUUUGAGAUAAGUCAUUUUGCAUCCCAUCCAUCAUUUUAUUCAAAGUAUUCUUUACACUGUCAAUUCUUUGACUGAGUUGAGCAUUGAUGGCUUUUUGAUCUCUAACAAAAUCUCCCACAACCUUGCUGAGAUUUACAAUUGCUUGUUCAAGACUUGAAGAUUGUUGAGAUGGUUGAGCCGAUUGUUGGUACUGAGGUGCUCUUGACUUCCAUGAGAAAUUUGGAUGAUUCCUCCAACUUGAGUUGUAAGUAUUUCCAUACGGAGCAUUGUUAUUGGGCUUAAAUUGUCCAACAACGUUUGCUUGAUCUCCAAACAUUUCCCUUGCAACUAGAAUUGUAGGGCAUUCCUCCACCAAGUGUUCAUAAGAUUGACAAUAGGACAUGGCUUUACUUGCACUGGUGAUUCAGCAUCAGCUUGCACUUCACACAUCUUUUUUAGUUCUGGCUCCUCCAAUCUUCUUGUCAUAGCCGCAACCUUUGCUUUCAUAUCAUCAUCUUCAUUCAAGGUAUACAUCCCAGCCUUAGCAUUAAAAGCACUCGGUUGAGACUUCAUCUUUCCCACUUCUCCUUUGUUUGGUUCAUCCCAUCCCCUUGAAACUUCAGCCACAUAAUUCAAGAAAUCCAUCACUUCCUCCAGAUUUUUGCUCAUGAAAUCUCCUCCACACAUUGUCUCGAGGAGUUGCUUCAUUGAGGAAGACAUCCCAUCAUAGAAAUAGCUCACCAAUAGCCAUGUAUCAAAACCAUGAUGAGGGCAAGCAUUGAUGGCUUCCAUGUAUCUUUCCCAACACUCAUAGAAUUUCUCAUUCUUUUUAGUUGAGAAGUUUGAAAUUUGCCUUUUCAAGCCAUUUGUUCUGUGAGUAGGAAAAAAUUUCUUAAGGAAUUCAGCUUGUAAAUCAGUCCAAGUAUGGAUACUAUUUGGCCUUAAAGAAUUAAGCUAAAUUUUGGCUUUAUCCUUUAAAGUAAAAGGAAAUAGCUUAAGCCUCAUUAAGUUAAUUGAAGCUCCUCCCUCUUGGAAUGUAUUACAAACAUCUUCAAAUUCCUUGAUAUGUGCAUAGGGAUUCUCACUUUCCAUCCCAUGGAAAGUUGGUAGAAAUGGAACAAUAUGCGGUCUGAUCACUAGCUGCUCUGUAGGGGGCAUUAUACAUGAUGGUGCACUCAUAUGAGGUGGAUGCAUGCGGUCCCUCAUUGAUCUGAAAGCAUUGGGAUUGUCCUGGUGACCAUGGUGACUAUGCUGAUCUUCAGGUGUAGCUUCCAUGAUAUUCAAGCUCAAUUCCAAUUCCUUGUUAUGAGGUGUAUCACGUUUAACAAGCCUUCCUCCACUGUCUCGUAUCCAAUUUGGCAUACACAACUAGUAUCAACUGUAACUAUAAAAAAAACAAAAGAAAACAAGACUACAAAAAGACUAAAAUAAAGUAAAUCUGAAUUAAAAGAUGUAUUCAAAUAUGAACAAGUAAAGAAAUAAUAAAAAAAAAUAGUAAGAUGAAAGAAAAGUUACCAAACUUGUGAUGAAAAUCACAAGUACUCUAAAAUAGUAUCACUGUGAAAUUGGCACCUUCCCCGGCAACGACGCCAUUUGAUUUCGUGCCCAGCUGGUAUACCUUGAUUUUGGUCCUCUGAUGGGAGUAAUCAACAAAAUUUAUAACCUAUUACACCAUGUACUAGGAUAGCCUCGGCUAGCAUAUCAUAGUAGCUCUAGGAUCGUUCACUAGGAAGGGUUUUCAAUUAUAAAUGAUACCAAUUCAAAGUGAAUUGGUGCCUUUUCAUUUCAAGGUUAGCUUUAAAAGAAAACAUAAACUUGGGUUGGAAAAGGUUUGGUUUUAAGCUAAUUAAAAAGAAAGUAAUGGGAAUUACUUAUAAAGAAAAGCGUUUCUUGGAGUUUUAGGAUCACCAGGGUUAGGCUCCUUAUACAAAAACAGAGUUUUGGUCACUUUGAUUCUUUUCCUCGCAUUGGAGAAUUAACAUAUAGUUCAUUCUCCAACCGGUGUUGUACAGAUGCAGCCCAUUUAUGGAUUUUAGCAUUAAAUCCCUCUCACUGAUGCAUCUCGCAAUGGCUCAUGCCUCUCACCUAGCAUUUUCCAUUCAAGGUGAUCAUUAACCUUGGACUUCCCUUCUCAAGCUCACAAGAGGUAACUAAUGGAUGUCUCCUUAGAGUCUAAAAGCUUACCAAGUGUUGGCAAUUCUAGAAAAUCCUACCUUCAAGUCACCUCCCAAAGGCUCGCAAGAGAUAAACUAGUGAAUCUCCAUGGACGGAGAUCACUUGCCUUACCAAGUGUUGGCCCAUGUGAAUUGAAGGCGUUUUAAGUUAACUAAAAAGAUAAAAACCAUUAACGGGUUACACUUCCUCUUCAUUUACAGCUGAAACCACAAAACUCUAAAUUCGUGCAUUUGGAAACUUACCCGGCUACCUUAGCUCCAAGAGACACAAAGUCUAGCCACUCAUUCUCUGAGGAAACAUCCUCAGAGCUUGUUUGGCUAGUAAGAAAAAUACAAUCAAAAUGAGAAGGUAAGGCAGAGCAAAGCUCUGCAUUUUACUUCCUUGAAAAACUAUACAAAAAGUUGGUUUUUCUCUGAGAACAGGCUCUCAAGAUAUCAUUGAUAUGAAAAUUACAAGAAUAAUAUAUACAUGGUUAUUCACCCUUUUUGUCUUUCUUAGCAACUAAGGAAUCCUAUAAUUGGUGAGUUACAAGGAGAAAAUGGGGAUUUAGAUAUCAAAUAUCUGAAGCAAAAUAUCCAAAAGUGUUCGCAAAUAUCUGGAAGCACUCAGGAGAAUUUCACAGACGUACAAGAUGGCUGUGAAAUUUCGCAGCCAAAGGCUGAUUUCGCAGAGGCUUUCCUUAGGCUGCGAAAUUGGCCUUCAGCUUGGUGUGAUCAGCUUCCAAUGGCUCUAACUUCUUCAUUUCAACUCCGAUUCAUGUACUGUUUGAAGCGUUGGAUUGCUAACUUCCAGAGCUUCGAAACGACAUAUGGUAUGCAUCAAAUAGGCUCUGGAAAGUGCUUCAAAAGUGUCAAACAGUUGAUGUCCUCUUGCAUUCUUCAUGUUACUUUCAUCCUUGCAUUCUUGAUUUGUUUUUGGCAAAGGACUACAAAGCUUCAAAGCUUGAAUUCUUCAUGUUAAUGAGCUUCCAAUUGCUUUGCCAUGGAUUCCAUGGAACUCUCCUUAGUCUUGGAUUGCUUUGGUGAUCAAAAUACUAUCAAAAGCACCAAAACUUACACAAUUUGAUUAGAAAUGAUUGCAAAGGUACUUAAUAUGUUAAUUGAGUUAAAAGGUAAUAACUACUACUCAAAAGUGUUUAAAAGAGUUAAUUACAAGCUAUCAAUUAGUACUUUUUGAGUAGUAAUCAAGGGUCCACCUAAUCAGUCUUGCCUUGGCAUCUUGCUUGGUCAACAAAUACUUCAAAGCAGAGUGAUUGGUUAAUACCACUAUGAAAGACCCCACCAUGUAAGCACGAAAUUUGUCCAAGGCAAAAACUACCGCUAACAAUUCCUUCUCGGUGGUUGUGUAGUUUCUUUGCACCUCAUUGAGUGUCUUACUGGCAUAAUAGAUCAUAUAGGGUUUUCUAUCUUCUCUUUGGCCCAACACAGCUCCAAUAGCAAAAUCACUAGCAUCGCACAUUACCUCAAAAGGUAAUUGCUAGUUAGGAGCUUGCACAAUGGGUGUUGUUGUUAGAAAUGACUUUAAUUGCUAAAAAAUUCUUUGAAAUCUUUCAUCCCAUAUGAAUUUGGCAUCCUUGACCAAUAGUUCACAAAGAGGACUUGCAAGCUUUGAAAAGUCCUUGAUAAACCUCCUAUAGAACCCGACAUGUCCAAGGAAUUGCCUUACUCCCUUGACAUUGGUGAGGGAUGGCAACUUGACAAUGAGUUCAACUUUUGCUUUAUCAACUUCAAUUCCCUCCUUAUAGAUGAUAUGCUCGAGAACAAUCCCUUGUUGUACCAUGAAAUGGCACUUCUCCCAGUUAAGCACCGAGUCUUUUUCAAUGCACCGAUUUAGAACAACUUCUAAGUUUACCAAGCAAUCCUCAAAUGCACUUCCAUAAACGGUGAUAUCGUCCAUAAAGACUUCCAAAAUUCGCUCCACCAUAUCACUAAAGAUGCUUAGCAUGCAUCUUUGGAAAGUUGUGGGUGCAUUGCAUAAACCAAAAGGCAUUCUCCUAUAUACAAAUGUACUAAAGGGGCAUGUGAAAGUGGUCUUCUGUUGAUCUUCCAAAUCAAUCUCUAUUUGAAAGUAGCCAGAGUGGCCAUCCAAAAAACAGUAGAAAGGAUGCCCAGAAACCCUUUCAAGCACUUGGUCAAUAAAAGGCAACGGGAAAUGGUCCUUCCUUGUCACCGCAUUCAAUUUCCUGUAAUUGAUACACACCCUCCAACCAAUAGUAAGGCGUGUGGAGACAUCUUCUCCCAUAUCAUUCCGCACCACCGUGAUCCCAGACUUCUUUGGGACAACCUGGGUUGGACUCACCCAUAAGCUAUCUGAUAUGGGAUAAAUAAUACCGGCUUGAAGUAGCUUCAAAACUUCAUCUCGCACCACCUCUUGCAUGUGAGGGUUCAACCUUCUCUACAGUUGGCGAAUUGGCUUUGCUUCCUCCUCCAUAUAGAUAUGAUGGGUGCACACCAAAGGGUUGAUCCCUUUCAAGUCUGAAAUUUUCCACCCAAUGGCCUUCUUACAUCUUCUAAGGACUUCAAUUAGACAAUCCUCUUGAUGAAUGGUGAGAGCUGAAGAGAUCACCAUAGGGCACUGCUUGUCUUCCUCCAAGUACGCGUAUUUCAACCCAGUAGGAAGAAGCUUAAGAGUAAGCUUUGAGGGCUCCUCCUUACCAACUUUGUGCGACUCCUCAUCAUUGAAUAAAGGUAGAAUCUUUUCCCUCUUCCUCUAAUGAGACAUGGUAGUUAGCAAAUCUGAGGGUUCAGGUAACCCUUCAUCAAGAUCCCUAAGACUCUCAAUCAAAUGUUCCUCCAUGCUCUGUUCACAAUGCUCCUUAACCAAAGUGUCAAUCAUGCACACUUCCUCUGACCUUUCCUCUUCUACCGGAUGGAGAUGCUUCUUGCACAAAUGGAAGAUGUUUAGCUCCAAGGUCAUGUUGCCAAACGUGAGUUGCAUAAUUCCAUUCCUACAAUUGAUGAUUGCAUUAGAUGUAGUGAGGAAUGGUCUUCCAAGUAUGAUUGGCACAUAGUUUUUCCUCGUGACAACUGGAUCAGUAUCAAGAACAACAAAAUCUACUGGAUAGUAGAAUUUGUCAACUUGUACUAAGACAUCCUCAAUUAUCCCCCUUGGGAUCUUCACUGAUCUAUUAGCUAGGGAGAGAGUAAUGGAUGUAGGCUUCAACCCCCCAAGUCCCAACUACUUGUAAACCGAAUAGGGUAGCAAAUUCACACUUGCUCCCAAGUCUAGAAGAGCUUUCUCCACACAUGUCCCUCUAAUAUUUACUGAAAUGGUGGGGCAUCCUGGAUCUUUAUACUUCACUGGAGAUUUGUACUGGAUGAUAACACUUACUUGUUCAGUUAAGAAGGUUUUCUUGGUCACAUUUAACCCUCUCUUUACAAUGCACAAGUCCUUCAAGAAUUCGGCAUAAGUUGGAACUUGCUUGAUCAUGUCAAGUAAAGGAAUGUUGACCUUCAGUUACCUCAACACUUCAAAAUUUUAUGAUGUAUUCUUGGUUCCCUUCUUACCAUACAAAGCUUGAGGGAAAGGUGGAGGCAUGUGCUUCUUCAUCAUAUCUUCCUUGAUGACUAUCCUUGGUUCUUCAUCCACACUUGAAUCAUGGUCACCUUCAUCUGACUUCUUCUCACCCAUGUUUUUCUCUGAUUCACUUCCUUCACCAUGCUUCAGCUUGGGUGGGGGUUGAACAACCUCCUUACCACUCCUAAGAGUGAUAACUACUUUGACUUCCCUCACCUUUGAAGAUUCUCCCUCUUAAGCUUCUACUUCAUGAAUACCCUUUGGAUUUUGACGAGGUUGAGAAGGAAACUUUCCUUUCUCUUACACAGUAUUGAGGUUGGUGAGCCUUGAGAUGGAAUAUUGAACAUUAUCUAUCUUCUGAGAUAGAUCAUUUUGCAUCACAUCCAUCCUCUUAUUCAAUGUACUCUCCAUUCUAUCAAUUUUCUGAUUCAAUUGAGAGUUGAUUGACUUUUGCUCCCCCACAAAGUCUCCCACAACCUUGCUAAGAUUCACAAUGGCUUGUUCAAGGUUUGAAGCUUGUUGAGGUGCUUGAGCUGGUGGUGUAUACUGAGGUGGCCUUGGCUUCCAUGAGAAAUUUGAAUGGUUCCUCCAAUUAGAAUUGUAGAUGCUUCCAUAAGGAGCAUAGUUGUUAGGCUUGAAUUGGACAACCACAUUUGCUUGAUCACCAAACAUUUCUCUCACUGUUGGAAUGGUUGGGCACUUCUCCACCAAGUGCUCAUAAGACUGACAUAUGGAACAAGGUGUAGCUUGCACUCGUGUCUCGGAAAUGACCUGUACUUCUUGUACUUUCUUCAGUUCUAGCUCUUCCAAUCUCCUUCCCAUAGUUGCAAAUUUUGUUUUCAUGUCCAUGUCUUCACUCAACACAUACAUUCCACCCUUAGCAUUGGAAUGAGACUUCAUCCUCCCCACAUCUCUAGUAUUCGGUUCAUCCCAUCCUCUUGAAACUUCAGAAACAUAGCUCAAGAGUCCAUAGCUUCCUCCGGAUUCUUACUCAUGAAGUCUCCUCCACACAUGGUCUCUAGGAGUUGCUUCAUACAGGAAGACAUACCAUCAUAGAAAUAACUCACUAAGAGCCAUGUAUCAAAGCCAUGGUGAGGAAAAGCGUUGAUAGUUUCCAUGUACCUCUCCCAACACUCAUAGAAUUUCUCAUUCUCCUUAGCUAAGAAGUUUGAAAUUUGCCUUUUCAAGCCAUUGGUCCUAUGAGUAGGGAAGAACUUCUUGAGAAACUCAGCUUGUAAAUCAGUCCACCUUCUGAUACUCCUCGACCUUAAAGAAUUAAGCUAAACCUUGGCCUUAUCCUUUAAGGUGAAAGGGAAUAGCUUGAGUCUCAUCAAGUCAAUUGCAGUUCCUCCUUCUUGGAAUGUAUUGCACACGUCUUCAAACUCCUUGAUGUGAGAAUAGGGGUUCUCACUUUCCAUCCCAUGGAAAGUAGGUAGAAGUGGCACUAUAUGAGGUCGGAUCACUAGCUGCUCAAUGGGAGGCACUAUGAAUGAAGGUGCACUCAUCCGAGGUGGAUGCAUGCGGUCCCUCAUGGAUUUUGAGAUUCUCCUCUUGCUCAUGUUGGCUAUGUUGAUCUUCAGGUGGACAAUCCAUGAUGUUCAAGUAGACUUCAAACUCGGUUUCUUGAGGAGCUUCAAUUUUCACAAGUCUUUCCUCAAUAUCUCUUAUCCAAUGGGGCAUACACAACUCAUGAUUUCUGAAAUAAAAACAAAGAAAACCAAAGGACUACAUUUCUAGGAAAAGAUUUAAGGUUAGAUAAAAACUAAAUGAAAGAUAAAAUAAAAUAAAAACAAAGAAAACGAGUUAGUGAAAGAAAAAUCACUAACUUGUGAUGAAGAUCACAAGUACUCAUAAAAGGUAACAUUUAUGUACUUAGGUACCAUCCCCGACAGCGGUGCCAUUUAAUUCAUGCCCAGCCGGGUGUUUAUCAAAACAUUUAUAAAACCUACAACACCUUAUACUAGGGUAGCAAAGACAAAGCUACUAUAGUAUAGUGGCUCUAGGAUCGUCCACAGGAAUGGGUUUUCUUUGUACACUUAACAUUAAUGAAAGGAGAAACAGUGAUUUCCUUUUUGGAAGUUAGCUUUUAAAUGAAAAUAAGAUUGAUUGGAAGGGUUGAUUUUAAGUUAAGCAAACAUAAACAACUGAAAUUACUAUAAAGAGAAAGUCUCUUGGAGCUAUAGGUUACUAGGAUCAGGUUCCUGUUGCAAAGUGGGAAAUUACAAAUCUUCUCCUCGCAUUGGGGAUAAUAACAUAAAGGAUGGUUAUCUCCCGAACCGGAUUUGUAUUUAGCAAAUAAGUUUUGAUCGAAAGGAUUCUUGAAAAAUGGUAGUUGCUUCCCAUUAAUGGCUUCAAACACUAAAGACCCUCACCUUGAACCACCUUCUAAUGGCUCAUACUUGAUAACUAAUAGACAUCCAUGGAUUUAGCAAUAAGCAUCCAUAGAAUCCUAAAAGCUUACCAAGUAUUGGCCAUUCAAGGUGAUUCUAAGGGAUUAAAGCUGAAACUUGAAAUACAAACCAUUAAUGAUACACAACUACCUUCAUUUUUAGCAAGGAAAACUCCAACCUUUUCAUCUAGGUCCUUUACCUAGCUUCCAUAACUCCAAAAAAUGUGAAAAUUAGCCACUCAUCCUUUGAGAAAUCAUCCUCAGAGGGUGUUUGGCUAGAGAGAAAGUGAAGAGAAAAUGAGAAGAAAAGGCAGAGAAAAACUCGUCUUUACAAAAUCUCUCAUCCUUUGAGAGGUUUUCCAACCCCUAUUUAUAGUUCCUAAACAAACCCUAAUGUCAUUUAUCUAUUACAAAAGGAGUAAAAAGGAAAAAAUUACAAUUCUGGAGAUUUUUCCCAAAGGUCGAUGCGCAUAAAGUGAUUUUUGCACACCCUGCAAAAAUUUGGCACACCUUGCCAAAUUUUGGCACACCUUGCGAAUUUUGGCACACCUUGCAAAUUUGAUGAUUUUGCCUUGCGAAAUGCUCUAUUUCUCUCCAUCUUACUACUAAUAGCUUUGCCAGCCCCUUUCCAAGUUUGGCAAGGGGUUUUGAAGUGCUCCAAGGCUCGGAUUCUUCAUGUGAUUGAUCUUCAACUUGCCUUGCCAUAGCUUGCACAAAACUCUCCCUCAAUCUUGGCCGGUUUCGGUGAUAAAAAAGCUACCAAAAACACUAAAACUUACCAAAAAUUGGUUAGUAACAUUCUCUAGGUCCUUACAUGCCAAUUGGGAUAAAAAGGUCUAACUACUACUCAAAAGUGCUUAGUACAAUUAAGUUUAAGCUUAUAAAAAUGCACUUUUUGAGUAGUAAUCAUAUAGUCUUUUCCUAUUCUUUGAGGGUUGUUCCAAGAUUAAAUAUGCUCAGUUUCAUAAUUGAAAGGACUUUUUCAUAUUGCUAAGAAAAAAACUUGUGAGAUUGAUUUUUCUAUCAAAAUUCUUAUCUCUAAAGUGGAUUCAUUUGAGUGGUGAGCUUAAUUCUAAGUUCUUAUCUUUAAGGUGAUGAAUUUCUUAUCCUUAAAGUGGUGAACUUGUGUUAUUAACUUAUCAUUUUAUUUCCUUAAAACGUUAUCAUUUUGUGUCGAAAAAAGUAGUUACAGGCUCCCUUCAAGUUUCUCAUGUAUCAACCCGUAAUCAACUUGUGGAUAUACUCAACAAACCAUUGCCCAAGUCCUGCUUUACAUUCUUUCAGUCCAAGAUUGGCAUUUUUUUUAUGGAAGCCCCAUCUUGCAAGGGCAUAUUAGGAGAGAACCAAUCUCACCCACAAAUUAAGAGCACUCAAUGGUGAAGUAUUAAGUUUAGGAGUAACAGAUGUAUACCUUGUAUAGCUGUUGUAUCUUUUGGAAAGUCUAAUACAAAAGAUUAAUCUUCAAACUCUAAUAAGAGAAUUUGAAAUUUUGAGUGUGAAAAAAGAAAUCGAAAUAAAUCUCUAAUUAUUUUUCUAGAGUAUUAGCUGUUGUGAGUUUACAAUAAAAAUACGUCAAAAGUUUGAAUGAUAGCCAUGUGGUAAAAAAAUAUGUUCAAUCUUUAGAUUCCAAAUAAGUUUAACUAUAUUGUUGUUGUCAUUGAAGAAUAUAAACAUUUAGAUUCUAUGACCAUUGAUCAACUCAUGAGAUCACUACAAGCUCAUAAAGAGAUUAAAAAUAAAUAACUAAGAAAAAUUACAACUUUUUUAAACAGAUUAAACUUAUACUAAAGAAGAAUGAUGAAAACAUUAGUGAAAGAAGUCAAAACAAUCAUGAAUAUGUCAAAGACAUGGUCAUAGCCAUGGCUAAGACAAUAGAGGAAGAGGUAGGUUUAAUUUAUCAAACAAUUAAAUAACAAGUCAAAAUUCACAUUCCUUAGGAGGACAUGAAAGAUGACACAACUUAAGGCACAAUAAAAGAAGAGGAUAUGAUAAAUUUCAAAUUGAAUGUUAUAAUUAUAAAAAAUAUGGUCAUGAUGCUUAUGAAUAUAGAAAUGCUACAAACAAUAUGAAAAGACACAUCAAAGGAGUUGCCACCUAGGACCAAACUUCCUACUGAUCAAGUCUCAUAUCGAAUAUCACUUUUGAAGUUACUAGAGCUAAGGAGGUAAUUGAAGAAACUAUUGGAUGCACGCAUGAUCCAAUCUUUAAGGGUUUGUUACGAUGCUCCUAUCUUAUUCCAAAUAGAUGUGUGUUAACUAUUGGGCCUUGAACAAAGUAACGAUCAAGAAUAAGUAUCCAAUCUCCUUAGUGGAAGAAUUAAUUAAUAAACUGGCCAAGGCAAAGUUUUUCUCCAAAUUGGACUAGUGGUUAAGAUACUAGCAAGUAAGGAUUGUAGAGGGGGACAAAAAAAAAAAAAAAAGACUACAUGUGUAACCCACUAUGGGCCAUAUGAGUUCCUCAUGAUGCCAUUUAGACUAACUAACGCCUCAAUAACAUUCUACAACCUAAUGAAUGAUUUUCCAUACAAGUUCUUAGAUGCCUUUGUUGUUGUUUACUUUAAUGCAUUGUUGUCUAUAGCAAGACCUUAGAAGAGCAUGUGAAUCACUUGAGAUUACUAUUUCAAAGACUAAGAGCACACGAACUCUACUUGAAGAUGGAGAAGUGUGAGUUCACACAAAGUCAUAUUACCUAUCUAAGACAUAAGAUAGAUGAAGGGUUUAUCAAGAUGGAUGUUCAAACCAUUAAAGAUUGGCAUGCUCUAAGCAAGGUGACACUACCUGACUAUUAUUGAAUGUACAUAAGGGGCUACUUCAAGAUAGUGGCUCCCUUUGCUAACCUUUUAAAGAAGGAUAUUUGGGAUUGGAGUUUUGAAUGCUAGAAAGCUUUUGAGAAGUUGAAAGUAGUGAUUUGAGUUAAGUUGGUGUUGCAAUUACUAGAUUUGGAUCUCCUAUUUGAGACUCAAACAGAUGCAUUAGCUAGGGCCUUAGGGGGGAUCUUGGUGAAGGAAGGGCACCCACUAGCCUUUGAGAGUUGAAAACUUAAUGAGUUAGAACAAAGAUACUCUACUCACGAGAAAGAGAUGACAAUGAUUAUUCAUUGCUUAUAAUAGUGGAAGCAUUAUCUGUUGGGGAGUAUAUUUACUAUAUAUGGUCACAGGCAACAUAGUUAAUACAUUUUUCAAGAUGCAAAUGGAGUUGAGCCAUAAGCAAGCUAGGUGGCAAGAAUUCUUAGCCAACUUCAAGUCUGAAUGGUUGUAUUGACCAAGAAGACAUACUGUAGUUAUAAAUGCCUUAAACCAAAAGGAAUUGACAGAGUAUGUGAUCGCUCUAUCACAUGUAAUCUCAUAUUUUAAUGAAAAUAUCAAACAAGCUACUAAGAUUGAUUCUACUUAUGAGAAGAUGAAACAACAAGUCAAAGAGGGGGCUACUAAAAAAUAUUGGGUAGAAGAUGACCUCUUAGUGGCUAAAAGAGGUAGGCUAUAUGUACCAAGAAGUUGCUUACACAAGGAGUUGCUAAGAGAGACCUAUGAUGUUGAGUAGCAAAGAGAUGACAUCAAUAGUAUUGUCCAACUACUGUUACUAGCUAAAAAUAGGAGAGAACAUCUAGGCUUAUGUUCAAUAUUGUUUGAUAUGUCAAUUGGGUAAGACAAGCAAGAAGAAAGCUAUAAGGUUACUACAACCUCUCCCUAUCCAAAAGAGACCUAUUUGUGGACUUCAUCGGUGGCUUUCCAAAAGUGAACGAAUUCAAGUAUAUCUUCAUGAUAGUAGAUAGACUCUCUAAGUAUGUUGCUUUCAUACUUACACCACAUGCAUGUCCCGUAGAAGAGGUUGUUAGGCUAUUCCUCAACCAUGUGGUCAAGUACUUCAAGUUGCCUAAAGACAUAGUCAGUGAUUUCGAUGCUCAAUUCAUUGGUGAUUCGUGCCAAGAUGGUGUACCUUGAUUUUGGUCCUCUGAUGGGAGUAAUCAACAAAAUUUAUAACCUAUUACACCAUGUACUAGGAUAGCCUUAGCUAGCAUAGCAUAGUAGCUCUAAGAUCGUUCACUGGGAUGGGUUUUCACUUCACAAUCGAUAUUAAUUCAAAGUUGAAUUGGUGUUUCUUCAUUUCAAGGUUAACUUUAAAAGAAAACAUAAAGAUGUUUGAAAAGGUUGGUUUUAAGCUAACAAAAAAUAGUAACUAAUUUUAAUUACAAAGAAAAGUGUUUCUUGGGGUUUCAGAUCACUAGGCUCAGGUUCCUUAUACAAAAAGGGAGUUCAGGUCACUUGAAUCUUUUCCUCACGUUGGGGAUUUAACAUAUAGUUAUUUCCCAAACCAGUAUGGUAUAGAUGCUUCUCCUUAAUGGGUUCAAACACUAAUUCCCUAUCACUGAAUCAUCUUGCAAUGGUUCAUACCUCUCACCUAGUAUUGGCCAUUCAAGGUGAUCUUUAACCUUGGAUUACCCGUCAAAAGCUUGCAAGAGAUAAGUAAUGGAUGUCUCCUUGGAGUCCAAAAGCUUACCAAGUGUUGGCUAUUCUAGAAAAUCCUACCUUUAAACCACCUCCCAAAGGCUCGCAAGAGAUAAACUAGUGUAUCUCAAUGGACGGAGACCACUUGCCUUACCAAGUGUUGGCCCAAGUGAUUUAAAGGCGUUUUAAGUUAACUAAAAACAUAGAAACCAUUAACGGGUCACACUUUCUCUUCAUUAAAAAUUGAAACAACAAAAACUUCCAAUUUUUGCAUUCGGAAACUUACCCGACUUUCUUCACUCCAAGAGACAAAAAGCCUAGGCACUCAUAUUAUGAGGAAACAUCCUCAGAGUUUGAUUUGCUAUAAAUAAAAAUGACGAGAAAACAAAAAUAUGAAGGAAAAACAGAGCAAGUGCUCUGUAAAAUAUAUUUCUUACUAUCGUCGAUUACAUAUCUGAUAUAUGAUAUAUGAUUUACAUUGGUUCAAAGAUAUAUAUAUAUAUAUAUAUAGAAGAUAUUUUCUAAGAAAUAUCCCAAUAAUAUCUUUGACUGAUUACAAAGAGAAAAUAGAAAUUUACAAAAUAUCUUGAAAAAAAUCUAACUUAGUCGGUGGCAAAUAUCUGAGUUUACACAAGUGGAUUUCGCAGCUGCGAAAUGGCCUUUGGGUUGCAAAAUUUUCGCACAACUUGAUGUAGUUGUCUUCAAACGGCCAUAACUUCUUCGUUUCAACUCCGAUUCGCACACCGUUUGAAGCGUUGGACUUCUAACUUCCCAAUAUUCGAAAAGAAAAGAAAUGGAAUCCAGGAAGUACUCGAAAUAUGUCCAACAGUUGUUGUCCUCUUGAAUUUCCUCAUGUUAGAUUUCUCUCAUUUUCCUCCUUGCAUUUUUUAUUGGCUUUGGCAAAGGACUACAAAGCUCCAAAGCUUGAAUUCUCCAUGUAAAUGAGCUUCCAUUUUCUUUGCCAUGGAUUAUAUAGAACCCUCCCUUAUCUUAGAUUGCUUUGGUGAUCAAAAAGCUAUUUGAUUAGAAGUGAUUGCAAGGGUCCUUAACAUGCCAAUUGAGUUAAAAGGUAAUAACUACUACUCAGAAGUUGGAGCUUUCUACAUUAACAAGAAUGGAUUUGGGAACAUCUAAAUAAUAUGUAUAACACUUUUCUCUAGAUCUAUGAAAUGUUUUUGUUUUUUAAAUACCAAAGUUUUCAACUAUGCUUAGAUCUAGAAAGCAUAAGAUAAUGUUACAUGCACCCUAAUAAUCCAAGGCCUAGGAAUAUAGCGAUCUAAGGUUUCCUAACAAAAUAACCCAAUAAGUAAGAAUGAUUUAUAGGAACUAAAAUUUCUUUCAAAAAGAAAAGAAGAUUAUUGGAGUAAAAUAGGUAUACAAGAGAGGAAAAAAUGCAAAAGAAGUAAAAAAAAUACAAAGCAACAUUGGCGCAAAGGAUUACAAGUAAGAAUAAUGCACCAACAAGACAAGGGUAUUUGCUCUCAUUGCUCUUUUAGUAACUAUAAGAUUAAUAAUCUCUUUGGUAGUUUAAAUUAGUUGAAAAUUUUCAAAUGAAUGUGAAAUCCAAUUUUUUGAAUUGACAUUUGGAAGAAGAAGUGUAUGUAGAAUAAACCAUAGUCGGUAUACAUAUAUGGGCAUGAGAAUAAAGUUCCAAAAUUGAAAAUAACCUUGUAUGUAAUAAAACAAACACUAAGAGCAUGGAAUAAUUGAAUUGACCAAUAUUUUCACGAUAAUAAUUUUGCUUGAUACCUUAAUGAACAUGCUCUCUACAUAAAAUUGAAAGAAAAAAGUGAUAUAUUACUUAUUUGUUUGGAUGUGAAUUGUUUGAUCUUUAUUGGAACUAAUCCAAUCAUGUUUAGUGAGUUCAAAAAAGUAAUAGGACAAAAGUUUGAGAUGAUUGGAUUAGUCUCUCUUGGCAUAGACUUGAAGCAGAUUGAAAAGAGUACUUUUUAUUUCUCAAGAAGACCAUGCAAAAUAAUUUUUUAGAAAGUUUAACUUGAAUAUGUGUAAUAUGGUAAACACAAUAAUAUAAUGCAAAGCUAAAUUAUCAAAGACAUGUAGAAGGAGAAAAAGUGGAUUCAACAUAACAUAAAAUCUUAGUUGGAACCAUACACUAUUUGACUCAUACAAGUUCAAACAUUCUCUUUGGAGUUGGAUUUAUCCAUCAUUAUAUGGAAGCACUAAUGAUUAUUUACACUAAGACCUCCUAGUGAAAUUUUCAUUUUUCACUACAUCAAUGACACAUUUGAUUAUGACUAAUAUUAUUCACCUUUAACAAUUUUAGACUUGUUGGAGAUAAUGAUAGUAAUUAAGGUGGAGACUUGGAUGAUACAAAGAGAACCAAUAGCUUUAUAUUCCUCAUGGGAGAGAUACCAUGUUCACUUGGACUUCAAAGAAGCAACCUAUUGUGAAACUUUCAACCUAUGAAGUGGAAUUUCUGAAAAUGUUUACAAAAUCUCAUAAUCAAAUUGUGAAAAUGUUUACAAAGAGUCUCAAGUUUAAUGAUUUUAGAAUGCAUGAGUGAAAAUGUUGACAAAGUUUAAAAUUUUUAGAAAACUAAGGAUGUUAUUUUUACUAACCAAGUUGAAGGGAGGAUGUUAGUUAAACUGGAUUUAGGAAGUUUCUAAAAAUUAGAAUUUGAGUUAGAUUCUAAAAUGCUUGAUUUAGUUUGUAUAUUUGUUAUUACAAGAUUUUAUAUUUUACCAUUAUGAGUAUCUAUUUUUUUUUAGGUGUUAAUACCUAUAAAUAAGAUGUUAUGUAAUAGUUGAACAAGAGUGGUGGAAGACAAUAAAUUUUUUCUUAAUCAUCUCAAUUAUUUAAAUAUCUCCCUUUACACAUGUAAUUACUUGUGUAUUUUUUUUCAACCAUAUUACUGCAACAUAUGUGAAUCUGUUGGUUGGUCUAUGAAAAUUUAUAUCAGUUGUUCAACCUUUUAAAUUUAUAUGUAACGGUAUUUAGAUCACAGGAUCUUUCCCUAAGCCCGCAUUUUUCUAAAUAUAUAAUUAAAAUUGUUGUGUUUGCAAUUUUAACGAAAUCUAGCGUUGGAUACUUAACUACAUCCCACAAAACGACAAAAAAAAUGGUGGCGAUUUCAUGGAGGCUAACCAUUCACUUGCCUUUAGCCAAGUCGUGUUUCAACAGUAAAGUAAUUAUCUCAAUCAAAACACAAAAUUUAGUUUUCUAAACAAUUAUUGUUCUUGGAAAACAUGCAAGGAACUUAAGCAACUUAAGUGCCAACAUCUGCUCUCUCUCUCUCCAGCAUGCAAUCGUAAGUGGUAGGCACCUCUUUUAUGCUUUAAAUUAAUUGAAUACUUGAUCUUAUUCCGUCAUUCUUUUGGGUCUAACCCAAAAAUACAUUUACCAUGCCUUCUUUUCAUGUCCUCAACUUACUCAAAAGCUCAUAAGUCCCAUUGGAUAUGAUGUACUAAGUUUCAGAUUUUUGAAGUAAAAUUAUCAACAUUGUCUAGCAUAUAUAGUAAUAGGUUAUACUCUUUUCAACAAUUUAAAUUGUUUUUGUUAAUAGAUUAUAUGGAUGUUUUAACACUCAAAGAAAUUGAAAUGAAGCCAAAUAUGCAAAAAAAAAAAAAAAAAAAUGGUUGUGACCAAUAGUUAUAUUUAUUCUCUUUAAUUUCUAUUAAUACUCAAAUUUUUAGGGAUAGAGCAUCAACAAUCCUUGUGAUGAGUUAAUAAUGUUGAGAAAAGUCAAUGACUACACAAUGUAGAUUAAAACCAAAUAUGUCAUCAAAGAAGACAUCAAUAAUAACCCCACACAAUGAUAUGUUGUAUAAUUCAUUACUUGUAUCAAACACAAAUUUCCUUCAAUGUGUGUAUAUGAAUAAAAGAGACUUCUUAGUUUAUAUUUGACAUACAUGCUAUAUAGGCCAUGCUAAUAGCAAUUGAUAACAAGAAUCUCAACACUGAAGUCCAUGUAGAAUCAGGUGUGCACCAUAUUGGGGUUACAUAGUUAGGAUAUUGAAAGAAGCAUGAGUAUAGGAUGGUGAAAGUUCAAAUGAGAAGUGUUAUAAGAUCAUUGCCAAAGCUAUUUUUGCCUCCAUCAUUGCAAAAUUUUGUCCAAUGCAUACCCGAGGACCCCAACCAAAUGGGAAAAAUGAAACUUGGUUUUUUGUUACCUUUAAAACUCCUUCUACAAACCUCUUUGGAUUAAACUCCUUUGCAUCAUCCCCCCAAAUUUCAUGAUCAUGGUGAACUAGGAUGGUGGGCAACACGACCUGCAAUCCAGUUGGAAAACACAUGUCUCCCACUUGAGUGUCCUUAUAAACAACUCUAGGAAGCAUUGCUAUUGGUGGGUAUAACCUAAGAACCUCAUGAAAAAUCAUGGUGACCUGUGGUAGAGAAACUUUAGAAGUUGUUGCAAGAGAAUUCUUACUAAAAUACAUUCUAAAUCAUUAUGAAGGACACUGAAGAAGAAAGCAAUUUCUUAAAAUAGUGAUGCAGAAGAGAAAAUGUUCUAAAUCAUGCAUGACAAAAUAUCAAGUAUGCAAAGGACAUUGCAUAUCCCAUGGAUAUAAUAACUUAAGAACCUCAUGAAAAAUCAUCAUAAUCUAGCAGAGAAAUUUGAAAUCAUGGCAUGAGAACCCGUUCCUAAGCUACUAAGUGAAAGCAAAUGUUUAGUAUAAGAUAUAAAAACUUAAGAGAAAUGUGUUUUCAAUUUUACUUCAAUUAUGGGGAAAAAAACCAGAGUACUAUACGAUUUUAGUGAGAAUCACUAAACUGAAGAUUGGACUAAGUACUCACAAUUUUUAGGUGAUUUAAUCCAUCAGCUUCCCAUUUUUUAUUCCCAAAAACCUGUAAAACCUCUUCUCUUGCACGAGCUUGCUAGUUUGGAUGCUCGCUUAGCAGGACCAUUGUCCAUACAAGCAAAACUGAGGUUGUCUUUUGGCCAGCAAGAUAGAAUAGUUUACACUCUUCAAUGACAUCCUUGACACUGAUUCUAAUCUUCUUGUUAUUUUGAUGUUCUUGAAUUUCUCUAAAAUUGGAUUCCAUUAGCAUACCUAAUAAGUCACUAUUAGUAGUUUCGCCAACCUUCAUUGCCUUCUCUCUUUUGUUAACGAUACCCCUCAACAAUGCAUAUACUUCUUUGCUUAUUUGCUUCAUCUUCCUGUUCGUCUUUGUGGGUAAAAACCUGUGCGCAUGUUAGUAAUUCUAGUAAAUAAAACAUCACAUGAAACACACAGACAUUAAUUCUUAUUUUCAUCCAUGCCUUCUACUUCUCCAUUAAUUUUUUGAAGCUUGUAUAAGGCUUCAAAGGUAGAAACUAUCAAGACAAUAACUAAUAGUUUCAUCUACACAUGUGUUGCAGUGGUAUCUCAUCAUCUUGAUACAAUAUCCUGUGAACAUAAGAUUGAGGAUACUAAACAUCAAUUAGUGAAACAUACUACUUUCUAAGUGUUAUACAAAAGAAGUAAUUGACUAAAAGGGGAUGAAAUGAUCUCAAAGUUGUAAAUCUAACAUCUCUUAUGCUUGACCUUGAAAAGUAAUCCAUUUUGAACAUAAAUUCCCUUCGAACAUAAAUUCCCUUCAACCUUGUUAACCAAACACACACUUGAGCAUUGUGAAACUUUCAACCUAUGAAGCGAAAUUUGUGUUGGCAUCAUUUGUAGGUCAUGAAAUUUGUUCAAGAAACUUAAUUUACCACACAAGAGACUGAUAAAGAUCUAUAUGGAUAUAAAAUCAACAAUUACCUUAUGAGAAAAAUCUAGUUCUCCAUGAUGGUGUUGAGUUUUGAAUUUUGCCUUAGUAUCUGCUGGAAUUUGAAUUUUGAAGUUAAAUUUUACAGCUGGAGUCUUGCACAAAAUCUGCAACAUCCAAAUAUUUUCUUGUUUUUAUUUGGUCAAGAUUUGGUUUCUAUUUUAUAGGAAGUAGUUGUUCAUCAUCUAGUAGCUUGAUUUUAUGCUAUUCUAAUGUUAUUUCAGUUACAAGCUCAUGUAUAAAUUCAGCACUCUUCAUCAAUAAAAUGUGUGUUCCAACAGUCUAAAAAUAUAUAUUCUGCAUAAGUGUUUUAAUUUAAGAUCAACAGAUGGAAGCCAACAAUGCAUUCCCUUACAAUUCAAAGUAUAUUCAAUUGAGCACCUUUCCUAUGAUUCAAAGGUUGCAUGCCCCCUCAACAAUUGAACCCAACAAGAGCACUCAAGUUGUGCAUGUCUGUAACAUCUUAAUUGCACUUUUCCCUACCACUAUAGUAGCAUAUCCCUUGGGUCACUCACCAUGCACUGUCACUCCCCAAAACCCACUCCAAGGGCAUGACGAUCUUUUCACGCCUCAACCCCAAGGGGUCAAAGUGGAAAUGACACAAACAUUCAUGUUGUAAUUGAAAAUUUACCAAUUACCAAAUUCCUAUUCAAGGUAGUAGGAUAAAAUUCUAAAAUCUCCAAGUAUCAACUUUAAAAAAAACUAAUACAUCAACCAAUGUGUUAUUGUCCAAAUAACUUCAAACUCAAAAUAAUUCAAACUAGAAUUAAGUUUUAACAUUUAAACAAUGUCCAAAAUAAAGAGAGUUUAAACAAAUAUCCUAAUAAAUCAAAAUUUCCUUCCUAACGGUCACUCCUCGCCCGAAUUGAGGUUGAUUGAAAGAUUAUCAACAAAGGGGGGUGAGCUCAAAGCCCAAUAAGGAACAUUAAUACAAUUUCAUGGAUCAAACAUUUUCAAUUAUGCUUGCAAAUAGAAGAUAUAACAUAUACUUAUUUUCACAAAAACUUUUGAGUUCAAAAUGCUAAUACAUUCAAACUUUUCAACAAAACUUUCUCAUAUCCAUUUCAAAACAAUUUCUCAUCAAACCAAAUCGAAUACAUUCAAAAUAUCUUUACUCCGGUUAUCAUAUGUCAAAUGGUACCCAAUUAGGAGGGACUUCACAAUUGAGUAACUAGUUUCAAAUUUGUUCCAUUUAAGGUGAACAAACCCAAAUGUCAACAAUCAUAACCCAUUGACUAAGGCCAUAAAGUCAACUAUUAUAACCGGUUGACUCGAGCCAUAAGGUCAAUUAUUAUAACCCGUUGACUAAGAUCAUAUAAUAUCAACUAUUAUAACCCGUUGACUAGGUAGGCCCGAAAAUGUCAACUAUUAUAACCCGUUGACUAGGGCCAUAUAAUCUAGAGUCAAAUACUUUAUUUCAUUAAUUCAAACUUAUAAAACAAAACAUCGUAUCUCCUCAAUUUUUCAUUUUUCAUAAACAAAGAAAAUACUCAAAUAUACUUUCCAUACAAAACAUAUAUUUGAUCCAUGCUUAAAUAUAAAAAUAAUAUUUUUACACAUUUCAAAAUACAAUAUAAAAAGAAAAUUAUUUUCUUUUACAAAAAUCUUGAAGUAUUUAACUUUGAAGGAAUUCCUCCUCACUCAACAUAAUAUCAUACACAAUAUUGAUUAUUGAUUAUUUAUCUAAAUGUAUAAAUUUGACAAUCCUAAAAAUAUUUUAUUUAGUAUUAGGGAUCCUAAUUAAUUUCUUAUGUUAAUAUUAUUUGCCAUCCAAUAUUAUUUUCAACUUCCUAAACAAUAAUUUAUUUCUCUUUUCUAACUUAUCUAAAUUAAAUAUUUUAAGAAUAUUUAUUUGCAUUAAACUAUUAUUACUAUUAUUUAAAUCUCCUAUUGAAACUUAACAAAUACCCCAUGCUAUUCUAUUUUUGUUCCCAACAACUCCACACCAACCUCAUUCAUUAUUAUUAUUAUUAUUAAUUUCAAUACCCAUCAACACCUUAAUCUAUUUCUCUUCCAAGCCAUCAACAUCCUUUUCUUUCUCAUUGUUUACCAAAAUACUAUUUACUUCCUUUCCUAGGUCAACGUGUUGGCCAUUUCUUUGUUUUUUUUUUUCUUUCAACAUGCCAAAUCCUUCCUACUUACACACAUCUUUCAUCAAAUUUUUUUUCUCCUCUCUAAAGUCAAAACUUUUAACCUCCAUACUCACAAAUUUUAUAUAAUUUUCACAUCCAAAACUAUAUAUAUAUAUAUAUAUAUAUAUAUAUAUAUAUAUAUAUAUAUAUUUGUCUAGAUCUAUUCGUUUGAGUAAUCAAAAUUUGUCGAUCUCCAUUAAUAAAUCAAACCAUGUUCAUAAAUUUUUAACAUUUUUUUAUCUAGAAAUUAAUUAAACGAACUCUAAUCAAAAUCGAGAUAUUCCAAAUAAUAUCUAAAGUGUUCAAAACUAAUUAAUGAAUAUAAAAUAUUAAUUUAAAGAUUAAAAAUCUUACUUGAAAAAUUGAUCUUCAAACCCUGAACCUCCAAAUCUUCAAUUGUAUGCUCUCUAAUCUUUAUGAUCUCUGUGUAAAAGGGUUUUCUGAAUAGAGAGGAUGGGAAAAAUCUAAUUUUUACCUAAGGGUUUUAAAUACCAAAAGACUUUUUUACCCUUAUUAAAUUACUUAAUUAAUUAUUAAUUUCUAAAUUAUGAUUUUACCCCUAAAUUGGGUUUGGGGCAUUACAUGCACACUAUUCCCACUCUUGCAAAGGUUGAGCUCUUGAGAAAACUUAUUACAAUUAUUUGGAUAGGAUUUUUUAGGUAGUUUCCUAUUUCUUUCUAUAUAUUUGCCUUAUUUUUGUAGGUUUCCUACAAUUAUAUAUAUAUAGGAUAUUUUCUCUUCUUUUCUCUAUGAACGAAUAUAUGACUAGGUAAAAUUAAGCUAUAGGUUUCUUAAUGGUAUCAAAGCCAACUUCUUAUUACUAGGAAUAAUGGUUAAAAUAGCAAUGAUAGGUGCUUCCAAUUAUGAUAACAACUUGAAGGAGGCAGAAAGAAAACCUAUCCCUCGUUAGAAUUUUGUGACCAAUGGUCAUGGCACUCUUCUUAGCUAAUUACCUCUCACAAAUUAACUUAAUGGAGAAAAUUAUCUUUAAUGGUCUCAAUUUGUCAAACCUUUCAUUUGUGGGCAUGGACAAAUUGAAUAUUUUAUUAGAGCAACAUCAAUACCACAAGGAACAAUUCUCAUCGAGACAUGGGAAGUAGAGAAGGCCAUGAUUAUGUCAUGGCCGAUCAACUCAAUGGAACUCAAGAUUAGGAAGACAAACAUGUUCAUGCCCAUAACUAGAGAGAUUUAAGAGGUUACAAAGGAAAACUAUUACAACUUGAUAACUUGCCUAGGUCCACAAGAUAGUCAUACAAAUAAAAUACCAACCAAGGUAAUAUGAAUGUAAUUCGGUACUAUAAUACACUCAAACCCCUUUGGUAAGAACUUAAUUUGUUCUAUGAUUAUGAAUAACAUUGUGCACAAGAUAGUGAAAUGUUCUAAAAGAUGAUUGAGAAAGAUCGAGAAUUUGCAUUCCUAGUGGGGUUUAAAUAAUAAAUUAGAUGAGGUUUAAAGUAGAAUUCUUAGUUGUGAAUAAUUCUAGCAAAAUCUGAUACCUCUUUACUUAACACUACCCUAGCUAUAAAAAACAGUAAGCUUCACAUUUCGACCAAUGAUCCAAAAUUCAAAAGGAUCCACAGAAGGCCCUAGUGUGACCAUCAUCUCCUCUAAAUGCUUCUAGAAUUCAAAAUAUCCAUUGACAAGUGAUUAACCAUCAUCUUUUCCAAAUGCAUCCUUAGAUGUCAUAUACCCAACGGUGUUCAAAUUCGUAAGAUAUGACUAAGUCUAGAUAUUAAGAAGAAGGUAUAUCAUCCUCUACCAUUAGAAAGAAGAAGAUAUAUUAUCCUCUACUAGUGAAAGCACAUAUGCCAUCAUCUCAACAAAUCAAGCAUGCGUGAAAAUCUGUCUUCUUAGUCUUUUAAUUGCGGUCAAGAAAAUAUUAAGGAAGUACUUAAUUUGAAGCAUCUCUUCAUCAUCUAUAGUGGUUGUAGUUGCCAAUCCAAUAAUUGUACUCCUUUGAAAGUGGUACAAAUUAUUCUUCCUUAUUCCUUGCAUCACCACAAGUUUACUUGGCAUAACUUUCAAAAUCCCAUCUUUUAUAGUGACAAUAUUGAACCCUAUGGGUUCUAAUUCUCCCAUUGAGAUGAGACACUUAUUCAUACUAGGAACAUACCAAACAUCAUUCAAAAUUUUAGUUAAUUCAUCAUGAGUCUUCAAAUGGAUGGUAUCUAUUAUAGUUAUCUCACAAGCAUUAUCAUUCCCCAUGUAAACAACUCUAUCUUAUAGUUCUUCAAAGCAAUAAAACCACUCCUUUUACAGGAAUGCAUGUGAAGGUGGACCCAAUAUCCAAAAUCCAUUCAUCUAAGUUAUAAAACAAGUAUAAGCAAACCAAAGCAAAGUUUAACCCAUCUUCUCCAAACUUAGCCACACAAGCAUCAAAUACUAUCUCUUCUUUAUUCUUCUUCUGUAGCUUAGGACAAUCAUUAUUCUGACACUACCAAAAUUAAGCAUGGUUGAUCCAUUUAUAUUUACUUUUGCGAUAGAUUUAAGCUGACGCAAAUUUCUAACACACCUAUUCCACUGCAAAUUGAAUUAUCCGUCGCUUAUAUGUAACUAUUUACCAAUGGUAAUUGCAAUAACAAAUACCUGUUAGCAAAAAUAUUAUUGCAAGGGAUUUAAACUAUUGCAAAUGUUCAACUAAUAUACUUUGUCACAAAAGCAAUUUACCUGUUUUUUUUUUUUUUUAUUUUAAAAAAAGUGAAAUUUCAUAAAUAAUUUUUUUAAUGAAAAUUACUACUCACUAAAAUAGUUUUAUUAUAGUGGAUAAUAAUACCACACAUAAUUUGUUCCAAAAAUAAUUGUUGUCUUAUGAAUAUAAAAUCUUUUCACCAUAGUUGUAUGAUAAAUACGAUCUAGCUAGUGACAAAACAAUUUUAUGAUUAUUUUUUUAGGUUCAUACAAUAUUUACAUUUUUUUUAAUCAUAAUAGUUUUAACAUUUUAAUAUUUUUUAACUACUUUUUAUUGUCCAUUUUAGAAAGAAAUAAAUUAAAAAUUAUUGAUAUAUAUAUAUAUAUAUAUAUAUGUUUGUAUGUAUGUGUGUAUGUAUGUAUGUAUGCAUGUAUGUAUAUAUGUAUGAUAUAAUUUAUGAUAUCGAAUAAUAAUAUUUAAAAUUUUAAAAUACAUUUUAUAGAGAUUUAUCUAAUUUGAAUGUAUUCAAUAACAUAAAAAAAAAAUGAUAGUACAUGUAUAAGUAUUUUUAUUUUAAAAUGUUGAUAAUUUUAUUUAUAAAUUUAAAUUUAUUCUAUAUUUAAUUAUUAUACAAAAUACACAAGAAUCAUAAUUAAUUAAUUUAUAAUAAUUUAUAUAUAUAUAUAUUAAUUCAUGCAUGUAUAAUUUAUAUAUGAUAUGUAUUUAUAUAUAGAUAAUAUUUAUAACAUAAAUGCAUAAGGAUACAAUAUUUACAUUUAUGAAUCUUAUAUGCAUUCUUUAUAUUGCACAUAACAAAGUUGAUUUGGUGGCACAGUUGCUUCCUUUCAAACUUGAGGUCAAGAGUUCAGUCUCGAGAAACAGCAUCCAAGCCAAUAUCCAAAACUAGCAAGGAGAGGAGUGUUCAAGAUGCUCCAUGUGAAUGUAAUGAAAUCGAAAUUUCAUGACAACCUAAAAUCUUUUAUUAUUUACAUUUCUCAACCAACUUAAUCCAUCGGUAAUAGUGAUGGUAAAAAUCUAUUGGAUAGUUUUUCACUAAAUAUUUUUUAUUGGCAGUGGAAAAUUCCCAUCGAUAGACUUUUUGCCUACACUCCUUUCCUUGACUACCAUGCAACGGGAUUAUCGGUUGGUAAAUGUUUAUUUAGACCAUGUAUAUCAGUUGAGAAAAGUCAAAUUUCUUGUAGUGUGAUGACCCUUGUCAUGAAAAAGGACACAUUCAUCUUUUGCAAGUAUACAUUUAAAUUAAGAACUGUCUCAUUUUCUAGGUUUUCAACUUUGAGAUUAGGCAUUAACUGUUAAAGCUUCCAAUGAUAUAUCUCUAUGAUUGUUUUGGUCCUUCUUCCUUUAUUCAGAGCUUAGCAAAGUGGAACGCACAACAUCAAAAGUAAUCUUAUCCUUACCAUAAAGUAAAGUGAUGGUAAGAUUUUCUUACACAUCAAGAAGCAAAUUCAAUAACAAUAAGGCCUUAUUCUCAUCUUCAAUGAUCUAAUCUAAAUUCAAAAAAUUUGCUUUGAUUCUAUCAAAUUCAUGCAUAUGAUCAUUCAUAGACAUAUCUAGUUGAUACUAGAAGCAAAUAAGUUUUUUCUUCAAAUAUAGUUGAUUUUCUAGACCUUUUUUCAUUUACUUGUCCUCCAAUGUCUUCCAUAAAUGUUUUUGUGGAUAUCUCUUUCAUAAUGGAAUAAUUUUAAGCAUUAACAAGAAAUAAGUGGAUGGAACUAUAAAAUUGACAAUUGAUCCCUUACUCAUUCUUUGUCAUUCAUGUUUUCAGGUUUUUCUUCCAAAACAAUAUCCAAUUCUUAUUGACAUAUCUAAUUAAUGCCUCUUACUACCACAUUCCAAAAGUACUAGUCCUAUCAAAUUUCACAUUAGUAACCAGAGUUUUAACUAACGAAGUUUUUACCUUUUCUUUUAACUAGUGAAAUAACAAAUAACCUUGAACUAUCUUUGAAACCAACCUUGGAUAGAACUAAGGCUCCUAUACCAUUUUUUUUUUGUGCUUUAACCUAAUCCCACAAGACUUCCAAAAGUACCAAAUAAAAUACAAACUAAACUAGUCCAUAAUAUAAAGAUAAAUAGCAAGAGAAAUAAAAAUAAAAGAGGGUACACAAUAUUUAUGAGGUUUAGUAAGGAUGUCUUACCUAUAUCAUCGGACAAUGAUGAUCAAUCCACUAAUCUUCAAAUCAAAAUUACAAAAUCAAGUUGGGAAAGCUUAUCUCACAAAGUGGAUGCAACUACAAAGAUUGACUGAAGCUACUCUAACAACUUUGCUAAAGUCAUUCUCACACUACUAUAAUGAAAGGACUUAGACUCAUUUAUAGAACCUAAAUAAGUCCCCAAGCCUUGACAAAACUAAUUCAUAAUUCCUAUGGGACAAGGACUCCUAACAUAUAACAAAUUAUGAAAUCAUAAUCCUUAUAGGACAAGGAUCCCUAAAAUAUAUUAAACUCUUAAUUGAGCUAAAAGCCAAUACCUAAUAUAGAACCCACACCAUAUUUGCCAUAACUCUACUAAGUAGCUGGUUGUUAAGCAGAAUUAUCACUUUCAAAAGUUAAAUAAGCAUUUCUUUUUCCUUCCCUUUUCAUUUUUCUUAUCAUCCAAACAACAACAAUAAAAAAUUUAGUGUAACUUUUUGCUUUGAUACUUGUUCUCUCAACUUGCUUGCUUGUGAAUGACCUCCAUAAUCAAAUUAAAUGGAGAAAUAAUGUGGAGUUCCAAGAUAUAGGUAGAAAAGAGUGGACAAAACCCUAGAUCUACAAAAUAGCUAGCAAUUUUGUCUCUAGAUCUCUCAUUGUUGUGGUAAUGGCCAUUGAAGAUGUCAUCACUGAGAAGAUCACAAAGUGAAGAAGGCAUGAUUGAGGGUUGGUAGAGUAGAGAGUUAAGGUAGAAAAUAGCAAAGAUAGGAUUUUGACGUUUUUAGAAUUUGUACAUAAAAAAUAAAUACAAUCCAAAAAUCACUUUGAGAACAUGAUUUUACCUAACCAUGCCAAACACAUUUUUUGUUAUGUGGAAGUGAUAGAAGCGAGAUCAUGCUAGGGUUUUAGAGCCAAAGAGGAUCGGUUGGCAAUGGUGGUGUAGACCCUCCAUUUUGUCCCCCUAGCACACGCCCUAUUAGGUGAUCUUUUAGUAUGCUAUAGUAGUUCCUGGGUAGCCCACGUUACUCGUACAACUAACCUUUUUGAGUCACCUCGAAGACUCUGGUCAAGGGAUUUAUCCGACCCCUUAUUGUGGCCUAGGAUUUUCCUUUCUUUUUUGGACAACUCAUUUAGAUACACUUUUAGGAUAACAUAUCUAGGCACACUCGACCCAUUUAGAUGCACUUGGCCCACUUAGGCUCACUUAGGCCCACCUAAGCUCACUUGGGCCCAUUUUGGCGCGCCUUGAUCCACUUAGGUUUACCUAGUCUUGCUUAGGCCACCUUUUAGAUAUGGUUGCAUGGCUUGUAUGACUAGCAUGUGCUUGAUUUUAUUUUUUUUAUUAGUUUUAUUCAUUUACUUCUUCAUUAUUUAGAAAAUUGCAUGAGAAUUGAGAUUUUAGUUUUUCCUAAUUGCUUGAAUUGAUAUUUCAUAUAUAUUUAUAUAUUUAAUUUAUUCAUUUACUUAUUUUUGUAGGAAAUUGCUUGAGCUUCAUGAUUUUAAUUCUUUUAAUGCGAUUGAUAUUUUAGUUUUAAUUACAUAAUUUUAAUUUUUGAUUUUCAAUUACAAGAUUUUUUUUUUAUCCUACUUUUUAAGUUUUUCAAAUUUUACUAUUUUAUUAUUAAUAUAUGGUUACUAACUUCUAUUUUCUUUUGUUUUAUAGAGAGGAUGUCACUUUGAAAGGUGAACUUACCAUUUUGAAAAGGAAAAGAACCCUAUGAGCUUCACUUUUAAAGAACAUGAUUCCAUACAUUGUUUGAGGAUUAAUUAAGUGGGCAGGUUGCAUAAUUCUCUGUAGGCACAUAGACCUAGACAUUCUUUUUAUUCUUAUUAUUUCCUUGAUUUUCUACUCUUCCAUAUAUUCUCUGCAGGCUGCCAUGUAAAAAUGGAAACAUGUUGCAUAUAAGAGCAAGGUCAACACACAGCCAAAGGAAAGGGUGGCAUACCUACCAUACAGUAGGCAUUCAGAAUCACAAUUGGUGGAAUUUUUAGAAGGAUGAUCAACUUGCCGUUCUGAAUAUGGCAGAACGCUAAAGUGAAAUAAGGAAUGAGAUAUUCGGUUAAGGAAAAUUGAAGGAUUUUGGAAGGCUGGUCAAAGGGACAUUCAGGAUGUUUUUGGAAGGAAGACUCUUCAAGCAAGAUCCAGCAGCACACAAUAAUCAAGAGUGGGGUUUUAUCUUUGGGAAAAGCACACAGCACACGCUGGAUGGGGGAUUUUUCUCCAGCAGACACAAUUGAAGAUUUUCUUGAAGGUAGUAUAGACACACUACCAUUGGGGAUUUUUCUGGUGACACACAUCAUAGAGGCUUUUCCAACAGGCAUGCACCAUAAGUUUGCAAAAUCGACCAUGCUGCCAGAUUUUUAGAGCAGCAACUGCACUGCCAGAUUUUUAGAGCACGCACAUGGGGUUAAAAAAAAAAUAAAAAAUUUCCCCACACAGACUAACCACCAAGAAUUCAUCUUCAUUGGGACACACUUUCCACAGAAAAAUAAAUAGAACCAGUUGCCAUCCACUUUGGAGAGGAAAGCGGCCUACACCUUUGGACUUCGAAACAGCCCCCAUGCAUUAUUGAAAAAGGUAAGUUAAAGCUUUUUUAUUUAAUUUUUUGAUGCGUGAAUAUUAAUUUCGUAAUGGUUUUAGAAUUUUAGUUUUUUUUUAUUUAAUUAAUUCCAUGUCGAUAUUUUCAUCUAUGUGCUUUAGAUUUUUUUAUUUUAAUUAAUUCCAUGUUGAUAUGUUGGUGUUUUCAUAUUUUUAAGUUUAGUUUUUUUCAAUUCGUCCCAUUUAGUUCAAAAGUUUUUAGGUUUUGUUUUGUUUUUUUUUUUUUUUAAUUUAUUAGGUUAUUUGUUUUAUAAGAAAACAUGUGUGAACUUUAAGAUUUCAAUUAGGUAUGUGAAAUGUGGCAGAUUAUUAGAUAUGUUAGCGGCUUGAAUUUAAAAAUAAAAGAGUUAAUAAGUGAAUGUGAAUUGUUGUGAGAUGUUAACUUAGUGGUUUGACUAAAGAAAGAAAAAUCAAUGAAUUGAAAUAACACAUGUUGCCAUGGAUUGAUUGGUGUUGGUGGCCUAGUAAAAUAUAAAAACCAAUGAACUGAAAUAGUGCAUGCCAACCUUGGAUUUAUUUGUGUUAGUGGUAUUUGUUGAGUGAAUAAAAAAUAAAAAUUUGUUUAGGAAUGUUUGGUUAAUUAAUUUAGUGAAUCUCAUGUUUGUGUUUGUGUGUUUCCGAAUUCUUUAAUUUUGAUUUUAAUCCAUUAAUAUUCAAUUUUGUAGUUGAUUAUAAUUUUAGUUAGCUAAUUGAGUUAAUAAAAUGUUAUUAUUUUCCUGUUUUAAGUUUAGUAAUUUUAAUUUUGAUCUAUUAAUAUUUAGUUUGAGUGUAUUAGAGUUUUAGUCAAUUAAUUUAGUUAGUCACAUGUUAUUAUUUUCAUGUUUUAAGUAUGGUAAUUUUGGUUUUGAUCUAUUAAUAUUUAGUGUGAGCUUUUUGUAAUUUUAGCUAAUCAAUCUAGUUAAUUACAUAUUAUUGUUUUCAUAUUUUCAAGUUUGUUAAACUUUGGUUUUUGAUUCAUCAUAUUUUGUUUGAGUGUUAAUUUACUUUAAUUGAUCCUAUGUUAUUAUCUCCAGAUGUUAAGUUUGUUGGUUUUAAUCCUUGAUUGGUUUUUAUCUUAGUUCAUGCACUUCUUGAAUUCUAGAUGUUAGUCUUGGUUAAUAUUUUUGUUAGUUUGUUUAAUUUGGAAGUCAUUAAUUUGUUGCCUUAGUGAUUGAUAGUCAAAUCCUUUUUUUGAAGGCCAUUGGAAACCCAUGAAGUGUGGACCAGUAUUUUUCACGUUUGUCCCCACUCAAACAACGAGACUUGCUUUUAUUUGUGAAAAAUUAAUUUUUGGAAAAGUCGAAGUCGCCAAUUAUUUUAUUUUUAUUUUAAAGUGAAAAUAAAACAAGAAAGAAAACCCUAAAAGGUGACUUCAUAAUUUUUGGAAAAAGUGUCUUUGAAAAACCCGAGUCUAUGUCUGGGGAUCAGGUUACCUAUUGGGAAAGUACCUCUAAAAGGUAGCACCCCUCUAAGCCCUAUAAAGGUCUCUACUAACUACUUUGAGGGAAAUAUGACAAUUAACUGGUUAAUCAUGGAUACUUAAGUAGGCUAGGUGAUUUUGAAAAAUAGCAUGCUUAAUAGGAAAAACAAUCACAAUCAUAAGAAGAUUUAGGUUGUGUACCUGGACUGCUUCUUAAGCGCUAUCACAAGACAUCAAAGUUAGUUCAAAUAGUAUAUCAUCCAACACAUGCGUUUUAUUAGAAAUAAUCGAACAAUGAAACAUGUAUAUCAAAACACUAAAGCACUAUCAAACAUAGGCAUAAUUCACAAUGACAAGCAUAUUCACAGAAUCUAGAAAGUGGGUGAUAGGGGGGACAUACUUGGAUAGCAUAGAUAACUCAUUAUACGCUUCCUCAUGACAUAAGGGGUUCAAUAAUAAAUAAUAAAAUAAGAAAUCCUAGCAUGCUUAAUAUCUAAUUAGCAUAACCAAAAUUAUCAUAGUAUACAAAAGCAUCAAUUAUCACUUACAUCUUGAAUAUAAUUCCUAAAAAAUAAAUAGACAUGAUUACAACAAAUAGCAAGAGUGGUAGCAAAAAUAAGUUUUGAAAAGAUUUUCUUAUGUAGGGGUUUCACCAAUUCCCCAAUCGAUAUACACGAAUUUAGCCUAAAAUUAUCCCAUUCAUUUGGGACCACAAGCUUUGAUUUGUGUUUUGUUCAAAACAUAAAUUUUUAUUGAAAACCGAGAAGGAUGCAGACCGAUCAAGAUAUGGUUGCAUAUUUUAUUUUUAUUUUUUAAAAAGAGAUUUUGAUUCGAUAGACUCAAAAUGAAUUUUCUUUUUGAAUAGAUUUUUUAAAAGGGAUUUUUUGAGAAAAAGUGUUUUGUUUUAAAAUAAAAGAAAUUAAUUUUUAAAAUAACAAAACAUAGAAAACAAAAUACCAACCCAAACAAAAGGAAAUGAAAUCACAAAAUAAAGAUUUAGACAAUCAUGCCAAUUAAAAUGGUGAGAGUAAGGCCAACCUUCAUGAGUUUCUAGUAGCCUUCAAAAAAAGAAUUUGACUAAUAAUCACUAAGGCAACGAACUAAUGACUUCCUAAUCAAACAAACCAAUAAAAAUAUUAUCCAAAACUAACAUCUAGAUUUCAAGAAACACAUAAUAAAAAAAGAACAAUCUAGGAUUAAAGUCAACAAACUUAGCAUAUGGAGAUAAUACUAUAGGGUCAAUUAGGGUGAAUUAACAUUCUAACAAAAUAUGAUAAAUCAAAGACCAAAGUUUAGCAAUCUUGAAAAUAUGAAAACAAUAACAUGCAAUUAACUAGAUUGACUAUCCAAAAUUGCUCAAAACUCGAACUAAAUAUUAAUAGAUCAAAACCAAAAUAUGGCAUACUUAAAAUAUGAAAAAUAAUAACAUGUGAUUGACUAAAUUAAUUAACCGAAACUCUAAAAAUACUAAAACUAAAUAUUGAUGGAUCAAAAUUAAAAUUGUCAUAUUUAAGACAUGAAAAUAAUAACACGUGAUUAAAAUCAAAAUUAACGAAAUCAGAAAAAGCACAAACACAUUCAAACUAAAAAAAAAAAAAUUAAUACUAGAUUAAAUUAGAACUAAAAACAUCAACAUCAUCUAAUAAGAUUGGUUAAACUAUCAAAUAGAAAUUGCAAAUACAUUUAAACUAGAACAAAUAAAUAAAUCAGCAAAUUACAACUAAACUAAAAUUAGAAUUAAAAAUAUGGAAUUCACUUAAGAGGAUUAAUCAAAUAAUUAAAUUAAAAUCAUAAAUGCAUUCAAAUUAUAAAAUAUUAAAAUUAAACUAAAUUGAAAUUAAGCUCUAUCUAAUAAGACUAUUUAAACUAAUGAAUUAAAAUCAACAAAUACAUUUAAGCUAAAAACAUAUUAAAACCAAACCAACUAGGAUUAAAAACACAAACUUUAUUUAACACGAUUAUUUAAACUAAUGAAUUAAGAUCAGUAAAUGCAUUUAAACUAAAAACAAAUUAAGAUCAAACUAACAAGAAUAAAAAAACGCAAACUUUAUUUGACACAAUUAUUUGAACUAAAGAAUUAAUAUCAACAGAUGCAUUUAAACUAAAAACAAAUUAAAAUCAAACAAAUUGGAAUUAAAAACAUAAACUUUAUUCAACAUGAUUAUUUAAACUAAAUAAUUAAGAUCAACAAAUGCAUUUAAACUAAAAACAAUAUAAAAUAAAACUAAUUGGAAUUAAAAACACAAACUUUAUUUGACAUGAUUAUUUAAACUAAAGGAUUAAGAUCAACAAAUGCAUUUAAACUAAAAACAAUAUAAAAUCAAACUAAUUGGAAUUAAAAACACAAACUUUAUUUAAAGAAUUAAGAUCAACAAAUGCAUUUAAACUAAAAAAAAAUUAAAAUAAAACUAAUUGGAAUUAAAAACACAAACUUUUGUUUGACAUGUUUAUUUAAACUAAAGGAUUAAGAUCAACAAAUGCAUUUAAACUAAAAACAAUAUAAAAUCAAACUAAUUGGAAUUAAAAACACAAACUUUAUUUAACAUGAUUAUUUAAACUAAAGAAUUAAGAUCAACAAAUGCAUUUAAACUAAAAAAAAAUUAAAAUCAAACUAAUUGGAAUUAAAAACACAAACUUUAUUUAACAUGAUUAUUUAAACUAAAGAAUUAAGAUCAACAAAUGCAUUUAAACUAAAAACAAAUUAAAAUCAAACUAAUUGGAAUUAAAAACACAAACUUUAUUUAAAUUAUCAUAUAAAUUAAGAUAAACUAGGAUGGAACUUAUGAACUGCAAUCACAAAAAGAAGACAUCUAAUUUAAGAAAAAUAAAAAAAAUUAUACGAAUUGAUAUUCAAAAGAAUUUAUCACAAAAAAAUUGAUUAAACUAACGAACUAAAAUCUAAACUAAAAAAUGCUCUAUCGAAAACGAAAACUAACCUGUGUUGUGUUUGAAAAAAUACUCUCUUGAUGAUUAAAGUGGCAGCCCGAUCUCCUUCUAAAGUCCUUUGCUCUCCUCCAAAAUUCCGUGUGUUCUCUCUAAAAAAGUUCCCUCGCAUGUUCUCUCUAUCUCAAAAAUUCUCUUGUGCGUGUCCUCUCUUUUAAAAAAAUAUCCACAUGUUCUCUCUACCAAAAAAUUCCUCACUCUGGAAUUCCUUCGUGUGUCCUCUCUAAAAAAAUUGCUCUUGUGUGUCGAUCUCCAAAAAAAUCUCCCCUCUCUUCCAUUCCUUCUAUCUUAUUUAUAUAACAGCCCACCCUAUGGAAUAUUUUAUUUCCUUUUUGGAGAUGUACUUCUAACCUUAAAGGAGACCCAACUUUCUAAACUUCUAAUGGCACUUUCUAUUUCAACUGACUUAAUAAAAGAAACAUGCCAACCCAAUGAAUGUUGUCUGAUGGGCCCUUGGUCAUAUUCCCCUUCUCUCUUCCAACCAACAACACCUGUAACUUGUAAAGUUGCAUUGGGGACUAGUUUAUCUGAAAGCUUGGAUGAGAAUGGAGACCGAACUCCUUCUUAGGUAAUGUAGAGCUUCAAAAUUUCUAGAGAAAGAUUUUAUGGAUAACCAAAGUCCAUGAUUUCAUCCAAUAGCUCAUAAAUCAGAACAAAGUUGUUACGAAUAGCAUCUUCAUCGAAAGCCCCACCGAAAUAAGAUUUGAACAAUGCAACAGGCUCAGCAAUAAACUUGAAUGCACAAGUUACAUUGGCAUUGCUACUGACCACAAUCAUAAUGUACACAUUGUUGAUUCUCAUAUAAAAGGAGUAACCUCCAAUCUACCGCAUAGGACAUGUGCUAAGUUCUUUUGUUUGCAUUAUAUGCAUUCGAAAGGCAUUCACCAUGUUUCCCCUAACAUCGUCAUGAUAUAGGUAAUUGAUGAGGACAUCGCCCCGGAGAUUCAAGAAAUAGAUAGCCGAAAUAGCCAUUGACAUCUCCGAUCUAGUGGAUCCGAUGCCAAACAGAUCAAAGAAUGGGGUUCAGAUAUGCGGUGGUUGAGGCCUUGUUUCAACGACGUCGUUUUGAUUGGGUUAGAUCUCAAGCUUUGGAGAUGAUGAACUCAAAUCUCCCAAAUGAGAGUUGCAGUCAAUGCUAUUGAUCUUGUGUUCUAAAUGCAGUGUGGGCAAUAACCCUGACGGAUCUAUAAUAGCAUCUAGGGUUCUGACGCGGGAGAGGUGGAGAAAGGGACGACGACUGUGGUAGGGAUUCACGAUGGGGGGAGAGGAAAGAGUGGUAAGAAUGUUCUUACUGGAGAUAUCGAGGCAAGAGAGAAGAGCUCGAGGGGAAGGAUCGCGGUCAAUGAAGGAGGUGAGGAUAUGGGUACCGUCCUCGACUACAGCGCGGAAGGAGAAGAAGAGAUUAGGUACAGAGGUCAAGUAGUAAAAGUGGAGGCAGAGGAUUGGUCAUGGCGUGAGAUGGAGCUAUGAGGCGAGUCUUCCAUUUCUAUUUUCUCUGCGAGUGUAUAUGGGUCCCCCACCUUAUAGGCUGCUUCUCUUCAACAGUGACUCCCCUCUCCUUGAUCGCUUCAAGUGACAUGCAAAAUUAAAAAAAUAAAAUUGGAAUAAGAAAAUCCUAUGAUUGGAAAUAUAAUAUAAUAAAAUAAAAAAUCAAAUCAUAUGCCAUAAAAAAUCUAAGAUGUCAAUUCAUGGAAUUAAAGAAUGUAUAAAUAAGUGAGUAAAUAAACAAAUAAAUUGACAAGGGUAUAAAAAUAAAUAUUAGACGUAUGCCAUUAGAAAAAAUCAAGAAAUUAAAUUAAUGUAACGGAUCAUAACAAUUUAAAUAUCAAACUCAAACCCUAAAAAAAAUAUAUAUAUAUUCAUUUAAUGCAAUAUAUAGUUAAGCCAAUACUCAUUUUGUCUCGAAAAAAUAAAAUCAAGAACAUGCCUAAAUGAACUAUGCCAAAAGAAGUGUCUAAGUGACCUAUUCUGAAAAAGUGCUUAGGUGGCCUCGGGUGAAUGUGUGAAAGUUGAAAAGUGUCUAGGUGAAUCUAAAUGGGUCAAAGGGAACCUAAAUAGGCCUAAGGUGGUGCCUAAUGGGCCAAGUGUAUCUAAAUAGGCUUAGGGUAAGACUAGGUGGGCCUAACUAAGUCUAACCUAAAGUGCACCUAAGUGAAACUUAAUCUAAACUUGAAAGACAACCAAGAUAGUAAUGUGGAACUGGAUAAACCCCUCAACCAAAGUCUCAAAAGUGGCCCUGAGAAGGUAAGCUACAUGAGUAGGAAUGGCCCAUCAUGUGCUAAAGGGACAAAAUGGAGGGUCUACAAAUAUGCCCCUCUUCGGUAGAGAUCACGAGUGUAGAGAAUGUGAGUUGAAAUAUGAAUAAUGAGUGGAACGAAGUGAACUAUAUUGAAGAACUAAAGAAGGACCAGAGAUUUUGUCUUAGCACAUGACGAGAGUAAGAUUAGAACACGGGGCUGCAACGACAAUGAUGGAACAACUAUAUGUGGGAGGAAUGACAGUAAAGAGGUAAAGGUAUGUGAUGAGUAGCACAAAGAUAGAAAGGGAUAAAAAGAAUGACUAAAGGUCAUGGAUGAGAUAAAUGACUCUGGGUUGUGAGCUUAGGGCUCUAAAUGGAAAAAAAUGACUUUGGGUUGUGAGCUCAAGUCUCUAAAUGGAAAACAAAUGACUUUGGGUUGUGAGCUUAGGGCUCUAAAUGAAAAUAAUGAAUAUGGGUCAUAAAUAAGAAGAACGACUCUAGGUCAUGAGCUCAGGGCUCUAAAUGGAUAGCUGAUCAGGAUGCUUUUCGGCUCAUGGUGUCGGGUCGAGGCCACUCGCAAGUGGCUAGAAUGGUGAAAACAAAACAUCUCAAGGAUGUGAAGGAUGCAAAUGACUUUAGGUCAUAAGCUCAGGGCUCGGGAUGCUAUGAAUGACUCUAGAUCAUGAUACAAUGGGAAACUUAGGGUUACAAUGAAUAGCUUAGGGCUAUGGAUGGAAUGAAUGACUCUAGGUCAUGAUGCAAUUUGUAACUCAAGGUUACAAUGGAUAGCUCAAGGUUAUAAAAACAGCUCAGGGCUGUGAGCUCCAGGCUCUAUGAAUGAUUAGCUUGAAAGAGAGAGCGAUAUGCAAACUCCAGGUCAAACCACUCAUGGGUGAGCAAAUGAUGAAGGCUCAGCUCAAGGCUGGAAAGACUCCGGGUCUUAAAGAAAUGAUAGCUCAAGGCUAUCAGGUUUAGGGCCUAUAAGGAAUAGAUAGCUCAGGGCUAUGAGACUCAAGGUCUAGAAGGAAUGGAUAGCUCAAGGCUACGAGGCUCAGGGCCCAGAAGGAGCAGAUAAAGAAGACCAACUCAAAAGUGGGUAGGAAGUAAAUGAGAUCAAAUUUGUAUACCUAAAAUGCUAAGGUUCGGACUAUUGAACUUAAGAAGGGAAAUAUGCCCUAAUAUCUAGGGUGCUCGCACUGCUAAAACAACCAGUAAAUCAAUCAUCUAUCGAAAUCAAUUGGUUAGAAAUCAAUGCAUCAUGACAAACCUCUGAAAAAUUUAGAUUGAAAGAACUCUCUGUGUUUGAAAAGCUGCUCUGUCGAUGAAUCUCAAAGUGUGUAUAUCAUGGCUCAUCUAAAAGCAAAUCUCAAAGUGCUAUUGCUCAUCUAGAUAACCCAAUCUGCAAGACAACAAUGGUGAAAGCAAUCUAUCUCAAGAACAUCUGGCUAACAAAUCUACCCAUGCUCCUUAAGUGAAACCUGAUGUGAUCCAUUUCUAUCUCAACGAAUCCAUGUAAGGAGGUCUUGAUACAGUCAAUCGUCGGAAGCUCCAGACUAGUCUCAAUUUAAAAUCAAGUUUGUCAUUGUCUCAAUCUCAAGGAUACUCAAAGAAAAUGGGGAAAUAUGCCCAGUAUGAGAUCCGACGUCAAAGUUGUACGGUAAAUAACCAACACCUAUCAUCCAUCCUCGUACUAUUGCCUAAACAAAAUCUCACCAAGGAGAGGGGAAUAUGUUCCAAUAUGAUAUCUGAUGUCAAAGUUGUGAGAUAAACAACCAACAAUGAUCAUCCAUCUAUGUAUCGCUGUCUAAACAUAAUCUCACCAAGGAAAGGGGAGUAUGCUCCGGUAUGGAUAUUUGAUGUACGAUAAAGAAUCCGUCAAAAUCAAUCAAACAUCUUUAUAACCAUAAAUGGGAAUAGCCAUGCCGUCUAACAACAACUAGGAACCUCAGAGAAAAAGGGAAAUAUGCCCCAUUGUGGAUGUCUAAUGCAUGACAAAAUGAUGAAUCCGAUAUCAUCAAUGAACUGUCUCCAAACUCAAAAAUCCAUCAAAUAUCAAUAUGCCAAUCAAGAGAGAUAAUAAAUGCUUCCAAAAGUAUCCUGCAUAAGAGAAAGCAUAAUAACGACUAUACUUCAACCAAUCUAUAAAAACCUGUCAAAGUGAAGACUAUCAAAGAUAACGUCUGAUCUUAUGGCCUCAAGGUGGUCUUAAGACCAGGGACGUAACGUAGGCCAGGGUGAUAGGGUGAAAGAAAUGAAGGGAAACUUGGCUCAAAUACCCAAUGAUCAAACCCAUACCCUCAUGUACAAGAUGUAAUGCAUAGAAAAACCUCAUGAGCCAUGGACUUAAAGGUAACCAAAGGAAAUGUCGAUAUUGAAACAAGAGAGAGGAUAAGUGGUCAAACUGUUAAUGAAACAUGUGGAUGAUGUGUAGAAGGUAUCGGACUAGAAAUGUGUGUCAAUAUGUAGGGAAUGGAUAAAAGGUGGAACGAAGAUCUAGAAAGAGGUGAUGAGAUAUAAAAUAAGGCAAUAAGAAAGUGGAAGGAAUGAUGAUCAACCCAUAUCUGUACAAUAAAGAAAAGUCAUAUCACCAACGAUUGAAUGGUGAUUAAGACAAUGAUUCGGAGACCCUAGUAAGAAGUUCAAUCAUCUCUCAUACCUAAUACAUAUCAACCAUGACCCAAGAAGCAUAGGAUCUCAUAGAAAUCUCACAUGAACUCUUGACACUCCAAAUGCAUAACAAAAGUGGCUCAAAGAGUGAAAACUCAUAUAAAAAUCUCACAAGAAUCCAAAAUGACAAAUAUACCCAAUAAACAUACCUUAAAAGGAGACAUAAGUGUCCAAUGGAGCAAAAUACCAUAUACGAACAUAUCAUUGGGUUUUUUUUUUUUUUUGAAUGCGCAUGUUGUUAUCAUCAAUAAAUCGAACUCCAAUGGGAAAUAUAUAAGGAAUGAACAAACUCUCUCAAGUCACUAAUGAAUACAUGAACCUCAUCCCAUGAGACAACCUCUCAAACUGAAAUCUCCGAAUCAAUGCCAAAUGAUGGGAUGAAUGGAGUGAUAUGAUUGCCCUCUUUGCACCAAGAAGUGAAAAAUCAUCAACACAAAGAAGAUGAGAGAUAAGAUGAAGCAAAUAACGAUAAAAACAAGAAAGAGAAUGAAAAUGUGAUAAUAGUAAAAUAGAACAAACAAUGUGAUAAGGAGAUGGUAACAAGAAUGAGAAGAUAGGCCUAUAAGUCUAAAGUUCAUGAGACUUUCAUAGCAAAGCAUGAAUAUACAUCAAAGGGCCCUAACCUGAGUAUAGAAAUGUUAAUCAAGUCUAUAAGAAAUAAAUAAGGCUAUAACAUACCGUGUGAGGCUCAAUGGGCUAGCAAUGGUAUAAUAUAUUAAUAAAGGUGAUAAAGUGUAAGGCUAACCAAAAUGAUGGCCACCCAUCCUACGACCAUAAUCUCAAACGUAAUACUUCUUCAGCUGAUCCACAUUGGUAGGCUUUGAAAAUUGGUUUCCAUCUAAAUUGGUUAACCAUGCUGCCCCUUUUGGAGUCAACUCUCGAAUAACAUAAGGCCCAUUCCAACUAGGUCUGAACUUCCCUCUAGGGUCUCCAACUAAACCUCUGAGAAUCCUUAAAACCAAAUCCCCAUUUUUGUAAUGGUCUAAGCUUAACCCAUUUCCUGAAGGCACGAGCCAUCUUCCUCUAAUAGGCUUGAACAUGAUCUGCUGCUCUCAAUCUCCUCUCAUCUAAAAGGUUAAGUUGAUCAAAUCGAGCCCGAGCCCACUCUGUCUCAUAAAUCUGUUGCUCAAGGACUACUCUCAAUGAACCCAUCUCUGUCUCAACUAGCAAAAUAGCCUCCAUACCAUACACUAGAAAGUAAGGUGUAGCUCCCGUAGAAAUGCGAAAAGAGGUACAGUAUGCCCACAGUGCAAAAUGGAGUUUCUCUAACCAAUCUCGAGAAGUCUCAACCAUCUUCCUCAAAAUCCUCUUAAUGUUCUUAUUUGUUGUCUGUACUGUCCCAUUGGUCUGUGGCCUAUAUGCAUAAGAUCUAUGAUGUCGAAUGCCAUACUUCCACAACAAAGUAUCUACCUCAGCUCGAAAGUGCACCCCUCUAUCUGAAAUCAACUCAUGAAGAAUCCCAUAGCGGCAAAUGAUGUGUGACCUGAUGAAACGGGCAACUCUAGUAGAUGUUAACCUCGCAUAUGAUGCAGCCUCCACCCACUUGGUGAAAUAAUCUAUGGAGACUAGGAUGAACUCAUGACCAUUGGAAUAUUUUGGUGAAAUCUUCCCAAUAAUAUCAAUACCCAUACUGAAAAUGGUUAUGGCGAGGUCAAAGCAUGUAACUUUGAUGGCGGUGCAUGAAUGAGAUCACCAUGAAUUUGACACUCUGGGCAUUUAUGAAAAAACUGAGAACAAUUUGUCUCCAUAAUCAACCAAAAACACCCUGUCCUCGUAAUCUUACGGGCCAACAUGUGUCCUCCCAUAUGCAGACCACAAACUCUUGCAUGAACCUCUCUCAUCACUUUGUCUACAAAGGCUUAAUCUAAACACAACAGAAGCAUACCAUCAGCUGAUCGCCUAUAUAAGUGAUUACUACCCAAAAAGUGCUAUUUUACACCUUUAAUGCAUUAUGUUUUAAGCACUUUUGUGUAGUAGUUCUCCAUCUUUAGUCCAAUUGGCAUGUUAAGGACCUAGCAAUGUCUUCUAAUCAUAUUUGUGGCUAGUUUUAAUGUUUUGACAGCUUUUUGGAUCAUUAAGACAAGUCAAGCAAAGGAGAGAAGCAAAGAGAAGCAAAGAGAAGCAAAGUGAAAAAAAUCAAGAUGUAGCAGCUGCAGUCUUCUUUCACACUUUUGGAGCACUUUCCGAAGUCCAGUUUUUACAUACUAUAUACCAUUUCAAAGCUAUGGAAGUCAAGAAUCCAACGCUUCAAACCGUGUACGAUUUGGAGCUGAAAUGAGGAAGAUAUGGCCUUCGGAAGCCAACUGCUCCAGGUUAUGCGAAAAUUUCGCAUUCCACAAGAGGUUAUGCGAAAUUCGCAUAACAUUCGCAUAUGGUUCGCAUAACCCAUGCGUGUUGCGAAUUUUGCUCUGCCCUUUGCCGACUCCACUUUAGAUAUUUUCCUUUGUAUUUUGUGAUGUAAUUUCCUUUAUUAUCCUUGUAACUAACCAAUCAUAAGCUUUGGCUUUUGUAAAGACUUUAUAAGGGGUGGAAAUCACCUCUUGGAACAUAUGGAAUACGUAUUACGUUUUUACACUGUGAAUUUUACAGAGCUCUCUCGUUCUCUUUUCUCUUUACUAUUUUCGUUUUCUUGGAAGCCAAACAACCUCUAAGGAUGUUUGCCCGGAGGAUGAGAGGCUAAACUUUCGGUUUCUUGGAGUAAAGGAAGCUAGGUGAAAAGUCCAGAUGAAAAGGUGGAAAGCUUCCAUGCAUUAAAUUCAGGUAGUUGGAAUUCAUAAAUGGCUUCUAAAUCCAAAGUUUUGCUUUAAACCCCUUAGAAUCACUUUGAAUGACCAAUACAUGGUAAGCUUCAGGUCUUUAUGGAUGCUUAUUGCUAGAUUCAUAUUAGUCCAUUAGUUAUCAUGUACGAGUCAUUGGAAAGUGAUUCAAGGUGAAGACCCAUAGUGUCUUAAGCCAUUAAUGGACCUUGACUAUCAUUUCUAUUGAUCUUUUAUGGAUUAAAUCUUCAUUGUCAAACCUACACCGGUUUGGGAAAUAACUAUAGGUUAAAUCCCCAAUGCGAGGAGAAAAAUCCGGAAUUUUCCACUUUCUAUUCUGAACUUGAUCCUAGCAACCCUUAGCUCCGGGAGACUUUCUUUCUUCCAUUUUUAAUUAGUUUAUGUUAGUUUAGUUUCAAACACUUUCAAAACAAAUUUUAUUUUCUUUUAAACUUUAAGUUUUUUAUCAUGGAAAUCAUUAAAUCCAAUUUCUAAUUUUGAGUAUAUCACUGGUAGAAUGGAAACCCAUCCCAGAGUUCGACCCUAGAGCCACUAUACUAUAGUAGCUUUGCUACGUUAGUAUGAGGUCAUAGGUUUUAUAAAUGUUUUUGAUUAAAUGACCCAUUUGGAGUUACAUGCGAAUCAAAAUGGCGCCGUUGCCGGGGAUGGUGCCACAAUACAGUGAUGCAACCUUUUAGAGGCUACUUGUGAUUCCCAUCACAAGUUUGGUGAAUUCCUUUUUCACUAACUUCAUUUCCUUUCAUUUUAUUUUUGUCAGGUUUAUUUUCAUUUUCAUUUUCUUUCUAACCUUAAUUUUUUUUUUCUAGGUUUCUUUUGUUUUUGUUAUUUUUGUUUUAUUUCAGGUAAGUAGUAACUUGUGCAUGCCCUAUUGGAUUCGGGACCAAGAGGGAAGAUUAGUAAGGAUUGAGAAUCCUCAAGACACAGAGUUGGAUAUUUGUGUUAAUAUCAUGGACCCUCCACCAGAGGAUCAGAAUUCUCAACAAGGUCAAGGGGGUAAUCCCAAUGCAUAUUUAUCCAUGAGGGAUAGAAUGCACCCACCAAGGAUGAGUGCACCCUCAUGCAUCAUACCUCCUCUUGAGCAGUUGGUUAUAAGGCCCCAUAUUGUGCCCCUUCUACCAAAUUUCCAUGGAAUGGAGAGUGAGAAUCCAUAUGCCCACAUCAAGGAGUUUGAGGAGGUUUGCAAUACCUUUAGAGAGGGAGGAGCUUCAAUAGACUUGAUGAGACUCAAGCUAUUCCCUUUUACUCUGAAGGACAAGGCAAAAAUAUGGCUUAAUUCUUUAAGGCCAAGGAGCAUAAGGAAUUGGGUUGAUCUUCAGGCCGAAUUUUUGAAGAAAUUUUUCCCCACCCAUAGGACCAAUGGGUUGAAGAGACAAAUCUCAAAUUUUUCUGCUAAAGAAAAUGAGAAGUUCCAUGAAUGUUGGGAAAGGUAUAUGGAGGCCAUCAAUGCUUGUCCUCAUCAUGGCUUUGAUACAUGGCUCUUGGUGAGCUAUUUUUAUGAUGGAAUGUCCUCCUCCAUGAAGCAAAUUCUUGAAACCAUGUGUGGGGGAGAUUUUAUGAGCAAGAAUCCGGAAGAAGCCAUGGACUUUUUAAGUUAUGUGUCUGAAGUGUCAAGAGGAUGGGAUGAGCCCAACUCAAGAGAAAAAGGGAAGUUUCCCUCUCAACCAACCCAAAAUCCAAAAGGUGGAAUGUACGUAUUAAGUGAAGACAUGGACAUGAAAGCUAAAGUGGCAACAAUAGCAAGGAAGUUGGAAGAACUUGAGUUGAAAAAGAUACAUGAAGUCCAAGCCAUUUCCGAGACCCAAGCCCAUGUCAUGCCAUGCACCAUUUGCCAAUCAUGUGAUCAUGUGGUAGAUGAGUGCCCAACCAUGCCAGCUGUGAGGGAGAUGUUAGGUGAUCAAGCCAAUGUUGUGGGGCAAUUUAGGCCUAACAACAGUGCACCUUAUGGAAACACCUAUAAUUCAAGUUGGAGAAACCAUCCAAAUUUUUCAUGGAAACCAAGACCACCUCCAUACCAACCACAAGGCCAAACCCAAGCACCUCAACAAACCUCUUCAGUGGAGCAAGCCAUUGUGAACCUAAGUAAAGUCAUGGGUGACUUUGUGGGUGAACAAAAGGCAAUCAACUCCCAAUUGCAUCAAAAGAUUGAAAAUGUUGAGAGUUCUCAAAUUAAGAGAAUGGAGGGGAUGCAAAAUGAUCUAUCUCAGAAGAUAGAUAAUAUUCAAUACUCCAUCUCUAGGCUUACCAACCUCAACACUGUGAAUGAAAAGGGAAAGUUUCCCUCUCAACCAAGCCAAAAUCCCAAGGGUGUUCAUGAAGUUGAAACCCAAGAGGGGGAGUCUUCAAAGUUGAGGGAGGUUAAAGCUUUGAUCACUUUAAGGAGUGGAAAAGAGGUUGAUCAACCCCUGCCUAAGGUGAAGCAAGAUGAAGAACUCAUGUCAAAGAAAACCUUGGUCAAAGAGAGCAAUAACCAAGAAGAGAAGAGUGGGAAGAAAAAUGCAUCCAAAUCAAGCAUUGAAGAAGAGCCAAGGAUAGUGAUUAAAGAGGAUAUGAUGAAGAAACAUAUGCCUCCCCCUUUUCCUCAAGCUUUACAUGGAAAGAAGGAAAUCAAGAAUUCAUCAGAAAUUCUUGAAGUCUUGAGACAAGUGAAGGUGAAUAUACCCUUACUUGAUAUGAUCAAGCAAGUCCCCACAUAUGCAAAGUUUCAAAAGGACUUGUGCACGGUCAAGAGAGGGUUACAUGUGACAAAGAAUGCAUUCCUCACUGAGCAAGUAAGUGCUAUCAUUCAGAGUAAGUCUCCAGUUAAGUAUAAAGAUCCGGGAUGUCCCACCAUUUCAGUCAACAUUGGAGGGACACAAGUGGAGAAAGCUUUACUAGACUUGGGGGCAAGUGUGAAUUUGCUCCCAUACUCUGUGUACAAGCAACUGGGACUUGGAGGAUUGAAGCCCACAGCCAUCACUCUCUCCUUAGCUGAUAGGUCAGUAAAAAUCCCAAGGGGGGUGAUAGAGGAUGUUCUAGUUCAAGUGGACAAAUUCUACUAUCUUGUGGAUUUUGUUGUGCUUGAUACUGAUCCCACAGUGAAGGAAGCAAACUAUGUACCAAUUAUCCUUGGGAGACCUUUCCUAGCUACCUCCAAUGCCAUCAUCAAUUGUAGAAAUGGGGUGAUGCAGCUCACAUUUGGGAAUAUGACCUUGGAAUUAAACAUAUUCCACCUAUGCAAGAGGCAUCUUCACCCAGAAGAAGAGGAAGGAUUAGAGGAGGUGUGCUUGAUCAACACCUUGGUUGAAGAGCAUUGUGACAAGAAUUUACAAGAGAGCUUGAAUGAAAGCCUUGAAAUGUUUGAAGAAGGGUUACCUACACCCUCUGAUGUUCUACCUAUCAUGUCUCCUUGGAGGAGACAGCAAGAGAUCUUACCACUGUUCAACCAAGAAGACUCACAAGAAGCAACUGUGGAUGACCCUCCAAAGCUUGUUUUGAAGCCGCUCCCUGUUAAUUUGAAAUAUGCAUAUUUGGAGGAAAAUGAGAAAUGUCCAGUGGUGGUUUCUUCAACUCUUACUAGUGAUCAAGAGGAUAAUCUUUUGGGAGUCCUCAGGAAAUGCAAGAAAGCCAUUGGAUGGCAAAUUUCUGAUCUGAAAGGGAUUAGCCCUUUGGUGUGCACCCACCAUAUUUAUAUGGAGGAUGAUGCAAAACUAGUGAGGCAGCCCCAGAGGAGGUUGAAUCCUCACAUGCAAGAGGUGGCGAGGGGUGAAGUUCUGAAGCUACUCCAAGCUGGGAUCAUAUAUCCCAUUUCAGACAGUUUGUGGGUGAGCCCCACCCAAGUAGUCCCAAAGAAAUCUGGAAUCACUAUGGUCCAGAAUGAGAAAGGGGAGGAAGUCUCUACACGCCCUACCUCAGGAUGGAGGGUGUGUAUAGACUACAGGAGGUUGAAUUCAGUGACUAGGAAGGACCAUUUCCCAUUGCCUUUCAUGGACCAAGUCCUUGAGAGAGUCUCAGGACAUCCUUUCUACUUUUUUCUGGAUGGGUACUCGGGGUACUUCCAAAUAGAGAUUGAUUUGGAAGAUCAAGAAAAGACAACCUUCACUUGCCCCUUUGGUACUUUUGUGUAUAGGAGAAUGCCCUUUGGUCUAUGCAAUGCUCCUGCAACUUUCCAAAGAUGUAUGCUGAGCAUCUUCAGUGAUAUGGUGGAGCGCAUCAUGGAAGUCUUCAUGGAUGACAUCACUGUUUAUGGAAGUUCUUAUGAGGAGUGUUUGUUGCAUUUAGAAGCUGUUCUCCAAAGAUGUAUUGAGAAAGACCUAGUGCUAAAUUGGGAGAAGUGCCAUUUUAUGGUACAACAAGGAAUUGUCUUAGGACAUAUCAUCUCCAAGAAGGGCAUUGAGGUAGAUAAGGCUAAGGUGGAGCUUAUUGUUAAGUUGCCACCUCCCACAAAUGUUAAGGGAAUUAGGCAAUUCCUUGGACAUGCCGGGUUCUAUAGGAGGUUCAUUAAGGAUUUCUCAAAAAUCUCAAAGCCUCUUUGUGAACUCUUGGUAAAAGAUGCCAAGUUUGUGUGGGAUGAGAAGUGUCAGAAGAGUUUUGAGGAACUGAAGCAAUUCCUCACAACUGCACCAAUAGUGAGAGCCCCAAAUUGGAAGUUACCUUUUGAGGUAAUGUGUGAUGCAAGUGACCUUGCUAUGGGGGCUGUCUUAGGGCAAAGAGAAGAUGGAAAGCCCUAUGUAAUUUAUUAUGCUAGCAAAACUUUGAACGAGGCUUAAAGGAACUACACAACUACUGAGAAGGAGUUGUUGGCAGUAGUUUUUGCCUUGGAUAAGUUUCGUGCUUAUUUGGUAGGGUCCUCUAUAGUGGUGUUCACUGACCAUUCCGCUUUGAAGUACUUGCUAACCAAGCAAGAUGCCAAGGCAAGAUUGAUAAGAUGGAUCCUUUUGCUCCAAGAAUUCAAUCUCCAAAUCCGGGAUAAAAAGGGGAUAGAAAAUGUGGUAGCUGACCACUUGUCAAGACUUGUGAUAUCACGUGACUCACAUGGUCUGCCUAUCAAUGAUGACUUCCCUGAGGAGUCUCUCAUGUCAAUAGAGGUAGCUCCAUGGUAUUCUCACAUUGCAAAUUUCUUGGUUACUGGAGAAGUACCAAGUGAGUGGAGUACCCAAGACAAGAGGCAUUUCUUUGCUAAGAUCCAUGCCUAUUAUUGGGAGGAGCCUUUUCUCUUCAAAUAUUGUGCGGAUCAAAUCAUAAGGAAAUGUGUUCCUGAACAAGAGCAAUCAGGAAUUCUUUCCCAUUGCCAUGAUAAUGCAUGUGGAGGUCAUUUUGCCUCAUAGAAAACAGUAAUGAAAGUGAUCCAAUCAGGUUUUUGGUGGCCCUCUCUUUUCAAGGAUGCCCACUCUAUGUGCAAGGGAUGUGAUCGGUGUCAAAGGCUUGGUAAGCUAACACGCCGAAAUAUGAUGCCCUUGAAUCCCAUCUUGAUAGUGGAUGUCUUUGAUGUUUAGGGGAUAGACUUCAUGAGACCAUUUCCAAUGUUGUUUGGACAUUCCUACAUUUUGGUGGGAGUGGAUUAUGUCUCUAAGUGGGUAGAAGCAAUCCCAUGUAGGAGCAAUGAUCAUAAGGUGGUUCUUAGAUUCCUCAAGGACAACAUCUUUGCAAGAUUUGGUGUGCCUAAGGCCAUUAUCAGUGAUGGAGGAACCCACUUUUGCAAUAAACCUUUUGAGACUCUUCUAGCCAAGUAUGGGGUUAAGCACAAGGUAGCUACACCUUAUCACCCUCAAACAAGUGGCCAAGUUGAGUUAGCCAACCGGGAAAUCAAGAAUAUAUUGAUGAAGGUGGUGANNNNNNNNNNNNNNNNNNNNNNNNNNNNNNNNNNNNNNNNNNNNNNNNNNNNNNNNNNNNNNNNNNNNNNNNNNNNNNNNNNNNNNNNNNNNNNNNNNNNCAUUGCCAUGAUAAUGCAUGUGGAGGUCAUUUUGCCUCCCAGAAAACAGCAAUGAAAGUGAUCCAAUCAGGUUUUUGGUGGCCCUCUCUUUUCAAGGAUGCCCACUUUAUGUGCAAGGGAUGUGAUCGGUGUCAAAGGCUUGGUAAGCUAACACGCCGAAAUAUGAUGCCCUUGAAUCCCAUCUUGAUAGUGGAUGUCUUUGAUGUUUGGGGGAUAGACUUCAUGGGACCAUUUCCAAUGUCGUUUGGACAUUCCUACAUUUUGGUGGGAGUGGAUUAUGUCUCUAAGUGGGUAGAAGCAAUCCCAUGUAGGAGCAAUGAUCAUAAGGUGGUUCUUAGAUUCCUCAAGGACAACAUCUUUGCAAGAUUUGGUGUGCCUAAGGCCAUUAUCAGUGAUGGAGGAACCCACUUUUGCAAUAAACCUUUUGAGACUCUUCUAGCCAAGUAUGGGGUUAAGCACAAGGUAGCUACACCUUAUCACCCUCAAACAAGUGGCCAAGUUGAGUUAGCCAACCGGGAAAUCAAGAAUAUAUUGAUGAAGGUGGUGAAUGUGAAUAGGAAGGAUUGGUCUAUUAAGCUCUUAGAUUCCCUAUGGGCUUAUAGGACCGCUUACAAGACCAUUCUUGGGAUGUCUCCUUAUCGCCUUGUUUAUGGCAAAGCGUGUCACCUUCCAGUGGAGAUUGAAUAUAAAGCAUGGUGGGCAAUCAAGAAGCUCAACAUGGAUUUGACAAGAGCCGGGUUGAAGAGAUGUUUGGAUUUGAAUGAAUUGGAGGAAAUGAGGAAUGAUGCUUACCUCAAUUCAAAAAUUGCAAAAGAGAGGUUGAAGAAAUGGCAUGAUCAAUUGGUAAAUCAAAAGAAUUUUGCCAAGGGACAAAGAGUCUUGCUUUAUGACUCUAAGCUUCAUCUUUUUCCGGGAAAAUUGAAAUCAAGAUGGACGGGUCCUUUCAUAAUUCAUGAUGUGAAAUCAAAUGGAGUAGUGGAACUACUCAACUUCAAUAGCACUCGAACUUUCAAAGUGAAUGAGCAUCGUCUUAAGCCUUAUAUAGAAUCAUUUUCCCGAGACAAGGAGGAAUUCAUCCUCCUUGAUCCACCUCCAACAUGAAAAUACUUGGUUUAUGGUUGAACUUAGUCUCUUCAAAGACUAAAGAGUUCAUCCUCUUUUUGUUUUCUUUUAAGUUGAUUUUAAUUUAAUCUAGUUUUUUUUUCUUGUGUUUUUCCAUGUUUUGAUUUUUUUUUUUUGACUUUAAUGCCGUUCUAAUGUGUUUUUAAUUGGUUUUUUGGGUUAACAUUUAGGUGGGAAAGCUUGAGGAAUGAAGUCAUGGUGAAAGUAAGGCAAAACAGGGGAGAAAAAAACAAGUUUCAGCCAUUUUCGAAACCCCCCCCCCAUAUGCGAAAUUUUCGCAUAACACACCCCUUAUGCGAAAAUGCUUUUGUGGCAAUUUAAAAAAAAACAUGCUCUCGGUCCCUUCCCAAAAUCCCUUAUGCGAAUUUCACAGGAAUGCGAACCAUAUGCCAACCAUAUGCGAAUUCGUUUUUGAGACAAAUUUGCAAAACCAUGCUCUCUGUCUGGGUUCUCACAGGAAUGCGAAAUUUUCGCAUAACAUAAGGGGUAAUGCGAAAUUUGCAUUUCCUCUUUAAAGACCGUGUUCUUCUCUUCCCAUGCUCAAUUUCUUCUUCAUUUCUCAUAGCACCUCUCUUCCAAUCACCAAAUCCCUUCAUUAAGUUUCUUUUCUUCAUCAUUCCUCAAUCUCAACACCACCAUGGCAGCCCAUCUCCAUAACUCCACCUCAUAGUCGCGGCAGUCACUAUUCAUCACCGUCCACCCCUUCAAUUUUCAGCUCUUUCCACCAUCAAAAACCUCCCAAUUCCUCACUCAACACUAUAAAUCCAACCCUCAACCAAUUUCAGCCUUGUAUUCACCAAUUCAAAACCUCAAGCUAAGCAUUCAAGCCACGUUUUCUUCAAAGAGAACCCAUGGCCGCCGGGUAGAGGAGCUCCAAUUUUCAAAAUUUCUUCGUGAAAAAGCUCCAAUUUCCAAGCCUAUUCACCAUGAAAAAUUCUUUUCUUACCUUAGCCAGCAUUUCCCACCCUCAAAAGCCAAAAAUUUCCACAAUUUGAAUGAGCUUCAAAACUUCAAGUGGGCGUGUGAAUAGUGCAUAUGCGAAAUUUUUGCAUUCCAUCAUGUGUUAUGCGAAAUUCGCAUAACCCCCCCCCCCCCCCCAAAGGGAAAAUUUUACAAAAACCCCACCCUGGGGCAAUUUUUCACUUUUUUCCUCUCUGCCCCCCCCCAACCCAAACCCGGGGGGCCCCAUUCAUUACUUUCUUAAGCCCAAAAACCCCAGGGGGAAUACCCCCGCCCCCCCAAGCAAUGGGAAAAACCGCCCUGGGGGGGGCCCNNNNNNNNNNNNNNNNNNNNNNNNNNNNNNNNNNNNNNNNNNNNNNNNNNNNNNNNNNNNNNNNNNNNNNNNNNNNNNNNNNNNNNNNNNNNNNNNNNNNCCCCCCCCCCCCCCCAUAUGCGAAAUUUUCGUAUAACCCCUACCUUGUGCCAAUUUUUCACUUUUUCCAUCUCUGCCCUCCCCAAUCCAAAGCCUAUGAGCCUCAUUUCAUUACUUCAUUAUGCCUAAGACCCGAGGAGGACAUACCUCAGCUCCCCAGAGCAGUGAGAGAGCCACCCCUAUGCGGGCCCCACUAGAUGCGCUGCCACAUUUAGCUGAUUCUGCCUCUCAGAGCAGAUACCAUACGAGAAGAGCAUCUGCCACACCUAUGGCCCCUACUCAGAUUCCACUUUGGGGUCCUCCUACAAAGAAAGCCAAGACUUCAAAGCCAGGAGAGUCCUCUAGAGCACCUCGGGAUUCACAGUCUCAACCGCCCAUCACUAUCCCUGGUUUAGAGUACCGUGCCUUGCUCGGUUCUUUUCAGACUCUGACCACUACUCAGACGGCCAUUAUGGAGCGCAUGGACUACUUCCAGAUUCAGCAGGAGCAGCAGACUCUCAUUCUCCGUGAGAUUCAGCAGCACCUCGGUCUUGUGCCAUCAGCUCCACCUGUAGCGGUGCCUUCCUCAGUUCCAGCAGAGGACCCCUCCUAUCCACCAGAGGAGCCUACUACUUGAUCAUACGAUCACUCCUCUCCCUUUUUUUUUUUUUUUUUAUCUAUAUUCUAUGUUUUUUGGAUGUCUUAUGUAUUUUGGACCACCUUUAUAUUGGGAUUGGAUAUAUUCCAUGUUUGUCUUGUAUAUUGUACUCUCUCAGUUUAUAUAGACAUCUUCCUUUUUGUGUAUUUUAGCUAUUCCUUUUUAUUUCCUCUAAUCAUCACUCUUAUGAUUUUUCUUUUCUUAUGCAACAUGUGGUUUCUCCUCUCUAUUCAGAGUACCUUACUAUAAGGAGGUAUCACUUCCUCCCUUUUAUUACCAUUUGCUUUUAGAACAUUGGGGACAAUGUUCAUCCUAGUUGGGGGGAGAGUUGAGGAAGUAAAUUGUUGAAUUUUUUUGGUUAAGUUAUUUUGCUAACAAAUUUUUUGCAAACUCUCCUUGUUUUCUUAAAGAUAAAUUCUCAAAAAUAAAUAGGAGAAAUUAAAUUCUUAUCUUAUUGCCAUAGUCUUAGAGUUUGUAUUAUGCUUAUUAAAGUUGAUAAAUUGUUGAAGCUCCUUUUGAUUUCAAUCUUAAGUCUUCCACUCUAAUCUUUUCACACACUGAACACAUUAGAUUCCAGUUAUAAGAUGGAAAACUUUUUCACCCCCUAAACUUAGGAAAUUUUUGACUUGGUACCAUUGACUUCAUUCUAUUAGUGUUGGGACACCUUAUAAAAGGCCAAUGUGUCUUAUGAAAAAAAUUUUGCUUCACUUGCUUUGAAACCCGAGCAAGGUCCGAGGGGUAUAUGGUGAAAAUCUUUAAAACCUGGUGCCCUAAGCCUUCAAUGGUUGGGAGCCACCGACCUCACUGCUCGUUACAUGGGUGGAUGGGUGGAGUAUAUUAAAAAUAAAAAUAAAAAAAAGAAAAAAAGAAAAAGAAGAGGUGCGUUCUUAGCCUUCUAUAUAUGAGUUAGUGUUGCUAAAGUUAGAGAAAAACCUUAGUUGGGAGGAGAAUAUAGUUUGACACACUAUAACUGGAAACUAAGCAUCUUAACACUUAGAUUUUUGUGGAAGAUUAAGAGUUGGUCCUUUGGGAGUGGAAAUUAUUUUGAUACUCAAAUUUGCAUAAUGCCCGCUUUUUGAAUGUUGUGAUAGGUAAGUUAUUUGAUGACUCUUGUUGAUGAUUGAGUUUUAUAUCCUUGACUAUUCACAAGAGAGUUUGAUCCAAUCAUGCCACUUGGUUAUUUUUUGGAGUGAUCAGCAUGAUUUUGUAAAAUAUUAUAUUAUCUAUUCUUCUUUAUUUUUCUUUCCUUCAUUGCUCAGGGACUAGCAAUGUGUCAGUUGGGGGGAGUGAUUACUACCCAAAAAGUGCUAUUUUACACCUUUAAUGCAUUAUGUUUUAAGCACUUUUGUGUAGUAGUUCUCCAUCUUUAGUCCAAUUGGCAUGUUAAGGACCUAGCAAUGUCUUCUAAUCAUAUUUGUGGCUAGUUUUAAUGUUUUGACAGCUUUUUGGAUCAUUAAGACAAGUCAAGCAAAGGAGAGAAGCAAAGAGAAGCAAAGUGAAAAAAAUCAAGAUGUAGCAGCUGCAGUCUUAUUUCACACUUUUGGAGCACUUUCCGAAGUCCAUUUUUUACAUGCUGUAUACCAUUUCAAAGCUCUGGAAGUCAAGAAUCCAACGCUUCAAACCGUGUACGAUUUGGAGCUGAAAUGAGGAAGAUAUGGCCUUCGGAAGCCAACUGCUCCAGGUUAUGCGAAAAUUUCGCAUUCCACAAGAGGUUAUGCGAAAUUCGCAUAACAUUCGCAUAUGGUUCGCAUAACCCAUGCGUGUUGCGAAUUUUGCUCUGCCCUUUGCCGACUCCACUUUAGAUAUUUUCCUUUGUAUUUUGUGAUGUAAUUUCCUUUAUUAUCCUUGUAACUAACCAAUCAUAAGCUUUGGCUUUUGUAAAGACUUUAUAAGGGGUGGAAAUCACCUCUUGGAACAUAUGGAAUACGUAUUACAUUUUUACACUGUGAAUUUUACAGAGCUCUCUCGUUCUCUUUUCUCUUUACUAUUUUCGUUUUCUUGGAAGCCAAAAAACCUCUAAGGAUGUUUGCCCGGAGGAUGAGAGGCUAAACUUUCGGUUUCUUGGAGUAAAGGAAGCUAGGUGAAAAGUCCAGAUGAAAAGGUGGAAAGCUUCCAUGCAUUAAAUUCAGGUAGUUGGAAUUCAUAAAUGGCUUCUAAAUCCAAAGUUUUGCUUUAAACCCCUUAGAAUCACUUUGAAUGACCAAUACAUGGUAAGCUUCAGGUCUUUAUGGAUGCUUAUUGCUAGAUUCAUAUUAGUCCAUUAGUUAUCAUGUACGAGUCAUUGGAAAGUGAUUCAAGGUGAAGACCCAUAGUGUCUUAAGCCAUUAAUGGACCUUGACUAUCAUUUCUAUUGAUCUUUUAUGGAUUAAAUCUUCAUUGUCAAACCUACACUGGUUCGGGAAAUAACUAUAGGUUAAAUCCCCAAUGCGAGGAGAAAAAUCCGGAAUUUUCCACUUUCUAUUCUGAACUUGAUCCUAGCAACCCUUAGCUCCGGGAGACUUUCUUUCUUCCAUUUUUAAUUAGUUUAUGUUAGUUUAGUUUCAAACACUUUCAAAACAAAUUUUAUUUUCUUUUAAACUUUAAGUUUUUGAUCAAGGAAAUCAUUAAAUCCAAUUUCUAAUUUUGAGUAUAUCACUGGUAGAAUGAAAACCCAUCCCAGAGUUCGACCCUAGAGCCACUAUACUAUAGUAGCUUUGCUACGUUAGUAUGAGGUCAUAGGUUUUAUAAAUGUUUUUGAUUAAAUGACCCGAUUGGAGUUACACGCGAAUCAAUAAGGUAUCUCCACAAAUCAUAAAUCUAGUGGCUAACUGUCUCAAUGCUCUUCGAUCCUUAGCUAUGGCUACCUCAAGAUAUGUGCCAGAUCUAAGAAACUGAUAAAUGUCAUGAUAUCAAGGUAGAUCAUCCUGGACCUCUGUCUCUCCAAUCAAACAACAGUAGGUGGGUGCAGACCUCAACUCAAUUAGCAAUGGAUGUACUACUACAUCAAUCGGAAUGUCCAUAGAAGAAGCUAGGGUAGCUAAGGCGUUAGCAAACUGGUUUUGCAAUCUAGGAAAAUGAACAUAUCUCAAGUCAUCAAAUCUCGCAACUAGUAACUCCAAGUAAGCGUGAUACGACCUAAGCUUCACAUCUCUAGCCUUCCAAUCUCCUUAAAUCUGUCUGAGUACCAAAUUAGAGUCACCAAAUACCUCAAUUUGUCUAAUGCCAAGCUCCAAUACAGUCUCUCAACCAAGGAUACAAGCCUCAUACUCAAUUAUAUUAUUCAUGAUAAGUGUCAAUCAAGGAAUGCCAAACAAAUAGACCUCGAAAUGUGAUCAUCCUGAGGGGAUACCAACAAAACACCUAUCCCAUACCCUGAUUGAUUAGCUGCACCAUCAAAGUACAUGCACCAUCCUGAUAAGCUAGUCAUAACAAUAAACUCCUCAUCUAAAAAAUCAUCAUCAACUGGUCUAUCCUUAGAUGUCAGUAGUGAGGCUAAGUGAUUGGCGACAAUACUUCCCUUAAUAGACUUUUGAGAAACAUAUUGAAUAUCAAACUCUGUCAAAAGUACGAGCCAUCUCAUCAGUCUACUAGUCAAUACAGGUCUAUCAAAUAGAAAUCUCAAUAGAUCUAGGCGGGAUAUCAAAUGCACUGAAAUCUUUGUCAUGUAAUGCCUCAAUUUCUUGGUAGCCUAAGGUAGUGCUAAGUAAAGGUGCUCAAUCAUAACAUAUCUCAUCUUAUACUCUAACAUCCUCUUACUUGGAUAGUAAAUAGCUCGCUCCCUCCCUAAGUCAUCAAGCUGAGCUAAAAUACAUCCUAAGGUCAUGUCUGAAACUGACAAAUACAAAAGAAGUGAAGGUCCCAACAUAGGAGGCAUUAGAAUAGGAGGAGAAAUCAAGUACUCCUUGAUCUUCUCAAAUGCAAGUUGGUAAUCAUCAUUCCAAAUUGUUGGUGAUUCAUGCCCAAUUGGUGUCUCAGCUGAUUUGUGUCCAGCUGCUGCUCCUUGAUUGAGGGAGUAAUCAACAAAAUUUGUAACCUAUAACACCAUAUACUAGGGUAGCAAAGAAAAAGCUACUAUAGUAUAGUGGCUUUAGGAUCGUCCACUGGGAAAGAUUAACAAGCUCUCAAUGAUACCAAUUCCAAGUGAAUUGGUUUUGUUUCAUUUCAUGGUUAGCUUAAGAAGUAAAACACAAACUUUGAUUGGUAAAGGUUUAGACUUAAACUAACUAACAUAACAGAAGUUUGGAAUAAUUUAGGAAGAAAAGCAUUCCCUGGAGAGUUAGGUUCACUGGGGUGGUUCCUCAUGCAAAAGACAUAGCUCCGGUCAGAUGGUUCAUUUCCUCGCGUUAGAGAUUCAACAUAUAGUCAAUUCUCUAACCGGUAUUGUACAGAGACUCCUUCAAUUAGAUUUCACUUUAAUUCUCUCACUGAUGCAACUUGCAAUGAUUUAAGCCUCUCACUAAGCCUUAACCAUUCAAGGUGAUCUUUAACCUUGGAUUACCCGUCAAAAGCUCGCAAGAGAUAACUAAUGGAUGUCUCCUAGGAGUCCAAAAGCUUACCAAGUGUUGGCUAUUCUAGAAAAUCCUACCUUGAAGUCACCUCCCAGAGGCUCACAAGGGGUAAACUAGUGCAUUUCCAUGGUUGGAAAUCACUUGCCUUACCAAGUGUUGGCCGAGGUGACUCUAAGGUGUUUUAAGUUAACUAAAAACAUAGAAAUCACUAAAGGAUUUCACUUCCUCUUCAUUACUAGCUAAAACCACAGAGCUUUGCAUUCUUGCACUUGGAACCUUCCCCGGCAACCUUAGCUCCAAGGAACUAGAGGUUUAGUUACUCAUUCUCUGGGGAAAACUCCUCAGAGAGUUCAUAACUUAGUAAGAAAAUGAAAAUACAAAGUGAGAAGGUAAGGCAGUAGAAAGAAAAUAAACUUUACUUGCUUACCCAAACUUUUACAGAAGGAACUCCUCCCUGAGAACAGGCUCCCGAGAGGUAUAUAUAUGAACAUAAUAUAAAACUAAUUAUUACAUAGAUAUUUAGUCUUUUUACUAACUUAAAAGCUAAGGAAUCAUGUAAUUGGUGGUUUACAAGGAGUAUUUUGGGAUUUAGACAACAAAAAUAUGAUGGAAAAUAUCUCCCAAUGUCGGUAGCAAAUAUCGGGAGGCUUCAAGAAUCAUUUCGCAGGAGAAAAAUGGUGUCUGCGAGAUUUCGCAGACACUCAAGAGGGCUGCGAAAUAAUUUCGCAACACCAAGCUAUAUUCACAGGGCUGCGAAAUUGGCUUCCACCUUGAGGUUCCCAGCUUCCUUCUCGCGGCAUAAAUCGGGCAUCGUCAGAAGGAGAAACAUUACACUGUUCAAAAAGGCUGCGAAAUCACUUCGCAACAAAAGGGUGAUUUCGCAACACUUUGCAAAAUGCUUCCUUCAGCUAGGAGUGAUUGGCUUGUAAUGGCUGCAACUUCUUCGUUUCAACUCCGAAUUGCACACCGUUUAAAGAAUUGGAUUGUUGACUUCUUGAGCUUUGAAAUGGUAUAUAGCAUGCAUCAUCUGGACUUCAGAAAGUGCUCUAAAAGUGGUUGUUACGACUCUCAUCAAGAAUAUGCUUUAUGGCAGAUUCUCUUUGCUUUUUUCUCCUUGCAAUCCGGAUUUACUCUUGGCAAAUGAUUUCUAAGCUUUGCCCAAGAUUCCUUAUAGCUCUCCUCAGUCUUGACUUGCUUUGGUGAUCAAAAUACUAACAAAAACACCAAAACUUACACAAAGUGAUCAAAAUUGUUUUCAAGGGUCCUUAACAUGCCAAUUGAGUUAAAAGGCCAAAACUACUACUCAAAAGUGUUUAAAAGGAUUAAUUAUAAGCUAUCAAAUAGCACUUUUUGAGUAGUAAUCAGUUGGCUGAUUCUUUCUCAAAAGACGAAAAAUGGGCUCACAUAUGUCUAUCAAUCUGGCUAUGAAUCAACUGAUAUACUGUAAUUUGCCUAGAAAACCCCUGAUAUCUUUCUUAGUCUUUGAUACAAGCAUGUCAAGUAUGGCUUUGAUCUUAUCUGGGUCGACCUCUAUGCCCCUCUCACGAACCAUAUGCCCCAAUAAUUUCCUAGAAGUCACUCCAAAGGUGCACUUCUUUGGAUUCAGCCUCAAUCUGAAUUUUUGGAUUCUCUCAAAGAAUCUCUCUAGAGCUUCUAGGUGAUUUGCUCUGCCUCAGGAUUUCAAAAUCAUAUCAUCCACAUAAACUUCAACAUCCUUAUGCAUCAUGUCAUGAAACAAAGUAGUAGCAGCCCUCUGAUAAGUGGCUCCUACGUUUUUCAACCCAAAUAGCAUAACCCUGUAACAGUAGGUACCCCACUCAAUAAUAAAGGUUGUCUUCUCCAUAUCCUCUAGAGCCAUCAAAAUCUGAUUAUACCCUGAAAACCCAUCCAUGAAGUCAACAUUGAAUGGCCUGAGGUGCUAUCAACCAAUAAAUCAAUAUGAGGGAGAGGAAAGUCAUUUUUAGGGCUAGCUUUAUUAAGGUCUCUAAAGUCAACACAUACUCUAACUUUGCCGUACUUUUUGGGAACAGGGAUGACAUUAGCCAACCACUCUGGGUACUCAACCACUGAUAUGAAUCCAACACUGAGUUGUUUCUGAAUCUCCUUUUUCACCUAUAGACUCCAACGUGGAUGCAACCGUCUUAAUUUCUGCUUAAUUGGUUUGGCAUGUGGUGUUGAACUAUAGAGGGAUCGAGGUUAGGCAUGUCCUCAUAAGACCAUGCAAAGACAUCUAAGUAUGACCAGAGUAAAUAAAUAAGUCUAUCCCUCUCAUCUGUAGAUAAGGGUGAACCAAUCUUCAGCUCUCUAGGCUAAUCCUUUGUGCCAAAAUCAACAGUCUUAACAUCCCCUGUAACUGGUGAAACUCUCUCAUCCAUGGGGUUUGAGUCAUGAUAAAAAAAAGCCUUUAUCUAAAUAGAGCUGUGCAAUCUCAUAAUUUAUAUCCAAUAUCUGUGGAGUGGGUGAAUAGGGUACAAAUAUAGAGAUACUAUCAUAAGAGAUAAGAAAAUACUAAAAAAUACUCAAAUCCAUAAAUGAAGCAAUAGAAACAUCGUCAGAGCAGGAGACAAAUCCUGAUAAAACAUCAAAGAAAAGAUGUGGAUCCACAAGGUUGGACGCUCCCUUAACUGGGCUAACAGUGCCCUCAAACAAACUACCAUCAUCCUCUAGAACCUCUAGAGCAGGAAUAGUCUAGGUCUCCUCAAUAACCUCAAUAGUAGACACCCCAAACAUAUCAAAUGGUGAAACUGGUUGAAGCUGAACAAUGUUGCUGAUCUGAAUCAUGGUUAUCAUGUCCAUCUCAUCUCGGUACUCAUCAUGGAGAACAACUCCAUUAAUCAUCUCAGUGGUAUCGACGACCACUCCCUCAUCAAUGACCUCCUUUGGGAAGCAUAGAAACAACAAACUAGCUCGAUCUAGAGACGGAGGAGCAAUUUCCAUAGAAAUAGAAGUGUCAGGAGCCCCAUCACUCAAUUGUGACCAGUGAAAUAGAUGUUGAAGCUCGAUCUCUCUAUCUAUAUGAAUCACACUAUCAAUCUCCUCUAGACGGGGUUGAAUCUCUGAUCCUUUGACAAAGUAGUUGGUCAAACUUAUCCUAUAAGAUCGAAUAGGAUAAUCAAAUGGUGUGUGAGACAAACGGGCCCUCACUCUCUCCUUGCAUAGUCAUGCCAUGUAUCGGUAAUCAACCUCACUAGGAAUGAACCCAAGUUCAAAUGUCGUAUCAUGGUCAAUGGCAGUUAUAAACUCACUGGGUCCCUACUGAUGUCAUUCUAACCCCAUGCCAGGUAGAAAAGUCAUACCCCUCAUCAUAUCAAGAAUCAUUGUGUGUUGAUCAAAUGACAUGGCUACAAAAUCUCUACAAAAAUCCUCAAUCUCAAGAGUUCGUAUCUCAUCAAAAGUAAACCCAGUUAGAAAUAGGUCAUCCUCACUGUGAUUGGUCUGAAGUACUGGCUCAGAAGAGGCUAACAUAUCUCAGAUAGACUAUACUGUGAUGACUUGCCCAUCAUGAAUGAACUUCACCUUCUGAUGAAGGGAAUAAGGAAUAACUCAUGCUUUAUGAAUCCAUGGUCGGCCUAGUAGCAUGUUAAAAGAUGUAGGAAUCCUCAAAACCUGGAACAAAGUAGAGAAUGUGGCUAAACCAAUCCAUAAAUCAAUCACUAAGGUACCCAUAACCUCUCUCUUGGUGCUAUCAUACUCUCUGACUGUCCAAGUAGAGGGACCAAAAUCCGAAGGCGUGAAACCAAGGGCUAUAGUAGUGGUUAAAGGGCAGACGUUCAGGGUUGAGCCAUAGUCUAAUAGGACAGAUGGAACUCUAUGGCAUGAACAACCAACUAUGAUAUAUAGAAGGCGUACAUGGUCUGAACCAUCAGGGGACAAAUCAUCAUCUGAAAACACAAUGCAAGUGGCCUUGCUGGUCGUCAUUAUAUGAAUCAAUCCCUCUAGAGUGGUUGGGUUCUCUACUCUGAUCUGACUCAAGGCUCGAAUCAAAGCAUCUCUAUGAGUACUAGAUGAUGCUAAUAAGCUCCAAAUAGAAAUACGAGCCUGAGUACUAUAUAACUAUCUCAAAACCUUAUCAUCAUCUCUCUUAACCUCCUUAUGAGAGGCUACACCCUCAAAUGGUUUGACUGCUAGUGGUGGUGGUGGAACUAUCCUCCCACUAAGAGUCACAAUCUGUAUCUCUUUUUCCUCUAAAUCAUCAUCCUCUAGCCACAAAGUGAAUGGGACAGUGAUAUCCUAGUAUCUGAUAACCAAAGGUGUAGAAUGAACCAACUAGAAUGGCGCCCCAUCUGGGAUCAAAUUGAAUGGUGCAAGAACCCGCAGACCUAAUAAAACCCCAUCAACCUCACUACUGUCAUGCAGAACAAUUGGCUUGGGUAAUCCAUCAUCCUAACUCAACAUAUGUAUACUGUCAUCCUCUAUAAAGUCUAUGUGAUGGAUAUCUCUUGGAGGUGGAGGCACUGCAUGUGUAGAAUGGGCGGGAAGAGGGUUAGUGGUCACACUUGGCUGCCCCAAGUUAACCAAACCCUGGUCUAACAAGUCCUGUAUAGCAUGUCUCAAAGCAAUGCAAUGGUCUGUAUCAUGCCCUAUACCCUGAUGGUAGGAACAAUGUAAAUCCAUCCUGAAACGAGGUGGUAUGGGCUGGGGUAAAGGCCUAGGAGCUAACUGAGUCAAUAAACCAUCCUCUAUGAACUUGUGGAAAGCUCGGCUCAAAGACAUACCUAGCUGGGAGAACUUUCAUGUCGACCUUUGUACAUAAGUAGUGGUCUGUGGGGCUUGGGGUUGAGGGUAUGACAUAGGAGGUCUCUCUGUGAAAUGUGCAGAAAAAAUAGGUUGUGAGACUGGAUGUAGAUAAUUAGGAAUGAUGGGUCUAGAAGGAGCAGGUGGUUUAUACUGCACAUGAUGUGAGGGUGGGUAAUAGAAUCCAAAAGUCUACCCAACUGUCUGAUAAAGUAUAGGAGGUCUCAUCCUUGAUGAAUUGAUAGCACUUACAUCUCUUGGUCUUUGUCCUCCUGAAGUCUUCUUCCCCUUAAAGUCAGUAGGAGAAGACUCGGGCCACAAUCCUCUGGCAAUGCCCUCCUCUAUACCAUACAAAGCCGGUACCAAAGAUCCAAAAUCCUUAUAGGGAAAUCCCAUCAAGUGUUUAGCAAAUCUAGGCUGCAAACUCCUCAAAAUCAUACUAAUCUGAUCCUUCUCUGAAAGACGAUCAAUAAUUUGUGAAAUCUUCUCCCUCUAACGGGAGAUAAAUGAAGUGACUAACUCCUUUGGCCUCUGUCUCAAUGCCUCUAGCUCUCUCCUCGAAACAUCAAUGAUAGUGUUAAAUGAAAAAUGUCUCAAAAACUCCUGGGCCAGAUUAUCCCAAGUCCUACGGCGUAAUACACCCAAUGAAGCGAACCAACAUUAUGUCGCACCACUCUAGAAGAUAGGGAAAAGCAUAACCAUUUGGGUCUCAUCUAGUCUGUGGGUCCUCAUAACCGUACUAUAGAGCCUCAAAUGGAUACGAGGAUAACCUAUGCCCAUGUAUCUCUCAAUCUCAAGCAUCCUAAACUUGGUCGGUAAACUGGCCAAUAGUGCUCCAUCAAAAUCCUCCUAAGUAAUAACUAAUUUUGAAGCCCUCAUUUGUCUCAACCUCUGCUCGAGUCUAUCCAUACGUGUAUGUGGGUCCUUUGAGGUCGGGAUAGGCAAUGUGAUAGGAGGUGGGGCUACCUCGGUCUGACUAUGCAGAGUGAAAAGUAUAACCUAUGGUGUUGAUUGACUGGGUGGAGGAGAUAGUGGAACUGUGGUAUCGAACCGGGCACUCUCCUAAACUGGGACCUGUUGGGCCUACUGCCCAUCUAUCAUUUGGCCAAGAUUAGCUAUAGCUUCCUGGAUCAAAGCCAUAACUGCAUCAAAAUGGUCAAUGGUAACUAUCUAUGAGUCCAUAUCUCUCUAAUCUGAUCUCUGAUCUAACUGGUCUGAUACUCUAUUCAAUCUAUCUCCAACCCUAAUCCAUGAAGGUGAAUCCAGAUCGGUCACAGUAAAUCCUCCUACAAAUAUGGAAACACUAGAUAAGGUGCAGUAUGAAUGUGACUCUAUAGGAAUCAACUGACAAGUGCAUAAAAGUAUAGCCCAAAUAUACUCAAUCUGAUACCCAUCUUUGAUCACACCAAAAGGAGACUAUGGAAGGGAUAACCGAACCUAAUCAUGACCAAGACAACUCUAAAGGUCCACAGAUGCACCUACGUGUAGGAAUGAAAUCUUAAUUGGGUCUAGGUUAACUUACAGGGUGGAGAUGGCUCUACAGGAUAAAAUGGGUGGGUUAAAGGAUCCCUAGCAGAAGUUAUCAUACCCUCCAAUGGUACGCAACCCUUUGCACGCCUCCAAGGAAACUAGGUACUUCCAUGCAAGGUGGUCAUCACCUCCACACAUGCACUUCCUCACUUUCCCAGGGGGUUUCUUAAAGGUGAAGGCUCUCUCAUCUCUCAACACUUAGGGACAAUGUAAAGUGCACAAUGAAGGAUGUGGGUGCAUCCGAAAAACCUAAGAUCUAAAGUGAGAUAAGGAACAAAGAUAAACAAUCAUACAAUCAUGCAAGAGAAAGGGUUAUCAUGCAACAAACAGUCAUGCGAAGCAAAUAAAUAUCAAACAAUCAAAGUUUUAUCUAUCAUAUGUGAGAGUGAAUCAUGCUGAAGUGAGCAAGCAAUCAAGUGAUCAUCCUAGGCAAUCAAACAUGUUAAGAUAGCAAACCCAACAAGCAAGCAAAUCUAAUCACCUUGUCCAAAAAGGGGGUACCCUCUAAUCGACCAAUUAAACGCCACAUUUUCCUCAAAUAGUGUACAAGCUUGAUCCUAAAACUCCCCAAUGGAGUCACCAAUUUAUGGACCUGCAUUUUUCAUGUGUGUCCCCACUUGAACGGCGAGACUCACUUUUAUUUGUGAAAAAUUAAUUUUUGGAAAAGUCGGGGUUGCCACUUAUUUUAUUUUUAUUAUAAAGGGAAAAUAAAACAAGAAAGAAAACCCUAAAAAGUAACUCCAUAAUUUUUGGAAAAAUCGUGUCUUUGAAAAACCCGAAUCUAGGUUCGGGGAUCAGGUUACCUAUUGGGAAGGUACUUCUAAAAGGUAGCACCCUUCUAAGCCCUAUAAAGGUCUCUACUAACUAAGUUGAGGGAAAUAUGGCAAUUAACUGGUUAAUCAUGGAUACCUAAGUAGGCUAGGUGAUUUUGAAAAAUAACAUGCUUAACAAGAAAAUCGAUCACAAUCAUGAAGAAUAUUUAGGGUGCGUACAUGGACUGCUUCUUAAGCACUAUCACAAGACAUCAAAGUUAGUUCAAAUAGUAUGUCAUCUAGCAUGUGUUUUAUUAGAAAUAAUCGAACAAUGAAACAUGUAUAUCAAAACACUCAAUCACUAUAAAAAAUAGGCAUAAUUCACAAUGACAAACAUACUCAUAGAAUAUAGAAAGUGGGUGAUAGGGGACGUACCUGGAUAGCAUAGAUAACUCAUUAUAUGCUUCCUUUGGACAUGGGGGUUAGGUAAUAAAUAAUAAAAUAAGAAAUCCUAGCAUGCUUAAUAUCUAAUUAGCAUAGCAAAAAUGAUUACAAUAUACGAAAUCAUCAAUUAUCACUUAUAUCUUGUAUAUAAUUCCUAAAAAAUAAAUAGACAAGAUUACAACAAAUAGCAAAGGUGGUAGAAAAAAUAAGUUUUGAAAAGAUUUUCUUAUGUAGGGGUUUCACCAAUUCCUCAAUCGAUAUACACAAAUUUAUCCUAAAAUUAUCCAUUCAUUUGGGACCACAAGCUUUGAUUUGUGUUUUGUUCAAAACCAAAAUUUUUAUUGAAAAUCAAGAAGGAUGCAAACAAAUCAAGAUAUGAUUGCAUAUUAUUAAUUUUUUUUUUUUUUUAAAAAAAAAAAGAGAUUUUGAUUCUAAAGCUCUAAAUGAAUUUUCUUUUUGAAUAGAUUUUUUAAAGGGAUCUUUUGAGAAAAAGUGUUUUGUUUUAAAAUAAAAGAAAUUAUUUUUUAAAAUAACAUAACAUAGAAAACAAAAAUACCAACCAAAACAAAAGAAAACGGAGAUCACAAAAUAAAGAUUUAGACAAUCAUGCCAAUUAAAAUGGUGAGAGUAAGGCCAACCUUCAUGGGUUUCCAACGGCCUUAAAAAAAAUAAAAAAUUGACUAACAAUCACUAAGGCAAAAAACGAACGGCUUCCUAAUCAAACAAACUAACAAAAAUAUUAUCCAAAACUAACAUCUAGAUUUCAAGAAACACAUAAUAAAAAAAAGAACAAUCAAAGAUUAAAGCCAACAAAUUUAGCAUAUGGAGAUAAUACUACAGGGUCAAUUAAGGUAAAUUAACAUUCUAACAAAAUAUGAUAAAUCAAAGACCAAAGUUUAGUAAUCUUAAAAAUAUGAAAAAAAAUAACAUGCAAUUAACUAGAUUGACUAUCCAAAAUUCCUAAAAACUCGAACUAAAUAUUAAUAGAUCAAAACCAAAAUAUGCUAUACUCAAAAUAUGAAAAAUAAUAUGUGAUUGACUAAAUUAAUUAACCGAAACUCUAAAAACACUAAAACCAAAUAUUGAUGGAUCAAAAUUAAAAUUGCCAUAUUUAAGACAUGAAAAUAAUAACACAUGAUUAACUAAGUUAAUUAACUAAAAUUAUAAUCAACUACAAAAUUGGAUAUAAAUGGAUUAAAAUCAAAAUUAACGAAAUCGGAAAAAACACAAACACAUUCAAACUGAAAAAAAAAAAAUUAAUACUGGAUUAAAUUAGAACUAAAAACAUCAACAUCAUCUAAUAAGAUUGGUUAAAAUAUCAAAUUGAAAUUUCAAAUACAUUUAAACUAGAACAAAUAAAUAAAUCAGCAAAUUAGAACUAAACUAAAAUUGGAAUUAAAAAUAUGAAAUUCAUCUAAGAGGAGUAAUCAAAUAAUUAAAUUAACACCAUAAAUGCAUUCAAAUUAUAAAAUAUUAAAAUUAAACUAAAUUGAAAUUAAGAUAUAUCUAAUAAGAUUAUUUAAACUGAUGAAUUAAAAUCAACAAAUACAUUUAAGCUAAAAACAAAUUAAAACCAAACCAACUAGGAUUAAAAACACAAACUUUAUUUGACAAAAUUAUUUAAACUAAUGAAUUAAGAUCAAUAAAUGCAUUUAAACUAAAAACAAAUUAAGACCAAACUAACAAGAAAAAAAAAACACAAACAUUAUUUGACACGAAUAUUUUAACUAAAGAAUUAAGAUCAACAGAUGUAUUUACACUAAAAACAAAUCAAAAUCAAACUAAUUGGAAUUAAAAACACAAACUUUAUUUAACAUGAUUAUGUAAACUAAAGAAUUAAGAUCAACAAAUGCAUUUAAACUAAAAACAAAUUAAAUAAAACUAAUUGGAAUUAAAAACACAAACUUUAUUUGACAUGAUUAUUUAAACUAAAGGAUUAAGAUCAACAAAUGCAUUUAAACUAAAAACAAAUUAAAAUCAAACUAAUUGGAAUUAAAAACACAAACUUUAUUUAAACUAUCAUACAAAUUAAGAUAAACUAACAUGGAACUAAUAAACUGCAAUCACUAAAAGAAGACAUCUAAUUUAAGAAAAAAAAAAUUAUACAAACUGAUAUUCAAAAGAAUUUAUCACAAAAAAUUGAUUAAACUAACAAACUAAAGUCUAAAAAAAAAAAUGCUCUAUCGAAAACGAAAACUACCCUGUGUUGUGUCUGAACUUGAUGAUUAAAGUGGCAACCCGAUCUCCGUUCGAAGUCCCUUGCUCUCUUCCAAAAUUCCGCGUGUUCUCUCUAAAAAAGAUCCCCCGCGUGUUCUCUCAGUCUCAAAAAUUCUCUUGUGCAUGUCAUUUCUUUUAAAAAAAUAUCUACGUGCUCUCUUUGCCAAAAAAAAUCCUCCCUCCCGAAUUCCUACACAUAUCCUCUCUAAAAAAAUUACUCUUGCUUGUCGAUCUCCAAAAAAAUCUCCCAUCUCUUAUGUUCCUUCUAUCUUAUUUAUAUGGUAGCCCACCCUAUGGAAUAUUUUAUUUCAUUUUUUGAGAUGUAAUUCUAAUCUUAAAGGAGACCCAACUUUCUAAACUUCUAAUGGCACUUUCUAUUUCAACUGACUUAAUAAAAGAAACAUGCCAACCCUAUGAAUGUUGUCUGGUGGGCCCUUGGUCAUAUUCCCCUUCUCUCUUCCAACCAACAACACCUAUAACUAGUAAAGUUGCACUGGGGACUGAUUUAUCUGAAAGCUUGGAUGAGAAUGGAGAUCAAACUCCUUCUUGGGUAAUGUAGAGCUUCAAAAUUUAUGGAGAAAGAUUUUGUGGAUAACCAAAGUCCAUGAUUUCAUCCAAUAGCUCAUAAAUUAGAACAAAGUUGUUACGAAUAGCAUCUUCCUUGAAAGCCCCACCAAAAUAAGAUUUGAAUAGCGCAACAGCCUCAACAACAAACUUGAAUGCACAAGUUACAUUAGCAUUGCUACUGACCACAAUCACAAUGUACACAUUGUUGAUUUUCAUAUAAAAGAAGGAAAAACCUCCACUUUGCUGCAUAGGACAUGUGCCAUGUUCUUUUGUUUGCAUUUUAUGCAUUCAAAAGGCAUCUAACAUGUUUUCCCCGACAUCGUCGCGAUAUAGGCGAUUGAUGAGGACAUCGCUCGGGAGAUUCAAGAAGUAGAUAGCAGAAGUAGCCACCGAAAUCUCUGAUCCAAUGGAUUCGAUGCCAAACAAAUCAAGGAAUGGGGUUUCGAUCUACGGUGUUUGAGGCCUUGUUUCAACGAUGUCAUUUUUAUUGGGUUGGAUCUCAAGCUCUAGAAAUGAUGAACCUAACUCUCCUAAACAAGAGUUGAAAAUAGCGCAAUUGAUCUUGUGUUCUAAAUGCAGUGUGGGCGAUAACUCUGGCAGAUCUGUAACAGCAUCUAGGGUUCCGAUGUGGGUGAGGUGGAGAAAGGGGCAACGAUGGUGGUGGGGAUUCACGAUGGGGGGAGAGGAGAGUGGCAAGAAUGUUCUUACCUGCGUUAUCGAAGCAGGAGAGGAGAGCCCUGGGGGAAGGAUUGCGAUCGAUGAAGGAGGUGAGAAUAUGGGUUCUGUUCUCGACAACGGUGCAGAAGGAGAAGAUGAGCAAAUGUGAGGAUAUCAAGCAGCGAAGGUGGAGGUAGAGGAGUGGUCAUGGCAUGAGAUGGAGUUGUGAUGUGAGUCUUCUAUUUCUGUCUUCUUUGUGAGUGUAUAUGGGUCCCCACCUUGCGGGCUGCUCCUCUUCAGUUGUGACCCCCCUCUCUUUGAUCGAUCCAAGUGAUAUGCAAAACUAAAAAAAAAAUUGGAAUAAGAAAACCUUAUGAUUGGAAAUAUAAUAAAAUAAAAUCGAAAAUCAAAUCAUCUGCCACAAAAAAAUCUAAGAUGUCAAUUCAUGGAAUUAAAGAAUAUAUAAAUAAGUGGGUAAAUAAACAAAUAAAUUGAUAAGGGUAUACAAAUAAAUAUUAUACAUAUGCAAUUAGAAAAAAUAAAGAAAUUAAAUUAAUGCGAUGGAUCAUAACAAUUUAAAUGUCACACUCAAACCAUCAAAAAUAAGAAAAUAUUCAUUUCAUGCAAUAUAUAGUUAAGCCAAUACUCAUUUUGUCUCGCAAAAAUAAAAUCAAGAACAUGCCUAAAUGAACUAUGCCAAAAGAAGUGUCCAAGUGACCUAUUCUAAAAAAGUGCUUUGGUGAGCUCAGGUGAAUGUGUGCAAGCUGAAAGGUGUUUAGGUGAAUCUAAAUGGGUAAAGGAGAACCUAAGUGGGCCUAAGGUGGUGCCUAAUGGGCCAAGUGUAUCUAAAUGGGCCUAGUGUGAGACUAGGUGAGCCUAACAAAGACUAACCUAAAGUGCACCUAAGUGAAACUUAAUCUAAACUUGAAGGACAACCAAGGUCAUAAUAUGGAACCAGAUAAACCCCUUAACCAAAGUCUCCAAAGUGGCUCAGAAAAGGUAAGCUCCAAGAGUAGGAAUGGGCUAUCAAAGAAACACUGUGGAACACUGGAAGUGAACUUAAAGACAUGUUCUAAAAGGACAAAAUGGAGGGUCUACAACAUGAAGGUUGGCCAUACUCUCACCACUUUAGUCGGCUUGGUUGUCAAAAAUUUUAUUUUGUGAUUUUGUUUUCCUUUGGGUUACCUAUGUUUGAUCCUUGAGUAUUGUCGUUUGUAAAUUAUUUCUUUCAUUUUAAAAAGAAACAUUUUCUCAAAUUGUUCCUCAUUAAAAUGCAUUUCAAAAAUUCAUUUAGAGUCCUUAGAAUCAAAAUCUCAUUUUCUUAAAUAACUUGCAACCAUGUCUUAAUAGAUUUGCAUCUUUCUCAAUUUUCAAUAAAAAUUCUGGCUUUGAGUAGAAUACGAAUCCAAGUUUGUGGUCCUAAAUAAAUGGGAUAAUUCUAGGCUAGAUUUGUGUAUAUCAAUUGGAGAAUUGGUAGAACCCUUACGUAACAAAAAAUUUCAAAACUCUUCCUUGCUACUAGUUUUCACUCAACCACUGACUCUUUAGCUUUCAAAUUUGUUUCAACAACUUUAGAAUAUAUAUAUUUUUUUUUAAAUAUCCAAAUCUUGUAUGAUUUUUCUCACUUCUUGAACUUGAAUUUGAAAUUUCGUUUGAGUUAGAAAGCAAUUUUGGAAUAGAAGAUAUAAAUGAGUUUUUAGGAGGGCUCUGUUUUCACCUAGUUCUGGACACUUGAAAUAUUUUUCUAAAAAUAAAAUAACAUAUGACUUUUUUAAUUUGAUUCAAUAUUUUUUCUUAAUUCAAGAAUUCUUGAAAUUGAUUUAGAGAUAUAAAAUAUUUUAAAAAAUAUGCAUUUUUAAGGCAGAUAUGAUUUUUCAAAGUCAUACCUAAUGCACAUGAUGGAAUCUAGACAUCUAAUUAGUUGGAGUGUUUCAAAAAUAUUUUUGAGUACUAUUCGACCCUAGAUUUAUUUUUCAUGUGCUAUAGACCUUUGACCAAUGUGUGUGAUUUUUUGUAUGAUUUUAUGUGAUCUUUUAUUAUUUUUAAAAAAUUGAUUUAUGCAUGCCACUUUUUCUUUACCUAACCUACACUUUGUGGAACUUUUGGGGUGUCUUUGCUGCAAUCUGUCAUUUGAAUGAGUGUUUGGUUUUUGGUAUGUUGUUCUAGAAUUGUAGGUGUUGUUUUCUAAAAAUUUUUGUAAUUAAAUUCAACUCCAAAAUAUUUUUUUUGAAAUUUCUUUUUGAUGCUUCAUUUUAUAAUUGCAUGCUAAUGAUCUUGUACAUUACUCUAGCAUUUUUGGAGGAAUUUUAUAAAUCGUGCAUGUUAUCUAGGUACACUUUCUAUCACUUACUUUUCAGAAUUCUAUGACCAUGCAUGUUGUUGUUAGCCUUAUUUAUUUUUGAUUCCAUCCUUGGGUGCCUAGAUGUUUGUUCGAUUUGCUCAAAUAAAAUACAUUUCGUGUGCUAACUUUAAUGUCUUAUGAUAGUGCUUGAGAGGCAGUCCAGGUACACAUCCUAACCUUCCUUUGCGAUUGUGAUUUGAUUUCUUUUUUGGCAUGCUAGUUUUGAAAUAACCUUAGCCUACCUAGGUACCUCCAAUCAAUUGAUUAAUUGUCACUUUUCCCUCGACUUAGUCAUUAAAGACCUCUUUAGGGCUUAAAGGGGUGCUACCUGAUUCGUGCCCAGUUAGGUAUUUUAAUAAAAAAUAUUUAUAAAUCCUAUGACCUCAUACUAGUGUAGUAAAACUACUAUAGUAUAGCAGCUCUAGGGUCGAACUCUGGGAUGGGUUUUCACUCUACCAGUGAUAGACUCAAGAUUAGAAAUUGAAUCUAAUGAUUUCCUUUGUCAAAAACUUAAAGUUUAAAAGAAAAUAAAAUUUGUUUUAAAAGUGGUGUUUGAAACUAAACUAACAUAGAAAUAGGAAAAAAUGGAAGAAAGAGAGUCUCCCGGAGCUAAAGGUUGCUAUGAUCAAGUUCAGAAUGCAAAGUGGGAAAUUCCGGAUUUUUCUCCUCGUAUUGGGGACAACAACAUAAAGGAUGGUUGUUUCCUGAACCGGUAUAGGUUUAACAAUGAAGAUUUAAUCCAUAAAAAGUCAAUAGAAAUGGUAAUCAAGUUCCAUUAAUGGCUUUAGACACUAUGGGUCUUCACCUUGACCCACUUUCCAAUAGCUUGUACAUGAUAACUAAUGGUCUUAUGUGGAUCUAGCAAUAAGUAUCCAUAGAGACCUAAAAGCUUAUCAUGUAUUGGCCAUUCAAAGUGAUUCUAAGGGAUUUAAAGCAAAACUUUAGAUUUAAAAGCCAUUUAUGAAAUCCAACUACCUGUAUUUAAUGCACGAGAGUUUUCCACUUUUGCAUCUGAACUUUUCACCUAGCUUCCUUCACUCCAAGAAACCAAAGGUUUAGCCUCUCAUCCUCUGGGAAAACAUCCUCAAAGGUUGUUUGGCUUCCAAGAAAAAGAAAAAUAGAAGAGAGAAAAGGAAAGCAAAGAGAACUCUGUAUUUCUCCCUGAGAGGAAAAUUUUACUAAGUGUAAAAAAUACAAUAAUUUGAGAGAUGAUUUCCACCCCUCUUAAAGUCUUUACAAAGCAAAGCCUGUGAAAAUUACAAGGAUAAGAAAGGAAUUUACAUCUAAAAAUACAGAAGAAAAGAUCUCAUGUGGAGUCGGCAGAACAGAGGAGAUUUCGCACCAAAGUCGCAUGAACAAUACAAGGUGCAAAAUUCGCACUUGCAUGGGCUGGUGCGAAAUUCGCACUUGCAUGGCAUUUUCGCAUGAACAGUACAAAGUGCGAAAUUUGCCAUUUUUAGCUCCUUAUACGAAUGGCAAUAUACCACUAUAGGUACUUGAUUUGUCAGAAAUUCCAAGCCGGUUUCGAAUAUGGGAUUCUUGAAAUGUGAUUUUGCACGAUGAACAAAAUAGAGCCUCCCAAAGUGACAGUGCACGGCUACAAAAACUGCUUCUUUCCUCUGUUUUUCCUCUUUGCUUCUCUCCUUUACUUGGCUUGUCUUAAUGAUCCAAAAAACUGUCAAAACACUAAAACUAGCCACAAAUAUGAUUAGAAGUCAUUGCUAGGUCCUUAACAUGCCAAUUGGAAUAAAAAUGGAGAACUACUACACAAAAGUGCUUAAAACAUAAUGAAUUAAAGGCGCAAAAUAGCACUUUUUAGGUAGUAAUCACUACCUCUUAGAGGUACCUUCUUAAUAGGUAACCUGAUCCCUAGACCAAGACUUGGGUUUUUCAAGACUUGCUUUUCCAAAACAGUGGAGUCACUUCUUUAGGGUUUUCUUUCUUGUUUUAUUUUCCCUUUUAAAAUAAAAUAAAACAACUGGGGACUCCAACUUUUCCAAAACUAAUUUUUCACCAAUAAAAAAAGUCUUACCAUUGAGUAGGAACACACGUGAAAAAUGAAGGUCCAUAGGUGGGUCUUAAGGGAAUAGAUGGAGAAGUUGGGAAUUGAGGUUAGAUUUGAGGUUAAGGUUAAGGUUAGAGCUAGGGUUUCAUCUAUGGAUGGUAAUGAAGAUACAUAUAUAGACAUCCCUUGCAAAAUCUACCAAUAUGAUUAGUUUCUACUAUAUAAUCAACUGAAAUUUGAAUCAAUUCUCCUUCUCAAACUAUGAUAAUAUGAUUUUAGAUGGUUUUUUAUAAUGAUUUCUUUUCCUUUCAAUGAAACUAUAGAUCAAUUCUAUGUUACAACCCGAAUAAAGGAUCCUUAGGAUCCCUUAAUCUUUAGUUUCUAUUGCUAUUUAGUUUCUAUUUAGAUUAGGGAAUAAAGGAUCCCUAAGAUCCUUUAGUCUUUAAUUUCUAUUUAGUUUCCUAUAUAAAAUAAGAAGAGUGUAAUGGGGAAAGAAAUGGAAAAAUAAUCUCAAUAAAAAAAAUUUGUUCUCUCAAUUUUGCAUCUUCUCCUUUAGUCAUAAGAAUUGGUAUUAGAACACGGUCUAGGCACCAAUCAUGGCGGAAAGGACUAGAGUGUAAGAACAACAUAGACUUAAAGAUACUAUUAAAUAGUUGAAAGAAUCGUUGGAUAAACAAGCGACUACCUUAUUAGAACUAUCAAAGAUGGUUGCAAUCAUAAAAUUGAAAUUCAAACACAUAAAUUCAAGAAUAGAGAAGUCAAGUAAUGGAUAUAGUGUUUCAAUCAAUAGAAACAUGAUAGACUAUCACUAAUCUAUCAUAAACUCCAUUCAAACCAGAUUUUCCAAACUCUAUUUUCCAAAUUUUAAAGGUGAGAAUUGGGAAUUAGGAAAAGGUUGGAUUGGCUUCCUUACAUUUAAAACGAAGGGCCUUAGAAAGGUUUCAAGGGUAUGAGGCUAGUAACAAGGAAAUCAAUUGGACACAAUUUUAUAUAGAUGUUGUUUCUAGGUUUAGCCCUAGUGUUUAUGAUAGCCUUAUGGGGCAAAUAACCAAAUUGAAAUAGGUUUCUAAGUUAGGGCAUACCAAAAUUAGUUUAAAGUAUUGAUGACCAAAACUAGCUAGUGGGUUAUCAAAGAAAUUUUUUUUCUAGUGUUUCAUUAGUAGCUUGAAAGAGGUAAUUAAAAAUCAAGUAACUAUGUUUCAACCAAUCACACUAGUCCAAACCAUCAAGUUAGUCUUGUUGCAGAAAUGAAUAAUGGAGGUAAUUCUCAAGGAAUUCAAGGACUCUAACGAAAAUGGGGAGAGUACAGUGAGCUUUACAAGAAUCAUAAUGAAUCAUAAUAACAAAUUACCACCCCUUCAGAAGAUUUUAGACGUAGAAGUGCAAGAGAGAUGAAAAAAAAAAAGUUUUGUUAUUAUUAUGAUGAGAAGUAUGAGUCUAGUUAUAAAUAUAAAAUGAGACAAAAUUUUCUAUUAAAUGGUCAAAAAAGUGAAGGGAAAGCAACAUGUGAAGCUAAAAAUGAUAUAAAGAUGAUGAUCUUGUGGUUUUAAUCAAUGCAAUAUUUCGUUCAACAUCUCAUCAAACCAUGAGAAUCUGUGGCAACAUAAAAAAGAAGAUUGUCACCAUACUAAUUGAUUUAGGAAGCACCCAUAACUUCCUUGAUCUCAUAGUGGCCAAAAGAACAAGAAACUCAAUACAAACUACCAACCCCAUGAAGAUGGUGGUAAAAGAUGGAACUAAAAUUACUAGUGAUGCAAUUUGUAGGCAAUGUUAGGAUAGAACCCUUAAAAACAUGACAUAAUGUAAUAGAUUUGGAAUUCAUUGUUUAUUUAAUGAUGCCCCAGUUUCACUUUUAUCUAUCCUUAUUCCAUGUAUUAUACUUUAUAAGCAUUUUUGUAAACAUCAUUUGCAUUAUACAUGACUUAGAUGCAUUAAAAGUUGUACAGAAGAUCUAAGUCAUGAGUUCCUUGCAAAUAUAUGACUUAUUCACAACCAAUUCAUGGGUCUAGGCAACCCAUUAAAGGUUUUAGUGCACAACUUCCUAAUUGGAGGAAUGAUUGGUCUUGGCUAUUGGGAUGGGUUUCCUAUCAUGAGUGCACUAGUAUGUAUGAAUGCACAUUGGAUAGGACCUAUGGUGAGUUAUGACUUAAGGCUAUCAAGUAGUCAUGAUUUCACCAAGUUACUUCAUUAUGUUGUUUCUUAACCUUGAGAGAAUAUUAAGCUUGUAUUGAAAUUAGCAGUGGCUUUGACCUACGAGUGAGAUAGUAAGAUGAUCAUAUAUUCCUUAUGGAUUGGACCAUUGUUGAUGGAUGUCGGUAGCAAUAAGUAUUCUCAAUAGAAACACCAUGAUAUCUCUUAGCAUUAAGAUAGUGUGUCCCCUUGGGUGAUCCUAAGAACGUAUGUUCAUGGAAACUAUGGCCAUAGUAGUUCCUUAGAUGGAACUUGGCAUAGGCUCUUUCAAAGCUAAGAUAUGUCAAUUUAACACACAAUAGGAGGAUUUGUAAUUCAAGGAUGGUAGAGGUAGUCUUAAAAGACUGAUAGCUUUCACCUUGUUAAACUACAGACACUAAUUCAUAGGAACAUUGAACACAAUGGAUAGUAGGUCGUGGACUCGAGCACUUGGUGUCUCAUUGUUAUUUACAUAGGAUAUUGGAGUUCAAUUUAUUCUUUGUGUGGAAUAUUGAAUCCACUUUAGAAUUGGAUUAUGAGGGAACUGGUAUUCUUAUGGGCCCUAGUGGUCCCUACUUUGAGUUCAUAUACCUUGUUGACACGGAUUAUGAGGUUUGGAUUGGCUUUAGGUUCACUUUUGUACAUAAGGAUAUUUUGGUAAUUAUGCAAGGUUGCACAAAAGUAAGUGAAUAAGUUCUUUGGAUUGCGCUAAUUGAUUAAUUAGUAGGCCUUGUUAGGUUAACUAAUUAAUUAGGACCCAUUUUGGAUUAGAUUAAGUGACCCAAGCCCUUAGUGGACUCAAGUCACUUAAGCCAAGUAGGAAACCCUAUAAAUACUCCUUUAGGGGUUAAGGUUCCCAUUGGUUUUUUCUAGAGAUCCAUCUUCCAUCUCUAGAGAGAGAGAGAGAGAGAUUCAUAGCCUCUACUUUUCCUUCUGUCCCCACUGGAAGUGUGUCAAGAUCAAGUUUUGAGUCAUUGGGUGGAAAACUUUGGGUUUACAAGACUUCUAUGAUUUUGUUCUUCAUCUUCACCUCAUUGAUUUGAUUCGGGAACAUCCAAAUCUAAGGUAUGGCUUUCGUUAACACUUUAUGAAUCCCUUUAAAGUUUUAAAAUGCUAUUUUUUCGUUGUGCAUAGGAUUUAGAAAAAAGACUAGGAUAGUUAUUCAUGUUCCUAACCUGAUCCGAGCUUAGGAAAUGAAGAGAUUCGAGUUUUUCCUAUAAGGCAAUUGACAUGGAACAUGCAAGGGAAGAAAUUUUAGAUAGAUUUGAGGCUUAUACCUUUGAGUGGGUGUAAUAUGGUAUUGGGAAUUCAAUGGCUAGCUGAAUUGGGACUCAUAUUGUGGGAUUUCAAGAAUUUAAAAAUGGAAUUUAUUAUUGAUGGAAGGAAAUUCGUGUUGAAAGGUACAACUAUAGGUUCCAAGAAGCUAGUUUCAACAAAUCAAAUUUAAAAGGAUUUAAGGCAUAUGUCUCAAGUAUCUACAAUUCAAAUUUUCACUAUACAAGGGAAUGAGGAAAAUAAAGUUGAAAAGGAAUAACAUGGCAACUGUCUAACUCAUUUCCAAAAGAUAUAACAUGGAAAGUUUCUUACAAGAUUCAACAAAAGUUUUCAUAGAUUCAACCUUGAGGACAAGGCUUCUUUUGAUGUGGAAAGGAAUGUUACAACCCCAAAUAAAGGAUCCCUAAGAUCCUUUAAUCUUUAGUUUCUAUUUCUAUUUAAUUGGAGAAUAAAGUAUCCCUAAGAUCCAUCAAUCUUUAGUUUUUAUUUCUAUUUAGUUUCCUAUAUAAAAUAAGGAAAGUGUAAUGGAGAAAAACAUGAAAAAAUAAUCUCAAUAAGAAAAAUUUGUUCUCUCAAUUUUGCAUCUUUUCCUCAUAUCAUAAAAUUCUACAUGUGGAUUUUCUCCUUUUGAAGCUCUAUAUGAUACAAAAUUAAUUCUCUUUUACUCAAAUUCCAAGUAUGUAUUUAUAGAAAUGGGUAUGCUUUGACUCUCAAUGAACACAUUUUCUCAAUUUUUCUUCCUACCUAAGUGGAAAUAACAUAAGGCCAUUAAACUUGCUUUGAGAUUAAUUGUGGUUUUGACAAGCAUUUCAUCUAUAAUUCAUUUAUGCAGAACUAGGUAUAGUACAAGACCUCCUAAACAAAGUUUCUAACAGUAAUGAAUUGAAAAGAAGCUGGGUAAAACAAGUUUCUACUCACCAUCCCAAACAUUCCUUUAGAUGUAUUGUAUGGUAGAGGAUUAUUCUUUUAUUAUUAUUAUUAUUAUUAUUGUUAUUAUUAUUAUUAUUAUUAUUAUUAUUAUUAUUAUUAUUAUUAUUAUUCUUGUUUUCUUUUCCCUUUUAAUGGUUUAUAGUAGAUUCAAAUGCCAUUAUAGAAGUAGAAUUUCCUAAUUUAAUUUGUUGGACAAAUUUUCUUUGGUUUUACUAUAUUUUGUGUUUUGAAUACAUACAAAUCGAAAUAUAAUAAGAAAACAAUUAUAAUGUGUUUUUAAGGGGAAUUUUUUUAUCUUCUAUUAGCAAAAAAAAUAAAAAUCAACAAUUAUAAUAAUAUAGACAUUUGCAAUUUUUUUAAAAUGUCUCUGUUAGGACAUUGAGUUUUAUUUGUAUGUUGGUAAUUUUGUUCCAAUUUAUUUUUUGCCUUAGAAAUCUUUUUAGAUAGUGACUUAAUUUCCAUUGAAGAUCAAGGAUUGCUACUUGUCCAAUUGGAAAGUCAUAGGCACGUUUAAAAGGUUUGACUUGUGGCAAAUUGGGGUUCUAAAGGGUAUAAAUAAGAGCAUUAUUCUUUUUCUGGGACUGCUCGAGCGCUUAACUAGCACUCGAAUGCCCAAGGUGCUCAAGCAAUGGUUAAGUGUGCUUGGCCUCAAGCUCUCGAGUGUUCAUGCCGAUUCUACCAAAGAUUAGCAUAAUAUUUACAAAGAUUUCAUGCAAAUCCUAUAUGGAAACCUUGAGAUACCAACUCUCUUCAGCCUCUAAGCUUGUAUAUACCCCAUUAUGCCCAUUCUAAGGUUAGGAGAUUGAUUUAUUGUUGCUACUAAGAGAGAGCCUCCUGGAAAGAAAGCAUAAUGAGCCACACAAUUCCUAAUCUCUCAUUUGAAGGAUUCAUUCAAUAAUCUAGGGUUGAAAACUUGCAUCCCUUCAAUAAGGCUAAAGAGUAUUCAGUGAAGCAAUUAGAGAUUGUUGUAUCAUAUACGUGGAUGAAGUUGUAGGUAUUGGAGGGUAAGCCUUUAGGAUAAAACAACCAGGUAAAUUUGUGUAACUUGAUCUUGUAUAGUGGAUUUUGAUUAGUAGUCUUAAGCCUUGUGGUUUUUUUAUCUCCACCGUAGUGUAGGGAUUUUUCAUGUAAAAAUCAUUGUGUCCAUUGCUAUAUCUUGUGAUUAUCAUGAUUGUUUAGAUUCUAUUUAUCUCUAAUAUUAUCUCAUAGGGUAAAAAUUGAGUAUAACAUAUAAUCUUUAUUUUAGAAUUCUUUUAAUUACACCCAUUCACCUCUCUCUUCUCUUUGGGUGUUACCCUACUAGACUUGGCUUUUUUAGUCUCAAAAUCUAUAUUAGCAUUUUUUUUUUACUUGAGUUAUAAAUGGAAAAAGUUAUAAACUCGAGAUAACUUGUUAAAAAAGUAAGAAAUAAUAAAAGGACUUGUGUUAGAGCAUAAAUAACUAAUCCAUUCUAGGCUUAAUAUAGCUCCAAUGUCAAAUAUGAAUACUUAAUUAUUUAUUAUAUUUUGAAAAUAAAGUAAGUAUUUUUUAUAUAAAAAAUAAAACAACUUUUCUAGAACAACACAAGGCACUAAUGGAUAUAGUUGGUAACAAGUUGGAGAAACAAAAUAAUGUGGAGAAAUAAAACAACAUGUAGAAAUAAAACAACUUGGAGAGAAAGAAAAUGACUAACUGAAAAGGAAAUAGAGAAAUUAUAGAAUGUAAGAUAAUUACACUUAUUUUCAUAAAAAUAAUAUAUUCUAAUACAUUAAAUAAGAAUUAUUUUCCCAAAAAUGUACUCCCCAUGAAAAUGACUUUUGUGGGUUUUCUUUUAUUUAUAUUUUGUAAAUAGUGCAUAUUUACAUAAUUCCCUCAUAAAUAUAAUAUAAUAAUCUAUACCUGAUAAUUAAGGAAAUUGAAAAUAUUUACAUACUAAGCAAGGAUAAUGGAAAUUAAAGAGUAUGUCCAAAGAGAACAAAAAUAUUAAAGAUAAAUUAAAACUCUAAAAUACAAGCCUUAAUCUACACAUAUAGGCCAACAUCUUAGGACGUAUUUGAUUAAAUAAUAAUAAUAAUGAUUAAAAAAUAGAAAAAAUUAUGGGUCCCAUUUUUUAAGUGUUUUCAAUAACAUAAUUAUAAACCCCUUAAAAUUUAAAAUCAUUUAUUCAAACCACUUUAUUCAUUUAGCAACAAGGACUUAAUUAAUCACUAAGAUCAAACACAAUGAUUUAUAAUUUUUAUAAUUUUUUCUUCCAUUACUAUCAUUUUCUUUUUUAAUAAAAUGAAGAUUUCUAUUGAUAAUUUUUUUAUAAUAAAAUGUAACUUCUUUUAAAUUAAAACAUUUAUUAUUAAAAAAUUUAUUUUAAUUCAUCUAUGAGAUUAUUUUAACGAUUUUUUUUUUAGAAUUUUAAUAAUUUUUUUGUUUCAUAGUUAAAGAUAAAAAAAUUAUUAUUAAAUCAUUUUAUUCAUUAUAAAAUUUAUCUUUCUUUUCUAAAUCAGAAUUUUUGUCAUGUCCAUUCAUAUAAUAAAAUUAAAAUUAUAAAUAAAAAAACCUAAUUUAAUUGAUAGCACCAUGGAAUCUUUCCAUGCACACUCAUGCAGCCAUCAGUUCCCACAACAGCCACGUGUCUUCCAACGAGUAUAUUCCCUUUCUUUGGCUCUCCAUGUGUUUGUGUUCUAUUUUUAUUUUUUUAUUUUAUCUUAAUUAGUAGUUCACAUAACAAGCAUGACAAGGAUGAGUAGAUAUGUCACUUCUAACACUAAACCCACUUAAACCAAAGUGAAGUAUGAAUGCAGUAUGCAAGUCUAAAUAAUGGUGAAAUAAUAAAAACAACGGAGAAUGCAUGUAAGAUGUGUAUAUAACUAUAAAUAAGGAUUAAAAAUGAAGGGAAAAAUCAUUGAGAAGGGUGAACCAUGGGUGAUAAGCCACUUAGUUCAUCAUUUGGAUAAAUAUUAAAAGUUAAAGAGUAUAAAAUGUCUACGUAUGUCAUCAUUUUUUUAAGUUAAAUAUAUUCUUAUUGUUGUAAAUUAAGUAAUGAAUGUCACCACAUUUAUUAUAUUAAAUUUUCAUUAAAAGCCUAUAAAAAUGUUUCCUAUCCUCUGUAAAUUUCAUCCUAAGCAAAGAAAGAAACUUUCUUUCUCUCUUAUUUUAUUUUUAUUUUUUAUUCUUCAUAUAUUUCAUUAUUUCAACUCUCUUAAUUCUCUUUUAUGAUUCCUUCCUUUCCAUUAUAUAUUAUUAUCAAAAUAAUAUAUAGUUGUUCUCUACUUUUAUUUGUGUUGCAUUUAUCCUUCUUUUACAACACGUUAUUAGCACGAAUUGCUCUGAAAGUAAUUCUCGUAUCUUAAACUUGAAGUUAUUUAUAUAGAAUAAAAUUUUUCAUAUUUAUAUUGCGAUUGUUAAAUUCAUUUAAUUUGUGUUAUAUAUUAUUAAAAGUUAUAAGCAAAUUAUUUGAUUUUGAUUGUAAUCAAAAGUCAUACCAAUGCUAUUAAUUUAUAACUAAUUCUAUUAAUAUUGUUUUGUCAUAUAUCUAAAGUUAUUUAAUAAUGUCAAAUCUCACAAAACUUGAAUUUGUGGCACUUGACAUUCCGAGAAAGAACUAUCCAUCUUGGAUCCUUGAUGCUAAAAUACAUCUCGAUGCAAUGAAUCUUGGAGCUACAAUUAAAGAAAGAAAUCAAGCAUCCUUGUAGGACUACUCAAAAACGUUGAUUUUCCUUCGCCAUCAUCUCUAUAAAGGUUUUAAAAAUGAGUAUCUUAUAGUAAAUGACAUUUUUACUCUAUGGAGUAAUUUGAAGGAAAGAUAUGACCACCAAAAAGUUGUGAUUCUCCCAAAAGCUCGAUAUGAUUGGAUGCACUUGAGGUUGUAGGAUUUUAAAACUAUUAGUGAAUAUAACAUAACUCUACACUUUUCAAAAUCAACUCUCAAUUAAAGUUGUGUGGAGAAAAAAUCACAAAAAAAGAAAAAACUUUACUAUAUUUCAUGCCUCGAAUGUGAUCUUACAGCAGUAAUACCAAGAGCAUAGAUUUAAAAAAUACUCUGAAUUAAUAUCAUGUCAUCUUGUUACUGAACAAAAUAAUGAGCUUUUGAUGAGAAAUCACUAGUCUCAUCCAAUUGGAUCUUAACCAUUCCUUGAAGUGAAUGCAAUAUCAUCCUAAACUCGUGGACAUGGACGAGGACAAGGAAAUGGUCGUGGUCGUGGAAGGAAUCCCCAAUAUAAUGGUUAUUAUAGUAAUAAUUCCUCAAAUCCUCAUAAAAGGAAAGCUUCAUUGCACCUCCAGAAGUGAAAUAAUAUUGAGGCAAAAUAAGAAAAUGGGAAAUGUUUGCAAGAUAAACCUCUAAAGAACCAUGAGAAUAAUUGUUAUAAAUGUGGUCUGAAUGGUCAUUGAUUGCAUACCUAUUGUAUACUCAAAAAUAUGAUCGACCUUUACCAAGCAUCAAUAAAAGCAAAAGGAAAAGAGAUAGAGAUGAACUUUACCUAUGGUGAUGGAUUGGACCUAACCUACUAAGACAUUGAUUUCUUUGGAGGUCUUAGUGAAAAAACACACUAUUUAAUAAAUGAUGAGAAUGCUAACAUUGAUUGGUGUUACAUUAUAUAUCAAAUAAUAUAUUAUUAUGUCUUAUAUUUAUAUCUGGUUAUUACAUUUUCUUUUAUAUUGUUAUUUAUAAUAUUAUGCCUUGUUUUUUUAAUAUUAGUUGCAUUUAAAAUCCAUGUGUUAUUUGGUCUUAAGAUGACUAAGGAUGAUGUAUGUCUCGUAGAUUGUGAAACCACAUACACAAUUCUUCGAGAUAAAAGAUAUUUCCUUGAAUUAACAUUGAUAAAAGCUAAUGUAUGUACCAUAAUUAGUAUUACAAACUUAGUUAAAGAAUCUGGAAUAGGAAACAUAAUGCUACCAAAUGGAACUAGAUUUCAUAUAAAUGAUGCUUUAUAUUCUAGAAAAUCCAUAAGAAAUUUGCUCAGUUUUAAAUAUAUUCGCAGAAAUGUACAUCAUAUUGAAACUAUGAAUGAAGAUAAUGUAAUUAUCUUUACAUUACUUCCAUUAUAUCUGGCCAGAAGCUUAUAAUUGAAAAACUCUCGGCUUUCUCCUCUAGGUUGUAUCAUACAACUAUAAAGCCUAUUGAAUCAUAUUUUUUCAUGAACCAGAAGUUCAACAACCCAAAAGUUUUUGUCUUUUGGCAUGAGAGACUAGGUCACCUAGGGUUUUCAAUGAUGCAUCAAAUAAUCAAACACUCACGUGGGCAUCCACUAAAGAACCUAAAGAGUCUUUUGCAUAAUGAAUACUCAUGUGCUGCUUGCUCACAAGGUAAAUUGAUAGUUAAACCAUCUUUUACUAAAGUCAUAUUUGAGUCACUAGUCUUUUUAGAAAGAAUACAUAGGAACAUAAGUGGGCCUAUCCAUCCACCAUGUAGACCAAUUCGUUAUUUUAUGAUCUUAAUAUAUGCUUCUCCUAGGUGGUCACAUGUUUGUCUCCUUUUUACAUGUAAUGUUGCCUUUGCUGGACUCCUAUCACAAAUGAUCAAAUUAUGAGCACAAUUCCAAUGUUAUCCUAAUAAGAUAAUAUGUCUUGAUAAUGUUGGCGAAUUUACUUCUCAAACAUUCAUUGACUACUGUCUAUUGGUAGGGAUAAAUAUUGACUAUCUUAUUGCUCAUACUCAUACCCAAAAUGGUUUAGCAAAAUCCUUCAUCACACGUCUCCAAUUAAUAACUCGACCAUUACUAAAGAAAACCAAAUUAUCUACUUCUGCCUAGGGACAUGCUAUUAUGCUUGUUGCAGCUUUAGAUCGUAUUCGACCUACAACUUACCAUUCCCUUCACAACUCGUACUUGAAAACAACCAAAUAUCUCACUUAUGAAUCUUUGGUUGUGCAGUAUAUGUACCAAUUGCACCUACACAUUGCAUUAAAAUGGGUCUCAAAUGAAGACUUGGGAUUUAUUUAGGUUUUAAUUCUCCAUCUAUCAUAAGAUAUUGUAAGAAAAAUUAGGCUAAUCCAACCUAAGGUAAUCACCCUAGAGAGGGUGGGGGGGGGGGGGGGUGAAUAGAGUGAUGAUCUCUUUUUGCAAAUUUAAAUUAUAUAAAUAUAAGAGAUAAUUAUAUGCAAAUAUAUAAUAAAACAAUAUAAAGACAAUUGCAUAUAAAGUAUAAGAGUAGGAAAGAGAGAAUGCAAACACUGGAUUUUUAUAGUGGUUCAGUGUAACCCAACUUACAUCCACUCUCCUCUAGCUUCAGUCCCAAGCUUGAGGUUCCACUAUUUCAAGGCUUCCAAAUCAAGCCUUCAAGCAAUAUAAUUGGAUUAUAGUUCCAAUACACGCUCUUGGAUUUUUGGCUCCAAACACCCUUUACAAUCCUUAAGAGAUACCCCACUCUUGAACAACCCCUCAUGUGAUACCCUACACUUGAGAAUUCCUAAAUGAUAUCACACAUUUAAAAUUUUCUUCUCAAAGAUUUACAAAUGAAGAUAAGAUUGAAAGGUGCACUAAUGAUAUGCAAGUUUUAGAACAAUGGUGCACUAAAAAAGACUCUCUCAAGGCUCAAAUAUAUUAAAGAAGGGUUUAAGCUCUUGAAACAAUGAAGAUUGAAACCUUUCUAUAGAGGAAAACGAUCAAACUAACCAUUGAAGGUUUGACCAGUCGAGCUAGGGGUCAACCAGUUGACUAGCCAUUAGCAUUUAAUGCUUAGUAGGUAACCGUUGGAUCUUGACCAGACCUCGAUUAGUUGAACAAGCGUUCUGGAAGAGAGAAAAGGUUUUUGCACCCGUCGACCGGUUGAGCUAAACAAGUCAACUAGUUCCUCAUCUGGUUCAACAGGUUGAGUCGUUUUUGGCUCAACAAUCAUCAUUUUCAACUUAAAACAUUUUAAACAAGUUUGAAAAACAUUUGACAUAAGGUUUUAGUUGAAAACAUGAAAUUAUUAAAUUUUAAAGGAUUUAAUACAAAAUUAAUUUUGGAUGAUUUUGGUGCAUAAAUUAAUAAUGUAAUGCAUAAAAGACCUAGUGCAUCAACAACCUUACAAAGAAAUCUUAGAAAGUUUAGGUCUUGAAAAACACUUCUUUUUUAAGUCUUUUUCUUCUUAUUGAUUACUCUUUGUCUUGAUUUUGUCUUUUUGAUUGACACUUUGGAAAUAUUCUUGCCUAAUCACACUUGAAAUAUAAUCAUUAGUGUCAAACCUUGUUUUAUUAUCAUCAAAAUCGAGAUUAACCAAACCUUGGUUUCACAAAUAUCUUGAACCUUUGACAGUCGAUGUUUUUAUAGUCUGCUUUGCAGAUUGUCAUUUUAAUGAGAGUGUUUUCCUGUCAUUAGGGAGAGAAAAUUCAAUUCCUAAAGAAUGGUGAGAAAUUACUUGGAAUGCAUCUACUAUGUUCCAUUUUGAUCCUUGUACAAAUCAAUAUGAACUAGAAGUUAAAAGGAUCAUUUAUUUGCAAAAUCUUGCAAACCAAUUACCAAAUUGUGGACCCCGCAUUUCGGCUGGCUCGAAUGCGUUUCCCACUCGAUGGCGAAACUCGAUUUUUAUUUGAAAAAUUGAUUUUUUAUUGAUUAAGAAAAAUGACUUGGAGUCGCCACUUAUUUUUGUUUUAUUUUUAAAGGGUAAACAAAAUAAGAAAGAAAACCCUAAGUGUGACUCCUGAUUUUUGGAAAAGGUGGUUUGUGAAAACCGGAUCGGGUUCGGGGGUCAGGUUACUUAUCGGGAAGGUACGGUAAAGACCGUAGCACCCCUCUAAGUCCCUAAAGUCGGGUCUCUACUAAUAGAAUGAAGCUAACAUGGCGAUGAUGAGGAAAUCAAUAAAUACUCAAAUCAAUCAUGCACAUAUGAGUAUCAAAACAUGCGUAUAGCAAGACCAGAAUAAGGACAGAUGCGUACCUGGGCAACGAUCUUCAAUGCGCUAUCAAGAAGUGAGAUUAGUGCACAAUUAAAGGAUGAUCACAUGCAUAUCAUAGAGCAGAAUAAAUCAUGUAUGGCACCCAAAUCAACCAAACAAUCCAUCAAUCAUAAAAUCUCAUAUGUUGGGCCCCCACCAAAACCCGUUUAUUUUUGCAUGAAUUAAUUCCGUAAAUUCCAUUGUUCGGAAUUACGGAAUUUAAAUUCAUGUUUAUUUUAAAACAUUUUAAAAACAAAGAAAAUGCAAAAGUGGCUUGCCGGAAAGAAAAUGGCAACCAAAUUUUAUUGAAAAUGAGAUUUUUGGUAUCUUAAAAAAAAAACGAAAGGUGAAAAAGUAGAGGAGCCGGGAUUAUUUGAAAAGAUGAAUUGAAGAUAAUAUUUACAAAACGGGACAUGGGGCAAUUGUUUUAAAAUCAAAGAUGAUGAAGAAUAAAAGAAAGGAGGACACGUGCCUAAGGCUGCAUGCAAAAAUACUUGAGUGGGGGAGUUGGUGAGGAAUGGUCGCGCAUGGAUGAAAUCCUGAUCAUAACUGUGCUUACUCGAUCAACUUGUGGAUUGGGAUCAUCAAAUUCUGAAAACCCUGCGUAAAACUCAAACCAUUGAAUGUACCACCAUCAAUCACAGCGCUGCUGACCUUCUUAAACAGCCCGUAUGGUGCCUCUAUCUCACUCACACUAAAUACUGCUUCCCUUGCCAGAGCUUCAGGAUCAUGAAGACCUCUUGCUUGAUUCUGCAGAGAAAACCUGAAGAGGAAGAGUGAAGAUGCCAGGGUACCUGAAAAUCCUCAUUAUCAAGAACAUGAGUGACAGCCUUUGCAGGCCUUUCUUGACCUUCUUGCAUUUCCAGCACAUGAGCAGCUGCAUCCCCACAACUCCCAGAUUUACCAUGUUUCCUAGCAUAGCAUGAAUCAUCAGAAUCACUGUCACCAGCACCUUCUUUGACCAUUAUCAAAUCAACCCACAGUUUCUCUUGUUUUUAGCUCUUCACUUCCGUCGUUCAGUGUAAAGCCAUUGAAAUGUUGAAGGCGCCGAGAUGGGGAAUAAGCUUGCAUGCGGGCUUAGCAACAGCCUGAUUUCCUCUUCAGUAAAUGAAACUAACAGCAGUAACCUUUAAGGGAUUGGCAAUGAGCAUCAAAUCCCAGCACAAGAACAUCCACCAGUUAUUUCUUCAAAUUUCCAUGAUCGAGGUGAACAAUGAUAGGAGUAUCAAUCCUGUACUGACAUAGCAGAGAAGAAUGAAAUCCAUUGCCAGUGAUAGUCCUCAACAAACUUUACCACAAUGCGAGAGGUGUAGCAGCCAAGGACUGGGGCAUAACCAUUUCCGAUUUUGGCCAUAGUGAUUCUUAGUUAUCAUGUCUGGAUGGCCUGGUGGAACCCUAGUAGAGACUCCAUUCCAACCACGUUUUCAGAUUCAGAAAACUCUGAUUGGAAAGAAACCUUAAGCCACACCUUGAAUUGAUAUCCAAACUUCAAUUUUUCACAAGAGAAUUUUGAUUCGCAAAAUCGGUCAAGUUCAUUUCCCUUCACUUCCCUGAAAAUCUGGAAGCUUCCUACAAAAGAUCCUCGUCUGAAGUCGAGAAGCUAGAAAGCUCAGAGAGGUUUUCCCCGUAAGACGCCAACCUCAUAUUGAGAACCUCAGUCUAUGAAUCAAGCUGCGUUUUCUCUCCUGCACCGUGCCGUGGAUGACUCCCCACUCUCUGAGGACACCAAAACUCAGGGAUGACACCCUCCGCACACCCACAUACCUCACCUAGCUUCCUGUAAAUCCCCUUCUCUAGCUCGCUUCCACUGCAUAAACCAUCUUUGCACCUGCUUGUGCUAACCAGAUCACAAGAAUGCCACUCCCAGUUCCUUUUCAAUCAAAAUCAAAUUCGAGUAACAAUUGAUCUCUCCAACCAGUUUUUCCUAUUUCAACAAUAUCUUCCGCAGCAUCAAGAAGAAUUUGGAGAUAUAUCAGCAGCCAUGGAUGAGAAUAUCUGUGAUUAAGACCAACUCGGUCAACAAAGGGAACCCACAAUUCUCUUCGCGUGAUUGCAUGGCUACACAGUCUCUGAGAAGCAUAGAUCUAAAUAGUGCACCAAACGCUUUCAUGCCUUACAAAGAGGCCACGUAGGAAUCGCCAAUACCCUGUGGCCUUGAUGCGGCUGCUAAAUGAGCUCACCACUCUGGCUGCUCGACAGGGAAAGCUGCUGGCCUGGGCACUCUUCACUUUCUGCCAGAUUGAAGGCUUACUUGAUGAAUGAGCUUCACGAAUGUACAAGGUGGAAAAGUGAGGGUGGCAACUAUAGGGUGUAAGAAAUGAGUAUGAAUGAGUCCUAUACCCGUGGGUAUAGUGAGAUAAAGCAUGAUGGAAUAGAAAUGGGCAGAGACAAUGUGGAUAUGGGACAUGGUGGAACGAGCAAAGUGGUUAGGCUAUUGAUGGUGAGCAGGGUACGGGUGAAGUGAUGUGUAUGGUGCAUGAGGGUAUAGUGAGUGGGCUAUGGAUGACAGAAUUGGUGAGAAAAAUGAGUGGAGAUAUGCUGAGUGUAAGGGAUAGGAAGGGUGAUGAGAAGUGGGUUAAUGGUGAUGUGAUAGAUAUGUGAAAUUGGAAAAUGAGAAAGGUGAUAGGUAAAAGAAAUGGGUAUGGAUAAUGGCCGGGUUUGCAUGGUUCCAUGCACAUGGGUAGAUGGACCUGGGAAGUCAACAAGGGCUUUAGAAGGAGCUUUGGACAACCAUGCAUGUGCAGAGGUAGGUAUCAAGGAGAAUUCAACCUCACUCUGAUCAUUUAGAACGGGCAAGUAUCUUAGCAGUAGCAUCCUUCAUAGUGGAUUUCUCUGCUCAUCUGGCAUGUACCAGAACGCAUCCAGCACCUUUAAAGAGUGAUCUAGCACCUUCAUUCUUCAGGAUCUGUGAGAAUGCAUCGAAAGAGCUCUUGUAUUUGACAGCUUCGCCUGAGAUCAUCAUCAUCCUUCUACGCGCUGUAUCUAUUGGGUAAUAAGCCAAUCCUGUACCUAUUGUGAUUCCUUAUCCCAGCAUGAAACUAGCCAAGAGACUAUCCCCUCAAGACAGGCCCUGGCGCAUAGUACAUCUCCACAUCUGUGUACAUCUGGGCAUAAUGCGUGUCACCCUGUUUGCGAGGCAGCUUAAAGCCUGGUUCAGGAUAUAUCAUUGUUUCGACAGGAAGCUUGUACAAUCGAUGUGGGCAGAGCCAAAUUGGGUAUACCUCCCUCUCAUGAGAUACCCAUUCUAGAGCAUCUACCUCGCCCAGAAUCUGCUCCACAAGGUAAAAUUUUCCAUAAGAAUCAUCAAAAGUAGGAUUGCUUCCUCCAGAUUAUUUCUCGGUACAUAUGAACCAUCCAUCUGAACAACUAAACUGGGUGGUGCAGCUGCAUGGAACAGUUUUGCUUGCAAUUGGGCAAUUCGUUCUUGCCUUUCUGGUGCUGGAAACCAUUCUGCUUCCUUUGGAUUCUCAUUUUCCACCUCACUAAAUAUAACCUCAGUUACACCCUGUUUGGACAUGCCAAAUUCGUCUUUCUAUGGUUCUGUUAGAAAAGCCUCUGCUUCAGGAGCUUUACCAAGUGAUCCUUUCCAAUGCGUGGAUACCUCUCCACUAAACUAUUGUAGCCUAGUGGGAACGGGAAGCCGUUGUCAUUUUCAUCCCUACUGCAUGCUCCACUCCUCUUGAAAUCUGACUCGUCUCGGUGCAGGGAGACACAGAGGCCAAAUCAACAUGAGUACAAAUAGAAGGAACCCCGACAAAGGUAAUGUGAUCAGGUUGAGUUCUUGAUUUGAAUAGCAGCCCAGAGAACUGAAGAGCCUCGUCAGCUUGGGCAUUCUGAACAUAACCAAUAAUUAGGGAAGUCCAUGGUACUAAAUCUAGUCUCAGCAUCUCAUUGAAAACAUGUCUUGUCUUCUUAAUAUUCCCACACAAUGUGUAUAUGUGAACAAGCGUACUAGCUGCAAAUGAUAACAGAUCAAACCCAAUCCUCGUCAUAUACCCAUGAACCUGCUUACCCAAUUCUUCCGCAACGAGUUUCUCCAAUCCAUAAGCAUCUUGAGACCCUCUUAACCCCCAUUGAUCAUGGAAAACUCAAGCAUGCCGAAGCUGAUCAUCAUAAUAACUGGAUGGUUGGACUACAUGAACCCCAUUCCUCCCAUAUUGGCAACAAGGUUAAACGCAUGGUCAAACCCAACAGUGACCUUCAAGCAGUUGCUCAUCACCUUGAAAUCAAUCAAGAUAGGAUUCAUGACAGAACACAUCUUCAGUCAUAGGCCCUCUCUUCUUCCAGUCAGAAGCAAUAAUGUAGUGGCCCUCCGUCUUCAGACUCCGAGCAAUAUGAAAGGCAAUAAAGCCAUCAGCACCAGUGAUUGAGAUCUGGAACUUUUCAGAUUGUUAGUGUGGUUCCUUCUCAAGCUCCUCAUAGGUGUACCCUUCGUAAGUGGCUCCAUCGGUACUUCCCAUUCUCCUCUGUUUUCUAAAAAACGACUGUGAAUACUUCCCCUCUCAAUAUCUUAAGCUUGUUGUCUUUCCACUUGUUCUACAAGAAACAUGGCAGUAUCUUGAAGAUUUCUGAUGCCAAGACCCCUCAAAGCAACCCCCGAUUUAGACAGCCAAACCCAAACAAGAUGCUCAACACUCCAAGAGAGAGAUAACAAGAACAGGGGAAAGAGAAUGAAGAAAAAUAAAUAAAUAAAUAAAAACAGAGCAUGCAUGAGGAAGAACGAUGCCUUGAAAUCCAAACUCCAUUUUCAUGAAUACUAAGAGACUUGCAAAACAAAGUGGUGGGAGAAUCUUAACACGCUAAUAAGUAGCGCAACCAUUGUAAAUACAUACAGAGAAAUAAAGAUGCUCAACAAGUAACAAUGAAAAGCAAGUUUAACAGCUUAGAUGACCAAAGCAAGCAUCCACUAUCAGUCGGAAACCUAGUAAUGCAGUAAUACUGGAGAAUUUAAAGUGAGGAAGGAUCAAACCUGAGCGGUUCCUCCCCUGCCCUGCUAACUUCCUCUCUCGGCUCCCCUCGAAAAACCUCCUCCUCCCUCUGUUUUCCUCCCAAAAUCUCUCUCUAACGGCUUGCUCUCAAACCACCCUCCUGCAGCCCCAGGUACCGUCCCCACUACCAUGCAGCUGGCAGCCCCAAAAGCACUCUCUCCUCUGCUCACCUCAACAACCUACAGCUUUUGCAGAUUCCUCCUUGCCAGGUGUCAAUCUCUGAUUGGCUUUCAAAAAAACUGUUCUGAUUCCAUGAUAGCUAAUCAGGGAUUGACACGUGGCCUCCUAGAAAUGCUCCAUCUGGCCAAAUAAGCUGCAACAAAUUCAAAAAGAAAGUGCUCCCAAAAUGGGGGUCUACAAAUAUGCCCCUCUUCGGUAGAGUUCACGAGUGUAAAGAACAUGAACACUGGAGUGAAAAGUAAGUGUGAAUAGUGAGUGCAAUGAAGUGAACUCUAUCGAAGAACCAAGGAGACCCCCAUAGGGACACUAGUGAGAUGUGAACUCACUCAGGCCAAAAGACAAACACAAAGGCUCUAAUCCUAAAAGAGAAAGAUGGGUGCCUCAAAAUGCCUCUAAAGCCACACUAAGGAUCCAAGCUCCCUCUAAAACGUCUCCAAAAGUGACCCGAAGAUCGAUGUCAAAGGUGAGUAACGGUCAAACCACCCUGGAGUACGAACAAGAAUGCGUAUAAAGGAGACUGCCCUAUGUGGACUACGAGAUGAAUAAGCGAUAAGCACAGGGUAACGAGGGGAGAGUGAGAAUAAGUGCAAAUCCAUGAAGGUGAGACGUGCAAUGCCAGAGAAUAUGAAUGCUAGGAGCUGUGACUUUGAAUGACGAGACUGACUCUAAACGCUAAACUAGAAAAAUAAUGGCUCUGGAAGCCAAACCAAAAAAAACUAACUCUAAACGCUAAACUAGAAAAUAAUAGCUCUGGAAGCCAAACCAAAAAGCUAACUCUAAACACUAAACUAGAAAAUAAGAAAAUAAAGCUCUGGAAGCCAACCAAAAAGCUAACUCUAAACACUAAACUAGAAAAUAAGAAAAUAAAGCUCUGGAAGCCAACCAAAAAGCGAACUCUAAACGCUAAAAUCGAAGGCGCAUAGGUGAAGACCUACGGUGGUGAUAAUAACUGAAACAAAGGCUCAUGGAUGAAAAUCCAUGAUGGUGAAUCUGAAAUGCCCAUAGAUGUCUGAUCUAUGGUGGUGAAAUCUGAAAUGCCCACAGAUAAAAAUCUAUGGUGGUGAUAAUCUCGAAAUGCCCAAGGAUGAAAAUCCAUGGUGGUGAUAUAAUCUCAAAAGCCCAAGGAUGAAAAUCCAUGGUGGUGAUAACUGAAUCAAAGGCUCAUGGAUGAAAAUCCAUGAUGGUGAAUCUGAAAUGCCCAUAGAUGAAAAUCUAUGGUGGUGAAAAUCUGAAACAAAGGCUCAUGGAUGAAAAUCCAUGAUGGUGAAUCUGAAAUGCCCAUAGAUGAAAAUCUAUGGUGGUGAAAAUCUGAAACAAAGGCUCAUGGAUGAAAAUCCAUGAUGGUGAAUCUGAAAUGCCCAUAGAUGUCUGAUCUAUGGUGGUGAAAACUGAAUGAAGGGGGAUGCCCUAGACAAACUAAUGGUAGGGGGAUGUCCUGAACAAGAUGACAAUAGGGGGAAUGCCCUAAACAAGAUGACAGUAGGGGGACGCCCUAGGUGAUAACUCAUAAAGAUCGACAAAUGCGUCUGACAAUCAUGAAAUCAGCACGAGACAUGGCAAACCCAAAGAGAGGGGAAUGCCCCAAGUCAAGCGCUAAAGGGGUAUGCCCCAGUGUGACGACUCACAAAGAUCAAGAAAUAGGUCGAGUAAUGAGAGAAGUCGGCAAAACGUCAAUGAACUCAAGGAUGGGGGUAUGCCCCAGUAUGACAACUCACAAAGGUCAAGAGAUAGAAUGAACAGCAAGAGAAUCUGCAAAAGAUCUGGUGAACUCAAGGAUGGGGGUAUGCCCCAGUGUAGGAUAGUAACUAACAUGAGACACGGAAUCUCACCAAACAAGACACUCUGGGAUAUGCUCAAUGAUGAUGCAAUGAAAAGGAUAUACAUAGCCUCAAUGAACAAACGCUAAAACAAGUCCAAACAUCACUGAAAUCAUGCUAACAAAGUAAAACUAAAAUAAUGGAUCAAACAAAUGCUGACCAAAACUCUAGGUCUGAAAUGGAAGCAAAUCAAAACACGACAUGUCAACUAUCAAUAUGAGUACAUCAUCACAAGUGCAUCAACAAUCUAACAGGCCCUACCAUCACGGAAGAUGUUGAACCUAAUGUCCAAAGGCAUGUGAAAGCUCGACCAGAAAGCCGAGACUAGCCCAUAUCUUCCCCUGAUCAAGAGAAAGGGAUAAGGUCAUGUAAGACGAUGAAAUAUGUGGGCUCAAAAGAUGUAAGGCUCUGAUAAGAUGGGUGCAGAUAUAAUAGUGUCCAAUGUAGGAUGUAUAGGUGUGUAACAAAGGAAAGUGGGUACCCAAAUCAAACUAGGUAUGCUAAGGAGACUGAGCCCAGGGUGCCAACAACUCUAUAAUCCAUCGAGAGCAGCGAUCAUAAACAAGAAAUGGAGUCUCAAUGUCAAAAUCAGCAAGGUGGCUAUGCCCCAGUAUGAAUGCAUCGUCUCAGAGUGGGUAAGCUCUCAAUGCAGAAUGAUCUCCGGAAAGUAAGUGUCUGGUAUAAACUGUCAUCUCACAAAAUCAUCGCCAAGACGAGUGGGGUAUGCCCUAGUGUAAGCAUCUCCAAAUCAAACAUCCAUGAGAAGAAUACAACCAAUCAUACCUCAUCUGAUCAAAAUGAACAUCUGCUCAUCAAAGCCAUCGUGGUAAUGUGAAGAGAAUAUCUGACCUCCCCCAAAGAAAAUAGCAUGUCCCAAUGUGAACAACCGCCAAUGAAAGGGUUAUGCCCCAGUAUAGGGCAAACCUUGAAAUGACUAAACUCCGCAGUAUGCUCUCAUAAGUGUCCGUGUCCUGAUCCAAUCAUCUCAAAAAUAUGUCAACAAUGAUGAGAAGGUUAUGCUCCUGUGAUCAUAUCAAAGAAAUCACCCGAUCAUAUCUCGUACUCCAAUGUGAAAUGAAUCUAAUCGCCUCCAAGGAACAUCUAUGCCUAAAAACCACCAUCGACCGAAAGGGGUAUGCCCCUGUGUAAAGUACACUAGAUGAAACGCGCCAAUCAUGUUUCAUGCUCCAAUGUGAAGAAAAAUGACAUCUGAUAUCCUCCAAGGAAUGGACAUGGCUCAAAAAUCUGUCAUCGACUGAGAAGAGUAUGCCUCGACAUAAUGGUCAUCCGAUAAUAAAACUCUCUGAGAUGGCUAUGCCCCAGUGUAAGGUCAUACCAUAACUCUCGGUCUGUCACAAUCAGAAUGCUCUCGAAUCAAUCUCAAGUAUCGCUCACAUAAGAGCUAUCAAACACAAUGUGUGAUGUCAUGGCCUCAGGGUGGUCUUAAGACUCAGGACGUAACGUAGGCUAGGGUGAUAGGGUGAUAGAAAUGAAGGGAAACUAGGCCCAAAUACCCAAUGAUCAAAACCCAUGCCCUCAUGUAUAAAAUGCAACAUGUAUAGAAAAUAUCGUGAGCCAUGGACCUGAAGAUGCCUACUGUGAACAUGGUAACAAUGAUGAUGCAAUGAAGAAAAAUCGAACUGAUGACGAGAUGUAUAAUGAUGGCGCGAAGAGGGUAUCAAACCCGAAAAUGAGGUCACUGUAAGAAUGGAAUAAGGGGUGGAAUGAAAAUGAUGAAACAGAAGUGAAAACGAGGAUGAUGAUGAAGCAUAGAAUACGAGAACAAGUGAUGAUCUGCUCAAAUCAAAUAUGAAAGGAAGUCACGUCAAUAACGAACAUAAUGAUGGAAUGGACAAUGACCCAGAGCUCCUAAGAGAAGGCCACUCAUCUCGCUCUCAAAACAUACAACAAAAUGAAUACGAAGAAUGAAAGGUCCCGAGGAGCUCACAUACGAACUCCCAUGAAUAGACAUAUCCAACAAAGCGACCCCUCGAACACUAAUAUACACAUACUGAAUGAUAGAGAAUAAUACACACAUGUGCCUCUUUUCUUUUUAUCUUUUUUUUUUUUUUUUUUUUUUCAAUCAUUUUUUUUUCAAUUUUUUUUUUUUUUUUACAUAUAUGCAAAUAUACAUGUUCUGAAUGCAAACCAAGAAAGACCCAAAGAUGGGAUCAAAAGUGAAUAAACAUGCCCUCAAAUAUCAAUAUAUCACAAACUCUCUCUAAUGAUGUGACCCUCUCAAGCCAAGGAUCCCUGGAUCAACGUCCGUAGGAUAGAUAAUGGAAAAUGACAUGACUACCCUCCAUGUAAUGAACUGAGGAUGAUCACCAUUCGGGGUGGGAGAAGAUGAAGCGAAACAAACGAUAGAUAUAAUAAAGAAGAGGAUGAAGAACCAACGAGAUGUCACGAAAUGCAAUGACGCAAUGAUAGGAAAAGAUAAUGAGAAAGAUGUGCCCCUAGGUCCAAGGCUCAUGAAACUCCUAAACAAUGCAUGCAUACACUGAAGGGCCCCUAUCCCGGUGUAGAAGGUGAGCAAGGCUAUAAGAAAUAAAAGGCUAUGAUGCUCAUGAGAGGCUCAAAGGGCUAGCAAUGGUCUAGAUGUCAAUAAAGGUAAUAGGGUGUGAGCUAACCGAAAUGAAGGCCACCCAUCUUACGACCACGGUCUCAAACAUCAUGCUAUCAAGCCCUCAAAUGAUCAAUACUAAAGAUCGAUGUCCAUCUGAUAUAACCACGUCAACCCUCUAGAAUCAUCCACCAACCGUACUCCAAAUGCAAAGUAAACUGUGAUCUCAUCAAGCAAUACUGCCCAUCACAAGCCAACUCUCAUCAUACAAUAUCAAUCUCUAUACUCACGAUAAGAUAAGUGACAGUCUCAUCAAGCAAUCGACCAAUCCUCAUAUCGUAAGCCACCCAAAUAUCAUAAGCCAACUCUCGCCAUGCCAGAUCAACCCUGGGCUCGAACUCCUCACACUCUACCUGGUCGAAUCAGAGAAGGGAUGUGUAAAGCUAGAAAAGCCGAGGAUGGAAAGGUCAUAUAACGGUCUCAAGGGUGAUGCUGUGCAAAGCUCGUAAUGGAUGGAUGUAGGUCAAAUCAAAGGCAAGGUGUGGGAAGUGAGCAAGGUACUGCUAUGAUCAUAAGAAGAUGUGUCACAGUCUCGAACUCCCUAGGUCAAAUCUCUGAUCCUAGGCUAAUAGGCUCAAUAUCCCCCAUGACAGGUCACUCCUCAAGACUACAACGUGCAAGUGAAGAAAUGCCUCAAGUAAAAAUCACAACACAUCAUAUCACAAGACACAAACACAUGUCCAUAAAGGAAAAGACAUCCAAUAGGAUAACCGAUGAGUACAUCAUGCAAAAGAAGGAUAACAAAGACAAUACUCAAGAAUCGAGUUAUAGUCUCUAAAAGUCAAAAUCAAAACAAGACUAAACAAACAAAAACAAAAACAGUGACUGGUCCUGCCAUCACAUCUCUGGCCAUAGAAGGAACAAAAUCUGAGCGCCACCUUACCAAGGUAAGUCAAUCGCCCAAAUCAAUAAGAUCAGGGAUUGCUGGUGAAGGGGUGUCUGCAUGCAUGGCCUGAGCUGAGGUAGGUAUAGAAAACAUAUCGGACUGAGGAUGCCCAAAUAUACCAGAAUCAACAAUGUCCUGUAUGGCAUGUCGUAGAGCAGUGCAACGAUCAGUGUGAUGUCCUGCUGACUGAUGGUAUAUACAAUAUAAAUCAAGUCGAAACUGUGGAGGCACAGGAUCUGGAAGUGCCCUAGGAGCCAGAGGAGCCAAAAGUCCCAUGGCUUGGAACGUCUCAAAAACUCUGCUCAGGGGUGCGCUCAAAUCUGAAAAGUGUCUCCGACAUCGUCGAUGGGGGUGAAAUCGCUCCCGAGGAACUGUAACGACCGGAGGGCCCCGAAGCUGGGAUGGAGGUCGUGCCAACAUAGCCAAUGAAAUGGAUGAGGAAUGCUGCUGGAGUACUAAAUGUGGGCGAGGUCGUGGAUGCGAGGCACCCAAAGUAACAGGUGUCGGUGAAGUCAAGUGUGGCAAUGAAGGUAUCGCUACUCCUGGAGCUCCUCUCGAUGACGAUGGAUGCUCUGACAAAAUAAGCUCAAUCCUCUCAACCCUCCGUGUCAAAUCCACCAUCAUCUCAUAAAGAGCAGUAAGAGUAAUGGGUGUGAUCUCGUCCGACAUGGUGAACCUCAACUGAAGAAGUCUAAUCUCAAUGUGCUCUGUAUCAUAACCAUCAUACCAUCAAUAUCUGCUCGGGGACCAGUCACGACACUAAAACUGUCCAAGACUCUAAAACAAACACAUGCAAAAGACAAAACAAAGCAACACAAGAUGCUAACACAAGAUAACAACACAUAAAAUACAUGAUACGAAACAAUGAUAAUAAUAAAAUAAAAAAGACAAAAACAAUACCCAAGAAAACAACAAUAUCACUAAGUGAAAUGAGAGUACAUCAUGCAAAAUAAUAGGACAACAAAGGUCUACUCUCGAAGCACAAGGUGCGAACUCAAAACACUAACUAUAAAACAAGACUCAAAUACAAAAUAAAAGAGAACAAAAACUCAAACGACCAACUAACAAUGUAGUCCCAAAACACACCAACAAGGUAUGCAAUAUCAAAGUGUCUGGUGAAUAUCAGUGCCCUAGGUGUCCAAAAUGUGAUGGUAUAAGCCCGAAGGAGGAGGAACUGCAUGUGUGGACUAAGCUGGAAAGGAAUCAGUAGACAUAUCUGGACCAAGAUCAGUGUCUGUAGUCGAUAUGGGAAAGCUAACUGCACCACUGUCAAUAAGAUCUUGUAUGGUGUGACGCAGAGAAGCACAAUAAUCAGUACGGUGGCCCGCCAUCUGGUGAAAUGCACAGAACUCAUGAGCAUGAAAACGCGGAGGCAAGGUACUCGGGAGUGGCCUAGGGGCCAAUGGUACUAAAACACCAGUAGAUCGGAGUCGCUCAAAAGCUCUAUCCAAAGGUAUCCCUAAAUCAGAAUAAGUCCUCUGAUGUCGCCGAUGGGGACGAGACUGCUCAUGCCGUGGGAUGCCAGUCUGUGGACGCUGAAACUGAAAUGAAGGUCGCACCAUGACAGCAUGAGGAUGCGUAGAAGGGUACAACUGAACUGGAUGAGGAUGACGAUGCUGUAAAGGUGGGAAAUCACUCCUGGGUAUCUGCAAUGAUCUCGCAUAGGAAUGAUAACCAGGUCGUCGAUGCUGAAAGUCCGUAGAACAUAUGUCUCCAUAGCCCUCAGAUGAUCCACCAACUCUCUUUCCCUCAGUAUCUGGGGAAGGAAUAAUAUAUGACCAUAAUCCUCUAGAUAUGCCAUCAUCUACAUCGAAUAAAGCCUGAACCAAUGAUCUGAAAUCCUGGAAUGGGACCCCUGUCAGAUGUCGAGCAAACCUAGGAUGCAAGCUCCUCAAAAACAUGCUCAUCUGAUCUCUCUCGGUAGGUCGCUCAAUCAUCUCCGCAGCCUUCUCCCUCCAACGAGAGAUAAAAGAAGAAAUAGGCUCAUCUGAUCCCUGUCUAAGAAACUCAAGCUCUCUACGUGUAACGCUCGUAUCACCACCGAAUGAAUACUGUCUCAGAAACUCCUGUGCUAAGUCCUCCCAAGUUCUCCGACGAGAUGACUCUAAUGAAGCAUACCAUCUCUGUGUCAUGCCGCUCAAUGACAAUGGGAACAAAGUGAGCAACUGUGCCUCAUCUAGACCAAGGGCCCUCAUAACCGUGCUAUAAAGUCUGAGAUGAAUACGAGGACAUCCGACACCCGUAUAUCUCUCUAUAUCAGGCAUCCUGAAACCAACUGGCAGAGUGGCCACUGGCACAUCGUCAGGGUCCUCCCAUGAGAUCAUCUCAUCAGGGUCUCUCAUCUGUCUAAUCCUCCGCUCAAGUCUGUCCAUACGAGAACGAGGAUCCUCAAUGAUGGUAACUGGUGUGACAAUGGGUGGAGUGACAGCAGCCUGAUCCUGUGAAGUAGUAUGCGAAGUCGGUGUAGUUGGCAUCUGAACAGGUAGAACAGGUGGUGUCACUAAAUCAGAUGGCGUGUCCUCGAGCACUACGUGCCUACUCUACUGAGUAUCCAUCCUCUAGCUCAAACUGGUCAAUGCCUCCUGAAUCGAAACCACAGAAGUGAUAAGCUAACCAAUCGAAACUGACUGUGAAUCUGUCUAUAGCAGCUCAACGAUACGAAUCAACAUCUCUCUCACUCAACCCAGGGCACUGAACUAAGACUGGGACCACAAAUAGACUCCUAUAGAAGAGCCAAUCAAAACGACUCAAACACGACUCAUGCAACGACACGGGAUGCAACGAACAAUGACCAAUGCAUGAUACAACACAAUCCACAACAUGACAGGACGCGACACACAAUCAUAUGGUGACAAUCAAAAUUUGGAUAGACGAUAGAAUCUCUAGAGUCACAUGAGUGUCCAAUGUGAGACAACUACAAAUAUGACUAAAGAAUUUCUAUCGAUAAUCCAGAAAAUGAUCGAGGUGUGAAGAAAAUAAAUGGGGUGUGAAGAACAACACUAUCACGAGAUCGAUACUCAAUCUAUAACAAAACAUCCCUUGAUUUUGACCUUCAACUCGGGCUCCAUAGGAGAAGAAAACGAUAAGGUGAUCCAGGCGAAUCUCUCGAAAAAUGUGUGAAUAUGAAAAUAUGCCUUUCACCUUUCUGUAAUGAAAAUAUGAGCAUCGAGUCGAAAAUCGAACCAAGGAUCAAACAAAGAAUGAGGUACUGAGCCCGUGAUAGGUGUACAGUGCAAAAAGAUGGUCAAUGAACAUAUCCCAAAGUAUCGAGAAGUGACGACAAAGUGAAGAGGUGUGCCGAGCCAAGAAAUGAUAACGAAGGCCCUAGGGAGAAAACAUGCCAAACUCAUCGAGUGAAAAACACAAACUAAGGCGACAAGACGAAAGGUGACCCAACCGUACUCAAACUCAUACCGAUCUCCGAGCACUCUCAACUGGAGACUAAAAAGAGGGAGUGUCAAAUCCGAAGUGUAACCACAGAGGCUCUGAAAGCCCUCAGAUGCACCCACGUGUAGGGAGGGAGUCCUAAUCGAAGGAUCUACGGCUCAACCUAUGAGGUCAAGGUGGCUCUAAAUGGAUAUGGGUGGACUUUAAAACAUCCCUAGCAGAAGCGAUCAUACCCUCCGGCGGUACGCAACCCUCUGCACGCCUCCGAAGAGACGGGGCGCUUCCAUGCAAGGUGGUCAUCACCUCCACACAUGCACUACCUCGCAUCCCAGGGGGUUUCCUAUGGUGAAACCUCUCAAACUCUCAACGCUCAAUGGUCGACUAGAGUGCACAAUGAAUGGUGUGGGUGCAUCCGAAAACCCUAGGAAGCUAAAACAGAAGAGGAAACACACUGGCUACACAAAUAUCCAUGAAACCUAGCUCCGGGCUAUACAGGUCUUCAAUGAUCGGACUCCAAUCGACAUCAAAGUGUCGCUCUCCUCCAGAAUGCUCCCGUGCAUCGAUAUAGCCCGUCGCUAGACCCUACUCCUAAUCUCUGGCUCGGUCAGAGAGCAAACACACAGAAGGUCUCACACUUGCAAUAGUGAGAACUGGGAUGAAAGGAAUGACCGAAACCAAGAGAGUUGGAGGUAAGGGGAUAUAUAUGCGGCCCACAGAGACAGGCGACAUGCAAUCAUGCAGAGGAAGGGCAGUCAUGCAUCAUAUAGUCAAUCAGAGUACAAGAUAUAUCAUUCAUGCACGCAUACAAGCUAUGAGAAUCAAGAUGAAUAGUGAUAAGAAUACCAUGCUCAAAAGACGAUCAAGAUAAUAUGCAAGCCAGAGAAUCGACAUGUCAAAUCAAACCAACAACGAAUCCAUACAUGCAAGGCGGUCAGAAUAAUCAUGGCAAAUAUCAAAAUCACUAUACUAAGCGAAAUAAGAUAAGCAAUCAAUACAAUCAGCAUGCCAAUACCUCAAACGAGCAUGACAAUCAAGCAUAGAGAAAAUAGCUGUCUCAGAAUCCUCUAUCAAUACGAAUCAAUCAUCGUAAUCAAUAUGUCAAAUAUCUCAAACAAAAUAUAUCAAUGAAGCACAAAGAAAAAUCACUGUGUCAAAAUCCCUAAUCAAGAUAAUCGACUAAUAUGAUCAAUCAUGUCAACGUCCCAAGUGAAAACUCGAGAACCCUCAAUGUGCAAUCAAGAAGUGAGUACCCACUGAUAGACUCAUCAAAUACCAUGUUUGCUUCAUCUUAAGUUCAAGCUUGACCCUCUAAUGAUCCCCAGUGGAGUCACCAUUUUGUGGACCCCGCAUUUCGGCUGGCUCGAAUGCGUUUCCCACUCGAUGGCGAAACUCGAUUUUUAUUUGAAAAAUUGAUUUUUUAUUGAUUAAGAAAAAUGACUUGGAGUCGCCACUUAUUUUUGUUUUAUUUUUAAAGGGUAAACAAAAUAAGAAAGAAAACCCUAAGUGUGACUCCUGAUUUUUGGAAAAGGUGGUUUGUGAAAACCGGAUCGGGUUCGGGGGUCAGGUUACUUAUUGGGAAGGUACGGUAAAGACCGUAGCACCCCUCUAAGUCCCUAAAGUCGNNNNNNNNNNNNNNNNNNNNNNNNNNNNNNNNNNNNNNNNNNNNNNNNNNNNNNNNNNNNNNNNNNNNNNNNNNNNNNNNNNNNNNNNNNNNNNNNNNNNCAUCCCAGGGGUUUCUAUGGUGAAACCUUCAAACUCUCAACGCUCAAUGGUCGACUAGAGUGCACAAUGAAUGGUGUGGGUGCAUCCGAAAACCCUAGGAAGCUAAACAGAAGAGGAAACACACUGGCUACACAAUAUCCAUGAAACCUAGCUCCGGGCUAUACAGGUCUUCAAUGAUCGGACUCCAAUCGACAUCAAAGUGUCGCUCUCCUCCAGAAUGCUCCCGUGCAUCGAUAUAGCCCGUCGCUAGACCCUACUCCUAAUCUCUGGCUCGGUCAGAGAGCAAACACACAGAAGGUCUCACACUUGCAAUAGUGAGAACUGGGAUGAAAGGAAUGACCGAAACCAAGAGAGUUGGAGGUAAGGGGAUAUAUAUGCGGCCCACAGAGACAGGCGACAUGCAAUCAUGCAGAGAAAGGGCAGUCAUGCAUCAUAUAGUCAAUCAGAGUACAAGAUAUAUCAUUCAUGCACGCAUACAAGCUAUGAGAAUCAAGAUGAAUAGUGAUAAGAAUACCAUGCUCAAAAGAUGAUCAAGAUAAUAUGCAAGCCAGAGAAUCGACAUGUCAAAUCAAACCAACAACGAAUCCAUACAUGCAAGGCGGUCAGAAUAAUCAUGGCAAAUAUCAAAAUCACUAUACUAAGCGAAAUAAGAUAAGCAAUCAAUACAAUCAGCAUGCCAAUACCUCAAACGAGCAUGGCAAUCAAGCAUCGAGAAAAUAGCUAUCUCAGAAUCCUCUAUCAAUACGAAUCAAUCAUCGUAAUCAACAUGUCAAAUAUCUCAAACAAAAUAUAUCAAUGAAGCACAAAGAAAAAUCACUGUGUCAAAAUCCCUAAUCAAGAUAAUCGACUAAUAUGAUCAAUCAUGUCAACGUCCCAAGUGAAAACUCGAGAACCCUCAAUGUGCAAUCAAGAAGUGAGUACCCACUGAUAGACUCAUCAAAUACCAUGUUUGCUUCAUCUUAAGUUCAAGCUUGACCCUCUAAUGAUCCCCAGUGGAGUCACCAUUUUGUGGACCCCGCAUUUCGGCUGGCUCGAAUGCGUUUCCCACUCGAUGGCGAAACUCGAUUUUUAUUUGAAAAAUUGAUUUUUUAUUGAUUAAGAAAAAUGACUUGGAGUCGCCACUUAUUUUUGUUUUAUUUUUAAAGGGUAAACAAAAUAAGAAAGAAAACCCUAAGUGUGACUCCUGAUUUUUGGAAAAGGUGGUCUGUGAAAACCGGAUCGGGUUCGGGGGUCAGGUUACUUAUCGGGAAGGUACGGUAAAGACCGUAGCACCCCUCUAAGUCCCUAAAGUCGGGUUUCUACUAAUAGAAUGAAGCUAACAUGGCGAUGAUGAGGAAAUCAAUAAAUACUCAAAUCAAUCAUGCACAUAUGAGUAUCAAAAGAUGCGUAUAGCAAGACCAGAAUAAGGACAGAUGCGUACCUGGGCAACGAUCUUCAAUGCACUAUCAAGAAGUGAGAUUAGUGCACAAUUAAAGGAUGAUCACAUGCAUAUCAUAGAGCAGAAUAAAUCAUGUAUGGCACCCAAAUCAACCAAACAAUCCAUCAAUCAUAAAAUCUCAUAUGUUGGGCCCGCACCAAAGCCUGUUUAUUUUUGCAUGAAUUAAUUCCGUAAAUUCCAUUGUUCGGAAUUACGGAAUUUAAAUUCAUGUUUAUUUUAAAACAUUUUCAAAACAAAGAAAAUGCAAAAGUGGCUUGCCGGAAAGAAAAUGGCAACCAAAUUUUAUUGAAAAUGAGAUUUUUGGUAUCUUAAAAAAAAAACGAAAGGUGAAAAAGUAGAGGAGCCGGGAUUAUUUGAAAAGAUGAAUUGAAGAAAAUAUUUACAAAACGGGACAUGGGGCAAUUGUUUUAAAAUCAAAGAUGAUGAAGAAUAAAAGAAAGGAGGACACGUGCCUAAGGCUGCAUGCAAAAAUACUUGAGUGGGGGAGUUGGUGAGGAAUGGUCGCGCAGGGAUGAAAUCCUGAUCAUAACUGUGCUUACUCGAUCAACUUGUGGAUUGGGAUCAUCAAAUUCUGAAAACCCUGCUUAAAACUCAAACCAUUGAAUGUACCACCAUCAAUCACAGCGCUGCUGACCUUCUUAAACAGCCCGUAUGGUGCCUCUAUCUCACUCACACUAAAUACUGCUUCCCUUGCCAGAGCUUCAGGAUCAUGAAGACCUCUUGCUUGAUUCUGCAGAGAAAACCUGAAGAGGAAGAGUGAAGAUGCCAGGGUACCUGAAAAUCCUCAUUAUCAAGAACAUGAGUGAUAGCCUUUGCAGGCCUUUCUUGACCUUCUUGCAUUUCCAGCACAUGAGCAGCUGCAUCCCCACAACUCCCAGAUUUACCAUGUUUCCUAGCAUAGCAUGAAUCAUCAGAAUCACUGUCACCAGCACCUUCUUUGACCAUUAUCAAAUCAACCCACAGUUUCUCUUGUUUUUAGCUCUUCACUUCCGUCGUUCAGUGUAAAGCCAUUGAAAUGUUGAAGGCGCCAAGAUGGGGAAUAAGCUUGCAUGCGGGCUUAGCAACAGCCUGAUUUCCUCUUCAGUAAAUGAAACUAACAGUAGUAACCUUUAAGGGAUUGGCAAUGAGCAUCAAAUCCCAGCACAAGAACAUCCACCAGUUAUUUCUUCAAAUUUCCAUGAUCGAGGUGAACAAUGAUAGGAGUAUCAAUCCUGUACUGACAUAGCAGAGAAGAAUGAAAUCCAUUGCCAGUGAUAGUCCUCAACAAACUUUACCACAAUGCGAGAGGUGUAGCAGCCAAGGACUGGGGCAUAACCAUUUCCGAUUUUGGCCAUAGUGAUUCUUAGUUAUCAUGUCUGGAUAGCCUGGUGGAACCCUAGUAGAGACUCCAUUCCAACCACGUUUUCAGAUUCAGAAAACUCUGAUUGGAAAGAAACCUUAAGCCACACCUUGAAUUGAUAUCGAAACUUCAAUUUUUCACAAGAGAAUUUUGAUUCGCAAAAUCGGUCAAGUUCAUUUCCCUUCACUUCCCUGAAAAUCUGGAAGCUUCCUACAAAAGAUCCUCAUCUGAAGUCGAGAAGCUAGAAAGCUCAGAGAGGUUUUCCCCGUAAGACGCCAACCUCAUAUUGAGAACCUCAGUCUAUGAAUCAAGCUGCGUUUUCUCUCCUGCACCGCGCCGUGGAUGACUCCCCACUCUCUGAGGACACCAAAACUCAGGGAUGACACCCUCCGCAAACCCACAUACCUCACCUAGCUUCCUAUAAAUCCCCUUCUCUAGCUCGCUUCCACUGCAUAAACCGUCUUUGCACCUGCUUGUGCUAACCAGAUCGCAAGAAUGCCACUCCCAAUUCCUUUUCAAUCAAAAUCAAAUUCGAGUAACAAUUGAUCUCUCCAACCAGUUUUUCCUAUUUCAACAAUAUCUUCCGCAGCAUCAAGAAGAAUUUGGAGAUAUAUCAGCAGCCAUGGAUGAGAAUAUCUGUGAUUAAGACCAACUCGGUCAACAAAGGGAACCCACAAUUCUCUUCGCGUGAUUGCAUGGCUACAUAGUCUCUAAGAAGCAUAGAUCUAAAUAGUGCACCAAACGCUUUCAUGCCUUACAAAGAGGCCACGUAGGAAUCGCCAAUACCCUGUGGCCUUGAUGCGGCUGCUAAAUGAGCUCACCACUCUGGCUGCUCGACAGGGAAAGCUGCUGGCCUGGGCACUCUUCACUUUCUGCCAGAUUGAAGGCUUACUUGAUGAAUGAGCUUCACGAAUGUACAAGGUGGAAAAGUGAGGGUGGCAACUAUAGGGUGUAAGAAAUGAGUAUGAAUGAGUCCUAUGCCCGUGGGUAUAGUGAGAUAAAGCAUGAUGGAUGAGAAAUGGGCAGAGACAAUGUGGAUAUGGGACAUGGUGGAACGAGCAAAGUGGUUAGGCUAUUGAUGGUGAGUAGGGUACGGGUGAAGUGAUGUGUAUGGUGCAUGAGGGUAUAGUGAGUGGGCUAUGGAUGACAGAAUUGGUGAGAAAAAUGAGUGGAGAUAUGCUGAGUGUAAGGGAUAGGAAGGGUGAUGAGAAGUGGGUUAGUGGUGAUGUGAUAGAUAUGUGAAAUUGGAAAAUGAGAAAGGUGAUAGGUAAAAGAAAUGGGUAUGGAUAAUGGCCGGGUUUGCAUGGUUCCAUGCACAUGGGUAGAUGGAUCUGGGAAGUCAACAAGGGCUUUAAAAGGAGCUUUGGACAACCAUGCAUGUGCAGAGGUAGGUAUCAAGGAGAAUUCAACCUCACUCUGAUCAUUUAGAACGGGCAAGUAUCUUAGCAGUAGCAUCCUUCAUAGUGGAUUUCUCUGCUCAUCUGGCAUGUACCAGAACGCAUCCAGCACCUUUAAAGAGUGAUCUAGCACCUUCAUUCUUCAGGAUCUGUGAGAAUGCAUCGAAAGAGCUCUUGUAUUUGACAGCUUCGCCUGAGAUCAUCAUCAUCCUUCUACGCGCUGUAUCUAUUGGGUAAUAAGCCAAUCCUGCACCUAUUGUGAUUCCUUAUCCCAGCAUGAAACUAGCCAAGAGACUAUCCCCUCAAGACAGGCCCUGGCGCAUAGUACAUCUCCACAUCUGUGUACAUCUGGGCAUAAUGCGUGUCACCCUGUUUGCGAGGCAGCUCAAAGCCUGGUUCAGGAUAUAUCAUUGUUUCGACAGGAAGCUUGUACAAUCGAUGUGGGCAGAGCCAAAUUGGGUAUACCUCCCUCUCAUGAUAUACCCAUUCUAGAGCAUCUACCUCGCCCAGAAUCUGCUCCACAAGGUAAAAUUUUCCAUAAGAAUCAUCAAAAGUAGGAUUGCUUCCUCCAGAUUAUUUCUCGGUACAUAUGAACCAUCCAUCUGAACAGCUAAACUGGGUGGUGCAGCUGCAUGGAACAGUUUUGCUUGCAAUUGGGCAAUUCGUUCUUGCCUUUCUGGUGCUGGAAACCAUUCUGCUUCCUUUGGAUUCUCAUUUUCCACCUCACUAAAUAUAACCUCAGUUGCACCCUGUUUGGACAUGCCAAAUUCGUCUUUCUAUGGUUCUGUUAGAAAAGCCUCUGCUUCAGGAGCUUUACCAAGUGAUCCUUUCCAAUGCGUGGAUACCUCUCCACUAAACUAUUGUAGCCUAGUGGGAACGGGAAGCCGUUGUCAUUUUCAUCCCUACUGCAUGCUCCACUCCUCUUGAAAUCUGACUCGUCUCGGUGCAGGGAGACACAGAGGCCAAAUCAACAUGAGUACAAAUAGAAGGAACCCCGACAAAGGUAAUGUGAUCAGGUUGAGUUCUUGAUUUGAAUAGCAGCCCAGAGAACUGAAGAGCCUCGUCAGCUUGGGCAUUCUGAACAUAACCAAUAAUUAGGGAAGUCCAUGGUACUAAAUCUAGUCUCAGCAUCUCAUUGAAAACAUGUCUUGUCUUCUUAAUAUUCCCACACAAUGUGUAUAUGUGAACAAGCGUACUAGCUGCAAAUGAUAACAGAUCAAACCCAAUCCUCGUCAUAUACCCAUGAACCUGCUUACCCAAUUCUUCCGCAACGAGUUUCUCCAAUCCAUAAGCAUCUUGAGACCCUCUUAACCCCCAUUGAUCAUGGAAAACUCAAGCAUGCCGAAGCUGAUCAUCAUAAUAACUGGAUGGUUGGACUAGAUGAACCCUAUUCCUCCCAUAUUGGCAACAAGGUUAAACGCAUGGUCAAACCCAAUAGUGACCUUCAAGCAGUUGCUCAUCACCUUGAAAUCAAUCAAGAUAGGAUUCAUGACAGAACACAUCUUCAGUCAUAAGCCCUCUCUUCUUCCAGUCAGAAGCAAUAAUGUAGUGGCCCUCCGUCUUCAGACUCCGAGCAAUAUGAAAGGCAAUAAAGCCAUCAGCACUAGUGAUUGAGAUCUGGAACUUUUCAGAUUGUUAGUGUGGUUCCUUCUCAAGCUCCUCAUAAGUGUACCCUUCGUAAGUGGCUCCAUCGGUACUUCCCAUUCUCCUCUGUUUUCUCAAAAACGACUGUGAAUACUUCCCCUCUCAAUAUCUUAAGCUUGUUGUCUUUCCACUUGUUCUACAAGAAACAUGGCAGUAUCUUGAAGAUUUCUGAUGCCAAGACCCCUCAAAGUAACCCCCGAUUUAGACAGCCAAACCCAAACAAGAUGCUCAACACUCCAAGAGAGAGAUAACAAGAACAGGGGAAAGAGAAUGAAGAAAAAUAAAUAAAUAAAUAAAAACAGAGCAUGCAUGAGGAAGAACGAUGCCUUGAAAUCCAAACUCCAUUUUCACGAAUACUAAGAGACUUGUAAAACAAAGUGGUGGGAGAAUCUUAACACGCUAAUAAGUAGCGCAACCAUUGUAAAUACAUACAGAGAAAUAAAGAUGCUCAACAAGUAACAAUGAAAAGCAAGUUUAACAGCUUAGAUGACCAAAGCAAGCAUCCACUAUCAGCCGGAAACCUAGUAAUGCAGUAAUACUGGAGAAUUUAAAGUGAGGAAGGAUCAAACCUGAGCGGUUCCUCCCCUGCCCUGCUAACUUCCUCUCUCGGCUCCCCCCGAAAAACCUCCUCCUCCCUCUGUUUUCCUCCCAAAAUCUAUCUCUAACGGCUUGCUCUCAGACCACCCUCCUGCAGCCCUAGGUACCGUCCCCACUACCAUACAGCUGGCAGCCCCAAAAGCACUCUCUCCUCUGCUCCCCUCAACAACCUGCAGCUUUUGCAGAUUCCUCCUUGCCAGGUGUCAAUCUCUGAUUGGCUUUCAAAAACACUGUUCUGAUUCCAUGAUAGCCAAUCAGGGAUUGACACGUGGCCUCCUAGAAAUGCUCCAUCUGGCCAAAUAAGCUGCAACAAAUUCAAAAAGAAAGUGCUCCCAAAAUGGGGGUCUACACAAAUGCAUUCAUUAAUACAAAGAAAGUGACAAAGUCACAUAUCCCGACUACAAAUACUCCAACACAGAUUGAUGUCACUGUAGAACAAUUAACAAAUGAAUCUAAGAUUUGCUUGAAGCAUGGUAGACUUGUCAGCUCAAAGGAUAUAACUUCCUAGAAGAUGAGAACACAAGAAAAACUUUGUACUUUAGAAGAGGUCGUUAAAAUGACUGAUUAAUCUAAAAUUGAUAAAUCUAUAGCCCCAAAAGAGGCACGAAUAAUGCAAAAAGCACCUGAAGAGGCACAUAUUGAACAAAAAGCUCUUGAAAAGGCACAUAUUGAACAAGAAGCCCUUGAAGAGGCACAAAUACCUAAAAAUUGUGAGAUUUUAGUAAGUUAUGUACACAUGGGAGUAAAAUGGGAUUUAAAUAAUAUUACAAUUAACAAUAUUUUUCACUUUUCAAGUGGCCCAUGUAUCAUAAGAAAUGAUGAAGAUUCCAAACCAUGAAAUAUGGAAGAAUGCCGACAUAGAAAUGAUUGGCCAAAAGGGAAAGAAACUAUGCAAGAAAAGUUAAACUUAUUAACAAAACGAGAAUUGUUUGGACUUAUACUCUAAACACUUGAAGAAGUAAAACCUGUUAGGUAAAAAUGGGUAUUUGUAUGAAAACACAAUGAGAGUAAUGAAAUCAUAAGAUAUAAAGGCGAUUAGUAGCACAAGGUUUCUUUUAGAGACCAGGUAUUGACUACGAGAAAACAUACUCUCCCAUCAUGGACGCAAUCACAUUUCAUUUCUUAAUUAGUUUGGUAGUCUCAUAAGGACUAGAUAUGUGUCUCAUGGACGUUAUUACAACAUAUUUAUAUAGAUCCAUAGAUAAUGAUAUAUAUAAGAAAAUCCCUGGAGGAUUUAAAUUGCCUGAAACAAAUAAUACAAAGACUUGUAACAUGUACUCAAUCAAGUUACAAUGAUCCUUGUAUGGAUUAAAGUAAGUCGGACGCAUGUUGUACAAUCACCUUAGUAAAUACUUACUAAAAGAAGGGUAUGUGAAUAACCCUAUAUGUCCAUGCAUCUUCAUUAAGAAAUCAGAAACCGGAUUUGCAAUUAUUGUAGUGUAUGUUAAUGACUUAAAUCUUAUUGGAACUCCUAAAGAACUCAUAAAAACAAAAAAAUUACUUAAAAAAGGAAUUUGAGAUGAAAGAUCUUGGAAAAACAAAAUUUUCUAUUGUUAUCAAAUCGAGCAUUUUCCAAAUGGAGUUUUAGUACAUUAAGAAAAUUUUAAAGCAUUUUUAUAUGGAUAAAGUGCAUCCUUUAACUUCUCCAAUAGUUUUCUAAUCAUUUGAUGUGAAAAAGGACCCAUUCCGGCCUUGCAAAAAAUGUGAAGAAUUACUUGGUCCUAAAGUACCAUAUAUUAGUGCUAUUGGUGCACUUAUAUAUCUUGCCAAUUGUACAUGUCUAAACAUUCAUUUUUUUGUCAAUUUAUUAGCAAGAUACAGUUCCACUCCAACUCAAAGACAUUGAAAUGGUAUCAAACAUAUAUUGUGCUAUCUUUGCAGAACUAUUGAUGUGGGUCUAUUUUACUCAAGGGAAUCAAGUAAAAAUUGCAUAAAUAUACAGAUGCAGGAUACUUUUCAUAUCCACAUAAAGGUAGGUCACAAACAGGGUAUAUGGUUAAUUGCAAUGAUACUACUAUUUCAUGGAGAUUUGUCAAACAAAUAAUGAUGGCCACAUUAUCAAAUCAUUCAAAAAUUCUUGUAAUUCGUGAAGCAAGUUGUGAAUGUAUAUGACUAAGAUCUAUAAUCCAAUAUAUUCGGGAACCAUGUGGACUCUUAUCUAUCAAGAGUGAUCCGACAAUAUUAUUUGAAAAUAAUGUUGCAUGCAUUGCACAAAUAACAGGGGGUCAUAUUAAAAGAGAUAGAACUAAACACAUUUCAUCAAAUUUCUUUUAUACACAUGAACAUCAAAAGAGUGGUGAAAUUGAUGUGUAACAAAUACGCUCAAGUGAUAAUCUAGUAGAUUUAUUCACAAAGUCAUUGCCAACCUCAACAUUCAAGAAGUUAAUACACAAGAUUGGAAUGCAUCAACUCAAGGAUAUCGACAUGAGGGUGAGUAUGCUUGUAAAAGGAUGUUAGUGUACUAUACUUUUUUUCCCUUCGUCUAGGUUUUAUCCCGUUAGGUUUUACUAGCAAGGUUUUUAAUGAGACAGUCCUAACAUAUCAAGAGCAACUUAAAGAAUUAUUAGAAUAUUGUACUCUUUUUCCUUCGCUAGGUUUUUCCUAUAGGGUUUUUUACUAGCAAGGUUUUAAUGAGACAUAUUCUUCUAAUGUGGUGGACAUCCAAGGAAAAGUGUUAUAAAUGAAGUAAUGAAUACCACCACAUUUAUUAUAUUAAAUCUUCAUUAAUAUUAUUUAUGACUUCCAUUAAUAUUCAUUAAUGGAAGCCAUUUGGAAAGCUUAUAAAACAGUUUCCAAUCCCCUAUAAGAUGUAUCCCAAGGAAAGAAAGAAAUCCUCUCUCUUAUUCUUUAUGUAUUUCAUUCUUUCAACUCAAUUAAUUCUCUUUUCUGGUUCUUUCCUCCCCAUUAUAUUAUUAUUAAAAUAGUAUAUAGUUGUUCUCUGUUUUUAUUUGCAUUGCAUUUAUCCUCGUUUUACAACACUUAUUUUUUUCUUUUCUCUAUUUUUUUCUUCUUCUAGUUAUUAUUAUUAUUAUUAUUAUUAUUAUUAUUAUUAUUAUUAUUAUUAUUGUUGUUGUUGUUGUUAUUGUUAUUUUAUAAACAUAAUAUAACCUAUCAAAAAAUAAUAAUAAUAAUAAUAACACAUAUAUAAAUAAUAUAAUAAUUAAUUUACAAAUUAUUGUUUCAUUAGUUAUUAUUAUUGUUAUUAUUAUUAUAAUUAUUAUUUCAAAAAAUUUUAAAUAUUAUGUAUAACUUAUACAAUAAGAAUAAUAAUAAAAUAAUUUUACAAAUAUUGUUUCAUUCAUGUAUUGAAGACAAAGUUUUCUUAUAUAAACUUUCAUAAAUUAUCAAUUGUUUUUUACAAUAUGAUUAUUAAGAAAAUAUUACAAUAAAAAAUUAGUAUUGAUAAUUAUGAAAAAACAAAAUUAAAGCAUGUGUUAUUGUACUUUUAGUGUACUUAUAUUGUAAUUUCAAUGCAUAACUAUGACACAUACAUUUUGGAACAAACUUAUUAGUGUUCGAAGCAUUGUCUUUAUUCUACUAUAUUGAUUUCUAUAUUAGUAAGGCAUCCCAAUGAAUUAGCAUCAUAUACUAGAUGCAUUCUUAUCAGCAAUAAUUCUUAUAAUGAAACUCAUACACCUUAUAAAAAAAAUGUCUUAUAAGGUUAAUUUAUAGUAGAUGAAAUAUUAAAAAAUAUAUAAAAUAUGUGACAGCCAUUCAUCAAUGCUUGUUUAAAAGGAAAAUUUUAAAAUAAAGUUAGGUUAUGCAGUAAUGUAUAAGACAUUUAAAGUAUUCAUGUUGUAAGAUCAUUAUAUUUUUGUGGUACGUGUACAUUGGCUUUUAUAUUAAUACAUAAUAUCGGUGUACUAGCAUUAUACAUUUAAUGAAUCAUUAUUGUGCAUGAUUUUUAUAAUAAACCUAUAAGUUUUAAGAAUUAGAUGAAAGAAAAAUUAUAUUCUAAGAUUGGUUUAUAAUCAAUGACAUUAUAAUAAUAAAAAUAUGAAUAAUGAUACAUAUGGAAUAUUAAUGAUAUAAAACUAAUAUCAUAAAUAAUAAUAUUAAUAAUAUGUUAAUAAUGAUGAUAAUAAUAAAUAUAUAAUUAUAAUUUUUUUUUAAUAAAUAACAUAGUUAGUCUUAACAUAGAGUAAAUAAAGCACAAAAGGUUGAAAAGAAAAGUAGAAAAGUAAAGUUAUAUGGGAGUAGAAGGAAAAGACAAAAUGAUGUAAUUGGAAUUAUGGAAUGAUCAAAUUAUCAAACUAUAACUUGUGAAUUUGACAAGACUUUGAGACUUGGUGACCCUUGAGGGAGCUUAUCAUCACUUUGAGCUAGGUGACCAUUUUUUUUAAAAAAAAAAAUCGAAAAUAAAGGCCAUGAAAAAUUUAUUUAUAAAGAAUAAUAACAAUUUUGUAUUUUUUUUAUACAAAUUAGAUAUUUAAUUUAUUAGAAUAAUUUUGGUGGUAAUGACAAACAAAAUAACUCCUUAAAUAGGUGAAAUAAUUCAUUUUCUCAAUUUUAUAUGCAAAAGUAUUUUAAAACAAAAAGGAUAAUACAUUAUUUUUGUUCAUCAAUCCACAUUUUGACUUCCAUUUUAAAAUCCAUCUAUAAAAAUCUCUCUUUAUAAAUAUCUGCCUAGAUUGCCUAAUCAUCUAUUUGUUCAUUGUCUAUAACUUCUUGCCUGAUUAUCAAUUUAGAUGUUCAUAUUUGCGUAUAUUUAUUCAUUCCACCAUGGAUUUUGUUGGCUUAUUUGUAAUGUAUACAAUUUUGAUGAAUUGUUUGAUUAUUUGAGAACCGAAUUUCCCCUAACCCACCAAUAAAAUGCAAGUAAAAGUCCGACCAAGAGGGGUGUUCUUGGCCGGUGGCCUUCCUGAUAAGUCACCUUAGCCGUAGACUAGAUUUAGAUUUUGCAAUCACUAUCAUCUUGACCAAUCUAGCCAUGUACCAAAAAGUCAAUUUUGCCAAGUUUAAAAAGUUUGCUUUAAGCCUGUUCAUCAUAAUUGACAGAAGUUAGAAUUACAAUGAAAUAUCUAGGAGAAAAUGUCCGCAGGAGCAGAGAGAGAGAGUAAAGGCAAUACAUUCAGUCAUGAAUUUGAUGCAAAUCCCAAAGUACGUAAUUGUGUCGAAUACUCUCACCAUGAUUGUCGAUCUAUCGGAUCAGACGAUUACUAUGUUUGCCAAAAAUGCCUGGGCCGUAUGUGGAAUAAAUCAAUUCCACAAGGAGGGGAAACUGCAAAAUUCCGUACAAGGUCACAGGCAAACAGGCUAAUGCAGCCAAGGUAAUAAGAAUCCAUGCCUUCUUUUCACCAAAGAGAAGAUAGAUUGCGCUACUGUAGGCUAUCAUCAUGAAUGUUACGGAGAGGAAUAGAGUAACAAGGCCAAAUAUCAACCUCCUGGGAAGGGCAAAAAGAAAAUCAUCUUCUGCA
RNAcentral lists this long non-coding RNA (389149 nucleotides) under Vitis vinifera (wine grape). RNAcentral's name for it is "long non-coding RNA (VVIN_LNC006578)". Lineage: Eukaryota; Viridiplantae; Streptophyta; Magnoliopsida; Vitales; Vitaceae. The record is from RNAcentral.